RNAcentral lists this long non-coding RNA (385524 nucleotides) under Malus domestica (apple). Lineage: Eukaryota; Viridiplantae; Streptophyta; Magnoliopsida; Rosales; Rosaceae. The record is from RNAcentral.
UUUCGAUAUCAAGCCCCAUAAUGUGUUGCUAGACCAAAACUUCACUCCAAAAAUUUCUGAUUUUGGUUUGGCCAAGUUAUGUUCCAAGGAUCAAAGCUUGGUGUCCAUAACUACAGCUAGGGGGACCAUGGGCUAUAUUGCACCUGAAGUGUUCUCCAGGAAUUUCGGAAAUGUGUCUUACAAGGCAGAUGUCUACAGCUUUGGAAUGCUGCUGCUUGAGAUGGUAGGAGGAAGGAAGAAUAUUGGUUCAACCACGGAGAACACUACAAAUGAAAUCUACUAUCCACAGUGGAUUUACAAUCUUCUAGAGGAAGGGGAUGACCUACGAAUCCGUAUUGGGCAAGAAGAAGAUGGUAAAAUUCCAAAGAAACUUGCUAUUAUAGGGUUAUGGUGUAUCCAAUGGCACCCGUCGGAUCGUCUUUCCAUGAAAACAGCCGUUCAGAUGUUAGAAGGAGGAGGAGGAGAAAGCUUGACCAUGCCGCCUAAUCCCUUCAUGCCUACAGGUCCUACAACUAGAAAUGCAAGACGCCUAGAGCGAGAAGCAAUUGCUGAAUUAGAGUAAAACGUAUAUGACAGAUAUGUAGAUUCGUAUUGAAUGUGUAAUGAUUCAAACCUAAAGGGAUAUUUUGAUAACCAUUUCAUUUUGGCACCAAACAAAAGAAAUUUGUUUCCACUCCAUGUUUAAGCAAUAGAUGCCGAUUAUUGUUUAUCAUUUAUUAAAUUUUAUUUUUGGUUACGGUAGAAGCCUAGAAGGCAAUCGAGCACCGGACUUACCAAAUUCUAACUCAUUUCUACACACCAAGAGCUUGAUUUCGGUUCUUAUUUUUACUAUUUAAGCUAUAAGCCGUGAUAAUAAUUAGAGCACUAUCAUUUGUUGUGAGCUUCAACUGGUUAUUUUGUAUGUUUUAAACUUUUAAUUAGAAUUUAUUUUUCACUUAGACUUAUCUUUCCGUAUGGCAUGCCAUCCCAACCCUAGUUUUUCUCCUCGCUUGGAGUUUGGGAUACGAAAACUUGCCAAACAAAGUAGAUUGAUUAGUAACCGAAGCUAAUUAUUCGACUGAAUAUUGUUUAGAAUUUUAAUUAACAGAAACAAUAUGAAUCUUUUUUGUUUGUUUUGAAAACUAGAGAUUAAAUUGUUACUUGUUAGAAGUAGAGUGAUUGGUAGACAUCGAAUCCUUACAUAAGUGCAUAGGCAUUAUUGCGUGAGGAUGACGUGAGGGCAAGGGAAGUAGCAGCAGACCGUGUGGGCUGCUGUGGUUCAUCUGCUCGGGUGACAGGAUAGCCUUUUUGACGAAAUUAUAAAGCGCAUAAACUUUUUGACCAAGAGAGUGGUCAACUAGGGGUGGGCACUUGAAAUCGAAAACCGAAACCGAAACAUGAACCAAAUCGGACCGCACCGAACGAUUUGGUUUUGCGGUUUUGAAACCGAACCGCAUUGUAGGAAACGGUUUGGUUUUGGUUUUGGCUUUUGAAAACCGCACCGAAACCGAAACCGUAUCUCAAAUUAUAUGCCAUGUUUUAAUUAGUUGUUUGUUAGAGUCCAUACAUUUAGUAUGUACAUGUCAUAAUAAUGAUUAUUUUUUCCAAGUUAUAUCCCUCAUCAAGCUUGGCAUCUCAAUGUUUCUUUACAGGAAAAGAAGAAAACUUUGUCACAGUUAUAUCCUUAGAACCCUAAUUUUCAAGUUUAGAAUGAUAGCCUAUAUAAUAUAUUAAUCAGAAAUGCAAAUGAAAACUCAAAAGGAACAAUGAGCAUCAAAUAAGAGUAGUCACAGAAGGAGAGAUACAAGACCGAAUCUCUAAUCAAGUAAUAAGUUGCAGCACUUCAUUUGGGUACUUUUUCCUGCUCACAGAGUUUAUCACUUGUGCAAGAGUUUAUCAUCUGUGCAAUUAGCUAGCUAGAGUAAAGAAAAGAAUUCUCAUGUGGGUGGUUAAUUAAUGUAUGUGUGGAAAAUGAGACUGUGGUAUGUGUAAAUAAGUAUAAAUUUUAAAUUGUAGAUUUUUUUUUCUAAAAAGCCAAACUUAAACCGUUUGAAACCGCACCGAACCGAUCGGUUUUGACUUUAAAACCGCACCGAACCGCACCACAAAAAGUUGUGAUUUCGGUUUUGGUUUCACUCAAAACCACACCGAACCAAACCGUGCCCACCCCUAUGGUCAACAAAUGGGACAUGGAUUCGUCGAAUCCAAAUCCUAAGAAUUCAUUAAUCUAUAUUAUUGAAAUUUGAUCAAAAGAUUAAAAUUAUUAUAAUUUUAAAAUAAGCUCGUAUUUGUAACUGUUGAAUCAACCUUUAAUGAUCCAGAUUGAUAAAUCCUUAAGAUUAGGAUGUAUGAAUCCGAAAAGGAUCAAUGUCCCAAAAAAUAUGCAACGUUUUGCAAGGGUAUUAAAUUUAUGAGUGGGAUAGACACAAAUAGCAGACCGUGUGGGGUGCUGUGGUUGAUCCACUAGGGUGGCAGGAUAGCCUUUUUGACCAAAUUAUAAAGCAGACUUUUUGACCAAGAGGGUGGCCAACAAAUAUGCAACGUUUUACACGGUAUUAAAUUUAUGACUGAGGAUUUGGAUCCUCUCCUGAGCUAAUGGAGAUGAUCUUCCUGACCAACCAUUAUGGGUUGUUGGAUUUUUAUCCAACGGUUAUAAUUAUUAUAACUUUAAAGGAACUCCCUUUUUAUAACCGUUGGAUAAAAAUCUAACAGUCCAUAAUGGUUGGUCAGGAUGAUCCUCUCCAUUGGCUCAGGAGAGGAUCCAAAUCAGAUGGACACAAGUAGCAGACCGUGUGGGGUGCUGUGGUUCCUCCACUAGGGUGGCAGGGUAACCUUUUUGACCAAAUUAUAAAGCAGACCUUUUUGACCAAGAGCGUGGCCAAUAAAUAUGCAACGUCUUGCACGGGUAUUAAAUUUAUGACUGGGAUGCACACUCAUCUUCUUCCUCAUUCGUUGUUUAUGUAAAAAAAUGUAAUAAAUUGUAAUAAUGAUCUUUCAACUUUAAUUAAAUUGAAACAAUAGUUUUUUAAUUAAAAUUCAUUAUUAUUAGUCUAUUAACUCAUUAAAACGUGUAGCUAUAGUCAUUUUCGUCAACUCCUUCAGAAUUCUGUCAAAAUAAGUUAUGUUGAAAGGACCAUUGCUAUAAUUGGGUUAAAGUUAGGGACCAUUGCUAUAAUUGGGUUAAAGUUAGGGACCAUUGCUCUAAUUGAGUUAAAUUUGAGGAAUCAUUUCUCUAGUUGGAUUACAGUUGAUGGAUCAUUGAUACAAUUUUUCUUAUUUGAUUUUUCAUUGUGCCCCUUGAUUUAGCCUCAAGUGCAUGACAUGUGACUAUUUUGACGGAAGUUCUAAUGGAGUUGACGAAAAUAAUCAUAGUUGCACGUUUUGAUGAGUUAAGAGACCAAUGAUAAUGAAUUUUUAGUUGAGGGAUCAUUGCUCCACUUAGAUUAAAAUUAAGAGAUCAUUACUAUAAUUUACUCUGAAAACUAAAGGCCUCCUAUUUUAGUUAUGUUUGUACCAUACUUGACCAAUCCCAAAACUACUGAGCACCGGUCAACGUUAUACCAUCAAGGAUCCAGAAGAGUUUCUCUCAAACCAGGAGGCCAAUCACAACACGACACAUGUCGAUAUCAAAAGCCAAUCAUAGCGCGACACGUGUCAACAUCAGAAGCCAAUCACAACACGACACGUGUCAAUGUCAGAACAAAACUAAAAACUCUCUUCUAUAAAAGGAGAUCAUUCUCCCUCAAUAUUUCCUAAUGUUCUUUGUACUAAAUCAUUCACUAGUACUGACUAAAUGAGAGUUUGAACCUAUGUACUUGUGUAAACCCUUCACAAUUAAUGAGAACUCCUCUACUCCGUGGACGUAGCCAAUCUAGGUAAACCACGUAUAUCUUGUGUUUGCUUCCCUGUCUCUAUCCAUUUACAUACUUAUCCACACUAGUGACCGAAGCAAUCUAACGAAGGUCACAAACUUAACACUUUCUGUUAUACCAAAGUCCUCACUGAUUUUGUGCAUCAACAAGUUGCAUUGGAGAAUCCUUUCAACCAUCCAAAUCCAAAACAUGGAUCUAAGGAGCCAAGAAACAAAGAGGAGUUCGUCCAUAUUCAUGGAUACAAGAAGCUAUGAGCAAGGGAAUGAGGACCUCACUUUGGGUGACUAUCAUUUACUUCUGCAAAGAGGACCUACAAAAAUAUAAAGUCAACUCACUUUGCUUUGAAUUUGAGUUGAGUCUUUGACUAACUACUAGACUCUGAAUUUCAUGAGUUAAGUUUUGUUUUUGAAUGCAUAUAAGCAUGCUAGAGCCUUUAAUUGUUAAUUACAUGUAUAUGUGUUGCUCAAAUGAACUUAGUUUAUCAAAUUUUUCUCUCAAGACCAAGGUAUUAAAUAUCGAUGAUAUCGGAAAUAUCGGUAGUCCAAAAACACGGAAAUAUCGAUGGAAAUAUCGAUGGAAAUAUCGGGAUAUUAUCGAUAUCGAUAAAAAUAAUAUGGAAACCACGGAAAUUGUAAGAAAAACUUGGAAAUUUUUAUUGAAACUUUGCAGAAUGUUUAUUUAGUCAAUUAUCUAUUAGUUUAUCACAAAAAUUUGGAAGGAAAUGCAUUGCAUGAUGGAUUUAACUGAUUUAAGUUGAUUAUAUAGCGAGCUGGCAAACAUUGUGAGUGUAGAAAAUAUGUAGUAAUUAAUGAAAGAAGUUUAAACACACCAUAAUCAUUUAUAUAUAAUGAAUUAGUACAAUAUUUUACACUUUAUACAUUGCAUGGUAAGAUACAUGAGUGACUAAGUACCACAUAGAGUUCCUAUGAGGUUCAAAAUUUUCACUAUCUUCAUCAUCUCUAUGUGUAGAGUAAGUGUAUUGUGAAGAGUAGUCAGCAACCAUGGCAAUGGCUUUCAAGAACCGAAAUCCAAAAGUCAAUAGGAAACCGAAUACUUCGGUAUUUUUCGGGAUUUCGGGAUUACCAAACAAAUGGGAUUUGGAAACCAAUCCCAUAUCGAAAAUUUCGGUAUUUUUCGGGAUGGGAUUCCCGAACUUCGGGAUGGUUUUGGUUUGGGAUUUUUCGGUUUGGGUUUGGGACUUUUUCGGUUUGGUUUGGGAUUUUCGGGAAUUUUUUCCAACCCUACAUGUAAGUGACCAAAUAAAAAAUAGAAAAAUUAAAAACCACAUGCCAUUGACUAAGUAAUUAAUUGACACAAUUUAAAAUAUAAUACCACAAAAAAUUUGGAAUAUGUGCAAAUUUGUUUCUUGCAAAAAGAAUUCAAAACAAAACCAUAUAUAUAAAUAUUUUAGCAUGUUUUCACAAAAACAUAAGUGGUAUAGUGGUCAAGGCGCUGAAGGAGUUAGAUGGGAGGGGUUUGAAUCCCUCUAUGUGCAUGUUUGAGACUUUUCAGAAAUUUUCAAAUAUUUUUAGGUUCAUCUCGCGAUAAUAUCGAUAUUAUCGCGAUAUAUUAGCGAUAAUUAAAGGAAUACUCGUGAAAUAUCGUUAUAUGAAAAAAACGAUAAUAUCGGCGAUGUUUCGCUGAUAUUAUCGAUAUUUUCUUCUAUGUUCAAGACCAACUUCUAUGGCAUGCGUGGUGUGUUUGAGACUUUUCAGAAAUUUUCAAAUAUUUUUAGGUUCAUCUCGCGAUAAUAUCGAUAUUAUCGCGAUAUAUUAGCGAUGAUUAAAGGAAUACUCGUGAAAUAUCGUUAUAUGAAAAAAAACGAUAAUAUCGGCGAUAUUUCGCUGAUAUUAUCGAUAUUUUCUUCUAUGUUCAAGACCAACUUCUAUGGCAUGCGUGGUGUCUCAUGCCAAUCACACAAAUGUUAUGUAAAAAGAAUUUACACGUUGUGUUGCAUGAUUGACAAUUAACGACACAAUAGUGUUAUAACCGUGUCAAUGUUAUGAAAGUUUUUAUGCAAAGUCACUUGAUAUGCCGCAACAAUUAGUAAACAAUAUUAGAAAGACCUAGAGGAACCCACAAUUAAUUCCAAUUCAUUAAGUAGCUCAUGUGCAAGCAAAGUAUGGGCUUCCCAUGGGCAGGAGCUGGAAUUUACCCAUAUUUGGUAGUUAUGUAGCAUUAUACGAGGAGCCUGCUCAGCAUUCAAUAUGUUCACCCACAUGAUGUUGAGUGUAAUCCUUCUUAAGGUUCAACGAUAUUGUUUCUAUUAACAAAUAUAAAUAAAAAAAUAAGCGAAAUACUAGAGAGAUUACACGUUUAUAUUACAUUGUUGUACCAUAUUGUGAUAUGGCUGUGUACAUACCACGUCUUGUAAUGAGUUUAUCUCAUUAGAUGUUAGACUGUUGGUUAUUUGUAUUACUUAUUACAUCAUAUGGUACAUCAAUGUGGUAUAAAUAUGCAAUCUCUCCAACAUUACCCUUAGGAAAAUUUUAUUUGAACCCAUCUAACCUCUUUCUACACCCAACUUAAAUUCUAAAUGUGAAUUGUCUAUUUUAUCCUAAUGCAUAAUUACCAUCAAGUACAAGAUGAAAUUAAGAAUAAAACUAAAAUUUAUCAAUAAACCCAUACUCAAUAAUUAAGUUCUACCAUCACACAAUUUUUAUCCUACAUUCAUUUUGAAUAAAUUCCUAAGGGCUGCAAUAAAACCCUACGAUCACCUAAUAAUCAAAUCCGGUUGCUUUUUGUUUCCUCUCUAGCUUCAUGUUAACUCGAUCAGUAAAAACAAAGUAUUCAAAGUAUUCAUGUAUAAAAUAAGCCAACUUGGACUGGACUUGCUAUAAACCUAAAAACAUAAGCAGAAUCCCAGUUGCUAAUUCCACAAGAACUCGACUUGCGACCAUUCAAAACCCAAUAAAAAUUCAAGAAAACCAGAACUUACCAAGUGAACGUUGACGGCUGAGCCAGAGCAGCAACGACGAAAGGAAGCAUUGCAGAUAAGACCUGAGACGACGAGCCGUCGGAAGCCCCUUUGGAUAUUUCAGCUGAUGGGUUUAUCCCAAACGACAGCAUCAACGCGUUGCCUUCCUUCCUCUGCGACCCGACUCUGCUGAUGUGCAAUGUGCUUACUCUUGUAAUCACUCCAUGUGCCAUGUGCAAACAAUCGAAGCACAUCGAGGUAGACAUAAUUUUCAGUUCCUUCAAGCUGCACAUAUUCCACAGUAAAAAAACAAAUGCAUAUGAAACAAGACCCUAUAACAAUCAACAAUUUUAUUUUGACUUUGGCUGCAACAAAAUUCUGAUUAUACAUCCUUUGCUCAAAUCCAGAAACUACACCACCAAAAUAUACACAGAAAAAUGAAACUUCCACAAUAAAUAAAUAGAAACAUGGGAACCUGAAGAACAUUAGGGACAUCGAUAAUUUCCGAAAAGGCAAAAAGGGCAGGGUGGGAGGUGACUUCUGCGACGAGGGGGCCGAGGGCGGAGCCAUCGAGUGAUGAGGCUUGCUUCACGAAGUGAUCAAAGGCCUCCUCUUGCUUUUGCUUUCUAAAAGGGUGUAAAGAUGAAUUUUUAUAUAUUGAAUUGAGUUUGUGAGGGUAGUUUAGAUAGUAAUUUGGGUUUAGAGAGAAAUUGAUUCUUUAAUUAAAAAUAAUAUGGGUGUAAAGAAUAAGUUAGGUGUAGCAAGAAGUUGUAUGGGUUCAAAUAAAAUUUCCCUUACCCUUAUCAGAAACCCUAAAAGACAAGAAAUGCUCUAUACUAAGACGUGUUUAUCAAACCGGAAUGAAAGUGUAGGAAAUGGAAUUGCACGAACUCCAAGUCAUUUUAGUGUUUACUAAACCAGAGGGAAUCAACAUUCAGGUGGGACCCACCCAAAAUCCGGAAUACAAUUCCUUAAAUACCCGGAAAUGGAUUCUUGACUUGGGAGGUGGGAAUUGAGUUCCUGAAAAUAGAUUCAUCAGGGAUCCAAGUUUUCUACCCAUACUAUCCUCAUGCUUUUUUGGUAAACCCAAAUAUCCCUCACAAUUUCACCUCCCCAGUUCCAUGACCAGUGUAUAGACCCAUCUCUCUUCUCCCCAAUCCCACCAUUUCCUAACAGAGGAGCUUCGACUCCAGUGAAAUCCCGACCCCUUUCUCCUUGCCCCGUCGCCGCAGACUAUCCAAAAUACAUGCAUGAACGCACAAAGAGAGGGGAAAAUGUAUGGCGUGGCCGCAUGGUCAUCUAAAAACAGGGGGUGGGGACGGUUGUGAUAGGUGGUGAGGAGCUGGGUUUGGGGAUGUAGGGGGGAGAAGAUGGCAUCGCAGCUUUUUGUGUUUUGGGUUUUUUUAUGUUAUUUUAUAUUUUUAAUAAAUUUGUUAAUUAUUUAUUUUGCUGAAUAGUUAUGUUUUCAUGUAGCUAAUUGGAUUUUAUGAGCAUAUGUGGUUAUCAAAAUUAACCAUUAACUAGCAUAUAAAAAUAUAAUUUAUAACAAGGGCAAUUUAGUAAUCAAAUAGGUUUCAAUUCCGAUUCAUGUGAGUGAGUAAAUAAUUUUUAUGUAAUCAAUAUCAUUUUUAUUCCGAUUCCAGAUAGUUUAGUAAACAGAUUCAACAUGAAUCCAAUUCUAAUUCCACUUCAUUCCAUCUUCUUCUCAAUUCAAUUCAAUUCCUCAUACUCUGAUUACGGAUUAGUAAACGGGUCAUAAAACGGAAAGAGAAAAACAUUGUUCAUAACCAACAGUGUUUUUACUUUUUUGCCCUCAUUUUUAAUGUUUCUGUGUUCCCACUUUUAUGCCUCUAUACAGUGAAAUCCCCAAUUGCCCUAUGGGCAUAGGUGUGUAAAAAAAUUGUUUUGCACACGUGGCAUGCUAGGGAGAUUUCUCUGCUGCACCGUUUCCUUCCAGCUCCACUCCGAAUCGAUACUGAAUACUGCUCAACCAAAUUUUUUCAUCAUUUCAUUCCGUCCUUGUCAACCUCUUCAUUCUUGCUCCACCAUGAAUCGAAACAAAAAAUUGCUCAUCCAAAUCAAUUUCAGUUAACUCAAAUCCCUAAAACCCAAAUUUCUCCAGAUCUUUGGAUUUAGUUUACUUUUUGUUGUUGCGUAAAGCUUAAAUUUACGUACAAUUUUUUUAUUUUCUUGAUUGGAAUUUGGAAAGAAUCAAUUGUUCUUUGAAGGAAUUACAGAAAAUUGGAAAGGGGAAAUGGGAAAUGGGAAAGCGAGGAAAUGCGGGCAAAUGGGUUUUGGGAAAAUGACUUUUUUUUUUGGCAUUCGCUUUUGGCUUUCAUCCUUUCUGCGUUUGCUUUUCCUCAUUUUUUUUCUCAAGAACCAAACAUAAAAUAAAAAGAACCUAGAAAAAAGAAAAGGAAAAUCACAAGAUUAAGAAUCUGGGAUUGCAACAAUGGAGCUUCUGUGCCGAAAUAUCAAUUGGGUUCCGUUUGAUCUUCGGUGCUUCUUCUGCAUUCAAAAAGUUGGGGUUUUUUUGCGUGAUGGGAACACAUUUCCAAAUUCGACCUCAAUCCCAAAGGAACCAUCCACCAAAUAACCCUUCCUCCCUUUCUAUUUCUCUCUCUGUAAUUUCCCCUGACCGAAUCACACAAUCCAACCAACUCUCUGUGUAAGGCUGCCUCACAAAUUCCAUGGAUUUCAUGGACUUACCCUCUCUAUGAGCCUCCCUCGCCGAAUCCAACUAAUUUCCUUAGGCCCGUUUGGGAUUGAGGUGAUUUUAAAAAAAGCAAUUGUGAAAAAAAGCUGAGGGUCAUUUUUGUGUUUGGUAAACUGAAAAAAAAUGGCUUAUUUUGAAAGCUGCUGUGAGAAUAAGCUGAAAAUCAAAGGAAAAGCUGAAGCUGCUAUUUGCUGCUUUGAAAAAAAGCCAGUUUUUUCAAAGCACACGGAGCUACAAUGCUCCUUUAAUGAAAAGACACACUAUCAUCCUGCUUUUUUUUCCAAAAGCACUUUCACAAAAAAGUUUACCAAACACUCUACUGGCUUUAUUUCACAGCCGCUUAUUCUCACAGCAGCUUUUUUUCAAAGCACAGCAAUACCAAACCAGCCCUAAUUCCAUCGAUAGCCACACCCACCCCUCCCAACUGAAAAUGACAAUAAUGCCCACCCAACUUUUAUUCUCUGCCUUUAGAUCUCAAAUUAAAAUGGGUAAUAAAGUCCUUUUCACACCAAUACCCGCUAUUUAACAGCUCAAAUGUACACAACCCAAACAAACACAUGGCCUAAAGGGCCUACCCCAGACCCCCGGCCCAAAAAUAUAAAGGAAAACUAAUGAAAAUUGCUUGAAAACUUUGAGUUUUAAUGAUAAGGACAAAAUAAAGGGUAAAGUGAAUAGUACCAGGAUUGACUUUUUAGUGUAAAAAUGUGGUUUUUCGUUAAAGUGAACAGUACCGGGUGCUUUUCGUUAAAGUUCCCAAAAAAUAAUUGGAAAAAGAAGUGGCAAUUUGGUAAAUAAAAUGUUACCUUUUCCAUUGCCCAUUCCUUUUGGAAAAAGAAAUGAAAUUAAAACUCUUCAUUUAAAAUGGUCUUAAGCCAAAUUGUAUUGAAUGUGAAGCAGAGGGUAAGAGGUGUAGAUUGUAGAACAAUUACACCUAGAGCGAAAUUGAAUUUGUUGACAGGAGGAAACCAAGUAAGGAUAACGCGUCUAAAUCUUAUUUCGCAUCUAUUCUGCUCAUGAUUUUUCUGCUUUCAUGUAAUUAGCGGCUUAUAUUUGUGGUAACGAUAUUGAUUAAUUUCGAGAAAUGACAGUCUAAUUUUCGCAACUGUCUUUUGCAGGUAAAACAAAGACGGUCUAAUUUUCGCAACUGUCUUUUGCAGGCAAAACAAUGACAGUCUAAUAUUCGCAACUGCCUCCUACAGUUAGAAGCAAUUGUUGAAUUAGAGUAACACUAGAAAAUGCACCCGCGCUUUGCUGCAAGCAUUGAAUAAUUAGUCACAACAUUCAUGAAUAGCAUUCCAAUAAAGCAACUAAAAAGACGUCGUAAUACGUAAGAACCAUCGAAGUCAAAUUUUGCUUGCUAUAUAUGGAUAUGCAUGCUAUAAGAAACAUCUAUUUAUAGAUUGUAUUGUGUCAUCAAUAUCAUAGUUGCAAGUAAUCAGCCUACUACAUGGAAGAAAAACACAGAAAAGGGAAAGUAGAAAAGUAGAAACAUAAUACUUGAGUACCUGGCAAGAAUAGUAAGUUCUUGAAAAAAUUGCUAAACCGUCUAACAAAUUCAAUCGUUAAACGUUAUACUGUAACCCAAGACAAAAAUAAAGUAUAUUGUUUGUUUACAAAUCAAAACGAAGUGCUGCUACAAUCCUCAACAGCUAUGAAUCAUUUUCAAAUAAAGAUACUCAGAUUUGACGGCACAUCAAAUAACCACCAAGCGAAGCAAAUUACGCCAUGUGCUAAUAAGAAACUAAAACAAAAGCAAGAUUAAAUAUCGAAAUUUUUUUAUAAGGCAUCAAUUGACAAAAUGCUUCUUAAUGUGGUCUUCCAAGAAAUGAAUGCAGCUCACAAACAACUUAGAAAUCAUUGUCACCUCAAUCUUACUAAAUAGAAGCAUAAAUGGACAUGAUAGCUCCCUAAUUUUGUAAUAGAAACUCUAACAAAGAAUAUCAGGCUCCAAAGGCCCUAACUUUUCCUAGGCAUAAAUCUAUACAUUGCAAGUUUAAUUCCAACGAAGCAAAUAUGCGUGCAAAGUAAAAGGCAUCAACACUACAUGUACUGCUUACAAUCGUCUCAAGUUGCUGACAACAACAACAACAACAACAACAACAAAGCUUUUUCCCACUAAGUGGGGUCAGCUAUAUGAAUCCUAGAACGCCAUUGCGCUCGGUUUUGUGUCAUGUCCUCCGUUAGAACGCCAUUGCGCUCGUCUCAAGUUGCUGACACAAUGUUUAAAAUAUUCCAAGACUCAAAGAUUUUCACACAAAUAGAGCACCUUACCAAAACAAUAACCGAGGUUGUCGUAUUUGAAUCAAGCAGAUGCUUUGCAAGGCCUUCUUCAAUAUCGUCUCAUAUUCCCUUUUCAUUUUUCGUAUAUGAUACAAUAAACUAUUCAAAUCUAGACAUAAAUAAGAGAAUCUGCUACACCCUACUAUCACAAUUGUCAGUCCUGAACAAUAAUGCAAGUCUAGUGGCAAAAACCACCUCAAUGAACAACUCACACACACUGAUCAUACAUCUCUAACUCUCUUUUUCAAAUAACACACACUCUGAUCCAAAACAGGGUAAAUAAAAUGCACAUCCUUAUACAUUUCUAACUUUCUUUUUCGAAAUCCAAAAUAGGGUAUUCUAACUCUCUUUUUCAUUCAUUUCUUACAAACCAAUCAUACAUUUAAAAUAGGCUUUGAAUAAAAAUAGGGUAUAUAAUUAUAUACCUCAAAAUGCCUAGGAACCAACUUCCCCCUCCAACGAUUCAAAUUCUUGAAAUUGCCAACACAGUAAAUCCAUUAGUACUAUAUAAAUGAAAACACAAUUGAAACCCAUCAAACAAAACAAUCCCACAAUUUAAAUGAUUCAAUCCUACUACAAUUGAAAUUCACAGAAAGAAUGAAAAACCAGAACAAAACUGCAGCACCUAAAAAGUUGUCAUACAAAAAAACAUGGAAUGUAAAAAUAUGUUAAGAAAUCUAGUUCGUUAAUUUCCAGCUGCUAAGUGGCAUUAUGUAACUUUAGUAGUAUAACUAAUUAACUACUUAUCUGGUGGGUUGCACUUCUAUCCAAUUGGUAAGGAAAGGAAAAUAAAAAUCAACCCCUUGGUCUUAGUUGUGGCUGCAAAGUGCAGGCCACCACCAAGUCUCAGUGUUUGUGUUUUAGCAAAACACUUAAAUAAAUUAAAUUCUGAAAUGUAAAUUAUAUUCCUAUAACUUUAAGAUGCACAUAUAGUAUUGUUGAAGUCGAACUGAAAGCACUGACAAUUCCAAGCAACAGAGCAGCAAUUAUUAAGAGCCAAAACUCAUUCCUAGUCUCCUCAUCCUGGUACUCAACUCUAAUCUUCGGUCAGCAUCAUUGACUGAAAUUAGGAGAGAAAAAGAAAAGGAAUUUCAGAAAUUGUCUAUGAAGCAAAGGAUACUGCAGUUACUUCAAGACAUGUAAAUUGCAUAUGUAUAAAGUAAUUUUCUACAUAAAGGAAUGAGGCAUAACUUUCUCUCUCCUCUUCAAACCCUAAACAGUGCAAAGCCACAAACUUUACAGAGAUUAGAAUGAGAACUGGAAUUAAUAGAACAAUGACUGAAAAGUAACAUACUUGAGGAGUGAAUGAUUUAGUGUUUCCAUCAUCGGAACGCCGGAGUAAGUCGCUAAGAGAGGUCGCAAACAGCCCAAAGGGACAAACCCAGACCCCCGGCCCCGAUCCAUACCCUUCCCCCUCAAAUCCCGACGGCCCCCAUACUUUUCUCUGACUGUACACCCUCUCCCACUCAUGAAAUCGAGGAUCUGCAGCAAUGGUACUGAGAUCCCCACUCCUCCCUCUCCCUUUCUCUCUGUCGCUCUGUCUCCCUCUCCCACUGUCUGUCUAUCUUUAUCCCAGAGCGGCAUGGUCUCCCAUCCCUGAAACCCUCACCGAAAGGUGGCAAUUUUGUAAAUAACUUGAAAUCCACCAACAGCAGGAGCAGAGAAUUGAAACAAACAUUUAGGCUCGUUCGAUAACCAUUUAGGCCAAAACUGAGCACACCUAAACCAUUCCUACUCGUGCCAAAUGUUAGUGGGGAAGCAAGAUGAUGACUUUAUUGUUCAAAACCAAAAGAAAAAAAGAGAGAAAACAAAAUAACAAAUCUAAUGGUUGUAGUGUAAAAGCUGAGAACGUAAAUAAACAUGCAGAGAAAAAAAUUGAAGAUACAAAGUAGCUGCAUCAUGAAACACUUACUCCAAUUAGACGCAAAAAGUGAUGGUGAUGAGAAGAGAGAGAAAAUGCAAUCGUUUUGAUUUUUCUGGCUUUUAAAGGGAGCAGCUUUCUUCGACCACCCAAAAAAGGAAGCUGCUUCGUAUGGUUGUGAUUUCCUGAGUGUAUGUGAGCGGGUCUAUGGCACUUGCACUUUUUGUGUCGGUUACGGUAACCGGGCGAGCUGAACACGGCGGCAUGGGACUGAAUUCGGAGAGGUGAGAAAAAUUAAAAACACAAAAAGAAGGUGUUCAUUUUGUCACAUUUUUAUUACUAAAAAUUCAAUAAAGUACAUUCAUUAGUAUGGUAACUUAACUAUUUAAUUCCAUCUCAUUAAACUAAAAAAAACAAUUACAAAAAAAUAAGGGAAACCUUGUCCAAAGAGACCUGAGAGAAAGUGACGACUUCUCCUCUCAUUCCACUCCAUACUUGAUCUCUAAAGUCCAUUUGGCAUGUAAUUGAUGUUCAAUUUCAAAUUUAGUGGUAGCAAUUAGCAAAGCUAAUGAAAGAAUCAAAUAAAAUGAAAGAAAAAGCAUCAUGAAAUAAAUCAAGAUGAAGAAUGAAAUUUUGGCAACUCCCCAUUCUCUUCUUUUAUAUAAAAGAUACAUCCUAUUUGUAGUGAAAACAGGUCCCGACAAGCCCAUUUAUCCUCAAGAAGUAUUUUCUAUGACUUUAAAAACAUAAUCUGUGAAAUUAUCUCUUGGCAGAGAACAACAACAAAUCUUCAUGCAUAGCUUGUAGAGAAAGACAUCAGGCAUACAAAAGAACACGCAAGCAUAAAAUAAACGACGCAGGGAAAACAAAAAAUACAAUUAAAUACGCUGUCAAAAGAACAUGAAUAAAUGAAAAUUACAAAACAAAGAAGUGAUGAGAAACCAAAGUACCCAUUUCAUAAUCUAAUUGUUUUUUAGUUUGCUGCCAGCCAUCCCUGAGUAAUGCAUUCACUUCUGAACCCCAAACACACUGAAACAAAAAUUCACACACAUGAACUACAACUCCGCUAUGUAACAAGAAUUAAAAGCAUCUCAAAACAAAAUGGCAAACUAUAAGAGCACUGUAAAAGUAAAAUUGCAAGAAAUCUAAUACUUGGAGGGCAAGUACUAAUCAGACGAAAAUGAAAGAUUGAACUACUUCGCGUGGAACUGUGCCUUGGUUUUUUCCCAUGCUUACAGGAAGCUUUGCACUGAGCCCUUAUAGCCCAAAUUUUCUCUGAAGGAAAAAAAAACACAAUUUUGAAAUAAGAUUUUCAUAUUAUACCUUAAAGAGAAGAAUUAGACAACAAAAAAGAGAAGAAUUAGACAACAAAAAAGAGAAGAAUGAGUACUAUUCAUCAUAUAUUGUUAGAGUAUGUGGUCCUCUGGUCCAAUGGUCCUGCAGCCAUAUUUACUUUAUAACUCUUUCUUUUAGUCUUAAAAACAUCUUGGAUCUCAAAUUAACAUGUUAGCUAUGCGUUAGAACAUAUUGGGUUCAAUCCAUUGUCUUGAAUAUCACCCCCAGUCACAGCUGUCUCUUCGGGGCAUACAGAAGGCCUGAGAGGCAUUUGCAGACAUUCAAUAUCUGCUCCAAGCAUUUCGACAACUUUGGACAACGAAGGGCAAUCACUUGGUUUCAUUUGAAUACACACAAGGCGGUUAUAACCAUCUUUCUUAUCACUUUCUUUUCAUCCUCUGUAACAUUGUCUAUUUCCAAGUCAUUUCCCACAAUAUAUUGAUCAUAUACCCAUAACGGGAAAUAGAUUUGGCUUGGAUGCUCUACCGUUGCAUUCAAAUUCUUCCUUCUGCUUGCCAUUUCCAUCAACAACAUUCCAAAACUAUAGACAUCGGCCUUGUAUGAGACACCUCUAAUAUUUUUGUAGAACAACUCAGGAGCAAUAUAUCUCAUUGUACCCCGUGCUGCCGUCAAAGAGACAAUGCUAUUAUCUACUGGAUACAAUUUUGCAAGCCCAAAGUCAGAAACCUUUGUGUUUGCACUCAAAAUAUACCCAUUUUUACUUAUUUGGGCAAUUUGGGUAAAAUAUGGUAUUUGAAGGAUUAAUAUGCAAGAAAACUAACUUGGAAAGAUAUUUGGCUGCAAGUGGGGGGGGUUUGGCACUAUAAUAUUGUUUUUCCCAUUUGUUUAGGUGGUGGAGGUUUGUCAAGCCUUUGUUUAAUCAAGAUACAUGCAUGUAUUGCAAGUGGAUGGGAGAGCUUUCGGGCAAGAACGUGUAGUGAAAGAAGCUAGUUUGCUUCUUUUAAUUAUUUUAUUGCAAGUGGGAAAAUACAUGUGGUGGAGAUGCAACUUGCUUCUUUUUUAAUUGUUAGUUUAUUACAAGUGGGGAAACAUGUGCUAAAAACAUGUGGUGGAGAUGCAAGUUUCCCUUUUAAUAUUGUUUCUACAUGCAAGUUGGCAAAUGCAAAUGCAAGCUGCCCAAGCUUCUUUCGGGCAGGUACAAAGAUCUUAGCAAGGGGGCUCUUCCAGACCUCUAUAUAAAGAAGCAGAUGGAGAAGGAUUAUGGACACUCAAAACAACCAAUCAAAACUCUACUCAAAUUAGCUCAUCAGCUUCCUUGUAGACAUUUAUUUUUAGCCAAGCAUCCUUUGCUUUUCUUGUUUAUUAGCUCUGCUACUCACUUGUAGUAUCGAUCUUAUUUGUAGCUUUUAUGUACAACCCUCUUUCAGUCAUUUAAUCUACAAGCAAUCUGCAAUAUUAGUCACUUUCCUCUGUCAUUUAUAUUUCCAAGCAACCUUGUCAUUUACAUAUUGUUCUAUCUCUCCAUAUAAGUAAAGUCCUUAUUUUUAAGGCAAACAAAGAACCUUAAUUUGAGUAACUCUCACUCAAUGGCACAAUCUCUUGGUUCGAAGUCAAUCUCAGGCGCAACCUCAAUCAUUCAGAAUCUGUCUACUAACGGUAUCUAGUAGUGGCAUGCCCGCACCCCACCAAUCUCGUAUGUGAAGUAAAUCCCCGGCUUGCCCGCAAGGCGCCAUGGCGAAUUUAGGGAGCAAACAUAUUUUGGCACACCCGGUGGGAUACCUUAAAUAGAGUUAUAUUAUGAGCAAUCCUUAUGUUCAUGAUUUUUCUCAAUAUGCUUUUUCGGAGUAUGAGGAGGAUGACGGUGUUGAAGAGCGCCCAAGCUAUGGCUAUCACAUAGAGCCAACCUAUGAGUUGUCAACUUAUGGGUACAUGGCUGAAAAGUACUCAAGUCCCAUGGAACAUGAUUGUCGGCCAACUAAUGGCCAUCAAAUAAAUAAUAAUCUUGAAGAUUGGCCAACUUAUGGCUAUGAUGAAGGUUAUUAUUCUUUUGAAGACAAUCAUAUUCAUGAAUACUAUGAUAGGCCAACAAAUGGCUUUGAGUAUCAAAAUGCUUCCAAUGAGUACAUAGAGCCAAUAUAUGAGAUACCAACUCAUGAUCAUCCAGAUGAAAAGCUCUACAAAGAGGAUGUGGGCAAAUUAGAGAAGGUGUCCAAACUCCAUGUGGCAAGCAUCGAUAUGGUGAAGAGGUGACCAAGUGUUUUAGAAAGGUGGAGGAAAGCUAUACCACUUUUGGAGAAACUUUGAGAAAGUUGAUAGAUCAAAUGUGUCAAAUCCCCUCUACAAAGCACACUCACCCUACUACAACCAAGGAAGAACAAAUCAUACACGUUGAUGAAGGCCAAACAAUGGCCCCACCCAAUGAAAAAUCCAUGAAAAUGGAUAUGGUUGUAGAAGGCCAAGCCGACAUAUUGAAACCGAUAACGGCUAAGAUGGAGCUUAUGGCUAUUGUAGGCCAAACACCAACGCUCGGGGGGCUCGAACUCACACCUCAUGUGGAGCCCGAAGAAGAAGAAAAUAUUUCCCACUCUCUUCUCCGCCAACACAAGCAUGUCAUCCAUACCAAGAUCUCAAGAAGGGCAAAGCUUGGGAUCAAACAUAAAUGGCCACCUCCUAUUGUUUCCAAGCUAUAUGGUAUGGCUAAUUUAAAUGGUGGAUCUAAUCUCUCUACACUCAAUUUUAAAAAGAGAAAAAGAUUUGAGUGUUAAGAGAUAUCUGGGCAAUCAAGGGGCUUAACCAAUAUGCCCAAGUGGGGCUUAUUUUGUUGUUUCCUCUUUUGCCUGAAGUUGAACUCCCAGUCUUCCUUUUCUUCUUUCCUUCUCUCUUUCCUUUUCUUUCUCUCCUGUUUCCUUUUGCCCGAAAGUAGGUGCCAAAUCCCUCCUCUAUUCCUUUUUCUUUAUUUCUUUCUCUUUGUCUUAUCUUGUCUUUCACUUUUCCCAAAAGGGCUAUAUAUAUACAGAGAGCUUAAGGGGAGGGAUCCCCAUUUUUUGAAAAAAAUGGGGAUUAGGUGUGGGGCCCACUUCACAUUGAACUUCAACAAUCCGAACCGUCUAUUUUGUUAGUCUCGAUUCAUAGAUCAUCCUUGCAAAAAUUCAAUUCAAUCCGAAACCAUUUGCCUAUUUAAUUAUCAAGAUCAAAUUUCAUUUUUUCUUAUAUAACAAAGUAUUCGUUUAUUUCAUUGAACCCAAUUAGAUGUCUUAAACAUUUCCAAUUUAGCUAAUAUUUUGCAAGGAUGAUCUAUGAAUCGAGACUAACAAAAUAGAUAGUUCGGAUCGUUGAAAUUCGAUGUGAAGUGGGCCCCACACCUAAUCCCUAUUUUUUUCAAAAAAUGGGGAUCCCUCCCCUUAAGCUCUAUAUAUAUAUAUAUAUAUAUAUAUAUAUAUAUUAUAUGUGAAAAGAGGGGAAUGGAAGUACUUUGCCCGAGUGGGCUUGUUAUAUAUAUUAUUUUAUAUAUUAUAUUAUAUUAUAGUUUUGAAAGUCAUUCAAAAAAAAAAAAAAAAAAAAAUCUGAGCAGUUUGCCCGAUUCCCUUUUCUUCAAAAUUUGCCCAAAUUGGUUCUUUCUUUUACUUUGGUCUGUGUUACCCGAGAGGGCUUUGUCCCUUUUUGUUUCUCUUGCUUUGGUUGCCUGACAGUCUUCCCUUUUAUUUGUUCUUUCACUUUUUCCAGCCAACCCAACAGGGCCUUUAAUUUCCUUUUUCUGUUUGCCCGAAAGGGCUCUGUUUUUUUGUGUGUUUCUUGUGCUGUUACAAAGAAAAAGAUAUAAAAAUUAAAAAUUCCAAAAAUCACAAAAACAUUUUGCUUUCUUGCUUUUGUUUUUUCUUGCUUUCUUUCCUUUUUUGUUUUCUUGCUGGGGAACUUUACAGAAAAUAUCAAAAAGUUGGGCAGCUUGUGAGUAGCCAUUUUUACCUUUCUUUCCACUUUUCUCUUAUCCAAUGAGUGUAUUUAGCCCGAACCCAAAAGUUGAAAUUAGAAAACCAUCUAGUGGCUGUACCCAAAUUCAUGGAAUGAGGAGUUUCAUAAAAAGCCGAAUCUAUGGCUUUCUUGCUGAAAAGCAUGUCAUCUGUGUCUCAAUGGCUAUUGCAAGAAAGCAUGGGGCUAUCUUGCCCAACUGGUGGUGCCCGAUGGAACCAUAACCAUGCCUGACGGUAAUGACGUCUUCCCUACUCACCACCAACAGACUCUGCAUGUCUCCCUAACGCUCACCAGUUCCUACAACCAAGGGUCGGGCUACUUUGACGACUACCAUUAGAGGCUACAGUAAGAGCUUUUGAUGUGGCUACUAUUAAUCACUGGAGACUAGUUUUCAUGGGUAAGAAAAUAGAAAAAUGGAGCUGCAUCUAAAUGUGAAAUCCGAAAGCUGGAGGAAGAUGACAGAAAAUUAUGUUGCUGUUGCCCGAGGAUGCUACAAUCUUGCCCGAUGAGCAUGACAUCUUCUCUGUUGCAAUUUGUUUAGAUGUUGUCAAUCAUAUAUGGGGCCCCAUGCUUGAUCUGGCAAACGUAUUUGAAGUGUUCAUGCCACUACAACCAGCAAUAAAUCAAGACCAGAUCUCUGAAGGAUUCUGCAGAUCGGUCGGUUCACUCAGACAUAACCACCUCCCUCCGAGCGGAACAAAAGCAACAGUGCAAAGUAGACAGCAUUACCUUGAUUUGGGAAGCAGAAUUCUGAACCUCAAGCAGGAUCUCUUGAUACGCAGGAGUUGGAGUAAGGAAACAAUGGCAGCCAACAUAAUAGCCGCAGCUUCGAAGCCAGACCUACCCGGCCUUCGGUCGUCAUCUUUAACCCCUUGGAGCUUCACCACUGGUUGAAGGAAGUAUGCAGAAAUUUACCUUUGCAGACGGAGCUUGGUUUACAUUUGCCCAGUUAAAAAGGAGGAGGAAGGGAUUGGAUCUCCAACAAACACUAAUAGCUUUCCGUUCUUUCUGCAACAAUCAAUUUUCAUGAUCCGUGGACUUGGGUUAUUUUCUUCACGCACGCACAAGGCAUACCCUUUCAUAGCUCCAGGAAAAAUCACCACUCUCUUCUCAUUUGACCAGCAGCUCUCUCUCUCUCUCUCAGACUUGGAUUAUGGUUGCCGCACCUUGAUCUUUAAGUGAUACCUCGAACAGAGAAACAACUUCUCUUUUGGAGAAGAGGAAAGGCUAGAGAACGACCCACGUUCAUCUUUUUCUCUCUAUCUCUCUCUCUCUCUAUCUAUCUCUUUCUUUUUCCUUUUCUUUUUCUUUUCUCUUGCUUUCUGUUCCUUUUCUUUUUCUUUUCUCUUGCUUUCUGUUCCUUGUCCCUUUCUCAAGGUAUGUCCUUCACUUGGCCCGAAAGGGCAGCAUACUAUAUAUAUUAUAGUAUGUGGCCUAAGAAAGAAAGUCUAGUCCUUUUUAUUAUUUCUUUUCCUCUUAUCUUUUUGUCUCUCUCUCUUUCUUUUCCUUCCUUUCUCUUUCUUCCUGUCUAUUUUUUCUUUUUGUUUUGAGUUGCCCGAAAGGGCUUUAUAUAUAUAUAUAUAUAUAUAUUAUAUUUGAAAAAGGCAAAAAGAAAAAGAUAAAAAAUAAUAGUUGCCAAAGUUUAUUUAUGUUUUAUCCUUCUUUUCCAGUUGUCCGACUUCGGGCAUUUUCAGUUUAUUAUCUAUGUAACCAGUGAAGAUGCUCUUAUGUUUUUUGGUAUCAACAAGAAGGAUGCACAAGUCAGACAACAUUUUUUUCCAAUGCUAGUUGCACUACCAAUUGCCUUGCUCCUCUUGCCAAAGUUUAUCAACGACGGCAGGACCGAAGAGGUAGACGUGCCUCUUCCUUCGACAUCAUUCUUGGCAGCAUUAGAGUUGUAAGUUUCACAAACUUUGCUCAAAUUUGUAAAACUUGGGGGGCACUGUUUGCACUCAAAAUAUGCCAAUUUUUACUUAUUUGGGCAAUUUGGGUAAAAUAUGGUAUUUGAAGGAUUAAUAUGCAAGAAAACUAACUUGGAAAAAUAUUUGGCUGCAAGUGGGGGGGGGGUUGGCACUAUAAUAUUGUUUUUCCCAUUUGUUUGGGUGGUGGAGGUUUGUCAAGCUUUUGUUUAAUCAAGAUACAUGCAUGUAUUGCAAGUGGAUGGAAGAGCUUUCGGGCAAGAAUGUGUAGUGAAAGAAGCUAGUUUGCUUCUUUUAAUUAUUUUAUUGCAAGUGGGAAAAUACAUGUGGUGGAGAUGCAACUUGCUUCUUUUUUAAUUGUUAGUUUAUUACAAGUGGGGAAACAUGUGCUAAAAACAUGUGGUGGAGAUGCAAAUUUCCCUUUUAAUAUUGUUUCUACAUGCAAGUUGGCAAAUGCAAAUGCAAGCUGCCCAAGCUUCUUUCGGGCAGGUACAAAGAUCUUAGCAAGGGGGCUCUUCCAGACCUCUAUAUAAAGAAGCAGAUGGAGAAGGAUUAUGGACACUCAAAACAACCAAUCAAAACUCUACUCAAAUUAGCUCAUCAGCUUCCUUGUAGACAUUUAUUUUUAGCCAAGCAUCCUUUGCUUUUCUUGUUUAUUAGCUCUGCUACUCACUUGUAGCAUCGAUCUUAUUUGUAGCUUUUAUGUACAACCCUCUUUCAGUCAUUUAAUCUACAAGCAAUCUGCAAUAUUAGUCACUUUCCUCUGUCAUUUAUAUUUCCAAGCAACCUUGUCAUUUACAUAUUGUUCUAUCUCUCCAUAUAAGUAAAGUCCUUAUUUUUAAGGCAAACAAAGAACCUUAAUUUGAGUAACUCCCACUCAAUGACACAAUCUCUUGGUUCGAAGUCAAUCUCAGGCGCAACCUCAAUCAUUUAGAAUCCGUUUACUUGCGGCAUCUAGUAGUGGCACGCCCGCACCCCACCAAUCUCGUAUGUGAAGUAAAUCCCCGGCUUGCCCACAAGGCGCCAUGGCGGAUUUAGGGAGCAAACACUUUGCUUUAAAGUUCUCAUCAAGAAGGAUGUUAUGAGGCUUGAUGUCGAAAUGUAGAAUUUGCAUUUUGCAACCUUGAUGUAGAUAUUGUUGACUUUUGUAUUUUAGGUAGGAUCCCUAAUUGAUAUGUAAUCCCAUGUAAUCACUUGUAAUUAGUUUUUCUUUCCUUUUAUGUUAGGGUUGUACACCUAUAAGUUCCUCUUAUUGAGAAGAAUAUAUCAUCAUUCAAAGCAUUCUCUUCUUGGCACCAGAGCCUAGGUUUUGAAAAGAAAAAAAAAAGAAAAGAAAGAGGAGACGAGAUCGUGCUCUGUACGGAAAACCAUAACUACCAGCCGCACAGCCAGUUGUGCAGCGCCGUCCGACCAGCAAGCGACGCCGUCGUUUCUGACCCGAGAACCCGAACUACCCGCCAUGCACCCAGGUGUGCAGUGUGCCGAUCAACCAGCGAGCGACGCCGUCGUUGCUGAUCCGAGUUCACCGAGCCACUCCCUGCAUCUACCACCACGAACCGAGAUUCAACCCACUGCCUGAAAUUUGUCCCAGAUUUCGGCCUGUGUAUCUGUUUUGCGUGCCCAGAUUCGAUUGAACCGAGUGCACCCACUUCACAAUGGCUCCCUGUGCUUGUCCUUUUUCAAAUGGAUUUGACCGAACCGGACAUGAGAGUAGGACCGAUCGAGACCAGUUCAAGACUUGUGAUCCCCACUGUAACAAGUCGUGUACCUCGAUUGUCGAAUCGAAAAUAGAUUCUAAUAUAGGUAACAAAGGUAAGGCUUUAAAAGUUUCUGCAUCUGUUACGAAUAAUACAUGGAUAAUUGAUUCCGGUGCUACUGAACAUAUGACUUGUGAAUCUAGGCAGGUACAAAUCCUAAAACCACCCACCAAAACUGUUGUGAGUGUUGCCAACGGUAAUGUUGUUCUCAUUAUUGGAGAAGGCACUGUCUCCCUGUCAAAUACCCUUAGUCUUGAUACCGUGCUUGUUGUUCCUUCUCUUGACCAUAAUUUAUUAUCUGUUGCUCAAAUAACUGUCGCCCUGCAUUGUCUUGUGAUUUUUUGGCCUUCCUUUUGUGUUUUUAAGGACAUUCGGACUCACAAGACGAUUGGUUAUGGUAUUAGGAAGGGGAAGCUCUAUUACUUGGAGCUGACAUCAAACAGUUUUCGAAUGUUGACUCACGCUCUUGCAGUGGACGGAAAUUCGGGGGAUAGGAAUAAAGCUUCGGAGGUUUGGUUGUGGCAUCGUCGACUUGGACAUGCUUCUUUCGGCUAUCUACGGAGGUUGUUUCCUAGCCUAUUUGUUAAGCAUGAUGUUUCUAGCUUUAAAUGUGGUGUUUGUGAACUAGCUAAAAGUCAUCGUGCUUCGUUUCCAUCCAGUUUGAAUAAAAGUUCUGUUCCAUUUAUGAUAAUUCAUUCUGAUGUUUGGGGUCCAUCUAAAACUGCUACAUUUGGUGGUGCUCAUUGGUUCGUUACUUUUAUUGAUGAUUGCACACGUAUGACUUGGGUUUGUUUGAUGAAAUCCAAAGGUGAAGUUACUUCUUUGUUUCAACAGUUUUACAAAAUGGUACAAGUACAAUAUAAGUCACAAAUACAGGUUCUCAGGAGUGAUAAUGGUGGCGAAUAUGUUAACUCUGAACUUCGUGCCUUUCUUGAUCAUCAUGGGAUUGUUCAUCAAACUACAUGUCCAUAUACUCCACAACAAAAUGGGGCUGCCGAAUGCAAGAACCGUCAGCUUCUGGAGGUUGUUCGUGCUUCUUUACUCGAGGCUCGUCUCCCGUUAUCCUAUUGGGGAGAAGCUCUCACCUCAGCUGCGUAUCUCAUUAAUCGUGUUCCAUCCCGAUCGGUUGAUUUUCAGACACCCCUUCAGGCAUUUUCUUUACAUGUUGAUGCUCCUGCAUUCCCUAAUCUUCCACCUCAUGUGUUUGGAUGUGUGGCCUUCGUUCAUCUUCAUAAACAACAGCGAAGUAAGCUUGAACCUCGAGCCUUACGAUGUGUGUUUGUGGGGUAUGCAUCAAGGCAGAAAGGAUACCGUUGUUAUCACCCACCGACGAAUAAGUUGUUUGUCACUAUGGAUGUUGCGUUUCAUGAGAAUGAUAUGUACUUUGCCAAUCUCGAGUCUUCACUUCAGGGGGAGAAUCAGAAAGAAGUUCAAACUCUUGAUUAUACUAUUCCAGAUAUAGAUAGAGUGAAUGAUUUGGAUUUAAGUGGUGAUGUCUUGGAAAUAAGUGGUGAUCAUUCACACGAAAAUAAUGAUGUGAAUGAAUUGGAAUUAAGUGGUAAUGUCUUGGAGACAAGUGGUGAUCAUUCACAUGGAAACAAUGUUGAAAACCUUGAAAGGGAUGAGUCGACAUCGCCAGAUAACUCACUGCCUGAUAGCUCACUGCCAGUUUCCUCACCACCGGACAACCCUGUGUCGCCAGCUACCUCACAGUCGAUCUUGAGUCCCAAUAACCAUAAUCAAUCGUCUUCGAUCCCGGAUGCACCACCACCACGUCGUCUCCCUGAUCGCAUCAACCGAGGUAUUCUUAAACUUACUUAUGAAGCCGACCCUAAAUGCAAAACUAGGUAUCCGGUGAGUAAGCCCAACCCUGAGUCUAAUGUGUUAUACCCGUUAAGUAAUUAUGUGUCUACCAGUCACCUGUCAGAAUCAAAUAAGUCAUUUGUGCAUCAAUUAUCUACUGUAUCUAUUCCUAACAGUGUGUAAGAGGCUUUAACUGAUCCACGUUGGCAAGUAGCAAUGAAUGAAGAGUUGAAGUCUUUGAAGAAGAAUGCUACCUGGGAGAUCACAGAUUUGCCAGCUGGCAAGAAACCUGUGGGAUGCAAAUAGGUCUAUACUGUGAAAUACAAAGCAGAUGGGACGGUGGAUCGUUUCAAGGCAAGACUGGUAGCAAAAGGAUAUACUCAAAAAUAUGGAAUCGACUACACAGAUACAUUUGCAGGAGUAGCCAAGAUCAACACAGUUCGUGUUUUGUUGUCCUUGGCUGCAAAUCUUAAUUGGCCUUUACAACAGUUCGAUGUGAAGAACGCCUUCUUGCAUGGAGACUUGACAGAAUAAAUUUAUAUGGAUCUUCCACCGGGAUGUAAUGCUCCAGAUAAAUACAAAAGAAAAGUGUGCAGAUUGAAGAAAUCUUUGUAUGUCUUGAAGCAGUCCCCUCGAGCAUGGUUUGGAAGAUUCACAAAAUCUAUGAAAGCAUUUGGUUACAGACAAAGUAACUCUGAUCAUACUUUGUUCCUGAAAAGACAGAAUGGGAAGCUUACUGCACUUAUUGUGUAUGUAGACGAUAUGGUGGUAACAGGUAAUGAUCCGGAAGAACGUGCGGCCUUGCAAAGAUACCUGUCUACAGAAUUUGAAAUGAAUGACCUUGGAUCCCUGAAAUAUUUUUUAGGGAUUGAGGUGUCGAGAAGCAGUUCUGGAAUUUUCUUGUCUCAGAGGAAGUAUAUUAUUGAUUUGUUGCACGAAACUGACAUGUCAGCUUGUCAGCCAGUAGCUACACCAUUAGAAGAAGGAUUGAAGCUUAGUGUUGAUCCUAAUCAAGUACCAAUUGACAAAGGAAGAUACCAAAGGUUAGUAGGCCGUUUGAUGUAUUUGGCACACACAAGACUGGACCUUGCUUAUGCCUUGAGUGUAGUGAGUAAAUACAUGCAUGAUCCUGGAGAACAACAUAUGAAUGCCGUGACGAGAAUAUUGCGAUAUUUGAAGGGAAGUCCGGGCAAAGGAAUUUUGUUUAAGAGGAAUAAUCACUUUAGUGUUGAAGGUUAUACUGAUGCAGACUGGGCAGGUUCCAUUGAUGAUAGACGCUCAACAUCAGGUUACUUUACGUUUGUUGGGGGUAACUUGGUUACAUGGAGAAGUAAGAAACAGAAUGUGGUUGCCCGUUCCAGUGCAGAAGCAGAAUACAGAGGUAUGGCUUUGGGGAUUUGUGAAAUUUUGUGGCUUAAGCUUCUGUUAAGCGAUUUGGGUAUACAACAUGAUCAGCCCAUGAAAUUAUUUUGUGAUAAUAAAGAUGCUCGUGACAUUGCACAUAAUCCGGUACAACAUGAUAGAACAAAGCAUGUUGAAGUUGAUUGGUUCUUCAUCAAAGAAAAAUUGGAAGGGAAAAUAAUUGAAGUACCAGCGAUAAGAACAGAAGAUCAGUUGGCAGAUAUCCUCACAAAAGCUGUUUCGAGUCACAAGUUUUCAAGUUUCUUACACAAGUUAGGCAUGAUCGACAUAUAUUCACCAACUUGAGGGAGAGUGUUGACUUUUGUAUUUUAGGUAGGAUCCCUAAUUGAUAUGUAAUCCCAUGUAAUCACUUGUAAUUAGUUUUUCUUUCCUUUUAUGUUAGGGUUGUACACCUAUAAGUUCCUCUUAUUGAGAAGAAUAUAUCAUCAUUCAAAGCAUUCUCUUCUUAUAUUCGAUCCCUUGACUCCAAGAGAAAUCUUGUACAUAGUCUUGAUAGUUAAGGGAGACUUCCUUAUUUGGAAUAAAUGUAUUUAUCAAGAGAGUCAUUAGGUAUGAAGUCAUAUAUUAGAGCGCUCUUUGAUCCCUCGACACAAUAUCCAAAAAGUUGCACCACAUUGGCACGGUGAAUCCUUCCGAUUGUAGCUAUUUCGCUAAUGAAAUCUUGGCCAUCAGCUUUGGGCUUGCCCAAAACUUUAACUGCUACAAAUCGGCCACUGCGUAGCUUUCCUUUAAAUACAAAGCCAAAGGCACCUUCGCUCAACUUGUCCUUAAACCUGCAAGUCAUUUUCUUGAUGUUCGAGUAAGAGUACCUUAUAGGCAUGAAGUUAUUGCAUUGCAAAAAAUCUUCUAUUGUGCUAUACAUUGAUAAAUGUCUUUUGCGCCAUGUAGAUUAAAAAUGCAGUCACAACUACAACUCCAAAAACAAAUCUGGCUAGGAAAAAUAACCCUGCAUGCAUUGACAUUAGUAUGUUAGAUCCACUGUACUACUUUUUCUUCCCUUUCUUUCCAAAUUACUUUGUCUUUGAUGUAAUUAAAGAGAGAAUGGGAAAUCUACAUAUGCUGAUAAUACAAUCUCGUAUUAGUUCUUACCGAUGCAUAUGAGUAUAAACCAUCCACGUACUGCAACAUAAUUAAUCGACAAUGAGUUUCAAAAGUGCAUAAAGUGAAGAAAAAAAAAUUUGAAAAAAAUCAAAGGGUGCCUCUAUUGACACCCAAAUUUUAGUUAGUUUCACUCAACUAAAAAAAAAAUUCAUCGAACUUUUUAAUUUGCCUUCGAAAUUGAGUUCACCCAACCCACCAACCAGCAAGCACCACUCAACCAAAAAAUGAACAACACAAAGAGCUGGCAUCGACGCUGUCGAUGAAGGAGGGACAUGAGGAUGGUGUAGUUUCGUCUGGCGCGCGGUAGUGGUUUUGUCUGUUCAUUUUCUCUUUCUUUUGGUAGGUGGAGGCUGGUGUGGAUUUGGGCGAACUUAAAAAUGAGGGGAAACUAUGAAGUUUGACAAAAUGUUUUAGUUAGGUGAACUUAACUAAAAUUUGGGUGCUAAAAAAGGUACCCAAAAUCAAAAGGCUUUUGUUUACCCAAUGCUAUGUACAGGUUUGACUUUUGUUUAUAUUCUUGGAUCUGUUGCUUGGUUGUAUAAUUUGGAUGUGGUUUUGUUUCAAGAUAAUUUGUUCUUCGUUUCUUGAGGCUUUUGUGUGUAGAUUUGAAACCGUUUAGCUUUCAAGCCGUUUAUACUCAAGGUAAAUAAUUUCGUUUUUUUCUUUUUAACCUUUUUUGUAAGAAUUUUUUAUUUAAUUUUGUGAGAGUUGUGUUUUCUAUAGUAUGAAAAUUGAAUCUUUGUGAUCUUAUAUCCUUAGAUAUGUUGCUUGGUUAUAUGAUUUGGCUGUGUGCAUUGUUUCAGGACAAUUUGUUCUUCGUUUUUGGGGCUUCUGUGCGUAGUUUUGAAGCCUUUUGUAGUCAACAUAAAUAAUUUUAUUUUUCUUUGUUUCUAGUCUUCUUUGUAAGAAUUUCUUAGUUAAUAUUUUGAGAAUUAUGUUUACUAUAGUAUGAAAACUGAAUCUUUGUGAUCUUCUAAGUGAUGUAACGUCAUUGCACCAUGUAUGACUGCCAUUAUCGAACAUGAAAAGCUUUUUUAUUUCUGUACUCCGUCCUUUCAUACGAUCUGCCUCAAAAAUGGUUUCAUUACAAGUUCUAACAUGAUUUUUGCGAUGUCUUAUGAAAAAACAAUGUCCACCAAAACAAUAGGAAAACGUCGCCGUCUGCUCUUCUUGGCUGAGCUUCAUGACUGGCCGAAUUCCCCUAUUCCCUUCCUCUUAUACUUUUUUGUAUUCGUUCACCAAAACAAUAGGAAAACGUCGCCGUCCGUUUGAUUGACGGCGAAAGAAAAAGACAGAGAAUAAAAGCCUGACGGAAUAUUGCGAUUUGAGAAAAAAAAGAAAGAACCACGUUGACAUAAUAUACUCACAAUAGGUGUACAAGGUUAAUAAAGCUUUACUGUGGUUCCAUUUUUUUGCAUACUUCAAAGGCUCUGAAUUGCUAAUGGAAUUAGCCUUUAGUUUUAGGAAGAAACUUGGAACCCCCUCCGUCCGUUCUAUCCCCAAUGGAAUUAACACUUGGAUAGUACUAUGACAAUGUGUCAUUAUUUGAUGCAUACCUGUAUAAAUUUAGGCUAAGUGUUUUAUACACAAAUUGGUACAGAUUAAGCUUCUGGGAGCAAAAUCAUAUACGGGAGAGCUAACUAUACAAUGAUACAUUCUUAUCUGUUAAUUAUCUUUGGUUACCAGCUAUCCAUGUUGCUGACAUAUUAAAUUACACAACAUCUAUUGUAAUUUAUGUCUUAUUAGUAACAUAAUGAUCUGGUUUCAAUUUGCUACAGGCAUUAUUUCCUGACAAUAGCUAUGGUUUUGAUUAUAGCUGUGACUGAAAAAUUAUUCCGAAACUAACAUUUGAGGAAUUCAAGGUUUGUUAGUUAAUUUGUACAUCAGAAUACCAUGACAAACUGUGAAGUUGUAAUUGUUGACCUUACAAUGUAUCUUUUUUGGUUUGGAGCAUUAGACUUAUAUGUGCUACUUUCACUUCAUGAAGGCUAACUCUUUAUUUUAGGCCUUAGAAUAUAAUUUCUUGGAGAAUCUACAUUGUUGUUGAUAAUUUUUUGAACAAUAUUAUCCCCAAAAUUUCUCCGCAUGUUACCCUCAACGUAGACAUCAUAUAACCAUCAUUGAACUUCUGAACCAAAAAUUUGAGUUUUGUGAUUAUAACUAAACAUCUAUAAACACAUGAUACAGAUUGAGACGAACGUCAAAUUUAAAAUGGCAUUAAUCAGGACAGCUGCAAACUCUGAUUUGCGGCCUUUGAAAUGGAGAAGUUACUUCUUGCUUCACUUCAGCAGCAUAGUCCAGCUUCUAAAUUCAGUUCUCAGGUAUGAGGUUUCUCAGUUACCUCUUUUUUGUAAUAAAACAUUUGACCAGUACUUGCCAGGAUAUCCAAUUAAUUAGGUCAGUUUUUGUCAGCCGUAAUAAUUUGUUUUUGCAACUUUAUAUGUGUCUCUGUCUCCAAAUGAUGAUCUCUUAAUUUGCUUCUAUAGCUUUUGUAAUAUGAUGAUCUCUUAAUUUGCUUUUGCAUAUCUUCUUUGCUUCCUCUGCUAGCUCUAUAUGAGAUUCCAUCUCCAAAUAAUUAUUAUUAUUUCCUAUUUUUACAGGAAGCAAAUCAUUGAAUACACAUGGAAAAUUAAAAGGGUUUUAGUUUUUGGAUUAGUUUAAAUUUUUUGUUUGUUAUUGCUUGUAUUGCUGUUAAAUAUUUGAUGGGUAGUUUGAAAUGGGGAACUUGGUUGAUCGAGUAUUAACUUUUAUUAAAUUAAUAUUCUUAUUCAAUAUUGAAUUAAGACUCCUCUUAUUAAAUUAAGACUCUUAAGGCUCUAAUCUAAUUUUCAUGCUCAACAUCUCCUCUAUCUUUCUACAAUUGGUAAAACUUUUGUAUUAUUAUUCCAAUUUUGGUUACUGGGUUGUGGAAUUUUCCAUUUUUUUCUGGGUAAUCAAUACUAUAUAUAUGCAUGAAAAGUAUAAACAAUAUUUUGGGUCAAAUUUAGUUGUUUAAUUUUUUAUUUUUUUUGUGACAGUGAGAUUAUGGUAGGAUUUCGUUUAGAUUCCGUGGCCCAAUGGGAGUCUCUGCUUUGAUAAGAUUGGGGUUGAUGCCAAGAAAGCCUUUCUACUGUGGACGCCGCAGCCGCCUAGCGCUGUUUUCCAAAAUCCUCUCUCACUUGGGUAAGCAAUUACGACUUUUUGGUUCAGUUUUUAUUAUGCCCAAUUUUGUAUUUAAACUGAUUUGGGGUUACUGAAAUAGGCAUGCUUGAUGAGUGCUGCAGAGCUGCCAUCCCUGAAUCAGAAGAUGUUCAGAAGGAAGAAGGAAGAACAAGAAGAAAAAGAAGAAGAAAGUCGUGGAAUAUCAAAAGCUUUUAGCUUUGUGAAGGUAUGCUUUUUCCCAACUCAUCUCUUGCUUUUGUUGCACUGAAUUGGUAGAUUGGGUUCAAAAUAUAUAUAUAUGUGAUUUUUUGUGUAACUAUUCUUUACAUAAUUACCAAUUGGAGGUGAUUUGAGAUCAUGUAACAUUUCCUCGCCAGAACCGAAGAUUGCCGUCGCUCAAAGCUGCGUUUCAUGAAACAAGUUCAUCUCCUGCCAAUUUUGUGUACCCACUUUUUAUUCAUGAGGGUUGGUGCUUGCUUGCAACAUAAUUUGGUGCUAUUAAGUUUUGCGGUUUUACAAUCUGUUCAUGCUUAAACCUCUUUCAAAUUUUCAUUUCUGUGUAAAUCUAGCAGGUAGGUCGACACACCUAUCUGGGCAAUGUCGGGAUGUCUAGGCUUGGGUGGAGACAUGGACUUAUGAAAGAGGUGAAGUAGCUUAGUUCGAUCUCAUUAGCUCUUAUCUAAAAAGUUCUAUUGAUUUUAUAAUCAAAGAUACAUAUAUUAUAGAAACAUAGGGUAUAUCAUUAAUUUCUUGAUGUAAACAAUUAUAACUUGAGCAACCAUUUAAAGUAUUUUGGUAAUCAGCAUACUUAAACUUAAAUGUGAUAUAUCCGUUUAGUUUUUUUUUUUAUACAGUGAUAAUACUCAAGUAUAAUUUACAUCAUAUAUCUUUUGAAGUACAUGAAACUAUGAAGAAAAUGAUAAACCAAAUCCCAUUCCAUCUCCGUUUGCUACUGCACAAUCACAAUCCAAUUCCAACAUGGAAUCCUCAGACGACAUGCCUACUGCAGAACAAGUUUCAUCUUGACUUAACUUCUAUUUAGUCCACUUCUUGUUUAGAUUGUAAUCCUAGUUCUACGUGUGUUUGUAUAGUACUCCUAUAAAUAUCAAUGAACAUCGCUCACUCUAAUUAAGAGUUGAGAUUCUGCAAAUCAUAUUUACUAUCUUUCAUGGUAUCACGAGCCAGGGUCUAACGACAACAGUUCAUGUUAUAAUUUUUUUCUCUUCUGCAGAUCCUAAACUAUGGCAUCUUCUUCCUCCUCCGCUGCUCCCUCCGUCUCAAAUUUUCUUACGAUUAAGCUCGACCGCAACAACUACCCUCUUUGGCGUGCUCAAUUUCUUCCCUUGCUGCGCAGCCGCAACUUACUCUCUUAUGUUACUGGCGAAACUCAAUGCCCCUCUGCCUUUCUUCUUGAUGACAAUGGUAAAUUCACAGACAAAGUCAAUCCAUUAUAUAAUGAAUGGAUCCAGACUGACGAGAUGAUCCUAUCUUGGAUUACGAGUUCUCUUACUCCCAAGGUUCUUGCUACGAUCGUCAACAAAAUUGAUAAAGCCUCUGCUUGGUCGUCAAACCCGAAUUAAUCUGAUUAUGGGGGUUUUGUUUUAUAUCAAUAUAUUGCAGCAGAAGUCGCACUUUGAAGAGUUCGUGCUGCACAGAAAGAUGAUGAAAUGCUACCUGUUGAGUCUAUCAUUGCUCCAUUGGAGACAGAGCUGAAGCUUGCUGCAGGAGUUAUACAUUUGUUAUGCAAUAUGACCCCUUUAAUUUUAUUUUAAAACUGAUACAAAAAUACUACAAAAAUUUAUGUAGUAUUUUUGUAUCAGUUUUGAGUGUCUAUUUUGGCUUCCAUAUUUCGUCUGUACAUGUGAGAGGUAUAGUGUUCAAUAUGUAUUUGGUUUCUAUAUUGUUAAUGGAUCUUCUUUUUUUUCUUUUUUUUUCUUUUUUUUUAAAGAUAACCAAGUUGCAGGAUGACAGCAGAACACUUGAUCUGCAGGUAAACCUUCAAUUUCCAUAUGAAGUUUGCAUGUUCGUUGUUUCUGGAAUUUGAGUUUUUAUUAUUUAUCAAUUCUAUCACAUAGAUUACGAUUUCACAUAUGGGAUUAUUAAUGGCAAUUAGAUGAUAGAAGAAUUGGGAUUGGAAGAAGAUAUUGAGUUGUUUAUUUAUGGGGAUUAGAAAAUGAUUAUCAUACGAGUGAUAUUUAUUUUUGUGUGGAUUGUUAAUAUAUAAAACUAUAAGCUUUUGAGAUUGGGAGACAAAACCCACACAUUCAAAUCAGACAAAAUAAAUAAAAAAUUUAACUGACUUAAAGAUCAAACUCCAAAAGGGUAUUAAAAACAAGGCUUAUUUGAUCCAUUGAGUGUGAAAGUUUUGAGCUUUGAAGAAGCAGAGGAGGAGAGUUGUUAACCAAGCUGCAUUAUCCAUGUAUUAGGAUGUUGAAGGUAGGCAGGAAAAUUACUUUUUGACGCCAUAUCCAGAGGAGCAUAACGACAGGCCUGCAUUUUUGCAGCAAUGACCAAAACAAGUAGAAGUGAAGGCUUGACUGUUUGGGUAUUCAUCCUAAACCUAAUUAUUCUUAUUUAGGUUUAGGAUAAAUGAUUGAGUGUGUCUCGAUGAUUGUAUUACUAUGUUUGAUGAAUGAUUUGAGGAGUUGGAAAUGGUUUAUUGCUUAUCUUUUUUUUAGGUGUGUACUUUGGUUAUUUCCGAGCUUUUCAUGACUUUUGAUACCUAAUAGAGAAUAUGGAAACCCCAACUUUAAUUUUAUGAAUUGGUUUUGGUGCCUAAAAUGAAAUCUAGCAUAGUGAAAUCUUGCAUAAUGAAAUUAUGACAAAUUUCCCUUCAUCUUUAGAUUUUCAUUUAAUUCAAUUCGUAUGCAAUUUAGGGUUAUUCAAUUCAUGAGUGAUCAAAUUAUGUUUUUAAUUCCUUCUUUUGAUUUACAGUUCAACAUUGUCGUACAAAAUGAAAAAGGCGCCAGUAACAGAGUUAUGGAUUUGGAUGCCUUUAGUGGAAUAAAACUGAAUUUUUUAACUUUGUAUAGUUGUAAACAUAAAAUACUCCAUGAGAUAGACUCAUAGCUUUUGAAAACAAUCCUUGAGGAUGGCAUAACAACAUCUCCAACUUUUGUCAUGUAAUGUAUGAAUGUCAAUAGCACUUCGUAAACAUAUGGAUGUAAUAUAUGUAUAUAAACACUCUUUAGCAUGUAUAUUUUUCAAAACUUUCUACAUCUUCAACAAUGUUUCAAUGAUUUCUUGAUGUAAACAAUGAUAAUUUGAAGAACCAUUUAAAGUAUUUUGGUAAUCAGCAUACUUAAGCUUAAAUGUGAUAUAUCCGUUUAUUAUUUUUUAUACAGUAAUAAUACUCAAGUAUAAUUUACAUCAUAUAUCUUUUGAAGUACAUGAAACUAUGAAGAAAAAACCCUAAUUAAUCUAAUUAUGGGGGUUUUGUUUUAUAUCAAAAUAUUGCAGCAAAAGUCACACUUUGAAGAGUUCACGCUGCAUAGAAAGACGAUGAAAUGCUAUCUGUUGAGUCCAUCAUUGCUCCAUUGGAGACAGAGCUGAAGCUUGAUGCAGGUGGUAUACUUUUGUUCUGCAAUAUGAUCCCUUUAAUUUUAUUUUAAGAUAGAUAGGGUUGAAAAAAAUUUAUGUAGUAUUUUUUUUUUUCAGUUUUGAGUGUCUAUUUUGGCUUCCAUAUUUGGUCUGUACAUGUGAGGUAUAGAAUGUUCAAUAUGUAUUUGGUUUCUAUAUUGUUAAUGGAUCUAUUUUUUUUUUUAGGUAACCAAGUUGCAGGAUGAAAACAGAACACUUGAUCUGCAGGUAAACCUCCAAUUUCCAUAUGAAGUUUGCAUUUUCGUUAUUUCUGAAAUUUGAGUUUUUACAGGAUGAAAACAGAACACUUGAUUUGCAGGUAAACACUUGAUUGGUUAUUUCCGAGCUUUUCACGACUUUUGAUACCCAAUAGAGAAUAUGGAAACCCCAACUUUAAUUUUAUGAAUUGGUUUUGGUGCCUAAAAUGAAAUCUAGCAUAGUGAAAUCUUGCAUAAUGAAAUUAUGACAAAUUUCCCUUCAUCUUUAGAUUUUCAUUUAAUUCAAUUCGUAUGCAAUUUAGGGUUAUUCAAUUCAUGAGUGAUCAAAUUAUGUUUUUAAUUCCUUCUUCUUUUGAUUUACAGUUCAACAUUGUUGUACAAAAUGAAAAAGGCGCUAGUAACAGAGUUAUGGAUUUGUAUGCCUUUAGUGGAAUAAAACUGAAUUUUUUAACUUUGUAUAGUUGUAAACAUAAAAUACUCCAUGAGAUAGACUCAUAGCUUUUGAAAACAAUCCUUGAGGAUGGCAUAACAACAUCUCCAACUUUUGUCAUGUAAUGUAUGAAUGUAAAUAGCACUUCGUAAACAUAUGGAUGUAAUACAUGUAUAUAAACACUCUUUAGCAUGUAUAUUUUUCAAAACUUUCUACAUCUUCAACAAUGUUUCAAUGAUUUCUUGAUGUAAACAAUGAUAAUUUGAAGAACCAUUUAAAGUAUUUUGGUAAUCAGCAUACUUAAGCUUAAAUGUGAUAUAUCCGUUUAUUAUUUUUUAUACAGUGAUAAUACUCAAGUAUAAUUUACAUCAUAUAUCUUUUGAAGUACAUGAAACUAUGAAGAAAAAACCCUAAUUAAUCUGAUUAUGGGGGUUUUGUUUUAUAUCAAAAUAUUGCAGCAAAAGUCACACUUUGAAGAGUUCACGCUGCAUAGAAAGACGAUGAAAUGCUAUCUGUUGAGUCCAUCAUUGCUCAAUUGGAGACAGAGCUGAAGCUUGAUGCAGGUGGUAUACUUUUGUUCUGCAAUAUGAUCCCUUUAAUUUUAUUUUAAGAUAGAUAGGGUCGAAAAAACUUUAUGUAGUAUUUUUUUUUUUCAGUUUUGAGUGUCUAUUUUGGCUUCCAUAUUUGGUCUGUACAUGUGAGGUAUAGAAUGUUCAAUAUGUAUUUGGUUUCUAUAUUGUUAAUGGAUCUAUUUUUUUUUUUAGGUAACCAAGUUGCAAGAUGAAAACAGAACACUUGAUCUGCAGGUAAACCUCCAAUUUCCAUAUGAAGUUUGCAUUUUCGUUAUUUCUGGAAUUUGAGUUUUUGCAGGAUGAAAACAGAACACUUGAUUUGCAGGUAAACACUUGAUUGGUUAUUUCCGAGCUUUUCACGACUUUUGAUACCCAAUAGAGAAUAUGGAAACCCCAACUUUAAUUUUAUGAAUUGGUUUUGGUGCCUAAAAUGAAAUCUAGCAUAGUGAAAUCUUGCAUAAUGAAAUUAUGACAAAUUUCCCUUCAUCUUUAGAUUUUCAUUUAAUUCAAUUCGUAUGCAAUUUAGGGUUAUUCAAUUCAUGAGUGAUCAAAUUAUGUUUUUAAUUCCUUCUUCUUUUGAUUUACAGUUCAACAUUGUUGUACAAAAUGAAAAAGGCGCUAGUAAUAGAGUUAUGGAUUUGGAUGCCUUUAGUGGAAUAAAACUGAAUUUUUUAACUUUGUAUAGUUGUAAACAUAAAAUACUCCAUGAGAUAGACUCAUAGCUUUUGAAAACAAUCCUUGAGGAUGGCAUAACAACAUCUCCAACUUUUGUCAUGUAAUGUAUGUAAAUAGCACUUCGUAAACAUAUGGAUGUAAUAUAUGUAUAUAAACACUCUUUAGCAUGUAUAAUUUUCAAAACUUUCUACAUCUUCAACAAUGUUUCAAUGAUUUCUUGAUGUAAACAAUGAUAAUUUGAAGAACCAUUUAAAUUAUUUUGGUAAUCAACAUACUUAAGCUUAAAUGUGAUAUAUCCGUUUAGUAUUUUUUAUACAGUGAUAAUACUCGAGUAUAAUUUACACCAUAUAUCUUUUGAAGUACAUGAAACUAUGAAGAAAAAACCCUAAUUAAUCUGGUUAUGGGGGUUUUGUUUUAUAUCAAAAUAUUGUAGUAGAAGUCACACUUUGAAGAGUUCACGUUGCAUAGAAAGACGAUGAAAUGCUAUAUGUUGAGUCCAUCAUUGCUCCAUUGGAGACAGAGCUGAAGCUUGCUGCAGGUGGUAUACUUUUGUUCUGCAAUAUGACCCCUUUAAUUUUAUUUUAAGACAGAUAGGGUUGAAAAAAAUUUAUGUAGUAUUUUUGUAUCAGUUUUGAGUGUCUAUUUUGGCUUCCAUAUUUGGUCUGUACAUGUGAGGUAUAGAGUGUUCAAUAUGUAUUUGGUUUCUAUAUUGUUAAUGGAUCUAUUUUUUUUUUAGGUAACCAAGUUGCAGGAUGAAAACAGAACACUUGAUCUACAUGUAAACCUUCAAUUUCCAUAUGAAGUUUGCAUUUUCGUUGUUUCUGGAAUUUGAGUUUUUGCAGGAUGAAAACAGAACACUUGAUCUGCAGGUAAACACUUGAUUGAUUAUUUCCGAGCUUUUCACGACUUUCGAUACCCAAUAGAGAAUAUGGAAACCCCAACCUUAAUUUUAUGAAUUGGUUUUGGUGCCUAAAAUGAAAUCUAGCAUAGUAAAAUCUUGCAUAAUGAAAUUAUGACAAAUUUCCCUUCAUCUUUACAUUUUCAUUUAGUUCAAUUUGUACGCAGUUUAGGGUUAUUCAAUUCAUGAGUGAUCAAAUUAUGUUUUUAAUUCCUUCUUUUGAUUUUCAGUUCAGCAUUAUCGUAUUUUGGAUGCCUUUAGUGGAAUAAAACUUAAUUUUUUUAACUAUGUAUAGUUGUAAACAUAAAAUACUCCAUGAGAUAGACUCAUAGCUUUUAAAAACAAUCUUUGAGGAUGGCAUAACAACAUCUCCAACUUUUGUCAUGUAAUGUAUGAAUGUAAAUAGCACUUUGCAAACAUAUGGAUGUAAUAUAUGUAUUUAAACACCACUCUUUAGCAUAUAUAUUUUUCAAAACUUUCUACAUCUUCAACAAUGUUUGAAGCCCCGCAACAAUGGGCGGGUACACUUGCUAGUAUACAUCUAAAAUUAUAAGACUAAAUCCUUUAGUUCUUGGAUUCAUCUAAGAACUACUUAUUCCAGCAGAUGUUAUGCUUGCACUACUAGAAUUUAUGGCUUGCCCUGUCAACUAUUGCGCGACAGAAGACUUCGUCGGUUUCACCUUUUUUAACCGACAUAAUAUAAGUUUAGUAGGGCAAAAUCAGUCAACAAACUGGGUUGACUGAAUAGAUUUACAGGAUGUCUAGAGUUCGUAGGUUAAGACAUCAGUCGUUGGGCAAACAUUUGGAGCGAAGAUGUGAGUGUUUUAACUGACGAAUAAGCUGGUCGUCAUGUAGAUCUUCUUUCCCGACUGAUGGUUCAACGAGUAGCUCUUUGGAUAACAAUUCAUCUUCAAGGGGAACAGGUUGCCCCUCAAAUGAAUGGUUAGAGGCAAUUGUGAGACUAUAAUUUUCUAGGGCCGGAAUAUCUAUAACCAUCCACCAAAUACCCCUUCUUCCCUUUCUAUUUCUCUCUCAGUAAUUUCCCCUGACCGAAUCACACAAUCCAACCAACUCUCUUUAAGCCUCACUCAUCGAUUCCAUGGAUUUCAUGGACUUAUCCCACCCUCUCUCCUUCCCCCUAUAUAUAGCAAGUCCCCUUGCCUCAGUGUCCCUGGCAACAAAAUUUAUGGCGUGUAUUCGGUCUUUCAAUUAUUUGAAAGCUUCCCUGCCUUGCAGUCUUGUACAAAGGCGUAUGGUGUUUCAUUAGUUCCAUUUGGUGGUUGGGUGGGAAAUGAAAUUAAAACACUGCAUUUCCAAUGGUCUAAACCAAAUUGAAUCAAAUGUGAAGCAAAGGGCAAGAAGUGUAGAUUGAAGAACAAUGGCACCAAGAGCGAAAUUGAACUUGUUGACAGGAGGAAACCAAGUAAGGAUAACGCGUCUAAAUCUUAUUUCGAAUCCAUUCAGCUCAUGAUGUUUUUAAUGAUGAUGAUCGGUAUACUUUGCUACAUGCUGUGAUUUUUCCGCUUUCAUGUAAUUAACGGCUUAUAUUUGUGGUAACGAUAUUGAUUAAUUUUGAGAAAUGACAGUCUAAUUUUUGCAACUGUCUUUUGCAGGCAAAACAAAGACGUUUGCAAGGGUGAGUUAUGUAGGACCAAUGUUUAGCUUUGUUUCAUGUCCAAAUGACACUUGAGAAUAAAUGUUUACUCAUGGAUAAUAUCUAUCUAUUUGCAGGAGCAACCCUGGGUUUAUUUGUUCUUUUACUACUGGUCAUUGCCGCAUAUCACGCCUAUAGCACUGACAAAAGUAAAAAGAAAAUCGAAUGAAAUUUGGUAAGUUUUCAGCGGACUACAAAGAUCUUAAGCCAAGCAUAUAUUCCCAUUCAGAUAUUAAGAGGUUUACAAAUCAAUUCAAGUACAAGUUGGGCCAAGGAGCAUACAUAAUUGUUUUUAAAGGAUAGUUUUUUUCUGAAUGCUUUGUUGCCAUGAAAGUACUUAACAUUUCCAAGGGUGACGGGGAAGAGCUUGUAAAUGAAGUGGGGAACAAUGGGCCAUAUUCACCAUGUCAAUGUGGUUCACUUGGUUGGUUUUUGUGCUGAUGGAUUUAGAUGAGCUCUGGUUUAUGAGUUCUUUUCCUUUGGUUCACUCCAGGAUUAUAUUUCAUCAGUAGAUAGAUUUCUUUCCUUGGUUGGCAUAAGUUGCAAGAUAUUGCUAUCAGCAUAGCCAAAGGAACCAGGGAUGUGAUCUACAAAUCCUCCAUUUCGAUAUCAAACCCCAUAAUGUUUUGCUCGACCAAAAAAUCACGCCAAAAAUCUCUGAUUUUGGUCUGGCCAAGUUAUGUUCCAAGGAUCAAUCAAUGUGACUAAAGCAAGGGGGACCAUGUGACUAAAGUACCCGAAGUGUUUUCCAGGAAUUUCGGAAAUGUGUCUUACAAGGCAGAUGUCUUGAAUGCUGCUGCUUGAGAUGGUAGGAGAAAAGAAGAAUAUUGGUUCAACUAGAGGACACAACAAAUGAAAUCUACUAUCCAAAAUGGAUUUAUAAUCUUCUAGAGGAAGGAAAUGACCAACAGAUCCCUAUUGAGGAAGAAUGUUAUGGUAAGAUUCCAAAGCAACUUGCAAGUUUAGGGCUCUGGUGCAGCCAGUGACACUCGGUGGAUCGGCAGUCCAUGAAAACGGUGGUUCGGAUGUUAGGAGGAGGAGAAAACUUGAUGAUGCAAGCAAUCCUAAAAGCCUCAUACAGUUAGAAGUAAUUGCUGAAUUAGAGUAACAUAUGUAUAUGUAUACGCACCAACACUAGUCGUUCUUAGAUGAAUCCAAGCCAAACAAUUACAGACAACAGUUAUUCACUAAAUCACUUUAAGGCAAGAAUUUAAUUAAUAAUACAUUACUGCACUUUCUUAACCAUUUGACCAUCACCUAGCAGACAAUGAACACGUUAGCUCCGCGUUAGAACAUCUUGGGUUCAAUUCAUUGUCUUGAAUAUCACCCUCUGUCACAGGCGUCUCUAGGGGGCAUAGAGAAGGCCUGAGAGGCAUUUGCAGACAUUCAACAUCACCUCCAAGCAUUUUGACAACUUUGGACAUCGAAGGGCGAUCACUUGGUUUCAUUUGAAUACACCAUAAGGCGGUUAUAACCAUCCUUCUUAUUACUUUCUUUUCCUCCUCUGUAACAUUGUCCGUUUCCAAGUUAUUUCCCACAAUAUACUGAUCGUAUACCCACAUUGGGAAGUAGAUUUGGCUUGAAUGCUCUACCGUUGGAUUCAAAUUCUUCCUUCUGCUUGCCAUCUCCAUCAACAACAUUCCAAAACUAUAGACAUCUGACUUGUAUGAGACACCUCCAAUAUUUUUGUAGAACAACUCAGGAGCAAUAUAUCCCAGUGUACCUCGUGCUGCCGUCAAAGAGACAAUGCUAUUAUCUACAGGAUACAAUUUUGCAAGCCCAAAGUCAGAAACCUUUGCUUUAAAGUUCUCAUCAAGAAGGAUGUUAUGAGGCUUGAUGUCGAAAUGUAGAAUUUGCAUUUCGCAACCUUGGUGUAGAUAUUCGAUCCCUUGAGCCACUCCAAGAGAAAUCUUGUACAUGUUCUUGAUAGUUAAGGGGACACUUCCUUCUUUGGAAUAAAUGUAUUUAUCAAGAGAACCAUUAGGCAUGAAGUCAUAUACUAGAGCGCGUUUUGAUCCCUCAACACAGUAUCCAACAAGUUGCACCACAUUGGCAUGGUGAAUCCUUCCGAUUGUAGCUAUUUCGCUAAUGAAAUCUUGGCCAUCAGCUUUGGGCUUGCCCAAAACUUUGAUUGCUACAAAUCGACCACUGCGUAGCUUUCCCUUAAAUACAGAGCCAAAGCCACCUUCGCCCAACUUGUCCUUAAAUCUGCGAGUCAUUUUCUUGACGUCCGAGUAGGAGUACCUUAUAGGCAUGAAGUUGUUAUUGCAUUGCAGAAAAUCUUCUAUUGUGCUAUACAUUGAUAAAUGUCUUCUGCGCCAUGUGUAGAUUAGAAAUGCAGUCACAACUGGAACUCCAAAAACAAAUCUGGCUGGGAAAAAUAACCCUGCAUGCAUUGACAUUAAUACGUUAGAUCCACUGUGUACUACUUUUUCUUCCCUUUCUUUCCAAAUUACUUUGUCUUUGAUGUAAUUAAAGAGAAAGAAUGGGAAAUCUACAUAUGUUGAUAAUACAAUCUCGUCUUAGUCCUUACCGAUGCAUAUGAGUAUAAACCAUCUACGUGCUGUAACAAAAUCAAUCGACUAUGAGUUUGAAAAGUGCAUAAAGUGAAAAAUAAAUAAAUAAAUAAAAUCAAAGGGUGCCUUUAUUGACACCCAAAUUUUAGUUAGCUUUACUCAACUAAAAAAAUUUUGUCAAACUUUUUAAUUUGCCGUCGAAAUUGAGUUCACCCAACCCACAAAGCAACAACUACCACUCACCAAAAAAACCAACAACACACAUCCACCAGUACCACUCACCAAUAGAAAGAGAAGGAACACACAGACCCACCAAGGAGCCGGCAUCGACGCAUCUACGAGGGAGGGACCGGAGGGUGGUGUAGUUUUGUUGGGCGCGCGGUAGUUGUUUUGUCUGUUCAUUUUCUCUUUCUUUUGGUAGGUGGAGGCUGCUGUGGAUUUGGGCGAACUUAAAAAUGAGGGGAAACUAUGAAGUUUGACAAAAUGUUUUAGUUAGGGGAACUUAACUAAAAUUUGGGUGCCGAUAAAGAUACCCAAUAUAAAAAAUACUUGAGCGUAUAGACUAAUUAAAUGAAGUUGAUCUUACCGAUCGGGUGGCUGUAUGAUGAAUACAACUUGCCAGCUGCAAUAGAUACCACAGAAAAGUGAGCAAAGACAUACAGUUACUAGGUUUAAGAAGUACAGAUAGAGCACACAAAAAUAAAAGAAGCUUUUGGAGAGAAACUUCUUACGCAAAUAUAUGUAUUCAUGACCUACAGUGAAAAUUGUGAAGAAGAAUACACAACAUUAGCAAUAGCUCACCCAGUCUUCAGAAUUUAAAAAAAUCAAGUUUGUCGAUCGAAAACUUGUAAAUAAAACAAAAAGAGGACCCCUUACUGAUUUGUUGCCAUAGAUAUUGAAAGAAACCUACAAGAACAAAGAAAGAACAAGACCACAUGCAUUAGCAUAACAAGUGUGAGGUGUAUAAGUCGUUAGAAAAUAAAUUUAGAAUUCUAGUGCUGUCAAUACAUUGAUAAUAUAAUAUAUAUGUGUUAUUUUUUCUGAAAAUUUAACUUUCCCCCUCCAAACUCAUUUUUCUAGCCUCUAGCCCAUCAUAUAAUAUUUAUCCGAAUAAAACCCAAUGAUUAGGAUCCAACUAAGAAACUUACCAAAUUAAGUUUGUGUGUCCAUUUUUAUAUUUUUUGGAUCGCUAAUAUACCCCAUCUAAGCCAGUAUGGAAAGUUCUUGUAAUUUUGUUUUAAUUGAUCACGUGCAUUGAAUUUGGCAAGGUCUUGUAGCCAUGAAAAAUGGUUCUAGAUGGAGGAAUUAAUUGGGAUUUUUUUUUUAAUUUUGACAACAAAUUUCAAUUUGAAUAUACCUAAUUUAGUGUUUAUUUUCAACAAUAUCUAUUGUUUAAUUUUAUGAAAAUAAUUUACCUACUAUGAAAAUUAAUUUUAUGAAAACAAUAUCUAUUGUUUAAUUUUAUACCUAUAGGAUAAUUACAUGAAAAUAGUUUACCUACUAUGAAAAUUAAUUUUUUCAAAACAAUAUCUAUUGUUUAAUUUUAUGAAAAUAAUUUACCUACUGUAUAAUUACAUGAAAACUAAUGUGCCUAUUUUUUAAAUUUGUUACAAAAUUAAUUUACCUACUCUUUAUGGUAUUAGUAAUAUAUGUCCGUACGUAUUUGAUCUAAUUAGGUUUUGGAUUGGAGGAGUUGACACAAAAUUAUAAAUAUAUUAAACAAAUUUAUCUAUCCUUAAGUUGGAGGGGAAUUGGCCUGCACAUUGCUACGGUAAACAAAUGCCACUCGAUUUCACGUUAUUUACAACAAAGCUAUCAGAUUUGGGUUGGGUUGGAGGGUAAUUUUGUGCAUAGGGUUUAGGUGCCCUCCUAUAUAUGACCCUUGAUUUUACUUUAUUUACACCACUGCCAUCAAAUAUGUGGCUGAAUUGGAGGGUAUUAUUAAAAGUUAGGAGGAUAGUUUUGUCCAAGGGGUGGGGGCGACAUUCGCAGACAGGGGGCGAUGGGAGCCAUGCCCAUUGCACAGAAACAAAGGGAGUGAUGGGGGAAAUUACAGACAGAAAAGGAAGGGAUGGGGGGAUUUGAUGGGUGGUCACAGAGAGAUUGGGUGAGGGAUGUGAGGGGACAUUACAGAGAGAUAAAUAAAAGGGAGGGAUCGGGUGAUUUGAGGGAUGGUCAGAGAGAGAAAUAGUGAGGGGGAUGUGGGGCUGAUUUUCGGUUCCUCCUUCCAGAUUUGUUCCGUAAAACCUGUUGGGUACAAUUCAAUCCCUCCCCCUUUCCCCUGAACGAAAAAUUCGAAACCUACAACUCAAAACUCACUCAUUUGUCGCCCCUCCUUGGCUUUCCGCUUUAUUCAUCUCCCGGUGUUUCUUUCUCUCCAUACGAUUCGAUUUCGGUGAGUUCUUCGUUGCCCUCAUGAUUUCCCAGUUUGAUUUUUUGAGCGUCCUUAGUCGUUGUUUUUAUCUGGGUUUACUGCGUUGUUGCUUUUAGUUUCUGGAUUUUUAUUUUUUCCGCGGUUGGAUGAAUCGUGGUUAAUAAUUUCACACCAUGGGAUUUUCGCACUUCUGAUGGAAUUGAGCGCGGGGAUUCGGGGUGGGGUUUUACUGAUAAUUUGUCUUCAUUCAAAUGAAUGGUUAAAAUUUCUGAAGUGAGUGUGCAGGUGGGCCCGUUCACUAACUAAGCUUUCAAGGGAACCCAUCAACGGUUUGUUUGCUGGGGGAAUUCGGAGACUACCAGUGUAUGAUUUAGUUAUCAUUUAUUUUUUUACUUAAUUUUAUCCAUAUAUAAUAUGUGGGUAAAUUUAUACUAAACAAUUGUGAUAAGCCAAUAUGCCAUACGACUUUGAAAGCAUUGAUUUUGUGUUUAGUUUGCAUUUUUGCAUUGUGAAUGUUGAAUUUUGUAUUUAAUUUGGAUUUUGUGUUUGAAUUUGUAGCAUGAUCUUCCGCUGCAGCAUCCAAAUUUUGCAUUUGUAAAUUGUCAAAGAAAAACGAAGUAUGAGGAAAUUAUAGGAGAUUGUGUCGGCUUUGGCCAUGAAGGGUAUCAGCAGCUUGUUCCCCCAUACAGGUGAUUAAUCGUUUUUCAGUCUCUGUUCUAUUUGGAUGAGAAAGUGAUUGAAAAAUAUGAUUUUUUAUUUGUUGGUUGAUUUUGUAUGGACGAUGUAUUAAUUUUAUUUUUUUUGGGAUUUUGUGUAUUGGGUAUUGUGUAGAACCAGCAAUGCAAGAGCAGGAUCUGAUCAGUCACGCCCGAAAAGGGGUUUGUUUCUCAAAUCACAUUAAUUAAUUAGAUUAUUAACGUGCGUUGGAAGGCUCUUCAAUAUGAUUUCUAAUUUCUCCUUUCCAGCAUUCUCUUUUUGGUUUUUGGAGUAUGUAUGUGAUUUGUAUUUUUUUAUAGAAUAAAAAUUAAUAAAACACGAGAUGCAGCAAUUAAUUUGCAUCCUUAUGACAACACAUAUGAAAGUGCAUUCAAUUUCAAUGUGCGAAUGUGUGACAGGAUGUGCCUGCCUCCUUGAAAACACUUUAUGUGAACAAGUGUGAGGUUCUACAUAAAAACAGGGCCAGUAAUACCCUGAACGUGGAAUCCUUACGAGGAUCUCUUGAAAAACUGACAAUAAAUGGAUGCCCGGGUCUCUCAUUGUUACUAGAGUCGACGGAGACGCUGCCGUCGCUUCAGAAGCUUGAUAUUGAUAGUGUUGGUGGGAAAGAGUUGUUGGCGCAAAUGGUGCACAACAGCAAUCGUCUUCAAAGUUUGACUUUAUAUAAAUGUUACUCACCCUUGUCGUUCCCUACAAAUGGUCUGCCCACCACGCUGACGUCACUGAGCAUAACAGAUUGCAAGAAAUUAGAAUUCCUAUCACGUGAGAUGAUGGCCAAAUUGACUUCCCUUCGGUCUUUGCGUCUAUCCAACAGCUGUGAACGCAAAGGCUUGAGUAUUUGCAGUUUAGUUUUUUUUUUCUUCAUUUUAGAGAUUUUUCUACUGUUUGGUUUUUGGGUUUUGUCUAAUUUUUGUGGUCUGCUUUAUAGAUUGUUCUCUUUGGAAGCUUCUUUCCAGCCUUGACCUUCUUCUUGCCUGGUGCCUUCUCAUUGAGUAUUGGAGGAGCAUUAAAACACAGGUGUGUGUGUGUUUUGUCGACGUAAGAGAUGAACGACAUAAAAACAUCCAUCUCUGUAUUUUUUUGUGCUUUUUCUAACCCAUCAAUUUCUUUUGAGUCAACCAAAUAGUCCCAAAUUGCAACUUAUGUUGUGAGGUAUUAUUGUCUAAAAUUAAGUAUGCAUGUAUAUUUUAUGUUUAUGCCCGCGCACACCUCCGCAUGGUGUUAAUCUCUGUGGGUCAUCUAUGUAUAUGUAGAUAUAUCUAUAUGUGUAUGUGUGGAAUGCAACAUAUCGGAUUUAGGUUAUACUGUGCAUAGUUUUAUUGCCUGUUAUUAUCUACGAUAUCACUAUGCCAUUUCUAUACUGGCUCUGAAAGUUAUUCAUGAGCUUAUAAGCACUUACCAUAAUUUAAGCAGUCUGUUUUGGGUUCUUUUUCAUUAGGUCAUUAGCUACAGAUUAAUGGAGAAACGAGGACCAUGCCACUGAUUUGGGUUCUUUUUCUAAUUUUCUGAUUUUGGGGUUUUGCAGGGAGUACUGAUGUACUGAUUUUCUGGGAUUUUUUUUUGUCCUUGCAGGAUUUUUGGUCUUUGAAAUGGGUAUGUGUUGUUUUUAAUGUUUCAGUUCUAGCGUGUUCCGUUCUUCGUUGCUUCGUGAUUCUCAUUUUUCAGUGUUGGGUGAUGGAAAUUUGUUAAAGUAGUUGGUAGUUUUUUGAGAAAGUUGGCAUUUUUAGUUAUAUUUUCUGUUUAAUCCUAAAUGUAAGACUGGAAAAUCAUUGAAAUGAUGGUUUUUUAAAAACUCAUAAUUUUUUUGUUCUGGGAUUUAAAAGCAUCUUUUCCAGAUUGGUUACAAGGGUUAUGUUCUCUUCAAUUGGUUCACCUAAUUUUGAUUAGUUUUAAGUUUUGUCCUUUUAAGUUUGUCUUUUAAGUUUUGUUCUUUAAGUUUUGUCUUUUAAGUUUUGUUCUCUAAGUUUUGUCUUUUAAGUUUUGUCUUCUGUGCUGUAAUGAGAGAUUUCUGUUGGCUUUUCGGAUUUUGGCAUGGGAAAGUUCACUUAUUUGUCUAAUUAGAUUGUGUAUGCCUUCGAUUCUUUAUUUAAUUGUUCUGUUUGCGUUCGGGUGUGAUGAUCUAAAUUUCAUAUGUUUGGAAUUAUUUACUUAACACCAAUUUGUUACAUUCAGAUCUCCACCCCACAUUUCACUAGUUGAAAUUCCAUAGAAGUCGGUUACUGCAGAUUGCGUCUACAAUUAGAUCAGAGAUCAACUGCUCUUUUGUUAUCCUGCAGAAGAUUGCUUUUGGGAAGGAUCUGAAGUAGUUUCUCUCUGUAUGUUUAUUCCCAUGUAGCUCUGUCUUUUCUAAUUGUGUUGAUAUUACACUGUAAUUCAUGAUGAUGAUUUAAUUGUUUAUUGAUUUGUAAUUGAUUGUGAAUAAUGUGGCAUAUAUGAAUUGCAAUCUGUGUUUGUAUGAAAGGGAUGGCAUAUUAUGUUGCUGACUUAAUUGUUUAUGUUUUUCAUAUUUGCAAAUGGUGUUAUGAUCAAUUAGGUGAUUGCUGACCUGUGACUUUGUUUGGAGCUCAAAUUUUGUGAGCAUUACAUUGGAUUGUUUUGAUGUUGUUUUGGUUAACAAUGCAGCGAUAGGAGAAACAAAGAGGAUGACACUUAUAACUGCCCUUCCCCAUCGGCCGUCUUCAAAUUUGGAUCACAAGAAGGGAGCAACAUAGGUGUUUUCCUUCUUCAUUUAGAUAUGGUUAGUGUAAAUAAUUGGACAAAAGAGCCAAACAAACCCUGUUCUCUCAAAUGGAGUCGAUGAUGUGGUCGACGGCCACCAGCCCCAACUCAAGAGUUUGGCCUUCAUAUAAUUGGAUUGUAGUAUAAUUUUAUUUUGGUUCAUUUCUUUUUUCCUUUAUAUAAGUGCAGGUGUUGUGAUGUUUUGAAUAAAGGGUGAUGAAAGGUGGUUCACACACUUCCUCCUUACUUAAAGCAAGUGGAGAUGACGGUUUGUAUAAAAAGAAAAACUUGCCACGUACUUCAAUUUUCUAUUUUAUUAAUUAUUGUUUGGUUUUCCAAAUGUUGUAUUCACUAAGAGACCAAUUAUGUCUUUGAGAAACAAGUUUCUUUGUCUACAUUGCGAGAAUUUGCAGUUUGCAACUUUCAUUGGUUAUUAUAUUUGAUUGAGUUAAACUUGGAUUUCUGGAUUUUGACUUUUUCGUUUGUUUCUUUGUUGCAGAGUUGGCUUCAUUUCAUUCCAGGAACUGUCUAAAUAGGGCCAAGAACUCACUAAUAGGUAGUCAAGAAGAAUUCAGUGUUGCCUUCAAUUUUUGCCUUCUGUUUACAUUCUUCCUGGAUGCACUCUCACCGCUUCUCUCGCUUACCACUUUUGUCUCACUCACCGCUUCAUCUCUUCUGUUGCUUACAAGGUCGUGUCAUAUAUUUUUUUAAUUUUGUGUGGUUUAAUUUAUUGAAUAUUUGAAAAAAGAGAUAAAAUUUUCAAUUUACAAUUACUGAUAUGAUGUUUGUUUUGAAAAUCAUUAAGGUGAAUGGAGAGAUUUACAACCAUGAAGAGCUGAGGAGCCGUUUGCCAAAUCAGAUUUAUAGGGCUUCAUCAAUUAUAAAUAAACGACUUUUCAUUCCCAAUGACCUUUAUCGUUUUUCUUAAUGGGUUAGCUGAACAUGAGGUAGAUGCUGACUUUAUCAAAUAUGAGAAUGUUUUAGGAUUUCAUUCUAAUUUUUUGGCUGUUUGAUUACUUUGCUUUUCGUAAUUUGAUUUGCUUAUCGUCAAUUGGAUGGGAUAAAACAUAUUUUUGUAACCAGUUUGUACUUUUUUUUUCUUUUUUUUGUGGAAACUAACCAGUUUGUACUUUUACCAAUUACCAUAUCGGUUUUGAUGGAAUUGGAGCUUUCAGUAAUGGGUUCUGAGGGAAUUGGAGUUCUGAGUAAUGGGUUUUUUUUAACAACUAUAGUAUCAUUUGUGAUUCAUUUAUUUAUAAGAUAUUAUAUAGGAAACUGUUUUUAGCACUCUAAAAAUCUUAUUCUACACUCUCGACAAAUGUAUUUUUCUUUCUAAUUAUGAAAAGUUUGGAGGGCAAAAUGAGAAUUGUGGAGUGCCAAUAACAAUUCCCUAUUAUAUAUAGCUCUACUAGGAAGGCGACUGUAUGUCUUCAUCCUGUUAAAUUGUAUAUGGCUCUUGAUGUCGGCUGAAUUAAAUCAAAAUGAAAACCAAGCUGCUGAUCUUACCAGCCCAUAUCACUUAUCACUUGCUUAUUUAAAUUAUUUGAAGAUGCGUAUGUGGAUUGGUGAUUUUGUUGGAUUCACUUGGCUCAAAUAUAUGUUAUCUGAGUCGCUACAUUUGAGAAUGUGAUUUUGUUCCUACCACCAUUUUGCCCACUUUUUGUGGAAAUUAUUUCUGCUUGUUGUGAAUGAUACAUUCAUCCCCGGCAGCAAAGUGCGAAGUGCGGGCGCAUUUUCUAGUUUAAGUAAAUCACACAAUGGGUCAUCAAUAAUAACAAACUUGUCAUUUAUGAGAGUCAAACAUGAGGCCACCUACCUACUAGUUUAGUGGAAUACCACAAGUGACAUGUUGAUACCUUUAAAUCUCAUAUAAUGGAUUGCAGAAUUAGGAUAUUCCUAGACUAAUUUAGUUAGUGCGUGAACCCGAACAAUUAACAAGGGUUUUAUUCUUGCUUGAAUGUUUGUUAUAUGUUCCUAGUUUGACAAGGCAAUUAUAUUUCCGACUACAAGUUAUUAAUUUAGUCGAGAAUUGACGCACCUGAAAUGGUGUGAGGAAAACAUGUAUCCACAUGAGCCGCAGUCCACUGUCCUUGGCAUCUAUCUUUAAAAGGCUCGAAAUGAAGCUCAAAGCCAUACAUGAGGGCAUUGUGUAUGUCUUUAUAAGAGAAGUUGCGGUAGUCCUCAACGUAGCCGGCAGCCAAACUCAUCCACUCUACACUGCAACCAUCAUCCAAUUCCCAUACCUCCCUGAACCUGUCCCCAACAUAUUCCCCGACCAUGACAUAGCUAUUCGUUUUUGGUUGACUCGAAGAAGAAGAAGAAGAAGAAGUAUUAUUCAAGCAUGGAGCAGUGUCCACGUACAGAGAAGAAUUCGAUGGAUUCGAACACUUCAAGUAAUAUAUAGAUAGAGAAUUAAUGUCAUAGGCGGGCCAAUAUAGAGAAUUGAUGUCCUCGGUGGUGGGCGGAAUAUUUUGAGACAUGGAAGAGCAAUUGUUGUUGUCAAGCCCAGGAUCUCGAAGUCGGAUUGUUUUGUUAUUAUAGUUGAUUGCCUGGACAUGGUACUUUCCGAAAGAAGGUAGGUCUAGUACUGUAAUGUUGCUCUCACAGGACAGAGUAUACGAUAUGUUGCCACAGUACUUUGGAUCAUCGUUAAGUCGAAAAGGAUGGCUUAUGUUGUGGAUAUGGCCGCAGGAUGAAGUGCAGGACUUGGCACUACUGUUGUCAGCGUUACAAGUUUCACUGCAAAAGCAAAGAAGAAGAAAGGCUAAACUUAAGGUGAAGGACCUGGUUCCACUAAUUUCCAUUGCUCUGAGAGAGAGAGAGAGAGAGAGAGAGAGAGAGAGGGUACCAUAGCUUAAACACCAAGGAGUUAUAUAAUAUGGGAGGGGUUAAAGCACCUCGCUUACAGUUGCAGUAAGCCCGUCAAAUAUCCUAGGGAAAAGUCGGUCAAUGGUGUCCUAUAGAGAAAAGUCGGCCUUGGUGUUUGACACGGUCACUCAACUCUCUCUCUCUCUCACAUUGACGAGGGACACUGUAAUUGAAAAAAAAAAAUGUUCUUCAGAGAUAGAUCUUGAAAUUCUUAUUUUAUAUAAAAAAAACACCUAAUAUUAAAUUAUUAAUCAUUCAAAUGAAAUUCUUAAAAUUAAGUAUAAAUAAUACAUAACGAAAACUGAGCACAUACAAUCAACGGUCACGAUCGUGAAAUCCUCCGGAUCCUCAGAAAAAAAUCCGACGAUGAUCUUUUUCUGUGUAAAAUAAUUUGAGGGUAUAAUACUGGAUGUGGAGCCAAAAAUAUUCGCUAGGCGACACGUGGACUUUUGGACAAAAGAGGACAAAAAUACCCUCGAAGCAUACAAGGAUUCCUACGCGCGAGCAGUGGGCAAUCAUCUUUCAAUCAAGUCAAAAGUGCCCAAAAAAGGUAACAAUUAAAAACCUCUCUCAUCAAAUCCUUUCUAUAAGGUAUUUCCCAAAACCUAGUAUUUUCUAUUUCAUUAUUUAGCUAAUCAAUUAGCUAAAUAAUAUAAACCUACCAUAUCUCCUAAAAUCACCCAAUUAAUAGCCCAAAACCGGCCCCCACUAUUCACAUCCUCAUCUUUCCCAUUUUCCUUAUUAAAAUAAUCAUUCAUUUUUAUAAACCACCCAUUUUAUUAUUUUCAUAUUUAAUUAGCCAAUAAAUUGGCAAAUUAAACAUGAAAUUAACCCCCACAAAAACCCUAUGGCUGGCUACUAUUAUUCAAAAUAGGGCAAACCCUAACUCUAUAAAUAAACACAUAUUCUCACCAAAAAUUCAUUCCAACUCUCUCACAAAAAAUCACAAAUACUCUAAACACUAUUUCUCUCUAAAAUUCUAACUUUGGCAUCAGAGGUUCUUCGGCCAAAGCCCCCCCCAUUCAUCGUGGGCGCGUGAGGCUCUUGGCCUUAACCUAAGGUGCUAGUUGUUUUGUAGGUGCAAAAUCGUCCAAGAUCGAAGAGGAGAAAAUUUGCAUCCACAAAUUGGUGCUUUCAUUGAGAGUUGAAAUCCAUACUCGUAGAAGACUCUCGCACAAAAAGGUUUUUUCUUUUAUUUUCUAGUCCAUUUGAAUAUUUUUCAUACGUUCUUAUUAUUAGAAUUUUUUUACUUGCAAAGGUUCUUUGAUAAAACGUAUAAGCAAAAUAUAAUGGCUAGAAAUUUAGAAAAUUCCACAAGUGAAAAUUCUAAUGUUCAAGAAAUGGGAUUGCGGAGAUCCGUGAGGCUAAAUGCGACAAUAAGGGGAGCGGCAUCAUCAUCACGAGCUUCCACCAUGGGAACCACCAUGGUGGCUACCUCGGUAGCCACCCGCGGCGAGGUCCAUGGUGCCUUCACCACGGCCACCAUGGGAACCACCGCGGUGGCUACUUUGGUAGCCACUCGUGGCGAGGUCCAUGGAGCCUUCACCACGGCCCGGAGAUCCGUGAGGCAAAAUGCGACAAUAAGGGGAGCGGCAUCAUCACCACAAGCUUCUACCAUGGGAACCACCGUGGUGGCUACCUCGGUAGCCACCCGCGGCGAGGUCCAUGGUGCUUUCACCACGGACACCAUGGGAACCACCGCGGUGGCUACUUCGGUAGCCACUCGUGGCGAGGUCCAUGGAGCCUUCACCACGGCCCGAGCCGUGCCAUCCAAGGCUCACGGUACCAAGACCACGAUCCAAGCCGUGCCAUCCAAGUUUACGUGGACCCAAGCCCAAGCCUCGCAUUCACAUGCACCGCGCAUUGAGCAGCCUGUUCCCGUGAUCCAGCCUGUUCCCGUCAAGCAACCCACUCUCACGGCCCAACCUGCUCAUGCCGAGCAGCCUGCUCUCGUGACACAGCCUGCUCCCGACGAGCAGCCCACUCCCGUGGCCCAGCCUACUUUCGUCGAGCAGCCCACUCCGGUGGCCCAGCCUGCUCCUGCUAAACAGCCCACUCCUGUGGCCCAGCCUCCUCUUGCUAAGCAGCCUGCUUUCGUCGAGCAGCCCACUCCGGUGGCCCAGCCUGCUCCUGCCAAGCAGCCCACUCCGGUGGCCCAGCCUGCUCCUGCCAAGCAGCCUACUCUCGUGACCCAGCCUGCUUCCGACGAGCAACCCACUCCCGUGGUCCAGCCUGCUUCUUUCGAGCAGCCCACUCUCACGGCCCAGCCUACUCCUGUGGCUUUCCAAGCAGCCCAAGUCGGCCCAAGACUAUCUCCCGGACCUACCAUCGAGCCGAGGGCAUUCUCACCACAUUUUUUCACGGAUUUGACAUUUCCCAACUCAAAUCUCGCGCCCGGAGUCUACCACAUUUCCACUGCCCAAGGAGGCGCAUUCCUUCCAAGCUCUUCCAAUCCAAAUGGCGAACAACACUUGUCUCGACAAGUCAUAGAGUUGACGAGCGCCCUUGCACAACAGAAAACCUUGGUGAAUCAACUUUUGCAACGUAUCGGGAUCCAACGUGCCCCGGACGAGGUAUCCCGAAGUAGGACAAGGGCAAACGAACAUUUCCAGCAGCCACUCGACCAGCCACGAGCCGAACGUUUGGGCAGUGUACAUUCCCGUCUUAGAGCGCGAGGGAGCAUGCACUCUCGACUAGGCCCACGGAUGAGCAUACAUUCACGGUUGGGGUCAUACUCCGAUAGUCAACAUGAGCAACCUUCCGGGCAAAGUGUCUAUUCGCAGCUAAGCCCACAAGGAGCGUCAUCCACCUCACAUCAGAGUAGGCAGCACGACGGACGGAGAGAAGCAGUCACUCAAUCCAGCUCAAGUUCAACCAGCAGCCUGCGAAGAACUCGCUCGCCUACUAGGAACGCACCACAUGCACUGCAUUCGCGGCAUAGACGAGCCAAACACAUGGAAGAGCAGCUUAGACCAGCAAGUCAUGACUGGAGGCAGCCAAGAGCUCCGCUACCCCAACAAAGGCAAAUUCAGGAAGAAGUAGAGAGACUCUUGACCAAGCGAUUGCAUGAUUUCCAACGCAACGAGGUCACCGACGAGGCACUACGACGGAACAUGACCAACAUAAGCAAGCAGGUCACCCUUCACGGACGAGAUCGAGCAGGCAGAGCCUCCACGAGAGUUCAGCAUGCCACAUUUCACAUCUUUCAAAGGGGAUGAAGACCCGGAGAGACACUUAAAGCGCUACCGAAGCGCAAUGAUCCUUUAUCGAAACAACGAUGAGCUUAUGUGCAAGAUAUUCGCCACCACUCUACAAGGCGAGGCGCAAGAUUGGUUCUACACCCUGCCGUCACAAUCCAUCCGGAAUUUCUACGAACUUUCUUUGGUUUUCACCAAAGAAUAUUCAUCCUAUCGCUCGAUCAAAAAGAAAUCUGAUCAUUUGUUCAACGUCAAGAAGAACCCAAAGGAGUCAAUUCGCGACUAUGUGAGGAGGUUCAAAGUAGAGAAGGCAAAAAAUAGUCGGAUGCAACGACUCGAUAGCUAGAGCAGCCUUCCAAAAAGGACUUCCAGCAGACCACCCGCUAUUUGGAAAAUUGAUCAUGAAAGAAGAUCUAACUCUGGCAGACUCUUUUGCUUUGGCAGAGAAGUAUGCACUUUGGGAUGAGGCUCGCCAAUGCACAUUCAAGGACUUGAAGAAGUACCCGACAUCACCUCCCUAGAAGCAGCGGAGGACUUAUUCACAUGUUUGACGAUAUCUAAAGUAGCAAUAAGCUCUACCAUCAUGCGAGAAGAGAUGGGGGCCCGACUACCUGUAUUCCACAGUUACCUGUAUUCUACAGUUCAAAAGCUCUCCUCGAUGUUAUUAAAAAUUCAAAAGCUAACUUUGGUGAUAGUUGUUGCAACCCAGAAGCACAAGUUUUACUUUCAAACGCAUGCAAUCAUCCUAAUGACGUACUAUUCUGCCCAAUCCAGACGCGCGACGAUAAAGGUGUAGACCAUGGCGGAUGUAAAGUUUUCUGACGAACGCAACACUAGAAGGACACACUCGAAAGCAAGUUUUGUCCUCGUCACCCUAAAAGAUUCUACAUAGGAGCAACAUGUACCGGCAGUUGAGUACCAUUUCUUGCUGCGCAUCACACGGCCCUAGCCGACCCUUGCUCAAUGAUUCAACUCUAGAGUGGCCCAAUACCGGCAGUUGAGCAUCUCCUGUUGCGUAUGACAUGGCCCCAUCUCCACAGCUCCCUACUGCGUCUUCACGCCGAGCCUAAGUGACGUAACAGAGCAGCCCAACGAUGCCUCAGAAGUAGCCGAGCACACUCUAGCUGCGCCUACUCCACCCGAUGGAGACUUUUGGCAUUUGCAUGUCGACGACGCAGAAAAGCCUUCAUCACUGCCGGCAGAGAAGGCUCCAAAAAGAUGGAUCCCAUCUGGGAAGGUCCGUACAAGAUCAGCAGAGUAGGGGGCAAGAGUAAUUACACCCUCACCACCAUGAAGCAGCAAAAAUAUUGAAAAGAAAUGGAUGGCCUACAAUCUGAAGAAGUACCAUGUGUGACCUCCCGCUACAUCAAAACCCGAAGACUCAAUAAGCUCGACGGGCACCACCUCACAAGCUGGGGACUAUCCAGUUGUUAUGCAGUUCCUACCUUACAGCUAAAGUUCUCGUUCGUUUCACUCGUUUUUCAAUGAGGAAUUUAGAAGUAAUCACAACUUGGCUUGGUUGCAUGCUUACAACAACUAAUCACUCCUGCACUUCAAAAGAAGAUUGCGCCCUUCUUAGGGACUCAUCGCAGGAAUUGCGCCCCCCGAGGGACCAACCAUGCUCUCCAGUGCGAGAGGGUAAACCAAUUCUCCGACACCCAUAUGGGUCAGCUCUCCAAGACGGGAGGAUAAACUUUACACUCCGAAUAUCCAGACGUGGAUGAGCCUGGCUGCCCUAGUAUAACUAGAUGCACGAUGGCUUGCGCCGGGAUUCCUAGAAGUAGCCGCAAUGGUCUUUUUCAAGGCUUAGCUAACUGAAGGAUUUUGGGUCUCUUGGCCUAAUCCGUGGGGAACCGGGCCCUAGAGACGGAGAGGGCACAUUACGCAGUACAUCCGAUGGACGGCUGCCCUGGAAUCCUAAAGCUGCUACCGAGUGCACUAAGGUAGCCUACGGAUUCCGGAAGACUGCCUACGGCUUGCCCUUCGAGCAGUGAAGCCGCACUAGACUUAUACAACCGCACAUUCUUGUGAAAGGUUAAACAAGCUAGCGCGCAUAUACGAAGUUUUAUCCACUGCCGACAUGCUAUGUAGUUGAUAAGCUUCACCUCUGCCAAGCGCGGAACAACCUACACCAAGUCCUAAAGUGUUGUGAUACUUGCUACGCAACCUACGGAAUUGAAAAAAGUCAAGGUUAACAGCCGAGUGGUUACGCGGACUUGUCUACUUCUGUAAGUAAGGCAUCCGGCUGCCAACCCUAUGGCUAACAACUUUGCAAAGUUCUACACCAACACCUACGGCUGCAUAGGCUACGCGAGUUUGUCUGCUUAUAAAAAAGUAGCAUGCCUGCCACUGGUCUAUCAAGUCUAAAGGUUAGGGCAUGAACAAAAGAAGUGAAGAUGAAGAAAAACGAAGGAAAACAUGUUUAUAAACAACUAGCAAAGGCCGAAUGAGUUCAAGCAAAACAAGAGCUACAAGGAAAAACAAAGAAAAUCCUAAAGGCUACCUAAAAUACUACACUACAGCAGCUUGGACAUCCCACGACUACUCGAUCGCCACACCUUCAACAGCCGUAACGCUCUUAGCAGCGGCAUCAUCCGGCGCUUCACCCCCCGGCUGCCCUAGUCUGGGCACUAACUUCUCCAACUACUUCACCAAUGGAAGCCUUAAAAGUAAAAGCAAACAAGUCUUCCGGAGAAAUAGAGAAGGUCUUAAAACCUCAAGCCCAUCCUUCUCACCCUUCAGCUGCUCAUUCUUCUUAAGCAGACUAACACGGACGCGCUACAGCUCAUCCACUCUCUUCUUAGCAUAAGUAGCGAAACGAAGCUCAGAAAUUGCAAGCUUAAGAUCUUGAAUCUGAGGCGAAUCAAUCUCAGCAGCAAAGGGAGCAGGCUUUGGCGCCACUUUAGCAGCAGAGUCCACCUUACCACUCUUCAUAAUAGCAAGUCUCUAAAAAGGUGAACCGGACUUGGCUCCCAAAGAACGUCCUGGUACAAACUUCGGCACUGGGGGCAUGAUAAAACCUUUACGCUGAGUAAUCUUAUCCACAAUUGUACUAGCCAUUCUCAACAUGGAAGACGCCACAUGCUCAGAUCUAGCAGCCUUACAUUUCUUCCCAUUGGAAGAAGUCAUGUCAAUCACAUACCUCUCGGUAGCAAGUGGACCAUCAUGAGCAGCAGAAGAAGUCUUCAAUUUUUUCUUAACUGGCAUCUCAUGAGCAGGUGGGGAAGAUCUCUUCUUUCCAUCUUCAUUCAUAGUAAGCUCCACGAUAGCGAUCAGAUGAGCCAAUGCAUCCGCCUUGAUCCUCUUUACCUCCUCUUUCCGGAGCAGCCCACAUUUCUUUCAGCAAAUAGGACUAAGCAGCCAACGACAUUCAUGGUACUCAGCAGGGGAGCUCAACCCAGUAUUCCAGCAGGCAGGAGGCCUGCAUGCCCAACAUUCCAGCAGCCCGUGAGACCCGCAAUCUCCUUAUUUCUCUCAAUCGCAAGCCUGGCCUGAGUCAAGUCCAAUAGCCCAAAGGACAUGAGUCAUGCGAUUCGCCUAACACUGCGCCUCAGCGCCACAAUCCUCGACCCCAGCUGCACAAGCUGCCCUUGGUUCUAGCCAAGUCAAGCAGCUUAAAACAGUGGUCCCUACCACAAUACCUCAUCGGCCCAUGUCGAGCCGACUCCUGGCCUAUGCCAGCCGACGUGCCGCACCACCCCGAUGGCUGCCCUGCAAUAGCACUAUCCAAGAAGAAGGCAAGAAAAAUUAAAUUUUUCUUACAUCGGUGCGGCACGAAAAAGACGAAGAAAUCAACGAAAGACGGUCUUUUGCACAGGCAAGACGUAGAAGAUUGCUAGAGGAGAGGGAACAAAUAUCCUCUAACUUUCUCUCUCUUGUUGGGUAGAAUAAAUCGCUCUCCAAAGUUGAUUUAAUAACCCACUUAAGGUGGACUUAAAUAGGCUUUGAGAGAAAUUUAUUUCCCUUUCCUAGAAGGAUCUAAUUUCCAUUUAAAGAGAGAAUCAACAACAAAAUAGGAAUCAAUUUAGAGUUGCCUAAAGCGAGAAAAUCUCUACACCUGUUGCCCUUUUCUGCAAGCAGCCCAACAGGUGUGGGGGCAUUUGUGGAGCCAAAAAUAUUCGCUAGGCGACACGUGGACUUUUGGACAAAAGAGGACAAAAAUACCCUCGAAGCAUACAAGGAUUCCUACGCGCGAGCAGUGGGCAAUCAUCUUUCAAUCAAGUCAAAAGUGCCCAAAAAAGGUAACAAUUAAAAACCUCUCUCAUCAAAUCCUUUCUAUAAGGUAUUUCCCAAAACCUAGUAUUUUCUAUUUCAUUAUUUAGCUAAUCAAUUAGCUAAAUAAUAUAAACCUACCAUAUCUCCUAAAAUCACCCAAUUAAUAGCCCAAAACCGGCCCCCACUAUUCACAUCCUCAUCUUUCCCAUUUUCCUUAUUAAAAUAAUCAUUCAUUUUUAUAACCACCCAUUUAUUAUUUUCAUAUUUAAUUAGCCAAUAAAUUGGCAAAUUAAACAUGAAAUUAACCCCCACAAAAACCCUAUGGCUGGCUACUAUUAUUCAAAAUAGGGCAAACCCUAACUCUAUAACUAAACACAUAUUCUCACCAAAAAUUCAUUCCAACUCUCUCACAAAAAAUCACAAAUACUCUAAACACUAUUUCUCUCUAAAAUUCUAACUUUGGCAUCGGAGGUUCUUCAGCCAAAGCCCCCCAUUCAUCGUGGACGCGUGAGGCUCUUGGCCUUAACCUAGGUGCUAGUUGUUUUGUAGGUGCAAAAUCGUCCAAGAUCGAAGAGGAGAAAAUUUGCAUCCACAAUGGAUGUGCGAUUAAACCGAAGAACCCACCACCUCCAUCUUCUCCGACCAACUUGAACCCAGCCACUACUACAUGUCAUCCCGACAACCCACUCUCAGCUUCCCAAACCGCCAUUUUUCACCCACUCACUUACCUCUCUCUCUCUCUCUCUCUCUCUCUCUCUCUCUCUCUCUCUCUCUUACCCAAGCCACUGCCAUUAUUCAUUCAAUCAACCCAAAACACGAGAGCCACCCCAUCUCACCACUCGAACAGAUGCAGCCACCCACCCAUUUAAUCCCAGUCCAAAAUCAAACCCUCUCCUAAACCCACCCCAGAAUCCAAUAAUUUCAAAAAAUGGCUGAUUAUAUCAUUUCAAGAACCUCACAAUUCCAAAAACUAAAAACCCACUUCAAAGAUGUAAUAUUUUUCUCUCUUCCUCUUUUUGGGUUUUUUUUUUUUAUCAAUUCUCUUCUGGGUUUUUGUUUACAGUGUAAAAUCAACACUAAUUUACUAAUUUUGCUUUGAUUUUUCAAACACUAUUGAGGCGUGAUAACCUGUUGCAAGCUCAGCCAUGGCGGCUACUGCAAAAUCUAACGGAAAAACCAUCACAGACUCUGCCAUUUCAUCCAAGGUUCCGACAAUAGCAAACCCUUUAACGAAUAGCUGUCGCAGAUUUCUUCCAACAUCAAUCACCACGCGAAAUUAAUUGUCAAUGAAGACGAUCCCAUUCCCCUUCGAAAUCUGCUGGGGGAAAGAGGCCUUCUUUCAUAUCUGCUCUGAGACCUGUUUAUGCGAGAGAGUGGUGAGCCUGACGACAGAGAGAAAGAAGGGCAGGAUUGGAAAAUUGGAAAGUUCAUUUAUUGGUUACUGUUUAUCCGUGUUUCUUCGAAAUAAGCUGCUUUUUCCAGCUUUGGGUUUUCAGUAUUUUUUUAACCCAUAAUUUUGAAAGAAAAAAAACUGAUUUGAAAUGUUAUCAAACACUUAAAAUGUUCCAAUCUUUUUUCAUACCUAUUUUUUUUAUUAAAAGUUAAGCUAAACAAAAACCAGGAUUAAGUUUACUACUUUGAAGUUUCUUGCUUUUCAACAUUUCAUACAUUGAAUUUUUCUCAUCCAGUGUCAUACCUAAGGUGAGAAUUGUGGGACACUUUUAUACAUCCGUUAGAUUUUCUGUGAAUUAUGGGACACUUUUAUACAUCCGUUAGAUUUUUUGUGAUAACCUUCGCUGACCCACGAUGCGGCAUGCAUGUGGACAUUAAAAAAAAUUCAAAAAUUCAAAAAUUCAAAAAUUUUAAAAUUUAAAAUUCAAAAAUACUAAAAACCUAAACUUUUCAUAAUAUUGAGUUGAGAGACUGAAUCUUUUCACACUCGGCCAAAUUUUCUUUGAAUUUUAAUUAAAUGAAACAAUGAAUCUUGAACAAAGCAAAACAAAACGUAAUAUUGAGAGAUUCAGUCAUUGAAGUGGACGUGGAUGUUGGGUACUCAAUAGUCCAAGAAUGAAAAUUCUCAUAUCAGUUUCUAUCCAAAAUUUUGGAAUUAUGUGUGUUGCAACGAUUGUCCAAAGGAUUAUUCUUCUUUUAUUAAAUUUCCAUGAAAAAUGAGCAUGGGGGCAUAAAAAUUGAACGAAUGAAAUUUCAACGAUUUGAAAAGGGUUGUGAGUUUGACACGUCAUUUUUCUUCCUUUAAUGCAAUCAUGUUUAUUAAAAGACAAAAAUAAAUAUGACUUUACAUAAGGAGAGAGAAAGAAUAGUUUUCUUUGAAAAAAUCAACCAUUUAUUGAAGAGGGAUGUUGAUAAGGAGAUGAGACAUUCAUUAGAAGCUAGAAAAAAGAAGUUAAAAGUGAUUUAGAAAAAAGCAAGAAAGCCACAUUUUCAAAGUGGUGGUCAUUGCACAAUACUUAAUUAGAAGAAAACUCAUAGUAUUGUAUUUACAAUUUCAAGUCUUUAUGGGGAACGAGAGUGCAAAUUUUCCAAUUGGAAUAUGAUAUGAAAUUUCUAGAUAACUAUAUAUGACAAAGAAAGAAGUCUAAGUUUCUAAGUGGUAGGGCUUCCAAUUGAUGUGAGUUUGUUGAGAAAUGUAGAUGAAGAUGAAUAUUGUUGUUGAUGUUAGUGAACAACAGAACAAGUUGCUUCUCCUUUGGCCUUCUAACAUGAUAUCACGGAAAACAAGUUGUUGCUAAUAAAUGUAUCUGAUUGGUGGACUUAGACGUGCGCGGUACGAUUUUUGAUAACGAGAAAAGAUGGACAGUGUCAUGACAAAAUUUAUCCAAGUAGACCCAAAGGAAAGACUUAGGAACUUCAUAUGCAGUGGGAUAAAAUCUUAAGCUAAUUUCCUUACCUAUUUUAUAGUCAUUAAGUAAAAUGUAUAUGUAUAUUUCUAGAUGCUGACACACCAAUGUACUUACUAUUAACUCCUUUCAAAUACCCAUUCGCAGAAACGCAAAUCUCUCUUGCAUGCUUGUUGUAAUGCUCAUGUAGUGCGUAUCUAAUAUCUUAUGUGUAUAAUUUUUUGUGAUCCAUUUUUUCAUCACUAUGCCAAAAUCCCUUUAGAAUUUGCAAUUUAUCCAUUUGGUUAUGGUAAAAAAAAAAACUCGGAAUUUCAUUUAAACUCAAAAAUCUAGAAUUGGGAAAGCAAUUUUCCCUUGUUCGGCAACUUGUAGCGAUAGCAAAGGCAAAUUGUACAGGAAAAAAGUGGAAAUUGGGGAUGAAGAUCCAAUUUUAAUUUCGUCAAAAUAAGUGUAAUUUCACAAUUCCAACAACGUUGAGAACAAAUGCAUUGCGGGGAAAUCUUGCGACCACCAAACUUUACGAUUAGAGGGCCAAAUUUCAUGAUAAAACGUAAUAAGGGUUUAGGACUGCAUCGUUCACUUUGUUAACUCUCCAAUCUUCGACGGGAUUUUCAACUCGUGCAUCAUCUUUUGCUUUGUUCUAGGUCAAAGCCUACUCUUUUCUUUCUUGAAUUAUUUUAGCUUUGAGGGUAUACUCUUUAGGCCAAUUGUGAAUUUUGCUAGUUAUUUUUAUUUUCUGAUGGUCAUAUGUUUGUUUUGUUUUUUUUUUCUUCCAAUUGAGAUGUGUAUUGGUUGGAUCAGUAACUUUUUUUUUGGAUUUUUAUUUUUAUUUUUAUGGAUUUUGGUGUUAGUUCCUUGUUAUAGAUGUUGUGGAGCAAAAAAUAAUCUCAAAAAUCGUGGAGGUGACACACGGAUUUUUGGACAAGAAUGACAAAAUUAUCCUCGAAGCACAUCAGGAUUCCCACGUGCAUGCAACGGACAAUAACGGCUCAAUCAUGGAAGAGUCAAAGGUGAUCAAUAUGGUAUUUAUUCAAAUCCCUCUCAUCACUCCUCAUCAAUCCCUUUUUUAUUUUAUUCAAAAGGUAACUCCCAAAACUUCCUAUUUAAUUUAGGGAUCAUUGUCAUGUUAAUUGCAAGAUAUUAUUUCACAAAAUAUCUUGUAAUUAUUCUUCAAUUACCACCAUGUAUGGCCGGCCACUCCUCACAUUAUGGGCCGGUCACUCCUCACCCUAUGGGUCGGCCACUCCCUAUAAAUAGCCCUAUUAUUCCACUAAUAAGGAAGCCAUUUGCUACCCACAAACUCCUAAACACAUUCUUUCAGAAUUCUAACUUUGGCAUUGGAGAUUCUUAGGCCAAAUCCCCCCUCCCAUUCAUCAUGGGCGCAUAAGGCUUUUGGCCUUAGUCUUAGGUAUUAUUAUUUUGCAGGUGCAUUUUUGUCAAAGACGAAGAUGGUGAAAAUUUGCAUCCACAAAUUGGUGUUUUCAUUGAGAGUUUGAUUCAUAAGCUCGAAGAAGACUCACAUUCAAAGUUUCACAUUUCUCAUUCAUAAGUAAAUUUUUCAUACGUUCUUAUUCCUAAAAUUUUUUAAAUCUUUGAAUAGACGUAUGAGAGAAAUACAAUGGCUAGAAAUUUAGAAACCACGACGAACGAAACUUCCUACGUUCAAAGAUCCAGAUAAAAUGAUGGAAAUUGCGAUGUAGCCCCACCACGACGAUCCACGAAGCUCAACGUGGUGGCAAAAUGAGUAACUUGGCCACCACGGAGUACCACCACCACCAUAGCCAAGGCAACCCAUGUUGCAGUGGGGAGUGGGACAGCUUCAUGGCAGCAAAGCCACGAAGCAACAAUAAAUGCCAUCUUGCAGUAAUGAGCCCAGGCCCGUGUCACAAGGCAGUCAACCCAGCGCUAGGUAACCUAGAUCUAGUAGGCCCACGACGUUGCCAUAGCAGCUGAGGCCUAAAGCAAGGCCCAAACAGUUGCGGUUGCGGCAAAUGGAGCAGCACAACACUGGCGGGGCCAAUGCACCCUUGGCCUAAUGCUAAGCAGGCUAAAUCGCACCACACCCACUAUUCAAACUAACCCUAAGUUGAGUAAGUAGCAUUGAAGGUUGUCAACCGCAAGGCGUUGAAGUACGAAUAAAGUUACACACCCCGCACAUGACUUGGCCCACUUCCGCGGCCCAACUUGCUCGCAAGGUCCACCUAGUGAUCCCGACUAGUCGAAGGCCAGUUUAAUCAUCCCAUCUUCAGAUUUCUGGACUGACGAUUGAAUCGGGGGUAUUUUCACCCCGAUUUUCUACAGAUUUGACAUAUCUCAACUCAAAUCUCGCACUUGGAGUCCAUUGCACUUCCAUUACUCAAGGAGACGCAUACCAUUUAAGAUCUUCCAUCCCAAAUGGCGAACAACACUUGUCUCGACAAGUCAUAGAGUUGACAUGCGCUUUUGCGCAGUAGACGACCUUAGUGAAUCAGCUCUUGCAACGCACAUAGAUGCAGUGUGCCCCAGACGAUGUGUCCCGAAGUAAGACAAGUACAGAUGACGAUUCUCUCCAGCAGCGUCCCAACAAGCAGCCGCUCGACUAGCCACGAACCGAGCGUUCUGGCAGUGUACACUCCCGUCUAGGUCCUCAAGAAAGCGUAUACUCUCGUCUUAGCGCGCGAAUGAGCGUGCACUCAUGGUUAGGCCUAUGGACGAGCAUACAUUCACGGUUGGGACCAUACUCUUAUAAUUAACAUGGACAACCUGCUAGACGAAGUGUUCAUUCGCGGCUAGGCCCGCAAAAAGCAUUUUCCACCUCAUAUUGGAGUAAGCAGCACAGAAGACGAAGAUAAGCAGUCAAUUAAUCUGGCUCAAAUUCAAUCGGCCACCUGUAAGUAACCAGUUCGCCUGCCAAGAACGUAUCAUAUGCAAUGUAGCCACGACAUAGACUAGAUGAGCACAACGAUAAGCAACCUAGACUAACAGGUUACGACUGGGGGCAGCCAGAAGCUCUGCUGCCCCAAUAGAGGUAAAUUUAGAAAGAAGUUGAGAGGCUCAUGACCGAACAAUUGUGCGAUUUCCAACGCAACGAAGCUACUGACAAGGCGCUUAAACGAUACACGACCAACAUAAAUGGGUCACCUUUUAUUGACAAGAUUGAGCAGACAGAACCAUCCUACAUACACUGGCGGAUACAAAGAUUACAUCUAUUUUAACAUAUGCAUCAACUCAGCCUAAUGGCGUGUCGAGGGCAAAUGGGUACCAGAAUGGCACACCAGCCCAACCACCAAGAACCAGGGCCAAAUCUUAUUUUCAUCACUCCACACGAUUCAAUACUUGAGCAGCACAUCACCAGUAAUCGAGCACCGCAGACCUAAUGGUCCAAUUCCUCCUGAUGCACACAAGCUCACCCCAGCUCCACGCUCAAAGCCUUGCCUACCUGCUCCACAACACUCAGCCACCCUUGAUUUGUCACCAUGGCUCACAAUUAUGCCAAUUUUGCACCACAGCUCAUAGCCGUGCUAAUCUUGCCAUGCGGCUCUUAACUACGUUAACCAAGCCCACGAUACUUUAUACUUCAAAGCAUCCAACGACGGAGUAGAACACGAGGCUCUACUAGCAGCCCCUGCUAGUGAAAGACUUUGCGGUGAAGAGGCUUCCAAUCCAUUCAAAUUCUCAGUUGACCACCUGUUGGGUUUUACGACUCAAAAUUAGGAUGAUGCAAAAAAAAUUGUGUUACCUAUUUGGUUUUGGUGUCGUAUUUGGGUUUGGAUUUUGACCUCUUAGUUGGUUUCCGUGGUGGAGAGAUUUUGUUAAUUACCUAUUUGAUUAGGAUUUGGAUUUACUUCCUAUUAAGAUUCUUAUUGUAACCUAAGUCUUAUGCACUAUAAAUAGGACCUCAGGGUUAGUGUAUUUUGUGUGGCUCAUUCGUGUGGCAAUUUGGUGAGAGUCAAUUUGUGAGUUUGUGAGUUAGAGAGCAAUUUGGGAGAAUCUUCUCCGUUAGUUUUGGGUUCUCUACUCGUUUGGUUUAGGGUUUGUAAUUUGUGGGAUUUGGAUUGUGAGAGUCUGAACACUAUUUUGUAAUCUCCGUUUGUUUAGUGAAAUUUCUUGUCAUGCUUCGCUCGUGGACUUAGAUUUUACACCGAACCACAUAAAUCUCUUGUGUUAGUUUGAGAUUGUUUGUUUUAGUUUUCACCUACGACGUUGAUAUCGGUACUUUGUUAGAAUUCGCUUUCCUUUGCUCAUAAAAGUACAACAAGUGGUAUCAGAGCCCGGCUUUCGGCUUGGGCUUUGCUUGGCAAUCACUAUGAAGCCUUCUGUGUCGUCGGUGAAAGUUGAUAUUGAAAAGUUCGAUGGCAAUGACUUUGGUAUUUGGCAAUUGAAGAUGCGUACUUUGUUAAUUCAACAAGAGCUUUUAAAAACGCUAAAGGGUGUGAAGGCUUUCCUGAAUUCGUGGACUGAUGAAGAAAAAAAAAGAUGUUAUGGAGCGGGCACUUGGAACAAUCCUGCUAACUUUAUCGAAUGAAGUCUUGCGUCAAGUUGGUAGCAUCAAAUCUGCACCGAAGUUGUGGCUAAAAUUGGAGAGUUUGUAUAUGACCAAAUCCCUUGCUAAAUGGUUGUAUUUGAAGAAAAGUUUGCGUACUCUUCGUAUGGAUGAAGGUACGUCAAUUCAUAAGACCAAAUCCUUAUUGCUGCCAAAAGUCCUCAACAGUUCCAAGGGAGAUGGGUAAGAGUUCGUAAUAGUGAGAGAUUGAAUCUUUUCACACUCGGCCAAAUUUUAAUUUUAAUUAGAUGAAACAAUGAAUCUUGAACAAAGCAAAACAAAAUUUAAUACUGAGAGAUUGAAUCAUUGAAGUGGACGUGGAUGUUGGGUACUCAACAGUCCAAGAAUGAAAACUCUCAUAUAAGUUUUUAUCCAAAAUUUUGGAAUUAUGUGAGUAUUGCAACGAUUGUCCGAAUGAUUAUUCUUCUUUUAUUAAAUUUCCAUGGAAAAUGAGCAUGGGGCACAAAAGUUGAACGAAUGAAAUUUCAAUGAUCUGCAAAGGGAUUGUGAGUUUGACAUGCCAUUUUUCUUCCUUUUAUGCAGUCAUGUUUAUUAAAAGACAAAAAUAAAUAUGACUUUACAUAAGGAGAGAGAAAGAGUAUUUUUCCUUGAAAAAAUCAACUAUUUAUUGAAGAGGAUGUGGAUGUUGAUUGAUGCGCAUUGUGAAUAGGAAAAAAAUAACCUUGAAGGGAGACGAGACAUUCAUUAGAAGCUAAAAAAAAGUUAUAGUGAUUUAGAAAAAAAAAGUUUUAACGAAACAUUUCCGGUACUGUUUACUCUUUACGAAAAACCACAUUUUUACCUUUCCUAACUACUAUUCACUACAUCUUUAUUUAUCAUUUUUCAUUAAAACUAAAGUUUUUGUUUUAACUUUUCGUUAGUUUCCUUUAGAAAAAAGCAAGAAAGCCUCAUUUUCAAAGUGGUAGUCCUUGAAACAAUACUUGAUUAGAAGAAAAGUCAUAGUAUUGUAUUUACAAUCUCAAGUCUUGAGGGGUAACGAGAAUGCAAGUUUCUAAUUGGAAUAUGAUAUGAAAUUUCUACAUAACUAUAUAUGACAAAGAAAGAAGUCUAAGUUUCUAAGUGGAAGGGCUUCCAAUUGAUGUGAGUUUGUUGAGAAAUGAAGAUGAAGAUGAAUAUUGUUGUUGAUGUGAGUUAGUGAACAACAGAACAAGUUGCUUCUCCUUUGGCCUUCUAACAUGAUAUUACCGGAAAACAAGUUGUUACUAGUAAAUGUAACUGACUGGUGAACUAAGACAUGCGGUACGAUUUUUGAUAACUAGAGAAGAUGAACAGUGUCGUGACAAAAUUUAUCCAAGUAGACCCAAGGGAAAGACUUAGGAACUUCAUAUGCAGUGGGAUAAAAUCUUAAGCUAAUUUCCUUUUUAAUCUUAUAGUCAUUAUGUAAAAUGUAUAUGCAUAUUUCUAGAUACAUACACACCAAUGUACAUAAUAUUAACUCCUUUUAAGUAGUCAUUUGCAAAUCCCUCUCGAGUGCUCUUUGGAAUGCUCAUGUGGUGCCGUUCUAAUCUCUUAUAUAUAACUUUUUGUGAUCCAUUUUUUCAUCAAUAUGCCAAAAUCCCUUUAGAAUUUGCAACUUAUCUUUUUGGUUACGGUAAAAAAAAAACUCGGAAUUUCAUUUAAACUCGAAAAUCUAGGGAUGUGAAAGCAAUUUUCUCUUGUUCGGCAACAUGUAGCGAGAGCAAAGGCAAAUUGUACAGGAAAAAGUUAGAAAUUUGGGAUGAAGAUUCCCAAUUUUAAUUUCGUCUAAAUAAGUGUAAUUUCACAAUUCUAACUACGAUGAGAAUCACAAAUAUAUUGCAGGGAAAUCUUGCGACAACCAAACUUUACGAUUAGGGUGCCAAAUUUCGUGAUAAAACCUAAUAAGGGUUUAGGGCUACAUUGUUCACUCUGUUAACUCUCCAAAUCUUCGACGGGAUUUUCGGCUCGUGCAUCAUCUUCUUGCUUUGUUCUAGGUCAACGCCUCUACUCUCUUCUUUCUUGUAUUAUUUUAGCUUUUCAGGUAGACUCUUUAUGGCUGUUGUGAAUUUUGCUAGUUAUUUUUAUUUUCUGAUAGUCAUUUGUUUGUUGUGCGUUUUUCCUUCCAAUUGAAUUGUGUAUUGGUUGGAUUUGUAACAUUUAUUUUUUUUAUUUUAUUUUAUGGAUUUUGGUGUUAGUUCUUUGUCAUGGAUGUUGUCCUUUUGAAGGUUAACAAUAGCCAAGACUAAACAUGAUGAUUUUGGUGUUAAUUACUUUCUCAUGAUACUAAUGCCAUAUUGUUCUCUAUUUUGCACUCACAAGUAAAGAGAAAUAUCCUAGACCCUAACUGGAUAUGUUAUUGUCAUGGUCAUGCAUUGGUAUGGUAACAAUAUGUUUGGAUAAGGAAAAUAAACUUAGAAUUUGACAAAAGAUAAAAUUUAUAAAUUGAUACAAUCAAUUCCUUUGUUUAGAUUCAUAAACAUAGAAAUUUAAACUUUCCGCGUGAGAAAAAACUUGGAAUUUGGGACCUUCAAUUCUCAUGUUUAAAUUUUAUGUAAAUAGGUGUCAUUUCUAAAUUUCAGUAAGUGAGAAUUUAAAAAUAACAAACAUGUAUUCAAAUUUCAUUCAUCUUUUAGGUUAACCAAACAAGAAAUUUUAUAAAUUCUAGAAAAUAAAAUUUCGUUAUUUCAAUUUCUGUUAUUUUAAAAUUAGUAAUCUUAAAUUUUCUCAUCCAAACAAAAAGUUUCCUUGUCAUAGAACUUUCAAUUGGGAUCAAGGAAGACAAUCUUUUCACAACUGAUUAUUCUCACCAAAUUUUAUUAUUAUUUUAAAGCAGAUCAAUACCAAACUUCAAAAGCAAAGUAGGAAGGCUAAAAUUAAGGUGAAGAACCUACUUCCACUAAUUACCAUGGGAGGGAGAGAGAGAGAACCAAGCGAGAGAGAAGAGAGAGAAAACACCAAGUAGUAUUAUAAUAUAGGUGGGGUUAAAUCACCUUUCGUGAAGUUGUAGUAAGAGCAGCUCCAGCGGGAGCUCCAACUUGAUGUACCGGUGAGAUUUCCUACCCAAUAGCCCCAGCUCCUUGCUCCAGUCCAUGCGGGUGAUUGGGCUGAGGGGGGCCGAGUGAGAGGCCUGACUCGAAUCGGUGGCCUGAGAGCCUGAGACCAAAAAUUAUCUUUUUGGAUAAUGACACGUGGUGCAACGAGAACGAUUAAAAAUCUUAUCCGAAAUUACAAAUAGAAUUAUUUUGUAUUAUUUUAUAAAAUAAAAAAUACUAAUAUUUUAUUGCUUAUUGACAUGACUAUUCAAUUACGGGUGGAGAUGCAGAAGACAAUUAUUAUUCAUUAAAGGUAAUUAUUGUUCAUUGGAGGGGAUUGAAUAUGAAGUUGCACUAGAAGGCCUUUGUCACGGCAAUAGGCAAUUACUGUUCUAAGGACUUCUAUCCUAGAAGAGAGACAAAAACACCAAGUAGUAUUAUAAUAUAGGUGGGGUUAAAUCACCUUCCGUGAAGUUGCAGAUAGAGUAAGGACUUCUAUCCUAGAAGAGAGACAAAAACACCAAGUAGUAUUAUAAUAUAGGUGGGGUUAAAUCACCUUCCGUGAAGUUGCAGAUAGAGUAAGGACUUCUAUCCUAGAAGAGAGACAAAAACACCAAGUAGUAUUAUAAUAUAGGUGGGGUUAAAUCACCUUCCGCGAAGCUGCAUUAAGGACUUCUAUCCUAGAAGAGAGACAAGAACACCAAGUAGUAUUAUAAUAUAGGUGGGGUUAAAUCACCUUACGUGAAGUUGCAGUAAGGACUUCUAUCCUAGAAGAGAGACAAAAACACCAAGUAGGAUUAUAAUAUAGGUGGGGUUAAAUCACCUUACGUGAAGUUGCAGAUAGAGUAAGGACUUCUAUCCUAGAAGAGAGACAAAAACACCAAGUAGUAUUAUAAUAUAGGUGGGGUUAAAUCACCUUCCGUGAAGUUGCAGUAAGGACUUCUAUCCUAGAGAAAAGUCGGUCAAUGGUGUUUGACACAGUCAGUCAACGAUAAAGACAGAAUUGUGUAACCAUAAUUCUCUCUCUAUCUCUUUUUCAUUAACGGAGGACAGUGUAUAAUUACUACGUAUACAUCUCUGCUCAAUUAUUGAAAAGAAAAAUCCAUGUGCAUUAUUUUUAUUAUUAUUAUCUCAGAAAUGCAGAAAUUGAUCAUCUCUUCCUUCUGCAUAUUGAUACUGGUUUUCUUCAAACUAGUUGAAGCAAGCCAAUAUGUGUGCGCGAAAUCCAACUGUAGCAAUGAUCAACGCCCGGCUAUCCAUUUCCCAUUGAACAUCAGGCGCACACAUCAUUGUGGAAAUUCUGGGCUUGAAUGCAAUGGGAGAUAUGGGCAGCAAAUACUAAUAAAAUUAUUUGUCAAACACAUUGAUUACAAGCGUCAGGAAAUCCAAGUCUAUUCCCCAAGUAACUGCCUGCUGCUAAAGCAUGUUGAAAUCCCAAACAUGCCACCCUCUCCCUUCAACGUGUCAGUCGAUGACUACAUGAGUACCCUUACCUUAUUCAGUUGUCCUACUUCUGUUGCAAGACGAGAUACGUAUCAAGUCCCCUGCCUCGGCGACCCUGGCAAGAAAACUUAUGCCAUUCGUUCUUACUAUGAUUUUGGAACUCUCUUCCAGAAUCUACAAUCCUGUACAAAAAUGUAUGAUGUUUUAUCAGUUCCAAUAGCCUAUGAAUAUUAUGUUUUUCGUUUCAAAUGGUCUAUACCAAAUUGCAGAAAAUGUGGAGAGGGAAAGAAGUGUGGAUGGCAGAACAAUGAAAUUAAAUGUCUUCCCUGGAGGAAACCAAGUAAGGAUAACAUAUGUAUUCAUUGCUAGUUUUAAACAUCUUUACAUUUAUGUCUUAGUAAUUAUUAUUUGAAGGAUGUUGUCCAAUCCAUUUUUACUAGGAAUAUUACCUGACAGUCUCGUUUAAAUUCGCAAUGAUCUUCUACAGGCAACACAUGGAAAAAAGUGGUUACAGGUGGAAUCCUGUGUGCUUUGCUUCUUGUUCUACUGACGAUUGCAGCAUAUCGGGUAUAUAGCGCUGAUAGAAAGGAGAAAGAGAGUCGAUUAAGAAUUGAAAGAUUCUUGGAGGACUACAAAGCACUCAAACCAAGCAGGUAUUCGUACGCAGAUAUUAAGAGGAUUACAAAUCAAUUCAAGGACAAGUUGGGCCAAGGAGCCUAUGGAACUGUCUUCAAAGGAAUGCUCUCUUCUGAAUUUUUUAUUGCUGUCAAAGUCCUCAACAGUUCCAAGGGAGAUGGGGAAGAGUUCGUAAAUGAAGUGCGAACGAUGGGUCAUAUCCACCAUUUAAACGUGGCUCGCUUGGUUGGAUUUUGUGCUGAUGGAUUUGUACGAGCUCUUGUUUACGAGUUCUUCCCCAAUGGUUCCCUGCAGGAUUUCAUUUCAUCUGCAGAUAGUAAGAAUUCAUUUCUUGGUUGGGAUAAACUGCAAGAUAUUGCCCUAGGCAUAGCCAAAGGAAUUGAAUAUCUUCACCAGGGAUGCGAUCUACGAAUCCUGCAUUUCGACAUCAAACCCCAUAAUGUUUUGCUAGACCAAAACUUCACUCCAAAAAUUUCUGAUUUUGGUAUGGCCAAGUUAUGUUCCAAGGAUCAAAGCUUGGUGUCCAUGACUACAGCUAGGGGGACCAUGGGCUACAUUGCACCUGAAGUGUUCUCCAGGAAUUUCGGAAAUGUGUCUUACAAGGCAGAUGUCUAUAGCUUUGGAAUGCUGCUGCUUGAGAUGGUAGGAGGAAGGAAGAAUAUUGGUUCAAUCACGGAUAACACUACAAAUGAAAUUUACUAUCCACAGUGGAUUUAUAAUCUUCUAGAGGAAGGGGAUGACCUACGAAUCCACAUUGGGGAAGAAGGAGAUGGUAAAAUUCCAAAGAAACUUGCAAUUAUAGGGCUAUGGUGUAUCCAAUGGCACCCGUCGGAUCGUCCUUCCAUGAAAAUAGCGGUUCAGAUGUUAGAAGGAGGAGGAGAAAGCUUGAGUAUGCCGCCUAAUCCCUUUGUGCCUACUGGUUCUACAACUAGGAAUGCAAGACGCCUAGAGCUAGAAGCUAUUGCUGAAUUAGAGUAAAAUGUAUAUGCAGAUAUGUAGACGUAUAGAUAUAGUAAUAUUUAUAUUGAAUAAGAGGCCGUUUGAUAACCAUUUCGUUUUCAGCUUUUAAUUUUUAUUUUUCACUUUUUUGAAAACUAAAAACUAAAAUCUUGUUUGGUAAAUACUUUUAGUUUAAAAAAAUUAUGAAGACUGAGAACUAAAAUGUGAAAGCUCAAAGGAAGUAGAUUAAAAGUAGUUACCAAACAAACUGGAAUCUCAAUAAUAAAAAAAGAUUGAAUUGCACAAUGCAAUCCAAACCAAUCAAAACAUUAAAAUAGCAAAAAAAAAUUAAAAUUCUAGUUGAUUAGAUUCUAAACGUAGUAAAAAUGAACAGAUCCAAUGAAAAAACAAAAAAUUCUCAAAUAAAAAUAGGGAUAAAGUAAAAUAUUUAUAAAUAGCUCUUUGUCUCUUAUGUCAUCAAUUAUUUCUAUAGUAUAUACAGGUUUUUGGAAAAAUUAGGUUCUCAUCCCUUAUUUUCAUAUUACAUUGAUUGAAAUCUUAUUAUUUUUCUAUUUUAGAUCAAGGUCCCUUGACUUAUUCCAUGUCAUCAUUUUAGUAUUUAAAAUAUUACACGUCAUCAUAAACGAAAUCUCAUCCCUUUCUGCAUUUAAGGCAAAAUAAACUAUAUGAGUAAGUUUAAAACAAGGAAAAUCCAUUUGAACUCCUCCAUUCUUCUUCUUCCCUUAUGCACAUCUGGAAUCUACAACACCCCAAACCCAAUUUUCUCCAUUUUUUCUCCAUUCCUGAAUUGAUCCAAUGCAUAUAUGUUGAAUAAACCUAUUGUGAUUAAAAUACAAAUUAGCAUCAAUGGUUUUAUCGGCUUGUGAGAUUUGUGUGGCAUAGGCAAGGCAAUGCAGGCAUUGCUUUCUCAAGGAAUCUGGUUGAUUCAAACAUGCAGAGACUGUAGAGUGAGCGGGCUAUGUGAAAAUUGUACCAUUCUGAAGUCAUUUUCUUUUGUUCUUUAUAUUUUUUUUCUUUUUCUUUUAUUAUUAUAUAUUAGUCUUGGUUAUUCAAUGUCUGGUUGGCUACACUUAUAUCCAUGGGUACAUUUUUAAUCUACAUGUUUCGUUCUAAUAUAUCUAUUGCUAUAAUAUGUUUUGGUUGGUUCAAAUUUGUUUUACAUAAAUAUAUGGGUACAAAGUUUUUGGAGAAUAUUAUGUAAAAUGGUUUUUAAGGUUGCUGCAUUUUACGUUCCCACAUAUGCAUGUCUAUAAAACAAUGUGGUAUGAUGUACAUUCUUUUCUUUGAGUUUUUAAAUGUACCCAUGAGUUUUCUUGUAAAUUCGUAUGUACCCAUAUGCUAUUUAUGUUAUGGGUACAUACAUUAUUUUUGGUCUAAGUUCAGGAUACAUUGCUUUUGUAUGUAUGAAUUCAUGGGGUACAUUAUUUCCCUUAAUACUACUCAAUAAAAUUCACAAAAAUAUGUGUAGUGUGCAUGAUUUUUUAUUGUAGAAAUUGUUUGUUUUUUUUAAGUCUCAUAAUUCAUGAAAUUUGUACAUAUAUGAUCCCAUAAAUUUUUUAAUUUUAUUAAAUUUCUGUUAGACUUGAUCGAUUGAUUGAAUCUCAUAAUACUAGGAUUUUGAAUUACAUAAAUUCUUGGAUUUGAAUCCCUUAAAUGUUGGACUGCAAUCAAUAUUUUAAAUUACAGUUUUUUGUUUAAGAUAUCAAAAAGAUGACAUGGGAAUAUAGUAAUACUAAAAUGCUGAGGUGUACAAAGUCAAGGGACUUUGAUCAAAACAUAAAAAACAAUAAGAUUUCAAUCUAACAAUUGAAUUGACUAGGGACCGGAACCAAAAUGACCCUAGAUUUUUAUUGAGUUUAAUCUUAAUCAAAAAAAGACUUCUUGUAUCACAGAAAAUACAAGAACCAUUAUUUGAAUGAAAUAAAAGCUAUGGGAUGGAGAUAUAAAUGGAUCCUUUUAUUCACAAUCGGAUUAUAUUUAUUUGAUACACUGUUGUCAAUAUGAAUGUUGAGAAAAGACUACAAAAGAAAAAACAAUUUAUAAAUAUAACUAAAAAUUCCAAUUUCAAUCAAUUAGAUAAUUAGAAUUAUAAGAAGAAAAAAAACAGAAAUCUCAGUUUUCAGUUUAAAAAAAAAUGAAAACAAAAACUGAAAACUGAAAACAAAAUGGUUAUCAAAGCCGUCCAAAUAAUAGAAGUUUGUUUCCACUCUUUGUUUAAGCAUAGAUGCCAAUUUUUGUUUAUCAUUUUUUUAACCUCUAUUUUUUGUUACAGUAGAAGCCCUAGAAGGAAAUCGAGCACUGGACUUACCAAACUCUUAACUUAUUUCUACACACCAAGAGCUUGAUUUCGGUUCUUAUUUAUACUAUUUAAGCUAUAAGCCGUGAUAAGAAUUAGAGAACUAUCAUUUGUUGUGAGCUUCAAUUGGUUAGCACUUUGUAUGUUUUCAUUAGAAUUUAUAUUUCACUUAGACUUUCUUAUUAAAAAAGGGAUCAUUUGGUGACUUCACCAUGACAGUCCAAUUUUAUGGGGGCCAUGAGUACUCACAAAGGUAUUUCAGCCUCCCCCUAUAUCUACCGUCGCGUGAUUCACCAUUGCCGGGAAUCGAACUCAAGACGUGUUGUAUAGAAUACAAGCCUAAAAUUCGUUUCUAACCACUGAGUCACCCCGCGUUUGAUUAUAUUUCACUUAGACUUAUCUUGCGGUAUAGCAUGUCAUCCCCGCCCAAGUUUUUCUGUUCGCAUUGAGUUUGGGAUACCAAAACUUGCCAAACAAAGUAGAUUGAUUAGUAAGCGAAGCUAAUUAUUCGACUAAACAUUGUUUAGAAUUUUAAUUAAAAGAAACAAUAUGAAUCUGUUUUUUUUUUUUUUUUUUGACAAACUAUAACGUUAAGGAGUUAAAUUGUUAGUUGUUAAGAGUACAGGGAUAGGUGAGGAUCGAACCUCCACCAGAGUGCAUAGACAUUAUUGGUUCUACAACUGCGGUAAAUCACAUAAAACAAAACGUAAUACUUUGAGGAUGGAAGACACUUCGUGGAUAGCGGGCAAUCAACACUAUCAGUCGCUAUCCAAAACUUGGAAUUAUGUUUAUUGUCCGAAGGAUUUUUCUUCCAUUAAAUUGCUAAGGAAGAUGAGGAUGGGUGGAGUGUCUAAAUGUCAAGGUUGAUAAGAAAGUGUAUGGUGUUCAGCAUGCGAUUGAGAUUUGUUGAGUGGCACAACAAACCACAUAAAAUUUUCUAAAUGAUAAGCAAUGAUAAGCUUGAGUAUAAUUUUUUACCACGUAUUUAUCUUUAAAAUCAUUAUAAUUAGAUUUUCUCUUAAUUAAUAUAGACCGUUAGAUUGACCCAAGUUUUUUUCCUCUUUUCUUUCCCCUCGUUUUUUUCUUCUCUGAUUUUCCAUUCACCGUGUAGCAGUCGUUCUUCCCCAACUAAGUUUCUUAUUUUUCUUCACAAAAAAAUUGUAGAAAAUAUUAAGAAAAGAAAAGUCAUCAAUAUCAGACUCGAUCAGGUAAUCGUUCCAACCUUCCCAGCAACUCUCAGUCUUAACAAGGCACCAAAUUUUCUCCGCCACCUAACUCGUCAUUCAUUCAUGGGUGUUUCAAGCUUGGUGAAAAUUGAUAGAGUUCCAUGUGUGUACAGGGAUGUGAACAUAUUGGCCACUCUCUAAGAAUGAGUCAUUGGAAAAGUUGAAGGAAAGAUGUAACCGAUGAAAUUAAUGGAUUGGAAUUACAAUGAAGUCUGUGUUGGUUUAUCACAAAGAACCCAGAAACAAAAUUUUAAAAGCAAACAAUUACAACUUCUCAAAUAUUAUGUAACAAACUUUCAAUGAAAUGUUGCUCAUAAUUGAAAAAAGGUUGACGAAGGACGGAGUUGGGAUUAUUUUAGAUGGGGAAGAGUUAAAAGAAGGAAGCACCAUUUAAUUACUAAAAGUAAUUGGAGAAAUGGUAAUUCAAUGGUGGGCGUUUUUAAGGUGUGGACCUUGUGUCACACCCCGAUCCCAACAUACAUUGAGGAUCGACACCUGACAUGGGGACCUAGGGGACAUAAAUCUUACGUAAGAUACAGAAUGAAAUACUAUAAAUAAUAUCCCAAAAUGAAUAUGAUAGUGGGUUCACCCCCUAUAAAAUAUAUACAAGUUUGUACAUUCACAAAAAAAAAAAAAAAAAAAACACACACACACACACACAAAACUCUUGCUAGGCCAAGACUUGCCCAUGGUUCUCAAAGGAAAGUCCUAAAAGAAAUAGUACAAUGAAGGAUAAAGGGGUAACCUAAACACUCCAAGUCUCUGAUCUCUGCACUGCUACCCCCACCGGCUCCUCGUAAUCUACCUCAGACCUGUCACUUGUACAAACAGUGCCUACAUUGUGGGAAUGGUGCACCGGGCAAACAAAAACCCAGAUAAGCUGCAAAACUCGUGUGGUAGCCGGCCUGGGACAUGGGAGGGGGCCGAGUCUUUCAGAAACCCUUGGGUCAUUGAUCUUCAAGCUUACAUGGAUGGGAUUGUCUCGACGUUGCUUUAGGAAGUCUCGACAGUCGUGAAAGACGGCUUUCGAUCCUUCCACUCCUUCUGUAAGAAGGUGUCUUCCUCCACUCCUUCUGCUUCGGGUUGAAGCAGCUGGGUUGAGAGAAGUCUCAUGUUGGUCGCGAUUUCGAUGAGUAGCUCGCUCCUCAACAGGAAUACCCAUGUCGAGGGAAAAUGAGCCUCUGUGUUGGAGGCACCCAGUUGAUGGUUGACUUCCACAGGGGUGAUGAGCUCGUGUGUUUUAGUAUAUCUAGCCUCGUGGAGCAUCUCGAAGACCUUUUCAUACUGCUCUUGGAGGAUCUCAUUCUUCAUCGCUAUCUUGUUGUUCUGAGCCUCCAGCUCAUCGACUUUAGCCUGAAGAGCAAACUUCUUUUGUUCCUUCUUUCGUUGUUUCGCACCAGGUGUAAGAGGGGUGUCAUUCUGUGUGCCGUGGCUUCCUUCGCUCCCCAUGUUAGAGAGGGAUGCCUGGUCAAAAGAGAGAGUACGAAUGGUGGAAACCAGCUUGGCAAAGCUAAAGAGAGUGGGAAUAAGUGUCGUUCCCACAGACGGCGCCAAAUGUUGAUGCACAAAAUCAGUGAGGACUUUGGUACAACAGAAAGUGUUAAGUUUGUGUCCUUCGCUAGAUUGGUCCGGUCAUUAGUGUGGAUAAGUAUGUAAAUGGAUAGGGACAGGGAAGCAAACACAAGAUGUAUGUGGUUCACCCAGAUUGGCUAUGUCCAUGGAGUGGAAGAGUUCUCAUUAAUUGUGAAGGGUUUACACAAGUACAUAGGUUCAAGCUCUCCUUUAGUGAGUACAAGUGAAUGAUUUAGUACAAAUGACAUUAGGAAAUAUUGUGGGAGAAUGAUCUCCUUUUAUAGAAUAGUUUCUAGCUUUGUUCUGACAUUGACACGUGUCAUGCUGUGAUUGGCUUUUGAUGUUGACAUGUGUCGCAUUGUGAUUGGCCUCCUGGUUUGAGGGAAACUCUUCUGGGUCCUUGACAGUAUAACGUUGACAGGUGCUCAGUAGUUUCGGGAUUGGUCAAGUAUGGUACAAACAAAGUCACUGAAAACUUCGAAGGAGUCACCCAGACAUCCAACGACUUUUCUAAAUCAAAUCUCAGAGAUUCCCAAAACUAUCGUUCACAAAUACACUAAAAACUAAGGCUAGAGUGACACAGUUUGGCCAAAGCCUACAUAAGUAACCAAAUAAGAAGUGGCCCCCCCAUAGCGGAUUAAUCAAGUAGAGCCACUCCUGAGAAAGUAACCAAGUAGGUAGUGACCCCAUCACGAAUUAACCAAGCAGAGUCACUCCUACGAAACUGUUAGGUAGUGAUCACCCAUCGCGGAUUAACUAAGCAUGAUCACCCCUAAGUACGUAUGGCCAUACCUAAGAAAUAAGGAUCGCCCAUCGCGGAUUAACUAAGCAUGAUCACCCCUAAGUACGUAUGGCCAUACCUAAGAAAUAAGGAUCGCCCAUCGCGGAUUAACCAAGCACAAUCCAAAAAUAUUAUGGGUCCCCUAUCGCGGAUUAACCAAGCAGGACCAUCCAUGUACCACUGCUACAUGGUGCAGAUUCGGUGUCACCUAACCCCGUGACACUAGGGUAACGGUCCUCUACUAGCCCUCACGUUUUUCAAACAUUUCAAAUAUAUAAUUUAAAACACAAUUCAUAAACAUUUCGAAUAGGGAAGUCACAUAGUGUUUAAUAAUGUAGGUCAAUGGAAAACUUUAAAAACAAUUAUUUAGCAUAAAACAUAUUUUAGAAAUCCAUGCUGUAUCCACAAAGUAUACUAGCACGGGAGAUUUUCAGGGUAAUAACUCUAUCACAUAUAUUAAAGUCACUCACCUGGAGUCCGCACUAACGCACCCUAGCACGAAUAUCAAGAUGUCACGUACUAUCAUUUGUAACAUCCCACAUCAACCAACAGAGAGGGGGUGAUGUGUCUUAUAUGUACAUGCCCACCUCUAUAGCACGAGGCUUUUUGGGAGCUCAUUGGCUUCAUAUUCCAUCGGAACUCCAAAGUUAAGCGAGUUUGGGCGAUAGUAGUCCAAGGAUGGGUGACCCACUGGAAAGUUCUCGUGUGAGUUCCUAGAAACAAAACCGUGAAGGCGUGGCCAGGGGGGCCAAAGUGGACAAUAUUGUGUUACGACGGAAUUAAGACUGAGAUGUGACAGAAUGGUAUCAGAGCCGCUCUGCCGCGUGGUGCAAGUGUGCCGAAGAGGACAUCGAGCCCCUAAGGGGGGUGGAUUGUAACAUCCCACAUCGACCAACGAAGAGGGGGUGAUGUGCCUUAUAUGUACAUGCCCACCUUCAUUUAGCACGAGGUCUUUUGGGAGCUCACUGGUUCCGGGUUCCAUCGGAACUCCGAAGUUAAGCGAGUUCGAGCGAGAGCAUUCCCAUGAUGGGUGACCCACUGGGAAGUUCUUGUGUGAGUUCCCAGAAACAAAACUGUGAGAGCAUGGCCGGGGCCCAAAGCGGACAAUAUCGUGUUAUGGCGGAGCCGAGAUUGGGAUGUGACAUCGUCACCUAAGACAAAGUACAAGUCCACAUUUAGAGUUCUUCGAGUAUUCACAUAAUCAAAAAUUUACAUACGCACCCUACAACUAAUGAAGAGAAAUCGAGACACGUUGACAAAAAGUCAACCGUCGAUCAACGGUAGGGUCCACAACCCUACGUAACUUAAUCCGUAAGAUCCAGCCACUGUAUUUGUGAUUCAUAAGUUCCUAAGGUCCUCAAAUCUUACGUACAAUAACAUACUAAACUUUAGUGACGAUCUAAUGGUCGAAUCAUCAUUUACUAUAAUGUUCAAAUGACGCAAAUUCGUCAAUCGGAUGUCAAAUAUGGAAUCGGUCAUCGAAUUUAGCCUAGGAAGAUCAAGUGGUGUCUCAAGCCACGCACCACCAUGCGCAGCAGUUGGCAACCCAGAUUCGUCGAAAAAAUCACCUGAUUCCAAAAUGAAUGUCGUGAGACGUGGAGUAAAUUGUAUACCUGUGAGAAGCCCAAUUUGGCCAGGAAGUGGCCUGAAAUCACUUUAGACCGUCGGAAACCCUAAAAUAGGUGAAUCUCGAUUAGUCAUCUCUGGUAUUCCACCGUCCUCAAACUUGUUUAGGGUUCUCAAAAAAAUGCUAAUGAUGAUGGUGAUUGAAGGAGAACGUUUCAGAAAUAGUGAAUCGCCGGCGAGGGUUUCACGGAAUCGACAUGGGUGUUCCUCGUGGAACCAAGACCAAAUCUCAACGGUUUUGGCUAGAAAUGGAUGCUGGGAUGUCGUGGUGAGGUUUGGUAUUGAUGGGAGGUCGAAGAAAGUCAAAAAAAUCGACGAAAAAACUGUCGUCGGAGUCACAGGAAACGUGUUAGAAAAAUGAGUCGCCGAGUUUGAAACGGGUCGAAGGCUUUUGGGACAGCUACUUAAUCUCUCUUCUCUGAUUAGUCACUCCACUCACUCUCUCAUUUGAUUGGUCCAGCCUUCCCACAUGGUGGGAGUUCCCUCAUAUAGUAACCCAAAAUUUACUAUUUAAAUUUGGUAUCAAACGUCCGUAACUUUUUUGUUAUAGUUCCGAUUCACAAACGGCUUUCGCCUACGCGCUCGUAUGAUCGAAUUAUACUUGAAAACAUUAAUUGUGACCUUAAAAAGGUCUACAAGUUUUAAAAGAUUAAUUACAAAAAUUCACACCUUGUAACUAUACGAUUCAAAUUCUAAAAUUAACGGAAUUAAAAUAAACUAAAAAUAAUGUAAACACGAAAUACAGACUUUAAUAAUGAAAUACGUAAUUAAUAGUGGAAUUCUGGGGAUGGGAUUUCACACCUUGCGUCCGGACCUUGAGUGCGGAUCAGAAUCCAAAGGUCGUGAUCUGACGAGCUCAUGUAUAGAACAGAGUUGUUGUGACCCAAUGCAAUUCAAAACUUUUAUGUUUUUUUAUUUACUGGGUACGUUUUUGUAGGAGGAAAAGGGGAAGUCGAGGGAUUCUUUGCGCAAUAAAGAGGGAAAGAGAGAAAAGGGGAGCUAAGAGGUUCUUCGCGCGUUAAAUUUUUGCUUCUGAUUUUGCAACCUAGAAAUAAAGUAUUUUCUUUAUGGUUUAUGGUUCAAGAAUAUAAUGGAUGCAACCUAAAAAUGUUUAUUUUUUUAUUUUUUACUUUUUUUCUUCUUAUGUUGGCUUUUGGUUUAUUCUUAUAAUGCACUAUAUAUUAACUAAAUUUAUAAACAUUUUGUAUCUUUGUUGCAGUCAAAUUAAUCAUAUGGGUUGGCAUGACGAAGUUCGACUGAGACAUACAGAUGUUUUGCAAUCUUAAGUCUAACCUGACACACCCCGACCUCAAUAUCCAGUGGACACCAAAAUUGAGGUGUGAUGGCCAUCAUCCGGAUGGGUGACGAAACCAUUAUAUGCAUGAAAACAUAAUUACCCAAACACGUCUUAUUAAAAUAUUGAGUAAAUACCAUACAAGAUAGAAUACGUCAGAGCUGUUGCAAAAUACCUCAACGUCCGAUGUAAUCACUGAUAGAAUUACUGAAUCAUGUAUAAAUGGAAAGCUGAUAAAUACAUGUAAUUUGAGUGGAUACUUACCAGCAGCAUGGAUACAAUAUCAUCCACCAGUCGUAACUAGUGAAAGUUGGAUAAUAUAAUCAUGUCAUUGCCGAGUAAUCUCAAGGCAAUGACAAGAUGAGAAUGUAACUGAGUAAUCAUAUCAUUACUAAAUAAUCUCAAAGUAAUGACAAGCUAAGAGUAUAACCGUAUAAUCAUGUCAUUACCUCGUAAUCUCAAAAUAAUGAUAAGCUGAGAGUAUAACUGUAGUACCUCUUAUUAGUGCAAUGCAUGAUAUGAAUUCCAUCUCACAUAUAUAUGCAAGCCAUAAUCAAACCAAUAAACAUCCAACAAAAGCCACAAUCCUUUUAACAUUCGACCACAAGAUCAAUUUUCAUAUUUCCCAAACCUAGGUUCCAAAGCAUUGUUUCGAAUUAUUAAUACAAGAAACCACCACCACCUCAAUCAACUCCUAUUCACAAGUGUAAGCAAUUACUAAAUGCAUCACUUUCGACUCUAGUCUUAAUUAGAUUACUUGGGAUACUCACACCAUCAGAUCCAAGUACUAUUUUGAUAAACUUUAAAUAGCAUGGUUAAAAUAAAUGAAACACUUUUAGAAAAUAAGUGAAGAUGUUGUUUACAAAUAUAGAUGCAUCUGUAUAUAAAAGCUUUGGCGGUUGAUCCGUAUACACACUUCCAGAGAUAUAAGCAAGUUCAUUGGAAUAUACAUACAUAGUUAAUGUAUUACAAUAUAAUUAAUAAGAAAACAAUUGCAUCCCUUUCAGAUUAUAUAUAUAUAUAUAUAUAUAUAUAUAUAUAUAGACACACACAUACAUACACACAGGCCCUUUAUGCAAAGGAAUUUCCAUUUUUUUUCAAAAAUGGGGAUUAGUUGUGGGGCCCACGCUGCAUUGAACUUUAACGAUCCGAACAGUCUAUUUUGUAAGUCUCGAUUCAUAGAUCAUCCUUGUAAAAAUUCAAUUCAAUCCGAACCCAUUUGCCUAUUUAAUUAUCAAGAUAAAAUUUUAUUGUUUCUUAUAUAACAAAGUAUUCGUUAAUUUCUUUGAACUCAAUUAGAUAUCUUAAACAUUUCCGAUUUGGUUAAUAUUGUGUAAGGAUGAUCUAUGUGGUGCAACUUGAAAAAUAGACGAUUACGAUCGUUAAAGUUCGAUGUGGUGAGAACCCUACAAUUAAUCUUCAUUUUUAUAAAAGAAUGGGAACCCCUUCCCUUAAAGGUUUCCUAUGUAUAUAUUUGUUCUCCAGACAUAUGCAAAAGGUAAUGUAAAACCAAUGAGAACUUAAAUAGAUAUUCCAUACAUAGGACAAUUCCAUAUAUGCUUUUUCAACAUUUAUAUCGAAAAGCCAAAUUGUUUUGAGGAAAUUAAUUGUAGCAAUGAUCCCUUAACUUUUAUCUUAUUGGAGCAAUGGUCUCUCAACUAAAAAUUCAUAACCAUUGGUUCCUUAACUCCACACAACGUGUAGUUAUGGUCAUUUUCAUUAACUCCGUCAGAACUUUUGUUAAAACAAGUAAUGUUAGAAGAAUCAUUGCUACAAUUAAGUUAAAGUUGGGGACCAUUGCUCUAAUUAAAUUAAAAUUGAGGGAUCAUUUCUCCAAAUUGCUUAAAGUUCAAGGACCAUUUCUACAAUUUUCUCAUCUAGUUUCCCAUAUUUACCCCAUGAUUCAGCUUCACAUGCAUUGCACAUGACUCAUUUUGAAAUUUUUUUUAACGAAAUUGAUGAAAAUGACCAUAAAUGCACGUUUUGAAGAGUUAAGAGACCAAUGGUCGUGGAUUUUAGUUGAGGGAUCAUUGCUCCAAUUUAGUUAAAGUUAAGGGACCCUUGCUACAAUUUUCUCAAAUGUUUUGUAUGCGAAAAUAGGCAUUUGUAAAGUUUGGCUUGUUCAUGGCAUUAUUACUUUAGUCUAAAGUAAGGCUGGAAAUGGCACUGUAGAAAUGAAUAGUGUUCCAAUCCGAAUUUCAGUUUAAUUACAACAAUGCCAUUGCUCUUUGUGUUGCCUUUAGGUGAGCAGCCCGGCUUGCAGCCAGGCCCAAAUGUAUUGGUUUUAGCUGAGAAGCCCGGCCCUUAGUCAAGCCCAAAAUUUUAAAUUACAGUUUUGCCCAUACAAAAUAACAAUCCGAUUGUAUCGAGAAGGACAAUUUUGUCCUUUCAGUUUUGGGUGAGAUAGGGGGUAACAGGGUAAGUUUCAUUUGCUGUCGUUGAAUGAGGGUUUCGAGGAUGAGGGCUCUGUGUGUGUGGGUGUGUGAGAGAGAGAGAGAGAUAGAGAGAGAUAGAGAGGGAUAUGGCGAUGGAAGGAGAGCGAGGGGGAAGGGAAGGGUUCUCGGCACUGUUGCUGCAUGUGAAUUUCACAAGUGGGAGAGUGGGUAUGGUCAGAGAAGACCAUAUAGGUCGUUGGGAUUUCAGGGAAACGGGGUAGGGGUCAUGAAUGAACCCUGCUGAGAGUGGGUACUGGAUCUUGCGCUGCAUGCCUCAAAUCAAAGAUAAGUUCGUUUUUUUUAUUGUAUUUUUUAUGGUAGCUUAGCUUUUGGAAUUGUUUAGUAUGUUAGGUCCGAUUUUGGGGGAUUUAUCUUUUUAGAGAGAGAGAUGGACAGGGAGAUAGAGAUAGAGAGAGAGAGAGAGAGAGAGAGAGAGAGAGAGAUGAGGAAGCAUGACUGUGUGCAAUUUUUUAUGUUAAUUAAUGGGUUGGUGCGCAGGGUGAGUGACAGAGUGACAGAGUGAAGGAGGGACGUGUGGGAGGGUAUGAGUUUUCAGUUCUUUCUUUUGAUUCAACAGGUUAUACACUGUUUGAAAAACCUUUUUUUUAUUAUUUUGUUCUCGUUUGCUUUGUUAAAACCAUCAUUUGAAUUUUUGGGUUUCAUUGUGCUUAUUUCUCUGCUUCUUCAUAAUUUGCUGGUGUUUGCUUCUCAUCCCUCUGUUGGUAGAUCUUUUUCUCAUUUCUUGGUUCCUUAUGUAUUCUUUGGUACAAAUCUGUUUACUUUUUGGCUGUGUGAUAAUCUUAGCAGGUGAACUAUAUGAACGUUUUUUUGAAACGAGUUAAGAAGAUCCAGCUGAAAAGAGCAUACAAGAUAGAGAACUGGUAUGCUGCUCGCCAGGGAAAGGCUGCUGGAAAGGUUGAGACGGAUGCCUCUUUCAGAAACCAGGUCAGUUUCCUGCUGCUCGGCGUCUUAAUGUAUCCAAAUUGUUUAUCUUUUGAUGAAAUUAGCUGGCUAUAUUUUCUAUUUUAUUUAUCUGCAUAUUAUUUUGGUUUGUUGAAAUUUUGACUAUAGUCAUUGUCACAUGGGCGCCUAGCCCAACCCAAAUUAGUUGAGGAUAUUUAAAUCUUCACCAUGGUAUUAUAGUACUCACUCACAGUUGUGAAUACUAAGGUGCAUGCAUGGCAUGAAGAAGUGGACCGUGCACGCCAAGGUCAGAGGGAUGCAGAAGGCAAGCUUUUUUCUUUGGAGGUAAGUAUCCUUUGUUUAUUGCCCAACAGUGUUGUUAUUAUCAAUUUGUAGCUUUGCGUUCUGAAUUUUUUGCUUUGUCAAACAACCUUCUUGAAAUGCUCGAUUUCAAGCCGAAGUCCAAAAAAUGAAAGUUGAGAUGGCUUCCAUGAAGAGGGAUGUAGAGCAUUACUCGCGCUAGGUGAAAUCUGCUUCCUCUCUUUUCGUAUAUCUUCAUAUGAAGAGUUUUACUAAGUUAUAUUGAGAACUAUGUUAUUUAUAGGUUAUAUUUUCCAUUUUGCAGGAACACAUGGAGCUAAGGAAGAGCUAUCGUGAACUCACUGAUCUACUGGUAAUGUCACUCAAACUGCUUUAUUUGUGCAUGCUGCUACUAUGCGCUUGAAUGCAUUUUAUUACUGGCGGGAUGCGAAGAAAGCUAGAUAUAUGUGCUGGAUCGCUUGAUUAAUGUUAGGGUUUUAACAACUAAUUGUUAGCAGCUAGAAGCCCUGGUUAGAUUAAUGCUAAUUUGAUUUUCCUUACAGUACUUGAGUGCCAGUUUCAUAUUGUUUGUUCCCUGUUGGAUACCUGCUGUACAGUUUCAUUUCUGUUUCUUCAUAACUUUCUUGGCCCUGGGAUAUAUGCAUAUUGAGUACAAUGAAUAUCCAUUGUUCUCUAACUGUUGGGCUUUACUAUCUUUGUAGCAGCCUGCCUAACAUUUUUUAGGCUCUACACUCUACCAUCCAAUUUAUGAAAAAUUCAAAGAUUGGACGAUAUUGAUUGCAGAAAUGAAAAAAAUACUAUGAUAUUAGAAAGGUGAAUGUAAUUGUGUUAGAAUAAGCGUCUAGCAUGAUGGGUAAUAUUUUAAGUUUGUAUUUCUAAAAUUUUUUCGUUCUGGAGUAUGAUUUACCUCAAUUGUUUUGUACUUUAAUCUUUACUAAUUUUCAUUGUGGAGUAUGAUUUGCCUCAACUAACAACUUUUCAUUGUUUAACUUUUUCCUCCCUUAGAUAGUUGCAUAUGUUUGAUUUGUUAAUCUGCUUCUUACACAUGUUGUUUCCUAAUGGUGUAGGUGGGUUGUCGGAUGCAUGUGCAGAUUACUUGAAUAGACGAAGCUAAGAAUGACUUAGUAUUAAGUGAGACAGAAGCUUGGGUCAGUUGGAUUUUGACAUUUGAUUUAUUCAUGUUUUUUGUUGCUUGCAAUGUUCUCGCAUUGUUUGUUCUGAGAUUCUGUGAUCUUAUUUUUCAUAGGAACUGACAUUGGUUUGCCAUAUAAUGUUUCAGGAACUAAUACAACAACUAAUCACCUUGCUUAGCUCUCAAGACACAUACUUAACAGGUUAACAAACACUAACCUAUAAACUGAUCUGCUAAGCUGGACCAUUAACCUCUGUUUAUAUCCCUGCCACUCAUCUUUUGGCACUUAUCAAUAGCAAAAUCUAGAGUUGUUGAAACCCCAAUUUUAAUGAAUAUUAUUUUUAGUUGAUAAUUAAAAUUAAUUGAUGAUUAAUCUAUUCCAUUGUGCAUUAUUUUAUCGCCAAAUACUUUGAAUAUUCAUUAGCAAAAGAUAUAGGGUUCACUAUUUAAUGAAUAGAAUUUUGAUGGUGGAUUGCAUUUCCUGAGUUAUAAAUGUGGUGAAUCCAUUAUUUACUAGCUGAAUAAUCAUAAUGUUUUGGCCACUUACCUUGAAUUUUGUUCAAAUUGAAGAAGUCACAUGUUUCUUUCUGUUGUUGAGGUAAUCUCUCUGUUGAAAGCUUCUAUUUCUUUUUUUUUUUUCUUUUUUUCAUUUGGGUAGAUUUUUUUUUUUAUGGAUUUAUGUAUUUUUUUUCCAGAGAAUUCGAAAUGAAAUAAGAAUAGCGGAUUGAGCAUAAACAAAUUGAUGAAAUUUUUAUUUGAGUGUUUGUGUUAGUCCUUUUUUGAUUUGUUGAGGUUUGGAAUUAUUUGAGUUUUUUUGCUGUUAGUACUAUGAAGGAUGCUUGGCAAUCGCGAAAUGGGGGCUACCUCUUUGGAAAGAGAAGUCUCGCUAUCCAACCUCUCAUGAAUUACAAACAGGGUGAUUUCUUGCUGAAAAACCACUGAACCAGUAGAACUUUCCUCGGUUCUUCAAUUCGAUUCGAAUAAUUUUUUUACCCAGAAAAGCCAGCGUUUCCUGGUGGGUUUUACAGCUUUCUCAAUGUUUUUGUGAUUUUGGAUUUGCAAAUUUGUUUUCUGUUCAAAUUUCCUUUUGUGAUUUUGGAGGUUUUGUUUAUCGAUUCUCUCACUCAUCUCUCAGCUCUCUCUCACUUUUGAGGUACAUGCCGUUGGAUUCCGUUUGCUGCUGCUGAUCUGUAGGUAAAGCUUCAAUUACCAUAUAAAGUUUACAUUUUUCAUGAUUUCUUGAAUUUGGGUUUUAAACAAAGGAAAUAUUGCUAGAUUCUUAUCUUAUGUGCAAAUUACUGGCUAUUUGGAUUGGUGCCUGAGAUUUAGAGAAUGCCUCGCAGCUUUAAUUUCUUUUUCCUUCAUUAUUACUGUUUUCAAAAUUUUUAUUGCUGGGUAUUGAUAAUUUGUAGUAUGUGAGGGCUUCAAUAUGUUGGAAUUUUGAAUGGUUAUUGCUUCAUCGGAAUUUGGGUGGUCCAAAUUUUGAAUUAGAAGAAACCCAUUUGAUUAAUAUUUUUGGUGGAUUGGUUCUCUGUGUUUUCCUUGCUAUUUCUCCCCCAGUUGGAAAUUGGAAGCCCCAACUUUGAGCUCAGAGCUUGAAUUUCUCAAUCGUUCGUUUCUCUGCACUCUCAUCAAUCACUCUUGAUCCUCUAUCUAAAGAACUGGGUAAUUUUCCAGCUCUAUCAAGUAAUACUCCAUUUAAUUGCUUAAUUGAGGUUUUUUGUUUCUCUUUUUCGCUCUUUCAUCAGUUCAUUGACUUUGAUGUUGAGCUUAAGUAAAUGGGAGAUCAUUAAUUGGCAUUGUUCAAGAUAUAAUUCUGUGUUUUUGGAUUUGUGAAACGAUUUGCCUAAUGAUGAUAGUGGUUAAAAUAAAUUUUUCGUUAUGAAGAGAACAUUGUUCUUCAUUUGCCUACGGUUUUAACUACAAAGUUAAACUACUAUGCUUUUGUUCAAUUGACUGCAACUCAUGCCGCAGUUUGCUUCACAAACCUCUACGGUUAGCUUCCAUACAGUAUGUUGCAAGUUUGAGGAUAUCUUUACAUCUUAAUUUUUGCUCUCUCUGGUUGCUUCAAGUUUGUAAUUUUACGUGUUACAUUGCUACUUGAUUUGAUUAUAAAAAUGCAAAACAAAAUCCGUUUUGCUUUUAUUCAACUUAAAUGUAUCCUUUUGUUUGUUCAUAAUUGUGUUGAAUUUAUUCAACUUAAAUGUGUUUUAUUCAUCUAUUUACGCUUAAAACAACUGGUUCCCCUAGCAAUGCGCGGGCCUAAUUUCUAGUACAUAUACUAAAAGCCAGCAGAAAAUUACUGUUCAUCAUGGGAGAUAGAGCACUGUUCAUUAACAGUGAAAGGGCGAAAAUGCCCUCGGUUUCUUCUUUACUUCACGUACUGUUUACGAAUUGCUACAGUAUAAAGUCCGUUUUGUCCUUCCUGUCCACACAUCUUUCAUCGUCCGUUUCUCUUGCUUCGACCGUAUCUUUUUUGCUUUACCUUUCCUCUUCAUUUUUCGCAUUCGUUAGGCUGCGAUUUUCGGAGGUGGAUUGUUUGCCCUCCCAUUUCCAUGCUCUCCCCAUGCCUAUGUGGUCACAGUUAAACCACGUCAAUAUUUUAUAUUAAUUUUUUAUAAAAAUAAUAAAACAAAAAGUAAUAAGAAUAUAAAAUAUUGACGUGGCUUAACGUGGUCCGUGAUCACAGUAGGCAUGGAAAUGGUCCGCGACUUUCUCCCUUUUCGCCAGCCCCUCUUUUGCUCUCAAAUCCUUGCUCUUUCUUUUGCAAAAUAGUCUCAGAAGAGAUCCUGGGUUUAUCGAAUCCUUUGUUGUUCGGCGUUUUGUUCUCAUCUUGUGAUCGUCGGGUCAGCAGCUUUAAGGUAAGUUUGUUUUUAAUGAUUUAUCCUCAUUUUACGAUGUCUGGGCUAACAAAUUUAAGAUCUUUAUUUUUCUUUUUGCUGCGGAUCUGCAGGUUUUGACAAGUUUUUUGUGAAAUUGGUGCUGUCAGUGGGUGUUAACAUCAGGUACCCAUGUUCAGUUUUUCGUUUUGAUUUGAAGGAAUUUCUUGCGCAGAAGUGCUAGGGUUUCUUGGUGAGUUCUUCGGGUUGUGCAUAUGGGUAAUUUUCUUUUCGGUUUAACCCGCUGCUUCUGCUGCUCUCUCUCUUUCUCUCAUCCCUGCCUGCUCCUCUCCAAUUGUUUGCUGUUCUUAAAUAUUGUGUUCAUUGCCUGAUACAAGGAGCUGCAGCAAUCUGUUUUAUCCUACACGGGACAACGAGGCAAUGGCGUGACAACAGGUGAGCUUGGAUAUCCAAAGAAAGAGAACAGUUGGUUCAUCUGCUGGAGUCUGAAGCUCAGAGAAGUGGAGGAAAAUUGCAGGUGUGCGAGAAAUUUUAUUUUGCUGAUAGGACUCCUUAUUUACGGAUGCAUUUUGAAAUAAUUGAAAAGUUGGAUUUGAGUUAACAGCUAUAAAAAUGUAGACAUGAUUGCUGAGAUUAUGCUAUGAAAGUGGAAUAAAAAAAUGGUAGUUUAUAAUAUUGCGUACCAAUUUUUUUCUCUCUUUUUUACCAAAUGAUAAGGGUGGUGGCUCAGGCCGCCCCCCCUACGCGUCCCCACUCUUCGACAAGUUGAAAUCAUGGUGAUAGUUUAUGGGCUGUGGUCUUGGGAUUCUGCAAAUAGAUUAAAAAACAGACACUUAACUAUCUUGUUAUUAAACAUUUCUGCAUCAUUCAGUUGCUCUUGAUUUUCGUCUUUUAAGCGAUCUUAUUUCUGCGAUCUGACUUGAGGAGGGUUUUUAGACCUAUGGUUGUGGGUGUUUUGUCUGACCCCAUUAAAUUGGUUUCCGAGAUUUGUAGACUUGCGAUCGGCAGUCAAACAUUUUGUGAUUCUUGCUUUUUUUCCGACUGGGAUUGACGAAUUUUGGCCGAAUCUGUUUCCUGUUUUCUUCUCUGUUUGAGCGGCCGCUGCCUUUCGGUCGUUGAGCGCCGGCAGUCUUUAGAUCUUUGGCAAAUCAAUUUAAUACAACCGAGGUAUGUUUUAUAACUGCUGUCUUUCAAUUUUUGUUCUGUAUUUUUGUUAAUUUGGAUGAAGCUCUAAUAAUUUUGUUUUGGAUCAGUUGUGGUCCUCUGUUAGGAUUUUCCUGGCUAAGAGGGUAUUUGCGUUUUUGUUGCUUGGUUGGUCGAUCACAGAUUUACGAACAGCUGUGGUGGUCCUGUUAUUUUUUUGGUAUGUUUUUUCUCCUUUUUGGUUUUUUCCCGGUUUGAGCACCCAUUCAUGAAGAAUUAAAAUGUGUUUAUAGUUUUUCAGGAGAGAUUAGAAAAGUGAUUUCAAUUUGGGAAAAUUUAAUGUUGGUUAAAAUUUGUCUAUAAUUUUUGGGAAGGAAUGAGAGGACCCAUUGAAGUAUGUGUUGUGAUUAUUUUUUAUUCAUAUUUUUAACAAAUUGGGCAUGAAUUGGUAGGUUAACUGUGUGUGUUUAUUAUUUGAAUCGGCCAUGUUUGUCUUUCUAUGGUUCUAAAAAAUUUGUAAAGGCUGUUAACUUGGAAGAAAAUGGGAUCGAGGGUGAGGGGAAAACGGCAGAGAAAGCAUGGAAGAGAGAUUUGGGAUUAGGGGUAGGAAAACAGAUGAAAAGAAUAUGAUAGAGGAAUGAGUUCAGUUCAUUUUCACUAUUUUUUUUAACUGAUUUGGAUUUUGUUUGGGUUUGAGGCCAUCAUUGGCGUUAAGACGUUUAUUAUCAGAUCGUGUGUGUUUUUUGCUAACUUUUAUUGGUCAUUUUUAUGUUGUUCUUAUGAUUUUGUGUGGUAGGGUUUCUGAAUUUUAUCGUUAUUCAUUUGGUUUUUUGUGUGUGUUGGUUUGUUUAUUUUGCAGGUUGUGUUUGUGCUGGGACAACAUUUUCCACCUUCUGUUUGCACUGGGAUGAUUGCGUUUUAAAACUGUUGGGGUGAGAUUUACAUAUGGAAUCAUUCCAUUUUUUUUCUUCCAAAUAUGUGCAUUUAGUUCUUUUUAUUUUAAAUUUUAAAAAUUAAAUCGUUAUUUGAGUAAAAUGUUUUAUUAAUUUAUGUUAUGUGUUGUGAUCAGGAAUUCUGUUGGAUUUGCAAAUUUUGGUUUGAUGAGAGAGAUGAGGAGUUUUUUUUGUUUGAAUUUUUUAUUGGACCGAUUUUCAAUUGGAUUGCAUUCUGCCUUUUUGCACCAUUCUUAUGCAAGCAAUUCAUUGUUUUAAAUACAAUUUGAAGAGAGCUGGGUUGCGGGUUGGAUAUAAAAUGUUAAGGUGAGAUAAAAUCGAGAUACCAAGGGUGGAAGAAUGAUUCAGAAUUGGGGGAGGAAAACAGAGGGAAGAUGGAAGAGUAUAAGAGAAGGAUAGGGUUGACCUCAUUUAGAGUUUUUAUUUACUUUUUUUUUUAUUAUUUAUAAAUUGAUUCAGGACUAGCAUAUCAUUUCUAAAUUUCUAACAUUUUUGUUUAAUUUGACUCCAGUUGAUGGAAAACAGAGCUCUUACUCCUAUCAAUCAGUUGGUCCCGUACAUAAAUGCAGAAAAAUCAAGGUUCGAGUUUGCAGAGUAUGCAGACCAAGGUUUCCUGAAACUACUGGUGCUGUCACGCCCCAAUCCCGACCUAUGUCCAGGAUCGACACGUGACGUUAACAAAUACCCAUAUCUCUAACAUACCCCGCCUCCGGAAUAUGGGCAAAGCACAACUGCGUAAUAAUUUUUCGUAUACUUUAUGGCUGCAUCUAACAUCCUCGUUAGAUUAUCAUACCUUAUGGCUACAUCUAACAUCCUUGUUAGACUGCCUACGUACUCUCAAAAGGGAUCAAACCAUUCGUAGUUCACCACACUCCAAUCCACAAAAAUUUGCACAUGCACUGAUUAUAAAAUGGAACUGCACCUAUAGAAACCUAAUCAUAACCCGUGGGCGAUUUGCUCCCACAUAAGAAAGACGUCCACAGUACCAUGAAAUACUUCCACAUCUUUCCUUCCCAUUUACACAAUAUUUUAUUUCACCUCCCUGAUAAAUAUAGCAUUUACAUUACAUGUGGCAGACAAAUUUGCAUAUUCAACUAUAAUAAAAUACAAUCUUAGUAGGAAAAACCUACAAGACCACCACUCGUUUGAGCCAAACUUUAGCUUAGCACUCAACUGGUGCUCACACCAUGUGAGUGCACGAUCCUUUAAGAUGGAUGCGAUGGUUCUCUUUUGAGAUUAAUUUUGUUACAGGUAUAACAUAGUUGGCAACCGUUUAGAAAUAGAUGCCUCAUGUUCAAAACUCUCAUUACCAAAUGUUCUAACAAGUUAGUAGAGAAGGUAAAAGAACCCAAAUGGCGAGAAAUAGUGUCCUGAUGAAACAAAAGAUGUAACCCUCAUUCAAGCACGAACAUCAUUUCCUUGAGAAUCUGCGAUUUCUUCCCUCAUUUGGUCAAUAUAGCUUGUAUUCCAACUGCAACUUACUAAUAGCAUUUGUUCUCUCCUCGAAUGAAACCAUAACCAGCCAUUUUAAAUAAAGCUGAACAGUUUCACGUUGGGAAAAUAAAGAUUAUAACAUACAGGUUUUGGAUUAGAUUCCCAAACCAACAGAAAAUUAAGAUAGGAAUCUAUUUUGGGUUAACUGAGGUAUGAGUGGUAUACAAAUGAGAAAUUCCCUACAAAAGUCAAUAAAACCAGUUACAUAACAUGUUGAAUAUAAUACAACAUGAAAUAAGAAGCACCACUUGUUUAUCUGACUUUUUAUACAUGUAUUUUCCUAAGGGAUAAAAACGUGCGGGUUUUGGGAUCAAUCUGAAGAGGGCUUCACCACGAAUACAUAGCCUUUGACCGUGCAUGAUUUCGUUGCCGUAUGAGAAAGUUAUCAUUUUUUUUUUUUGUGAAGAAGAAUUAAGGGGGAGAAGAACAGCUGCCCCCUCUGUUUCUGCAUCUGCCCAGCGGGGAAAGAAAAAGAAGAGAAGCCCUUGGCUUCUAGAAUACUCCCUCCCCAAAAUUACAAUUUUGCUCUCUAACUUUGAUUGUUUAUAUCUUAUUCGUUAUAACUCUGUUUCACGAACAGCUUUUGCUUACAUGCUCACAUAGUCGUCAUCUAUUUAAAUAUAUCAAGAAAUACAAUAAAAUACAUCCUCGUAUAAGUAUGUUAACCAAUUAGGGCACUUUCGUCAUUUCCACUUAUCGAUAGAUUUUAACACGUUAAUUAUAAUAAUGUCCGGAAACAGCUUUAAAAUUUCCAAAUUCUAUUUCCAUAACCAUAAAUCGAUUUAUUAAUUUUUCAGGGUAUCACAGGUGCAUAUUCAGGCUUGCAUUGUAUAUUACUUUCCUAUUAAAAAUUUGUUUGGAAUUUGCUUUUCCCACAAAGGAGAAGAGCUGACAGUUACGCUGUGGGCAGAUGUUGCUCGAAGUAUUGCUUCUUUAUCCAUUGAAUCAUUGUCUCUGCCGAUCUUUGCGGUUUUCACAAGUUUAAAGGUCAAGCUGUACCUAGGUGUUUGACUUAAUUAAAAACUAAUCUAUUUAUUUCGGAGGCGGAGCAAAAUGCUAUCUGUCUUACCCCUCUUGGUGAUCUUAGUCGGAAAGAUCGGCUAGUUUGGGAUGUGAGUAAGAAUGGGCAGUACUCGGUUCGAUCGGGCUAUCAUUGGCUGCAAUCUAGGUCUGUUGGGUUCAGGGAUCAACGCCAGCUUGGUGCUUGCUUAGUUCCGAGGCAUUUGUGGCGCAUGGUUUGGUAGUUGAGUGGGCCUCAUAAGCUCCGUCAUUUCUUUUGGUUAUCUUUGCAUAAUGCAUUACCGUCAUUUCUUUUGGUCCGUGACCAGGCAUGAGGAGAGCAUGGAAAUGAGAGGGCAGACAAUCCACCUCCGCGACUUUCUCCCUUUUCGCCAGCCCCUCUUUUGCUCUCAAAUCCUUGCUCUUUCUUUUGCAAAAUAGUCUCAGAAGAGAUCCUGGGUUUAUCGAAUCCUUUGUUGUUCGGCGUUUUGUUCUCAUCUUGCGAUCGUCGGGGUAGCAGCUUUAAGGUAAGUUUGUUUUUAAUGAUUUAUCCUCAUUUUACUAAACUAUUUAUGGUAACUUAGUAUGGUAACUUAACUAAGUAAGUUUGCUUUUAGCCCAAGGGUUGGAGAUGGUCUUAGUAUGGUAACUUAACUAUUUAAUUCCAUCUCAUUAAACUAAAAAAAACAAUUACAUAAAAAUAAGGGAAACCUUGUCCAGAGAGACCUGAGAAAGUCCACCCCUAAGGACUUUGCGCCAGCACCCAGCGUAUUUAUCUACUCAAGUGAACAGUAAUAGACUGGAGUGAACAGUAAUAGGCCAAGGCAUCUCCACCCCUAAAAAAAUGCGCUGGCACCCAGUGCAUUUAUUUGGUGUGUUUUUUUUUUAAAGUUUAUUUCAGAUAAGAUUUUUAACCAAUUUCGGAUAAAAUUUCAAAUAAACUUAAAAAAAAACACUCUAAAAUAAAAUUACAUACUCAUCAAAUAAACUUAAAAAAACACACUAAAAUAAAAUUACAUAAACUCAUCAAAUAAAUUAAGGAUGAGCUUUUUGGUAUUUUUUUUUCACACAAAAAGUAUAUGAAAGCUUUGGUAGAAGGUCUAGAAAAUAUUGAAAUGUGGUGUAAGGUGGAAGAUGAGGGUUAGGUAUUUAUAGAAAAAAAAUAAUAACUUUUUUAAAAUUUUACUGUAUUUUAAAAAAAAAUCUGUAUUUUUUUAUAUUUUUAAUUAAUUUUAAUGUAGUUAAUUAAUUUGGACCGUUGGAUUUGAAAAAUAUUCAAAUCCAAUAGCCCAGGAUCGGCCACGUGGCCAACGCCAGCAAAUGGCCCAGCUUCUUGGUCAGCCUGUUUUGUGCUGGCCCAGAGACCAGUUUGGGCUGGGUGCCAGUCUGUUUUGUGGGCUGGAGUGAAUGGACAGGGUCCCAGCCUGUUUUUUGUGCUGAGUGCUGGCCUAAUCCACCACCGGUGGACUUGCUCUGAGAGAAAGUGACGACUUCUCCUCUCAUUCCACUCCAUACUUGAUCUCUAAAGUCCAUUUGGCAUGUAAUUGAUGUUCAAUUUCAAAUUUAGUGGUAGCAAUUAGCAAAGCUAAUGAAAGAAUCAAAUAAAAUGAAAGAAAAAGCAUCAUGAAAUAAAUCAAGAUGAAGAAUGAAAUUUUGGCAACUCGCCAUUCUCUUCUUUUAUAUAAAAGAUACAUCCUAUUUGUAGUGAAAACAGGUCCCGACAAACCCAGUUAUCCUCAAGAAGUAUUUUGUAUGACUUUAAAAACAUAAUCCGUGAAAUUAUCUCUUGGCUGAGAACAACAACAAAUCUUCAUGCAUAGCUUGUACAGAAAGACAUCAGGCAUACAAAAGAACACGCAAGCAUAAAAUAAACGACGCAGGGAAAACCAAAAAUACUAUAGAACACGUCGCUGUCAAAAGAACAUGAAUAAAUGAAAAUUACAAAACAAAGAAGUGAUGAGAAACCAAAGUACCCAUUUCAUAAUCUAGUUGCUUUUUAGUUUGCUUGCCAUUUUUAGUUCUUCAAUUUAGAGAGAAACGAUAAUUCAGCACAUGAAUAAAGUGAAAACGUAAAAGAUAUGUGGGAUAAGCUGACAGCCAUCCCUGAGUAAUGCAUUCACUUAUGAACCCCAAACACAACGAAACAAAAAUUCACACAUGAACUACAGCUCCGCUAUGUAACAAGAAUUAAAAGCAUCUCAAGACAAAAUGGCAAACUAUAAGAGCACUGUAAAAGUAAAAUUGCAAGAAAUCUAAUACUUGGAGGGCAAGUACUACUCAGACGAAAAUGAAAGAUUGAACUACCUCGCGUGGAACUGUGCCUUGGUUUUUUCCCAUGCUUACAGGAAGCUUUGCACUGAGCUCUUAUAGCCCAAAUUUUCUCUGAAAGAAAAAAACACAAUUUUGAAAUAAGAUUUUCAUAUUAUACCUUAAAGAGAAGAAUUAGAAAACAAAAAAGAGAACAAUGAGUACUAUUCAUCAUAUAUUGUUAGAGUGUGUGGUCCUUUGGUCCAAUGGUCCUGCAGCCAUAUUUACUUUAUAACUCUUUCUUUUAGUCUAAAAAACAUCUUGGAUCUCAAAUUAAUAUGAAUACGGAUUCAUACGCAUGCAUUGCAUUACAACCACAAUGCAAUAUCUCAUUAGAAAUCCCCACACAAAAUUUUUUUAUUUCUACUUUGAUUUUAGUUUAUAUUUUUUCUAAAGCACGAGGGAGCUAAUUUUUUUUUAAAUUUUUUUUAUUCCAAUAAUGUUAUAGGGUUGAAAGGAUAUUAUCAAUUUAAUUGAUUGUAUUUGAUUGGUGGAACUUCUAUAUCUAUAUUUCAGUUUUUCAAAUUCAGCACUGGGAGAGUCAUUCAUAAAAUGUUUGACAGUGAGAUUACCUCCAUGGAUUAUGCUCACAAUGGACAGCUCAUUUUCCGCAGUGAUGGGACAAUAUAUUUCAGUCAUUCGCCAUUCAAUCAAUUCAAACCGAGGAACAAGCAACAUCAAGAAGAGGAUCUGCCAUGUCAGGAUCACUGUCGUCCAAUUAAUACAAAAAAUCUAGAUAAAAACGAUCAAUUUACAUAAAAGCCUUUCAUUUUCUCAGCAACCAAGCAAAAGAAAAUACCUAUCCGUUAACACUCGAUUUGGGAGUAAAUGUUGCUGAAACUGGACUUCAAUCCCCUCAACCGCAACAACCGAAUCGAGGUGUGCAAGUCAUUGAAAAACUCACCCAAGAUUUCAAAAUCUGCAUAAAUAAAUAAAUAAGCACAUAAAUUAGCCAACCCUGUUAUGAUCCCACAUCGGGUACACAAGAAAUUGUGUAGUGGUACUUAAGUGCAAGGGGUCCUCCCACCUAUUGGACUAGUUUUUUGGAUUGGGCUCUUCCCUUGGGCUUGAGUACCUAACAUUGGUAUCAGAGCCUAGGUUCCCGACGCUGCGGGACUUGGCGAGUGGUGCAGCCUCGUGGUGCCGCCUUGAGAGUAUGGGCUCCUAAGGGUCUUGGCGACGGGCAAGGUAUGAAAUGCCGAUAUUAUCGCGAUAUUUCGCCGAUAAUAUCGGUUUUUUGAGUUACCGAUAUUUUAAUACUUAUCCACUGAGUUUUCGUCAAAAUAUCGCGAUAAUAUCAACAAUAUCGCGAUAUUACCGAUAAUAUCGCGAUAUUUUGGAGAUGUGCGAAUCGGAGAAGAACGCCGGAGCUUUUACAGCUCCGGCCGACUGUAAAAGAGCACCCUAGACUCCGAUCUAGGUAUCAAAAUGAAAUACAAGAUGAGAGGAAUGUUUUUAUAACUUCCGUUUGCCGUGAAACGGUCGAAGGUGUUCGGAAAGUUCGUCGACACCCACGGCCUCGCCAGAGAUGGGUGUGCCUAUUCCCGAGCCGAUUUCGUCCCAAAAACCUUGCAAAAACACGAGAUAGAACUUAAAUUUCACGUCUAAGCUUCAAUCUAGAAUAGAAUGAGGUAAACCCGAAGCUUACCUAACCGGAGAAAUUCAAGAAACUCGUCGGAGGGUUCCUGCGUCGCCGAGUUGCAGAGACGAGAAGGAGAGGGAGAAAGACGAGGUUGCUGAUGACGAUGGGUGUCUUCCUCAAGCAAGUGCGAUGGUGUGCGUGUGUGUAUGUGGGUCUCGGUGCAGAGAGAAAGGAGAGAGAUGAGAGUUUCGAGAGAGAGACGGCACCGACGAGAGCUAUUUGUUUUUUUUUAUCUUAAAAAGAGAGAGGUCUAAGAGAAAUGGGAAGAGAGGGCCGAGUGAAAUGAAAGGAGGUCCUUGAAUUAUUGAGAGAUAUCUCUGAGAGAGGCCUAGGAUUUCUAAAAGGUAAUCAUAAAUGGGAAAAAUGGGGCACAUCUUAGCCUUUAUUUUGGAAUCCUAAGAAGUUCACCACAUGGAUGCAUGACAUGUGUGCAUGCCAUGUUUGUUGAAUGGGAAAAGUCUGACACGGAAAGACAAAGAGUCGUUUGGGGCUCUGGGCUCGAGGCAAGACAGAAAGUGCUAGGGUUUUUUUCUGAAAUGAACAUAAGCUGCUAAAUUCGCAUAUAUUAUAGUUGUUGCUAAAGAUUGUCACUAGUGUGGACUUGGACGUGUUGGUCAACAUGUCCUCACAAUCCCCAAGUUCUCUGGUUCGAACCCUUGCGCCCAUCAAAUUUUCUUUCUUUUUGAUGCGCUUUUCCCAUGGCUCUAGGUCUUGAUUUCGAAUCCAAGUGAGCCCUUUCCUUUUUCUUUUUUGUUCUUUUUGUUUUAUUAUUUGUUUAUUUUAAUUUAUUUGUUUCUUUUAUGUUUUUCUUUUCUUUUAGUUUCUUUGUCUUAGGCGUUCGUUUUUAUUAAAGUAGGAUGUAAAAUCAAUUAUCUUAAAAUUAUGUGUUUUUAAAUUUUGGACUUGUUUGUUGGAUACUUUUUUUUCAUUUUAUCAUUCUUUUAUUAUGAAAAUAUGCUAAAAUAUGCUAAAAUAUCACUUAUGUUUUUGUGAAAAUAUGCUAAAAUAUUUAUAUAUAUGAUUUUGUUUUGAAUUCUUUUUGUACUAAUUCAUUAUAUAUAAAUGAUUAUGGUGUGUUUAAACUUCUUUAAUUAAUUACUACAUAUUUUCUAUACUCACAAUGUUUGCCAGCUCGCUAUAUAAUCAACUUAAAUCAGUUAAAUCCAUCAUGCAAUGCAUUUCCUUCCAAUUUUUUGUGAUAAACUUGUGAACACGGAAAAUUCCUGAAACGAAAGAGACAAGAACGAACGUGCACAAACAAAUAUUAUGUAUUUGAUGAUUUUGGGUUACAAUCUCUCUCUAUUUGAUCCUCUGAUUCAAUCUCCGUAAGGUGUGUAUUUGUGGAUGUGUGAUUGAUCCAAAGGGCCGUUGGGCUUGAUCUAAUGAUGAACGUUCUUCAAGGGCCGUGGACUUGAUCUUGAAGGUGGAUUUGAGCGGAUCUUCAAAGGGGCUUUUGGGCUUGAUCUUGAAGAACGGUUGGAUGUGUGGAUUUGUCGAAGUUGUUGAUCCAAAGGGCCGUUGGGGCUUGAUCUUGGAUGAACGGAUGAUGAACGAUGGUGCUUUCUUCAAGGGUCGUCGGGGCUUGAUCUUGAAUUGGUGGAUGGUUGAUCCAAGGGCCGUCGGGGCUUGAUCUUGGAAGAACGAUGAACGAAGAACGAAGAACACUUUCUUCAAGGGCCGUCGGGGCUUGAUCUUGAAUUGGUGGAUGAUUGUUGAUCCAAAGGGCCGUUGGGGCUUGAUCUUGGAAGAACGAUGAACGAAGAACAAAGAACGCUUUCUUCAAGGGCCGUCGGGGCUUGAUCUUGAAGGUGGAUGAUUGUUGAUCCAAAGGCUGUCGAGGCUUGAUCUUGGAAGAACGAUGAACGAAGAACACUUUCUUGAUUCUUCGGGAACCUGGACGCUUGAGAGCUUCGGAGUUUCAGAGCUUCAGAGCUUCAAGGUGUAAUAUGAAUUGGUCCCCCCUAAAUGAAUGAAAUGGGCUUGUAUUUAUAGAAUUUUCCAAGGCCUAAUUUUGAAUAUAAUAUCUCAGAUGAAAUAAGUCGUUUCUGCCAGGUGUUAACACGUGUCCUAUUUGAUGACUUUUCCAACUCAUUUCAAUUUUCGUUUAGUCACACGCUACGUGUAAAAUUUAUGUAAUACAUGAGCGUUGACACUUUGAUUUAUCGGUCAACAUUUAUUUACCGAAAUUUCGAUGUCUACAAAUGCCCCCACUUCAAGGCACGUCGUAUACCUGUGCUUGUCACGUGUAGGAGAUGCGUUUUGAAGUCCCUUACCGUAGAUGCCGAUUCAAGGGCCGUUGAAGCUUGAUCUUGAAUUGGGCUUGAGAUUUCUUCAAGGGCCGUUGAGGCUUGAUCUUGAAUUUUUGUUUGAAAUUUCUUCAGGGGCCGUCGAGGCUUGAUCUUGAAGGUUGAAAUUGGGCCACAAGGAGCUUCAUGUGGUAGAUGAUCUUUGGCUUUGGUAGUGGAUGAAUCGGCACGUAUUUUAUUGCGCUUGUUGACUUUCCACAGCUUUGAUCUUGAACUGGGUUGGAGGAUUUUCUGGAUUCCUCCAAUUGUUGAUUUUCCACAGCUUAUUCUUGAACUAGGUUUUGAUUCAAGGGUGGUAGACACUUGAUCUUGAAUCGGACUUGUGAUUUCCUCGAUGGCCGUCGAGGCUUGAUCUUGAAUUUGGUUGGAAACUUCUUCAAGGGCCGUCGAGGCUUGAUUCUUGAAGGUUGACUCGAACAUAUGGCAAGCAGGCACGAGGUGAAGGUGACGACUUGUUGCUUUGUUCAAUCUUUCUAAUUCACACCUGAGCAGUUUGGUCAACGGUAUGAUCCUCAAGAUUGAUGGGCUCUUCUUCCAGUUGGUGACUUGAUCUUUAAGGAUUUGAUUCAAGGGUGGUGAAUCGGCACGUGCAGCCCACAACGCCUAGUAAGCCGACCCAAGAAUUUGAGGGUCAAAACGGAUUCACCGUCAGAGUGAUUGCAACUUUGAUGAUAUGAGAUACUCUUGCUUUUGAAGAAGUAGUGGAUGAAUCAGCACGUGCUUUGUUGCGCUUGUCUCCACAUGCUUCAAGGUAUCAUCUUUAUUUCCUUUAUCUAUUCCUCAGGCAGAUGUGGCAUCUUCUCGAGUUCUUCAUCUCAGACUCUUUCUGCUGAGUUGACUGUUCAUGCUGCAUUCUUCUCUGCUUGUUCAUUCUGCACGUUGUCUCCACAUGCUGCAAGGUAUCAUUUUCACUUGCCUUAUCUGUUCUCCGGGCAAAUGUGGCAGCUUCUUUGAAAGUACAGUAGCAGCGGGAGGCGAGUACUCGAGAGCAGUGCUAGGUAGGCAAUCAGGGAAGGGUUCCAAGCAGUCGGUUCCUUACCCGAGUUUGAGUGGAAGUUCCGGCAUAUUGUUUUUUUUAUCCUUGUCUUUGUAGGUAAGAACAAGGACAAAGGAAAGGACAGGGAGAACGCAUGAUAUGAGAUACUCUUGCUUUCUACCCUGGUGAUAUGAGAUACUUUUGCUUUGGAGUCAUUGGCUUGCAGAGGUACCCCAAGGAAUAAGGAACACUGAAUGACUCGAGAGGCUUCGUUGGGAAAACAUCUUUGGAGAUGAAGAAAGACUUUGUGUGUCUGCCUUGCUAUGGAAGGCGAAGGUAGACAAUUAUAGGAAGUUCUUUGAUACCUGUAGAUGUACUAUUCUUUCACUCGUGUCGGCAACCAAUGCGUGAUUGAUCUAUAUGGCUUCACGUGCUUCCUUCUUUAUCAGAAAUCUUCGACAAACUGUCCGUAAUUUCCGCCAAGCUGAGUGUGCAUGUGAUAGGUGUUGACGCGGCUGAAAAAGACUGGCGCUUAUUCGAUAACUGGGAUCUGCGCUUCGACAAAUUACCCGUGAUUUCCGCAAAGCUGAGUUUGCGUGUGAUGGGUGCUGACGUGUCUGGAAAAGACUGGCGUCUCUUCGAUGUCUGGGAUCGGCACUUCGACAAAUUGCCCGUGAUUUUCGCAAAGCUGAGCUUGCGUGUGACGGGUGCUGACGCGUCUGGAAAAGCAAGAUGCUUCUUCGAUUUCUGAGCUUGCCUCUUCGAUUUUUGAAUGGCCUCUUCGAAUUCUGAGCUCGCCUCUUCGAUCUCUGAAAUCCCGUCGAGUGUUGAUUUUUUAUAGAGGCAUGCUGUUCGUUUCAAAGCACACUUGAAUUUUACUUGUGAAAACUCCCUUCUUGCACUUCUAAGAUCUUGAUUCGUCUGACCUCUUCUUCCUUCAACACUUUGAAAAUGUCUGGACCCUCCGACCGUCGUUUUGAUUUGAACUUUGGUGAAGAUGUAGUCCCGUCUUCUCCAGAUAACAUAUGGCGCCCAUCCUUCAUAUCCCCUACUGGUCCUCUUACUGUUGGGGAUUCGGUGGUGAAGAAUGAUAUGACCGCUGCGGUGGUGGCCCGAAACCUUGUCACUCCCAGAGAUAACAGACUACUUUCCAAACGGUCUGAUGAGUUGGCUGUUAAGGAUUCUCUGGCUCUCAGUGUGCAGUGUGCGGGUUCUGUGUCCAACAUGGCCCAACGCCUAUUUGCUCGAACCCGUCAAGUUGAAUCGUUGGCGGCUGAAGUGAUGAGUCUUAAACAGGAGAUUAGAGGGCUCAAGCAUGAGAAUAAACAGUUGCACAAGCUUGCACACAACUAUGCCACAAACAUGAAGAUGAAGAUUGACCAGAUGCAGGAAUCUGAUGGUCAGAUUUUACUUGAUCAUCAGCGGUUUGUGGGUUCGUUCCAACAGCAUUUGCCUUUGUCUUCUGGGGCUGUACCGCGUAGUGAAGCUCCUCAUGAUCAACCUCCAGCCCCUCUUCUUUCUGGAGUUCCACCGAGUGGUGUGACUUCAAACAGUCAACCUCCGACGUCUCUUUUCCCUAGAGCUCCACCGAGCACUGAGACACCACCUGAGCAAUAAAGACUCCCUCCCGUUUGUUUGCACAUUUGUAAAUUUUUUUUUUUUUUUUUUUUUUUUUUUUUUUUGGUAUGUAGAAUGCAAUUUUAUGUAAAAUUUCCAGAAAAAAUAAAUAAAAUGGAUUUUUAUUUCUCUUAAUGCUUUUUUUUUUUUUUUUUUUUUUGCUGUAUAUAUUAUACACACACAUUUAUACAUACAUAUAUACAUACAUAUAUAUAUAUUUUCACGUGGAGUGAUCCACCAUCCCAAAACCCAUUUUCCCUUUGUUUUUUUUUGCAUGGUGCUAGCCACCAAGAAUUCACCUUUUUUUUUUUUUUAAUUAAUUAAUUAAUUUAUUUAUUUAUUAAUUUAUUAUUAUUAUUUCUUUUUCGUCUGCUUUCACAUGGUGCUUGAUCCACCACUCUCUUUUCUUUUUUCACGUGGUGCCAGAUGCACGCCCCUUUUUUUUUCACGUGGUGACAGCACCACUCUGCUUUGCUCUACCACAUUUUUUUUUUUUUUGUAUAAAUUAGGAUGCUUGGCUGAGGGAUUUUGUAGGGAAGGACGAAGACGGACGGAGAGCCGGAGUUUGAGGAAGAGCUUCUCGGCCGGCUAGUCGUUUGACAGCGGUCUUUGAAGUUGGUGGCAGCUGCGAGGCAAGAGACGGAGGAGGACAGGGCAGCUGUGACGGACAGAGACGCCAUGGCAGGACCUCGAGGAGUUUUAAGAUACUGGUGCAGGUACUGGCGAGGUGAUUUUGACGAGAAAAGCAUGAAGAGGGCGUCGAGCACCAUGGGCCUGCAAUCCUUAAGGUUGAUCUCGUAGUCCUUGAGCUCUUGUUCAGGCAUGACGGGAUCCGCUGCGGUCUUUUUUAUCGGCAAUAAAGUUCUUUGCCUCAUAAAACAGCCCAGAACGCGAUAGAAGAGUUACGAACAAAGCACAAUGUGCAACUGUAGGUGUCUUGAUGCAGUUGAAGUAAAACUUCCCUUCCUCGACCAUGCGUGCUGCAACGCAAGCAUGAAGGACAGCAGCAUAGGUGAUUUCAUCGAUCUGUGUACUCGUUUCCUUCUCCAUUUGGCAGAAUAAAUCUACUCCGAUCUUUCCUUGUCCGUGUAAGCUGUACCCAGUUAUCAUCACUGUCCACGAAACAAGAUCUCUUGUACUUCGACCCUGGCAAAAACUUUUGCAGCUGAUUUGAUAAAUCCCGACUUGACAUACAUGUCCAUAAGAGCAUUCAGAACGGUGAGAUUCAUUCGAAUACCAUGUCGCAGCAAGAAUCCAUGAGUCUCUUUUGCCAUGUUUACCUGCAGACAUUCUUGCGCAUGCUGGGAGAACACUAGAGACCGAGAGCGGAUCAGGUUUCACCCCGUCUCCAACCAUCUGCCUAAACAGCUUAAGACCCUCAUUGAAGCAUCCCCUCUUCACAUUGGCAUGAAUCAUUUCUGUCCAAGAAAUGACAUCUUUCUCCGGUAUUUGGUUGAAAACUGCCCAAGCUUCGUCGACACAGCCACAGUCCAUGUAUAUUUUCAAGAUGGUAUUGCUCACCAACACAUCAUACUCCAAUCCACGUUCCUUGGCAACCCUGUGGACUUUUGUUCCAUCAAUCAACGAUCUCAACAUGCCACAGGCACCAGCCGCCGUCGCCACAGCCACAGAAUCUAUCUGUGCUCCGGACUCCACCAUUCUCUCAAACACAUGAACCGCCUUGCCGGGUUUACCUUCCGCAAUGUACAGCCUGGCCAGCAUUGUCCAUGAAACAGAGUCCGUAACCAGGGACUUGUCAAACAGCCCUUUCGCGGAGUCCGCGCUGUCGAGGCGACCGUACAACUCAAUGAGAGCAGCAACCACGUACCGGUCACCAGAGCAGCCGAGCUUGUGAGCGUGGGCAUGGAGUUGCUUGCCGAGGGAGAGAUCAACCGAAAGGCGAGAGGCAGACAAGACGCGAGGAAGAGUGUGUCUGUCGGGCGACGAACGCGCGGAUGAGCAUUUGGUGGUAAGUGGCGAGGGCGUGGUGGAAGUCGGCAUUGGCGAUAUGGGUCUGGAUAAGUCUGUUCCAUGCAAAGGUAUCUGAGUGGGGCAUUUUGUCGAACACCUUGUGGGUGACGGCCACCUUCGUGGUGGGUUUAGCAUUUCGGGAGUGCUUGUAGUGGGCUGUGUUGAUUGGGUUCUCGGUGACGAUCAAGCGCUGGAUUUGGGCGGAUGGAAGGGCUUCCAUUUCAGUUCAGUCGCACCCAAUUCAGCAUUGCCCGUACGGAUUCGAGCGCAGUUAUCGAGGAGGAGUUUCCUUAAGAAUAGAACCAAUCACCGACUCCUCAAACCCAUCCGGAUAUGCGAUUUUCAUGAGGUGCAAACAAGAACCCUCUGCCAUAAGUGGCAUGAUCACCCAAAGGUUUCUUUCAACGACAAAUGAACAAAACGCCCUCACGACAUUGGGAUGAUCUAUUAAUCUCAUCGUCUGCGCCUCCCUCCGGAUAUCCUCGAAAUUGCUAUUGCACCGAUCGAGAUCCAAGCACUUGACGGCGACGACUUCAUUGAAAGGGAGAUAGAUCGCUCUGUAAACCGUUGCGCUGGCGCCAUAUCCGACCUCUUCCAGAAGCUUGUAGUCGUUCGGAUUCGCCGAGUGAAGCCUCGAAUUGCUACCCAUCCUCCCCAUCUGUUCGAGGACUUGUGCUUCAGAUAUGUCGUUUUGAGGCUACGGGCUCUGCGUUUGGGCUGUGUGCCAGUUUGGGCUUAGUGUUGCUUUGGAGAGAUCUAGGUUUGGUUGAAGAGGUACGGUGAAGCCAUGGGCAAGGGAGAUGACGAAUUGGGCUUGGAGGCUGACACUUGGGCCUGGAUGGCCUCCUUUUGAGAGGCUUGCUGCUGAUGGAUAUACAUAUAUAUAUUUGUAUGUAUAUGUAUGUAAAAGAAAUCUUUUUUUUUUUUUUUAAUUUUUUAAUUUUUUUUUUUAUGUGACUGAACUCGAAAAAAUUGAACAUUCGAGCUGCCUACGUACCCCUCCAAAGAAGAGAUCAAGUCGCAACGUAGUUCAAAUACAUUUUUGGUAUUUUCUUUUUGUGUCGUUUGCAGUUUUAACUCAUGCAGGCAAGGAGUGUUGGUGUCGUUUGCAGUUCCAACUCUUGCAUACAAGGAGCGUUGGUGUUGCCUUUUAUGCUCGUGUAGGCCAGGAGCGUUGGUUCGUGCAGUUUAGGCUCGUGCAGGCGAGGAGCCUUUGGUGUCGUUCGCAGUUUCAACUCGUGCAAACAAGGAGCAUUUGGUGUCGUUCGCAGUUUCAACUCGUGCAGACAAGGAGCAUUUGAUGCCGUGUUGCAGUUUAGGCUCAUGCAGGCGAGGAGCGUUGGUGUCUUGUAGUUUAGGCUCUUACAGACAAGGAGCUUUGGUUCGUGCAGUUUAGGCUCGUGCGAACAAGGAGCAUUGUUGGUUCGUCAAGCGAUCCGAGAGAGUUGUUCCUCACAAUCUUCAUAGCAAGGAGCCUUGACCGCGUGAUUGAAGAAGUCUUCGGGUAAAAAGUCGCGCAUCGUGAUGGCAACAGACAAUCUUUGUGUCGUAGUUUCAUCAUCUUCAACACGUUCACGUUGCUUUGAAGGUUGACAAUAGCUGCUUUGCCCCCUUUUCAAUUGGCGGACUUGUGGAGGAGACGUAUGCUUCUUGUGCAAUUUCUUAGGAGUGACUUGAGUCCAUCCUUCAAUUUUGCUUGUCUUGGACGAUGCCCCCAGCGGUUGAGGUGAAAACUUUGAGUCGGAAGAGCCAGAAGUGAAGGUGGUAUAGUUUGACUUUGCCACUUCGUCAAGAUCUAGCUCGAUGAUUCCUUUCUGAGCCAGCUUCAUGAUGAGAUCUUUCAGCACGAAACAUUUUUCUGUCGGAUGACUGAUGAAGCGGUGGAAUUUACAGUACUUUGGACUGUCGGUGCGAUUCAUCUCUUCUGGCCGUUUGCACUCAGGCAAACCAAUCACCUUCUUUUCCAACAGGUCAUCCAGUAUGGCAACCACAUCAGAGUCGGGGAAUGGAUAAGUCUUCUCCUCAAGCUCCUUUAAAGUGCGUCUACGCAUUUCUUGAUCACGAAAAGCUUCGGUUUGAAUCGCCUUGCCUCGUGUGGAUAUUUUGACGGGAGAUGUGUUGACCGUCAUCGCUUCCUUGGUGGGUUUCCAUGCAGCCUUUUCCACCUUUGUCCCAAGAACUUUGUCGUUCUUGUAGUCGGCGAUUGGUUCUUUCUUCCCAUGAUGGGCGAUGCUCAACUCCAUGUCAUGGGCGCGAGUGGCCAAUUCCUCGAAGGUCCGCGGUUUAAUGCCUUGAAGGAUGUAUUGCAAACCCCAUUGCAUGCCUUGGAUGCACAUCUCGAUUGAAGAGGUUUCCGAGAGCCUGUCUUUACAGUCGAGGCUUAGAGUGCGCCAUCUGUUGAUGUAGUCAAUGACUGGCUCGUCCUUCCACUGCUUUGUGCUUGUUAGCUCUAGCAUGCUCACAGUGCGGCGAGUGCUGUAGAAGCGGUUGAGGAAUUCCCGCUCCAAUUGCUCCCAGUUGUUGAUGGACUCAGGCUCUAGGUCAGUGUACCACUCAAAGGCGUUUCCUUUUAGUGAGCGCACAAACUGCUUGGCGAGGUAGUCCCCUUCGGUCCCUGCGUUGUUGCAAGUUUCAACAAAGUGGGCAAUGUGUUGUUUCGGGUUUCCCUUUCCAUCAAAUUGCAUGAACUUUGGCGGUUGAUAACCCUUCGGCAUCCUUAAGGCGUCGAUUUUCUUUGAAUACGGCUUCGAGUACAACCCGGAGGUAUUUGAGCUCCCUUCGUACUGUGCCUUGAUGGUGUUGGUGAUCAUCUAUUGCAGCUGCUGGAUAGAAAGAGAUCCCAUGAGUGCCGCUGCUUGGUCUGGCUCCGGCUUUGCAUCGUUUUUCUCCACCUGAGGCUCAUCUUCUUCGUCAUCUCUUCUCUUUAGUGGAUCAUUCUCUGGGUCGGGUUUAUCGCCGUCCUGCGCCUUUAGUCGAUUGACGAGUGCUGCAAUUUGCAAGUCUUUUUUCUUCCACCGUUCGGGUCAGCCUUGCGAUUGCUUCAUUCAUCUGAGCCAGUUGUUCUUCAACGGAGGUAACGCCGAUAGUCAUGACUUGUGCGACCAAUAUACGUGACUUUCCUUUAGACAUCCAGGAUGCUGAUGAAGAACGUCGUUGGCUGCUUUGGGAUGUCAUCUUAUGUGCCUCAGCAUCAUGCUUCGGUGCCCCCAGCGAGGUCAGGUUGAUGACAGACUCGCACCUUGGAUGCUCCCCUUGCUCUUUUAGCGGCACCAAUUUUGAAGUAGCAUGUUGGGGAGCGGUUGUGGCGCCAAUGGAUUGUCUGUUUGCGGCAGAAGUGCUUAGGAUCCUUCCCUCAGUGGUUGCGAGAAUGGCUUGUCCUUUGCUUGAUGCCAUUGACUUUGAGGUGUGCUUGGAUUCCUUGAACGAAGAAAGAGAUGAGAGGUAGAGAUUGUCCCACCGGGCGUGCCAAUUUGUGAACACGGAAAAUUCCUGAAACGAAAGAGACAAGAACGAACGUGCACAAACAAAUAUUAUGUAUUUGAUGAUUUUGGGUUACAAUCUCUCUCUAUUUGAUCCUCUGAUUCAAUCUCCGUAAGGUGUGUAUUUGUGGAUGUGUGAUUGAUCCAAAGGGCCGUUGGGCUUGAUCUAAGGAUGAACGUUCUUCAAGGGCCGUGGACUUGAUCUUGAAGGUGGAUUUGAGCGGAUCUUUAAAGGGGCUUUUGGGCUUGAUCUUGAAGAACGGUUGGAUGUGUGGAUUUGUCGAAGUUGUUGAUCCAAAGGGCCGUUGGGGCUUGAUCUUGGAUGAACGGAUGAUGAACGAUGGUGCUUUCUUCAAGGGCCGUCGGGGCUUGAUCUUGAAUUGGUGGAUGGUUGAUCCAAGGGCCGUCGGGGCUUGAUCUUGGAAGAACGAUGAACGAAGAACGAAGAACACUUUCUUCAAGGGCCGUCGGGGCUUGAUCUUGAAUUGGUGGAUGAUUGUUGAUCCAAAGGGCCGUUGGGGCUUGAUCUUGGAAGAACGAUGAACGAAGAACAAAGAACGCUUUCUUCAAGGGCCGUCGGGGCUUGAUCUUGAAGGUGGAUGAUUGUUGAUCCAAGGGCUGUCGAGGCUUGAUCUUGGAAGAACGAUGAACGAAGAACACUUUCUUGAUUCUUCGGGAACCUGGACGCUUGAGAGCUUCGGAGUUUCAGAGCUUCAGAGCUUCAAGGUGUAAUAUGAAUUGGUCCCCCCUAAAUGAAUGAAAUGGGCUUGUAUUUAUAGAAUUUUCCAAGGCCUAAUUUUGAAUAUAAUAUCCCAGAUGAAAUAAGUCGUUUCUGCCAGGUGUUGACACGUGUCCUAUUUGAUGACUUUUCCAACUCAUUUCAAUUUUCGUUUAGUCACACGCUACGUGUAAAAUUUAUGUAAUACAUGAGCGUUGACACUUUGAUUUAUCGGUCAACAUUUAUUUACCGAAAUUUCGAUGUCUACAAAACUAAUAGAUAAUUGACUAAAUAAACAUCCUGCAAAGUUUCAAUAAAAAUUUCCAAGUUUUUCUUACAAUUUCUGUGGUUUCCAUAUUAUUUUUAUCGAUAUCGAUAAUAUCCCGAUAUUUCAAUCGAUAUUUCCGUGUUUUUGGACUACCGAUAUUUCCGAUAUCAUCGAUAUUUUAUACCUUGGCGACGGGGGACUUGCCGACUGGUGCCACCGUGGACGUUGGGUCUUUCGAAAUGUGGUGUAAUGUUAUGAUCCCACAUCGGCUACACAAGAAAUUGUGUAGUGGUACUUAAGUGCAAGGGGUCCUCCCACCUAUUGGACUAGUCUUUUGAGUUGGGCUCUUCCCUUAGGCUUGAGUACCUAACAAACCCAUAAAUCAAAGAAAUCAAAAUCCACCCAGAAUCAAAGAAAUCAAAAUCCAUCCAGAACCAAAGAAAUCAAAAUCACACACAGAUAUACAAGGUGUACAGUACUGACAUGCCUUAAAUGAUAUUAUUCACAAGAUUUAUAAAGCUCAUGUCGUAAUACUUGUGCAGAAUCUAUCAUUCACGGCGUCACUUUUGUGCAAGUUGUAAAUAAAAUUAUUCACAAUUUAAACAUUGUGUGUCGUAUUUGACAAUUUAUACUACGCACUUUCUUUUUCUUUUAAAGCUUUGCGUUAUGUCGUGAAGUUGACUUUCUAUAUAUUUGGGUUGUACCUUUUAUGGCGCAAAUAACACGUCGUAAAUAAUGGCUUUUAGCACAGAAGUUUUGUGGUAAAGAAGCCCGCGCACUAAUUCAUUCUCGCGCCUUCUCUUUUUUAUUUAGCCGCUUCUUUUUUUAUUUUUUAUUUUUUUUGUUAAAUUCCCCUCAAAUGUUAAAAGAAAAAUUAAUGAAAUAUUUGAAAACUUUGAGUUUUAACGAUAAGGAUAAAAUAAAAGGUAAAAUGAAUAGUACCAAAAUUGACUUUUUAGUGUUAAAAUAUGAUUUUUCGUUAAAGUGAACAGUGCCGAAAGUUUUUCGUUAAAGUUCAAUGUUAAAAGGUUUGUAUUUUCUUGGUAAACUUGAAAGACAAACAUUGCAAUUGCAUUUUCAUUUACCCAAUAUUAAUUGUCGAGAGCCCACCCCCUUCCCUUCUCACUGACAUCGUAACUCUCUCCUCUCCAUCGAUCUCGCUCCAUCUGCUCGCCGUCGCUCUAUAUGCUCGUCAUCACCGUCGAUUCGUCUGCUCGUCGUCACCGUCGCCCAUCUGCUUUCCGUCACCGUCGAAGUGCCCCGCCAUUCAAGAUCUGAAAUCCCCAAUACAGGGUGCUUUGCGGCAUUUCGUUCUCCAAAACUUUAGGUAUGCUCUCAAUCUGUAUCAACCCUAUCCUGUCCCCUCUAGAUUUUUGUUUAGUCUCAACUUUAUGGUGCUUUUCUUAGAUUUGUUCUAUCACUGUAAUUUUAAGGGAUUUUAGGUAAUAAAUUUGGUUGAGAAUCUCAGUUAGGUUUGUAAUUGUUUUCUUGGUUGCCUGGGUUUGAGGAUGAUUAAUCCACUUUCUGAAGUUUAAUUACUUUGAACUUUGAUUUGUGGGAAACUGCAAUCAAAAUGUUGCUAUGGCUUUAUAGUUAGAAUCGAUUGUGAGUCUUUGCACCACAUCAAGCAAUACCCCGGUGUUGUAAUUCCGAGGUUUGUAAUUGCCGCUGUUAAUGAUGGUUUGGUCCAUCCUUUUUAGGGAGAUGACUUCAAUGAUUGAAACUAGUUUAUCAUUAUUUCAGAACUCUGUAAUACGAGACAUGAUAUUCCAAAAAAUAUUUGCAUGAAUAUAUGUGCAUUGACUGACUAUUUUUCAGUCUUUGAUAGUGGAGAUAACUCUUUCAGGUCAUAUGUAGUUCUUACAGAAAUUGUAUGGUAUUUUGGUUGGUUUUGUGUUCUGGUUGUAGCAAACUGGUGGAUGCCCUGAGAUGAGUAGUUAUCUACAAAGUGGAUGGAUCCUGAAGAGUACAAAGUCUAAGGCAUUUUAUGUAAAGGUAAAUCCUGUUACUUUUAAUUACUUAUAUGUGAAUGCCUGCCAUUUGAAGUAAAAAUUCUUUUAGCCAUUACAUUCUUCAUAAAGAUCUUUAUAUGCUCAAAAGAAGGAUUUUUUUUAGAUGCCAUGUAACUGGUGGUGGCUAGCCUCUUCUUUUUAAGACUCUAGUGUGUUUCAAUUACACUAGUCAAUCGUUCUUAUGUGUAUUAUGUUUUGUUGAUAAGAUGGCCAAGACAAAGUUGUAGAGCCCUAGUAGCAGGGUGCUGUUGGCAUUUAUAUUUUUCUUUUGAAGGGGUGUUUAUUGCUUUUAUACUUUCAUUGUUUACUCUCAUACAUACAAUACUGAAAAAUAAGCAUGUAUUGACGCGUAAUUUUAGAUCCAUAUUUAUACAUAAUUUUGAUUACAUGUCCAAAUUACCCAAGAUUCUUUUUCCUUUACAAAUUUGUGGAGUGCAUUACAUGGAUAUGAUUCAUGUAUGAAAUACACAUGACUCUCACUAAUUUAAGGGCAGCAUCAUUGACUGUACAGUUUUCAAUUCUUUAUAAUCAUGAGUAUAGACAUUUUUUAAUUCUUUAUAAUCAUGAGUACAACAAUAGUUUCUAUAACAAAAUUCUGUUAAAUAUGUAAUAUCAGUAUUUGUUUUCCAGGUUCAUUAGUUGAGGAUGAUUUUUCCAAGAAAGAAAAGAUCGCGGCUUUCAGGCCGAUCUAAAGAACAUUAUGUUGAUAUUGCACCUGAGAUCUUACAAGAAGAGGACGAAGAAGUACCAGAUGACCUAUUUACAGAGGAGUCGAAUCAAACUAAAAGAAAGAGGGGUCCUACUAGAAUGAAGACAAUUUCCACAAAUGAUGGUCAACGAAUUGAGAUUGAAUGGAAUGAAAACGGCCAGUUUAUUGGUGACGGAUCUAUUGACUUAUCUUCUUACAUGGGUUCUUUGGUCCGAGAGGUUGUCCCUAUAACAUUUGAUACUUGGAAGGAUGUUCCUAAGAAAACAAAGGACAUCCUAAUCAAGGUAAUAUGCAGAUAAGUCAAUUCUGAUCCCUCUACUUCAAGGUGAACAAUUUAUAGUUUAUAAAUUUUACUUGUGUUAAUAUAUAUUUUUUGGUAAAUGUUAUGGAUAUUUUAUCAAAUCAGAGAGUAAAUUCGUAUUAAGUGAAGAUUGGCAAAGAACAUAUUGUUUUGAAAGGAUGAAUAAUGUUUGCAGAUCACAUAUAUCAGUAGUUGUGAAGUCCAUAAGAGAAGCAAGAAAUUGGAAAGCAAGGCUUCGUCUAAAACCAAAUAAUGUCAAAUUAAUUCAAGAUUGGAAGACUUCCCUUGCAAAGUGUAAGCUCAUUUUCCUUUUCUUUUAUUUCUAAGAUUAGUUAUCUUCUUUUGAGUUCAAAAUUGGGUCAGAGAAAUCAAACUGAUAGUAGUUAAAAGUCUAUUUCAACACCAAGCCUUGUCUACACAAGAAUUUGGUGUUAGUUAAACAUGUGUAUGAUUCUAUCUUGAUUGCAUGUUAAUUUAGUUUGAAGAUAGAUUUGGUACAUGCUAGCUAAUUGAUACGUGAUAUGAAUCUUUGGUUUCCUUUUGAUAGGACAAAAGCGAAACAUUCAGAGAGAUGAAGUCUAAGCAACUCCGCACACAUGUAGUCGCAAGGGAUAUGGUAGGUUGGCGGAGGAUUUGGUAAUUACAUUUCAUUCUAGUGCCUUCUUUUCUACAGGACAAGAACAAUUUACUAAUUUUAUUCUGUGUUCUACUGUGUGUUUACUACAUUUAUGUUUCUAUUUUGUAGAAAAGAAAAAGUGUAGACCCUUCUCUAGUUUCUAGAGGUGAUGUUUGGAUUGCAGCACAUACUAAAAAGGGUGGUGGACCAUCCAAUUUGCUUGCUGCAGAGACUAUUGUAAGUAAUUUUUAACCAUUUAUUUCUUCUUGUUUGUUGAUAUGCAAUGAUGAAUGAGGUCUUAACUUUGAUGUGCAACGUUAGGAAAAAAAUUAAGCAAUAUGGAAAUGGAUCAUCAUCUGGUUUUCGAGGUGACGUUCUUUCCAAAGUUUUUGGUGCUGAGCGACAUGGUCGUGCAAGAGGAGUUGGAGGUGGUGUUCCUCCUACAAAGCUUGGAAUAUUUUCACAACAAAAAUUGCGUAAUCACCAAAUGGAUGAAAAGGUGCACAAUUUAACUAAUCAGGUCAGAGCACUGACAGAAUUGGUGUAUCUUUUUAUGAAAAAUCAGGUUAGUGAUUUAAUAACAUUGGUAUCAUAUUGAAUAUUUGUGAAAUCAGUUUUAGUGACACAUCAAAUCACAGGGUAAUGAUCUACCAAGUGAGGCAUCUCCUGACACACAGGUUGCAGCUCCUGAGGCACAUGUUGAUACUGUCGCAAGAACUGAAACUUGUCUUUCCCAUUGCGCAACAAAUGAAUCGUGGUGGCGAGGUUGAUACACUUUUUCAAUGAGCCUUCUAACUAUUAAUGCUCAUUGACUCUGUUAAAAGCUCUGCCAUUUUCAAUCUAACUAGACACUAGAAAUGAUCAUUGACUCUGUUAAAAGUUAUGAUGUUUUGGUCCUUCUCCAUAGUUGCGCAUCUACUGAUGUCUAUUUUUUUUCAAAUACUGCAGGUUAUUUCUGAAAACAUUGAAACAUCGUGGUGUACCAGAUGGUUUGAUUAUAAGACACCUUCCUUUUGGUCCACCAACUUAUUUAUAACUGCUAAAUGGUACGUAGUGUGAUAAUUUUCAAAUAUUUUGAUAUUAAGACAGGUGUAGGACAACAUAGAAAUUCUUAGGGCCUUCAGCAACAAAAUUAUGAAAAAGUGAGUGAGAUACAAUUAAAAAAAUGAAAGAGAAGGAUCAUGAUUCAUGAUCUAAAGGUUUGAAUAGGGUAGAAAGGAUUUAGUUUCGUUGUUAAAAUCGAUUGUGAGUCUAUUGUUAUUGUAUUGUCAAUUUGUUUAUUUACUUGAACUUCCUAGUAUCAAUUUGGUUCGAUAUAUCUAGCACCACCAUAGAUAUAUCUAGUAUCAAUUUGGUUAGAUAUUGUCAAUUUGUUAUUGUAUUGUCAACUAUAGAAUGUGCAUCAGUUGUAAAAGGAACAAAACAAUUCAGAUUUUUUGUUUAUGUCCAAACUUAGAAUUGUAUUGUAAUUGACAAUUUCUACUAAUUAAUUUAAAGUAUUUGGAGUUUAAUAUGUUUAUGAUCAAUAUUGUUAUCCUUCUAUUGUAUCAGUUUAGAUGUUAUGAAGUGAGGUCUGUCUAAAAAUGAUAUGCUAAAUAUAGAUGUAAAUUACGGCAUCUAAAAUCAGCAAUAAUUGUUGAUGGUAGUCUUUUUUUACGAUGCACGAUGUAUGCCGUAAUCACCUUCACAAUAUUACGACACUCAACAAAUGCUGUAUCAAAUAUAAAUUACUGCACACAAGUAUGUCGUAAUUGUUUUUCAGUAUUACGACACCCUAUUAACGCUGUAACUAAUACCAAUUAAGGCGCGUAGGACAUGCCUUAAGAACAUUUAUGGCGUGUUUUACUUAAAUUAUUCACUACUAUUAGAGUACGUCGUAUUUGUCAAAACAUCUUUUACAACAGGGGCUUUUACUGCUUGGAGGCUCACGUCGUGAAUUUCCAUUUACGGCACCCUUUGUGCGCCGUAAAAGGCCAAUUCUAUUGUAGUGAUCCAUGGGUACAUUUUUAAUCUACAUGUUUCGUUUUAAUAUAUCUAUUGCUAUAAUAUGUUUUGGUUGGUUCAAAUUCGUUUUACAUAAAUAUAUGGGUACAAAGUUUUUGGAGAAUAUUAUGUAAAAUGGUUUUUAAGGUUGUUGCAUUUUAUGUACCCACAUAUGCAUGUCUAUAAAACAAUGUGGUAUGAUGUACAUUCUUUUCCUUGAGUUUUUAAAUGUACCCAUGAGUUUUCUUGUAAAUUCAGUAUGUAUCCAUAUGCUAUUUAUGUUAUGGGUACAUAAAUUAUUUUUGGUCUAAGUUGGUGGGUACAUUGCUUUUGUAUGUAUGAAUUCAUUGGGUACAUUAUUUCCCUUAAUACUACUCAAUAAAAUUCACAAAAAUAUGUGCAGUGUGCAUGAAUUUUUAUUGUAGAAAUUGUUUUUUUUUAAUUUUUAAUUUUUAAGUCUCAUAAUUCGUGAAUUUUGUACAUAUUGAUCCCAUAAAUUUUUGAAUUUUAUUAAAUUUCUUUUAGACUUGAUCGAUUGAUUGAAUCUCAUAAUAAUCCCUUAAAUGUUCCAAUCAAUAUUUUAAAUUACAGCUUUUUAUUUAAGAUUUCAAAAAGAUGACAUGAAAAUAUAGUAAUACUAAAAUUUUAUUUUAAAUUACAUUUGUGUAACAAUCAAUGGUAUGUUAAAACUGGGCAAAAAAAAAAGGUAUAUUAAAAAAUUAUAAUUUAUUCUUUUUUUCAUAACUGUCUUCUGCUUAGAUUAAAUUUUUACCAAUUUGGGGGAAUUAGUUCUUACCAAUAUAUAUGCACAGUAUUUGCUUUUUACCUGGGCUUAACACAUGAUUAAUUACUUUCCUACCUGCUAACGCGUUGAUUUGCGCAUCCAAAGUAUUAUCAAAGUCACUGCCACCAAAAAGGUGCCCACUCCACAACCUUUGGUUGAACCAAAGAACAUCACAACAAUAAGGAAAUCGUUAAAUCUAUCUCCGCAACAUUUUUAUUAAUCAUUAGAUAGAUUAAACGAUUCCCCUGUUCAUAUUGUGUUCUUUUGUUGAACCAAACCAUGUCAACAAAAUAUAUCUAUGGUUAAGCAUCUAGAUUCAUGCUUUUGGAUGUGCAUCUUAAACCCCUCAAUGAAUAGCCAAGCAAUUUAUCAUGUGUUUACAGUAGGUCAAAAGAAGAAAGUGUUUGUCUAUAUAUUGGUAGGAACCAAUUCCUCUGAAGAGGAGAGAUGGAAGUGAUGAUAAUACUUUAAAUAAUCAAAGCCCAAACAUUUUAUCAAAUUUCAUCUCUGUACUCCACGGAGACACUAAAUGAGACAUAUCUGGUCCAUCUCUGAACAUCUUUUCUUACCGUUCUUACAAUAGAAAGGGCACAAAAUUGACUUACACAGUCUUGCACAAUACUCACUUUGCUUCAACCCAUAUUUCACUUUGUCAAAUCAUACACGUUCCUGCAAUAGGUGAACUCAUAUGUAUCUACCACUUCUUGCUAAUUUUAAUUUUUCCAUUCCCAUUUUUGCUACAAGUUUCACAUAAAUUUUUUAUUGCACUUGUCAAUUCUUUAUACUUUUUUAUUGUAUUUUUUUUUUGUCUUUUUUUUGUAUUAAACAAUUACAUGUCCUCCAAAAGUUUUGCUUAUUGCCCUAUUUCAUCAAGCUCGGUAUAAAUAGAUCUUAAUUUUUUACUACAGUUAAAUACAUGGACAUGCCUCCACAAAUACAAAUUAGUUCUUGCUUAAAUACUUUGUGUGUUUACAUAGAAAAUGUUCCCAUCGUCUACCAAAAUCCUCCACACAUGAAAACAAAAAUUCUUACUCAAAAAUACAUAUUACAAUACCACCAUAUCUGUUGUUUUUUAUUAAAUUAACACACUGUUUUCAAUUUUAUCUUUAACACAAAAGAAAAUGCUCUUACACAAUAUGCUUGUUUACAUUUUAUAACUUAUCUACCACAUGUUAAUCGCAAUUAUAUAAAUAGGAAAACACGUGUCAAUAGAAGUGUGAUGCAUGCUACUUCGUUAACAAUAGUGGCAACUAAACAAUUAAAUAAUUUGUUUCAAUUAGUUAGUACAUUUUAUAAAUUUCUUAAUUAGAACUGUUUCAGUAUAUUCAAUACAUUUUUAAACAACUUUCCAGUUAGUUGCCCAAACUAAUUAUUCCAGCUUAUUCAUAGUAUAAUACCAACAAUUUAACAACCAAUGAUACUUCGUUUAACAUAAACUUCAUUUGGAAAAAACAAAAAAAUAUCUUUUUCUCUGCUGAAAAAUCCAACAGAGUUAUUGAUGCAGAUCAGUUAUACCAACAAAUUACCAUAGUUUACCCAAUGCUAUACAGGUUUGACUUUUGUUUAUAUUCUUGGAUCUGUUGCUUGGUUGUAUAAUUUGGUUGUGUGUUUUGUUUCAGGACAAUUUGUUCUUCGUUUCUUGAGGCUUUUGUGUGUAGAUUUGAAACCGUUUAGCUUUCAAGCCGUGUAUACUCAAGGUAAAUAAUUUCGUUUUUUUCUUUGUAACCUUUUUUGUAAGAAAUUUUUAUUUAAUGUUGUGAGAGUUGUGUUUUCUAGAGUAUGAAAAUUGAAUCUUUGUGAUCUUAUAUCCUUAGAUAUGUUUCUUGGUUAUAUGAUUUGGCUGUGUGCAUUGUUUCAGGACAAUUUGUUCUUCGUUUUUUGGGGCUUCGGUGUGUAGCUUUGAAGCCUUUUGUAGUCAACAUAAAUAAUUUUAUUUUUCUUUGUUUCUAGUCUUCUUUGAAAGAAUUUCUUAGUUAAUAUUCUGAGAAUUAUGUUUACUAUAGUAUGAAAAUUGAAUCUUUGUGAUCUUGUAAGUGAUGUAACGUCAUUGCAACAUGUAUGACUGCCAUUAUCGAACAUGAAGAGCUUUUUGAUUUUUGUACUCCGUCCUUUCAUACGAUCUGACUCAAAAAUUGUUUCAUCACAGGUUCUAACAUGAUUUUUGCGACGUCUUAUGAAAAUACAAUGUCACUUCUGGUAUUCCAACUUAAACAAAUUACAAGGGAUGUCUAGUUUUAAACCUGCAGUUAGUAUAUACUAAAACGACGGUUUUGGCCCUGCUCUCGACUUCUUCAGAAACCUCGAGAAACUUCAAACUGAGAAAGCUUCUCCCUUCCAUCUCUGCUACGCGAUCUCUGCUUUGCGAUCUCUGCUUCCUCCGUGAUUUCUUCCCUCCUGAUCGACAUCUAUUCGAAUUGAAAACCUUCUGGAGCUCUCUUCCCCAAAUUUCAGCAGCAACUUUGCUCCAGAUCUUUCCAAUUGAAAUUCCUCUCCUUCACAUUUUGCAUAUUGAAUUUCGCAUCAUUAUCAUCUCCCUAGAACCUAGGAGUUUGGUUCGGUUUCGAGUUUUCCGACGGAAAUCCGGCGACAGCGGCCAUCGAGGUUGGUCUGAAACUAUUCCUCAUCACCACAAGUACUUUCUACACCUAUUACACUUUAGAAAAAAUUUCAUGAUUUGGUGGAAUCCAAUUUAAUGAUUAGAAAAAUUUUCAUUAAUUUUCUGGGUUCGUGGGUUGGAGGUGGAUUAGAAAUUUUUUCAUUAUUUUUCUGGGUUUGUGGUUUUUUUCCAAAACGUUUUUCCUUUCUACUAAUCCAAGUUCCUUCACAUCAAUCUCUCUGUUUCGUUCUUGAUCUUCCGCGAGUAGAAUACCUCUCCUUGCUCUCGAGCGCGUGGGCAGUCGCUCCAAGGCAGCCCAUGACGUCAUUUUCCGAUUCGACUCGGAGGAGGUUGGCUGCUCUUCUUGGCUGAGCUUCAUGGCUGGCCGAAUUCCCCUAUUCCCUUCCUCUUAUACUCUUUUGUAUUCGUUCACCAAAACAAUAGGAAAACGUCUCCGUCUGUUUGAUUGACGGCGAAGAAAAAAAGACGGAGAUAAAAGCCUGACGGAAGCUGAAAGCUUGGACUCUGUUUGUAUUUUUAAUGGAUUUUCAGAACACAGGUCAAGAAUACUGCGAUUUGAGAAAGAAAGAAAGAACCACGUUGACAUAAUAUAUUCACAAUAGGCGUACAUAAAGCUUUACUGUGGUUCCAUUUUUUUGCAUAUUUCAAAGGCUCUGAAUUGUUAAGGGAAUUAGCCUUUUGUUUUAGGAAGAACUUGGAACCCCCUCCGUCCAUUCUAUUCCCGAUGGAAUUAACACUUAGAUAGUACUAUGACAAUGUGUCAUUAAUUGAUGCAUACCUGUAUAAAUUUAGGCCAAGUGUUUUAUACACAAAUUGAUACAGAUUAAGCUUCUGGGUCGAAAUCAUAUACCGGUGAGCUAACUACACAAUGAUACAUUCUUAUCUGUUAAUUAUCUUUGGUUACCAGCUAUCCAUGUUGCUGACAUAUUAAACUACACAACAUCUAUUGUAAUUUAUGUCUUAUUAGUAUCAUCACUUUUGUUCUUUAUUUCAAUGUCUAACAUAAUGAUCUGGUUUCAAUUUGCUACAGGCAUUAUUUCCAGACAAUAGCUAUGGUUUUGAUUGUAGCGGUGACUGAAAAAUUAUUCCGAAACUAACAUUUGAGGAAUUCAAGGUUUGUUAGUUAAUUUGUACAUCAGAAUACCAUGACAAACUAUGAAGUUGUAAUUGUUGACCUUACAAUGUAUCUUUUUUGGUUUGGAGCAUUAGACUUAUAUGUGUUGCUUUCACUUCAUGAAGGCUAACUCUUUAUUUUAGGCCUUAGAAUAUAAUUUUUUGGAGAAUCUACAUUGUUGAUAAUUUUUUGAACAAUAUUAUCCCCAAAAUUUCUCCGCAUGUUACCCUCAACGUAGACAUCAUAUAACCAUCAUUGAACUUCUGAACCAAAAAUUUGAGUUUUAUGAUUAUAACUAAACGUCUAUAAACACAUGAUACAGAUUGAGACGAAUGUCAAAUUUAAAAUGGCAUUAAUCAGGACAGCUGCAAACUCUGAUUUGCGGCCUUUGAAAUGGAGCAGUUACUUCUUGCUUCACUUCAACAGCAUAGUCCAGCUUCUAAAUUCAGUUCUCAGGUAUGAGGUUUCUCAGUUACCUCUUUUUUGUAAUAAAACAUUUGAUCAGUACUUGCCAGGAUAUCCAAUUAAUUAGGUCAGUUUUUGUUAGCGGUAAUAAUUUGUUUUUGUAGCUUUAUAUGUGUCUCUGUCUCCAAAUAUGAUGAUCUCUUAAUUUGCUUCUAUAGCUUUUGUAAUAUAAUGAUCUCUUAAUUUGCUUUUGCAUAUCUUCUUUGCUUCCUCUGCUAGCUCUAUAUGAGAUUCCAUCUCCAAAUAAUUAUUCCUUAUUUCCUAUUUUUACAGGAAGCAAAUCAUUGAAUACACAUGGAAAAUUAAAAGGGUUUUAGUUUUUGGAGUAGUUUAAAUUUUUUGUUUGUUAUUGCUUGUAUUGCUGUUAAAUAUUUGAUGGGUAGUUUGAAAUGGGGAACUUGGUUGAUUGAGUAUUAACUUUUAUUAAAUUAAUAUUCUUAUUCAAUAUUGAAUUAAGACUCCUCUUAUUAAAUUAAGACUCUUAGAGUGCGUUUGUUGCGCCAGACUGUCUCGGACUGGACUAGCUGCCGGGACUAAGCUGGACUGGCUUAGACUGGACUAAGCUAGACUAACUUAGUGAAGCGUUUGGUGUAAUGUCGGACUAAGAAGCAGGAUAAGAAAAACAGUACUGUUCACCAGAUUUGUGUUUGCUUAGACUAGGAUUACAAAUUUUUGCCAUUGUGUAAUAGAGUAAUGCUACAAAUCUCAUGAUAUGGGUUAAUUGGAGCAUAUUUUUGCCAUGUAUAUUAUGAAUCUUAAAAAAAAUUGACAAUUGUUUUGUUUCUAUUACCUGCUAAUAGAAUUGGGUUUAAUUUGCAAAUGUAGCUUAGUUUAAACUCUAUCACCCAACAGAAGAAAAAUAAUAGUGCCCAAUACAUGCAACUUCAACAAAUACAAGUACAUAAGAAGAUCUCCAUAAUUUAGAAAAUCCUAGUUAACAUUAGUUAACAUUAGCCAAAAUAGAUCUCCAUAAUUUACAAAAUGGCUAGUUAACAUAAGCCAAAAUACUAGUGCAAAGCUAAGUUAUAAGCCAUAACAUAAGAUUGUAUGAUUAAUAAAAUACAUCCAUGUUAACAUUAAUAAAAUACAUCCAUGUUAACAUUAGCCAAAAUCCUCAUCCGCUUGCGUUGUCGCUUAAAAGCCUUUGGACGAACACUUUCUUGAGUUCCGGUUUGAUUGCCCUGAACACUCCCACAUUUUUUGGUUUAUCCAAAAUAAGAGACAAUGCAUCAAUUUGAUCCAUAGGAGAGAGACCCAUUACUUCAAGUUCAUUAGCUAUGUCAGUAUGAUCUGCAAUACCUUGAACUAAAGCUUCAGUUACCAUUUGCAUCCUCUUCCCACUUUCAACAUAAAAAUCUUUCAGUCCACUGAUAAUUGCCUCGGUUCCAUCACUUGAAUUUCCCACAGCUCUUUUCCUCUUUCUUUGGCUAUUUUCAGAUGGGGUGCUUUGUUGGCUUUGUUGGUUCAUUGAAGAAACAAAAUUUUCACCUCCAAUAUCACUUUCACCAACAUGAUCAUGACUUUGUUCCUCCACCAUUUGAGCAGGGGUUUCGGCUACAUUACCCGUAGCCCGAUCUUUUCCAAAUAUAUAUGCAAAUCUAUCAAACAGUGGAAAAGGUUUGCUUCUCCAUCCAUCGGCUUCUUUAUUUCUCUAAGAUUAUAUCAACAUAGCAAAACUAAAAUUUAGCAUGCGUAACAAAUAUAGCAGCAAGAAUAUAACUAAUGUAUAAAUAAAAUAGGAUAUGAACCUGCACAUAAGUUUGCCAUGAGUCAUCACUGUCAACUUCAACGCACUUUUUGACAUCAUUUCAUGCAAAUCCACUUGUGUUUAUCAUGUCAACGACCAUACUAUAUGUUUUUUUCCAUUUCUUCAACUUGGACUCAAUAUGUGGAUUUGCCUUUAUAUUUGAAUGAGGACAUAAAACAUUGACAACUUUUGCUAUUUCAACCAAAGUACCUUGUUUGAAAGCACCGGUGUCACACCGUUGCUUCCGAGCAACAAAAUCCUCAAGAACUCCUAGUAAUACUUCUUCCUCAAAUGCUUCCCAUUUACGCCUUCUUCCUUUUGGCUCUUGAGUAGCAUUCAAAAUAUUUUCGUUAUCCAUACCUAAACAAAAAAUAUUUUAAUGAAGGAAAAUACCAUACAAAUAAUCAAUUUGCAUAAUAUCCAAUCAACUUGCAUAAUAUCCAAUUAAUUUGCAUACCAUCCAAUCUUUGUGCUAAUAUCUAACAAAUGCAUGAUAAAAAGGAAUACUAAAAUAAAAUGUUAUCAUUAACACAUAUAGCUAGUUCGGUUGCUGGUUCCUAAUUGCUCUCCAUUCAUUAUACAUUUCCUGAGCCAUGUCAUUCCUCUUUGCAGUCCACUGGUCAGAUGUUUGAACACUACCAACAUAUUCACCUUCUUCUGUAUUUUGUCCAUCUUCUAUUAUUGGAAAAUUCUCCAUUGGAUCUACAGACAUCUCUUGCCUAAUAAGAUUGUGUAGUAGGCAACAAGCGGUAAUUAUUCGACCUUGUGUCCUUAUCGGAUAGAAAGAUGGACUCCUUAGUAUCGACCACCUUCCUUUUAGCAAGCCAAAACAGCGUUCAAUUACAUUCCUUGCCUUAGAAUGCUUCAUGUUAAAAUAUUCUUCCUUAUUAGAAGGUGUUCGUCCCUCCCAUUCAGAUAAAUGAUAAGGUAUUCCUCUAUAGGGUGCAAGGAAUCCUUCACCAUUUGUAUAACCACCAUCUACAAGGUAAUAAUAACCUAAUGAAAAAAAAAACAGACCUUAUUAGUGUUUUGUAGUUGACAAACAGAACUAGACCUAACUUACAAAGUUGAGACUAAGUAAUAGUCUUACCCGCUGGUACCUUAAAACCAUUAGGCCUAGUAAUUGCAUCAUGUAGCACUCUAGAGUCUGAUGCAGAACCCUCCCACCCCGUAAACACAUAUAUGAACUGCAUAUCUCCUGAACACACACCUAACACAUUAGUUGCGACUCGACCCUUUCUUGUUCGGUAUCUUGGUUUGUCAAUUUCAGGUACAUGCACAUCAAUGUGUGUUCCAUCCAAUGCUCCCAAGCAAUUCUUAAAAAAAAAAAAAAAAGUUUUUGUUAAUUUAUACAAAGGGAAUGAAGAGUUAAAGCUUAGGGAAAAUGAAAAAAAAUUCUCAUCAUACCUUAAAACAUCGCCACCUAGGAUCUGUAGAAUCAAUAGGCACAGGCUGAGGGACUUUUAGUAGGAUACCUUGUAAUCGCAAAAUUCCUUGCAAUACGAUAUUGAAAUACCUACUUAUAGUCUCUCCCGACCUAUAAAAUCUACCGCCAACACUACGAUUCUUAGUAUGAUGUGCUAAUAUUUGUAAAGUCAUACACACAUGCUCCUCUACAGACACCAAACCAUCAGUUUUUACCCUCCCAUCUUGACGAAGUAAGUCACAUAAUAUGCCAAAAGUCCUUCUAUCCAUUCUCAAUUCGUUGACACAUUCAGUAUCAGUAUUCCCUAUUAUACCAUUCAGAUAACACAAACUAAUCUCUCGUCUAAUAAGUGAACGGUUAGUCAAUGUGGGUCGUUCAACAUGUCUCUGUUUGCCACGUAGCAUCAUCAACACAAGAAUCGUACAAAUGCAAAUUGUCUCCAAAUAAGACAUCUCUAACAAUAAGAUCAAUAAAAGCUUCCUUCGAUCCAUAUCUAUCCAAACAAAAAAAAACAAAAAACAAAUUAAGGACAUUAUAUAUGUAAUAUUUACUGUUAUUAAGGGUUAUGGAAAUGAAGUGAUUAUGAUACGAAAUGAACUAGAUCAAAGUAACUAGCGAAGUCACAAUCCGAGGCAUCAAAUAUACGGGUGGUGUUGGAAAAAAAAAAGUUAUCAUUAACCCGAGGCAACAAAUAUACAGGUCAGAUGCACACACUGCAUACACACUCACACACAUACUCACACGGACAUACACACUAUCACACACGGACAUACACUCACACACACCCUACAUACAUACAUACAUACACACACACACUGCAUACAUACACACACACACACACUGCAUAUAUACACACACACACACACUGCAUACAUACACACACACACACACACUGCAUACAUACACACACACACACACACACACACACUGCAUACAUACACACACACACACGACAUACAUACACACACACACACACACACUGGUCAGAUGCACUGCACUCACACGGACAUACACACUCUCACACACUGACAUACAUACACACACACCCUGCAUACAUACACACACACACACUACAUACACACACACACACACACACACACACACUGCAUACAUACAUACACACGCACACACACUGCAUACACACACACACACACAUUGCUUUAUGAAAACCCCAAAUUCCAAAUUUGAAACCCCAAAUUCCAAAUUUCUAAUCUCAAUUUCAAACCCCAAAUUCCAAAUUUCUACUACAUACUUACAUACACACACACUGCUUUAUGAAAACCCCAAAUUCCAAAUUUCAAACCCCAAAUUCCAAAUUUCUAAUCUCAAUUUCAAACCCCAAAUUCCAAGCUUUAUGAAAACCCCAAUUUCUAAUCUCAAUUUCACCCAAAUAUCAAAACCCUAAAAUUUGUUCAACUGCAGAAUCAAAUAAAGCUCAAACCCAAAACAAAUCCGCCCAAAUCGACGAAAAAAAUCCACCCAAAUCGACGAAAAAAAUCGAACAAUCGAAGCUUACCAGACAACUGGAGGCAGAUGAGGGCGAGCAGAUCUGUUACGUGAAGACGAGGGAGUGGACGACGAGAGGAACAGAUGAGGAGCAUGAUGCAGAUGAGGGCGACCAGGAUGCAGCUGACGGCAAGCAGGAUGCAAAGAUAAGGAUGAGGAGGACGACGUGAGGGAGGAGGACGUCGACGACACUCUCUCCUAGGAUGAUCGAGGUUCUUUCUCGCAAGAGCGCAAUCGGAUGAGGAGGACGACGUGAGGGAGGAGGUUUUAUGAAUCUGGACGUUUUUGGGGUGGUUCGCUAAGAACUCCUAGCGAGGGUUUAAUCCGUGCGAGUCAGAUCUAAUCCCAUUAAACCUAAUCCUUGCCCCUACCAAACAUCAGACUACAAUACCAAUUAGUGGAGUCCAGAACAGUCCCCCCUAAGAAGGUCAAACAAACACGCCCUUAAGGCUCUAAUCUAAUGUUCAUGCUCAACAUCUCCUCUAUCUUUCUACGAUUGGUAAAACUUUUGUAUUAUUAUUCCAAUUUUGGUUACUGGGUUGUGGAAUUUUCCAUUUUUUUUCUCGGUAAUCAAUACUAUAUAUAUGCAUGACAAGUAUAAACAAUAUUUUGGGGCAAAUUUAGUUGUUUAAUUUUUAAUUUUUAUGUGACAGUGAGAUUAUGGUAGGAUUUCGUUUAGAUUCUGCGGCCCAAUGGGAGUCUCUGCUUUGAUAAGAUUGGGGUUGAUGCCAAGAAAGCCAAUAAGCCUACUGUGGACGCCGUAGCCGCCUGGCGCUGUUUUCCAAAAUCCUCUCUCACUUGGUUAAGCAAUUAAGACUUUUUGGUUCAGUUUUUAUUAUGCCCAAUUUUGUAUUUAAACCUUAAAAAAAUUUAAACUGAUUUGGGGAUACUGAAAUAGGCUGCAGAGCUGCCAUCCCUGAAUCAGAAGAUGUUCAGAAGGAAGAAGAAGAAGAAGAAGAAGAAAGUCGUGGAAUAUCAAAAGCUUUUAGCUUUGUGAAAGUAUGCUUUUUCCCAACUCACCUCUUGCUUUUGUUGCACUGAAUUGGUAGAUUGGGUUCAAAAAUAUAUAUAUGUGAUUUUUCGUGUAACUAUUUCUUUACAUAAUUACCAAUUGGAGGUGAUUUUAGAUCAUGUAACAUUUCCUCGCUAGAACCAAAGAUUGUCGUCGCUCAGAGCUGCGUUUCAUGAAACAAGUUCAUCUCCUGCCAAAUUUGUGUACCCACCUUUUAUUCAUGAGGGUUGGUGCUUGCUUGCAACACAAUUUGGUGUUAUUAAGUUUUGCGGUUUUACAAUUUGUUCAUGCUUAAACCUCUUUCAAAUUUUCAUUUCUGUGUAAAUCUUGCAGGUAGGACGACACACCUAUCUUGGCAAUGUCGGGAUGUCUAGGCUUGGUGGAGACGUGGUCUUAUGGAAGAGGUGAAGUAGCUUAGCUCGAUCUCAUUAGCUCUUAUCUGUUCUAUUAUGUUAAGAUCAAUAGUAAAAAGUUCUAUUGAUUUUAUAAUCAAAGAUACAUAUAUUAUAGAAAUAGAGGGUAUAUCAUUAAUUUCUUGAUGUAAACAAUCAUAACUUGAGGAACCAUUUAAAGUAUUUUGGUAAUCAACAUACUUAAACUUAAAUGUGAUAUAUCCAUUUAGUAUUUUUUUUAUACAAUGAUAAUACUUAAGUAUAAUUUACAUCAUAUAUCUUUUGAAGUACAUGAAACUAUGAAGAAAAUGAUAAACCAAAUCCCAUUCCAUCUCUGUUUGCUACUGCACAAUCACAAUCCAAUUCCAACAUGGAAUCCUCAGACGACAUGCCUACUGCAGAACAAGUUUCAUACUGACUUAACUUAUAUUUAGUCCACGUCCUGUUUAGAUUGUAAUCCUAGUUCUACGUGUGUUUGUAUAGUACUCCUAUAAAUAUCAAUGAACAUCGCUCACUCUAAUUAAGAGUUGAGAUUUUGCAAAUCAUAUUUACUAUCUUUCAUGGUAUCACGAGCCAGCGUCUAACGACAACGGUUCCUAUUAUAAUUUUUUUCUCUUUUGCAGAUCCUAAACUAUGGCAUCUUCUUCCUCCUCCGCUGCUCCCUCCAUCACAAAUUUUCUUACGAUCAAGCUCGACCGCAACAACUACCCUCUCUGGCAUGCUCAGUUUCUUCCCUUGCUGCGCAGCCGCAACUUACUCUCUUAUGUUACUGGCGAAACUCAAUGCCCCUCUGCCUUUCUUCUUGAUGACAAUGGUAAAUUCACCGACAAAGUCAUUCCAUUAUAUAAUGAAUGGAUCCAGACUGACCAGAUGAUCCUAUCUUGGAUUACGAGUUCUCUUACUCCCAAGGUUCUUGCUACGAUCGUCAACAAAAUUGAUUCGGCCUCUGCUUGGUCGUCAAACCCGAAUUAAUCUAAUUGUGGGGGUUUUGUUUUAUAUCAAUAUAUUGCAACAGAAGUCACACUUUGAAGAGUUCAUGCUGCACAGAAAGAUGAUGAAAUGUUACCCGUUGAGUCUAUCAUUGCUCCAUUGGAGACAGAGCUGAAGCUUACUGCAGGAGUUAUACAGUUGUUAUGCAAUAUGACCCCUUUAAUUUUAUUUUAAAACUGAUACAAAAUACUACAAAAAUUUAUGUAGUAUUUUUGUAUUAGUUUUGAGUGUCUAUUUUGGCUUCCAUAUAUCGUCUGUACAUGUGAGAGGUAUAGUGUUCAAUAUGUAUUUGGUUUCUAUAUUGUUAAUGGAUCCUUUUUUUUUUAAUUUAAUUUAAUUUUAUUAAGGUAACCAAGUUGCAGGAUGACAUCAGAACACUUGAUCUGCAGGUAAACCUUCAAUUUCCAUAUGAAGUUUGCAUGUUCGUUGUUUCUGGAAUUUGAGUUUUUAUUAUUUCUCAAUUCUAUCACAUAGAUUAUGAUUUCACAUAUGGGAUUAUUAAUGGCAAUUAUAUGAUAGAAGAAUUGGGAUUAGAAGAAGAUAUUGAGUUGUUUUAUUUAUGGGGAUUAGAAAAUGAUUAUCAUACGAGUGAUAUUUAUUUUUGUGUGGAUUGUUAAUAUAUAAAACUAUAAGCUUUUGAGAUUGGGAGAUAAAACCCACAAAUUCAAAUCAGACAAAAUAAAUAAAAAAUUUAACUGACUUAAAGAUCAAACUCCAAAAGGGUAUUAAAAACAAGGCUUAUUUGAUCCAUUGAGUGUGAAAGUUUUGAGCUUUGAAGAAGCAUAGGAGGAGAGUUGUUAACCAAGCUGCAUUAUCCAUGUAUUAGGAUGUUGAGGGUAGGCAGGAAAAAUACUUUUUGACGCCAUAUCCAGAGGAGCAUAACGACAGGCCUGCAUUUUUGCAGCAAGGACCAAAACAAGUAGAAGUGAAGGCUUGACUAUUUGGGUAUUAAUCCUAAACCUAAUUAUUCUUAUUUAGGUUUAGGAUAAAUGAUUGAGUGUGUCUCGAUGAUUGUAUUACCAUGUUUGAUGAAUGACUUGAGGAGUUGGAAAUGCUUUAUUGCUUAUGUUUUUCUUAGGUGUGUACUUUGGUUAUUUCCGAGCUUUUCACGACUCUUGAUACCUAAUAGAGAAUAUGGAAACCCCAACUUUAAUUUUAUGAAUUGGUUUUGGUGCCUAAAAUGAAAUCUAGCAUAGUGAAAUCUUGCAUAAUGAAAUUAUGACAAAUUUCCCUUCAUCUUUAGAUUUUCAUUUAGUUCAAUUUGUAUGCAAUUUAGGGUUAUUCAAUUCAUGAGUGAUCAAAUUAUGUUUUUAAUUCCUUCUUCUUUUGAUUUACAGUUCAGCAUUGUCGUACAAAAUGAAAAAGGUGCCAGUAACAGAGUUAUGGAUUUGGAUGCCUUUAGUGGAAUAAAACUGAAUUUUUUAACUUUGUAUAGUUGUAAACAUAAAAUACUCCAUCAGAUAGACUCAUAGCAUUUGAAAACAAUCCUUGAGGAUGGCAUAACAACAUCUCCAACUUUUGUCAUGUAAUGUAUGAAUGUAAAUAGCACUUUGUAAACAUAUGGAUGUAAUAUAUGUAUAUAAACAGUCUUUAGCAUGUAUAUUUUUCAAAACUUUCUACAUCUUCAACAAUGUUUCAAUGAUUUCUUGAUGUAAACAAUGAUAAUUUGAAGAACCAUUUAAAGUAUUUCGGUAAUCAGCAUACUUAAGCUUAAAUGUGAUAUAUCCGUUUAGUAUUUUUUAUACAGUGAUAAUACUCAAGUAUAAUUUACAUCAUAUAUCUUGUGAAGUACAUGAAACUAUGAAGAAAAAACCCUAAUUAAUCUGAUUAUGGGGGUUUUGUUUUAUAUCAAAAUAUUGCAGCAGAAGUCACACUUUGAAGAGUUCACGCUGCACAGAAAGACGAUGAAAUGCUAUCUGUUGAGUCCAUCAUUGCUCCAUUGGAGACAAAGCUGAAGCACACUCCAGGUGGUAUACUUUUGUUCUGCAAUAUGACCACUUUAAUUUUAUUUUAAGACAGAUAGGGUUGAAAAGAAUUUAUGUAGUAUUUUUGUAUCAGUUUUGAGUGUCUAUUUGGACUUCCAUAUUUGGUCCGUACAUGUGAGGUAUAGAGUGUUCAAUAUGUAUUUGGUUUCUAUAUUGUUAAUGGAUCUUUUUUUUUGUUUUAUAGGUAACCAAGUUGCAAGAUGAAAACAGAACACUUGAUCAGCAGGUAAACCUUCAAUUUCCGUAUGAAGUUUGCAUUUUUGUUGUUUCUGGAAUUUGAGUUUUUUGCAGGAUGAAAACAGAACACUUAAUCUGCAGGUAAACACUUGAUUGGUUAUUUCCAAGCUUUUCACGACUUUCGAUACCCAAUAGAGAAUAUGGAAACCCCAACUUUAAUUUUAUGAAUUUGUUUUGGUGCCUAAAAUGAAAUCUAGCAUAGUGAAAUCUUGCAUAAUGAAAUUAUGACAAAUUUCCCUUCAUCUUUACAUUUUCAUUUAGUUCAAAUCGUAUGGUUUAGGGUUAUUCAAUUCAUGAGUGAUCAAAUUAGGUUUUUAAUUCCUUCUUCUUUUGAUUUUCAGUUCAGCAUUGUCGUAUUUUGGAUGCCUUUAGUGGAAUAAAACUGAUUUUUUUUUAACUUUGUAUAGUUGUAAACAUAAAAUACUCCAUGAGAUAGACUCAUAACUUUUGAAAACAAUCUUUGAGGAUGGCAUAACAACAUCUCCAACUUUUGUCAUGUAAUGUAUGAAUGUAAAUAGCACUUUGUAAACAUAUGUAUGUAAUAUAUGUAUAUAAACACCACUCUUUAGCAUAUAUAUUUUUCAAAACUUUCUACAUCUUCAACAAUGUUUCAAGCCCCGCAGCAACGGGCGGGUACACUUGAUAGUAUACAUCUAAAAUUAUAAGACUAAAUCCUUUAGUUCUUGGAUUCAUCUAAGAACUACUUAUUCCAGCAGAUGCUAUGCUUGCACUACUAGAAUUUAUGGCUUGCCCUGUCAACUAUUGCGCGACAGAAGAUUUCGUCGGUUUCACUUUUUUUAACCGACAUAAUAUAAGUUUAGUAGGGCAAAAUCAGUCAACAAACUGGGUUGACUGAAUAAAUUUACAGGAUGGCUAGAGUUCGUAGGUUAAGACAUCAGUCGUUGGGCAAACAUUUGGAGCGAAGAUGUGAGUGUUUUAACUGACGAAUAAGCUGGUCGUCAUGUAGAUCUUCUUUCCCGACUGACGGUUCAACAUGUAGCUCUUUGGAUAAUAAUUCAUCUUCAAGGGGAACAGGUUGCCCCUCAGAUGAAUGGUUAGAGGCAAUUGUGAGACUAUAAUUUUCUAGGGCCGAAAUAAAAAAUACAUAAACCCUCACUCAUUCUGUCUCUGUAACCAUCCACCAAAUACCCUUUCUUCCCUUUCUAUUUCUCUCCUAGUAAUAUCCCCUGACCGAAUCACACAAUCCAACCAACUCUCUUUAAGCCUCCCUCACUGAUUCCAUGGAUUUCAUGGACUUAUCCCACCCUCUCUCCUUCCCUCUAUAUAUAGCAAGUCCCCUUGCCUCAGUGUCCCUGGCAACAGAAUUUAUGGCAUUUCUUCGUUCUUUCAAUUAUUUGAAAGCUUCCUAGCCCUGCAAUCUUGUACAAAGGCGUAUGGUGUUUCAUCAGUUCCAUUUGGUGGUUGGGUGGGAAAUGAAAUUAAAACACUGCAUUUCAAAUGCAUUUCAAAUGGUCUAAACCAAAUUGAAUCAAAUGUGAAGCAAAGGGCAAGAGGUGUAGAUUGAAGAACAAUGGCACCAAGAGCGAAAUUGAACUUGUUGACAGGAGGAAACCAAGUAAGGAUAACACGUCUAAAUCUUAUUUUGAAUCCAUUCAGCUCAUGAUGUUUUGAAUGAUGAUGAUCGGUAUACUCUGCUACAUGCUGUGAUUUUUCCGCUUUCAUGUAAUUAACGGCUUAUAUGUGGUAACGAUAUUGAUUAAAAAAGGUCGUACCCAGUGCAUAAGGCUCCCGCUUUACGCAGGGUCUGGGAGAGGUGAAUGUCGGCUAGCCUUACCCCCAUUUUAUGGAGAGGAUGCUCCAAAGUCUCAAACCCGAGACCUACCGCUCAUGGGCGAAGGCAUUUGCCAUCGCACCAAAUGCGAUAUUAAUUAAUUUCGAGAAAUGACAGUCUGAUUUUUGCAACUGUCUUUUGCAGGCAAAACAAAGACGUUUGCAAGGGUGAGUUGUGUAGGAGCUUUGUUUCAUGUCCAAAUGACACUUGAGAAUAAAUGUUUACACUCAUGGAUAAUAUCUAUCUAUUUGCAGGAGCAACCCUGGGUUCAUUUGUUCUGUAACUGCUGGUCAUUGCGGCAUAUCACGCCUAUAGCACUGACAAAAGUAAAAAGAGAAUCGAAUGAAAUUUGAUAAGUUUUCAGCGGACUACAAAGAUCUUAAGCCAAGCAUAUAUUCCCAUGCAGAUAUUAAGAGGUUUACAAAUCAAUUCAAGUACAAGUUGGGCCAAGGAGCAUACGGAACUGUUUUUAAACGAAAGUUUUUUUCUGAAUGCUUUGUUGCCAUGAAAGUACUUAACAUUUCCAAGGGUGACGGGGAAGAGCUUGUAAAUGAAGUGGGAACAAUGGGCCAUAUUCACCAUGUCAAUGUGGUUCACUUGGUUGGUUUUUGUGCUGAUGGAUUUAGAUGAGCUCUGGUUUAUGAGUUCUUUCCCUUUGGUUCACUCCAGGAUUAUAUUUCAUCAGCAGAUAGAUUUCUUUCCUUGGUUGGCAUAAGUUGCAAGAUCUUGCUAUCAGCAUAGCCAAAGGAACUAGGAAUGUGAUCUACAAAUCCUCCAUUUCGAUAUCAAACCCCAUAAUGUUUUGCUCGACCAAAAAAUCACGCCAAAAAUCUCUGAUUUUGGUCUGGCCAAGUUAUGCCAAACAAUUACAGACAACAGUUAUUCACUAAAUCACUUUAAGGCAAGAAUUUAAUUAAUAAUACAUUACUGCACUUUCUUAACCAUUUGACUAUCACCUAGCUGACAAUGAACACGUUAGCUCCGCGUUAGAACAUCUUGGGUUCAAUUCAUUGUCUUGAAUAUCACCCAUUGUCACAGGCGUCUGUUGGGGGCAUAGAGAAGGCCUGAGAGGCAUUUGCAGACAUUCAACAUCUCCUCCAAGCAUUUUGACAACUUUGGACAUCGAAGGGCGAUCAUUUGGUUUCAUUUGAAUACACCACAAGGCGGUUAUAACCAUCUUUCUUAUUACUUUCUUUUCCUCCUCUGUAACAUUGUCCAUUUCCAGGUCAUUUCCCACAAUAUAUUGAUCGUAUACCCACAUUGGGAAGUAGAUUUGGCUUGAAUGCUCUACCGUUGGAUUCAAAUUCUUCCUUCUGCUUGCCAUUUCCAUCAACAACAUUCCAAAACUAUAGACAUCUGACUUGUAUGAGACGCAUCCAAUAUUUUUGUAGAACAACUCAGGAGCAAUAUAUCCCAGUGUACCCCGUGCUGCCGUCAAAGAGACAAUGCUAUUAUCUACAGGAUACAAUUUUGCAAGCCCAAAGUCAGAAACCUUUGCUUUAAAGUUCUCAUCAAGAAGGAUGUUAUGAGGCUUGAUGUCGAAAUGUAGAAUUUGCAUUUCACAACCUUGGUGUAGAUAUUCGAUCCCUUGAGCCACUCCAAGAGAAAUCUCGUACAUGUUCUUGAUAGUUAAGGGGACACUUCCUUCUUUGGAAUAAAUGUAUUUAUCAAGAGAACCAUUAGGCAUGAAGUCAUAUACUAGAGCGCGUUUUGAUCCCUCAACACAGUAUCCAACAAGUUGUACCACAUUGGCAUGGUGAAUCCUUCCGAUUGUAGCUAUUUCGCUAAUGAAAUCUUGGCCAUCAGCUUUGGGCUUGCCCAAAACUUUAACUGCUACAAAUCGACCACUGCGUAGCUUUCCCUUAAAUACAGAGCCAAAGCCACCUUCGCCCAACUUGUCCUUAAACCUGCGAGUCAUUUUCUUGACGUCCGAGUAAGAGUACCUUAUAAGCAUGAUGUUGUUAUUGCAUUGCAGAAAAUCUUCUAUUGUGCUAUACAUUGAUAAAUGUCUUCUGCGCCAUGUGUAGAUUAGAAAUGCAGUCACAACUGGAACUCCAAAAACAAAUCUGGCUAGGAAAAAUAACCCUGCAUGCAUGGACAAUAAUAUGUUAGAUCCACUGUGUACUACUUUUUCUUCCCUUUCUUUCCAAAUUACUUUAUCUUUGAUGUAAUUAAAGAGAGAGAAUGGGAAAUCUACAUAUGUUGAUAAUAUAAUCUCGUCUUAGUCCUUACCGAUCCAUAUGAGUAUAAACCAUCCAAGUGCUGCAAAAAAAUCAAUCGACUAUGAGUUUGAAAAGUGCAUAAAGUGAAAAAAAAAAAAAAAAAAAAAAAAAUCAAAGGGUGCCUUUAUUGACACCCAAAUUUUAGUUAGUUUUACUCAACUAAAAAAUUUUUGUCAUCAAACUUUUUAAUUUGCCGUCGAAAUUGAGUUCACCCAACCACAAAGCAGCAACUACCACUCACAAAAAAACCAACAACACACAGCCACCAGUACCAUUCACCAAUAGAAAGAGAAGGAACACACAGACCCACCAAGGAGCCGGCAUCGACGCAUCUACGAGGGAGGGACCGGAGGGUGGUGUAGUUUUGUUGGGCGCGCGGUGGUUGUUUUGUUUGUUCAUUUUCUCUUUCUUUUGGUAGGUGGAGGCUGGUGUGGAUUUGGGCGAACUUAAAAAUGAGGGGAAACUAUGAAGUUUGACAAAAUGUUUUAGUUAGGGGAACUUAACUAAAAUUUGGGUGCCGAUAAAGAUACCCAAUUUCAAAAAUACUUGAGCUUAUAGACUAAUUAAAUGAAGUUGAUCUUACAGAUCUCGUGGCUGUAUGAUGAAUGCCACUUGCCAGCUGCAAUAGAUACCACGGAAAAGUGAAUAAAGACAUACAGUUACUAGGUUUAAGAAGUACAGAUAGAGCACACAAAAAAUAAAAGAAGCUUUUGGGAAGAAACUUCUUACGCCAAUAGUUGUGUUCUUGACCUACAGUAAAAAAUGUGAAGAAGAAUACACAACAUUAGCAAUAGCUCACCCAGUCUUCGGAAUUUAAAAAAUCAAGUUUGUCUCGAUCGAAAACUUGUAAAUAAAACAAAAAGAGGACCCCUUACGGAUUUGGUGCCAUAGAUAUUGAAAGAAACCUACAAAAACAAAGAAAGAACAAGACCACAUGCAUUAGCAUAACAAGUGUGAGGUGUAUAAGCCGUUAGAAAAUAAAUUUAAAAUUCUAGUGCUGUCAAUACAUUGAUAAUAUAUAUAUAUAUAUAUAUAUAUAUAUAUAUAUAUAUAUGUAUUAUUUUUCUGAAAAUUUAACUUUCUCCCUCCAAACUCAUUUUUCUAGUCUCUAGCCCAUCAUAUAAUAUUUAUCAGAAUAAAACCAAAUGAUUAGGAUCCAACUAAGAAACUUACCAAAUUAAGUUUGUGUGUCCAUUUUUAUAUUUUUUGGAUCCCUAAUAUACCCCAUCUAAGCCAGUAUGGAAAGUUCUUGUAAUUUUGCUUUAAGUGAUCACGUGCAUUGAAUUUGGCAAGGUCUUGUAGCCAUGAAAUAUGGUUCCAGAUGGAGGAAUGAAUUUGGAUUUUUUUUUAAUUUCGGCAACAAAUUUCAAUUUGAAUAUACCUAAUUUAGUGUUUAUUUUCAACAAUAUCUAUUGUUUAAUUUUAUGAAAAUAAUUAACCUAAUAUGAAAAUUAAUUUUAUGAAAACAAUAUCUAUUGUUUAAUUUUAUACCUACAGGAUAAUUACAUGAAAAUAGUUUACCUACUAUGAAAAUUAAUUUUUUGAAAGCAAUAUCUAUUGUUUAAUUUUAUGAAGAUAAUUUACCUACUAUAAUUACAUGAAAAAAUUUACCUACUAUGAAAAUUAAUUUUUUGAAAACAAUAUUAUUGUUUAAUUUUAUGAAAAUAAUUUACCUACUGUAUAAUUACAUAAAAAUUAGGGAAAAUUAGAAUCCCCUACAGUUUUUAUAUAUCAUUUAGAUUAAACAUUUGUACUUUUUUAAAAUUUGAUUAAAGUGCUUUGACCAAUAGUUACCUCUAUUUUUUUAAAUUAAAAUAAUUUUUGAAUUUAUCCUUUUAUCUGCACAAUGCACUUUUCCUUAUUUAGUGGAGAUAUUAGUAAUGAAACUAUAUUUUCCCUUCUUCCAAAUAUGUUUUUUCGAUCACAGUUUUUUUUUUUUUGGGUAUGCAAACAUUUGAUAUUAUUUUUUUUCCAAAUGGUUUUUUCUUUUUCAAAUAGUUGGUGAUCAACAUAUAAGCUCUGUGUAUUUUUUUCAAUGUUUUUGUGAAAUUAUAUUUUUUUUGCUGUUUUUUAAGUAUAGUUGUUGACGAAUUAUUAUUAGGUACAAUACAUUACGUAUAUAUUAUCUGCGGGUACGUUUGAAUUUACUAAAAUCAUUAAUUGGUACGUUUGAUUUGAUACAUAUUGUUAAUAUUGGUACAUUAUUUUUAUUUUGGUACGUUUUAUUUUGAACACAUUUUGUAUUGGUACGUUUAUAGUAUUCUCAAUCCUAUUUUCUCUUAACGUACUAAAAGAAAAACUCAUUUUGGUACGUUUGAUUUUGGGGGAUUUAAAAAUAUUUUAAACUAUUUUGGAAAAAAAAAAAUCUUAAAUCGUAGAUAAUUAUUGCUAAAUUGUAGCAUUAUUGUGAAAAUAAAUUGAAUCUAACCAACUUUUUUUUUUACAAUUAUCUCUAAUGGAGGAGAGUGUAAUCAAAAGGCUAGAUUAUAGGAAAUUUGUUACAAUAUAAUGGGCAUAUAGCACCAAAAUUAUGAUAAAAAAAAGUUUAAUCAAAUCAUUAAAAGGCAUGGAUGUUUGAUCUAGAAAAUUCAAAACUGAGGCGUCUAUAUCAAAAGAUCCCUAAAAAUUAAUGUGCCUACUUUUUAAAUUUGUAACAAAAUUAAUUUACCUACUUUUUAUGGUAUUAGUAUACAUAAAUGUAGAAUAUAUGUCCGUAUAUAUUUGAUCUAAUUAGGUUUUGGAUUGGAGGAGUUGACACAAAAUUAUAAAUAUAUUAAACAAAUUUAUCUAUUCUAAAGUUGGAGGGGAAUUGGUCUGUACAUUGCUACAGUAAACAAAUGCUACUCAAUUUCACGUUAUUUACAACAAAGCUAUCAGAUUUGGGUUGGGUUGGAGGGUAAUUUGUUAAAAGUUAGGAGGGUAAUUUUGUGCAUAGGGUUUAGGUGCCCUCCUAUACAUGACCCUUGAGUUUACUUUAUUUACACCACUGCCAUCAAAUAUGUGGCUGAAUUGGAGGGUAUUAUUAAAAGUUAAGAGGGUAGUUUUGUUCAAGGGGUGGGGGCGACAUUCGCAGACGGAGGCCGAUGGGAGCCAUGCCCAUUGCACAGAGAGAAAGGGAGUGAUGGGGGAAAUUACAGACAGAAAAGGAAGGGAUGGGAGGAUUUGAUGGAUGGUCACAGAGAGAGAUUCGGUGAGGGAUGUGAGGGGAGAUUACAGAGAGAUAAAUAAAAGGGAGGGAUCGGGGGAUUUGAGGGAUGGUCAGAGAGAGAAAUAGUGAGGGAGGGAGGGAUGGGGGGGCUGAUUUUCGGUUCCUCCUUCAGAUUUGUUCCGUAAAACCUGUUGGGUACAAUUCAAUUUCCUCCCCCUUUCCCCUGAACGAAAAAUUCGAAACCUACAAUUCAAUUUCCUCCCUCCUUGGCUUUCCGCUUUACUCAUCUCCCGGUGGUUCUUUCUCUCCAUACGAUUCGAUUUCGGUGAGUUCUUCGUUGCCCUCAUGAUUUCCCAGUUUGAUUUUUUGAGCGUCCUUAGUCGUUGUUUUUAUCUGGGUUUACUGCAUUGUUGCUUUUAGUUUCUGGAUUUUUAUUUGUUCCGCGGUUCGAUGAAUCGGUUAAUAAUUUCACACCAUGGGAUUUUCGCAUGGAAUUGAGCGCGGGGAUUCGGGGUGGGGUUUUACUGAUAAUUUGUCUUCAUUCAAAUGAAUGGUUAAAAUUUCUGAAGUGAGUGUGCAGGUGGGCCCGUUCACUAACUAAGCUUUCAAGGGAACCCAUCAGCGGUUUGCUUGCUGGGGGAAUUCGGAGACUACCAGUGUAUGAUUUAGUUAUCAUUUAUUUUUUUACUUAAAUUUAUCCAUAUAUAAUAUGUGGGUAAAUUUACACUAAACAAUUGUGAUAAGCCAAUAUGCCAUACGACUUUGAAAGCAUUGAUUUUGUGUUUAGUUUGCAUUUUUGCAUUGUGAAUGUUGAAUUUUGUGUUUGAAUUUGUAGCAUGAUCUUCCGCUGCAGCAUCCAAAUUUUGCAUUUGUAAAUUGUCAAAGAAAAACGAAGUAUGAGGAAAUUAUAGGAGAUUGUGUCGGCUUUGGCCAUGAAGGGUAUCAGCAGCUUGUUCCCCCAUACAGGUGAUUAAUCGUUUUUCAGUCUGUGUUCUAUUUGGAUGAGAAAGUGAUUGAAAAUAUGAUUUUUUUAUUUGUUGGUUGAUUUUGUAUGGACGAUGUAUUAAUUUUAUUUUUUUUGGGAUUUUGUGUAUUGGGCAUUGUGUAGAACCAGCAAUGCAAGAGCAGGAUCUGAUCAGUCAUGCCUGAAAAGGGGUUUGUUUCUCAAAUCACAUUAAUUAAUUAGAUUAUUAACGUGCGUUGGAAGGCUCUUCAAUAUGAUUUCUAAUUUCUCCUUUCCAGCAUUCUCUUUUUGGUUUUUGGAGUAUGUAUGUGAUUUGUAUUUUUUUAUAGAAUAAAAAUUAAUAAAACACGAGAUGCAGCAAUUAAUUUGCAUCCUUAUGACAACACAUAUGAAAGUGCAUUCAAUUUCAAUGUGCGAAUGUGUGACAGGAUGUGCCUGCCCGCUGCUGCUGGUAUGCUUGCUGUUGUUUCUCGCGUUGUUAAUUUUUUGUGUGUGUUGAUUUGAUUAACAACUCAAGCGUAUCUUUUUUUUUUGUGUUGGUUAGCAGCCAGUUUUAUGGCCCCGAUCUAGUGAUGCUUCUCAGUGACUGUGGUAAUUGCAGUUCAUUGCCACCAGUUGGUCAGCUACCUGCUCUGAAAGAGCUAUACGUAGAAGGGAUGAAAGUUGUUAAGAGUGUUGGUGUUGAGUUGUACGGGGGAAAUCAACCAUUUCAAUGUUUAGAGAAGCUAAAGUUUCGGGAGCUAUAGCAGCCUAGUCCAAGUGGAUGUGAAAGUCCAGACUUUCCUCAUCUUAAGGAGCUGGGGUUAUACGAAUGUCCGAAGCUGAGAGGAAACUUGCCCACUCAUCUUCCCUCCUUGAAAACACUUCAUGUGAACAAGUGUGAGGUUCUACAUAAAAACAGGGCCAGUAAUACCCUGAACGUGGAAUCCUUACGAGGAUCUCUUGAAAAACUGACAAUAAAUGGAUGCCCGGGUCUCUCAUUGUUACUAGAGUCGACGGAGACGCUGCCGUCGCUUCAGAAGCUUGAUAUUGAUAAUGUGGUGGGAAAGAGUUGUUGGCGCAAAUGGUGCACAACAGCAAUCGUCUUCAAAGUUUGACUUUAUAUAAAUGUUCCUCACCCUUGUCGUUCCUUACAAAUGGUCUGCCCACCACGCUGACAUCACUGAGCAUAACAGAUUGCAAGAAAUUAGAAUUCCCAUCACGUGAGAUGAUGGCCAAAUUGACUUCCCUUCAGUCUUUGCGUCUAUCCAACAGCUGUGAACGCAAAGGCUUGAGUAUUUGCAGUUUAGUUUUUUUUUUCUUCAUUUUAGAGAUUUUUCUACUGUUUGGUUUUUGGGUUUUGUCUAAUUUUUGUGGUCUGCUUUAUAGAUUGUUCUCUUUGGAAGCUUCUUUCCAGCCUUGACCUUCUUCUUGCCUGGUGCCUUCUCAUUGAGUAUUGGAGGAGCAUUAAAACACAGGUGUGUGUGUUUUGUCGACAUAAGAGAUGAAUGACAUAAAAACAUCCGUCUCUGUAUUUUUUUGUGCUUUUUCUAACCCAUCAAUUUCUUUUGAGUCAACCAAAUAGUCCCAAAUUGCAACUUAUGUUGUGAGGUAUUAUUGUCUAAAAUUAAGUAUGCAUGUAUAUUUUAUGUUUGUGCCCGCGCACACAUCCGCAUGGUGUUAAUCUCUGUGGGUCAUCUAUGUAUAUGUAGAUAUAUCUAUAUGUGUGUGUGGAAUGCAACAUAUCGGAUUUAGGUUAUACUGUGCAUAGUUUUAUUGCCUGUUAUUAUCUACGAUAUCACUAUGCCAUUUCUAUGCAGGCUCUGAAAGUUAUUCAUGAGCUUUAUAAGCACUUACCAUAAUUUAAGCAGUCUGUUUUGGGUUCUUUUUCAUUAGGUCAUUAGCUACAGAUUAAUGGAGAAACGAGGACCAUGCCACUGAUUUGGGUUCUUUUUCUAAUUUUCUGAUUUUGGGGUUUUGCAGGGAGAACUCCGCCUAUGUACUUACAUUGCCGAUCCCAAGCUCGGAUAAAGGAGGAGGGGGAGGGCGUCAGGUAGUCGACAGUCGGCACUCCAUGAUCACGUCGAAUCCUUAUGAAAAUGAAUUCAGAAUAAAAUUGCGCUAAAGCUAGGGCGUCACCCGUAAGUGGCGCGCUGUGUGGCCCGAGCACAGUGAUAAGUGAGCAAGGGUCGCUGUAUCUCCAUCGGCACCCGGAUGCAGUGUUAAAUGAGCAAGGGGGGCAUAGGAACUUCUUUUCGAACGACUCCACUCAAAGUUGUUUGGGAGCAUAUGCUCCUAUCAACUUUACACGGGACACACAAAAGAAGUACUUUGAUCCUAUUAGACGGGGGAGGGUGAAGAAGCUAGGACAGAAGGGUAGAGUUCAAGAAAGCAAAAUGCGUUUAGGAACGUGGAAUAUAGGAACCUUAACGGGAAAAUCUAUGGAAGUAGUGGAAGUUAUGGUGAGGAGAAGGAUAAAUAUUAUGUGCCUACAAGAAACUAAGUGGGUUGGUAGUAAGGCAAUUGAUCUAGAAAACUCAGGGUUUAAACUUUGGUAUUCGGGCACAAAUAGAACGAGAAACGGUGUUGGCAUCAUCGUGGACAAGACCUUGACACAAGAUGUUGUAGAUGUCAAGAGGGUAGGAGAUAGAAUCAUGGCAAUCAAGAUUGUAAUAGGACAAGAACUUAUCAAUGUGGUUAGUGCGUACGCACCUCAAGUAGGGUUGGAUACGAGUUCGAAGGAGAAAUUUUGGGAAGACCUUGGAGACUUGGUGUAAGGAAUUGCUCAGACGGAGAAGUUAUUUAUAGGAGGAGAUUUAAAUGGACACGUGGGCAGAGAGACAGGCAACUAUGGAGGUUUUCAUGGUGGCCAUGGUUUUGGGGAGAGAAAUGAGGAUGGGGAAGCUAUCUUGGAUUUUGCAAUGGCAUAUGAUCUCUUUUUAGCCAACACCUUCUUUAAGAAGAAAGAAGAACAUGUGAUCACCUACAAGAGUGGGUUGUCAAAAACACAAAUAGAUUUUCUUCUAAUGAGAAACGAGGAUGGGGAAGCUAUCUUGGAUUUUGCAAUGGCAUAUGAUCUCUUCUUAGCCAACACAUUCUUUAAGAAGAGAGAAGAACAUGUGAUCACCUACAAGAGUGGGUCGUCAAAAACACAAAUAGAUUUUCUUCUAAUGAGGAAAGGGGAUCGUAUAACUUGUAAGGAUUGCAAAGUUAUACCAGGAGAGAGCGUGGCUAAUCAACAUCGCUUGUUGGUGAUUGAUGUACAUAUCAAAAGAGUGAGACAAAAGAACAAGACUUGGAAGUGCCCAAGGACUAGAUGGUGGAAUCUAAAAGAAGAAAAACAAGCCAUUUUCAAAGAGAAAGUAAUCAUCCAGUGUGUGGGAUAGAGAUGGGGAAGCUAGCCAAAUGUGGGAUUCAAUGGCUAGUUGUAUCCGAAAAGUAGCAAAAGAGGUAUUAGGAGAGUCAAAAGGCUUUGCCCCACACCAAAAAGAAUCUUAGUGGUGGAAUGAGGAGGUACAAACAAAGGUGAAGGCUAAGAAGGAAUGUUGUAAAGCCUUAUACAAGGAUAGAACUGAUGAAAAUGGUGAAAGGUAUAGAAAAGCGAAGCAAGCUGUGAGAGAAGCUAAGUUAGCGGCUUACGACGAUAUGUAUAAACGACUAGAUACCAAAGAAGGAGAGUUGGAUAUCUAUAAACUAGCUAGAGCAAGGGAAAAGAAGACAAGGGACCUAAACCAAGUGAGGUGCAUCAAGGAUGAGGAUGGAAAUGUUCUUGCUACAGAGAACGCGGUUAAAGACAGAUGGAGAGGUUAUUUUCAUAAUCUUUUCAAUGAAGGACAUGGAAGGAGUGCUUCUUUAGGGGAGUUGAGUAACUCAGAAGAGUGUAGAAACUACUCUUUUUAUCGUCGAAUCCGGAAGGAAGAAGUGAUUGUAGCUUUGAAGAAGAUGAAACAUAGAAAAGCAAUAGGCCCAGACGAUGUACCAAUCGAAGUGUGGAAAGUUUUGGGAGAGACAUGUAUAACAUGGCUCACUGACCUUUUCAAUAGGAUUUUGAAAACGAAGAAGAUGCCAAAUGAGUGGCGAACGAGCACUUUGGUGCCUAUCUACAAGAAUAAGGGCGACGUACAAAAUUGCAUGAACUAUAGGGGUAUUAAGCUAAUGAGUCAUACAAUGAAGCUCUGGGAGAGAGUCAUUGAGCAUAGAUUGAGGCAAGAGACACGGGUUUCGGACAACCAAUUUGGGUUCAUGCCAAGGCGCUUAACCAUGGAGGCAAUCUAUCUCUUACGAAGAUUGGUGGAAAGAUAUAGAGAUGGGAAAAAGGAUUUACACAUGGUUUUUAUAGAUUUGGAGAAAUUCGUAUGAUAGGGUCCCAAUAGACAUUCUUUGGAGGAUUUUAGAGAAGAAAGGAGUACGAGUAGCAUAUAUCCAAGCUAUAAAUGAUAUGUAUGAAUGAGCAAAGACUGCUGUAAGAACUCAUGAAGGACAAACUGAAAGUUUUCCCAUAACUGUAGGAUUACACCAAGGCUCAUCCUUAAGUCCCUACCUUUUUGCGUUGGUAAUGGAUGAGUUAACAAGACAUAUUCAAGAUGAUAUUCCUUGGUGUAUGCUUUUCGCAGACGAUAUAGUGUUGAUAGAUGAAACACAGGAAUGGGUAAAUGCAAAGCUUAACCUUUGGAGAGAAGUGUUGGAAUCUAAAGGUCUUCGCCUAAGCCGAUCAAAGACAAAAUAUAUGGAGUGCAAGUUCAGUGCAAAUGGAGGCCAAAACGAGUUAGGGGUGAGGAUCGGAGAUCAAGAAAUACCAAAGAGCGACCGUUUUCGUUACCUAGGAUCUAUCUUGCAAAAGAACGGAGAAUUAGAUGGAGAUCUCAACCAUAGAAUACAAGCUGGAUGGAUGAAGUGGAAGAGUGCAUCCGGCGUGUUGUGUGACCGCCGUAUGCCACUGAAGCUCAAGGGAAAAUUUUAUAGGACGGCAAUAAGGCCGGCGAUGCUGUAUGGCACAUAAUGUUGGGCGGUGAAGCAUCAACACGUACACAAAAUGGGUGUAGCGGAGAUGAAGAUGCUUCGUUGGAUGUGUGGGCACACGAGAAAGGAUAAGAUUAGGAAUGAGGAUAUCCGGGGUAAAGUAGGAGUAGCCGAAAUUGUAGGAAAGAUGAGAGAAAAUCGGUGACGGUGGUUUGGACAUGUGCCAAGAAGGCCUACUGACGCUCCGAUUAGAAGAUGUGACUACUGGACAGAGGUUCAGGGCCGAAGGGGUAGAGGAAGACCUAGAAAAACUUUGGAAGAGACUCUAAGAAAGACUUAGAGUACCUGGAUCUAACGAAGGACAUGACACAGGACCGAGCAUAAUGGCGUUCUAAGAUUCAUAUAGCCGAUCCCACUCAGUGACUUGGAUUUUCCAAGUCUCCAGCCGAGAAGUUUUCCUCACUCAGGAAAUUAAGGGAACACUACCCCAACCUACAUGCUCCACUCACAAAGCUUCAACAAAAGAAAAUUCAAAGAACUUAGCGAAGAAGGCUUUGAUGUAUUUAACACAAUACGUUGAAAUGAAGGAAAGCUUAUUUAUUGAUAUCAUCGAUAAGCUACAAAUAUGUACAUAUACAUAAGUCAAAAUAAACAAACAAGAGGGAGCCUUCACAAAGGUUGCUUAGGAGAAGUCUCAGCAGUCGGUAGAGCCCCAGAAAGAGAAGGCACCGGAGGGGGAUCAUUCGGAGCCUCAGUACUGGACAGAACCCUAGAAGGAGGAGGCAUAAGAGGUUGAUCAUUUGGUGCUUCAUUACGCGGUACAGCCCCAGAAGACGAAGGCAAUAAAUGCCUUUGGAACAAACCCACAAAUCUCUGAUGAUCAAGUAAAACCUGACCAUCAGAUUCCUUCAUCUGGUCAAGCUUCCUCUUCAUGUUUGUAGCAUAGUCAUGUGCGAGCCGGUGCAACUGUUUAUUCUCAUGCUUGAGCCCUCUAAUCUCCUGUUUGAGACUCAUCACUUCAGCCGCCAAUGAUUCAACUUGGCGGGUUCGAGCAAAUAGGUGUUGGGCCAUAUUAGACACAGAACCUGCACACUGAACACUGAGAGCCAGAGAAUCCUUAACAGCUAACUCAUCAGACCGUUUGGAAAGUAGUCUGUUAUCUUUGGGAGUGAGAAGGUUCCUGGCCACCACCGCAGCGGUCAUAUCAUUCUUCAUCACGGAAUCCCCAACGGUAAGAGGACCAGUAGGGGAGACGAAGGAUGGGCGCCAUAUGUUGUCUGGAGAAGGCGGGGCUUCCUCUUCAACAAGGUUCAAGUCAAAACGACGGUCGGAGGGGCCAGACAUUUUCAAAUGUGUUGAAGAGAGAAGAGGUCGGACAAAUCAAGAUCUUAGAAGUGUAAGAAUGGAGCUUCUACUGGUGGAGAUUCAAGUGUGCUUUGGAACUUAAUGUCAGCCCCUAUAAAAAUCUGCACUCAACGGAGCUUCAGAAAUCGAAGAGGCGCCUGCUCAGAAAUCGAAGAGGCGUUUGCUUUCUCAAAAGCAAGGCUGCUCAGAUACCACGAGGGUCGAUCUCAGAAAUCGAAGAGGCGUUUGCUUUCUCAAAAGCUGGGCAGCGCAAAGACCACGAAGGCCGAUCUCAGAAAUCGAAGAGGCGCUCAAAAGUUGGGCUGCUCAGAGACCACGAGGGCCGAUCUCAGAAAUCGAAGAGGCACCUACUUUUCCAGCCUUGUCAGUACCUGUCACACACACACUCAGCUUUGCGAAAAUUAUGGGGAUUCGGUCGAAGACUUCUGGUGAAGUAGAAAGCACAUGAGUCUUACUGUUCAAUCACCCACUUCCCACACGCAACAGUAGCUCAUGGGUACCACAUAUAACUUUUCCAAAGUUCUCUGCCAAAGUUGAACACGUGAAGUUUGCAGCUCCCACUACAUCGCUCUGAUCAAGAAGGGUAAAAGAAUAGCAAAGAAACAACACUAACAAAGUUUAGACACAUAAAUUUUGAUGGUCGAGCUACCAUAUUAUUACCCACAAGGGUAAAGGAACAGUACCACUGCUGGAUAAUUGGAAAGUCCCUGUGUGUCAACCUCUGUGCUUCGUGGCAAGGUAGACUAUCAAACAUGCCCAACCUUUACUCACAUUCGAGAAAACACUCCCAACAAGAUUGCUUGCUCCAAAAUCGAAGAGGCACCGUCCUUCGAAUCUCGAGAGCCAGACUCCCAACAUGACUACUUUCUCAAAAAUCGAAGAGGGUAAAGGAACAGUACCAUUGCUGGAUAAUUUGAAAGUCCCUGUGUGUCAACCUCUGUGCUUCGUGGCAAGGUAGACUAGCAAACAUGCCCAACCUUUACUCACAUUCGAGAAAACACUCCCAACAAGAUUGCUUGCUCCAAAAUCGAAGAAGCAUCGCCCUCCGAAUCUCGAGAGCCACUCCCAACAUGACUACUUUCUCAAAAAUCGAAGAGACAUCGCUCUCCGAAUCUCGAGAGCCAGACCCCCAGCAUGAUUGCUUUCUCAAAAAUCGAAGAGGCACCGUUCUCCGAAUCUCGAGAGCCAGAUCCCCGAUAGGAUUGCUUGUUCGAAAACCGAAGAGGCAACACUUUCCCAAUUUCAAGAGCCGGAUCUCCUUGGAUAAAGCUAUCUGUAAUCUUCACUCGCAACAUUAGCUUUCCAGCUACCACAGACCACUUUUUCAAAGUGAUCUGACAACGUUAAAACAUGUGAAGCUGGCAGCUUCCACUACCGUGCUAUGACCAAGUAGGGUAAAGGAAUAGCAUUACUACUUGUUGUUAAGGAGACUCCUAUAUAUGUCGACCUCCAUCCCCAACGGAUAGGCAGACCUGCAAAAAUGCUCAACUCUUCCUCAUAUCUGAGAGGGCACUCCCAACGAAGCCUUUCGAAAUAUUCAGCUUUCUUUCCCCCCGAUAAUACCUCUGCAAACAAGCUAUACUAGAGCAAGAAUAUCUCAUAUCAUCAGGGUUAAAAGCAAGAGUAUCCCAUAUCAUGCUUUUUCCUUGUCUUUUUCUUUGGCCUUGUUCUUACCUGCAAGACAAGAAGAAAGAGAGCAAUCAGUCAGUACUUGGAAUCAAGCUUCCAGCCAGGAACUGACUGCCUGGAACCCCUUACCUGAUUACUUACCUGACAUUGUUCUCGAGUACUCAUCUUCAACAUCUUAUGCUUCCAGGGAAGAUACCGCAUCUGCCUGAGGAACAGAUAGGGCAAGGGAGAAGGAUAUAAGGAAGCAUGUGGAGACAAGCGUAACAGCACACGUGCCGAUACAUCCAUUACUCUGUCAAAGCAAAAGUAUCCCAUAUCAGUAGGGUCGAACGUACUCUAGAUUUGAUGGACUUGUUUUGACCCUCAAAUUCUUCAGUCGGCCUUAUACUCUGGAGGAAACCAGAAAUUUCUCCAGCUCAGUGCAAGAAUAAGCUUGUGGAAAGUUACUUCUUCAAAAGCAAAAGUAUCACAUAUCAUCUCUUCUCAUUUUCUUCUCUUUAUCCUUCAUGCUGCCUGCAAGAUAGGGAGAUUGUGAACAAUCAGCUGGAGCUAUGAUUGCUUACCUUGUCUGUCACCUCUUUCAGCAGAUCCCCUAGCUCGGCGAUUUGGGGGACUCCUACUACAUGGUUUGUAUCGCGCUUGACCAAGCCUGAAACUACAAGUAAGCUUCAAGUGAAAUUGAUACAUUACCUUGUGCAUCUCCACCAGUUAAAGAUACUACCCCUGGAUGGAGGAAGAGUACUUCCAGAGAAGAUGCCCCAUCUACCUAUGAGACAGAUAAGGCACGUCAAGACGAUACCACACUCUGAUACUUAGAAGUUUCGUGAUUACGAGAUCAUUCUCCCACAAUAUUUCCUAAUGUCAUUUGUACUAAAUCAUUCACUUGUACUCACUAAAGGAGAGCUUGAACCUAUGUACUUGUGUAAACCCUUCACAAUUAAUGAGAACUCCUCUAUUCCGUGGACGUAGCCAAUCUGGGUGAACCACGUACAUCUUGUGUUUGCUUUCCUAUCUCUAUCCAUUUAUAUACUUAUCCAUACUAAUGACCGGAGCAAUCUAGCGAAGAUCACAAAAAGCGACCGUUUUCGCUACCUAAGAUCUAUCGUGCAAGAGAACGGAGAAUUAGAUGGAGAUCUCAACCAUAGAAUACAAGCUGGAUAGAUGAAGUGUAAGAGUGCAUCCGACGUGUUGUGUGACCGUCAUAGGUCACUGAAGCUCAAGGGAAAAUUUUAUAGGACGACAAUAAGGCCAGCGAUGUUGUAUGGCACAGAAUGUUGGGCGGUGAAGCAUCAAUACGUACACAAAAAUGGGUGUGGCGGAGAUGAGGAUGCUUCGUGGGAUGUGUGGGCACACGAGAAAGGAUAAGAUUGGGAAUGAGUAUAUCCGAGGUAAAGUAGGAGUAGCCGAAAUUGAAGGAAAGAUGAGAGAAAAUCGGUUCCGGUGAUUUGGACAUGUGCAAAGAAGGCCUACUGACGCUCCGGUUCGAAGAUGUGACUACUGGACAGAGGUUCAGGGCCGAAGGGGUAGAGGAAGACUUAGAAAACCUUUGGAAGAGACUCUAAGAAAAGACUUAGAGUACUUGGAUCUAAUGGAGGACAUGACACAAAACCGAGCGCAAUGACGUUCUAGGAUUCAUAUAGCCGACCCCACUUAGUGGGAAAAGGCUUUGUUGUUGUUGUUGUUGUUGUUGGGGUUUUGCAGGGAGUACUAAUGUACUGAUUUUCUGGGAUUUUUUUUGUCCUUGCAGGAUUUUUGGUCUUUGAAAUGGGUAUGUGUUGUUUUUAAUGUUUCAGUUCUAGCGUUUUCCGUUCUUCGUUGCUUCGUGAUUCUCAUUUUUCAGUGUUGGGUGAUGGAAAUUUGUUAAAGUAGUUGGUAGUUUUUUGAGAAAGUUGGCAUUUUUAGUUAUAUUUUCUGUUUAAUCCUAAAUGUUUUGAAAACUCAUAAUUUUUUUGUUCUGGGAUUUAAAAGCAUCUUUUCCAGAUUGGUUACAAGGGUUAUGUUCUCUUCAAUUGGUUCACCUAAUUUUGAUUAGUUUUAAGUUUUGUCCUUUAAGUUUGUCUUUUAAGUUUUGUUCUUUAAGUUUUGUCUUUUAAGUUUUGUUCUCUAAGUUUUGUCUUUUAAGUUUUGUCUUCUGUGCUGUAAUGAGAGAUUUCCGUUGGCCUUUCGGAUUUUGGCAUGGGAAAGUUCACUUAUUUGCAAGGUUCUAAAAAACGCUAGGCGUUAGUUGGGCGGUGGGCUAGCGCCUAGCGGCUAGGCGGCUAGGCGGGAUCUAGGCGGGAUCUAGGCGGGCGCCUAGGCGGCCUAGGCGGAUUUAGGUAAAUUUCUUAUAUAUUUUAUGAAUUAAUUAAAUUUACUAUAUCAAAUGUAAAUAAUUAUUAACUAAUAUGUUAUUUCUUAUAGAAGAACAUACAUAGUGAAUGUUUUAUGUACAUAUAUAAUAUAUUUGUCUAGGAAAAAAAAAUAUUAUCUAAAUAAUUUUUAUAACAUAUAUAUAUAUAUAUAUAUAUAUAUAUAUAUAUCCCAAACUUUUAAAAAUAUAAAUAGCAUUGGGAGAGGGGCGUAGGGUUUCUAAAAGCACACUCAGAAAUAGAGCAUAUUUUAGUCUUUAUUUUAGAAUCCUAAGGAGCACCCUACUCGGAUGCACGACAUGUGUGCAAAUCUGGAGAUUCUUGCUGUAUCGGAUACACCAAUGCUUAGUCAAAAUUUCCUGCUAGGGUUUAUGGUGGACAUGUGUGUGUGGUCUUCAUUAUUAAACCCAUUAGCACCUCACCUUUUCACAUCACCCGUCCAUCACCUUGGGUGGUUUUGAUAAUUAAAACCAUCAACAUCCAUGGUUUUGAUAAUUAGAACUACCAACUUUUCCUUGGAUUUGAGAAUCUGAGAUCCCAUUCAUCGCCAUCAAAUAUUGAAAUGUUUCAUUGUUCAUCUCUUUCUCCCUCUUCUCACUCUCUAUUCCCUCAUCUUCACAGAGAUGAGUUACAGAAAUUCUCCGGUAAUCUCUCUCUCUCUCUCUUCGUAAUCGACGAGCUCCUCGACUUGAAGUCGCAGCCAAGUUAUGAAGAAUCGAGAUGCGAGAGCAAGUGGAGAGUGGAGACUCUGGAAAUUGGGAGUGACGAUCGACGACGAUGAGUCGAUGACCCAGGAAACCUCUUGAAGUUGCAGCAGGUGAGUGCACUGCAGUUGAGGAAGAAGAGACGAAGAGACUUAGUUUCUGAAAUUAGGGUAGCUGCAAGGCACGGGAACUUAAAAACAAAAAAACAAAAAGAAAACCGCCUAGCUCCGCCAGCCGCCUAGCCUGCCUAGGCGCCUCCUAGCCCGCCUAGGUGCCGCUUAGCCACCGCCUAGAGCCCAGCCGUUUUUUCCCACCGUUUUGCACAAAAACGCCUUGGCCACCCUCCGCCUAGCGCCUAGGCGGCCGCCUAGGCCGUUUUUUAGAACACUGCUUAUUUGUCUAAUUAGAUUGUGGAUGCCUUCGAUUCUUUAUUUAAUUGUUCUGUUUGCGUUCGGGUGUGAUGAUCUAAAUUUCAUAUGUUUGGAAUUAUUUACUUAACACCAAUUUGUUACAUUCAGAUCUCCACCCCACAUUUCACUAGUUCAAAUUCCAUAGAAGUUGGUUAUUGCAGAUUGCGUCUACAAUUAGAUCAGAGAUCAACUACUCUUUUGUUAUCCUGCAGAAGAUUGCUUUUGGGAAGGAUCUGAAGUAGUUUCUCUCUGUAUGUUUAUUCCCAUGUAGCUCUGUCUUUUCUAAUUGAUGGUGUUGAUAUUACACUGUAAUUCAUGAUGAUGAUUUAAUUGUUUAUUGAUUUGUAAUUGUUUGUGAAUAAUGUGGCAUAUAUGAAUUGCAAUCUGUGUUUGUAUGAAAGGGAUGGCAUAUUAUGUUGCUGACUUAAUUGUUUAUGUUUUUCAUAUUUGCGAAUGGUGUUAUGAUCAAUUAGGUGAUUGCUGACCUGUGACUUUGUUUGGAGCUCAAAUUUUGUGAGCAUUACAUUGGAUUGUUUUGAUGUUGUUUUGGUUGACAAUGCAGGGAUAGGAGAAACAAAGAGGAUGACACUUAUAACUGCCAUUCCCCAUCGGCCGUCUUCAAAUUUGGAUCACAAGAAGGGAGCAACAUAGGUGUUUUCCUUCUUUAUUUAGAUAUGGUUAGUGUAAAUAAUUGGACAAAAGAGCCAAACAAACCCUGUUCUCUCAAAUGGAGUUGAUGAUGUGGUCGACGGCCACCAGCCCCAACUCAAGAGUUUGGCCUUCAUAUAAUUGGAUUGUAGUAUAAUUUUAUUUUUGUUCAUUUCUUUUUUCCUUUAUAUAAGUGCAGGUGUUGUGAUGUUUUGAAUAAAGGGUGAUGAAAGGUGGUUCACACUUCCUCCUUACUUAAAGCAAGUGGAGAUGACGGUUUGUAUAAAAAGAAAAACUUGCCACGUACUUCAAUUUUCUAUUUUAUUAAUUAUUGUUUGGUUUUCCAAAUGUUGUAUUCACAAAGAGAGACCAAUUAUGUCUUUGAGAAACAAGUUUCUUUGUCUACAUUGCGAGAAUUUGCAGUUUGCAACUUUCAUUGGUUAUUAUAUUUGAUUGAGUUAAACUUGGAUUUCUGGAUUCUGACUUUUUCGUUUGUUUCUUUGUUGCAGAGUUGGCUUCAUUUCAUUCCAGGAACUCUCUAAAUAGGGCCAAGAACUCACUAAAUAGGUAGUCAAGAGGAAUUCAGUUUUGCCUUCAAUUUUUGCCUUCUGUUUACAUUCUUCCUGGAUGCACUCUCACCGCUUCUCUCGCUUACCACUUUUUUCUCACUCACCGCUUCAUCUCUUCUGUUGCUUACAAGGUCGUGUCAUAUAUUUUUUAAUUUUGUGGUUUAAUUUAUUGAAUAUUUGAAAAAAGAGAUAAAAUUAUAAGAUACUAUAUAAGAUACUAUAUAGUAUCUUAUAAAUAAAUGAAUCACAAAUGAUACUAUAGUUGUUAAAAAAUCCCAUUACUCAAAACUCCAAUUCCCUCCCAUUACUGAAAGCUCCAAUUCCAUCAAAACCGAGAUGGUAAAAGUACAAACUGGCUAGUUUCCACCAAAAAAAAAAGUACAAACUGGUUACAAAAAUAUGUUUUGUCCCAUCCAAUUGACGAAAAGAGAUAAAAUUUUCAAUUUACAAUUACUGAUAUGAUGUUUGUUUUGAAAAUCAUUAAGGUGAAUGGAGAGAUUUACAACCAUGAAGAGCUGAGGAGCCGUUUGCCAAAUCAGAUUUAUAAGGUCUCAUCAAUUAUGAAUAAACGACUUUUCAUUCCCAAUGACCUUUAUCGUUUUUCUUAAUGGGUUAGCUGAACAUGAGGUAGAUGCUGACUUUAUCAAAUAUGAGAAUGUUUUAGGAUUUCAUUCUAAUUUUUUGGCUGUUUGAUUACUUUGCUUUUCGUAAUUUGUUUUGCUUAUCGUCAAUUGGAUGGGACAAAACAUAUUUUUGUAACCAGUUUGUACUUUUUUUUUUGGUGGAAACUAGCCAGUUUGUACUUUUACCAUCUCGGUUUUGAUGGAAUUGGAGCUUUCAGUAAUGGGAGGGAAUUGGAGUUUUGAGUAAUGGGAUUUUUUAACAACUAUAGUAUCAUUUGUGAUUCAUUUAUUUAUAAGAUACUAUAUAAGAAACUGUUAUUAGCACUCUAAAAAACUCAUUCUACACUCGCGACAAGUGUAUUUUUCUUUUUAAUUAUGGAAAGUUUGAAGGGCAAAAUGAGAAUUUUGGAGUGCCAAUAACAAUUCCCUAUUAUAUAUAGCUCUACUGGGAAGGCUACUGUAUAUGUCUUCAUCCUGUUAAAUUGUAUAUGGCUCUUGAUGUCGGCUGAAUUAAAUCAAAAUGAAAACCAAGCUGAUCUUACCAGCCGAUAUCACUUAUCACUUGCUUAUUUAAAUUAUUUGAAGAUGCGUAUGUGGAUUGGUGAUUUUGUUGGAUUCACUUAGCUCAAAUAUAUGUUAUCUGAGUCGCUACAUUUGAGAAUGUGAUUCUGUUCCUACCACCAUUUUGCCCACUUUUUGUGGAAAUUAUUCAUUCCUGUUGUGAAUAAUACAUUCAUCCCCGGCAACGAAGUGCGGGCACAUUUUAUAGUUUAAAUUAAAUCACACAAUGGGUCAUCAAUAAUGACAAACUCGUCAUUUAUGCGAGUCAAACAUGAGGCCACCUACCUACUAGUUUAGUGGAAUACCACAAAGUGACAUGUUGAUACCUUUAAGUCUCAUAUAAUGGAUUGCAGAAUUAGGAUAUACCUAGACUAAUUUAGUCAGUGCGUGAACCCGAACAAUUAACAAGGGUUUUAUUCUUGCUUGAAUGUUUGUUAUAUGUUCCUAGUUUGACAAGGCAAUUAUAUUUCCGAUUACAAAAGUUAUUAAUUUAGUCGAGAAUUGACGCACCUGAAAUGGUGUGAGGAAAACAUGUAGACACAUCAACCGCAGUCCACUGUCCUGGGCAUCUAUCUUCCCCGAAACGAAGCUCAAAGCCAUACAUGAGGGCAUUGUGUAUGUCUUUAUAAGAGAAGUUGCUGUAGUCUUCAACGUAGCCGGCAGCCAAACUCAUCCACUCUACACUGCAACCCUCAUCCAAAUCCCAUGCUUCCAACCUGCCCCCGACAUAGUCAGCGACCAUGACAUAGCUAUACGUUUUUGGUUGACUCGAAGAAGAAGAAGAAGUAUUAUUCAAGCAUGGAGCAGUGUCCACGUACAGAGAAGAAUUCGAUGGAUUCGAACACUUCAAGUAAUAUAUAGAUAGAGAAUUGAUGUCAUAGGUGGGCCAAUAUGGAGAAUUGAUGUCCUCGGUGGUGGGCGGAAUAUUUUGAGACAUGGAAGAGCAAUUGUUGUUGUCAAGCCCAGGAUCUAGAACUCGGAUUGUAUUGUUAAUGUAGUUGAUUGCCUGGACAUAGUAUUUUCCGGAAGAAGGUACGUCUAGUACAGUAAUGUUGCUCUCACAGUACAGAGUAUACAUUAUGUUGCCACAGUACUUUGGAUCAUCGUUCAGUCGAAAAGGAUGGCUUAUGUAGUGGAUAUGGCCGCAGGAUGAAGUGCAGGACUUGGCACUACUGUUGUCAGCGUUACAAGUUUCACUGCAAAAGCAAAGAAGAAGAAAGGCUAAACUUAAGGUGAAGGACCUGCUUCCACUAAUUUCCAUUGAUCUGAGAGAGAGAGAGAGAGAGAGAGAGAGAGAGAGAGAGGGUACUAUAGCUUGAACACCAAGGAGUUAUAUAAUAUGGGAGGGGUUAAAGCGCUUCGCUUAAAGUUGCAGUAAGCCCGGCAAAUAUCCUAGGGAAAAGUCGGUCAAUGGUGUCCUAUAGAGAAAAGUCGGCCUUGGUGUUUGACACGGUCACUCACUCUCUCUCUCUCUCUCUCUCUCUCUCUCACAUUGACGAGGGACACUGUAAUUAACAAAAAAAUUGUUCUUCAGAGAUAGAUUUUGAAAUUCUUAUUUUAUAUAAAAAAACACCUAAUAUUAAUCAUUCAAAUGAAAUUCCUAAAAUUAAGUAUAAAUAAUACAUAAUAAAAACUGAACACAUACAAUCAACGGUCACGAUCAUGAAAUCCUUCGGAUCCUCAGAAAAAAAUCCGACGAUGAUCUUUUUCUGUGUAAAAUAAUUUGAGGGUAUAAUACUGGAUGUGCGAUUAAACCGAAGAACCCACCCACCUCCAUCUUCUCCGACCAACUUGAACCCAGCCACUACUACAUGUCAUCCCGACAACCCACUCUCAGCUUCCCAAACCGCCAUUUUUCACCCAUUCACCUACCACUGCCAUUAUUCAUUCAAUCAACCCAAAACACGAGAGCCACCCCCAUCUCACCAGUCGAACAGAUGCAGCCACCCACCCAUUUAAUCCCAGUCCAAAAUCAAACCCUCUCCUAAACCCACCCCAGAAUCCAAUAAUUUCAAAAAAUGGCUGAUUAUAUCAUUUCAAGAACCUCACAAUUCCAAAAACUAAAAACCCACUUCAAAGAUGUAAUAUUUUUCUCUCUUCCUCUUUUUGGGUUUUUUUUUCUUUUUUUUUAUCAAUUCUCUUCUGGGUUUUUGUUUACAGUGUAAAAUCAACACUAAUUUACUAAUUUUGCUUUGAUUUCAAACACUAUUGAGGCGUGAUAACCUGUUGCAAGCUCAGCCAUGGCGGCUACUGCGAAAUCUAACGGAAAAACCAUCACAGACUCUGCCAUUUCAUCCAAGGUUCCGACAAUAGCAAAACGAAUAGCUGUCGCAGAUUUCUUCCAACAUCAAUCACUACGCGAAAUUAAUUGUCAAUGAAGACGAUCCCAUUCCCCUUCGAAAUCUGCUGGGGAAAGAGACCUUCUUUCAGAUCUGCUCUGAGACCGGUUUAUGCGAGAGAGUGGUGAGCCUGACGACAGAGAGAAAUAAGGGCAGGAUUGGAAAAUUGGAAAGUUCAUUUAUUGGUUACUGUUUAUCCGUGUUUCUUCGAAAUAAGCUGCUUUUUCCAGCUUUGGGUUUCAGUGUUUUUUAACCCAUAAUUUUGAAAGAAAAAAAACUGAUUUUAAAUGUUUAUCAAACACUUAAAAUGUUCCAAUCUUUUUUCAUACCUACUUUUUAUUAAAAGUUAAGCUAAACAAAAAUCAAGAUUAAGUUUACUACUCUGAAGUUUCUUGCUUUUCAACAUUUCAUACAUUGAAUUUUUCUCAUCCAGUGUCAUAUCUAAGGUGGGAAUUGUGGGACACUUUUAUACAUCCGUUAGAUUUUAUGUGAAUUGCGUGGCACUUUUAUACAUCCGUUAAAUUUUUUGUGAGAACCUUCGCUGACCCACGAUGCGGCAUGCAUGUGGACAUUAAAAAAAUUCAAAAAAUUCAAAAAAUUUUAAAAUUUUAAAAUUUAAAAUUCAAAAAUACUAAAAACCUAAACUUUUCAUAAUAUUGAAAGACUGAAUCUUUUCACAGUCAGCCAAAUUUUCUUCAAAUUUUAAUUAGAUGAAAUAAUGAAUCUUGAACAAAGCAAAACAAAACGUAAUAUUGAGAGAUUCAGUCAUUGAAGUGGACGUGGAUGUUGGGUACUCAAUAGUCCAAGAAUGAAAACUCUCAUAUCAGUUUCUAUCCAAAAUUUUGGAAUUAUGUGUGUUGCAACGAUUGUCCAAAGGAUUAUUCUUCUUUUAUUAAAUUUCCAUGAAAAAUGAGCAUGGAGCACAAAAGUUGAACGAAUGAUUAUUCUUCUUUUAUUAAAUUUCCAUGGAAAAUGAGCAUGGGGCACAAAAGUUGAACGAAUGAAAUUUCAACGAUUUGAAAAGGGAUUGUGAGUUUGACAUGUCAUUUUUCUUCCUCUAAUGCAAUCAUGUUUAUUAAAAGACAAAAAUAAAUAUGACUUUACAUAAGGAGAGAGAAGGAGUAGUUUUCUUUGAAAAAAUCAACCAUUUAUUGAAGAGGAUGUGGAUGUUGAUUGAUGCGUCGUGAAUACGAAAAAAAGGACCUUGAAAGGAGUUGAGACAUUCAUUAAAAGCUAGAAGAAAAAAAAGUUAAAAGUGUUUUAGAAAAAAAGCAAGAAAGCCUCAUUUUCAAAGUUGUGGUCAUUGCACAAUACUUGAUUAGAAGAAAACUCAUAGUAUUGUAUUUACAAUUUCAAGUCUUUAUGGGGAACGAGAGAGCAAGUUUUCCAAUUGGAAUAUGAUAUGAAAUUUCUACAUAACUAUAUAUGACAAUGAAAGAAGUCUAAGUUUCUAAAUGGAAGGGCUUCCAAUUGAUGUGAGUUUGUUGAGAAAUUAGUGAACAACAGAACAAGUUGCUUCUCCUUUGGCCUUCUAACAUGAUAUCACAGAAAACAAGUUGUUACUAAUAAAUGUAUCUGAUUGGUGGACUUAGACGUGCGCGGUACGAUUUUUGAUAACUAGAGAAGAUGGGCAGUGUCAUGACAAAAUUUAUCCAAGUAGACCCAAAGGAAUGACUUAGGAACUUCAUAUGCAGUGGGAUAAAAUCUUAAGCUAAUUUCCUUACCUAUCUUAUAGGCAUUAAGUAAAAUGUAUAUGCAUAUUUCUAGACACACCAAUUUACUUAAUAUUAACUUCUUUCAAAUACCCAUUUGCAGAAACGCAAAGCUCUCUUGCAUGCUUGUUGUAAUGCUUAUGUAGUGCGUAUCCUAUAUCUUAUAUAUAUAUCUUACUUUUUGUGAUCCAUUUUUUCAUCACUAUGCCAAACGAAUAGCAAAACGAAUAGCUGUCGCAGAUUUCUUCCAACAUCAAUCACCACGCGAAAUUAAUUGUCAAUGAAGACGAUCCCAUUCCCCUUCGAAAUCUGCUGGGGGAAAGAGGCCUUCUUUCCGAUCUGCUCUGAGACCGGUUUAUGCGAGAGUGGUGAGCCUGACGACAAAGAGAAAGAAGGGCAGGAUUGGAAAAUUGGAAAGUUUAUUGGUUACUGUUUAUCCGUGUUUCUUCGAAAUAAGCUGCUUUUUCCAGCUUUGGGUUUUCAGUUUUUUUUACCCAUAAUUUUGAAAGAAAAAAAACUGAUUUGAAAUGUUUAUCAAACACUUAAAAUGUUCCAAUCUUUUUUCAUACCUACUUUUUAUUAAAAGUUAAGCUAAACAAAAACCAGGAUUAAGUUUACUACUCUGAAGUUUUUUGCUUUUCAACAUUUCAUACAUUGAAUUUUUCUCAUCCAGUGUCAUAUCUAAGGUGGGAAUUGUGAGACACUUUUAUACAUCUGUUAGAUUUUAUGUGAAUUGUGGGGCACUUUUAUACAUCCGUUAGAUUUUUUGUGAGAACCUUCGCUGACCCACGAUGCGGCAUGCAUGUGGACAUUGAAAAAAUUCAAAAAAAAUCGAAAAUUUUAAAAUUUUAAAAUUUAAAAUUCAAAAAUACUAAAAACCUAAACUUUUCAUAAUAUUGAGAGACUGAAUCUUUUCACAGUCGGCCAAAUUUUCUUCGAAUUUUAAUUAGAUGAAAAUAAUGAAUCUUGAACAAAGCAAAACAAAACGUAAUAUUGAGAGAUUCAGUCAUUGAAGUGGACGUGGAUGUUGGGUACUCAAUAGUCCAAGAAUGAAAACUCUCAUAUCAGUUUCUAUCCAAAAUUUUGGAAUUAUGUGUGUUGUAACGAUUGUCCAAAGGAUUAUUCUUCUUUUAUUAAAUUUCCAUGAAAAAUGAGCAUGGAACACAAAAGUUGAACGAAUGAUUAUUCUUCUUUUAUUAAAUUUCCAUGGAAAAUGAGCAUGGGGCACAAAAGUUGAACGAAUGAAAUUUCAACGAUUUGAAAAGGGAUUGUGAGUUUGACACGUCAUUUUUCUUCCUCUAAUGCAAUCAUGUUUAUUAAAAGACAAAAAUAAAUAUGACUUUACAUAAGGAGAGAGAAAUAGUAGUUUUCUUUGAAAAAAUCAACCAUUUAUUGAAGAGGAUGUGGAUGUUGAUUGAUGCGUCGUGAAUACGAAAAAAAAAGACCUUGAAAAGAGAUGAGACAUUCAUUAAAAGCUAGAAAAAAAAAAGUUAAAAGUGUUUUAGAAAAAAGCAAGAAAGCCUCAUUUUCAAAGUAGUGGUCAUUGCACAAUACUUGAUUAGAAGAAAACUCAUAGUAUUGUAUUUACAAUUUCAAGUCUUUAUGGGGAACGAGAGUGCAAGUUUUCCAAUUGGAAUAUGAUAUGAAAUUUCUACAUAACUAUAUAUGACAAUGAAAGAAGUCUAAGUUUCUAAGUGGUAGGGCUUCCAAUUGAUGUGAGUUUGUUGAGAAAUGAAGAUGAAGAUGAAUAUUGAUGUUGAUGUUAGUGAACAACAGAACAAGUUGCUUCUCCUUUGGCCUUCUAACAUGAUAUCACGGAAAACAAGUUGUUGCUAAUAAAUGUAUCUGAUUGGUGGACUUAGACGUGCACGGUACGAUUUUUGAUAACUAGAAAAGAUGGACAGUGUCAUGACAAAAUUUAUCCAAGUAGACCCAAAGGAAAGACUUAGGAACUUCAUAUGCAGUGGGAUAAAAUCUUAAGCUAAUUUCCUUACCUAUUUUAUAGUAUUAAGUAAAAUGUAUAUGUAUAUUUCUAGAUGCUGACACACCAAUGUACUUACUAUUAACUCCUUUCAAAUACCCAUUCGCAGAAACGCAAAUCUCUCUUGCAUGCUUGUUGUAAUGCUCAUGUAGUGCGUAUCUAAUAUCUUAUGUGUAUAAUUUUUUGUGAUCCAUUUUUUCAUCACUAUGCCAAAAUCCCUUUAGAAUUUGCAAUUUAUCCAUUUGGUUAUGGUAAAAAAAAAAACUCGGAAUUUCAUUUAAACUCGAAAAUCUAGAAUUGGGAAAGCAAUUUUCCCUUGUUCGGCAACUUGUAGCGAUAGCAAAGGCAAAUUGUACCGGAAAAAAGUGGAAAUUGGGGAUGAAGAUCCAAUUUUAAUUUCGUCAAAAUAAGUGUAAUUUCACAAUUCCAACAACGUUGAGAAUCACAAAUGCAUUGUGGGGAAAUCUUGCGACCACCAAACUUUACGAUUAGAGCGCCAAAUUUCAUGAUAAAACGUAAUAAGGGUUUAGGACUGCAUCGUUCGCUCUGUUAACUCUCCAAUCUUCGACGGGAUUUUCAACUCGUGCAUCAUUUUUUGCUUUGUUCUAGGUCAAAGCCUACUCUUUUCUUUCUUGAAUUAUUUUAGCUUUGCGGGUAUACUCUUUAGGCCAAUUGUGAAUUUUGCUAGUUAUUUUUAUUUUCUGAUGGUCAUAUGUUUGUUUUUUUUUUCUUCCAAUUGAGCUGUGUAUUGGUUGGAUCAGUAACUUUUUUUUUGGAUUUUUAUUUUUAUUUUUAUGGAUUUUGGUGUUAGUUCCUUGUUAUAGAUGUAUAGAUGUUGUGGAGCAAAAAAUAAUCUCAAAAAUCGUGGAGGUGACACACGGAUUUUUGGACAAGAAUGACAAAAUUAUCCUCGAAGCACAUCAUGAUUCCCACGUGCAUGCAACGGACAAUAACGGCUCAAUCAUGGAAGAGUCAAAGGUGAUCAAUAUGGUAUUUAUUCAAAUCCCUCUCAUCACUCCUCAUCAAUCCCUUUUUGAUUUUAUUCAAAAGGUAACUCCCAAAACUUCCUAUUUAAUUUAGGGAUCAUUGUCAUGUUAAUUGCAAGAUAUUAUUUCACAAAAUAUCUUGUAAUUAUUCUUCAAUUACCACCAUGUAUGGCCGGCCACUCCUCACCCUAUGGGCCGGUCACUCCUCACCCUAUGGGUCGGCCACUCCCUAUAAAUAGCCCUAUUAUUCCACUAAUAAGGAAGCCAUUUGCUACCCACAAACUCCUAAACACAUUCUUUCAGAAUUCUAACUUUGGCAUUGGAGAUUCUUAGGCCAAAUCCCCCCUCCCAUUCAUCGUGGGCGCAUAAGGCUUUUGGCCUUAGUCUUAGGUAUUAUUAUUUUGCAGGUGCAUUUUCGUCAAAGACGAAGAUGGUGGAAAUUUGGAUCCACAAAUUGGUGUUUUCAUUGAGAGUUUGAUUCACAAGCUCGAAGAAGACUCUCGCAUUCAAAGUUUCACAUUUCUCAUUCAUAAGUAAAUUUUUCAUACGUUCUUAUUCCUAGAAUUUUUUUAAAUCUUUGAAUAGACGUAGGAGAGAAAUACAAUGGCUAGAAAUUUAGAAACCACGACGAACGAAACUUCCUACGUUCAAAGAUCCAGAUCAAAUGAUGGAAAUUGCGAUGUAGCCCCACCACGACGAUCCACGAAGCUCAACGUAGUGGCAAAAUGAGUAACUUGGCCACCACGGAGUACCACCACCACCAUAGCCAAGGCAACCCAUGUUGCAGUGGGGAGUGGGACAACUCCAUGGCAGCAAGGCCACGAAGCAACAACAGAUGCCAUCUUGCAGUAAUGAGCCCAAGCCUGUGUCACAAGGUAGUCAACCCAGCGCUAGGUAACCUAGAUCUAGUAGGCCCACGACGUUGCCAUAGUAGCUGAGGCCUAAAGCAAGGCCCAAGCAGCUGCGACUGCGGCAAAUGGAGCAACACAACACUGGCGGGGCCAAUGCACCCUUGGCCUAAUGCCAAGCAGGCUAAAUCGCACCACACCCACUAUUCAAACUAACCCUAAGUUGAGUAAGUAGCAUUGAAGGUUGUCAACCGCAAGGCGUUGAAGUACGAAUAAAGUUACACACCCCGCACAUGACUUGGCCCACUUCCGCGGCCCAACUUGCUCGCAAGGUCCACCUAGUGAUCCCGACCAGUCGAAGGCCAGUUCAAUCAUCCCAUCUUCAGAUUUCUGGACUGACGAUUGAAUCGGGGGUAUUUUCACCCCGAUUUUCUACAGAUUUGACAUAUCUCAACACAAAUCUCGCACUUGGAGUCCAUUGCACUUCCAUUACUCAAGGAGACGCAUACCAUUUAAGAUCUUCCAUCCCAAAUGGCGAACAACACUUGUCUUGACAAGUCAUAGAGUUGACAUGCACUUUUGCGCAGUAGACGACCUUAGUGAAUCAGCUUUUGCAACGCACAAAGAUGCAGUAUGCCCCAGACGAUGUGUCCCGAAGCAGGACAAGUAUAGACGACGAUUCUCUCCAGCAGCGUCCCAACAAGCAGCCGCUCGACUAGCCACGAACCGAGCAUUCUGGCAGUGUACACUCCCGUCUAGGUCCUCAAGAAAGCAUAUACUCUCAUCUUAGCGCGCGGAUGAGCGUGCACUCCUGGUUAGGCCUACGGACGAGCAUACAUUCACGGUUGGGACCAUACUCUUAUAAUUAACAUGGACAACCUGCUAGACGAAGUGUUCAUUCGCGGCUAGGCUCGCAAAGAGCAUUUUCCACCUCAUAUUGGAGUAAGCAGCACAGAAGACGAAGAUAAGCAGUCAAUUAAUCUGGCUCAAAUUCAAUCGGCCACCUGUAAGUAACUAGCUCGCCUGCCAAGAACGUACCAUAUGCAAUGUAGCCACGACAUAGACUAGCUGAGCACAACGAUGAGCAACCUAGACUAACAGGUUACGACUGGGGGUAGCCAGAAGCUUCACUGCCCCAAUAUAGGUAAAUUUAGAAAGAAGUUGAGAGGCUUCUGACAGAACGAUUGUGCGAUUUCCAACGCAAUGAAGCUACUGACAAGGCGCUUAAACGAUACACGACCAACAUAAACGGGUCACCUUUUAUUGACAAGAUUGAGCAGACAGAACCAUCCUACAUACACUGGCGGAUACAAAUAUUACUUCUAUUUUAACAUACGCAUCAACUCAGCCUAAUGGCGUGUCGAGGGCAAAUGGGUUCCAGAAUGGCACACUAACCCAACCACCAAGAACCAGGGCCAAAUCUUAUUUUCAUCACUCCACACGAUUCAAUGCUUGAGCAUCACAUCACCAGUAAUAGAGCACCGCAGACCUAAUGGUCCAAUUCCUCCUGAUGCACACAAGCUCACCCCAGCUCCACGCUCAAAGCCGUGCCUACCUGCUCCACAACACUCAGCCACCCUUGAUUUGUCACCAUGGCUCACAGUUAUGCCAAUUUUGCACCACAGCUCCCAGCCGUGCUAAUCUUGCCAUGCGGCUUUUAACUACGUUAACCAAGCCCACGAUACUUCAUACUUCAAAACAUCCAAUGACGAAGUAGAACAUGAGGCUCUACUAGCAGCCCCUGCUAGUGAAAGGCUUUGCGGUGAAGAGGCUUCCAAUCCAUUCAAAUUCUCAGUUGACCACCUGUUGGGUUUUACGGCUCAAAAUUAGGAUGAUGCAAAAAAAAUUGUGUUACCUAUUUGGUUUUGGUGUCGUAUUUGGGUUUGGAUUUUGACCUCUUAGUUGGUUUCCUUGGUGGAGAGAUUUUGUUAAUUACCUAUUUGAUUAGGAUUUGGAUUUACUUCCUAUUAAGAUUCUUAUUGUAACCUAAGUCUUAUGCACUAUAAAUAGGACCUCAGGGUUAGUGUAUUUUGUGUGGCUCAUUCGUGUGGCAAUUUGGUGAGAGUCAAUUUGUGAGUUUGUGAGUUAGAGAGCAAUUUGGGAGAAUCUUCUCCGUUAGUUUUGGGUUCUCUACUCGUUUGGUUUAGGGUUUGUAAUUUGUGGGAUUUGGAUUGUGAGAGUUUAAACACUAUUUUGUAAUCUCCGUUUGUUUAGUGAAAUUUCUUGUCAUGCUUCGCUCGUGGACUUAGAUUUUACACCGAACCACAUAAAUCUCUUGUGUUAGUUUGAGAUUGUUUGUUUUAGUUUUCACCUACAACGUUGAUAUCGGUACUUUGCUAUAAUUUGCUUUCCUUUGCUCAUAAAAGUACGACAAGUGGUAUCAGAGCCCAGCUUUCGGCUUGGGCUUUUCUUGGCAAUCAAUAUGAAGCCUUCUGUGUCGUCGGUGAAAGUUGAUAUUGAAAAGUUCGAUGGCAAUGACUUUGGUAUUUGGCAAUUGAAGAUGCGUGCUUUGUUAAUUCAACAAGAGCUUUUAAAAACGCUAAAGGGUGUGAAGGCUUUCCUGAAUUCGUGGACUGAUGAAGAAAAACAAAGAAGUUAUGGAGCGGGCACUUGGAACAAUCCUGCUGACUUUAUCGAAUGAAGUCUUGCGUCAAGUUGGUAGCAUCAAAUCUGCACCGAAGUUGUGGCUAAAAUUGGAGAGUUUGUAUAUGACCAAAUCCCUUGCUAAAUGGUUGUAUUUGAAGAAAAGUUUGCGUACUCUUCGUAUGGAUGAAGGUACGUCAAUUCAUAAGACCAAAUCCUUAUUGCUGCCAAAAGUCCUCAACAGUUCCAAGGGAGAUGGGUAAGAGUUCGUAAUAGUGAGAGAUUGAAUCUUUUCACACUUGGCCAAAUUUUAAUUUUAAUUAGAUGAAACAAUGAAUCUUGAACAAAGCAAAACAAAAUUUAAUACUGAAAGAUUGAGUCAUUGAAGUGGACGUGGAUGUUGGGUACUUAACAGUCCAAGAAUGAAAACUCUCAUAUCAGUUUUUAUCCAAAAUUUUGGAAUUAUGUGAGUAUUGCAACGAUUGUCCGAAUGAUUAUUCUUCUUUUAUUAAAUUUCCAUGGAAAAUGAGCAUGGGGCACAAAAGUUGAACGAAUGAAAUUUCAAUGAUCUGCAAAGGGAUUGUGAGUUUGACAUGCCAUUUUUCUUCCUUUUAUGCAAUCAUGUUUAUUAAAAGACAAAAAUAAAUAUGACUUUACAUAAGCAGAGAGAAAGAGUAUUUUUCUUUGAAAAAAUCAACUAUUUAUUGAAGAGGAUGUGGAUGUUGAUUGAUGCGCCGUGUGAAUAGGAAAAAAAUGACCUUGAAGGGAGACAAGACAUUCAUUAGAAGCUAAAAAAAAGUUAUAGUGAUUUAGAAAAAAGAAAUUUUAACGAAAUAUUUCCGGUAUUGUUCACUCUUUACGAAAAACCACAUUUUUACAUUUCCUGGCUACUAUUCACUACACCUUUAUUUAUCAUUUUUCAUUAAAACUAAAUUUGUUUUUGAACUUUUCGUUAGUUUCCUUUAGAAAAAAGCAAGAAAGCCUCAUUUUCAAAGUGGUAGUCAUUGAAACAAUACUUGAUUAGAAGAAAAGUCAUAGUAUUGUAUUUACAAUCUCAAGUCUUGAGGGGUAACGAGAGUGCAAGUUUCUAAUUGGAAUAUAAUAUGAAAUUUCUACAUAACAAUAUAUGACAAAGAAAGAAGUCUAAGUUUCUAAGUGGAAGGGCUUCCAAUUGAUGUGAGUUUGUUGAGAAAUGAAGAUGAAGAUGAAUAUUGUUGUUGAUGUGAGUUAGUGAACAACAGAACAAGUUGCUUCUCCUUUGGCCUCUAACAUGAUAUUACCGGAAAACAAGUUGUUACUAGUAAAUGUAACUGACUGGUGAACUAAGACAUGCGGUACGAUUUUUGAUAACUAGAGAAGAUGAAUAGUGUCGUGACAAAAUUUAUCCAAGUAGACCCAAGGGAAAGACUUAGGAACUUCAUAUGCAGUGGGAUAAAAUCUUAAGCUAAUUUCCUUUUUAAUCUUAUAGUCAUUAUGUAAAAUGUAUAUGCAUAUUUCUAGAUACAUACACACCAAUGUACAUAAUAUUAACUCCUUUUAAGUAGUCAUUUGCAAAUCCCUCUUGAGUGCUCUUUGGAAUGCUCAUGCGGUGCCGUUCUAAUCUCUUAUAUAUAACUUUUUGUGAUCUGUUUUUUCAUCAAUAUGCCAAAAUCCCUUUAGAAUUUGCAACUUAUCUUUUUGGUUACGGUAAAAAAAAACUCGGAAUUUCAUUUAAACUCGAAAAUCUAGGGAUGUGAAAGCAAUUUUCUCUUGUUCGACAACAUUUAGCGAGAGCAAAGGCAAAUUGUACAGGAAAAAGUUAGAAAUUGGGGAUGAAGAUUCCCAAUUUUAAUUUCGUCUAAAUAAGUGUAAUUUCACAAUUCUAACUACGAUGAGAAUCACAAAUAUAUUGCAGGGAAAUCUUGCAACAGCCAAACUUUACGAUUAGGGUGCCAAAUUUCGUGAUAAAACCUAAUAAGGGUUUAGGGCUGCAUUGUUCACUCUGUUAACUCUCCAAAUCUUCGACGGAUUUUCGGCUCGUGCAUCAUCUUCUUGCUUUGUUCUAGGUCAACGCCUCUACUCUCUUCUUUCUUGAAUUAUUUUAGCUUUUUAGGUAGGCUCUUUAUGGCUGUUGUGAAUUUUGCUAGUUAUUUUUAUUUUCUGAUAGUCAUUUGUUUGUUGUGCGUUUUUCCUUCCAAUUGAAUUGUGUAUUGGUUGGAUCUGUAACAUUUAUUUUUUAUUUUAUUUUAUGGAUUUUGGUGUUAGUUCUUUGUCAUGGAUGUUGUCCCUUUGAAGGUUAACAAUAGCCAAGACUAAACAUGAUGAUAUUGUUAAUUACUUUCUCAUGAUACUAAUGCCAUAUUGUUCUCUCUUUUGCACUUACAAGUGAAGAGAAAUAUCCUAGACCCUAACUGGAUAUGUUAUUGUCAUGGUCAUGCAUUGGUAUGGUAACAAUAUGUUUGGAUAAGGAAAAUAAACUUAGAAUUUGACAAAAGAUAGAAUUUAUAAAUUGAUACAAUCAAUUCCUUUGUUUAGAUUCAUAAACAUAGAAAUUUAAACUUUCCGUGUGAGAAAAAACUUGGAAUUUGGGACCUUCAAUUCUCAUGUUUAAAUUUUAUGUAAAUAGGUGUCAUUUCUAAAUUUCAGCAAGUGAGAAUUUAAAAAUAACAAACAUGUAUUCAAAUUUCAUUCCUCUUUUAGGUUAACCAAACAAGAAAUUUUAUAAAUUCUAGAAAAUAAAAUUUCGUUAUUUCAAUUUCUGUUAUUUUAAAAUUAGUAAUCUUAAAUUUUCCCAUCCAAACAAAGAGUUUCCUUGUCAUAGAACUUUCAAUUGGGAUCAAGGAAGACAAUCUUUUCACAACUGAUUAUUCUCACCAAAUUUUAUUAUUAUUUUAAAGCAGAUCAAUACCAAACUUCAAAAGCAAAGUAGGAAGGCUAAAAUUAAGGUGAAGAACCUACUUCCACUAAUUACCAUGGGAGGGGGAGAGAGAGAGAGAGAGAGAGAGAGAGAGAGAGAGAGAGAGAACCAAGCGAGAGAGAAGAGAGAGAAAACACCAAGUAGUAUUAUAAUAUAGGUGGGGUUAAAUCACCUUUCGUGAAGUUGCGGUAAGAGCAGCUCCAGCGGGAGGUCCAGCUUGAUGGACCGGUGAGAUUUCCUACCCAAUAGCCCCAGCUCCUUGCUCCAGCCCAUGCGGGCGAUUGGGCUGAGGGGGUGCCCGAGUGAGAGGCCUGACUCGAAUCGGUAGCCUGAGAGCUUGAGGCCAAAUGAUGCAUGGACGUCAGCCACGUUAUAAGAAGGAAGCAUAAACUAUGAAUAAUGAUAGAGAUUUAGAUUUUGGUGUGUGAUUUCAUCGGAUGGAUGGUGGGUUAUAUGGAGGAAAAAAAAAAGAUUAGGUUGUAGAUAAUGCCACGUGGCAUGCCGUCAUUCGUUAAAAAUCUGAUCGAAAUCUAUCAUCAAAGAUUUUAAACAGAUUAUGACACGUGACGCAACGUGAUUGGUUAAAAAUCUUAUCAGAAAUCUAUCCUUAACGAUUCUGAAAAGGUAACGAGAUGGGGCACGACGGCAUUGGAUAAAAAUCUUAUCGAAAUCUAUCACCAAAAAUUAUCUUUUUGGAUAAUGACACGUGGUGCAACGAGAACGAUUAAAAAUCUUAUCCGAAAUUACAAAUAGAAUUAUUUUGUAUUAUUUUAUAAAAUAAAAAUACUAAUAUUUUAUUGCCUAUUGACAUGACUAUUCAAUUAUGGGUGUGGAGAUGCAGAAGAUAAUUAUUAUUAAUUAAAGGUAAUUAUUGUUCAUUGGAGGGGAUUGAAUAUGAAGUUGCAGUAGAAGGCCUUUGUCACAGCAAUAGGCAGUUACUGUUCUAAGGACUUCUAUCCUAGAACAGAGACAAAAACACCAAGUAGUAUUAUAAUAUAGGUGGGGUUAAAUCACCUUCCGUGAAGUUGCUGUAUGGACUUCUAUCCUAGAGAAAAGUCGGUCAAUGGUGUUUGACACAGUCAGUCAACGACAAAGACAGAAUUGUGUAACCAUAAUUCUCUCUCUAUCUCUUUUUCAUUAACGGAGGACAGUGUAUAAUUACUACGUAUAUAUCUCUGCUCAAUUAUUGAAAAGAAAAAUCCAUGUGCAUUAUUUUUAUUAUUAUUAUCUCAGAAAUGCAGAAAUUGAUUAUCUCUUCCUUCUGCAUAUUGAUACUGGUUUUCUUCAAACUAGUUGAAGCAAGCCAAUAUGUGUGCGCGAAAUCCAACUGUAGCAAUGAUCAAGGCCCGGCUAAUUUCCUUAGGAGGGAGAGAGAGAGAGGGGAGAGAGAACCAAGUGAGCGAGCAGAGAGAGAAAACACCAAGUAGUAUUCUAAUGUUGGUGGGGUUAAGUCACCUUCCAUGAAGUUGCAGUAAGGACUUCUAUCCCAGAGAAAAGUCAGUAAAUGAUGUUGACACAGUCCGUCAACGACAAAGACAGAAUUGUGUAACCAUAAUUCUCUCUCUAUCUCUUUUUCAUUAACGGAGGACAGUGUAUAAUUACUACGUAUAUAUCUCUGCUCAAUUAUUGAAAAGAAAAAUCCAUGUGCAUUAUUUUUAUUAUUAUUAUCUCAGAAAUGCAGAAAUUGAUCAUCUCUUCCUUCUGCAUAUUGAUACUGGUUUUCUUCAAACUAGUUGAAGCAAGCCAAUAUGUGUGCGCGAAAUCCAACUGUAGCAAUGAUCAAGGCCCGGCUAUCCAUUUCCCAUUGAACAUCAGGCGCACACAUCAUUGUGGAAAUUCUGGGCUUGAAUGCAAUGGGAGAUAUGAGCAGCAAAUACUAAUAAAAUUAUUUGUCAAAGACACAGAUUACAAGCGUCAGGAAAUCCAAGUCUAUUCCCCAAGUAACUGCCUGCUGCUAAAGCUUGUUGAAAUCCCAAACAUGCCACCCUCUCCCUUCGUGCCAGUAGUCGAUUACAUGAUUAAUUUCAUAAACGUUACCUUAUUCAGUUGUCCUACUUCUGUUGCAAUACGAGAUACGUAUGGUUGUCAAGUCCCCUGCCUUGGCGACCGUGGCAAGAGAACUUAUGCCAUUGAUUCUGGGGUUUAUUUUGAAACUCUCUUCCAGAAUCUAGAAUCCUGUACAAAAAUGUAUGAUGUUUUAUCAGUUCCAAUAGCCGAUGAAUAUUAUGUUUUUCGUUUCAAAUGGUCUAUACCAAAUUGCAGAAAAUGUGGAGAGGGAAAGAAGUGUGAAUGGCAGAACAAUGAAAUUAAAUGUCUUCCCUGGAGGAAACCAAGUAAGGAUAACAUAUGUAUUCAUUGCUAGUUUUAAACAUCUUUACAUUUAUGUCUUAGUAAUUAUUAUUUGAAGGAUGUUGUCCAAUCCAUUUUUACUAGGAAUAUUACCUGACAGUCUCGUUUAAAUUCGCAAUGAUCUUCUACAGGCAACACAUGGAAAAAAGUGGUUACAGGUGGAAUCCUGUGUGCUUUGCUUCUUGUUCUACUGACGAUUGCAGCAUAUCGGGUAUAUAGCGCUGAUAGAAAGGAGAAAGAGAGUCGAUUAAGAAUUGAAAGAUUCUUGGAGGACUACAAAGCACUCAAACCAAGCAGGUAUUCGUACGCAGAUAUUAAGAGGAUUACAAAUCAAUUCAAGGACAAGUUGGGCGAAGGAGCCUAUGGAACUGUCUUCAAAGGAAUGCUCUCUUCUGAAUUCUUCAUUGCUGUCAAAGUCCUCAACAGUUCCAAGGGAGAUGGGGAAGAGUUCGUAAAUGAAGUGCGAACGAUGGGUCAUAUCCACCACGUAAACGUGGCUCGCUUGGUUGGAUUUUGUGCUGAUGGAUUUGUACGAGCUCUUGUUUACGAGUUCUUCCCCAAUGGUUCCCUGCAGGAUUUCAUUUCAUCUGCAGAUAGUAAGAAUUCAUUUCUUGGUUGGGAUAAGCUACAAGAUAUUGCCCUAGGCAUAGCCAAAGGAAUUGAAUAUCUUCACCAGGGAUGCGAUCUACGAAUCCUGCAUUUCGACAUCAAACCCCAUAAUGUUUUGCUAGACCAAAACUUCACUCCAAAAAUUUCUGAUUUUGGUUUGGCCAAGUUAUGUUCCAAGGAUCAAAGCUUGGUGUCCAUGACUACAGCAAGGGGGACCAUGGGCUACAUUGCACCUGAAGUGUUCUCCAGGAAUUUCGGAAAUGUGUCGUACAAGGCAGAUGUUUAUAGCUUUGGAAUGCUACUGCUUGAGAUGGUAGGAGGAAGGAAGAAUAUUGGUUCAAUUACGGAUAACACUACAAAUGAAAUUUACUAUCCACAGUGGAUUUAUAAUCUUCUAGAGGAAGGGGAUGACCUACGAAUCCACAUUGGGGAAGAAGGAGAUGGUAAAAUUCCAAAGAAACUUGCAAUUAUAGGGCUAUGGUGUAUCCAGUGGCACCCGUCGGAUCGUCCUUCCAUGAAAAUAGUGGUUCAGAUGUUAGAAGGAGGAGGAGAAAGCUUGAGUAUGCCGCCUAAUCCCUUUGUGCCUACUGGUUCUACAACUAGGAAUGCAAGACACCUAGAGCUAGAAGCUAUUGCUGAAUUAGAGUAAAAUGUAUAUGCAGAUAUGUAGACGUAUAGAUAUAGUAAUAUUUAUAUUGAAUAAGAGGCCGUUUGAUAACCAUUUCGUUUUCAGCUUUUAAUUUUUAUUUUUCACUUUUUUGAAAACUAAAAACUAAAAUCUUGUUUGGUAAAUACUUUUAGUUAAAAAAAAAUGAAGACUGAGAACUAAAAUGUGAAAGCUCAAAGGAAGUAGAUUAAAAGUAGUUACCAAACAAACCGGAAUCUCAAUAAAUAAAAAAGAUUGAAUUGCACAAUGCAAUCCAAACCAAUCAAAACAUUUAAAAUAGCAAAAAAAAAUUAAAAUUCUAGUUGAUUAGAUUCUAAACAUAGUAAAAAUGAACAGAUCCGAUGAAAAAAACAAAAAAUUCUCAGAUAAAAAUAGGGAUAAAGUAAAAUAUUUAUAAAUAGCUCUUUGUCUCUUAUGCCAUCAAUUAUUUCUAUAGUAUAUACACGUUUUUGGAAAAAUUAGGUUCCCAUCCCUUAUUUUCAUAUUACAUUGAUUGAAAUCUUAUUAUUUUUCUAUUUUAGAUCAAGGUCCCUUGACUUAUUCUAUGUCAUCAUUUUAGUAUUUAAAAUAUUACACGUUAUCAUAAACGAAAUCUCAUCCCUUUCUGCAUUUAAGGCAAAAUAAACUAUAUGAGUAAGUUUAAAACAAGGAAAAUCCAUUUGAACUCCUCCAUUCUUCUUCUUCUCUUAUAAACAUCUGGAAUCUACAACACCCCAAACCCAAUUUUCUCCAUUUUUUCUCCUUUCCUGAAUUGAUCCAAUGCAUAUAUGUUGAAUAAACCUAUUGUGAUUAAAAUACAAAUUAGCAUCAAUGGUUUUAUUGGCUUGUGAGAUUUGUGUGGCAUAGGCAAGGCAAUGCAGGCAUCGUUUUCUCAAGGAAUCUGGUUGAUUCAAACAUGCAGAGACUGUAGAGUGAGUGGGCUAUGUGAAAACUGUACCAUUCUGAAGUCAUUUUCUUUUGUUCUUUAUAUUUUUUUUUCUUUUUCUUUUAUUAUUAUAUAUUAGUCUUGGUUAUUCAAUGCCUGGUUGGCUACACUUAUAUCCAUGGGUACAUUUUUAAUCUACAUGUUUCGUUCUAAUAUAUCUAUUGCUAUAAUAUGUUUUGGUUGGUUCAAAUUUGUUUUACAUAAAUAUAUGGGUACAAAGUUUUUGGAGAAUAUUAUGUAAAUGGUUUUUAAGGUUGCUGCAUUUUACGUACCCACAUAUGCAUGUCUAUAAAACAAUGUGGUAUGAUGUACAUUCUUUUCUUUGAGUUUUUAAAUGUACCCAUGAGUUUUUUUGUAAAUUCGGUAUGUACCCAUAUGCUAUUUAUGUUAUGGGUACAUACAUUAUUUUUGGUCUAAGUUCAGGGUACAUUGCUUUUGUAUGUAUGAAUUCAAGGGGUACAUUAUUUCCCUUAAUACUACUCAAUAAAAUUCACAAAAUAUGUGUAGUGUGCAUGAUUUUUUAUUGUAGAAAUUGUUUUUUUUUAAGUCUCAUAAUUCAUGAAAUUUGUACAUAUAUGAUCCCAUAAAUUUUUUAAUUUUAUUAAAUUUCUUUUAGACUUGAUCGAUUGAUUGAAUCUCAUCAUACUAGGAUUUUGAAUUACAUAAAUUCUUGGAUUUAAAUCCCUUAAAUGUUGGACUGCAAUCAAUAUUUUAAAUUAUAGUUUUUUAUUUAAGAUAUCAAAAAGAUGACAUGGAAAUAUAGUAAUACUAAAAUGCUGAGGUGUACAAAGUCAAAGGACUUUGAUCAAAAAAUAAAAAACAAUAAGAUUUCAAUCUAACAAUUAAAUUGACUAGGGACCGGAACCAAAAUGACCCUAGAUUUUUAUUGAGUUUAAUCUUAAUCAAAAAAAGACUUCUUGUAUCACAGAAAAUACAAGAACCAUUAUUUGAAUGAAAUAAAAGCUAUGGGAUGGAGAUAUAAAUGGAUCAUUUUAUUCACAAUCGGAUUAUAUUUAUUUGAUACACUAUUGUCAAUAUGAAUGUUGAGAAAAAGACUACAAAAGAAAAAACAAUUUAUAAAUAUAACUAACAAUUCCAAUUUCAAUCAAUUAGACAAUUAGAUAAUACAUCAGUAAACGCGGGGUGACUCAGUGGUUAGAAACGAAUUUUAGGCUCGUAUUCUAUACAAUACGUCUUGGGUUCGAUUCCUGACAAUGGUGAAUCACGCGACGGUAGAUAUAGGGGUGUUGUUGGAAGUUUUGAGACUCAAGUCCUUUAUAUAGAUUUAGUGCUUUAGUUUAGUAAUUAGAAUAUGGGUCAUUUGGAAAUGGAUUGAAGGUUUGGGCCUUAUGGUUGUGUGGAUUAGGCUUGUAUAAUAUAGCCUAAAUACAAUUAAUAUUAAUUAAUCAAGACAAGGGCCUUGGGCCUUACUUGGGGCCUUGGAAUUUAAAAUUAAUCUGAUUCAUUAAUUUUAAUUUUCGGAUUAAGUUUUUAAUUAAUUUAUUAUUAAUUAAAAACGUUUUGAUUAAAAGACACAGCUCUUAGAAAAGAGUUAUGAACCUUCAAAUACACUGAACUGGUAUUUGAAAGGGUGUGAAACAACCUAUAUAUCUGCAAUCCAUGGUAUCCAAAUAAAUCAUCUUUUCUUCUUCCUUUUCUUCCGUACAAACUUUCCAGAGAGAGUAAACACACAAAGCAAUUCGCUAGAAUUCUAUAAUUUAGUGCGGGUUAUAGGAUUAGGUAGUUGUAUCCUGGUCGAGCAGACGUUAUAGAACCACAAGCACAAGAGUGGGACGGAAUUACUGUUCGAAUGACAUAGCUUUUACGUUAGCCUCUACCUUCUGUAAUCAAGUUAGUACCGUUGACAUUCUUAUAUUAAUUUCUGUAUUUAUUGUAUACUUUUCAUUUUGUAUAGCAAGUACCUUUUGUUAAAUAAAAAUUGUGAAUUUCAAGUUCUGUUUAUUUCUGUUAUUCUGUUUAUUUCUGAAUUGUUCUCCAACACCCCUAUAUCUACCGUCGCGUGAUUCACCAUUGUCAGGAAUCGAACCCAAGACGUGUUGUAUAGAAUACGAGCCUAAAAUUUAUUUCUAACCACUGAGUCACCCCGCGUUUGAUUAUAUUUCACUUAGACUUAUCUUGCGGUAUAGCAUGUCAUCCCCGCCCAAGUUUUUCUGUUGGCAUUGAGUUUGGGAUACCAAAACUUGCCAAACAAAGUAGAUUGAUUAGUAAGCGAAGCUAAUUAUUCGACUAAACAUUGUUUAGAAUUUUAAUUAAAAGAAACAAUAUGAAUCUGUUUAUUUUUUUUUUUGACAAACUAUAACGUUAAGGAGUUAAAUUGUUAGUUAUUAAGAGUACAAUGAUAGGUGAGGAUCGAACCUCCACCAGAGUGCAUAGACAUUAUUGGUUCUACAACUGCGGUAAAUCACAUAAAACAAAACGUAAUACUUUGAGGAUGGAAGACACUUCGUGGAUAGCGGGCAAUCAACACUAUCAGUUGCUAUCCAAAACUUGGAAUUAUGUUUAUUGUCCGAAGGAUUUUUCUUCCAUUAAAUUGCUAAGGAAGAUGAGGAUGGGUGGAGUGUCUAAAUGUCAAGGUUGACAAGAACGUGUAUGGUGUUCAGCUUGCGAUUGAGAUUUGUUAGAGUGGCACAACAAACCACAUAAAAUUUUCUAAAUGAUAAGCUUGAGUAUAAUUUUUUAUCACGUAUUUAUCUUUAAAAUCAUUAUAAUUAGAUUUUCUCUUAAUUAAUAUAGACCGUUAGAUUCAUCUAAUGACCCAAGUUUUUUUCCUCUUUUCUUUCCACUCUUUUCCAUUCACCGUGUAGCAGUCGUUCUUCCCCAACUACGUUUCUUAUUUUUCUUCACAAAAAAUUUGUAGAAAAUAUUAAGAAAAGAAAAGUCAUCAAUAUCAGACUCGACCAGGUAAUCGUUCCAACCUUCCCAGCAACUCUCAGUCUUAACUAGGCACCAAAUUUUCUCCGCCACCUAACUCGUCAUUCAUUCAUGGGUGUUUCAAGCUUGGUGAAAAUUGAUAGAGUUCCAUGUGUGUACACGGAUGUGAACAUAUUGGCCACUCUCUAAGAAUGAGUCAUUGGAAAAGUUGAAGGAAAGAUGUAACCGAUGAAAUUAAUGGAUUGGAAUUACAAUGAAGUCUGUGUUGGUUUAUCACAAAGAACCCAGAUACAAAAUUUUAAAAGCAAACAAUUUCAACUUCUCAAAUAUUAUCUAACAAACUUUCAAUGAAAUGUUGCUCAUAAUUGAAAAAAGGUUGACGAAGGACGGAGUUGGGGUUAUUUUAGAUGAGGAAGAGUUAAAAGAAGGAAGCACCAUUUAAUUAAUAAAAGUGAUUGGAGAAAUGGUAAUUCAAUGGUGGGCGUUUUUAAGGUGUGGACCUUGUAUCACACCCUGAUCCCAACAUACAUUGAGGAUCGACACGUGACAUGGGGACAUAGGGGACAAAAAUCUUACAUAAGAUACAGAAUGAAAUACUAUAUAAUAUCCCAAAAUGAAUAUGAUAGUGGGUUCACCCCUAUAAAAUACAUACGAGUUUGUACAUUCACAAAAAAAUAAAAAAAAUAAAAAUAAAUAAAAAUAAAAAACACACACACAACUCUCGCUAGGCCAAGACUUGCCCAUGGUGCUCAAAGGAAAGUCCCAAAAGAAAUAGUACAAUGAAGGAUAAAGGGGUAACCUAAACACUCCAAGUCUCUGAUCUCUGCACUGCUACCCCCACCGGCUCCUCGUAAUCUACUCAGACCUGUCACAUGUACAAACAGUGCCUACAUUGUGGGAAUGGUGCACCAGGCAAACAAAAACCCGGAUAAGCUGCAAAACUCGUGUGAGUGACAAUAAUGCAACGUAUGUGAUAAUCAAGAAAAACAGACCAUCGAUCACAGUUUAUAAAUCUCAAAUAUAACUUCAUACUUAUGAAAUCAUAAUCAAGUCACUGAAAACUUCGAAUGAGUCACCCAGACAUCUAACGACUUUUCUAAAUCAAAUCUCAGAGAUUCCCAAAACUAUCGUUCACAAAUACACUAAAAACUAGGGCUAGAGUGACACAGUUCAGCCAAAGCCUACAUAAGUAACCAAAUAAGAAGUGGCCCCCCAUAGCGGAUUAACCAAGCAGAGCCACUCCUGAGAAAGUAACCAAGUAGGUAGUGACCCCCAUCACGGAUUAACCAAGCAGAGUCACUCCUACGAAACUGUUAGGUAGUGAUCACCCAUUACGGAUUAACCAAGCAUGAUCACCCCUAAGCACGUAUGGCCAUACCUAAGAAAUAAGGAUCGCCCAUCGCGGAUUAACCAAGCACGAUCCAAAAAUAUUAUGGGUCCCCUAUCGCCGAUUAACCAAGCAUGACCAUCCAUGUACCACUGCUACAUGGUGUAAAUUCGGUGUCACCUAACCUCGUGACACUAGGGUAACGGUCCUCUAGUAGCCCUCACGUUUUUCAAACAUUUCAAAUAUAUAAUUUAAAACACAAUUCAUAAACAUUUCGAAUAGGGAAGUCACAUAGUGUUUAAUAAUGUAGGUCAAUGGCAAACUUUAAAAACAAUUAUUUAGCAUAAAACAUAUUUUAGAAAUCCAUGCUGUAUCCACAAAGUAUACUAGCACGGGAGAUUUUCAGGGUAAUAACUCUAUCACAUAUAUUAAAGUCACUCACCUGGAGUCCGCACUAACGCACCCUGGCACGAAUAUCAAGACGUCGCGUACUAUCAUCUGCAACAUCCCACAUCGACCAACGAAGAGGGGGUGAUGUGCCUUCUAUGUACAUGCCCACCUCCAUAGCAUGAGGCAUUUUGGGAGCUCACUGGCUUCAUAUUCCAUCGGAACUCCAAAGUUAAGCAAGUUUGGGCGAGAGUAGUCCCAGGAUAGGUGACCCAUUGGAAAGUUAUUGUGUGAGUCCUAGAAACAAAACCGUGAAGGCGUGGCCCGAGGGGGCCCAAAACGGACAAUAUUGUGCUACGACGGAAUCGAGACUGAGAUGUGACAGAAUGGUAUCAGAGCCACUCUGCCGUGUGGUGCGAGUGUGCCGACGAGGACGUCGGGCCCCUAAGGGGGGUGGAUUGUAACAUCCCACAUCGACCAACGAAGAAGAGGUGAUGUGCCUUAUAUGUACAUGCCCACCUCCAUUUAGCACGAGGUCUUUUGGGAGCUUAUUGGCUUCGGGUUCCAUCGGAAAUCUGAAGUUAAGCGAGUUCAAGCAAGAGCAUUCCCAGGAUGGGUAACCUACUGGGAAGUUCUCGUGUGAGUUCCCAGAAACAAAACUGUGAGAGCGUGGCCAGGGCCCAAAGUGGACAAUAUCGUGUUAUGGCGGAGCCGAGAUUGGGAUGUGACAUUGUCACCUAAGACAAAGUACAGAUCCACAUUUAGAGUUCUUCAAGUAUUCACAUAAUAAAAAAUUUCCAUACGCCCCCUACAACUAAUGAACAGAAAUCGAGACACGUUGACAAAAAGUCAACCGUCGAUCAACGGUAGGGUCCACAACCCUACAUAACUCGAUCCGCAAUAUCCAACCACUGUAUUUGUGAUUCAUAAGUUCAUAAGGUCUUCAAAUCCUACCUACAAUAACAUACUAAACUUUGGUGAUGAUCUAAUGGUCGAAUCAUCAUUUGCUAUAAUGUUCAAAUGACGCAAAUUCAUCAAUCAGAUGUCAAAUAUGGAAUCAGACAUCGAAUUUAGCUUAGGAAUGUCAAGUGGUGUCUCGAGCACGCACCGCCGUGCGCAACAGCUGGCAACCUAGAUUCGUCGGAAAAAUCACCUAAUUCCAAAAUGAAUGUUGUGAGACGUGGAGUAAAUUGUAUACCUGUGAAGAAGCCCAAUUUGGCCGGGAAGUGGCCUGAAAUCACUUUAGACCGUCGGAAACCCUAAAAUAGGUGAAUCUCGAUUCGUCAUCCCCGGUAUUCCACCGUUCUCAAACUUGUUUAGGGUUUGCUCAUGGUCUCAAAAGAAUGCUAAUGAUGGUGGUGAUUGAAAGAGAACGUUUCAGAAAUAGUGAAUCACCAAUGAGGGUUUCACGAAACCGACAUGGGUGUUCCUCGUGGAACCAAGACCAAAUCUCAACGGUUUUGGCUAGAAAUGGAUGCUGGGAUGUCAUGGUGAAGUUUGGUAGUGAUGGGAGGUUGAAGAAAGACAAAAAAAAUCGACAAAAAAAUCGUCGUCGGAGUCGCAAGAAACGAGUUAGAAAAAUGAGUCGUCGGGUCUGAAACGUCGAAGGCUUUUGAGACAACUACUUACUCUCUCUUCUCUGAUUAGUCACUCCACUCACUCUCUCAUUUGAUUGGUCCAGCCUUCCCACAUGGUGGGAGUUCCCUCAUAUAGUAACCCAAAAUUUACUAUUUAAAUCUGGUAUUGAACGUCCGUAACUUUUUCGUUAUGGUUUCGAUUCGCAAACGGUUUUCACCUAUGCGCUCGUAUGAUCGAAUUAUACUCAAAAACAUUAAUUAUGACCUCGAAAAGGUCUACGAGUUUUAAAAGAUUAAUUACAAAAAUUCACACCUUGUAACUAUACGAUUCAAAUCCUAAAAUUAACGGAAUUAAAAUAAACUAAAAAUAAUGUAAACACGAAAUACAGACUUUAAUAAUGAAAUACGUAAUUAAUAGUGGAAUUCCGGGGAUGGGAUUUCACAACUUGCGUCCGGACCUUCAAUGCGGAUCAAAAUCCAAAGGUCGUGAUCUGACGAGCUCAUGCAUAGAACAGAGUUGUUGUGACCCAAUGCAAUUCAAAACUUUUAUGUUUUUUUAUUUACUGGGUACGUUUUUUAUUUACUGGGUACAUUUUUGCAAGACGUUAAAGAAAGCGCUUCUUGGGAGGCAACCCAUGUAUUCAAAAAAGGAAGAUCUAUGAAUCGCUCUACAAUUAGUUUUGCGUUUCUAAAAACCUUCCCUUUUCUGCAUUUCUAUUUUGCCAUGAUUGUCAUUUUUUAUUUUUGUUGUUUAUUUAAUUAUUUUUGGGUGUGGGUUUAUUUUUGAAACAUUGACAGAUAUGCAAGAUAUUCUUACAUUCAUUUUCAUGAAAAAAAGAAAAGGGAACAUUAAGCAGGAAAUUACAAGAGGGAGCCUUCACAAAGGCUGCUUAGGAGAAGUCUCAGUAGUCGGCGGAGCCCCAGAAGAAGGAGGCAGCGGAGGUUGAUCAUUUGGAGCUUCAGUACGCGGUGCAGCCCCAGAAGACGAAUGCAAAUGUUGUUGGAACAAACCCACAAACCGCUGAUGAUCAAGUAAAAUCUGACAAUCAGAUUCCUGCAUCUGGUCAAUCUUCCUCUUCAUGUUUGUAGCAUAAUUAUGUGCGAGCCUGUGCAACUGUUUAUUCUCAUGCUUAAGCCCUCUAAUCUCCUGCUUAAGACUCAUCACUUCAGCCGCCAAUGAUUCAACUUGACGGGUUCGGGCAAAUAGGCGUUGGGCCAUAUUAGACACGGAACGUGCGCACUGCACACUGAGAGCUAGAGAAUCCUUUACAUCCAACUCAUCAGACCGUUUGGCAAGUAGUCUAUUAUCUUUGGGAGUGACAGGGUUCCUGACCACCACCGCAGCUGUCAUAUCAUUCUUCAUCACCGAAUCCCCAACGAUAAGGGGACCAGUAGGGGAUAUGAAGGAUGGGCGCCAUAUGUUGUCUGGAGAAGGCGGGACUGCCUCUUCACCAAGGUUCAAGUCAAAACGACGAUCGGAUGGGCCAAACAUUUUCACAGGUGUUAAAGAAAGAAGAGGUCGGACAAGUCAAGAUCGUAGAAGUGCAAGAUGAGAGUUUUUACAGGCAGAAAUUCAAGUGUGCUUUGAACGUCCUACGUACUUCUAUAAAAAUCAGCACUCGAUGGGAUUUCAGAGAUCGAAGAGGCAAGCUCAGAAAUCGAAGAGGCCAACUAAAAAAAUUAAAGAGGCGCUAGCUUUCUCAAAAGCUGAGCUUGCUCAGAAACCACGGCCAAUCUUCUUUUCCAGAUUUGUCCGCACUUGUCACAUGCAACUCGACGGGAUUUCAGAGAUCGAAGAGGCAAUUCCAGAUAUCGGAUAGGCAUCUGCUUUUGCAGACGUGUCAACAUCUGUCACAUGCAGAGUAAGCUUUGCGAAAAUCACGGGCAGUUUGUGAAGCGCCGAUUCCAACCAUCUGCUUUUGCAGACGUGUCAACAUCUGUCACAUGCAUAGUAAGCUUUGCGGAAAUCACGGGCAGUUUGUCGAAGCACCGAUUCCAACCAUCUGCUUUUCCCGACGUGUCAACAUCUGUCACUUGCAGAGUCAGCUUUACGAAAAUUACGGGCAAUCUGUCGAAGAUCUCUUGUGAAGUUUACUAUUAAAUCAUCCAACGGUUGCUGACAAGAGUGAAAGAAUAGUACCGACUAUUAAUUCCUAUAAAUGUCAUCCUUCACCCUCAAUUGCAAGGCAGACAUACAUAACCCCCUUCUUCUCAGAAAAUGCCUUUCCAACACACCCUCUCGAGUCACUCAGUGUUCCUAAUUCCUUGGGGUACCUCUGCAAACAACUCAUCCAAAGCAAAAGUAUUUCAUAUCAUGAAGGUUGAAAGCAAGAGUAUCUCAUAUCAUGCUUUCUCCCUGUCCUUCUCCUUGUCUUUGUUUUAGGACAAGGAGAAAGAGAGCAAUCAGCCAGCACUUGGUAUCAAUCUUCCGAUCUGGAACCGACUGCCUGGAACCCCUUCCUGAUUGCUUACCUAGCCUUGCUCUCGAGAACUCAUCUUCAUCAUCUUAUGCUUCCUCUUCGUCUACCACAUCUGCCUGGGGAACAGAUAAGGGAAGUGAAAAUGAUACCUCGAAGCAUGUGGAAACAAUUUACCAAUUCAUCCUUAGCUAGGGACAAGGAGAAAAAAAGCAAGAGGUGGGCACUUGGAAAGAUUGAAGAAAGAAACAGACCAACACCUCUACCUCAUGCCUGCCCGCCGUGCAGAAGAAUCAAGCAGAGAAGAAUACAGACUGCACAAUCAAAUCAGGGAACUCUCAUAUUUCUCGCUCAGAAUUCCAAACCAGUUCAAGAUCAACGCUGUGGAAAGUCAACAAGAUCAUCUAUCUCCAAAACCAGAUUUGCGUUCUUAAACUCUACUCUGUCUGGUUUUUACUUUGCUAUACUUGUCAUGUUUAUUCGUUGUUUGUUUGUUUGCUUGUUGUUGUGUGAGUUUAUGUUUAAAACAUUGAGGACAAUGUUUGAUUUAAGUGUGGAGGGAUAACCAUUGUUUUGCAUGAAAUUCGUAGGAGUUUAUCACCCAUUACUUCUAGUGUUGUUCCUUGCUGUUUUAAGUGUUUUAAGCUGUUUUGGAGUGUUUCAGUGUGUUUUGACAUAAAAAUCCGAAAAUCUCAUAAAAAUUUGAAAAAUUGUUUUGAAAAACCAAAAAAGAGUUGUUUUUGUAUGUUUAUUUGUGUUUUAGGGUACCUUCCAACACAAUGAUGAGGAUUUGGUUUUUAAUUACAUGACUGUUAAAGAGAAUUAUAAACAUGGAUGAAAAUUUGAUUUACUCUUUGGUGUAUGCUUGGUUGUGGUUAUAAUUUAUGAAUUCACAUGCAAUCAUAAAGGAAAAAUCAAUUUUGUAACAUGCUUGAAAGAAGGAACUCAAAUGUACGCUACAACCUUGUGAGACUUGAGCCUAGACGUUUAUUUGGAGAGUUAAUAAUGUGCAUUUUUGUUUUCUAAAGUCGUUGUAUGAUCUCAUUAUUCUUUGCUUGGUUGCUACCUAGAAUGCGUUCAUCAUUAUAGAUCCACAUACUAGAACUCAUGCCCGUUCCAUUCAAAGCAUGACAUUAAUUUGCAUAACACAUAUCCAAGAUGAAGUUGUUUAGUGAACCAAAGCCAAAAUAGCCGAACCCACCUUUGUCAUUUGUUUUGUAGGUUUAAACCCCGUUGAGCCUUGUUUAGCCUAUUUUCUUUGUUAAACCACAUCAUCUCUACCUAACCUAGAAUAGGACUAUCCAUACCCUUGUUCUUGAAGUAUAGUGGAGCAUAACUUAGAAAGAAUUCAUUUUGAAACUUAUUGGGGGAAUUUAGAUUUCAAAUUUUUUGUGUGCCAAAGAAAACGGCAAGAGAAAAAAUUCGUGAAAAAAAAGAAAAAAGAAAAGAAAAAUUUGCAAAUUUUCCUGUGUUUAAAAGUAGAUGCCUAAAUUAACCCUUACAUUAAUUUUCCUUGAAUAAUUUCUCAUUCCAUCUAAUUUAGAUCCAUCUUGCUCACUAUUCUUUUUAAAUUUGUGGAUUUUGAAAUUUCAAAUGAGAAUGAAAUUGGAUGAGUUCAAUUUUCGUUUAAUUCUUACAAUUAAUAAGAAAUUCCGUCGAAAACAUUUUGAGUAUUGUUUAAUUUUUCAAUAUUACCGUAUUGUGUCAUUGAAAUAAUUAUCAGAGGAAUUAGGGAAUUCUCUUAAGGAACAACUCAAAAUGUAGUACAUGAUUAAAUAAUUCCUUUGAAUGGUCAACUAUGAUCAACAUAUCUUGUAUCAGAUCUUAGUCAAAUACCUGUUAAGAGUGUAAAUUUCUUGUGUGAAAAUGAGUGUAUCUAGUAAUUUUGGCAUUAGGAUGUUACUACAUUCUCAAAAUGCUGUUUUUUGAUUAAAUGAGCUGUGAGGUACUAAUCAAAUAUGCUCGAGGGUAAGAAUGGCUUAAAUUAUGUGAGUGGUGAUCUGGUUCAUGUUUCAUUAAAAAUCCCUGAGGCAAAUGUUGGAAGAUUUAGGUUAUGUUUUGUUUGUUUCGUUUGUUUUGUUUUGCUCGAGGACUAGCAAAAGCUAAGUGUGGGGAAUUUGAAUUUGAUAGGAGCAUUAUUAUGCGACUGAGUUAGCUUGUUCUCAUGCAUUUAUGUUGUUAUUUCUUAGUUAAUUAUGUAUUUUAAGCUAUUUUCGUGUGUUUGUAGGUCCAUAGGCCUUAUAAAGCAAUAAGGUGCAUUUUGGAGCAGUUUUGGGCUUGGAAUGGAUAGCACAUGCAUGGAGUAAGGUGAUGGACGAAAUUGAAGACUAAAGAGGCUUGGAAUGUGUUAAAAAGAAAGAAUAAUUAAUGACAAAGAGCUCAGCAACCAAACAGGGAACAUGAGUCAAGAUUACCUUAUUUUGAUUUAAUCUUUCCUAAUCUUCAAUGUCCCUAAGUUCCAACAACAUUCCUUGUCUAUUUCAUUCACUCAUUGCCUAGCACCACCCUUGUUCCCUCCAUCAUUCCAAAUUUCUUGCAUCAAUCAUCACUCCACCUUAACCCUUGACUCAUUUCUACACCAUUCCACCUCCCUUUCCUUUCUCUACCAUGUGCACAAUCAUUCAUGUUCCCUACUUGCAUUCAUUGUUGCAACACCACUCCAUUUUACCCCUCAUGCUUUGCAUCAUUACUUCACUUUCACCUUUGAAUCAUUUCAACACCACUUCAUUUUACCCAUGGUUUGCAUCAUUACUUCACUUUCACUUUCACCUUUGCAUCAUUACUUCACUUUCACCUUUGAAUCAUUUCAACACCACUCCAUGUCCCCCUCCAUUGCCUUGCCCUUCCUCUAUAAAAGGAAGUGUGUGUAACAUAAAUUUAGUUCAUAUAUUUUUUUAGAUCAUUCACUCCCAUUUCAAUACAACCUUCAUCCAAACACAUUCAUUCAUCUUCACAUCCAUUCCUCCAUACAAACAAACCUUCAAACACUCACCAACACCUUGUGCCAUAGCAAAGGAAGGAAAGGAAAAUGCUUGGACGUGCGUGCUGUCAACUUGGAUCGUUGGAGCGUUUAGGUGUUUUCUUUCUUUUGUUUCCAAUGUUAAAUUCAUUUUCUGAUUUUGUUGCAAUUAUGAGUGGCUAAAACCCUAUUUAGUUAGGGGGAAGUUUGAAGCCAUGAACAUGCUUGAGAUAUGAAUUGAUUUCUUCCAAUUGUGAUUUGAUAAGUUGUGAUUGCAAUUCAAUUAUCUAUUUUAUUCAUAACUGAUUCUUGUAUGUUUAUUAAGGAUGCAUACUUAAUUUUCAUGCAUGAAUUAGAUGCUAGAAUAUAAAUGAGUUUCACCUAAUCGUUACAAGUUUAUAUUCAUGAGUAGUGAAGGUUGUUUAUCACAAUCUGACACACCCCGUCCCGAAGGAGGGCGUGCUGGCCGUCACGUGAGAGUGACGUAACCAUUUACACAGUUCGGAAGCUUUAAAAAAAAAUUCCAAUUACUAAUAUAACACACCCGAGGGUGAGUCCUACUUUUGUGAAUUCUGUCAGAACACCGUUGGAUUCCUCGUGGCCACCAAAGCUCUGCUAACUUGAACCUGGGGCGCAAAACAAAAGCUUGAACUUGAACCUUUCAGGCGCAAAACAAAAGUUUUUUCGAAAACUUUUCAUUUAAAACAUUUCUAACCCCUCACUGUAAAACCUGUAUACUUUCCCAGAAAAUAGUGUAUAUAUAAACAUAUAUAUAAGCAAAAAUCUCGAAUCUCAAACCUUUAACACUUUUCAGAAAUAUAUAUAUAUAUAUAUAUAUAUAUAUAUAACCAUUUGAAAUCUCAAGACUUGAAUCCCAAAUCUUUAACAUUUUUCAAGAAAAGCAUGCCAUGCCAUAAAUCAAAAAUAUAAAUCAGGUGAAAUAAGGAAUCAAUCGGAGACCCUGCAGUUGGUCCUAUACGAUUAAUUCAAUAGCUCAUUAUCUCACUAAGCCGGAGUCACCACAGUAACCUAUACGGCCCUACUCUGCACAUCACUCAGAACUACGUAAGGUAGUCUAUACGAUGAAAGGUGUAAAAAUACGCUCUAGUGCUUCUCUCAUCAUAUCAUCAGCGCGCAUAACUAAGAUCACCCACUAGUCGGAAUCACGCCUAGUGAUCUAUACGACUAGCAUGUCGGAACCCUCACAUGGUCUGUACGACAUCCACCUACUUGGAUCCAAGGCGAGCGUGCGGUGUGGUGAAUAAAAUAAGCACUAACACCUAGGGUGCAGGUUAUGAGCUUAAAACAUCUUAUCAACAAUCAAUUAAAUGAAUAAAUGAACUCACCUGACUUACCUGUGCCUCCACCGCACCAUGCAACAUGUAUGCAUCAAAUAUCAAUUCGUAUAACUCAUACGCAAUUCACAUUUUUCAAUUAAUUCUAUGCAUGGCAUUUUUAAAACAUAUUUUCAUAUAAAUUCAUUUUAUGGGAAAAAUCAAUAGUAUAAAGGUAAUACAAAAACAAAACUGCCCACUCACCUGGAGUUCGCCCAACAACUCCCUAGCACCACACAUCAAGGCGUCAUGAAGAUUAGUGCCUAGAACAAUAAUCAAACCCAACCUCAGAAAUCAUGCCGAUAGAAUACAUAACUUAUAUAAGACGCGUCCCUACGUAGUUCGAUCCGGAUGAUCUGCAACUCGGAUUUCAAAUCCGUAACUUCCAGAGGUCCACAAUAUACCUCUAGGACAACAUCCUAAAAUUUCAUUACCAUCCAACGGUCGGAUCUCCGUCAAUUUCCAAAACUAAGUGCCGGUUAACAUUCUAUUUUAUGAACUUACAACUCCAAUUCCGGAAGAUCCGUAAAUCGGAUUCCCAAUCCGUAAGUUCCUAUAAUCCUCAAAUAUUACGUAUUACAACGUAUCAACGUUUGGUGACGAUCCAACGGUCGGAUCGUCAAUUCACAUUUUCACCUAACUACGAAUCGUAACCAACUUAGGUUCAAUUACUCAAUUUACGUCCAUCAAUUAUCAAAACUGAACCUAGAGCCUUAAUCACAUGCUAAUAAUGACAUUGGCGGGCCAUUGGCCAUGCGCCGCCGCGCGGGCCGCCGCGGGUGGCGGUUGGCCGCCCCCGGCUCGCCGGAAAAUUCAACUAUUUCCAAAAAUUACCAAAAUUUGCAGAUUUGAAGAUAUCAAUGAGUAGAACAACUUUCAUACCUGUGGCCAAGGCCAAUUUGGCCUGGAAGUGCUUCAAUUUCACCAAAACCGUGAAGAACCCUAGAAUUAGGUGUUUCCAAUUCGACCUUCAAACUUGUUCCAACGCCUCAAUUACCUCUUAGUAUUUGUUCUAGGUCCUAAAGGAAUGCUAAUGGUGUUAGUAAUUGAAAGAAAACAUUUCAAAAUUUCAAGAAUUUAAACAAAAGGGUCGCGGCACCCGUGUGGGUGUUCUUCGCGAAAUCACCAUGAAAUUUAAUGAUUCUUGGGGUGAAACGUGAAGAGGGAAGGCCUAGAUGUUGAUUAGGAGUGGUACCUUGACUCAAUUCGUCGGAAAUUUGGACGAAAAUGGUGAGAACCCGCCGAUUGGAAGUCGCGGGUCGCACGGGUAUACGGGUUGGGAAAACCCAUUUCUUCCUUCUCUCCUCCGCUUCUCGCCCUCUCUCCUUUCCUCCUUUCCUUCCUCUGGUUGGUCAGCUUCUCCCUCUCUCUUCUUCUGAUUCGCCUCUCCUCCUUCUUCUCCGAUUGGGCAGUUUUUGCCCAAUCUCUCUUCUUCUUUCUGUUUUCUGGUUCUUCUCACGCGCACACACACACACAACUUCCUUUUUCUCAUCCCAGCCAUCUAUUUCAUUCAUCAUUAAAUCUGGGUCGUCCAUUUUCAUAAAAGAAUUUCUAUUUUACUAAAAUUAUAAUUCCUUAAAAUCCCAAAUUUCAAACGUUAAUAACUUCUUCGAUAUAACUCCAAAUCACGAACCGUCUACGCCCACGCGUCCGUAACGACGAGUACUACGAGGAUAUGUCAAGAAAACAAAUCUUAGAUGGCACGACACAACGAUUAACCUCGAAUGAUGUGCGUGCCUCAAAGGGCAUUUUUGUAAAAUCCUUUAUGAAAACUUUAAAAAUUCUUAAAAUUAGGGACGGGCUGUCACACAAUCGCGUUAAUUGAAUUCUUGGCAAUUGUAUCAUGCAUUCAUAGUUAUAAUUGUCUCGUCAACACUUAUGAUUUUCAUUGAACGUAAUGAUCUCUGAUUGUAUCUCUAUUAUGCAUUAAUAUAGGGGACUUUUAGAGGAUGAUUUGGGUUGUCGCAUGCAUUCAUCCAAUUCAAUGAGUAAAGGAAAAUCUGAGGGUUAAUUUGUGCAUCACGGUUAAUCUGGGUGUUGAGCAUAAUAGUUUAUUGAAAAGCAAUUGGAAAUCGAUUCAUGUACAAGUGUGUCAUGUGUGAAGAACGGACCUCUAACUAAUCCAUCCAUCAUUUUAUUUCUCAAAUUCAUUUUAUAAUCUGCCUAGUUUUAUAACUUGCUUGUUUAUUUCAAAUUCAUCCAAACCAAAAUCCCCUUUUUACUUUCUUGUUUCAAAGUGUUAAAUUUCUGUUUUGUUUGUGUUUUUGAGUGUUUUGAUUCAAGCCAAAACACUAAAUUCAUCCAAAGUUGAUUUAAAGUCCAAAUCUGACUAGUUUGUGUUUUUAGGCAGUUUUGAGUGUUUUUAAGUUGUUUUGAAUCUUUAGAAUCUGUUUUGAGUCCCUUGAGUCUAUUCAAACAUUUUUAAUUUUGUUUUUAUGUUUUUGAGUCAGUUUAAAGGUUUUAGCAAGCCCUCCUAAUCCCCGGUUUAGAACGAUCCCUACUUGCAUUUAUACUACAAUUUGACAACAAGAGGGUUUAAUUUGAGUGCUUAACUUUCAUCGCAUCAUGUGAGUUCCCAGAAACAAAACUGUGAGGGCGUGGCCAGGGCCCAAAGCGGACAAUAUCGUGUUAUGGCGGAGCCGAGAUUGGGAUGUGACAUUGUCACCUAAGACAAAGUACAUGUCCACAUUUAGAGUUCUUCAAGUAUUCACAUAAUAAAAAAUUUCCAUACGCCCCCUACAACGAAUGAAGAGAAAUCGAGACACGUUGACAAAAAAUCAACCGUCGAUCAACGGUAGGGUCCACAACCCUACAUAACUCGAUCCGCAAGAUCCAACCACUGUAUUUGUGAUUCAUAAGUUCCUAAGGUCCUCAAAUCUUACAUACAAUAACAUACUAAACUUUGGUGACGAUCUAAUGGUCGAAUCAUCAUUUGCUAUAAUGUUCAAAUUACGCAAAUUCGUCAAUCAGAUGUCAAAUAUGGAAUCAGACAUCAAAUUUAGCUUAGAAAGGUCAAGUGGUGUCUCGAGCACGCGCCGCCGUGCGCAACAGCUGGCAACCUAGAUUCGUCGGAAAAAUCACCUAAUUCCAAAUGAAUGUCGUGAGACGUGGAGUAAAUUGUAUACCUGUGAAGAAGCCCAAUUUGGCCGGGAAGUGGCCUGAAAUCACUUUAGACCGUCGGAAACCCUAAAAUAGGUGAAUCUCGAUUCGUCAUCUCCGGUAUUCCACCGUCCUCAAACUUGUUUAGGGUUUGCUCAUGGUCUCAAAAGAAUGCUAAUGAUGGUGGUGAUUGAAAGAGAACGUUUCAGAAAUAGUGAAUCGCCAAUGAGGGUUUCACGAAACCGACAUGGGUGUUCCUCGUGGAACCAAGACCAAAUCUCAAUGGUUUUGGCUAGAAAUGGAUGCUGGGAUGUCGUGGUGAAGUUUGGUAGUGAUGGGAGGUUGAAGAAAGACAAAAAAAUCGACAAAACAACCGUCGUCGGAGUCGCAGGAAACGGGUUAGAAAAAUGAGUCGCCAGGUCUGAAACGUCGAAGGCUUUUGGGACAGCUACUUACUCUCUCUUCUCUGAUUAGUCACUCCACUCACUCUCUCAUUUGAUUGGUCCAGCCUUCCCACAUGGUGGGAGUUCCCUCAUAUAGUAACCCAAAAUUUACUAUUUAAAUCUGGUAUUGAACGUCCGUAACUUUUUCGUUAUGGUUUCGAUUCGCAAACGGUUUUCACCUACGCGCUCAUAUGAUCGAAUUAUACUCGAAAACAUUAAUUAUGACCUCGAAAAGGUCUACGAGUUUUAAAAGAUUAAUUACAAAAAUUCACACCUUGUAACUAUACGAUUCAAAUUCUAAAAUUAACGGAAUUAAAAUAAACUAAAAAUAAUGUAAACACGAAAUACAGACUUUAAUAAUGAAAUACGUAAUUAAUAGUGGAAUUCCGGGGACGGGAUUUCACACCUUGCAUCCGGACCUUCAAUGCGGAUCAAAAUCCAAAGGUCGCGAUCUGACGAGCUCAUGCAUAGAACAGAGUUGUUGUGACCCAAUGCAAUUCAAAACUUUUAUGUUUUUUUAUUUACUGGGUACGUUUUUGUAGGAGGAAAAGGGGAAGUCGAGAGAUUCUUUGCGCAUUAAAGAGGGAAAGAGAGAAAGGGGGAGCUAAGAGGUUCUUCGCGCGUUAAAUUUUUGCUUCUGAUUUUGCAACCUAGAAAUAAAGUAUUUUCUUUAUGGUUUAUGGUUCAAGAAUAUAAUGGAUACAGCCUAAAAAUGUUUCUUUUUUUAUUUUUUACUUUUUUUUUCUUAUGUUGGCUUUUGGUUUAUUUUUAUAAUGCACUAUAUAUUAACUAAAUUUAUAAACAUUUUGUAUCUUUGUUGCAGUCAAAUUAAUCAUAUGGGUCGGCAUGACGAAGUUCGACUGAGACAUACAGAUGUUUUGCAAUCUUAAGUCUAACCUGACACACCCCGACCUCAAUAUCUAGUGGACACCAAAAUUGAGGUGUGAUGGCCAUCAUCCGGAUGGGUGAUGAAACCAUAAUAUGCAUGAAACAUAACUAAAUUAUCAACCAAUAAAAUCUAUUGAAAAAUUUGGCAGAACAUCCCUUAAAAUAGGGAUAUGCCCAAAUUAAAAACACUUGCACAUGAUCAAAAUUAUUCAACACUUCCCCGAAGGGCCACACUUAAUGGGACUUCGACCAUCUAUUACAUGCAUGAGAAUAUGUUCAGAGCAUAAUUACCCAAACACGUCUUAUUAAAAUAUUGAGUAAAUACCAUACAAGAUAGAAUACGUCAGAGCUGUUGCAAAAUACCUCAAUGUCCGAUGUAAUCACUGAUAGAAUUACUGAAUCAUGUAUAGAUGGAAAGCUGAUAAAUACAUGUAAUUUGAGUGGAUACUUACCAGCAGCAUGGAUACAAUAUCAUCCACCGGUCGUAACUAAUGACAAGCUGAGAGUAUAACUGUAGUACCUCUUAUUAGUGCAAUGCAUGAUAUGAAUUCCAUCUCACAUAUAUAUGCAAGCCAUAAUCAAACCAAUAAACAUCCAACAAAAGCCACAAUCCUUUUAACAUUCGACCACAAGAUCAAUUUUCAUAUUUCCCAAACCUAGGUUCCAAAGCAUUGUUUCGAAUUAUUAAUACAAGAAACCACCACCACCUCAAUCAACUCCUAUUCCCAAGUGUAAGCAAUUACUAAAUGCAUCACUUUCGACUCUAGUCUUAAUUAGAUUACUUGGGAUACUCAUUCACACCAUCAGAUCCAAGUACUAUUUUGAUAAACUUUAAAUAGCAUGGUUAAAAUAAAUGAAACACUUUUAGAAAAUAAGUGAAGAUGUUGUUUACAAAUAUAGAUGCAUCUGUAUAUAAAAGCUUUGGCGGUUGAUCCGUAUACACUUCCAAAGAUAUAAGCAAGUUCAUUGGAAUAUACAUGCAUAGUUAAUGUAUUACAGUAUAAUUAAUAAGAAAACAAUUGCAUCCCUUUAAGAAUAUAUAUAUAUAUAUAUAGACACACACACAUACAUACACACAGGCCCUUUAUGCAAAGGAAUUUCCAUUUUUUUUCAAAAAAUGGGGAUUAGUUGUGGGGCCCACGUUGCAUUGAACUUUAACGAUCCGAACAGUCUAUUUUGUAAGUCUCGAUUCAUAUAUCAUCCUUGUAAAAAUUCAAUUCAAUCCGAACCCAUUUGCCUAUUUAAUUAUCAAGAUAAAAUUUUAUUGUUUCUUAUAUAACAAAGUAUUCGUUAAUUUCUUUGAACUCAAUUAGAUAUCUUAAACAUUUCCGAUUUGGUUAAUAUUUUGUAAGGAUGAUCUAUGUGGUGCAACUUGAAAAAUAGACGAUUACGAUCGUUAAAGUUCGAUGUGGUGUAAACCCUACAAUUAAUCUUCAUUUUUAUAAAAGAAUGGGAACCCCUUCCCUUAAAGGUUUCCUAUGUAUAUAUUUGUUCUCCAGACAUAUGCAGAAGGUAAUGUAAAACUAAUGAGAACUUAAAUGGAUAUUCCAUACAUAGGACAAUUCCAUAUAUGCUUUUUCAACAUUUAUAUCGAAAAGCCAAAUUGUUUUGAGGAAAUUAAUUGUAGCAAUGAUCCCUUAACUUUUAUCUUAUUGGAACAAUGGUCUCUCAACUAAAAAUUCAUGACCAUUGGUUCCUUAACACCACACAACGUGUAGUUAUGGUCAUUUUCAUUAACUCCGUCAGAACUUUUGUUAAAACAAGUAAUGUUAGAAGAAUCAUUGCUACAAUUAGGUUAAAGUUGGGGACCAUUGCUCUAAUUAAAUUAAAAUUGAGGGAUCAUUUCUCCAAAUUGCUUAAAGUUCAAGGACCAUUUCUACAAUUUUCUCAUCUAGUUUCCCAUAUUUACCCCAUGAUUCAGCUUCACAUGCAUUGCACAUGACUCAUUUUGACAAAAAAUUUAACAAAAUUGACGAAAAUGACCAUAAAUGCACGUUUUGAAGAGUUAAGAGACCAAUGGUCGUGGAUUUUAGUUGAGGGAUCAUUGCUCCAAUUUGGUUAAAGUUGAGGGAUCAUUGCUACAGUUUUCUCAAAUGUUUCGUAUGCGAAAAUAGGCAUUUGUAAAGUUUGGCUUGUUUAUGGCAUUAUUACUUUAGUCUAAAGUAAGGCUGGGAAUGGCACUGUAGAAAUGAAUAGUGUUCCAAUCCGAAUUUCAGUUUAAUUACAACAAUGCCAUUGCUCUUUGUGUUGCCUUUAGGUGAGCAGCCCGGCUUGCAGUCAGGCCCAAAUGUAUUGGUUUUAGCUGAGAAGCCCGGCCCUUGGUCAGGCCCAAAAUUUUAAAUUACAGUUUUGCCCAUACAAAAUAACAAUCCGAUUGUAUCGGGAAGGACAAUUUUGUCCUUUCAGUUUUGGGUGAGAUAAGGGGUAACAGGGUAAGUUUCAUUUGCUGUCGUUUAAUGAGGGUUUCGGGGAUGAGGGCUCUGUGUGUGUGUGGAUGAGAGAGAGAGAGAGAGAGAGAGAGAGGGAGAUGGCGAUGGAAGGAGAGCGAGGGGGAAGGGAAGGGUUCUCGGCACUGUUGCUGCAUGUGGAUUUCACAUGUGGGAGAGUGGGUAUGGUCAGAGAAAACCAUAUAGGUCAUUGGGAUUUCAGGGAAACGGGGUAGGGGUCAUGAAUGAACUCUGCUGAGAGUGUGGGUACCGGAUCUUGCGCUGCAUGCCUCAAAUCAAAGAUAAGUUCGUUUUUUUAUUGUAUUUUUUGUGGUAGCUUAGCUUUUGGAAUUGUUUAGUAUGUUAGGUCCGAUUUUGGGGGAUUUAUCUUUUUAGAGAGAGAGAUGGACAGGGAGAUAGAGAGAGAGAGAGAGAGAGAGAGGAGGAGGAAGCAUGACUGUGUGCAAUUUUUGGUGUUAAUUAAUGGGUUGGUGCGUAGGGUGAGUGACAGAGUGACAGAGUGAAGGAGGGACGUGUGGGAGGGUAUGAGUUUUCAGUUCUUUCUUUUGAUUCAACAGGUUAUACAUUGUUUGAAAAACCUUUUUUUAUUAUUUUUUUCUCGUUUGCUUUGUUAAAACCAUCAUUUGAAUUUUUGGGUUUCACUGUGUUCAUUUCUCUGCUUCUUCAUAAUUUGCUGGUGUUUGCUUUUCAUCCCUCUAUUGGUAGAUCUUUUUCUCAUUUCUUGGUUCCUUAUGUAUUCUUUGGUACAAAUCUAUUUACUUUUUGGCUGUGUGAUAAUCUUAGCAGGUGAACUAUAUGAACGUUUUUUUUGAAACGAGUUAAGAAGAUCCAGCUGAAAAGAGCAUGCAAGAUAGAGAACUGGUAUGCUGCUCGCCAGGGAAAGGCUGCUGGAGAGGCUGAGACGGAUGCCUCCUUCAAAAACCAGGUCAGUUUCCUGCUACUCGGCGUCUUAAUGUAUCCAAAUUGUUUAUCUUUUGAUGAAAUUAGCUGGCUUUAUUUUCUAUUUUAUUUAUCUGCAUAUUAUUUUGGUUUGUUGAAAUUUUGACUAUAGUCAUUGUGUCACAUGGGCGCCCAGCCCAACCCAAAUUAGUUGAGGAUAUUUAAAUCUUCACCAUGGUAUUAUAGUACUCACUCACAGUUGUGAAUACUAAGGUGCAGGCAUGGCAUGAAGAAGUGGACCGUGCACGCCAAGGUCAGAGGGAUGCAGAGGGCAAACUUUUUUCUUUGGAGGUAAGUAUCCUUUGUUUAUUGCCCAACAGUGUUGUUAUUAUCAAUUUGUAGCUUUGCGUUCUGAAUUUUUUGCUUUGUCAAACAACCUUUUUGAAAUGCUCGAUUUCAAGCCGAAGUCCAAAAAAUGAGAGUUGAGAUGGCUUCCAUGAAGAGGGAUGUAGAGCAUUACUCGCGCCAGGUGAAAUCUGCUUCCUCUCUUUUCGUAUAUCUUCAUAUGAAGAGUUUUACUAAGUUAUAUUGAGAACUAUGUUAUUUAUAGGUUAUAUUUUCCAUUUUGCAAGAACACAUGGAGCUAAGGAAGAGCUAUCGUGAACUCACUGAUCUACUGGUAAUGUCACUCAAACUGCUUUAUUUGUGCAUGCUGCUACUAUGCGCUUGAAUGCAUUUUAUUACUGGCGGGAUGCGAAGAAUGCUAGAUAUAUGUGCUGGAUCGCUUGAUUAGUGUUAGGGUUUUAACAACUAAUUGUUAGCAGCUAGAAGCUCUGGUUAGAUGAAUGCUAAUUUGAUUUUCCUUACAGUACUUGAGUGCCAGUUUCAUAUUGUUUGUUCCCUGCUGGAUACAUGCUGUACAGUUUCAUUUCUGUUUCUUCAUAACUUUCUUGGCCCUGCGAUAUAUGCAUAUUGAGUACAAUGAAUAUCCAUUGUUCUCUAACUGUUGGGCUUUACUAUCUUUGUAGCAGCCUGCCUAACAUUUUUUAGGCUCUACACUCUACCAUCCAAUUUAUGAAAAAUUCAAAGAUUGGACGGUAUUGAUUGCAUAAAUGAAAAAAAUACUAUGAUAUUAGAAAGGUGAAUGUAAUUGUGUUAGAAGAAGCGUCUAGCAUGAUGGGUAAUAUUUUAAGUUUGUAUUUCUAAAAUUUUUUCGUUCUGGAGUAUGAUUUACCUCAAUUGUUUUGUACUUUAAUCUUUACUAAUUUUCAUUGUGGAGUAUGAUUUGCCUCAACUAACAACUUUUCAUUGUUUAACUUUUUCCUCCCUUAGAUAGUUGCAUAUGUUUGAUUUGUUAAUCUGCUUCUUACACAUGUUGUUUCCUAAUGGUGUAGGUGGAUUGCCGGAUGCAUGUGCAGAUUACUUGAAUAGACGAAGCUAAGAAUGACUUAGUAUUAAGUGAGAAAGAAGCUUGGGUCAGUUGGAUUUUGACAUUUGAUUUAUUCAUGUUUUUUUGUUGCUUGCAAUGUUCUCUCAUUGUUUGUUCUGAGAUUCUGUGAUCUUAUUUUUCAUAGGAACUGACAUUGGUUUGCCAUAUAAUGUUUCAGGAACUAAUACAACAACUAAUCACCUUGCUUAGGUCUCAAGACACAUACUUAACAGGUUAACAAACGCUAACCUAUAAACUUAUCUACUAAGCUGGACCAUUAACCUCUGUUUAUAUCCCUGCCACUCAUCUUUUGGCACUUAUCAAUAGCAAAAUCUAGAGUUGUUGAAACCCCAAUUUUAAUGAAUAUUAUUUUUAGUUGAUAAUUAAAAUUAAUUGAUGAUUAAUCUAUUCCAUUGUGCAUUAUUUUAUCGCCAAAUACUUUGAAUAUUCAUUAGCAAAAGAUAUAGGGUUCACUAUUUAAUGAAUAGAAUUUUGAUGGUGGAUUGCAUUUCCUGAGUUAUAAAUGUGGUGAAUCCAUUAUUUACUAGCUGAAUAAUCAUAAUGUUUUGGCCACUUACCUUGAAUUUUGUUCAAAUUGAAGAAGUCACAUGUUUCUUUCUGUUGUUGAGGUAAUCUCUCUGUUGAAAGCUUCUAUUUCUUUUUUCUUUUUCUUUUUUUCAUUUGGGUAGAUUUUUUUUUUAUGGAUUUAUGUAUUUUUUUUCUUCAGAGAAUUCGAAAUGAAAUAAGAAUAGCGGAUUGAGCAUAAACAAAUUGAUGAAAUUUUUAUUUGAGUGUUUGUGUUGGUCCUUUUUUGAUUUGUUGAGGUUUGGAAUUAUUUGAGUUUUUUUGCUGUUAGUACUGUGAAGGAUGCUUGGCAAUCGCGAAAUGGGGGCUACCUCUUUGGAAAGAGAAGUCUCGCUAUCCAACCUCUCAUGAAUUACAAACAGGGUGCUUUCUUGCUGAAAAACCACUGAAUCAGUAGAACUUUCCUCGGUUCUUCAAUUCGAUUCGAAUAAUUUUUUUACCCAGAAAAGCCAGCGUUUCCUGGUGAGUUUUACAGCUUUCUCAAUGUUUUUUUUAUUUUGGAUUUGCAAAUUUGUUUUCUGUUCAAAUUUCCUUUUGUGAUUUUGGAGGUUUUGUUUAUCGAUUCUCUCACUCAUCUCUCAGCUCUCUCCCACUUUUGAGGUACAUGUCGUUGGAUUCCGUUUGCUGCUGUUGAUCUGCAGGUAAAGCUUCAAUUACCAUACAAAGUUUACAUUUUUCAUGAUUUCUUGAAUUUGGGUUUUAAACAAAGGAAAUAUUGCUAGAUUCUUAUCUUAUGUGCAAAUUACUGGCUAUUUGGAUUGGUGCUUGAGAUUUAGAGAAUGUCUCGCAGCUUUAAUUUCUUUUUCCUUCAUUAUUACUGUUUUCAAAAUUUUUAUUGCUGGGUAUUGAUAAUUUGUAGUAUGUGAGGGCUUCAAUAUGUUGGAAUUUUGAAUGGUUAUUGCUUCAUCGGAAUUUGGGUGGUCCAAAUUUUGAAUUAGAAGAAACCCAUUUGAUUAAUAUUUUUGGUGGAUUGGUUCUCUGUGUUUUCUUUGCUAUUUCUCCCCCAGUUGGAAAUUGGAAGCCCCAACUUUGAGCUCAGAGCUUGAAUUUCUCAAUCGUUCGUUUCUCUACACUCUCAUCAGUCACUCUUGAUCCUCUAUCUAAAGAACUGGGUAAUUUUCCAGCUCUAUCAAGUAAUACUCAAUUUAAUUGCUUAAUUGAGGUUUUUUGUUUCUCUUUUUCGCUCUUUCAUCAGUUCAUUGGCUUUGAUGUUGAGCUUAAGUAAAUGGGAGAUCAUUAAUUGGCAUUGUUCAAAAUAUAAUUAUGUGUUUUUGGAUUUGUGAAACGAUUUGCCUAAUGAUGAUAGUGGUUAAAAUAAAUUUUUCGUUAUGAAAGAGAACAUUGUUCUUCAUUUGCCUACGGUUUUAACUACAAAGUUAAACUACUAUGCUUUUGUUCAAUUGAUUGCAACUCAUGCCGCAGUUUGCUUCACAAACCUCUAUGGUUAGCUUCCAUACAGUAUGUUGCAAGUUUGAGGAUAUCUUUACAUCUUAAUUUUUGCUCUCUCUGGUUGCUUCAAGUUUGUAAUUUUACGUGUUACAUUGCUACUUGAUUUGAUUAUAAAAAUGCAAAAGAAAAUCCAUUUUGCUUUUAUUCAACUUAAAUGUAUCCUUUUGUUUGUUCAUAAUUGUGUUGAAUUUAUUCAACUUAAAUGUGUUUUAUUCAUCUGUUUACGCUUAAAACAACUGGUUCCCCUAGCAAUGCGCGGACCUAAUUUCUAGUACAUAUACUAAAAGCCAGCAGAAAAUUACUGUUCAUCAUGGGAGAUAGAGCACUGUUCAUUAACAGUGAAAGGGAAAAAAUGCCCUCGGUUUCUUCUUUACUUCACGUACUGUUUACGAAUUGCUACAGUAUAAAGUCCGUUUUGUCAUUCCUGUCCACGCAUCUUUCAUCGUCCGUUUCUCUUGCUUCGACCGCAUCUUUUUCGCUUUACCUUUCCUCUUCGUUUUUCGCCUUCGCUAGGCUGCAAUUUUCGGAGGUGGAUUGUUUGCCCUUCUAUUUCCAUGCUCUCCCCAUGCCCUCCAUUGAUGUGUGGUCACGGUUAAACUAUGUCAACAUUUUAUAUUAAUUUUUUUAUAGAAAUAAUAAAAUAAAAAGUAAUAGGUAUCCAGGAAAUUUUCGUCAAAAUAUCCAGGAAAUAGGUAUCCAGGAAAUUUGCUUUACCGAUAUUUUAAUAGGUAUCCAGGAAAUUUGCUUUACCGAUAUUUCGCCGAUAUUAUCGGUUUUUUGCUUUACCGAUAUUUUAAUAGGUAUCCAGGAAAUUUUCGUCAAAAUAUCGCGAUAUUAUCGAUAUUAUCGAUAAUAUCGCGAUAUUUUAGAUAAUAUCGAGACAUUUUGGUUUCUCGACAGUCAGUCACAAUCUCGCCGGAGAAUCAGAAUAACUCCGAGCAAGAACAAAACCUGCAACCAAACGGAACAAAAUCAUCACUAUCUUUCAACAAAAAUCACCACUUUAUACCAAAAUCAGUGACAAAAUUACACUAAUCCGAGAAGCAAGGGCUUGAAUUCGAGCAAGAUCUGGAAGAAAACAGUAGAAGCUGAGAAAUCGAGUACCUCACCGGCAGUUACAGUGCUAAAGAUCAUCAUCUUUGGAAGGCCGCGGAUCAGACGGAGCUGAGAGAUCAAUGAGUAAGCAUUUCAUAGAUCGUAUUCGAUGAGCAGCUGAAAGAGAGGAGAGAGAAAGCAGAGAGAGACGCGGACGAGGAGGAUCUCGCUGAUGGGGACGACGAAGGAGAGGUAGAGGUCGCGGCCCGCGGGACAUGGUGACGGGCUCGACGAGGAGGAAGGCGAAGGAGGAGCAGAGGAGAUGGGUGCGUGCGUGCUGCGGUGCAGAGAAGAGAGAUGAGGGAGAUAUGAGAGAGAGAGAGCCGAGAGGGAGACAGAAGAAAAAGAAAAGAAAACAGAAAGAAGAAGAAAAGAAGAAGGGAGUCGCGGGGGAACAAAGAGAGAAAAGAGAAAAGUGGAGGGGCUGCCACGUGGCCACUUCAGAAAGAAAGGGAUCCAAUGUUUUGGAUCCUGAUUGGGUAGUCAAAGAGGACCAAUUUGAUAUAUUAAAAUGUUUAGGGGAUAAUUACACAAAUAUAUCUUUAUAAAUGGGGGUGGGUGUUACAUAUUGCCCUAAAAAACUCCAAGUAAUUACAACAUCGUAUUAGAAUUGUAAUUGAUCCUUGUUAGAUUUGGUUUAGAAAUUCUAUGUAAUUUAGUGAUUGUUUCAUAUUAGAUUUAGAUUUGAAUUUUUUACUCCAUUCAGAUUUUAAAUGAUUAUAAUAGAUUUAAAAAUUUACGAACUUUGAUGAAGUUUAAUAAUUUUUAAAACUUUUAUGUAAAAUUUUAAGUGAAUUCCCUCAAAUUUUCAGGUAGCGAUUUGAGAAUGUUUAAAAUAUUAUGUGAAAUAUUUCUAAUUUUUUCGAGUUUCCCAGCUUUUUAAAAAUCUCUUUGAAUCAAUUUCUAAAUUAAUACAUUUGGAAUGUAUGAAUUUCUUAAAAAUCAUGAUCGAAUACCCCUUAAACUUUAAAGAAUCACUUAAAAUCCUAAUUAAAUGCCCUUAGAUUUUUAAGGAGAAUUAAAAUGUUUAUAAGCCCCAAUUGGAUGUACCGCUUAAUUUAACUAAUUGACACAACACAACAUAACCAGUUAAGAUUACAAAUUAACACAAAAGACGACUUGAUGCGAGGUCAUAUCUACAAAACUUGCCGCAAUAAGCCCCAAUUGGUGUGUUUAAACUUCUUUCAUUAAUUACUACAUAUUUUCUACACUCAUAAUGUUUGUCAGCUCGCUAUAUAAUCAACUUGAUAAUGUUAAAUCCAUCAUGCAAUGCAUUUCCUUCCAAUUUUUUGUGAUAAACUAAUAGAUAAUUGACUAAAUAAACAUCCUGCAAAGUUUCAAUAAAAAUUUUCAAGUUUUUUUUACAAUUUCCGUGAUUUUCAUGUAAUUUUUAUCGGUAUCGAUAUUAUGCCGAUAUUUUUAUCAAUAUUUCCGUGUUUUCGAGUACAUAUUUCCGAUAUUACCGAUUCAUCCGCGAUUUUCUCCCUUUUCGCCAGCCCCUCUUUUGCUCUCAAAUCCUUGCUCUUUCUUUUUCAAACUAGUCUCAGAAGAGAUCCUGGGUUUAUCUAAUCCUUUGUUGUUCGGCGUUUUGUUCUCAUCUUGCGAUCGUCGGGGCAGCAGCUUUAAGGUAAGUUUGUUUUUAAUGAUUUAUCCUCAAUUUACGAUGUCUGGGCUAACAAAUUUAAGAUCUUUAUUUUUCUUUUUGCUGUGGAUCUGCAGGUUUUGACAAGUUUUUUGUGAAAUUGGUGCUGUCAGUGGGUGUUAAUAUCAGGUACCCAUGUUCAGUUUUUCGUUUUGAUUUGAAGGAAUUUCUUGCGCAGAAGAGCUAGGUUUCUUGGUGAGUUCUUCGGGUUGUGCAUAUGGGUAAUUUUCUUUUAGGUAUAACCCUCUGCUUCUGCUGCUCUCUCUCUCUCUCAUCCCUGCCUGCUCCUCUCCAAUUGUUUGCUGUUCUUAAAUAUUGUGUUCAUUGCCUGAUACAAGGAGCUGCAGCAAUCUGUUUUAUCCUACACGGGACAACGAGGCAAUGGCGUGACAACAAGUGAGCUUGGAUAUCCAAAGAAAAAGAACAGUUGGUUCAUCUGCUGGAGUCUGAAGCUCAGAGAAGUGGAGGAAAAUUGCAGGUGUGCGAGAAAUUUUAUUUUGCUGAUAGGACUCCUUAUUUACCGAUGCAUUUUGAAUUAAUUGAAAAGUUGGAUUUGAGUUAACAGCUAUAAAAAUGUAGACAUGAUUGCUGAGAUUAUGCUAUGAAAGUGGAAUAAAAAAAUGGUAGUUUAUAAUAUUGCGUACCAAUUUUUUUCUCUCUUUUUUACCAAAUGAUAAGGGUGGUGGCUCAGGCCGCCCCCCUACGCGUCCCCACUCUUCGACAAGUUGAAAUCAUGGUGAUAGUUUAUGGGUUGCGGUCUUGGGAUUCUGCAAAUAGAAUAAAAAACAGACACUUAACUAUCUUGUUAUUAAGCAUUUCUGCAUCAUUCAGUUGCUCUUGAUUUUCGUCUUUUAAGCGCUCUUAUUUCUGCGAUCUGACUUGAGGAGGGGUUUUAGACCUAUGGUUGUGGGUGUUUUGUCUGACCCCAUUAAAUUGGUUUCCGAGAUUUGUAGACUUGCGAUCGGCGGUCAAACAUUUCGUGAUUCUUGCUUUUUUUCCGACUGGGAUUGACGAAUUUUGGCCGAAUCUGUUUCCUGUUUUCUUCUCUGUUUGAGCGGCCGCUGCCUUUCGGUCGUUGAGCGCCGGCAGUCUUUAGAUCUUUGGCAAAUCAAUUUAAUACAACCGAGGUAUGUUUUAUAACUGCUGUCUUUCAAUUUUUGUUCUGUAUUUUUGUUAAUUUGGAUGAAGCUCUAAUAAUUUUGUUUUGGAUCAGUUGUGGUCCUCUGUUAGGAUUUUCCUGGCUAAGAGGGUAUUUGCAUUUUUGUUGCUUGGUUGGUCGAUCCAGUGUAUUAAAAGCGUGAGGCGUGGGCGAGGCGUCCGAGGGAAGCUCGGCCUAGGCGUGAGGCGUGAGGCGAAGCCUCAUGGGACCUAAAUUUUUUAAUAUAUAUACAUUGAGCGUACACAUAUAUUAUAUUAAAAAUAAGAAGAUUAUUAAUCAAUAAUCACCUUGAGCACACACAUAUAUUAUAAAUAUAUACACACACACAUAUAUAUACAUAUAUUAUAUUAUAUAUGCAUAAAAUAGAGGAUGAAAAACACAAUGAGCACACAUAUAACAAUGCACGCAAACAACACACACAUCCAUUAUAUAAAAAUAAAAAUCAGAAAAAAGGCAUAGAGACAAAAGUGCAAGGAAGAUGUAUGAGACAGUUAAAAUCCUACCCAAAAUUUGGGUUUGGGAGUAAAGAAAAAAAAAAAAAAAAAAAAACUCACUGAGGCGCGCCUAGGCGGCUCCGGCGACGCCUAGGCGGCCUUUCGCCCACUCCAGCAAAACUGAGGCGUUAGCCAUGGAGCCAAGCCUCAAGGGCGCCCUAGGCGCGCCUCGAGGCGAGUUUUUUAAAACAUUGGGUCGAUCACAAAUUUACGAACAGCUGUGGUGGUCCUGUUAGAGCCAAGCCUCAAGGGCGCCCUAGGCGCGCCUCGAGGCGAGUUUUUUAAAACAUUGGGUCGAUCACAGAUUUACGAACAGCUGUGGUGGUCCUGUUAUUUUUUUGGUAUGUUUUUUCUCCUUUUUGGUUUUUUCCCGGUUUGAGCACCCAUUCAUGAAGAAUUAAAAUGUGUUUAUAGUUUUUCAGGAGAGAUUAGAAAAGUGAUUUCAAUUUGGGAAAAUUUAAUGUUGGUUAAAAUUUGUUUAUAAUUUUUGGGAAGGAAUGAGAGGACCCAUUGAAGUAUGUGUUGUGAUUAUUUUUUAUUCAUAUUUUUAACAAAUUGGGCAUGAAUUGGUAGGUUAACUGUGUGUGUUUAUUAUUUGAAUCGGCCAUGUUUGUCUUUCUAUGGUUCUAAAAAAUUUGUAAAGGCUGUUAACUUGGAAGAAAAUGGGAUCGAGGGUGAGGGGAAAACAGCAGAGAAAGCAUGGAAGAGAGAUUUGGGAUUAGGGGUAGGAAAACAGAUGAAAAGAAUAUGAUAGAGGAAUGGGUUCAGUUCAUUUUCACUAUUUUUUUUAACUGAUUUGGAUUUUGUUUGGGUUUGAGGCCAUCAUUGGCGUUAAGACGUUUAUUAUCAGAUCGUGUGUGUUUUUUGCUAACUUUUAUUGGUAAUUUUUAUGUUGUUCUUAUGAUUUUGUGUGGUAGGGUUUCUGAAUUUUAUCGUUGUUCAUUUGGUUUUUUCUGAAUUUUAUCUGAUUUUGUGUGGUGAGUUUACAAAAUAAUACUAAAUAAAUUUAUUUGUAAUUUCGGAUGAUUGUGAUUCAAUCCUACUACAAUUGAAAUUCACAGAAAGAAUGAAAAACCAGAACAAAACUGCAGCACCUAAAAAGUUGUCAUACAAAAAAACAUGGAAUGUAAAAAUAUGUUAAGAAAUCUAGUUCGUUAAUUUCCAGCUGGUAAGCGGCAUUAUGUAACUUUAGUAGUAUAACUAAUUAACUACUUAUCUAGUGGGUUGCACUUCUAUCCUUGAUCUCAGUUGUGGCUGCAAAGUGCAGGCCACCACCAAGUCUCAGUGUUUGUGUAUUAGCAAAACACUUAAAUAAAUUAAAUUCUGAAAUGUAAAUUAUAUUCCUAUAACUUUAAGAUGCACAUAUAGUAUUGUUGAAGUCGAACUGAAAGCACUGACAAUUCCAAGCAACAGAGCAGCAAUUAUUAAGAGCCAAAACUCAUUCCUAGUCUCCUCAUCCUGGUACUCUACUCCGUAAUCUUCGUUCAGCAUCAUUGACUGAAAUUAGGAGAGAAAAAGAAAAGGAAUUUCAGAAAUUGUCUAUGAAGCAAAGGAUACUGCAGUUACUUCAAGACAUGUAAAUUGCAUAUGUAUAAAGUAAUUUUCUACAUAAAGUAACGAGGCAUAACUCUCUCUCUCCUCUUCAAACCCUAAACAGAGCAAAGCCACAAACUUUACAGAGAUUAGAAUGAGAACUGGAAUUAAUAGAACAAUGACUGAAAAGUAACAUACUUGAGGAGUGAAUGAUUUAGUGUUUCCAUCAUCGGAAAGCCGGAGUAAGUCGCUAAGAGAGGUCGCAAACAGCCCAAAGGGACAAACCCAGACCCCCGGCCCCGAUCCAUACCCUUCCCCCUCAAAUCCCGACGGCCCCCAUACUUUUCUCUGACUGUACCCCCUCUCCCACUCAUGAAAUCGAGGAUCUGUAGCAAUGGUACUGAGAUCCCCACUCCUCCCCCUCCCUUUCUCUCUGUCACUCUGUCUCCCUCUCCCUCUGUCUGUCUAUCUUUAUCCCAGAGCGGCAUGGCCUCGCAUCCCUGAAACCCUCACCGAAAGGUGGCAAUUUUGUAAAUAACUUGAAAUCCACCAACAGCAGGGGCAGAGAAUUGAAACAGACAUUUAGGCUCGUUCGAUAACCAUUUAGGCCAAAACUGAGCACACCUAAACCAUUCCUACUCGUGCCAAAUGUUAGCGGGGAAGCAAGAUGAUGACUUUAUUGUUCAAAACCAAAAGAAAAAAAGAGAGAAAACAAAAUAACAAAUCUAAUGGUUGUAGUGUAAAAGCUGAGAACGUAAAUAAACAUGCAGGGAAAAAAAUUGAAGAUACAAAGUAGCUGCAUCAUGAAACACUUGCUCCAAUUAGACGCAAAAAGUGAUGGUGAUGAGAAGAGAGAGAAAAUGCAGUCGUUUUGAUUUUUCUGGCUUUUAAAGGGAGCAGCUUUCUUCGACCACCAAAAAAAGGAAGCUGCUUUUCGUGUGGUUGUGAUUUCCUGAGUGUAUGUGAGCGGGUCUAUGGCACUUGCACUUUUUGUGUCGGUUACGGUAACCGGGCGAGGUGGACACGGCGGCGUGGGACUGAAUUCGGAGAGGUGAGAAAAAUUAAAAACACAAAAAGAAGGUGUUCAUUUUGUCACAUUUUUAUUACUAAAAAUUCAAUAAAGUACAUUCAUUAGUAUGGUAACUUAACUAUUUAAUUCCAUCUCAUUAAACUAAAAAAAACAAUUACAUAAAAAUAAGGGAAACCUUGUCCAGAGAGACCUGAGAGAAAGUGACGACUUCUCCUCUCAUUCCACUCCAUACUUGAUCUCUAAAGUCCAUUUGGCAUGUAAUUGAUGUUCAAUUUCAAAUUUAGUGGUAGCAAUUAGCAAAGCUAAUGAAAGAAUAAAAUAAAAUGAAAGAAAAAGCAUCAUGAAAUAAAUCAAGAUGAAGAAUGAAAUUUUGGCAACUCGCCAUUCUCUUCUUUUAUACAAAAGAUACAUCCUAUUUGUAGUGAAAACAGGUCCCGACAAACCCAGUUAUCGUCAAGAAGUAUUUUGUAUGACUUUAAAAACAUAUUCCGAGAAAUUAUCUCUUGGCUGAGAACAACAACAAAUCUUCAUGCAUAGCUUGUAGAGAAAGACAUCAGGCAUACAAAAGAACACGCAAGCAUAAAAUAAACGACGCAGGGAAAACCAAAAAUACAAUUGGAUACGCUGUCAAAAGAACAUAAAUAAAUGAAAAUUACAAAACAAAGAAGUGAUGAGAAACCAAAGUACCCAUUUCAUAAUCUAAUUGCUUUUUAGUUUGCUUGCCAUUUUUAGUUCUUCAAUUUAGAGAGAAACCAUAAUUCAGCACAUGAAUAAAGUGAAAACAUAAAAGAUAUGUGGGAUAAGCUAACAGCCAUCCCUGAGUAAUGCAUUCACUUCUGAACCCCAAACACACCAAAACAAAAAUUCACACACAUGAACUACAGCUCUGCUAUGUAACAAGAAUUAAAAGCAUCUCAAAACAAAAUGGCAAACUAUAAGAGCAAUGUAAAAGUAAAAUUGCAAGAAAUCUAAUACUUGGAGGGCAAGUACUAAUCAGACGAAAAUGAAAGAUUGAACUACCUCGCGUGGAACUGUGCCUUGGUUUUUUCCCAUGCUUACAGGAAGCUUUGCACUGAGCUCUUAUAGCCCAAAUUUUCUCUGAAGGGAAAAAAACACAAUUUUGAAAUAAGAUUUUCAUAUUAUACCUUAAAGAGAAGAAUUAGACAACAAAAAAGAGAACAAUGAGUACUUUUCAUCAUAUAUUGUUAGAGUAUGUGGUCCUCUAGUCCAAUGGUCCUGCAGCCAUAUUUACUUUAUAACUCUUUCUUUAGUCUAAAAACAUCUUGGAUCUCAAAUUAAUAUGAAUACGGAUUCAUACGCAUGCAUUGCAUUACAAUCACAAUGCAACAUCUCAUUAGAAAUCCCCACACAAAAUUCUUUUAUUGCUACUUUGAUUUUAGUUUAUAUUUUUUCUGAAGCACGAGGGAGCUAAUUUUUUUUUAAAAAUUUUUUAUUCCAAUAAUGUUAUAGGGUUGAAAGGAUAUUAUCAAUUUAAUUGAUUGUAUUUGAUUGGUGGAACUUCUAUAUCUAUAUUUCAGGUUUUCAAAUUCAGCACUGGGAGAGUCAUUCAUAAAAUGUUUGACAGUGAGAUUACCUCCAUGGAUUAUGCUCACAAUGGACAGCUCAUUUUCCGCGGUGAUGGGACAAUAUAUUUCAGUCAUUCGCCAUUCAAUCAAUUCAAACCGAGGAACAAGCAACAUCAAGAAGAGGAUCUGCCAUGUCAGGAUCACUGUCGUCCAAUUAAUACAAAAAAUCUAGAUAAAAACGAUCAAUUUACAUAAAAGCCUUUCAUUUUCUCAGCAACCAAGCAAAAGAAAAUACCUAUCCGUUAAACACUCGAUUUGGGAGUAAACGUUGCUGAAACUGGACUUCAAUCCCCUCAACCGCAACAAUCGAAUCGAGGUGUGCAAGUCAUUGAAAAACUCACCCAAGAUUUCAAAAUCUGCAUAAAGAAAUAAAUAAGCACAUAAAUUAGCCAACCCUGUUAUGAUCCCACAUCGGGUACACAAGAAAUUGUGUAGUGGUACUUAAGUGCAAGGGGUCAUCCCACCUAUUGGACUAGUUUUUUGGAUUGGGCUCUUCCCUUGGGCUUGAGUACCUAACAUUGGUAUCAGAGCCUAGGUUCCCGACGCUGCGAGACUUGGCGAGUGGUGCCGCCUCAUGGUGCCGCCUUGGGAGUAUGGGCUCCCAAGGGUCUUGGAGACGGGCAAGGUAUGAAAUGUCGAUAUUAUCGCGAUAUUUCGCCGAUAAUAUCGGUUUUUUGAGUUACCGAUAUUUUAAUACUUAUCCACUGAGUUUUCGUCAAAAUAUCGCAAUAUUAUCGAUAAUAUCAACAAUAUCGCGAUAUUACCGAUAAUAUCGCGAUAUUUUGGAGAUGUGCGAAUCGGAGAAGAAGGCCGGAGCUUCUACAGCUCCUGCCGACUGUAAAAGAGCACCCUAGACUCCGAUCUAGGUAUCAAAAUGAAAUACAAGACGAGAGGAAUGUUUUUAUAACUUCCGUUUGCCGUGAAACGGUCGAAGGUGUUCGGAAAGUUCGUCGACACCCACGGCCUCGCCAGAGAUGGGUGUGCCUAUUCUCGAGCCGAUUUCGUCCCAAAAACCUUGCAAAAACACGAGAUAGAACUUAAAUUUCACAUCUAAGCUUCAAUCUAGAAUAGAAUGAGGUAAACCCGAAGCUUACCUAACCGGAGAAAUUCAAGAAACUCGCCAGAGGGUUCCUGCGUCGCCGAGUUGCAGAGACGAGAAAGAGAUGGAGAAAGACGAGGUUGCUGAUAACGAUGGGUGUCUUCCUCAAGCAGGUGCGAUGGUGUGCGUGUGUGUAUGUGGGUCUCGGUGCAGAGAGAAAGGAGAGAGAUGAGAGUUUCAAGAAAGAGACGGCGCCAACGAGAGCUAUUUGUUUUUUUUUAUCUUAAAAAGAGAGAGGUCUAAGAGAAAUGGGAAGAGAGGGCCGAGUGAAAUGAAAGGAGGUCCUUGAAUUAUUGAGAGAUAUCUCUGAGAGAGGCCUAGGAUUUCUAAAAGGUAAUUAGAAAUGGGAAAAAUGGGGCACAUCUUAGCCUUUAUUUUGGAAUCCUAAGAAGUUCACCACAUGGAUGCAUGACAUGUGUGCAUGCCAUGUCUGUUGAAUGGGAAAAGUCUGACAUGGAAAGACAAAGAGUCGUUUGGUCCUCUGGGCUCGAGGCAAGAUAGAAAGUGCUAGGGUUUUUUUUUCUGAAAUGAACAUAAGCUGCUAAAUUCGCAUAUAUUAUAGUUGUUGCUAAAGAUUGACACUAGUGCGGACUUGGACGUGUUGGUCAACAUGUCCUCACAAUCCCCAAGUUCUCCGGUUCGAACCCUUACGCCCAUCAAAUUUUUCUUUCUUUUCGAUGCGCUUUUUCCAUGGCUCUAGGUCUUGAUUUCGAAUCCAGGUGAGCCCUUUCCUUUUUCUUUUUUUUUUCUUUUUGUUUUAUUAUUUGUUUAUUUUAAUUUAUUUGUUUCUUUUAUGUUUUUCCUUUCUUUUAGUUUCUUUGUCUUAGGCGUUCGUGUUUAUUAAAGUAGGAUGUAAAAUCAAUUAUCUUAAAAUUAUGUGUUUUUAAAUUUUGGACUUGUUUGUUGGAUACUUUUUUUGCAUUUUAUCAUUAUUUUAUUAUGAAAAUAUGCUAAAAUAUGCUAAAAUAUCACUUAUGUUUUUGUGAAAAUAUGCUAAAAUAUUUAUAUAUAUGGUUUUGUUUUGAAUUCUUUUUGUACUAAUUCAUUAUAUAUAAAUGAUUAUGGUGUGUUUAAACUUCUUUAAUUAAUUACUACAUAUUUUCUAUACUCACAAUGUUUGCUAGCUCGCUAUAUAAUCAACUUAAAUCAGUAAAAUCCAUCAUGCAAUGCAUUUGCUUCCAAUUUUUUGUGAUAAACUAAUAGAUAAUUGAUUAAAUAAACAUCCUGCAAAGUUUCAAUAAAAAUUUCCAAGUUUUUCUUACAAUUUCUGUGGUUUCCAUAUUAUUUUUAUCAAUAUCGAUAAUAUCCCGAUAUUUCCAUCGAUAUUUCCGUGUUUUUGGACUACCGAUAUUUCCGAUAUCAUCGAUAUUUAUACCUUGGCGACGGGGGACUUGCCGACUGGUGCCGCCAUGGACGUUGGGUCUUUCGAAAGGUGGUGUAAUGUUAUGAUCCCACAUCGGCUACACAAGAAAUUGUGUAGUGGUACUUAAGUGCGAGGGGUCCUCCCACCUAUUGGACUAGUCUUUUGAGUUGGGCUCUUCCCUUAGGCUUGAGUACCUAACAAACCCAUAAAUCAAAGAAAUCAAAAUCCACCCAGAAUCAAAGAAAUCAAAAUCCAUCCAAAACCAAAGAAAUCAAAAUCACACACAGAUAUACAAGGUGUACAGUAUUGACAUGCCUUAAAUGAUAUUAUUCACAAGAUUUAUAAAGCUCAUGUUGUAAUACUUGUGCAGAAUCUAUCAUUCACGGCGUCACUUUUGUGCAAGUCGUAAAUAAAAUUAUUCACGAUUUAAACAUUGUGUGUCGUAUUUGACAAUUUAUACUACGCACUUUCUUUUUCUUUUAAAGCUUUGCGUUAUGUCGUAAAGUUGACUUUCUAUAUAUUUGGGUUGUACCUUUUAUGGCGCAAAUAACACGUCGUAAAUAAUGGCUUUUAGCACAGAAGUUUUGUGGUAAAGAAGCCCGCGCACUAAUUCAUUCUCGCGCCUUCUCUUUUUUAUUUAGCCGCUUCUUUUUUUGGUUUUUUUUUUUUUUAAAAUUCCCCUCAAAUCUUAAAAGGGUUUGUAUUUUCUUUGGUAAACUUGAAAGAGAAACAUUGCAAUUGCAUUUUCAUUUACCCAAUAUUAAUUGUCGAGAGCCCACCCCCUUCCCUUCUCUCUGACAUCGUAACUCUCUCCUCUCCAUCGAUCUCGCUCCAUCUGCUCGCCGUCGCUCUAUAUGCUCGUCAUCGCCGUCGAUUCGUCUGCUCGUCGUCACCGUCGCCCAUCUGCUUUCCGUCACCGUCGAAGUGCCCCGCCAUUCAAAAUCUGAAAUCCCCAAUACAGGGUGCUUUGCGGCAUUUCGUUCUCCAAAACUUUAGGUAUGCUCUCAAUCUGUAUCAACCCUAUCCUGUCACCUCUACUUCAAGGUGAACAAUUUAUAGUUUAUAAAUUUUACUUGUGUUAAUAUAUAUUUUUUGGUAAAUGUUAUGGAUAUUUUAUCAAAUCAGAGAGUAAAUUCGUAUUAAGUGAAGAUUGGCAAAGAACAUAUUGUUUUGAAAGGUUGAAUAAUGUUUGCAGAUCACAUAAAUCAGUAGUUGUCAAGUCCAUAAGAGAAGCAAGAAAUCGGAAAGCAAGGCUUCGACUAAAACCAAAUAAUGUCAAAUUAAUUCAAGAUUGGAAGACUUUCCUUGCAAAGUGUAAGCUCAUUUUCAUUUUCUUUCAUUUCUAAGAUUAGUUAUCUUCUUUUGAGUUCAAAAUUGGGUCAGAGAAAUCAAACUGAUAGUAGUUAAAAGUCUAUUUCAACACCAAGCCUUGUCUACACAAGAAUUUGGUGUUAGUUAAACAUGUGUAUGAUUCUAUCUUGAUUGCAUGUUAAUUUAGUUUGAAGAUAGAUUUGGUACAUGCUAGCUAAUUGAUACGUGAUAUGAAUCUUUGGUUUCCUUUUGAUAGGACAAAAGUGAAACAUUCAGAGAGAUGAAGUCUAAGCAACUCCGCACACAUGUAGUCGCAAGGGAUAUGGUAGGUUGGCCGAGGAUUUGGUAAUUACAUUUCAUUCUAGUGCCUUCUUUUCUACAGGACAAGAACAAUUUACUAAUUUUAUUCUGUGUUCUACUGUGUGUUUACUACAUAUAUGUUUCUAUUUUGUAGAAAAGAAAAAGUGUAGACCCUUCUCUAGUUUCUAGAGGUGAUGUUUGGAUUGCAGCACAUACUAAAAAGGGUGGUGGACCAUCCAAUUUGCUUGCUGCAGAGACUAUUGUAAGUAAUUUUUAACCAUUUAUUUCUUCUUGUUUGUUGAUAUGCAAUGACGGAUGAGGUCUUAACUUUGAUGUGCAACGUUAGGAAAAAAAUUAAGCAAUAUGGAAAUGGAUCAUCAUCUGGUUUUCGAGGUGACGUUCUUUCCAAAGUUUUUGGUGCUGAGCGACAUGGUCGUGCAAGAGGAGUUGGAGGUGGUGUUCCUCCUACAAAGCUUGGAAUAUUUUCACAACAAAAAUUGCGUAAUCACCAAAUGGAUGAAAAGGUGCACAAUUUAACUAAUCAGGUCAGAGCACUGACAGAAUUGGUGCAUCUUUUUAUGAAAAAUCAGGUUAGUGAUUUAAUAACAUUGGUAUCAUAUUGAAUAUUUGUGAAAUCAGUUGUAGUGACACAUCAAAUCACAGGGUAAUGAUCUACCAAGUGAGGCAUCUCCUGACACACAGGUUGCAGCUCCUGAGGCACAUGUUGAUACUGUCGCAAGAACUGAAACUCGUCUUUCCCAAUGCGCAACAAAUGAAUCGUGGUGGCGAGGUUGAUACACUUUUUCAAUGAGCCUUCUAACUAUUAAUGCUCAUUGACUCUGUUAAAAGCUCUGCCAUUUUCAAUCUAACUAGACACUAGAAAUGAUCAUUGACUCAGUUAAAAGUUUUGAUGCUUUGGUCCUUUUGCAUAGUUGCGCAUCUACUGAUUUCUAUUUUUUUUCAAAUCCUGCAGGUUAUUUCUGAAAACAUUGAAACAUCGUGGUGUGCCAGAUGGUUUGAUUAUAAGACACCUUCCUUUUGGUCCACCAACUUAUUUAUAACUGCUAAAUGGUACGUAGUGUGAUAAUUUUCAAAUAUUUUGAUAUUAAGACAGGUGUAGGACAACAUAGAAAUUCUUAGGGCCUUCAGCAACAAAAUUAUGAAAAAGUGAGUGAGAUACAAUUAAAAAAAUGAAAGAGAAGGAUCAUGAUUCAUGAUCUAAAGGUUUGAAUAGGGUAGAAAGGAUUUAGUUUCGUUGUUAAAAUCGAUUUGUGAGUCUAUUGUUAUUGUAUUGUCAAUUUGUUUAUUUACUUGAACUUCCUAGUAUCAAUUUGGUUCGAUAUAUCUAGCACCACCAUAGAUAUAUCUAGUAUCAAUUUGGUUAGAUAUUGUCAAUUUGUUAUUUUAUUGUCAACUAUAGAAUGUGCAUCAGUUGUAAAAGGAACAAAACAAUUCAGAUUUUUUGUUUAUGUCCAAACUUAGAAUUGUAUUGUAAUUGACAAUUUCUACUAAUUAAUCCAAGUAUUUGGAGUUUAAUAUGUUUAUGAUCAAUAUUGUUAUCCUUGUAUUGUAUCAGUUUAGAUGUUAUGAAGUGAGGUCUGUCUAAAAAUGAUAUGCUAAAUAUAGAUGUAAAUUACGGCAUCUAAAAUCAGCAAUAAUUGUUGAUGGUAGUCUUUUUUUUACGAUGUAUGCCGUAAUCACCUUCACAAUAUUACGACACUCAACAAAUGCUGUAUCAAAUAUAAAUUACUGCACACUAGUAUGUCGUAAUUGUUUUUCAGUAUUACGACACCCUAUUAACGCUGUAACUAAUACCAAUUAAGGCACGUAGGACAUGCCUUAAGAACAUUUAUGGCGUGUUUUACUUAAAUUAUUCACGACUAUUAGAGUACGUUGUAUUUGUCAAAACAUCUUUUACAACAGGGGCUUUUACUGCUUGGAGGCUCAAGCCGUGAAUUUCCAUUUAUGGCACCCUUUGUGCGCCGUAAAAGGCCAAUUCUAUUGUAGUGAUCCAUGGGUACAUUUUUAAUCUACAUGUUUCGUUUUAAUAUAUCUAUUGCUAUAAUAUGUUUUGGUUGGUUCAAAUUCGUUUUACAUAAAUAUAUGGGUACAAAGUUUUUGGAGAAUAUUAUGUAAAAUGGUUUUUAAGGUUGUUGCAUUUUAUGUACCCACAUAUGCAUGUCUAUAAAACAAUGUGGUAUGAUGUACAUUCUUUUCCUUGAGUUUUUAAAUGUACCCAUGAGUUUUCUUGUAAAUUCGGUAUGUAUCCAUAUGCUAUUUAUGUUAUGGGUACAUACAUUAUUUUUGGUCUAAGUUGGUGGGUACAUUGCUUUUGUAUGUAUGAAUUCAUUGGGUACAUUAUUUCCCUUAAUACUACUCAAUAAAAUUCACAAAAAUGUGCAGUGUGCAUGAAUUUUUAUUGUAGAAAUUGUUUUUUUUUAUUUUUAAUUUUUAAGUCUCAUAAUUCGUGAAUUUUGUACAUAUUGAUCCCAUAAAUUUUUGAAUUUUAUUAAAUUUUUUUUAGACUUGAUCGAUUGAUUGAAUCUCAUAAUAAUCCCUUAAAUGUUCCAAUCAAUAUUUUAAAAUACAGCUUUUUAUUUAAGAUUUCAAAAAGAUGACAUGAAAACAUAGUAAUACUAAAAUUUUGUUUUAAAUUACAUUUGUGUAACAAUCAAUGGUAUGUUAAAACUGGGCAAAAAAAAAAAUGGUAUAUUAAAAAAUUAUAAUUUAUUCUUUUUUUCAUAACUGUCUUCUGCUUAGAUUAAUUUUUUCCAACGUUUCUCUUCGGGAGAAUUAGUUCUUACCAAUAUAUAUGCACAUUAUCUGCUUUUUACCUGGUCUUAACACAUGAUUAAUUACUUUCCUACCUGCUAACGCGUUGACUUGCGCAUCCAAAGUAUUAUCAAAGUCACUGCCACCAAAAAGGUGCCCACUCCACAACCUUUGGUUGAACCAAAGAACAUCACAACAAUAAGGAAAUCGUUAAAUCUAUCUCCGCAACAUUUUUAUUAAUCAUUAGAUAGAUUAAACGAUCCCCCUAUUCAUAUUGUGUUCUUUUGUUGAACCAAACCAUGUCAACAAAAUAUAUCUAUGGUUAAAGCAUCUAGAUUCAAGCUUUUGGAUGUGCAACUUAAACCCCUCAAUGAAUAGCCAAGCAAUUUAUCAUGUGUUUACAGUAGGUCAAAAGAAGAAAGUGUUUGUCUAUAUAUUAAUAGGAACUAAUUCCUCUGAAGAGGAGAGAUGGAAGUGAUGAUAAUAAAAAAAAAAAAAGUCGUAUUCAGUGCACAAGGCUCCCGCUUUACGCAGGGUCUGAGAGAGGUGAAUGUCGGCUAGCCUUACCCCCAUUUUAUGGAGAGGCUGCUCCCAAGUCUCGAACCCGAGACCUACCGCUCAUGGGCGAAGACACUUGCCAUCGCACCAAGUGCGACCUCUAAGGGAUAAGAGAGUAAUCAUGAAAAUUUUGAAAGUGAAAGCAUUGCCUUGGAAUAUAUAUUCUCUUUAGGAAUUCUGUGCCCAACUAAAUUCUAGAUUCUCAAAAUAUGAAAUUAGCAACUUCACCAAACACUUGGACAUGUAACAGGUCACACGUAUGGUACCAACCUUACCAACCUUACCAACCAUCUAUAUACCUAUGUUUUCGAACAUCGUUAGAUAAUUAAAGUACAGUUCACACAGCAUUUCACAUAAAAAUGGCAUCAUACAACACAUGAGAAGUACUUCUUACAGUAGCAGUCUCGUAACAUGACUAUAGUUUUUGUUACUUCUUAAGAAAAAAGAGUUUAAAAUCCUAUUGAAAGAUAAUUGUAGAGACAGAAACCCAAACUAGUUAAUUAGGUUUCUUUACAUCUCAAUAAAAUUGAAGGGAAUGUAUCUAAUAUUAUCUACUAGAGCCUCUACAAUCAUCAUAGAAUCCACAACCCACAUUUUAAUUAAUCGAAAUUCCAUGAACACAAAUAAGCAAAAGUUGAGUGAAGCCUAAGCAAUAUGUGAUCAUUUAGAGAGUCAAACUCCAUCUUUUUAGAAUUAGGGACUUUUCAAUAUGAAAAGGUAACCUCCACAAUCCAAUAUCAUAUGAAAAGGAAAACCCAAGAAAAAUACAGUAUAAUUGUGUGCAAGAGCAACACAAAAAAAGUUGAAGAAUUAGAAAUCAUAAAGAGACUUGAGACGAUUGUUGCUCACUUAGCUAAAGAGCAUUUGCACUUGAGGUCUCGAGUUCGAUUGCCCCCUUUCUUUAGAUCGCUUGAGAGGAAAAACCUACCAUUCUCUAGUCUAAAGAUAUAUGCAUCUUUGACAUGAAUGACUAGAGGGGAAGAAAGUGCAGACAAAUCACACAUACCUUCAAAAAAUUUUAUGGGGUUGGUGAAUGGUGAUUAGGGAUACUGACUUUUAAUAGCCGUUGAUCAGUGUAUAUUGCACACGCCUUCAUCAAUGGCUAGCGUCGGUACAACUGUGAUUGGGAGGGCCUUUUUACGAUAAUAGAUGGGUAAAGGUUUCAUUAGAAGGGGAAUUUUGUUCUGGUUUGCCAUAAUAACUUGAAAUUAAUGGUUUUUUGUAAUCCUUAAGUUAUUGUCAUUUUAGGUUAACUUUGUACCUGGACUCUUUACUGGAGCUAUCAAUUGAAACCCCCAUUUUCUUACCAAAAUAUGAAAAACAAAGAGUCCCAUUUUUACAGCACAGUCCUACUCUAGUUGAAAUCCGAUCGACGGUCAAGAUUUUCUAGUCAUGUGAAAGUAUCACAUAUAUAAAAUUGACUGGAGAAGGCAUGCCACAUUGCCAUGCCCUUGACAGCUUUACUUUGUUUACAAACUUUCUAAAAGAAAGAAAGAAAAAAAUCUAAAAUGGAAGGUGAUAGCGAUUUUACCACUUGUAAAACAAAGGGUUAAACCAUAGAAAAUUCUUGCAAGAGAACAAGUGUUUGUAGUAUAGAAUGGCUCAAGCAAGGUCGAUCUCCUCAGGGACUGAUAUAAACAAUUUACGAGUUUUUAUGUAUUUAACUUAUUUAACUCUAAGAAUUACACUAAUUUAACGAAACUAAAUAUUAUUGGAUGUGACUUAAACAAAUAUCUAAAAUGGGAAUUGGUUUUAGGGAAUAAUGAUUCAACUUAAACAAAACAAGUAAAUGAGGAAAUUCAAGAUAAAAUAAAUGAUUAAGAAAAAUAGAUUGACAAUAUGCUAGAGUUCAACAUUUACCAACAACACUCUUACGUAGCUAUUCCAAUUGCUUAAAUAAUUGAAAACACAUAUGCUUUGAAUGUUGGAUUUUCCUUGUGUAUGUUUUACUUGUGACAUUCAAGCUAAAACGCAUACCACUACAUGCAACUUAUCCAUGACAUUUGAAUUAAAUAUAAACAUGAGUGAUUCAUUAAUCUUGGUGAAAAUCCUUUUGUUAAACCAUAUAAUCCCUAAGAGCAUGAUAUUUACCUUAGGAGAUUACAAUUCUCAAUCACAAGAAGCACAACCAAUUUUAACGUGACAUUCGUUCAAAAUUGCAUCCGAUAACUUUUCUAAGCAUCCUAAUGGUGAUCAAGCAUCAAGGUACAUAGAUAGUUUAAUUCAGUGAUUGAAAAUAUCAAAACAAGCAUGUAACAACACUUAAGCAAUUGAAAAAUAAAACUACGUAUUCAUGUUGCGGCUCAUGGCCUCACUCUAGCAUAAUACUUUAAAUAAUUAAAGCCCAAACAAUUUACCAAAUUUCAUCUCUGUACUCCGCAGAGACGCUAAACGAGACAUAUUUGGUCCAUCUCUGAACAUCUUUUCUUACUGUUCUUACAAUAGAAAGGGCACAAAAUUGACUUACACAGUCUUGCACAAUACUCACUUUGCUUCAACCCAUAUUUCACUUUGUCAAAUCAUACACGUUCCUGCAACAGGUGAACUCAUAUUUAUCUACCACUUCUUGCUAAUUUUAAUUUUUCCAUUCCCAUUUUUACUACAAGUUUUCACAUAAUUUUUUUAUUGCAUUUGUCAAUUCUUUAUACUUUUUAAUUGUAUUUUUUUUUUUGUCUUUUAUGUGUUUUCUAUGUUGGCACAAGGUUACAACAGUAUUAAACAAUUACAGGUCCUCCAGAGGUUUGCUUAUUGCCCUAUUUCAUCAAGCUCGGUAUAAAUAGAUCUUAAUUUUUUACUACAGUUAAAUACAUGGACAUGCCUCCACAAAUACAAAUUAGUUCUUGCUUAAAUACUUUGUGUGUUUACAUAGAAAAUGUUCCCAUCGUCUACCAAAAUCCUCCACACAUGAAAACAAAAAUUCUUACUCAAAAUACUUAUUACAAUACCACCAUAUCUGUUGUUUUUUAUUAAAUUAACACACUGUUUUCAAUUUUAUCUUCAACACAAAAGAAAAUGCUCUUACACAAUGUGUUUGCUUACAUUUUAUAACUUAUCUACCACAUGUUAAUCGCAGUUAUAUAAAUAGGAAAAUACGUGUUCAAUAGAAGUGUGAUGCAUGUCACUUCGUUAACAAUAGUGGAAACUAAACAAUUAAAUAAUUUGUUUCAAUUAGUUAGUACAUUUUAUAAAUUUCUCAAUUAGAACUGUUUCAGUAUAUUUAAUACAUUUUUAAACAACUUUCCAGUUAGUUGCCCAAACUAAUUAUUCCAGCUUAUUCACAGUAUAAUACCAACAAUUUAACAACCAAUGAUACUUCGUUUAACAUAAACUUCAUUUGGAAAAAACAAAAAAAAUCUUUUUCUCUGCUGAAAAAAUCAACAGAUUUAAUGAUGUAGAUCAGUUAUACCAACAAAUUACCAUAGUUUACCCAAUGCUAUACAGGUUUGACUUUUGUUUAUAUUCUUGGAUCUGUUGCUUGGUUGUAUAAUUUGGCUGUGUGUUUUGUUUCAGGACAAUUUGUUCUUCGUUUCUUGAGGCUUCUAUGUGUAGAUUUGAACCGUUUAGCUUUCAAACCGUUUAUACUCAAGGUAAAUAAUUUCGUUUGUUUCUUUUUAACCUUUUUUGUAAGAAUUUUUUAUUUAAUGUUGUGAGAGUUGUGUUUUCUAUAGUAUGGAAAUUGAAUCUUUGUGAUCUUAUAUCGUUAGAUACGUUGCUUGGUUAAUGUGAACACGGAAAAUUCCCGAAACGAAAAAGACAAGAACAACGUGCACAAACAAAUAUUUUGUAUUUGAUGAUUAUUUUGGGUUACAAUCUCUCUCUAAUUUGAUCCUCUGAUUCGAUCUCCGUAAGAUAUUGGUUUGUGGAUGUGCGAUUGAUCCAAGGGCCGUCGAGGCUUGAUCUUGGAUGAACGGUGAUGAACGGAUCUUCAAGGGCUUUUGGGCUUGAUCUUGAAGAAUAGUGAUGAACGGGUCUUCAAGGGCUUUUGGGCUUGAUCUUGAAGGAUGGUUGGAUGUGUGGAUUUGUCGACGUUGUUAAUCCAAAGGGCUGUUGGGGCUUGAUCUUAGGAUGAACGGAUGAUGAACGAAUAACACUUUCUUCAAGGGCCGUCGGGGCUUGAUUUUGAAUUGGUGAAAGUUCUUCAAGGGCCGUCGGGGCUUGAUCUUGAAGGUAGAUGAUUGUUGAUCCAAGGGCUGUCGGGGCUUGAUCUUGGAAGAACGAUGAACGAAGAACGAAGAAGGCUUUCUUGAUUCUUCGGGAACCUGGAUGCUUGAGAGCUUCGGAGUUUCAGAGCUUCAGAGCUUCAAGGUGUAAUAUGAAUUUGGUUCCCUUAAAUGAAUGAAAUUGGCUUCUAUUUAUAGAAUUUUCCAAGGCCUAAUUUUGAAUAUAAUAUUCCAGAUGAAAUAAGUCGUUUCUGCCAAGUGUUGACACGUGUCCUAUUUGAUGACUUUUCCGACUCAUUUCAAUUUUUCGUCGAGUCACACACUACGUGUAAAAUUUAUGUAAUACAUGAGCGUUGAAACUUUGAUUUAUCAGUCAACAUUUAUUUACCAAAAUUUCGAUGUCUACAAAUGCCCCCACUUCAAGGCGCGUCGUAUACAUGUGCUUGUCACGUGUAGGAGAUGCGUUUUGAAGUCCCCUUACUGUAGAUGUCGAUCCAAGGGCCGUCGAGGCUUGAUCUUGAACCGGGCUGGAGAUUUCUUCAAGGGCCGUUGAGGCUUGUUCUCGAACUUUGUUCGAAAUUUCUUCAAGGGCCGUUGAGGCUUGAUUUUGAAUUGGGCUGAAAGUUUCUUCAAGGGCCGUUGAGGCUUGAUCUUGAAUUGGGUUGAAAGUUUCUUCAAAGGCCGUUGAGGCUUGUUCUUGAACCUUGUUUGAAAUUUCUUCAAGGGCCGUCGAGGCUUGAUCUUGAAUUGGGCUGGAAGUUUCUUCAAGGGCCGUCGGGGCUUGAUUCUUGAAGGUGGAUGAUUGUUUAUUCAAGGGCCGUUGAGGCUUGUUCUUGAACCUUGUUUGAAAUUUCUUCAAGGGCCGUCGAGGCUUGAUCUUGAAUUGGGCUGGAAGUUUCUUUAAGGGCCGUCGGGGCUUGAUUCUUGAAGGUGGAUGAUUUUUUCUUCAAGGGCCGUUGAGGCUUGUUCUUGAACCUUGUUUGAAAUUUCUUCAAGGGUCGUCGAGGCUUGAUCUUGAAUUGGGCUGGAAGUUUCUUCAAGGGCCGUCGGGGCUUGAUUCUUGAAGGUGGACUCGAACACAUGGCAAGCAGGCACGAGGUGAAGGUGACGGUCUGUUUCUUUGCUCAAUCUUUCCAAGUGCCGACCGAUUGCUUUUCUUUCUCCUUGUCCCGCAGGCAAGAGCAAGGGUAAAAGAAAAGCAUGCCAUGAGAUAUCUUUGUUUUUGACUCUGAUGAUAUGAGGUACUUCUGCUUUUGAAGAAGUUGCGGAUGAAUCGACACGUGCUUUGUUGUGCUUGUCUCCACAUGCUCAGACUCUUGGCAGAAUGUGAAAGGUGGCAUUUUCUCGAGUUACUCAACUCAGACUCAUUCUGCUGAGUUGACUGUGCGGGCCGCAUUCUUCUCUGCUUGUUUCUUCUGGCAGCCUUGCUCUCGAGUACUCAUCUUUAACAUCUUAUGUUUCUUCUUUGUCUACCACACUGUGGAAGACGAGUACUCGAGAGUAAUACCAUGUAAGCAAUCAGAAAAGGGUUCCAAGCAGUCGGUUCCAGAUCGGAAGAUUGAUACCAAGUGUUGGCUGAUUGCUUUCCUUCUCAUUGUCCUACAGGUUAGAACAAAGACAAGGAAAAGGACACGGAGAAUGCAUGAUAUGAGAUACUCUUGCUUUCUCCCUUCAUGAUAUGAAAUACUUUUGCUUUUCAAGAUUUGUUUGCAGAGGUAUCCUAUGGGAUGAAGAACACUGAGUGAGUUGAGAGGGUUUGUUGGAAAGCCAUUUGUCGGAGAUGACGGAAUGUUAUGUAUGUCUGCCUUGCCAUGGAGCGUGAAGGUCGACAUUUGUAGGAAAUAAUAACUGGUACUGUUCUUUCACUCCUGUCGGCAACCGUUGGAUGAUUGAACAGUAAACUUCACGUGAUUUCCUCAAAGCUUUUUCUGCAUGCGACAAGUGCUGACGAGGCUGAGAGAGACAUGCGAUUGGAAUCGGCGCUUCGACAAACUUUUCCAUGAUUUUCGCAAAGCUGACGAGGCUGAGAAAGACAGAUGGUUUGGAAUCGGCGUUUCGAUAAACUGCCCGUGAUUUCCGCAACGCUGACGAGGCUGAGAAGGACAGAUGGUUUGGAAUCGGCGUUUCGACAAAUUGCCCGUGAUUUCUGCAACGCUGAGUUUGCGUGUGACAGGUGCUGACGAGGCUGAGAAAGCUGACACUUCUUCGAUUUUUGAGAUCAGUCCGUGAUCCUUGAGUAGGCCUAGCUUUGGAGAAAGCAGGCGCUUCAUCGAUCUCUGAACUCGCCUCUUCGAUCUCUGAAAGCCCAUCGCAUGCUGUUUUUUUAUAGAGGUACGCAAGACAUUCAAAGCACACUUGAAUUUCUACCUGUGAAAAAAAACUCCCCUUUUGCAUAUCUGAGAUCUUUAAUUUGCCCGACCUCUUCAUUUUGUUGAACACCUUCGGAAAUGUCUUUCCCAUCUGACCGUCGUCUUGACUUGAAUAUCGAAGAAGAUAUUGACAUGUCUUCUCCAGGCAACAUUUGGCAGCUGUCCUUCGUAUCCUCCAACGAACCUCUUACGGUUGGGGACACUGUGAUGAGGAAUGACGCAACGGCUGCAGUGGUUGCUAGAAAUCUUCUCACUCCUAGGGAUAGUAAGAUGCUUUCCAAGCGGUCCGACGAGAUGGCUGUUCAAGACUCUCUGGCCUUCAGCGUCCAAUGUGCGGGCUCAGUAUCAAACAUGGGCCAACGCCUUCUUGCUCGAUCUCGUCAGGUUGAGUCUUUGAUGGCCGAGGUGGCUAGUCUUCGGCAGGAGAUCAGAGGGCUUAGGCACGAGAAUAAAGAGUUGCAUAUGCUAGCAACUAGUUACUCAACGAGCAUGAAGAAGAAGCUAGACCAACUGCAGGAGUGUGAAGUUCGGGCUCGAAAUGAUCAUCAAAGGUUUAUGGCGUUACUCCCGAGGCAUCUUCUGCCUUCGUCAUCUGGCGCUUCACCAAAUGUUGAGGCUCCGGAAAAUCAAACUCUGGCGCUUCGUCUUUCUGGAGCUUUACCAAGUGUGGAGGCUUCAGUUGAUCCACCUCCGGUGCUUCGUCUUUCUGGAGCUCCGUCGAGUACUGAGGCACCACAUGAUCAUCCUUGAAGAUCCUUUCCUGUAAAUUUGAUUUGACUUUUUUUUUAAGGUAUGUAUAAUGUAAAAUUUCUAGAAAAAUAAAAUGGACUUUAUUUCUCUGAACAUGUUUUUUUUGUUUUUUUUUUUGGCUGUAUAUUUUCUCUUUAAUCAUGGUGCACCCAUUUUCCACAUGGUGCCAGACGGACCAAAGAUCAAACAUUUCCUUUUUUUAUUUUUUUAUUUUUUCUUUAAUCAUGGUGGCAGACGCAUAAACAAUUUCAUUUAUAUUUUUUUUUCUUUUUGCUGGCACAUGGUGCCAGAUGCACCAUUCAUUUAUAUAUAUUAUUAUAUAUGUUUUUUUUAUUUUUUUUUAUUUGCACAUGGUGCCUGAUGCACCACCUCUUUUUUUUUCACGUGGUGCCAGCAUCACUUUGCUCCACCAUCCAUUUUUUUUAUUUUUAUUUUCUGUAUAAAUUUGGGUGAUGGGUAGAGGAUUUUGCAGGCAGGGAGCAAGGAGGCCGAGAAGAUGGUGCUUCGAACUUCAUGACCGGCUAGUCGUUUGACGGCGGUCGUUGAAGUCGUUGGCAGUUGCGAGGCAAAAGACGGAGGAGAAGGUGGAGUAGGUGACCUUGAUGUCGGAUCCAGCUAGAACCCAGAGCACAGCGACUGAGCCCAAUCACCGAGCACAACCGCUGCACACCCGUUGUACUGCCACCGAGCACUGCCACUGCGCAUCUGUUGCACUGCCAAUUGCUGCAAAGGAUUAUGUUUAACGGCGGAGACGCUGCCCUAUUUGCCAUGCUAUGCCGACGUGCUUCACAUAAUUAACCAUCCAGAAUUGUUAAACAUUCCAUCUGGGUUUAUCGCAAAAACAGAAGAAGAAAAAAACCAAGAUCCAUCCAUGCCAAACACCAAUCUGCCAUCUUUUUGGGAUUUGUACGACAUCAUCAGCCAAAACCUGCUUGGUCCGCUCGCAAAUUGUGGGAGAGGAAGAGUUGGCGGAGCAGCUGUAACACUGGAAAAUGGAGGACGUUGACGAGUCCUCCAAGUUGUUCUUGACGUUGGUGCUGGAGAAACCUGCCUCUCUCAUGACUCUGCUGACACUUGGGUCGUCAAGGAUGGGGAUGAUGAGCUGCUCGAGCUCGACUUUGAUGGUUAAGAGCGGCUGCUGCUGCUGCUCGAUGCAGUCUCUUCUCUGAUGGGCUUGGGCUCUCUUGAGGGCGUUGGAGAGAGAGGGCUGCCCGUGGAGGAGAGGGCAUGGAGUUGUUGGGAGAAAUCAGGGCCGGAAUGGAAAAUAUUCCCGAGCUGCAUCAACGAGGAGAUAACACCGCUAAGUUAUUCAUCUGGUUUGCUUUAGUCAAAUGGAUCAAUCCGCGGGUCAUGCUCGCUUGCCAUCAUCAUCCCAGUGCACAGGCAUGUCGGGCACAUGACCUUUCCAGCACCAGAGCAAUUUGGGCACCUCUCAGUUGUGGGCACUCGCAAAGGUUGGUCUGAUGCACUAGAUGCUGAUAUAGGAUUGAUGUUCAAGCACACUCCACUUGCAGAACAUCUAGCACAGGCCAAGUACCCAGUUCCAUGGCAAUAUUUGCACCUUUUCUUCUCUUGCUGCUCAACAUUAUUAGCUUCAAUCAACAUCAAUGCUGAAAUGACACCCACUGCCCCACCGGAGAAGGAUGCCACAAUAGGAUCAACCUGACUUAAUUGUAAAGGCAGAUGCAUGCUACGAAUGAAAUCUUCAUACGAGGUACCUCCUAUACCUAAUUUUAGUUCCAACGAUGGCGCAAUGAGACCCCCAAAUACAAUUACACUAGAUAUCAUAGAUAAGCUUGUGAGGUAGAGCUGCUUCAACGUCUUUGGUGUCAUAUGAGGGAGAAAAGGGAUAGUGGAUGGAAUGUCAGGCAUCUCAUUUGACUCUUCCUCACAAGCCUCAUCCAUAUCUCUCGCCAUCUUUAUCCGUUGCUGCACCCGCAAUCUCCUUAGCUCUUCCAUGAGAAGAAAAAUCUUGUUGUGCCGGCUUCUUAUGUUGUCCUAAAUUUCCUGUAGUUGCAUCUGCACAAAGUCCUGCACCGUCUCCGGCUCUUCUAUGAUACAAAAAGUGCUUGGCGUGUUAUCGCCGGGGAAUGAUUCCUUGGAAGCAGAACAGGAAAUUUGGGGAUGCGGGGAGGUGAAUUUGGACAGAGAGAGACGUCUAGGGAUUCCAUGGGAGGGGGGUUGAGAGUGGUUUUUUGCCGGCGCCUCUAGGGUAGUCGUCGUUGGCUAUUGCUAUAGAGAGGUCAAUGACUUCACCGGAGAUGGCGUUGUUCUGGAGCCCGAGCGUGAGAAGCCGGGUGAGAUUGUCUGGAAAGGGUCCCCAGAGGUUGUUGUCGGCGAGGUCGAGAAGCUUGAGCUUGGUGCAAUUGACGAGAGGAGAAACGGUGUCGUUGAGGCGGUUGUUGUGGAGGUCGAAGAGUGAGCUGGGCGAGAUCAGAGAACCUUGACGAAUUCGGAGCGUUGAGGGUUAUCAACACGAUCCCAUCGACGAAGAAGAAGCAGAAUGGGCCUCUUGCGGGGCCUAUGGCAUCAACCGGUCUUUGGGCUUCUGGGCCAGUAAAUUGGAGAGAAGCCUGGGCUUUUGACUUGCAGAGAGAUUAGGCUCUGGGAGCCGCUUGUAGUAUUGUGGCUAAAGGGGUUGCUUCCUGUGGCCACUUAUAUAUAUAUAUUUUGUAAAUACAUAAAACAUUUAUCUCUUUUUUUUUCUUUUUUUUUUGUACAAAGAAAUUGUAAUAGCAUCAAAACUUUUAAUAAAAUCUUUAUUCCUUAUUUUGGUGUGACUGAACUCAAAUUUUGAAUAUUCGAGUUGCCUACGUACCUCUCCAAAGAAGAGAUCAAGUCGUAACGUAGUUCAAAUGAGUGAUGAAUUUAACAGUGAUUUUGAUGAUGAUUUUGUCGUACACAGUUUAUGCUCUUGCGGGCCAGGAGCUUUGGUUCGUGCAGUUUAGGCUCGUGCGAACAAGGAGUGUUGGUGUUGCCUUUUAUGCUCGUGCAGACCAGGAGCGUUGGUGUUGCCUUUUAUGCUCGUGUAGACCAGGAGCUUUGUGCCAUGCAGUUUAGACUCGUGCAGGCAAGGAGCGUUGGUGUUGCCUUUUAUGCUCGUGCAGACCAGGAGCGUUGGUGUUGCCUUUUAUGCUCGUGCAGACCAGGAGCUUUGUGCCAUGCAGUUUAGACUCGUGCAGGCAAGAAGUGUUGGUGUUGCCUUUUAUGCUCGUGCAGACUAGGAGCUUUGUUGUGCCAUGCAGUUUAGGCUCGUGCAGGCGAUGAGCUUUGGUUCAUGCAGUUUAGGCUCGUGCGAACAAUGAGCAUUGUGCCAUGCAGUUAGGCUCAUGCAGGCGAGGAGCGUUUAUUGGUUCGUCAAGCGAUCCAGGAGAGUCGUUCCUCGCAAUCUUCAUAGCAAGGAGCCUUGACUGAGUGAUUGAAGAAGUCUUUGGGGAAGAAAUCGCGCAUCGUGAUGGGGAUGGACGAUAUUUGUGUCGUCAUUUCAUCAUCUUCAACACUUUCACUUUUCUUUGAAGGUUGACAAGAGCUGCUUUGCCCCAUUUCCGAUUGGCGGACUUGUGGAUGAGACGUAUGCUUCUUCUGCAGUUUCUCUAGAGUGACAUGAGUCAUUCCUUCAACUUCGCUUGGCUCAACUGGCAUGGUUUUGGAGCAUGCCCCCAGCGAUUGAGGUGAAGAUUUUGAGUUGACAAAGCCGGAAGUGACGUCUUCUUCCAUGAUUUCAUCUUCUUUGUCUUCUUGGGCUUGUUGGCGUGAAGAUUGGCCGGCGUAGAUGAUGGUGCGCCUCUUUACCUUCAGUGGUCCUUUUGUGUCGACCUCCCAAGCUGUUUGGCGCUUUAUCCUUGAAUGAAUCAAGCUUCGAACGUCGUCUUUUCCUGCUAGACCGUCGAGCUUUUCUUCCUUUGGCGUUGUCUUCCUAUUUCUAGAAUGCUUCUUGGUUUCUUCAAGUUUUUCCAAAGCCGAUCGUUGGGGAGGAGAGCCAGCCUUGCUGCUUUGUUUCUUAGGUUUUGACAACCUUUCAAAAACAGAGCUUUGGGGUGUUGGCGUGUUAAGCCGUUUGAAGAUGGAAGUUCGGUCUUGCCCACCAAUGCGAUCAAGUGCCGACCUUCUGGGUUUUGAACGAUUCAGCCUAUCGAAGACUGACACUCGAAUAGGAGGUUGAGGCUCCUCUUGAUCUUGUUCAAUCCUCAAGCUGAUGUGUCGAGUGCUAGCAUUUUUUGCUUUACUUGAAAUCUUCACGGGUGCAUUUGGUGUGAAGCCAAGUCUAGCUCUGUUGUUGUCAACUCCGUAAUCAUGCUUUUCCAACUUCUUCUGAGUCUCGGUGAAGUCAUGAUCUUUGUCGUUGAUGGUGUUUGAAACCUUCUUCUCAAGAUUUGAAGAGGAAGCAAAGUCGUACCCAGCCUUUAACAUGAGUUCGUAGGCGUUUGGGUUGAGACCUUCUUCGGUCCUCUUAGUUGGAAUGAAGCUUGGGUUCGCUUUGACGCCAUGAUGCGCCUCCAGACGGUUGAUAAGUCCAACGGUUUGCAAGUUUUUCUCCUCCGCAGUCUUUAUCAGCCUUGCAAUUGUUUCCUUCAUCUGAACUAGUUGUUCUUCAAUAGAGGUAGCGCCGAUGGUCAUGACUUGUUCUUUGUUUGAAGCCAUGAAGUGUGCUUGAAUUUCUUGAACAGAGAAAGAGAUGAGAGGUAGAGAUUGUCCCACUGGGCGUGCCAAUUUGUGAACACGGAAAAUUCCCGAAACGAAAGAGACAAGAACAACGUGCACAAACAAAUAUUUUGUAUUUGAUGAUUAUUUUGGGUUACAAUCUCUCUCUAAUUUGAUCCUCUGAUUCGAUCUCCGUAAGGUAUUGGUUUGUGGAUGUGCGAUUGAUCCAAGGGCCGUCGAGGCUUGAUCUUGGAUGAACGGAUCUUCAAGGGCUUUUGGGCUUAAUCUUGAAGAAUAGUGAUGAACGGGUCUUCAAGGGCUUUUGGGCUUGAUCUUGAAGGAUGGUUGGAUGUGUGGAUUUGUCGACGUUGUUGAUCCAAAGGGCCGUUGGGGCUUGAUCUUAGGAUGAACGGAUGAUGAACGAAUAACACUUUCUUCAAGGGCCGUCGGGGCUUGAUCUUGAAUUGGUGAAAGUUCUUCAAGGGCCGUCGGGACUUGAUCUUGAAGGUAGAUGAUUGUUGAUCCAAGGGCCGUCGGGGCUUGAUCUUGGAAGAACGAUGAACGAAGAACGAAGAAGGCUUUCUUGGUUCUUCGGGAACCUGGAUGCUUGAGAGCUUCGGAGUUUCAGAGCUUCAGAGCUUCAAGGUGUAAUAUGAAUUUGGUUCCCCUAAAUGAAUGAAAUUGGCUUCUAUUUAUAGAAUUUUUCAAGGCCUAAUUUUGAAUAUAAUAUUCCAGAUGAAAUAAGUCGUUUCUGCCAAGUGUUGACACGUGUCUUAUUUGAUGACUUUUCCGACUCAUUUCAAUUUUUCGUCGAGUCACACACUACGUGUAAAAUUUAUGUAAUACAUGAGCGUUGAAACUUUGAUUUAUCAGUCAACAUUUAUUUACCAAAAUUUCGAUGUCUACAGUUAAAUGAUUUGGCUGUGUGCAUUGUUUCAGGACAAUUUGUUCUUCGUUUUUUGGGGCUUCUGUGCGUAGCUUUGAAGUCCUUUGUAGUCAACAUAAAUAAUUUUAUUUUUCUUUGUUUUUAGUCUUCUAUGUAAGAAUUUCUUAGUUAAUAUUCUGAGAAUUAUGUUUACUAUAGUAUGAAAAUUGAAUCUUUGUGAUCUUCGAAGUGUAACGUCAUUGCAACAUGGACGACUGCCAUUAUCGAACAUGAAAAACAUUUUGAUUUCUGUACUCCGUCUAGUAGAAAACUCUCGACUUCUUCAGAAACCACGAGAAACUUAAAACUGAGAAAGCUUCGCGGUCUCCCUUCCAUCUCUGCUACGCGGUCUCUGCUUUGCGAUCUCUGCUUCCUUCGUGAUUUCUUCCUUCCUGAACGACAUCUAUUCGAAUUGAAAACCUUCUGGAGCUCUCUUCCCCAAAUUUCAGCAGCAACUUUGCUCCAGAUCUUUCCAAUUGAAAUUCCUCUCCUUCACAUUUUGCAUAUUGAAUUUCGCAUCAUCAUCAUCUCCCUAGAACCUAGGAGUUCGGUUCGGUUUCGAGUUUUCCGACGGAAAUCCGGCGACAGCGGCCAUCGAGGUUGGUCUGAAACUAUUCCUCAUCACCACAGGUACUUUCUACACCUAUUACAUUUUAGAAAAAGUUUCAUGACUUUGUGGAAUCCAAUUUAACGAUUAGAAAAAUUUUCAUUAAUUUUCUGGGUUCGUGAGUUGGAGGGGGAUUAGAAAUUUUUUCAUUAUUUUUCUGGGUUUGUGGUUUUUUUUUUCCAAAACGUUUUUCCUUUCUACUAAUCCAAGUUCCUUCACAUCAAUCUCUCUGUUUUGUUCUUGAUCUUCCUCGAGUAGAAUACCUCUUCUUGCUCUGGAGCGCGUGGGCAGUCUCUCUAAGGCAGCCCAUGACGUCAUUUUCCGAUUCGACUCGGAGGAGGUUGGCUGCUCUUCUUGGCUGAGCUUCAUGGCUGGCCGAAUUCCCCUAUUCCCUUCCUCUUAUACUUUUUUAUAUUCGUUCACCAAAACAAUAGGAAAACGUCUCCGUCUGUUUGAUUGACGGCGAAAAAAAAAAAGACGGAGAAUAAAAGCCUGACGGAAGCUGAAAGCUUGGACUCUGUUUGUAUUUUUAAUGGAUUUUCAGAACACAGGUCAAGAAUAUUGCGAUUUGAGAAAAAAAGAAAGAACCACGUUGACAUAAUAUAUUCACAAUAGGUGUACAAGGUUCAUAAAGCUUUACUGUGGUUCCAUUUUUUGUUAAUGGAAUUAGCCUUUUGUUUUAGGAAGAACUUGGAACCCCCUCCGUCCAUUCUAUCCCCAAUGGAAUUAACACUUAGAUAGUACUAUGACAAUGUGUCAUUAUUUGAUGCAUACCUGUAUAAAUUUAGGCUAAGUGUUUUAUACACAAAUUGAUACAGAUUAACUAUACAAUGAUAACUAUAUACCGGAGAGCUAACUAUACAAUGAUACAUUCUUAUCUGUUAAUUAUCUUUGGUUACCAGCUAUCCAUGUUGCUGUCAUAUUAAACUACACAACAUCAGUUGUAAUUUAUGUCUUAUUAGUAUCAUCAUUUUUGUUCAUUAUUUCAAUGUCUAACAUAACUCCGCCUAUGUCUUACAUGGCCGGUCCCAAGCCCGGAUAAAGGAGGAGGGGGAGGGCGUCAGGUAGUCGACAGCCGGCACUCCAUGAUCACGUCGAAUCCUUAUGAAAAUGAAUCCAGAACAAAACCCCACUUAGUGGGAAAAGGCUUUGUUGUUGUUGUAUUUCAAUGUCUAACAUGAUGAUCUGGUUUCAAUUUGCUACAGGCAUUAUUUCCAGACAAUAGCUAUGGUUUUGAUUGUAGCGGUGACUGAAAAAUUAUUCCGAAACUAACAUUUGAGGAAUUCAAGGUUUGUUAGUUAAUUUGUACAUCAGAAUACCAUGACAAACUAUGAAGUUGUAAUUGUUGACCUUACAAUGUAUCUUUUUUGGUUUGGAGCAUUAGACUUAUAUGUGUUGCUUUCACCUCAUGAAGGCUAACUCUUUAUUUUAGGCCGUAAGAGUAUAAUUUCUUGGAGAAUCUACAUUGUUGAUAAUUUUUUGAACAAUAUUAUCCCCAAAAUUUCUCCGCAUGUUACCCUCAACGUAGACAUCAUAUAACCAUCAUUGAACUUCUGAACCAAAAAUUUGAGUUUUAUGAUUAUAACUAAACGUCUAUAAACACAUGAUACAGAUUGAGACGAAUGUCAAAUUUAAAAUGGCAUUAAUACAGCUGCAAACUCUGAUUUGCGGGAUUUGAAAUGGAGCAGUUACUUCUUGCUUCACUUCAGCAGCAUAGUCCAGCUUCUAAAUUCAGUUCUCAGGUAUGAGGUUUCUCAGUUACCUCUUUUUUGUAAUAAAACAUUUGAUCAGUACUUGCCAGGAUAUCCAAUUAAUUAGGUCAGUUUUUGUUAGCAGUAAUAAUUUGUUUUUGCAGCUUUAUAUGUGUCUCUGUCUCCAAAUAUGAUGAUCUCUUAAUUUGCUUCUAUAGCUUUUGUAAUAUAAUGAUCUCUUAAUUUUCUUUUGCAUAUCUUCUUUGCUUCCUCUGCUAGCUCUAUAUGAGAUUCCAUCUCCAAAUAAUUAUUCCUUAUUUCCUAUUUUUACCAGAAGCAAAUCAUUGAAUACACAUGGUAAAUUAAAAGGGUUUUAGUUUUUGGAGUAGUUUAAAUUUUUUGUUUGUUAUUGCUUGUAUUGCUGUUAAAUAUUUGAUGGGUAGUUUGAAAUGGGGAACUUGGUUGAUUGAGUAUUAACUUUUAUUAAAUUAAUAUUCUUAUUCAAUAUUGAAUUAAGACUCCUCUUAUUAAAUUAAGACUCUUAAGGCUCUAAUCUAAUGUUCAUGCUCAAUAUCUCCUCUAUCUUUCUACAAUUGGUAAAACUUUUGUAUUAUUAUUCCAAUUUUGGUUACUGGGUUGUGGAAUUUUCCAUUUUUUUUCUGGGUAAUCAAUACUAUAUAUAUGCAUGACAAGUAUAAACAAUAUUUUGGGGCAAAUUUAGUUGUUUAAUUUUUAAUUUUUAUGUGACAGUGAGAUUAUGGUAGGAUUUCGUUUAGAUUCUGCGGCCCAAUGGGAGUCUCUGCUUUGAUAAGAUUGGGGUUGAUGCCAAGAAAGCCAAUAAGCCUACUGUGGACGCCGUAGCCGCCUGGCGCUGUUUUCCAAAAUCCUCUCUCACUUGGUUAAGCAAUUAAGACUUUUUGGUUCAGUUUUUAUUAUGCCCAAUUUUGUAUUUAAACCUUAAAAAAAUUUAAACUGAUAUGGGGAUACUGAAAUAGGCUGCAGAGCUGCCAUCCCUGAAUCAGAAGAUGUUCAGAAGGAAGAAGAAGAACAAGAAGAAAGUCGUGGAAUAUCAAAAGCUUUUAGCUUUGUGAAGGUAUGCUUUUUCCCAACUCACCUCUUGCUUUUGUUGCACUGAAUUGGUAGAUUGGGUUCAAAAAUAUAUAUAUGUGAUUUUUCGUGUAACUAUUUCUUUACAUAAUUACCAAUUGGAGGUGAUUUGAGAUCAUGUAACAUUUCCUCGCUAGAACCGAAGAUUGCCGUCGCUCAGAGCUGCGUUUCAUGAAACAAGUUCAUCUCCUGCCAAUUUUGUGUACCCACCUUUUAUUCAUGAGGGUUGGUGCUUGCUUGCAACACAAUUUGGUGCUAUUAAGUUUUGCGGUUUUACAAUUUGUUCAUGCUUAAACCUCUUUCAAAUUUUCAUUUCUAUGUAAAUCUUGCAGGUAGGACGACACACCUAUCUUGGCAAUGUCGGGAUGUCUAGGCUUGGGUGGAGACGUGGUCUUAUGGAAGAGGUGAAGUAGCUUAGCUCGAUCUCAUUAGCUCUUAUCUGUUCUAUUAUGCUAAGAUCAAUAGUAAAAAGUUCUAUUGAUUUUAUAAUCAAAGAUACAUAUAUUAUAGAAACAGAGGGUAUAUAAUUAAUUUCUUGAUGUAAACAAUUAUAACUUGAGGAACCAUUUAAAGUAUUUUGGUAAUCAGCAUACUUAAACUUAAAUGUGAUAUAUCCGUUUAGUAUUUUUUUUAUACAGUGAUAAUACUUAAGUAUAAUUUACAUCAUAUAUCUUUUGAAGUACAUGAAACUAUGAAGAAAAUGAUAAACCAAAUCCCAUUCCAUCUCUGUUUGCUACUGCACAAUCACAAUCCAAUUCCAACAUGGAAUCCUCAGACGACAUGCCUACUGCAGAACAAGUUUCAUCCUGACUUAACUUAUAUUUAGUCCACGUCCUGUUUAGAUUGUAAUCCUAGUUCUACGUGUGUUUGUAUAGUACUCCUAUAAAUAUCAAUGAACAUCGCUCACUCUAAUUAAGAGUUGAGAUUCUGCAAAUCAUAUUUACUAUCUUUCAUGGUAUCACGAGCCAGCGUCUAACGACAACGGUUCCUAUUAUAAUUUUUUUCUCUUUUGCAGAUCCUAAACUAUGGCAUCUUCUUCCUCCUCCGCUGCUCCCUCCAUCACAAAUUUUCUUACGAUCAAGCUCGACCGCAACAACUACCCUCUUUGGCAUGCUCAGUUUCUUCCCUUGCUGCGCAGCCGCAACUUACUCUCUUAUGUUACUGGCGAAACUCAAUGCCCCUCUUUCUUCUUGAUGACAAUGGUAAAUUCACCGAUAAAGUCAAUCCAUUAUAUAAUGAAUGGAUCCAGACUGACCAGAUGAUCCUAUCUUGGAUUACGAGUUCUCUUACUCCCAAGGUUCUUGCUACGAUCGUCAACAAAAUUGAUUCGGCCUCUGCUUGGUCGUCAAACUCGAAUUAAUCUGAUUGUGAGGGUUUUGUUUUAUAUCAAUAUAUUGCAACAGAAGUCACACUUUGAAGAGUUCAUGCUGCACAGAAAGAUGAUGAAAUGCUACCCGUUGAGUCUAUCAUUGCUCCAUUGGAGACAGAGCUGAAGCUUACUGCAGGAGUUAUACAUUUGUUAUGCAAUAUGACCCCUUUAAUUUUAUUUUAAAACUGAUACAAAAAUACUACAAAAAUUUAUGUAGUAUUUUUGUAUCAGUUUUGAGUGUCUAUUUUGGCUUCCAUAUAUCGUCUGUACAUGUGAGAGGUAUAGUGUUCAAUAUGUAUUUGGUUUCUAUAUUGUUAAUGGAUCCUUUUUUUUUUUUUAAUUUUAAUAUAAUUUUAUUAAGGUAACCAAGUUGCAGGAUGACAUCAGAACACUUGAUCUGCAGGUAAACCUUCAAUUUCCAUAUGAAGUUUGCAUGUUCGUUGUUUCUGGAAUUUGAGUUUUUAUUAUUUCUCAAUUCUAUCACAUAGAUUACGAUUUCACAUAUGUGAUUAUUAAUGGCAAUUAUAUGAUAGAAGAAUUGGGAUUGGAAGAAGAUAUUGAGUUGUUUAUUUAUGGGGAUUAGAAAAUGAUUAUCAUACAAGUGAUAUUUAUUUUUGUGUGGAUUGUUAAUAUAUAAAACUAUAAGCUUUUGAGAUUGGGAGAUAAAACCCACAAAUUCAAAUCAGACAAAAUAAAUAAAAAAUUUAACUGACUUAAAGAUCAAACUCCAAAAGGGUAUUAAAAACAAGGCUUAUUUGAUCCAUUGAGUGUGAAAGUUUUGAGCUUUGAAGAAGCAUAGGAGGAGAGUUGUUAACCAAGCUGCAUUAUCCAUGUAUUAGGAUGUUGAGGGUAGGCAGGAAAAAUACUUUUUGACGCCAUAUCCAGAGGAGCAUAACGACAGGCCUGCAUUUUUGCAGCAAGGACCAAAACAAGUAGAAGUGAAGGCUUGACUGUUUGGGUAUUAAUCCUAAACCUAAUUAUUCUUAUUUAGGUUUAGGAUAAAUGAUUGAGUGUGUCUCGAUGAUUGUAUUACCAUGUUUGAUGAAUGACUUGAGGAGUUGGAAAUGGUUUAUUGCUUAUGUUUUUCUUAGGUGUGUACUUUGGUUAUUUCCGAGCUUUUCACGACUCUUGAUACCUAAUAGAGAAAAUGGAAACCCCAACUUUAAUUUUAUGAAUUGGUUUUGGUGCCUAAAAUGAAAUCUAGCAUAGUGAAAUCUUGCAUAAUGAAAUUAUGACAAAUUUCCCUUCAUCUUUAGAUUUUCAUUUAGUUCAAUUUGUAUGCAAUUUAGGGUUAUUCAAUUCAUGAGUGAUCAAAUUAUGUUUUUAAUUCCUUCUUCUUUUGAUUUACAGUUCAACAUUGUCGUACAAAAUGAAAAAGGUGCCAGUAACAUAGUUAUGGAUUUGGAUGCCUUUAGCGGAAUAAAACUGAAUUUUUUAACUUUGUAUAGUUGUAAACAUAAAAUACUCCAUCAGAUAGACUCAUAGCAUUUGAAAACAAUCCUUGAGGAUGGCAUAACAACAUCUCCAACUUUUGUCAUGUAAUGUAUGAAUGUAAAUAGCACUUUGUAAACAUAUGGAUGUAAUAUAUGUAUAUAAACAGUCUUUAGCAUGUAUAUUUUUCAAAACUUUCUACAUCUUCAACAAUGUUUCAAUGAUUUCUUGAUGUAAACAAUGAUAAUUUGAAGAACCAUUUAAAGUUUUCGGUAAUCAGCAUACUUAAGCUUAAAUGUGAUAUAUCCGUUUAGUAUUUUUUAUACAGUGAUAAUACUCAAGUAUAAUUUACAUCAUAUAUCUUUUGAAGUACAUGAAACUAUGAAGAAAAAACCCUAAUUAAUCUGAUUAUGGGGGUUUUGUUUUAUAUCAAAAUAUUGCAGCAGAAGUCACACUUUGAAGAGUUCACGCUGCACAGAAAGACGAUGAAAUGCUAUCUGUUGAGUCCAUCAUUGCUCCAUUGGAGACAGAGCUGAAGCUUGCUGCAGGUGGUAUACUUUUGUUCUGCAAUAUGACCCCUUUAAUUUUAUUUUAAGACAGAUAGGGUUGAAAAGAAUUUAUGUAGUAUUUUUGUAUCAGUUUUGAAUGUCUAUUUUGACUUCCAUAUUUGGUCUGUACAUGUGAGGUAUAGAGUGUUCAAUAUGUAUUUGGUUUCUAUAUUGUUAAUGGAUCUUUUUUUUUUGUUUUUUAGGUAACCAAGUUGCAGGAUGAAAACAAAACACUUGAUCAGCAGGUAAACCUUCAAUUUCCAUAUGAAGUUUGCAUUUUUGUUGUUUCUGGAAUUUGAGUUUUUUGCAGGAUGAAAACAGAACACUUAAUCUGCAGGUAAACACUUGAUUUGUUAUUUCCAAGCUUUUCACGACUUUCGAUACCCAAUAGAGAAUAUGGAAACCCCAACUUUAAUUUUAUGAAUUUGUUUUGGUGCCUAAAAUGAAAUCUAGCAUAGUGAAAUCUUGCAUAAUGAAAUUAUGACAAAUUUCCCUUCAUCUUUACAUUUUCAUUUAGUUCAAAUCGUAUGGUUUAGGGUUAUUCAAUUCAUGAGUGAUCAAAUUAGGUUUUUAAUUCCUUCUUCUUUUGAUUUUCAGUUCAGCAUUGUCGUAUUUUGGAUGCCUUUAGUGGAAUAAAACUGAAUUUUUUUAACUUUGUAUAGUUGUAAACAUAAAAUACUCCAUGAGAUAGACUCAUAACUUUUGAAAACAAUCUUUGAGGAGGGCAUAACAACAUCUCCAACUUUUGUCAUGUAAUGUAUGAAUGUAAAUAGCACUUUGUAAACAUAUGUAUGUAAUAUAUGUAUAUAAACACCACUCUUUAGCAUAUAUAUUUUUCAAAACUUUCUACAUCUUCAACAAUGUUUCAAGCCCCGCGGCAACGGGCGGGUACACUUGCUAGUAUACAUCUAAAAUUAUAAGACUAAAUCCUUUAGUUCUUGGAUUCAUCUAAGAACUACUUAUUCCAGCAGAUGCUAUGCUUGCACUACUAGAAUUUAUGGCUUGCCCUGUCAACUAUUGCGCGACAGAAGAUUUCGUCGGUUUCACCUUUUUUAACCGACAGAAUAUAAGUUUAGUAGGGCAAAAUCAGUCAACAAACUGGGUUGAUUGAAUAAAUUUACAGGAUGGCUAGAGUUCGUAGGUUAAGACAUCGGUCGUUGGGCAAACAUUUGGAGCGAAGAUGUGAGUGUUUUAACUGACGAAUAAGCUGGUCGUCAUGUAGAUCUUCUUUCCCGACGGACGGUUCAACAGGUAGCUCUUUGGAUAAUAAUUCAUCUUCAAGGGGAACAGGUUGCCCCUCAGAUGAAUGGUUAGAGGCAAUUGUGAGACUAUAAUUUUCUAGGGCCGGAAUAAAAAAUACAUAAACCCUCACCUAUUCUGUCUCUGUAACCAUCCACCAAAUACCCAUUUUUCCCUUUCUAUUUCUCUCCUAGUAAUUUCCCCUGACCGAAUCACACAAUCCAACCAACUCUCUUUAAGCCUCCCUCACUGAUUCCAUGGAUUUCAUGGACUUAUCCCACCCUCUCUCCUUCCUUCUAUAUAUAGCAAGUCCCCUUGCCUCAGUGUCCCUGGCAACAGAAUUUAUGGCGUUUCUUCGUUCUUUCAAUUAUUUGAAAGCUUCCCUGCCCUGCAAUCUUGUAUAAAGGCGUAUGGUGUUUCAUCAGUUCCAUUUGGUGGUCGGGUGGGAAAUGAAAUUAAAACACUGCAUUUCAAAUGCAUUUCAAAUGGUCUAAACCAAAUUGAAUCAAAUGUGAAGCAAAGGGCAAGAGGUGUAGAUUGAAGAACAAUGGCACCAAGAGCGAAAUUGAACUUGUUGACAGGAGGAAACCAAGUAAGGAUAACACGUCUAAAUCUUAUUUUGAAUCCAUUCAGCUCAUGAUGUUUUGAAUGAUGAUGAUCGGUAUACUCUGCUACAUGCUGUGAUUUUUCCGCUUUCAUGUAAUUAACGGCUUAUAUUUGUGGUAACCAUAUUGAUUAAAAAAGGUCGUACCCAGUGCACAAGGCUCCCGCUUUACGCAGGGUCUGAAAGGUGAAUGUCGGCUAGCCUUACCCCCAUUUUAUGGAGAGGCUGCUCCAAAGUCUCAAACCCAAGACCUACCGCUCAUGGGCGAAGACACUUGCCAUCGCACCAAGUGCGAUAUUGAUUAAUUUCGAGAAAUGACAGUCUAAUUUUUGCAACUGUCUUUUGCAGGCAAAACAAAGACGUUUGCAAGGGUGAGUUGUGUAGGAGCUUUGUUUCAUGUCCAAAGGACACUUGAGAAUAAAUGUUUACACUCAUGGAUAAUAUCUAUCUAUUUGCAGGAGUAACCCUGGGUUCAUUUGUUCUGUAACUGCUGGUCAUUGCGGCAUAUCACGCCUAUAGCACUGACAAAAGUAAAAAGAGAAUCGAAUGAAAUUUGAUAAGUUUUCAGCGGACUACAAAGAUCUUAAGCCAAGCAUAUAUUCCCAUGCAGAUAUUAAGAGGUUUACAAAUCAAUUCAAGUACAAGUUGGGCCAAGGAGCAUACGGAACUAUUUUUAAAGGAAUGCUUUUUUCUGAAUGCUUUGUUGCCAUGAAGUACUUAACAAUGGGCCAUAUUCACCAUGUCAAUGUGGUUCACUUGGUUGGUUUUUGUGCUGAUGGAUUUAGAUGAGCUCUGGUUUAUGAGUUCUUUUCCUUUGGUUCACUCCAGGAUUAUAUUUCAUCAGUAGAUAGAUUUCUUUCCUUGGUUGGCAUAAGUUACAAGAUAUUGCUAUCAGCAUAGCCAAAGGAACCAAGGAUGUGAUCUACAAAUCCUCCAUUUCGAUAUCAAACCCCAUAAUGUUUUGCUCAACCAAAAAAUCACGCCAAAAAUCUCUGAUUUUGGUCUGGCCAAGUUAUGUUCCAAGGAUCAAUCGGCGUGACUAAAGCAAGGGGGACUAUGUGACUAAAGCACCCGAAGUGUUUUCCAGGAAUUUCGGAAAUGUGUCUUACAAGGCAGAUGUCUUGAAUGCUGCUGCUUGAGAUGGUAGGAGAAAAGAAGAAUAUUGGUUCAACCAGAGGACACGACAAAUGAAAUCUACUAUCCAAAAUGGAUUUAUAAUCUUCUAGAGGAAGGAAAUGACCAACAGAUCCCUAUUGAGGAAGAAUGUUAUGGUAAGAUUCCAAAGCAACUUGCAAGUUUAGGGCUCUGGUGCAGCCAGUGACACUCAGUGGAUCGGCGGUCCAUGAAAACGGUGGUUCGGAUGUUAGGAGGAGGAGAAAACUUGAUGAUGCAAGCAACCCUAAAAGCCUCAUACAGUUAGAAGCAAUUGCUGAAUUAGAGUAACAUACGUAUAUGUAUACGCACCAACACAAGUCGUUCUUAGAUGAAUCCAAGCCAAACAAUUACAGACAAUAGUUAUUCACUAAAUCACUUUAAGGCAAGAAUUUAAUUAAUAAUACAUUACUGCACUUUCUUAACCAUUUGACUAUCACCUAGCUGACAAUGAACACGUUAGCUCCGCGUUAGAACAUCUUGGGUUCAAUUCAUUGUCUUGAAUAUCACCCACUGUCACAGGCGUCUUUUGGGGGCAUAGAGAAGGCCUGAGAGGCAUUUGCAGACAUUCAACAUCUCCUCCAAGCAUUUUGACAACUUUGGACAUCGAAGGGCGAUCACUUGGUUUCAUUUGAAUACACCACAAGGCGGUUAUAACCAUCUUUCUUAUUACUUUCUUUUCCUCCUCUGUAACAUUGUCCAUUUCCAAGUCAUUUCCUACAAUAUACUGAUCGUAUACCCACAUUGGGAAGUAGAUUUGGCUUGAAUGCUCUACCGUUGGAUUCAAAUUCCUCCUUCUGCUUGCCAUUUCCAUCAACAACAUUCCAAAACUAUAGACAUCUGACUUAUAUGAGACGCCUCCAAUAUUUUUGUAGAACAACUCAGGAGCAAUAUAUCCCAGUGUACCCCGUGCUGCUGUCAAAGAGACAAUGCUAUUAUCUACAUGAUACAAUUUUGCAAGCCCAAAGUCAGAAACCUUUGCUUUAAAGUUCUCAUCAAGAAGGAUGUUAUGAGGCUUGAUGUCGAAAUGUAGAAUUUGCAUUUCGCAACCUUGGUGUAGAUAUUCGAUCCCUUGAGCCACUCCAAGAGAAAUCUCGUACAUGUUCUUGAUAGUUAAGGGGACACUUCCUUCUUUGGAAUAAAUGUAUUUAUCAAGAGAACCAUUAGGCAUGAAGUCAUAGACUAGAGCGCGUUUUGAUCCCUCAACAUAGUAUCCAACAAGUUGCACCACAUUGGCAUGGUGAAUCCUUCCGAUUGUAGCUAAUUCGCUAAUGAAAUCUUGGCCAUCAGCUUUGGGCUUGGCCAAAACUUUAACUGCUACAAAUCGACCACUGCGUAGCUUUCCCUUAAAUACAGAGCCAAAGCCACCUUUGCCCAACUUGUCCUUAAACUUGCGAGUCAUUUUCUUGACGUCCGAGUAAGAGUACCUUAUAGGCAUGAAGUUGUUAUUGCAUUGCAGAAAAUCUUCUAUUGUGCUAUACAUUGAUAAAUGUCUUCUGCGCCAUGUGUAGAUUAGAAAUGCAGUCACAAUUGGAACUCCAAAAACAAAUCUGGCUAGGAAAAAUAACCCUACAUGCAUUGACAUUAAUAUGUUAGAUCCACUGCGUACUACUUUUUCUUCCCUUUCUUUCCAAAUUACUUUGUCUUUGAUGUAAUUAAAGAGAGAAUGGGAAAUGUACAUAUGUUGAUAAUACAAUCUCGUCUUAGUCCUUACCGAUGCAUAUGAGUAUAAACCAUACACGUACUGCAACAAAAUCAAUCGACUAUGAGUUUGAAAAGUGCAUAAAGUGAAAAAAAAAUAAAAAAAAUCAAAGGGUGCCUUUAUUGACAUCCAAAUUUUAGUUAGUUUUACUCAACUAAAAAAUUUUUGUCAUCAAACUUUUUAAUUUGCCGUCGAAAUUGAGUUCACCCAACCCACAAAGCAGCAACUACCACUCACCAAAAAAACCAACAACACACAGCCACCAGUACCAUUCACCAAUAGAAAGAGAAGGAACACACAGACCCACCAAGGAGCCGGCAUCGACGCGUCUACGAGGGAGGGACCGGAGGGUGGUGUAGUUUUGUUGGGCGCGCGGUAGUGGUUUUGUCUGUUCAUUUUCUCUUUGUUUUGGUAGGUGGAGGCUGGUGUGGAUUUGGGCGAACUUAAAAAUGAGGGGAAACUAUGAAGUUUGACAAAAUGUUUUAGUUAGGUGAACUUCACUAAAAUUUGGGUGCCGAUAAAGAUACCCAAAAUCAAAAGACUAGAUGGACUAAUUAAAUGAAGCUCUUACCCAUAUAUAACGAUGGACGCAACUUGCCAGCUGCUGCAGUACAUACCACGGAAAAGUGAGCAAAGACAUACAGUUACUAGGUUUAAGAAGUACAGAUAGAGCACACAAAAAAUAAAAGAAGCUUUUGGGAAGAAACUUCUUACGCAAAUAGAUUUUUUUCAUGACCUACAGUAAAAAAAUGUCAAGAAGAAUACACAACAUUAGCAAUAGCUCACCCAGUCUUCAAAAUUUAAAAAAUCAAGUUUGUCGAUCGAAAACUUGUAAAUAAAACAAAAAGAGGACCCCUUACCGAUUUGUUGCCAUAGAUAUUGAAAGAAACCUACAAGAACAAAGAAAGAACAAGACCACAUGCAUUAGAAUAACAAGUGUGAGGUGUAUAAGCCGUUAGAAAAUAAAUUUAAAAUUCUAGUGCUGUCAAUACAUUGAUAAUAUAUAUAUAUAUAUAUAUAUAUAUAUAUAUAUGUAUGUAUGUAUUAUUUUUUCUGAAAAUUUAACUUUUCCCGUCCAAACUCAUUUUUCUAGUCUCUAGCCCAACAUAUAAUAUUUAUCUGAAUAAAACCAAAUGAUUAGGAUCCAACUAAGAAACUUACCAAAUUAAGUUUGUGUGUCCAUUUUUAUAUUUUUUGGAUCCCUAAUAUACCCCAUCUAAGCCAGUAUGGAAAGGUCUUGUAAUUUUGCUUUAAGUGAUUACGUGCAUUGAAUUUGGCAAGGUCUUAUAGCCAUGAAAUAUGGUUCUAGAUGGAGGAAUUAAUUUGGAAUUUUUUUUAAUUUCGACAACAAAUUUCAAUUUGAAUAUACCUAAUUUAGUGUUUAUUUUCAACAAUAAAUGUGCCUACUUUUUAAAUUUGUAACAAAAUUAAUUUACCUACUUUUUAUGGUAUUAGUGACACACCCUGUCCCGAAGGAGGGCAUGCUGGCCGUCACGAGAGAGUGACGUAACCAUUUGCACAGUACGGAAGCUUUAAGAUACAAUUUAUAAGUUGAUACACCCGAAGGUGAGUCCUAAUUUUUGUCCAAUCUGUCAGAACACCGUCAAAUUCCUCGUAGUCACCACACCUUUGUGAUUCCUGAACCUGGAGGGGCGCAAAACCAAAAUUGAGUGGGUCAGUAAAACAAUUCUUUUCCAAAUCCAAACAUUUCUCAAAACGUUGUAACCCUCUCCGUAAAACUUGUAUACUUUCCCAGAAAUGUAAAAUAUAAAUAUACAUAUAUAUUCUCAAACUUCAUUUUUACUAUCUCAACAUUUUUCUUUAUCAAACAUGCCAUGCCAUGUCUAAUUCAACAGUUAAGUAUGGAUGCAUCAACAAUAAUCAUAUCAGGUGCAAGAAAGUAAUCAACCGGAGGCCCUCUAAUAGCCCUGUACGGUUGAACCUAGAGCUCAAAAUCUAUCACUCUCACUCUGCCGGGAGUCACCUCUGUGACCUGUCCGGCCUUCUGCACACAAGUUACGCUCUAGUGCUUUCUCAUCAAUCAUCUGUGCACAUAAUCUAAGGUCACCCACCAGUCGAAAUCUCACUAACACUCUUCGACUGGCCCGUCGCACCCACUCCGCGUGGACUGUGCGACCAGCAUCUACUUGGAUCCAAGGCGAGCGUGCGAUGCGGUGAAUACUAUAAGCACUAAACCAUGGUGCAGGAUUUGAGCUCAAUAUAUAUCAACAUCAUCAUAACAGUACUUAAAUACUCACCUGAUACUCACCUGUGCGUCCGCCGCACCAAUUCAUACAUAUGCAUCAUAUUUCAAUUCAUAUCAUUUCAUGCAUGGCAAUUCGAUUCACAUUUCUAUAUACAUUUCAUAUACUUCUAUGCAUGACCUUUCAAUUCACGUUUUCAUAUAAUUCUAUAUACCUUUCAUUUAAAACAUAAUUUCAUUCUAAUUCAAUUUCUGGGAAAACGUCAAGUAUAUAUAUACGGAAAACAAAACUGCCCACUCACCUGGAGUUCGUCCAACAACUCCCUAGCACCACACAUCAAGGCGUCAUGACGAUCGCCGUCUAGAACAGUAAUCAAAUCCAGCCUCAGAAUUCAUAUCGAUAGAACAUAUAACUUAUAUAAAAUAUGUCACUACGUAGAUCGAUCCGGAAGAUCUGCCACUCAGAUUUUAAAUCCAUAACUUCCAGAGGUCCACAAUAUAUCUCUAGGAUAACAUCCUAAAAUUUCAUUACCAUCCAACGGUCGGAUCUCCGUCAAUUUCCAAAACUAAGUGACGGUUAACAUUUUAUUUUAUGAACUUACAAUUCUAAUUCCGGAAGAUCCGUAACUCGGAUUCCCAAUCCGUAAGUUCCAAUAAUCCUCAAAUAUUACGUAUUACAACGUAUCAAAGUUUGGUAACGAUCCAACGGUCGGAUCAUCAAUUCACAUUUUCACCUAAUGCGAAAACUAUAAAACGUUAUUCGAACACCUAACCAACAAUCCUUAAUAACUUUCUCAUACGGUGUUCAAUUUGGGUAUAUGAAUAUACCACAGUGAUCUACUCAUUAAAAUAAUUUUUUACUGUAGCACGCGCCCCCACGCGCCAAGGAAGGCACGGACCUACGCGCCCCCACGCGCACCUUCUUCUUCCUUGGGUCGCCGGACUGGUUUUUCCGGCGGCCGUUUUUCAAAUUGCCAUAACUUUGUCAUUUCUCAACGAAAUCAAGUGAUUCAAAAACGAAAGUUGUAGCCCUUGAAGAGACAAAGAGAAUGGUACCUUGCACAACACCUAGUUCGCCGUGGUUUGGCCGGAAACUGCUUCGAAAGCCUCGGAGGUCGCCAGAAACUGGGUAUUUUUCAAAUCAGUAUAACUUCUUCAAUACUCAACGAAAUUGAGUGAAACAAAAAGGAAAGUUGUAGUACUUGACGAGACGAAGAGAUUGAUACCUACCUCGACUCCUAACUCACCGGAUAUUCGCCGGAAAAUGCCUCGAAAGCUCCGGCCAAACUUUGAACUUGUCGAUCUCCGUGUUCUUACAUCCAAAAACUUCCAACGAAGCACUCCGAGCUUCCUUGGGACCUCACUAAGCUCGCUAUGAUCUUGUUUUAGCCUAAAACGUAGUCAUUUAGAAGAUCAUGAACAAUACCAUUUCACGGGAACUUUGAAACUAGGGUUUUCCGAAGCAAAACUUACCUGAAAUGGAUACCAUCGUGAUCGUGGAGGUUCCAGGAGUUUGAUGGUGGUCUUAACUCUGUCGUUGGUGGAAGUUUAAGGUUGUUUUGUGGUUGGUUUGUUCGAACGGAGAAGAAGAGUGACAGAGAGAGUGAGAGAGUCGUGAGGGAAGAGAGAGAGAGACAGCAUGCAGAAAAUAGGGAGAGGAUUGAGGGGUGUGGGGAUCCCACGUGGUCCUUUUCCAAUCCCCAACUCCAAACCAUAAAAUUUUAACCUAAAAAUCUAAGUUCAAUCCUUAAUAAAUUCCAUUUUAUUUUCAAAACUUAGGAACCUAGAUAAUUAUCAACUUGAGCUUCACAUACUUAGUAUUUCUUAAGGGCAAUUUCGUUCAUUCACAGCCACGAAUGUAAUAUUUUGGAACGGGCUGUGACAAUUAGUAUACAUAAAUGUAGAAUAUAUGUCCGUAUAUAUUUGAUCCAAUUAGUAUUAGGGAGAAUGACAAGUCAUCCAAGUCUGCUACUGUUAAUAAUUCUGUUACUGUAAAUUAACUGAUUGUAUUAGUUGUGAUUAGUUAAGAUAGUUAUAAAGUAGUUAGGGGUAUCUAUGUAAAUAGCCAAAGGCUAUAUAUAUUCCUACACAAUGUGUAAAGUUCUCAGUCAAGUAAAUACAAUCAAGAAAACUUACUGUUGAAGUUUUCUGUUUCUACAUGGUAUCACGCCAUUCCGCUUCACAGCUUCGAUCUUUCUCUUCGCUUGCUGCAUCGAUCGACUCUUGAUCGAUUUUUCUUCUCUGAUCUUCUCUUCGCUUGCUGCAUCGAUCGACUCAUGAUCGAUUUUUCUUCUCUGAUCGUCACUUCUUCCCUUCCGAUCUUGUAGUAUUUUCUUGAUUUCUGUCAGUAAUGGCGGCUCAAUCGACUGGUUCAUCUUCUCCGGUCAUCUCCCCCUCGAGCCCAAACCCUAAUUUUCUCUGGAAACCCUAAUUCCUCUGGAAAUCCGAGUCCUCUGACUUCCUACACUUCUCUCUCACAAUUCAUAACAUCGGCAGCAUGGUGCCGAUCAAGCUCAAAAGAUCCAAUUACCUACCAUGGCGCGCCCUGUUUGGCCCGAUUUUCCGGCGAUACAAGCUUCUUGGAGUAAUCGAUGGUACUGACGUCUGUCCAUCGCCAUUUCUGCCUGAUCGUAGCAUCAAUCCUGCUUUUGAGGACUGGUAUGAGAAAGAUCAAAAUCUUUUUGAUCUGGUUGAAUUCCACACUUUCUGAGGAAAUCAUCCCGUUCACGGUUGGGGUUUCAUCCUCUCGAGAACUUUGGGUAAAGCUUGAACAGCGCUUUGGUGGAAUUUCAGAGGCUCAUAUCCAUCAGUUGCGAUCGCGCCUUCAAUCUGUUCAGAAAGGAUCGCGUUCUAUCUCUGACUAUCUUCAAGAACUCAAGGAAAUUUCAGAUUCUCUGCAAGCUGCUGGUGCUUCUGUCUCUGAUCGAGAUCUUAUCGCCGCCACACUACAUGGCUUGCCUGAUGAAUUUGAGUCUUUCAUCGACUGUAUCAUGCUCCGAUUGUCCUCUACCUCUCUGAUGAACUUCAUGGCCUCCUUCUCACAAAGGAAUUGUCUAUGGCCAGACGCAAAACUGUCAGUUCAUCUCCUGUCCCUGAAUCUUUUCAGGCUUUCUCGGUGCAGUCUCAGCCUCAUCUCCUUCCUACUCCAUCUGCUUUUGCUGCUCAGAAUCUCCCUCUUCAAUCUGCAUCUCGGUUCAACUCUAAUCGUGGCAGGAACACUAAGGGCCAGUUCUUUUCCAAUCGAGGUCAUCGAGGUAAUCGUGGUAAUUUUCCUAAUAAACCGUGGCAAUCGAGGUUAUCAAGGAUUUCGCAGCAAUCAAGGCUCUUCUCACUUCAAAGUGCUUUGUCAAAUCUGUGGUUCUACCAGUCAUGAGGCUAUUGACUGCUUUGAUCGUAUGAAUCCUGACAUCUUGUGGUCGUAUUCCUCCAGCUAAGCUUGCUGCCAUGUGUGCCACAACAUUCUGCUAAACCAUCUCAGCCUUGGUUAAUUGAUUCAGGGGCAACCUCUCAUAUCACUAAUGAUGUUGCUAACCUCACCUCUCCUACUCCCUACACUGGCGAGGAUUAAAGUGUAUAUUGGAGAUGGUAAAGGUUUAUCCAUCCUCAAUGUUGGUUCAUCUACUCUGCACACCUCUCAUAAUUCUUUUCAAUUGCGAAAUGUUUUACAUGUUCCCCACAUAACCCAUAAUCUUAUCUGCUUAUCAGUUUUGUUAAUGAUAAUAAUUGUUCAUUGACACUUGACCCUUAUGGAUCCUAUGUCAAGGAUCGUAUUUCGGGGAAGAUGCUUUUACGGGGACCGGUUAGAGAUGGCUUCUAUCCUCUUCAAAGUUCCAGCAAUCUUCAUCCUCUUUCACAUACCGCUUUACUUAGUAUUAAAGCUCCAGUUACAAUUUGGCACAAGCGUUUGGGUCACCCUUCCUCCUCCAUUUUUAGAAGGCUCCUUUCAUCCAAUAAUCUUGCUUUACAAGGCAAGUCUACUGUGGACUUUUUCUGUUCGGAUUGUGCUCUUGCCAAGAAUCAUAAGCUUCCAUUUAAAGCUGCUACUUCAUCAUCAACUCACAGCCUUCAACUACUGCACUGUGAUCUGUGGGGACCUGCCUCAAUCACAUCAAGUAGUGGUUUUCAAUAUUAUUUGCUCAUUGUUGAUGACUAUAGCAAAUAUAGUUGGUUCUUUCCUUUGAAAUCUAAGUCAGAUGUAUUUUCUACAUUUGUUGUCUUCAAAUCAUAUGUAGAAAAUUCACUUGGAAAUAAAAUAAAGGUUCUGCGUUCAGAUUCAGGGGGUGAAUUUACUAGUCACUCUUUUGCAUCAUAUCUCAGCAAACAUGGCAUUCUUCAUCAGUUCAGUUGUCCCCACACCCCUGAGCAAAAUGGUUGUGCAGAAAGAAAGCACAGGCACCUUGUUGAAAACAGCUCGCACUUUGCUUCUUGCAUUCUCAUGUCCCUCAUAUUUUCUGGGUUGAAGCAUUCUCCACUGCUAUCUAUCUUAUUAAUCGCCUUCCUAUUUCUGGCAUUUCACAGUCCCCUUGGCAGUUGCUAUUUCACAACCAUCCAGACUACUCUAAGCUCAAAGUAUUUGGUUGCCAAUGCUUUCCUUGGCUCAAACCUUACUUUCAUAGCAAAUUGGAUCCCAAGAGCAAAAAGUGUGUUUUCUUGGGGUAUAGUCUUCAACACAAAGGCUAUAGGUGCCUUGAUCCUAUCACCAAUCGCAUCUACAUCUCUCGUCAUGUCUGUAUUCGAUGAAAGUACUUAUCCAUUUCAGUUGUCCCACAUUCAACACUCUUUUCCUGUUCCAAGUCCUCCAUCUUCCUCACCAACAAUUUCUUCCUCUCUGGAUCUUCAUUUUUUAGCAAACACAUUCCUCCUGUUUUCAGUCAGCCAUCUACAUCACCAUUAUGUGCUUCUGUGCCUGUUCCUAUUUCUUCAUCUUCAUCUUCCCCUGCACCUGUCUCAGUUGGCUCUUCUUUCCAGUUUUGUUCCUCCUUCAGCACAUUCAUCUUUCUCCCAAAAUCAACAGAGUCAUCCUCCUGCCCCUGUUAAUUCUCAUCCAAUGAUUACUAGAUCCAAGGCUGGUAUACUCACGUCGAGAGCCUGUGCAGCAACUAAGCACCCACUUCCGGUUGAUAUGGAUUAUGUUCCUACAACAUACUUGCAAGCUUCUAAGCAUGCUCAUUGGAGGCAAGCUAUGCAAGAUGAAUUUAAUGCCUUGCUAACCACUGGUUACUUUGGUCUCUUGUUCCUUCUCACCAUUCUCAAAACUUAGUGGGCUGCAAGUGGGUUUUCCGGAUUAAGAAGAAGCCCGAUGGCACUGUUGACAGAUAUAAAGCCCGGCUUGUGGCCAAGGGUUUUCAUCAACAAGAAGGUAUUGACUUUUCAAGAAAACCUUCAGUCCAGUUGCCAAACCGGUUACAAUUCGGAUCCUUCUUACCCUUUGCUGUGCAAUAUAAUUGGUUUCUCAAUCAAUUGGACAUUAGUAAUGCCUUUCUUCAUGGAGACUUAAAGAGAGGAUGUCUACAUGCAACAACCCCCUGGUUUUGUUGAUCCCUUUACCCUACAUUUUGUAAGUUGAGGAAAUCGUUGUAUGGUCUCAAACAAGCUCCUCGAGCUUGGUUUGAUAAACUGUUCCAAGCUCUUCCUCUCUUGGAUUCACCCAAUCAUCCUCAGAUGCUUCUUUAUUUGUUCUCAAUGGUCCUCAGUUUAGUCAUUGUCCUUGUCUAUGUUGAUGACAUUCUUGUCACCGGACCCUAUCCUUACCUCUGUCAACACUUCAUUCAGCAACUUGGGGCUCAAUUUCCAGUAAAAGACCUUGGUCCUCUUCAUUAUUUCUUGGGAUUAGAAGUACAUCGAUCUUCCCAGGGUAUAUUUCUCCAUCAAACAAAGUACUUAUUGGAUCUUCUCAAGAAAACAAAUAUGGAGGGUGCAAAACCUUGUUGUACUCCCCUUGGCUCUAAGAAAUUAGAUCACAGUGGCCCUCUUCUGUCCAAUCCUACUGAAUAUCGCUCCAUUGUUGGUGGUUUACAAUAUCUUACUUGGACUAGACCCGACCUUGCUUUUGCUGUGAACCAAAUCUGCCAAUUCAUGCAUGCUCCCAGGGAACAACAUCUCCAGGCAGCAAAAAGGGUUCUCAGAUUUCUCAAAGGCUCUAUCUCACAUGGUGUGUGGUUCACUAAAGGCCCUGUCCAUCUUUCUGCCUACUCGGAUGCCGACUGGGCUGGUUGCACAAUUGACAGGAGAUCAACCACUGGUUAUUGUGUAUUUUUGGGUUCCAAUCUUAUCAGCUGGAGUGCCAAGAAGCAAAGUACUGUUGCCAAGGUCCUCUACAGAGGCUGAAUAUCGCUCCUUAGCUCACACAGCUGCUGAGAUAACUUGGGUUUGCAGAUUCUCAAAGAUCUGCACUAUCCUCUCUCUUACAUUCCCUACUUUUGGUGUGACAACAUAUCAGCAAUAUCUUUAGCAUCUAAUCCUGUCUUUCAUGCUCGAACAAAGCAUGUUGAGAUCGAUUAUCNGAAGUUUUCUGUUUUCUACAUGGUAUCACGCCAUUCCGCUUCACAGCUUCGAUCUUUCUCUUCGCUUGCUGCAUCGAUCGACUCUUGAUCGAUUUUUCUUCUCUGAUCUUCUCUUCGCUUGCUGCAUCGAUCGACUCAUGAUCGAUUUUUCUUCUCUGAUCGUCACUUCUUCCCUUCCGAUCUUGUAGUAUUUCUUGAUUUCUGUCAGUAAUGGCGGCUCAAUCGACUGGUUCAUCUUCUCCGGUCAUCUCCCCCUCGAGCCCAAACCCUAAUUUCUCUGGAAACCCUAAUUCCUCUGGAAAUCCGAGUCCUCUGGACUUCCUACACUUCUCUCACAAUUCAUAACAUCGGCAGCAUGGUGCCGAUCAAGCUCAAAAGAUCCAAUUACCUACCAUGGCGCGGCCCUGUUUGGCCCGAUUUUCCGGCGAUACAAGCUUCUUGGAGUAAUCGAUGGUACUGACGUCUGUCCAUCGCCAUUUCUGCCUGAUCGUAGCAUCAAUCCUGCUUUUGAGGACUGGUAUGAGAAAGAUCAAAAUCUUUUGAUCUGGUUGAAUUCCACACUUUCUGAGGAAAUCAUCCCGUUCACGGUUGGGGUUUCAUCCUCUCGAGAACUUUGGGUAAAGCUUGAACACAGCGCUUUGGUGGAAUUUCAGAGGCUCAUAUCCAUCAGUUGCGAUCGCGCCUUCAAUCUGUUCAGAAAGGAUCGCGUUCUAUCUCUGACUAUCUUCAAGAACUCAAGGAAAUUUCAGAUUCUCUGCAAGCUGCUGGUGCUUCUGUCUCUGAUCGAGAUCUUAUCGCCGCCACACUACAUGGCUUGCCUGAUGAAUUUGAGUCUUUCAUCGACUGUAUCAUGCUCCGAUUGUCCUCUACCUCUCUUGAUGAACUUCAUGGCCUCCUUCUCACAAAGGAAUUGUCUAUGGCCAGACGCAAAAACUGUCAGUUCAUCUUCCUGUCCCUGAAUCUUUUCAGGCUUUCUCGGUGCAGUCUCAGCCUCAUCUCCUUCCUACUCCAUCUGCUUUUGCUGCUCAGAAUCUCCCUCUUCAAUCUGCAUCUCGGUUCAACUCUAAUCGUGGCAGGAACACUAAGGGCCAGUUCUUUUCCAAUCGAGGUCAUCGAGGUAAUCGUGGUAAUUUUCCUAAUAACCGUGGCAAUCGAGGUUAUCAAGGAUUUCGCAGCAAUCAAGGCUCUUCUCACUUCAAAGUGCUUUGUCAAAUCUGUGGUUCUACCAGUCAUGAGGCUAUUGACUGCUUUGAUCGUAUGAAUCCUGACAUCUGUGGUCGUAUUCCUCCAGCUAAGCUUGCUGCCAUGUGUGCACAACAUUCUGCUAAACCAUCUCAGCCUUGGUUAAUUGAUUCAGGGGCAACCUCUCAUAUCACUAAUGAUGUUGCUAACCUCACCUCUCCUACUCCCUACACUGGCGAGGAUAAAGUGUAUAUUGGAGAUGGUAAAGGUUUAUCCAUCCUCAAUGUUGGUUCAUCUACUCUGCACACCUCUCAUAAUUCUUUUCAAUUGCGAAAUGUUUUACAUGUUCCCCACAUAACCCAUAAUCUCUUAUCUGCUUAUCAGUUUGUUAAUGAUAAUAAUUGUUCAUUGACACUUGACCCUUAUGGAUCCUAUGUCAAGGAUCGUAUUUCGGGGAAGAUGCUUUUACGGGGACCGGUUAGAGAUGGCUUCUAUCCUCUUCAAAGUUCCAGCAAUCUUCAUCCUCUUUCACAUACCGCUUUACUUAGUAUUAAAGCUCCAGUUACAAUUUGGCACAAGCGUUUGGGUCACCCUUCCUCCUCCAUUUUUAGAAGGCUCCUUUCAUCCAAUAAUCUUGCUUUACAAGGCAAGUCUACUGUGGACUUUUUCUGUUCGGAUUGUGCUCUUGCCAAGAAUCAUAAGCUUCCAUUUAAAGCUGCUACUUCAUCAUCAACUCACAGCCUUCAACUACUGCACUGUGAUCUGUGGGGACCUGCCUCAAUCACAUCAAGUAGUGGUUUUCAAUAUUUAUUUGCUCAUUGUUGAUGACUAUAGCAAAUAUAGUUGGUUCUUUCCUUUGAAAUCUAAGUCAGAUGUAUUUUCUACAUUUGUUGUCUUCAAAUCAUAUGUAGAAAAUUCACUUGGAAAUAAAAUAAAGGUUCUGCGUUCAGAUUCAGGGGGUGAAUUUACUAGUCACUCUUUUGCAUCAUAUCUCAGCAAACAUGGCAUUCUUCAUCAGUUCAGUUGUCCCCACACCCCUGAGCAAAAUGGUUGUGCAGAAAGAAAGCACAGGCACCUUGUUGAAACAGCUCGCACUUUGCUUCUUGCAUCUCAUGUCCCUCAUAUUUUCUGGGUUGAAGCAUUCUCCACUGCUAUCUAUCUUAUUAAUCGCCUUCCUAUUUCUGGCAUUUCACAGUCCCCUUGGCAGUUGCUAUUUCACAACCAUCCAGACUACUCUAAGCUCAAAGUAUUUGGUUGCCAAUGCUUUCCUUGGCUCAAACCUUACUUUCAUAGCAAAUUGGAUCCCAAGAGCAAAAAGUGUGUUUUCUUGGGGUAUAGUCUUCAACACAAAGGCUAUAGGUGCCUUGAUCCUAUCACCAAUCGCAUCUACAUCUCUCGUCAUGUUGUAUUCGAUGAAAGUACUUAUCCAUUUCAGUUGUCCCACAUUCAACACUCUUUUCCUGUUCCAAGUCCUCCAUCUUCCUCACCAACAAUUUCUUCCUCUCUGGAUCUUCAUUUUAGCAAACACAUUCCUCCUGUUUUCAGUCAGCCAUCUACAUCACCAUUAUGUGCUUCUGUGCCUGUUCCUAUUUCUUCAUCUUCAUCUUCCCCUGCACCUGUCUCAGUUGGCUCUUCUUCCAGUUUUGUUCCUCCUUCAGCACAUUCAUCUUUCUCCCAAAAUCAACAGAGUCAUCCUCCUGCCCCUGUUAAUUCUCAUCCAAUGAUUACUAGAUCCAAGGCUGGUAUACUCACGUCGAGAGCCUGUGCAGCAACUAAGCACCCACUUCCGGUUGAUAUGGAUUAUGUUCCUACAACAUACUUUGCAAGCUUCUAAAGCAUGCUCAUUGGAGGCAAGCUAUGCAAGAUGAAUUUAAUGCCUUGCUAACCACUGGUUACUUGGUCUCUUGUUCCUUCUCACCAUUCUCAAAACUUAGUGGGCUGCAAGUGGGUUUUCCGGAUUAAGAAGAAGCCCGAUGGCACUGUUGACAGAUAUAAAGCCCGGCUUGUGGCCAAGGGUUUUCAUCAACAAGAAGGUAUUGACUUUCAAGAAAACCUUCAGUCCAGUUGCCAAACCGGUUACAAUUCGGAUCCUUCUUACCCUUGCUGUGCAAUAUAAUUGGUUUCUCAAUCAAUUGGACAUUAGUAAUGCCUUUCUUCAUGGAGACUUAAAGGAGGAUGUCUACAUGCAACAACCCCCUGGUUUUGUUGAUCCCUUACACCCUACAUCUGUUUGUAAGUUGAGGAAAUCGUUGUAUGGUCUCAAACAAGCUCCUCGAGCUUGGUUUGAUAAACUGUUCCAAGCUCUUCACUCUCUUGGAUUCACCCAAUCAUCCUCAGAUGCUUCUUUAUUUGUUCUCAAUGGUCCUCAGUUUAGUCAUUGUCCUUGUCUAUGUUGAUGACAUUCUUGUCACCGGACCCUAUCCUUACCUCUGUCAACACUUCAUUCAGCAACUUGGGGCUCAAUUUCCAGUAAAAGACCUUGGUCCUCUUCAUUAUUUCUUGGGAUUAGAAGUACAUCGAUCUUCCCAGGGUAUAUUUCUCCAUCAAACAAAGUACUUAUUGGAUCUUCUCAAGAAAACAAAUAUGGAGGGUGCAAAACCUUGUUGUACUCCCCUUGGCUCUAAGAAAUUAGAUCACAGUGGCCCUCUUCUGUCCAAUCCUACUGAAUAUCGCUCCAUUGUUGGUGGUUUACAAUAUCUUACUUGGACUAGACCCGACCUUUGCUUUUGCUGUGAACCAAAUCUGCCAAUUCAUGCAUGCUCCCAGGGAACAACAUCUCCAGGCAGCAAAAAGGGUUCUCAGAUUUCUCAAAGGCUCUAUCUCACAUGGUGUGUGGUUCACUAAAGGCCCUGUCCAUCUUUCUGCCUACUCGGAUGCCGACUGGGCUGGUUGCACAAUUGACAGGAGAUCAACCACUGGUUAUUGUGUAUUUUUGGGUUCCAAUCUUAUCAGCUGGAGUGCCAAGAAGCAAAGUACUGUUGCAAGGUCCUCUACAGAGGCUGAAUAUCGCUCCUUAGCUCACACAGCUGCUGAGAUAACUUGGGUUUGCAAGAUUCUCAAAGAUCUGCACUAUCCUCUCUCUACAUUCCCUACUCUUUGGUGUGACAACAUAUCAGCAAUAUCUUUAGCAUCUAAUCCUGUCUUUCAUGCUCGAACAAAGCAUGUUGAGAUCGAUUAUCACUAUAUUAGAGAAUUGGUUUUGGCUCAACUUCUCAAAGUCAAGUUCAUCUGCAGUGAAGACCAAUUAGCUGAUCUUCACACCAAGUCUCUGUCUAAAACCAGAUUUAAUUAUCUGUGUUCCAAGCUUCCCAUUGGUCUCAUUUCUGAUCCCCCUUCUCGCUUGAGGGGGUGUAUUAGGGAGAAUGACAAGUCAUCCAAGUCUGCUACUGUUAAUAAUUCUGUUACUGUAAAUUAACUGAUUGUAUUAGUUGUGAUUAGUUAAGAUAGUUAUAAAGUAGUUAGGGGUAUCUAUGUAAAUAGCCAAAGGCUAUAUAUAUUCCUACACAAUGUGUAAAGUUCUCAGUCAAGUAAAUACAAUCAAGAAAACUUACUGUUGAAGUUUUCUGUUUCUACAGGUUUUGGAUUGGAGGAGUUGACACAAAAUUAUAAAUAUAUUAAACAAAUUUAUCUAUUCUAAAGUUGGAGGGAAAUUGGCCUGUACAUUGCUACAGUAAUUUUUUUUUACCCAAUUUCACGUUAUUUACAACAAAGCUAUCAGAUUUGGGUUGGGUUGGAGGGUAAUUUGUUAAAAGUUAGGAGGGUAAUUUUGUGCAUAGGGUUUAGGUGCCCUCCUAUACAUGACCCUUGAUUUUACUUUAUUUACACCACUGCCAUCAAAUAUGUGGCUGAAUUGGAGGGUAUUAUUAAAAGUUAGGAGGGUAGUUUGUUCAAGGGGUGAGGGCGACAUUCGCAGACAGAGAGCGAUGGGAGCCAUGGCCAUUGCACAGAGAGAAAGGGAGUGAUGGGGGAAAUUACAGACAGAAAAGGAAGGGAUGGGGGGGAUUUGAUGGAUGGUCACAGAGAGAGAUUGGGUGAGGGAUGUGAGAGGAGAUUACAGAGAGAUAAAUAAAAGGGAGGGAUCGGGGGAUGUGAGGGAUGGUCAGGGAGAGAAAUAGUGAGGGAGGGAGGGAUGGGGGGGCUGAUUUUCGGUUCCUCCUUCCAGAUUUGUUCCGUAAAAACCUGUUGGGUAGAAUUCAAUUUCCUCCCCCUUUCCCCUGAACGAAAAAUUCGAAACCUACAACUCAAAACUCACUCAUUUGUCGUCCCUCCUUGGCUUUCCGCUUUACUCAUCUCCCGGUGGUUCUCUCUCCAUACGAUUCCAUUUCGGUGAGUUCUUCGUUGCCCUCAUGAUUUCCCACUUUUAUUUUUGGGGCGUCCUUAGUCGUCGUUUUUAUCUGGGUUUACUGCAUUGUUGCUUUUAGUUUCUGGAUUUUUAUUUUUUUGGCACUUGGAUGAAUCGUGGUUAAUAAUUUCACAUCAUGGGAUUUUCGCACUUCUGAUGGAAUUGAGCGCGGGGAUUCGGGGUGGGGUUUUACUGAUAAUUUGUCUUCAUUCAAACGAAGGGUUAAAAUUUAUGAGUAUUAACAAAUUUUGUAAAUUAUUCUUAUACAUUUUAUUGAGGGAUCUAAUCGAUUUCUUUCUGUAGUGGGAUUGAAAUUGGGGCUUUGUGGUACUCUCUCUCGCUCACUCUCUCUCCUAUGUGUAUGAAUUGAGUUCUGCAGUGAGUUUGCAGGUGGGCGCGUUCACUAACUAAGCUUUCAAGGGAACCGAUCAACGGUUUGCUUGCUGGGGGAAUUCGGAGACUACCAGUGUAUGAUUUAGUUAUCAUUAAUUUUUUUACUUAAUUUUAUCCAUAUAUAAUAUGUGGGUAAAUUUAGAGGUCGCACUUGGUGCGAUGGCAAGUUCCUUCGCCCAUGAGCGGUAGGUCUCGGGUUCGAGACUUGGGAGCAGCCUCUCCAUAAAUGGGGGUAAGGCUAGCCGACAUUUACCUCUCCCAGACCCUGCGUAAAGCGGGAGCCUUGUGCACUGGGUACGAUCUUUUAUAAUAUGUGGGUAAAUUUAUACUAAACAAUUGUGAUAAGCCAAUAUGCUAUACGACUUUGAAAGCAUUGAUUUUGUGUUUAGUUUGCAUUUUUGCAUUGUGAAUGUUGAAUUUUGUGUUUAAUUUGGAUUUUUGUGUUUGAAUUUGUAGCAUGAUCUUCCGCUGCAGCAUCCAAAUUUUGCAUUUGUAAAUUGUCAAAGAAAAACGAAGUAUGAGGAAAUUAUAGGAGAUUGUGUCGGCUUUGGCCAUGAAGGGUAUCAGCAGCUUGUUCCCCCAUACAGGUGAUUAAUCGCAGUCUGUUCUAUUUGGAUGAGAAAGUGAUUGAAAAAUAUGAUUUUUUAUUUGUUGGUUGAUUUUGUAUAACUCCGCCGUGUAAGUUUAUCUUACAUUGCCGGUCCCAAGCCCGGAUAAAGGAGGAGGGGGAGGGCGUCAGGUAGUCGACAGCUGGCACUCCAUGAUCACGUCGAAUCCUUAUGAAAAUGAAUCCAGAACGAAAUCGCGCUAAAGCUAGGGCGUCACCCAUAAGUGGCGCGCUGUGUGGCCCGAGCACAGUGAUAAGUGAGCAAGGGUCGUUGUAUCUCCAUCGGCACCCGGAUGCAGUGUUAAAUGAGCAAGGGGCUAUAGAAACUUCUUUUCGAACGACUCCACUCAAAGUUGUUUGGGAGCAUAUGCUCCUAUCAACUUUACACGGGACACACAAAAGAAGUACUUUGAUCCUAUUAGACGGGGAAGGGUGAAGAAGCUAGGACAGAAGGGUAGAGUUCAAGAGAGCAAAAUGCGUUUAGGAACGUGGAAUAUAGGAACCUUGAACGGGAAAAUCUAUGGAAGUAGUAGAAGUUAUGGUGAGGAGAAGGAUAAAUAUUAUGUGCCUACAAGAAACUAAGUGGGUUGGUCGUAAGGCAAAGGAUCUAGAAAACUCAGGGUUUAAACUAUGGUAUUCGGGCACAAAUAGAACGAGAAACGGUGUUGGCAUCAUCGUGGACAAGACCUUGACACAAGAUGUUGUAGAUGUCAAGAGGGUAGGAGAUAGAAUCAUGGCAAUCAAGAUUGUAAUAGGACAAGAACUUAUCAAUGUGAUUAGUGCGUACGCACCUCAAGUAGGGUUGGAUACGAGUUCGAAGGAGAAAUUUUGGGAAGACCUUGGAGACUUGGUGCAAGGAAUUGCUCAGACGGAGAAGUUAUUUAUAGGAGGAGAUUUAAAUGGACACGUGGGCAGGGAGACAGGCAACUAUGGAGGUUUUCAUGGUGGCCAUGGUUUUGGGGAGAGAAACGAGGAUGGGGAAGCUAUCUUGGAUUUUGCAAUGGCAUAUGAUCUCUUCUUAGCCAACACCUUCUUUAAGAAGAGAGAAGAACAUGUGAUCACCUACAAGAGUGGGUCGUCAAAAACACAAAUAGAUUUUCUUCUAAUGAGGAAAGGGGAUCGUAUAACUUGUAAGGAUUGCAAAGUUAUACCAGGAGAGAGCGUGGCUAAUCAACAUCGCUUGUUGGUGAUGGAUGUACAUAUCAAAAGAGUGAGAAAAAAGAACAAGACUUGGAAGUGCCCAAGGACUAGAUGGUGGAAUCUAAAAGAAGAAAAACAAGCCAUUUUCAAAGAGAAAGUAAUCACCCAGUGUGUGUGGGAUAGAGAGGGGGAAGCUAACCAAAUGUGGGAUUCCAUGGCUAGUUGUAUCCGAAAAGUAGCAAAAGAGGUAUUAGGAGAGUCCAAGGGCUUUGCCCCACACCAAAAGGAAUCUUGGUGGUGGAAUGAGGAGGUACAAACAAAGGUGAAGGCUAAGAAGGAAUGUUGUAAAGCCUUAUACAAGGAUAGGACCGAUGAAAAUGGUGAAAGGUAUAGAAAAGCGAAGCAAGAGGCGAAGAAAGCUGUGAGAGAAGCUAAGUUAGCGGCUUAUGACGAUAUGUAUAAGCGACUAGAUACCAAAGAAGGAGAGUUGGAUAUCUAUAAACUAGCUAGAGCAAGGGAAAAGAAGACAAGGGACCUAAACCAAGUGAGGUGCAUCAAGGAUGAGGAUGGAAAGGUUCUUGCUACAGAGAACGCGGUUAAAGACAGAUGGAAAGGUUAUUUUCAUAAUCUUUUCAAUGAAGGACAUGAAAGGAGUGCUUCUUUAGGGGAGUUGAGUAACUCAGAAGAGUGUAGAAACUACUCUUUUUAUCGUAGAAUCCGGAAGGAAGAAGUGGUUGUAGCUUUGAAGAAGAUGAAGCAUAGAAAAGCAGUAGGCCCAGACGAUAUACCAAUCGAAGUGUGGAAAGUUUUGGGAGAGACAGGUAUAACAUGGCUCACUGACCUUUUCAAUAGGAUUUUGAAAACGAAGAAGAUGCCAAAUGAGUGGCGAACGAGCACUUUGGUGCCUAUCUACAAGAAUAAGGGCGAUGUACAAAAUUGCAUGAACUAUAGGGGUAUUAAGCUAAUGAGUCAUACAAUGAAGCUCUGGGAGAGAGUCAUUGAGCAUAGAUUGAGGCAAGAGACACGGGUUUCGGACAACCAAUUCGGGUUCAUGCCAGGGCGCUCAACCAUGGAGGCAAUCUAUCUCUUACGAAGAUUGAUGGAAAGAUAUAGAGAUGGGAAAAAGGAUUUACACAUGGUCUUUAUAGAUUUGGAAAAAGCGUAUGAUAGGGUCCCAAGAGACAUUCUUUGGAGGAUUUUAGAGAAGAAAGGAGUACGAGUAGCAUAUAUCCAAGCUAUACAGGAUAUGUAUGAAGGAGCAAAGACUGCCGUAAGAACUCAUGAAGGACAAACCGAAAGCUUUCCCAUAACUGUAGGAUUACAUCAAGGCUCAUCCUUAAGUCCUUACCUUUUUGCGUUGGUAAUGGAUGAGUUAACAGGACAUAUUCAAGAUGAUAUUCCUUGGUGUAUGCUUUUCGCAGACGAUAUAGUGUUGAUAGAUGAAACUCAGGAAGGGGUAAAUGCAAAGCUUAACCUUUGGAGAGAAGUGUUGGAAUCUAAAGGUCUUCGCCUAAGCCGAUCAAAGACAGAAUAUAUGGAGUGCAAGUUCAGUGCAAAUGGAGGCCAAAACGAGUUAGGGGUGAGGAUCGGAGAUCAAGAAAAUACCAAAGAGCGACCGUUUUCGUUACCUAGGAUCUAUCUUGCAAAAGAACGGAGAAUUAGAUGGAGAUCUCAACCAUAGAAUACAAGCUGGAUGGAUGAAGUGGAAGAGUGCAUCCGGCGUGUUGUGUGACCGCCGUAUGCCACUGAAGCUCAAGGGAAAAUUUUAUAGGACGGCAAUAAGGCCGGCGAUGCUGUAUGGCACAGAAUGUUGGGCGGUGAAGCAUCAACACGUACACAAAAUGGGUGUAGCGGAGAUGAGGAUGCUUCGUUGGAUGUGUGGGCACACGAGAAAGGAUAAGAUUAGGAAUGAGGAUAUCCGGGGUAAAGUAGGAGUAGCCGAAAUUGAAGGAAAGAUGAGAGAAAAUCGGUUACGGUGGUUUGGACAUGUGCAAAGAAGGCCUACUGACGCUCCGAUUAGAAGAUGCGACUAUGGGACAGAGGUUCAGGGCCGAAGGGGUAGAGGAAGACCUAGGAAAACUUUGGAAGAGACCCUAAGAAAAGACUUAGAGUACUUGGAUCUAACGGAGGACAUGACACAGGACAGAACACAAUGGCGUUCUAAGAUUCAUAUAGCCGAUCCCACUCAGUGACUUGGAUUUUCCAAGUCUCCAACCGAGAAGUUUUCCUCACUCGGGAAAUUAAGGGAACACUACCUCAACCUACAUGCUCCACUCACAAAGCUUCAACAUACAAGCUUCAACAAAAGAAAAUUCAAAGAACUUAGCGAAGAAGGCUUUGGUGUAUUUAACACAAUACGUUGAAAUGAAGGAAAGCUUAUUUAUUGAUAUCCCCGAUAAGUUACAAAUAUGUACAUAUACUUGAGUCAAAAUAAACAAACAAGAGGGAGCCUUCACAAAGGUUGCUUAGGAGAAGUCUCAGCAGUCGGUAGAGCCCCAGAAAGAGAAGGCACCGGAGGGGGAUCAUUCGGAGCCUCAGUACUGGACAGAACCCUAGAAGGAGGAGGCAUCAGAGGUUGAUCAUUUGGAGCUUCAUUACGCGGUACAGCCCCAGAAGACGAAGGCAAUAAAUGCCUUUGGAACAAACCCACAAAUCUCUGAUGAUCAAGUAAAACCUGACCAUCAGAUUCCUUCAUCUGGUCAAGCUUCCUCUUCAUGUUUGUAGCAUAGUCAUGUGCGAGCCGGUGCAACUGUUUAUUCUCAUGCUUGAGCCCUCUAAUCUCCUGUUUGAGACUCAUCACUUCAGCCGCCAAUGAUUCAACUUGGCGGGUUCGAGCAAAUAGGCGUUGGGCCAUAUUAGACACAGAACCUGCACACUGAACACUGAGAGCCAGAGAAUCCUUAACAGCCAACUCAUCAGACCGUUUGGAAAGUAGUCUGUUAUCUUUGGGAGUGAGAAGGUUCCUGGCCACUACCGCAGCGGUCAUAUCAUUCUUCAUCACGGAAUCCCCAACGGUAAGAGGACCAGUAGGGGAGACGAAGGAUGGGCGCCAUAUGUUGUCUGGAGAAGGCGGGGCUGCCUCUUCAACAAGGUUCAAGUCAAAACGACGGUCGGAGGGGCCAGACAUUUUCAAAGGUGUUGAAGAGAGAAGAGGUCGGACAAAUCAAGAUCUUAGAAGUGCAAGAAUGGAGCUUCUACUGGUGGAUAUUCAAGUGUGCUUUGGAACUUAAUGUCAGCCCCUAUAAAAAUCUGCACUCGACGAAGCUUCAGAAAUCGAAGAGGCGCCUGCUCAGAAAUCGAAGAGGCGUUUGCUUUCUCAAAAGCUGGGCUGCUCAGAGACCACGAGGGUCGAUCUCAGAAAUCGAAGAGGCGUUUGCUUUCUCAAAAGCUGGGCUGCUCAAAGACCACGAAGGCCGAUCUCAGAAAUCGAAGAGGCUUGCUUUCUCAAAAGCUGGGCUGCUCAGAGACCACGAGGGCCGAUCUCAGAAAUCGAAGAGGCACCUACUUUUCCAGCCUUGUCAGCACCUGUCACACGCACACUCAGCUUUGCGGAAAUUAUGGGCAUUCUGUCGAAGAUUUCUGGCGAAGUAGAAAGCACAUGAAUCGUACUGUUCAAUCACCCACUUCCCACACGCAACAGUAGCUCAUGGGUACCACAGAUAACUUUGCCAAAGUUCUCUGACAAAGUUGAGACACGUGAAGCUUGCAGCUCCCACUACAUCGCUCUGACCAAGAAGGGUAAAAGAAUUAGCAAAGAAACAACACUAACAAAGUUUAGACACAUAAAUUUUGAAGGUCUAGCUACCAUAUUAUUACCCACAAGGGUAAAGGAACAGUACCACUGCUGGAUAAUUGGAAAGUCCCGGUGUGUCAACCUCUGUGCUUCGUGGCAAGGUAGACUAGCAAACAUGCCCAACCUUUACUCACAUUCGAGAAAACACUCCCAACAAGAUUGCUUGCUCCAAAAUCGAAGAGGCACCGCCCUCCGAAUCUCGAGAGCCAGACUCCCAACAUGAUUACUUUCUCAAAAAUCGAAGAGAGGGUAAAGGAACAGUACCACUGCUGGAUAAUUGGAAAGUCCCUGUGUGUCAACCUCUGUGCUUCGUGGCAAGGUAGACUAGCAAACAUGCCCAACCUUUACUCACAUUCGAGAAAACACUCCCAACAAGAUUGCUUGCUCCAAAAUCGAAGAGGCACCGCCCCUCCGAAUCUCGAGAGCCAGACUCCCAACAUGAUUACUUUCUCAAAAAUCGAAGAGAGGGUAAAGGAACAGUACCACUGCUGGAUAAUUGGAAAGUCCCUGUGUGUCAACCUCUGUGCUUCGUGGCAAGGUAGACUAGCAAACAUGCCCAACCUUUACUCACAUUCGAGAAAACACUCCCAACAAGAUUGCUUGCUCCAAAAUCGAAGAGGCACCGCCCUCCGAAUCUCGAGAGCCAGACUCCCAACAUGAUUACUUUCUCAAAAAAUCGAAGAGACACCGCUCUCCGAAUCUCGAGAGCCAGACCCCCAGCAGGAUUGCUUUCUCAAAAAUCGAAGAGGCAUCGUUCUCCGAAUCUCGAGAGCCAGAUCCCCGACAGGAUUGCUUGUUCGAAAACCGAAGAGGCACCACUUUCCCAACUUCAAGAGCUGGAUCUCCUUGGAUAAAGCUUGUCUGUAAUCUUCACACGCAACAUCAGCUUUCCAGAUACCACAGACCACUUUUUCAAAGUGCUCUGACAGAGUUAAAACAUGUGAAGCUGGCAGCUCCCACUACCGUGCUAUGACCAAGCAGGGUAAAGGAAUAGCAUUAUUACUUGAUGUUAGGGAGACUCCUAUAUAUGUCGACCUCCAUCCCCAACGGACAGGCAGACCUGCAAAAAUGCUCAACCCUUCCUCUUAUCUGAGAGGGCACUCCCAACGAAGCCUUUCGAAAUAUUCAGCUUUCUUUCCCCCCGAUAAUACCUCUGUAAACAAGCUAUACUAGAGCAAGAAUAUCUCAUAUCAUCAGGGUUAAAAGCAAGAGUAUCCCAUAUCAUGCUUUUUCCCUGUCUUUUCCUUUGGCCUUGUUCUUACCUGCAAGACAAGGAGAAAGAGAGCAAUCAGUCAGCACUUGGAAUCAAGCUUCCAGCCAGGAACUGACUGCCUGGAACCCCUUACCUGAUUACUUACCUGGCAUUGCUCUCGAGUACUCAUCUUCAACAUCUUAUGCUUCCAGGGAAGAUACCGCAUCUGCCUGAGGAACAGAUAGGGCAAGUGAGAAGGAUACAAGGAAGCAUGUGGAGACAAGCGUAACAGCACACGUGCCGAUACAUCCAUUACUCUGUCAAAAGCAAAAGUAUCCCAUAUCAGCAGGGUCGAACGUACUCUAGAUUUGAUGGACUUGUUUUGACCCUCAAAUUCUUCAGUCGGCCUUAUACUCUGGAGGAAACCAGAAAACCCUCCAGCCCAGUUCAAGAAUAAGCCUGUGGAAAGUUACUUCUUCAAAAGCAAAAGUAUCCCAUAUCAUCUCUUCUCAUUUUUCUUCUCUUUAUCCUUCAUGCUGCCUGCAAGAUAGGGAGAAUGUGAACAAUCAGCCGGAGCUCUGAUUGCUUACCUUGUCUGUCACCUCUUUCAGCAGAUCCCCUAGCUCGGCGACUUGGGGGACUCCUACUACAUGGUUUGUAUCGCGCUUGACCAAGCCUGAAACUACAAGUAAGCUUCAAGUGACAAUUGAUACAUUACCUUGUGCAUCUCCACCAGUUACAGAUACCACCCCUGGAUGGAGGAAGAGUACUUCCAGAGAAGAUGCCACAUCUACCUAUGAGACAGAUAAGGAAAGUCAAGACGAUACCACACUCCGGUACUUAGAAGUUUCGUGGUUACGAGAUCAUUCUCCCACAAUAUUUCCUAAUGUCAUUUGUACUAAAUCAUUCACUUGUACUCACUAAAGGAGAGCUUGAACCUAUGUACUUGUGUAAACCCUUCACAAUUAAUGAGAACUCCUCUAUUCCGUGGACGUAGCCAAUCUGGGUGAACCACGUACAUCUUGUGUUUGCUUUCCUAUCUCUAUCCAUUUAUAUACUUAUCCACACACUAAUGACCGGAGCAAUCUAGCGAAGAUCACAAAAAAGUGACCGUUUUCGCUACCUAGGAUCUAUCUUGCAAGAGAACGGAGAAUUAGAUGGAGAUCUCAACCAUAGAAUACAAGCUGGAUGGAUGAAGUGUAAGAGUGCAUCCGGCGUGUUGUGUGACCGUCGUAGGCCACUGAAGCUCAAGGGAAAAUUUUAUAGGACGGCAAUAAGGCCAGCGAUGUUGUAUGGCACAGAAUGUUGGGCGGUGAAGCAUCAACACGUACACAAAAUGGGUGUAGCGGAGAUGAGGAUGCUUCGUGGGAUGUAUGGGCACACGAGAAAUGAUAAGAUUGGGAAUGAGGAUAUCCGAGGUAAAGUAGGAGUAGCCAAAAUUGAAGGAAAUAUGAGAGAAAAUCGGUUCUGGUGGUUUGGACAUAUGCAAAGAAGGCCUACUGACGCUCCGGUUCGAAAAUGUGACUACUGGACAGAGGUUCAGGACCGAAGGGGUAGAGGAAGACCUAGAAAAACUUUGGAAGAGACCCUAAGAAAAGACUUGAGUACUUGGAUCUAACGGAGGACAUGACACAAAACCGAGCGCAAUGGCGUUCUAGGAUUCAUAUAGCCGACCCCACUUAGUGGGAAAAGGCUUUGUUGUUGUUGUUGUUGGUUGAUUUUGUAUGGACGAUGUAUUAAUUUUUUUUUUUUUUUGGGAUUUUGUGUAUUGGGUAUUGUGUAGAACCAGCAAUGCAGGAUCUGAUCAGUCACGCCCGAAAAGGGGUUUGUUUCUCAAAUCACAUUAAUUAAUUAGAUUAUUAAUGUGCGUUGGAAGGCUCUUCAAUAUGAUUUCUAAUUUCUCCUUUCCAGCAUUCUCUUUUUGGUUUUUGGAGUAUGUAUGUGAUUUGUAUUUGAUUAUAGAAUAAAAAUUAAUAAAACACGAGAUGCAGCAAUUAAUUUGCAUCCUUAUGACAACACAUAUAUGAAAGUGCAUUCAAUUUCAAUGUGCGAAUGUGUGACAGGACAGGAUGUGCCUGCCUGCUGGUGGUGGUAUGCUUGCUGUUGUUUCUUGCGUUGUUAAUUUUUUGUGUGUUGAUUUGAUUAACAAUUCAAGCGUAUCUUAUUUUUUUUGUGUUGGUUAGCAGCCAGUUUUAUGGCCCCGAUCUAGUGAUGCUUCUCAGUGACUGGUAAUUGCAGUUCAUUGCCACCAGUUGGUCAGCUACCUGCUCUGAAAGAGCUCUACGUAGAAGGGAUGAAAGUUGUUAAGAGUGUUGGUGUUGAGUUGUACGGGGGAAAUCAACCAUUUCAAUGUUUAGAGAAGGUAAAGUUUCGGGAGAUGCCAGAGUGGGAGGAAUGGCAGCCUAGUCCAAGUGGAUGUGAAAGUCCAGACUUUCCUCAUCUUAAGGAGCUGAGGUUAUCCGAAUGUCCGAAGCUGAGAGGAAACUUGCCCACUCAUCUUCCCUCCUUGAAAACACUUUAUGUGAACAAGUGUGAGGUUCUACAUAAAAACAGGGCCAGUAAUACCCUGAACGUGGAAUCCUUACGAGGAUCUCUUGAAAAACUGACAAUAAAUGGAUGCCCGGGUCUCUCAUUGUUACUAGAGUCGAUGGAGACGCUGCCGUCGCUUCAGAAGCUUGAUAUUGAUAGUGUUGGUGGGAAAGAGUUGUUGGUGCAAAUGGUGCACAACAGCAAUCGUCUUCAAAGUUUUGACUUUAUAUAAAUGUUCCUCACCCUUGUCGUUCCCUACAAAUGGUCUGCCCACCACGCUGACGUCACCGAGCAUAACAGAUUGCAAGAAAUUAGAAUUCCUAUCACGUGAGAUGAUGGCCAAAUUGACUUCCCUUCAGUCUUUGCGUCUAUCCAACAGCUGUGAAUGCAAAGGCUUGAGUAAUUUUUGUGAGUCUGCUGUUUGGUUUUUUUUUCUUCAUUUUAGAGAUUUUUCUACUGUUUGGUUUUUGGGUUUUGUCUAAUUUUUGUGGUCUGCUUUAUAGAUUGUUCUCUUUGGAAGCUUCUUUCCAGCCUUGACCUUCUUCUUGCCUGGUGCCUUCUCAUUGAGUAUUGGAGGAGCAUUAAAACACAGGUGUGUGUGUUUUGUCGAUGUAAGAGAUGAACGACAUAAAAACAUCCGUCUUUGUAUUUUUUUGUGCUUUUUCUAACCCAUCAAUUUCUUUUGAGUCAACCAAAUAGUCCCAAAUUGCAACUUAUGUUGUGAGGUAUUAUUGUCUAAAAUUAAGUAUGCAUGUAUAUUUUAUGUUUGUGCGCGCGCACACCUCCGCAUGGUGUUAAUCUCUGUGGGUCAUCUAUGUAUAUGUAGACAUAUCUAUAUGUGUAUGUGUGGAAUGCAACAUAUCGGAUUUAGGUUAUACUGUGCAUAGUUUUAUUGCCUGUUAUUAUCUACGAUAUCACUAUGCCAUUUCUAUGCAGGCUCUGAAAGUUAUCCAUGAGCUUUAUAAGCACUUACCAUAAUUUAAGCAGUCUGUUUUGGGUUCUUUUUCAUUAGGUCAUUAGCUACAGAUUAAUGGAGAAACGAGGACCAUGCAACUGAUUUGGGUUCUUUUUCUAAUUUUCUGAUUUUGGGGUUUUGCAGGGAGUACUGAUGUACUGAUUUUCUGGGAUUUUUUUUGUCCUUGCAGGAUUUUUGGUCUUUGGAAUGGGUAUGUGUUGUUUUUAACGUUUCAGUUCUAGCUUGUUCCGUUCUUCGUUGCUUCGUGAUUCUCAUUUUUUAGUGUUGGGUGAUGGAAAUUUGUUCAAGUAGUUGGUAGUUUUUUUAGAAAGUUGGCAUUUUUAGUUAUAUUUUCUGUUUAAUCCUAAAUGUUAGACUGGAAAAUCAUUGAAAUGACGGUUUUUUAAAAACUCAUAAUUUUUUUGUUCUGGGAGUUAAAAGCAUCUUUUCCAGAUUGGUUAUAAGGGUUAUGUUCUCUUCAAUUGGUUCACCUAAUUUUGAUUAGUUUUAAGUUUUGUCCUUUUAAGUUUUGUCUUUUAAGUUUUGUUCUUUAAGUUGUCUUUUAAGUUUGUUCUCUAAGUUUUGUCUUUUAAGUUUUAUCUUCUGUGCUGUAAUGAGAGAUUUCUGUUGGCCUUUCGGAUUUUGGCAUGGGAAAGUUCACUUAUUUGUCUAAUUAGAUUGUGUAUGCCUUCGAUUCUUUAUUUAAUUGUUCUGUUUGUGUUCAGGUGUGAUGAUCUAAAUUUCAUAUGUUUGGAAUUAUUCACUUAACACCAAUUUGUUACAUUCAGAUCUCCACCCCACAUUUCACUAGUUCAAAUUCCAUAGAAGUCGGUUACUGCAGAUUGCGUCUACAAUUAGAUCAGAGAUCAACUGCUCUUUUGUUAUCCUGCAGAAGAUUGCUUUUGGGAAGGAUCUGAAGUAGUUUCUUUCUGUAAGUUUAUUCCCAUGUAGCUCUGUCUUUUCUAAUUGAUGGUGUUGAUAUUACACUGUAAUUCAUGAUGAUGAUUUAAUUGUUUAUUGAUUUGUAAUUGUUUGUGAAUAAUGUGGCAUAUAUGACUUGCAAUAUGUGUUUGUAUGAAAGGGAUGACAUAUUAUGUUGCUGACUUAAUUGUUUAUGUUUUUCAUAUUUGCGAAUGGUGUUAUGAUCAAUUAGGUGAUUGCUGACCUGUGACUUUGUUUGGAGCUCAAAUUUUGUGAGCAUUACAUUGGAUUGUUUUGAUGUUGUUUUGGUUGACAAUGCAGGGAUAGGAGAAACAAAGAGGAUGACACUUAUAACUGCCCUUCCCCAUCGGCCGUCUUCAAAUUUGGAUCACAAGAAGGGAGCAACAUAGGUGUUUUCCUUCUUCAUUUAGAUAUGGUUAGUGUAAAUAAUUGGACAAAAGAGCCAAACAAACCCUGUUCUCUCAAAUGGAGUCGAUGAUGUGGUCGAUGGCCACCAGCCCCAACUCAAGAGUUUGGCCUUCAUAUAAUUGGAUUGUAGUAUAAUUUUAUUUUGGUUCAUUUCUUUUUUCCUUUAUAUAAGUGCAGGUGUUGUGAUGUUUUGAAUAAAGGGUGAUGAAAGGUGGUUCACACACUUCCUCCUUACUUAAAGCAAGUGGAGAUGAUGGGUUGUAUAAAAAGAAAAACUUGCCAGGUACUUCGAUUUUCUAUUUUAUUAAUUAUUGUUUGGUUUUCCAAAUGUUGUAUUCACAAAGAGAGACCAAUGAUGUCUUUGAGAAACAAGUUUCUUUGUCUACAUUGCGAGAAUUUGCAGUUUGCAACUUUCAUUGGUUAUUAUAUUUGAUUGAGUUAAACUUGGAUUUCUGGAUUUUGACUUUUUCGUUUGUUUCUUUGUUGUAGAGUUGGCUUCAUUUCAUUCCAGUAACUCUAUUCCAGUAACUCUCUAAAAUAGGGCCAAGAACUCACUAAAUAGGUAGUCAAGAGGAAUUCAGUUUUGCCUUCAAUUUUUGCCUUCUGUUUACAUUCUUCCUGGAUGCACUCUCACCGCUUCUCUCGCUUACCACUUUUGUCUCACUCACCGCUUCAUCUCUUCUGUUGCUUACAAGGUCGUGUCAUAUAUUUUUUUAAUUUUUGUGUGUUUAAUUUAUUGAAUAUUUGAAAAAAGAGAUAAAAUUUUCAAUUUACAAUUACUGAUAUGAUGUUUGUUUUGAAAAUCAUUAAGGUGAAUGGAGAGAUUUACAACCAUGAAGAGCUGAGGAGCCGUUUGCCAAAUCAGAUUUAUAAGGUCUCAUCAAUUAUAAAUAAACGACUUUUCAUUCCCAAUGACCUUUAUCGUUUUUCUUAAUGGGUUAGCUGAACAUGAGGUAGAUGCUGACUUUAUAAAAUAUGAGAAUGUUUUAGGAUUUCAUUCUAAUUUUUUGGCUGUUUGAUUACUUUGCUUUUCGUAAUUUGUUUUGCUUAUCGUCAAUUGGAUGGGACAACAUAUUUUUGUAACCAGUUUGUACUUUUUUUUUUUGUGGAAACUAACCAGUAUGUACUUUUACCAUCUCGGUUUUGAUGGAAUUGGAGCUUUCAGUAAUGGGUUCUGAGGGAAUUGGAGUUUUGAGUAAUGGGUUUUUUAACAACUAUAGUAUCAUUUGUGAUUCUUUUAUUUAUAAGAUAUUAUAUAGGAAACUGUUAUUAGCACUCUAAUAAUCUUAUUCUACACUCGCGACAAGUGUAUUUUUCUUUCUAAUUAUGGAAAGUUUGGAGUGCAAAAUGAGAAUUUUGGAGUGCCAAUAACAAUUCCCUAUUAUAUAUAGCUCUACUAAGAAGGCGACUGUAUAUGUCUUCAUCCUGUUAAAUUGUAUAUGGCUCUUGAUGUCGGCUGAAUUAAAUCAAAAUGAAAACCAAGCUGCUGAUCUUACCAGCCCAUAUCACUUAUCACUUAUUUAAAUUAUUUGAAGAUGCAUACGUGGAUUGGUGAUUUUGUUGGAUUCACUUAGCUCAAAUAUAUGUUAUCUGAGUCGCUACAUUUGAGAAUGUGAUUCUGUUCCUACCACCAUUUUGCCCACUUUUUGUGGAAAUUAUUCAUUCCUGUUGUGAAUAAUAUCCCCGGCAGCGAAGUGCGGGCGCAUUUUCUAGUUUAAGUUAAAUCACACAAUGGGUCAUCAAUAAUGACAAACUCGUCAUUUAUGCGAGUCAAACAUGAGACCACCUACCUACUAGUUUAGUGGAAUACCACAAGUGACAUGUUGAUACCUUUAAAUCUCAUAUAAUGGAUUGCAGAAUUAGGAUAUACCUAGUCUAAUUUAGUCAGUGCGUGAACCCGAACAAUUAACCAGGGUUUUAUUCUUGCUUGAAUGUUUGUAAUAUGUUCCUAGUUUGACAAGGCAAUUAUAUUUCCGACUACAAAAGUUAUUAAUUUAGUCGAGAAUUGACGCACCUGAAAUGGUGUGAGGAAAACAUGUAGACACAUCAGACGCGGUCCAUCCUGAGCAUUGUGUAUUAAGGAUAAAGCUCAAAGCCAUACAUGAGGGCAUUGUGUAUGUCUUUAUAAGAGAAGUUGCUGUAGUCCUCAACGUGGCCGGCAGCCAAACUCAUCCACUCUACACUGCAACCCUCAUCCAAAUCCCAUGCUUCCAACCUGCCCCCGACAUAGUCAUCGACCAUGACAUAGCUAUACGUUUUUGGUUGACUCGAAGAAGAAGAAGAAGAAGAAGUAUUAUUCAAGCAUGGAGCAGUGUCCACGUACAGAGAAGAAUUCGAUGGAUUCGAACACUUCAAGUAAUAUAUAGAUAGAGAAUUGAUGUCAUAGGUGGGCCAAUAUAGAGAAUCGAUGUCCUCGAUGGGCGGAAUAUUUUGAGACAUGGAAGAGCAAUUGUUGUUGUCAAGCCCAGGAUCUAGAAGUCGGAUUGUUUUGUUAAUGUAGUUGAUUGCCUGGACAUAGUAUUUUCCGGAAGAAGGUAGGUCUAGUACUGUAAUGUUGCUCUCACAGGACAGAGUAAACCUUACGUCGCCACAGUACUUUGGAUCAUCGUUCAGUCGAAAAGGAUGGCUUAUGUUGUGGAUAUGGCCGCAGGAUGAAGUGCAGGACUUGGCACUACUGUUGUCAGCGUUACAAGUUUCACUGCAAAAGCAAAGAAGAAGAAAGGCUAAACUUAAGGUGAAGGACCUGGUUCCACUGAUUUCCAUUGCUCUGAGAGAGAGAGAGAGAGAGAGAGGGCACUAUAGCUUAAACACCAAGGAGUUAUAUAAUAUGGGAGGGGUUAAAGCACCUCGCUUAAAGUUGCAGUAAGCCCGUCAAAUAUCCUAGGGAAAAGUCGGUCAAUGCUGUCCUAUAGAGAAAAGUCGGCCUUGAUGUUUGACACGGUCACACUCUCUCUCUCUCUCUCUCUCUCUCUCAUUGACGAGGGACACUGUAAUUGAAAAAAAAAAUUGUUAUUCAGAGAUAGAUCUUGAAAUUCUUAUUUUAUAUAAAAAAAAGGGGUAUUUAGAUUUUAGGACCUAUAUAAGAUAAUUUUUAGAUUAUAAGGUUUCAAAAUCUUAUUUUAGUCCCUAAUUUAAUAUUCAUCGCCACAUCAUAUUAUAAGAUACCUCUAUUACCUACCAUAUUUACAAACUUUGCCAUUUAAAUUGUCAACCUAUUCUAUAAUUAAGGCUUAAAUAUAUUCCGUUAAUAAACCAUUCGUCAAUAAGAUAAAUCCAACUAUGGUAAAUUAUACUAAUUUAUACUUGCUGACAAACAAAUUAAGUCUAUAGUAAUUUUAGGUCAGUCACCUUAAGAAGUCGAAGAUGAAAAAAUCAAAUACAAAACAAUAGGUUAAAAAAAUUAAAUAAUAACCCUUAAUAUAUAUAUAUAUAUAUAUAUAUAUAUAUAUCACAAAAAAAAAGUAUAACAACUCCUUAUUGUCUAUAUAUAGGAAUUGCAUAAGUGUCGGUACAUAUGUGUAGGUACAUACAUGCACAUAGGUACGGAAGUAUCGGUAUGGAAGUGCCGGUACAUACGUACACAUAGGUACGAAAAUAUUGAUACGUUAGCAUCGGUACAAAAGUAUCGGUGCGGAAGUGUCGAUACUUAUGUACAUAUAUAUAGGUACGCAAAUAUUGAUACAUAAACAUCAAAAGAAAAAAUCGGUAGAUUCGAUGUAUGAGAAGGUAAAAAUAAAUCAUCAACACUAGAAAAAAAUGAUAAAAGUAAAUCAUGCACUAUUAGAUGCAUAAGAAGAAGAAAUAUUAGAUGUGGAUGGUGGCCCUAGCCCUCUCUUCUAACACGGUUGAAGAUAAUUUUUUGGGUUGGACAAAAAGUUUCAUUUUUAAGGAGAACCAUUUAUGUUAGCAAUAAAACUGAAAAGUUAUAAAUAAAAUAAAUAUAAGACAUUAUAAUUCACUCAAGGAUAAUAUAGGAAGAAAAAAAUUACAUAAAAGGAAUUAACUCUGACAUUAAAUAUAAAUGCUGACUUGGACAUAAGUCAAAGGACUAUAAUUAGUUUUUUAUCUUGGUUAAGGUUUUAGUCUAAAGAUAAUCUUUUUCAAGGAUUAAUAUCUAGUUUCCUAUAAAAAAAAACACCUAAUAUUAAUCAUUCAAAUGAAAUUGUUAAAAUUAAGUAUAAAUAAUACAUAAUGAAAACUGAACACAUACAAUCAACGGUCACGACCAUGAAAUCCUCCGGAUCCUCAGAAAAAAAUCCGACGAUGAUCUUUUUCUGUGUAAAAUAAUUUGAGGGUAUAAUACUGGAUGUGCGAUUAAACCGAAGAACCCACCCACCUCCAUCUUCUCUGACCAACUUGAACCCAGCCACUACUACAUGUCAUCCCGACAACCCACUCUCAGCUUCCCAAACCGCCAUUUUUCACCCAAUGGAACAUUUAAAGAAAAAAUCCAUCUGCAAAUCGAAAACCACCGAAAAAAAUUAAAUCAGAUACAUUGGAAAAAACGCAAAACUCAAUGGAACAACACUGGCGUGGAAGAGAAAAAAAGCAGAAGGUGAGAAUGGAGAGAAAGAAGCGAACGGAAAGAAAAAGCAAAGAAGAGGUUGGAAACGGAACAACAGAAGAACAAUAGAAGAACAGAAAUGGGUAUGGGAAACGGAACAACAGAACAAAAAGCAGGCGGUGUAUAGAGCAAGAAAAGCAAACCUCACGAUGACCAACACGUGCUAAGAGAGGCCCCGGUUCACUGUGUAUCACAUUUUUUAAUAUUUUUUUUGGUCUUCCCACCGGCUAUACAUGGGAUUCCAAAAUUAAGAAGGUAUAAAUUUUUAUUGUUUCUUGUGCCACAAACCAUGUGGCCCAGUCUUAAUCACAUUUUUUAAAUAUUUUUUUUGCUCUUCCCAUCAGCAGUACAUGGGUUAAAAAAAUUAGGAAAGUAUAAAUUUUUAUUGUUUGUUGUGUCACAAACCACGUUGCCCGGUUUUAAUCACAUUUUUUUAAUAUUUUUUUGUCUGCCCACCAGCUAGGUUUAAAGAAUUAAAAAAGGACUAAAAGAAAGACUCCACAGAUGGAGGAACAUGGGAAUAGAAAGGGCAAAUUUGGGAUUUUACUGUACAAAAAAGACAAAAAGUAACUGCUGAAGACUAACUUGAGGGGCAUUUUGGUCUGCACACUGCCCUAGAACAGUAACCAUCGGAUUGGGUUUUAGUAUAUAUAGAAUAUGUUUAGAUAAGGACAAUAAACUUAGAAUUUUGCCAAAAGUCAGAAUUUAUAAAUUGAUACAAUCAAUUCAUUUGUUUGGAUUCAUAAACAUAGAAAUUUAGACUUUCCGCGUGAGAAAAAACUUGGAAUUUGGGACCUUCAAUUCUCAUGUUUAAAUUUCAUGUAAAUAGGUGUCAUUUAUAAAUUUCAGUAAGUGAGAGUUUAAAAAUAACAAACAUGUAUUCAAAUUUCAUUCCUCCUUUGGUUAACCAAAAAAGAAAAUUUAUAAAUUCUAGAAAAUAAAAUUUCUUUAUUUUAAUUUCUGUUAUUUUAAAAUUCUUAGGGCUUGUUUGGUAUUCUACUUGAAUCCAACUUUUUAAACUAAAAAAUAAUUUUCAAGUUUUAGGCCUUAAAAACUUAUUUGGUAGAACUAUUUAAAAAAACUGAACUUAAGACUAACUAAAAAAUAUAAUAUAUUAUCUAAAAACACAAAAAAUGAGUUUUUAGAAUUUUUAAACUUAAAUUCACUCAUUUCUUUUCUCUCCCUCCUCCCCUCUCACUCCAAAUCUCUCUCUCUCUCUCUCUUUUCUUCUUUCUCUCUCCCCUUCUCUUUUUUUUAACCUUUUUUUGUCUCUCAUCUAAUCCGCUCUCUUCAUUUUCUCGGUUCUUUCUCUCACUCAUAUUCCUCUCUAUCUCCUCCAAUUCUCUCUCUUCAUUCUUUUUCAACCAAUAAUUUCUUACUUUUUUCCUCUUCUCUCCUCUUGAUUCUCUCUCUUCAUUCUUUUUCAACCAAUCAUUUUUUACUUUUUUUCCUUCUCUCCUCUUUCUCCCUCGACUUCCUCUUUUUGGAUCUCUUUGUUCAGUUUGAGCUGUAAGAUUUAAAAUUAUUUUAAAUCGUAUACCAAACAAGUUUUUGAGUCUUAAAGAAAAUUGUUUUUCAAAAAAUGUUCUUAAGAAAUGUUUUGAGAAAUGAUAAAAAAUUUCAAAUAAGAUACCAAACAAGCCCUUAAUAAUCUUAAAUUUUCCCAUCCAAACAAAAAAUUUUCUUGUCAUAGAACUUUCAAUUGGAAUCAAAGAAGACAAUCUUUUCACAACUAAUUAUUCUCACCAAAAGCAAUUUUUAUUUUAAAGCAAUCAAUACCAAACUGCAAAAGCAAAGUAGGAAGGCUAAAAUUAAGGUGAAGAACCUGCUUCCACUAAUUUCCUUAGGAGGGAGAGAGAGAGGGGGAGAGAGAACCAAGCGAGCGAGCAGAGAGAGAAAACACCAAGUAGUAUUCUAAUGUUGGUGGGGUUAAGUCACCUUCCGUGAAGUUGCAGUAAGGACUUCUAUCCCAGAGAAAAGUCAGUAAAUGAUGUUGACACAGUCAACGACAAAGACAGAAUUGUGUAACCAUAAUUCUCUCUCUAUCUCUUUUUCAUUAUCGGAUGACAGUGUAACACUACUACGUAUAUAUCUCUGCUCAAUUAUUGAAAAGAAAAAUCCAUGUGCAUUAUUUUUAUUAUUAUUAUCUCAGAAAUGCAGAAAUUGAUCAUCUCUUCCUUUUGCAUAUUGAUACUGGUUUUCUUCAAACUAGUUGAAGCAAGUCAAUAUGUGUGCGCGAAAUCCAACUGUAGCAAUGAUCAAAGCGGGGCUAUCCAUUUCCCAUUAAACAUCAGGCGCACACAUCAUUGUGGUAAUUCUGGGCUUGAAUGCAAUGGGAGAUAUGAACAGCAAAUACUAAUAAAAUUAUUUGUCAAAGACAUAGAUUACAAGCGUCAGGAAAUCCAAGUCUAUUCCCCAAGUAACUGCCUGCUGCUAAAGCAUGUUGAAAUCCCAAACAUGCCACCCUCUCCCUUCAACGUGUCAGUCGAUGACUACAUGAGUAACCUUACCUUAUUCAGUUGUCCUACUUCUUUUGCAAGACGAGAUACGGAUGUGUAUCAAGUCCCCUGCCUCGGCGACCGUGGCAAGAGAACUUAUGCCAUUUAUUCUGAUUAUGGUUUUAGAACUCUCUUCCGGAAUCUACAAUCUUGUACAAAAAUGUAUGAUGUUUUAUCAGUUCCAAUACCCUCUGAAUAUUAUGUUCUUCGUUUCAAAUGGUCUAUACCAAAUUGCAGAAAAUGUGGAGAGGGAAAGAGGUGUGAAUGGCAGAACAAUGAAAUUAAAUGUAUUCAAUGGAGGAAACCAAGUAAGGAUAACAUAUGUAUUCAUUGCUAGUUUUAAACAUCUUUACAUUUGUUUCUCAGUAAUUAUUGUUUAAAACAUGUCCAAUCCAUUUUUACUAUGAAUAUUAACUGACAGUCUCAUUUGAAUUUGCCUUUAUCUUUUACAGGCAACACAUGGAAAUUAGUGGUCACAGGGGGAAUCCUGGGUUCUUUGCUUCUUGUUCUACUGAUGAUUGCAGCAUAUCGGGUAUAUAGCGUUGAUAGAAAGAAAAAAGAGAUUCGAUUACGAAUUGAAAGAUUCUUGGAGGAUUACAAAGCACUCAAACCAAGCAGAUACUCGUACGCAGAUAUUAAGAGGAUUACAAAUCAAUUCAAGGACAAGUUGGGCAAAGGAGCCUAUGGAACUGUCUUCAAAGGAAUGCUCUCUUCUGAAUUCUUUAUUGCUGUCAAAGUCCUCAACAGUUCCAAGGGAGAUGGGGAAGAGUUCGUAAAUGAAGUGCGAACGAUGGGUCAUAUCCACCACGUAAACGUGGCUCGCUUGGUUGGAUUUUGUGCUGAUGGAUUUGUACAAGCUCUUGUUUACGAGUUCUUCCCCAUUGGUUCCCUGCAGGAUUUCAUUUCAUCUGCAGAUAGUAAGAAUUCAUUUCUUGGUUGGGAUAAGCUGCAAGAUAUUGCCCUAGGCAUAGCCAAAGGAAUUGAAUAUCUUCACCAGGGAUGCGAUCUACGAAUCCUGCAUUUCGACAUCAAACCCCAUAAUGUUUUGCUAGACCAAAACUUCACUCCAAAAAUUUCUGAUUUUGGUAUGGCCAAGUUAUGUUCCAAGGAUCAAAGCUUGGUGUCCAUGACUACAGCUAGGGGGACCAUGGGCUACAUUGCACCUGAAGUGUUCUCCAGGAAUUUCGGAAAUGUGUCUUACAAGGCAGAUGUCUAUAGCUUUGGAAUGCUGCUGCUUGAGAUGGUAGGAGGAAGGAAGAAUAUUGGUUCAAUCACGGAUAACACUACAAAUGAAAUUUACUAUCCACAGUGGAUUUAUAAUCUUCUAGGGGAAGGGGAUGACCUACGAAUCCACAUUGGGGAAGAAGGAGACGGUAAAAUUUCAAAGAAACUUGCAAUUAUAGGGCUAUGGUGUAUCCAGUGGCACCCGUCGGAUCGUCCUUCCAUGAAAAUAGCGGUUCAGAUGUUAGAAGGAGGAGGAGAAAGCUUGAGUAUGCCGCCUAAUCCCUUUGUGCCUACUGGUUCUACAACUAGGAAUGCAAGACGCCUAGAGCUAGAAGCUAUUGCUGAAUUAGAGUAAAAUGUAUAUGCAGAUAUAUAGACGUAUAGAUAUAGUAAUAUUUACAUUGAAUAAGAUACCGUUUGAUAACCAUUUCGUUUUCAGCUUUUAAUUUUUAUUUUUCACUUUUUUGAAAACUGAAAACUAAAAUCUUGUUUGGUAAAUACUUUUAGUUAAAAAAAAAUGAAGACUGAGAACUAAAAAGUGAAAGCUCAAAGGAAGUAGAUUAAAAGUAGUUACCAAACAAACCGGAAUCUCAAUAAUAAAAAAGAUUGAAUUGCACAAUGCAAUCCAAACCAAUCAAAACAUUAAAAUAGCAAAAAAAUUAAAAUUCUAGUUGAUUAGAUUCUGAACAUAGUAAAAAUGAACAGAUCCGAUGAAAAAACAAAAAAUUCUCAGAUAAAAAUAGGGAUAAAGUAGAAUAUUUAUAAAUAGCUCAUUGUCUCUUAUGUCAUCAAUUAUUUCUAUAGUAUAUACAGGUUUUUGGAAAAAUUAGGUUCCCAUCCCUUAUUUUCAUAUUACAUUGAUUGAAAUCUUAUUAUUUUUCUAUUUUAGAUCAAGGUCCCUUGACUUAUUCCAUGUCAUCAUUUUAGUAUUUAAAAUAUUACACGUCAUCAUAAACGAAAUCUCAUCCCUUUCUGCAUUUAAGGCAAAAUAAACUAUAUAAGUAAGUUUAAAACAAGGAAAAUCCAUUUGAACUCCUCCAUUCUUCUUCUUCCCUUAUGCACAUCUGGAAUCUACAACACCCCAAACCCAAUUUUCUCCAUUUUUCUUCAUUCCUGAAUUGAUCCAAUGCAUAUAUGUUGAAUAAACCUAUUGUGAUUAAAAUACAAAUUAGCAUCAAUGAUUUUAUCGGCUUGUGAGAUUUGUGUGGCAUAGGCAAGGCAAUGCAGGCAUCGCUUUAUCAAAGAAUCUGGUUGAUUCAAACAUGCAGAGACUGUAGAGUGAGCGGGCUAUGUAAAAACUGUACCAUUUUGAAGUCAUUUUCUUUUGUUCUUUACAUUUUUUUUUCUUUUAUUAUUAUAUAUUAGUCUUGAUUAUUCAAUGUCUGGUUGGCUACACUUAUAUCCAUGGGUACAUUUUUAAUCUACAUGUUUCGUUCUAAUAUAUCUAUUGCUAUAAUAUGUUUUGGUUGGUUCAAAUUUGUUUUACAUAAAUAUAUGGGUACAAAGUUUUUGUAGAAUAUUAUGUAAAAUGGUUUUUAAGGUUGCUGCAUUUUACGUACCCACAUAUGCAUGUCUAUAAAACAAUGUGGUAUGAUGUACAUUCUUUUCUUUGAGUUUUUAAAUGUACCCAUGAGUUUUCUUGUAAAUUCGGUAUGUACCCAUAUGCUAUUUAUGUUAUGGGUACAUACAUUAUUUUUGGUCUAAGUUCAUGGGUACAUUACUUUUGUAUGUAUGAAUUCAUGGAGUACAUUAUUUCCCUUAAUACUACUCAAUAAAAUUCACAAAAAUAUGUGUAGCGUGCAUGAUUUUUUAUUGUAGAAAUUGUUUGUUUUUUUUAAGUCUCAUAAUUCAUGAAAUUUGUACAUAUAUGAUCACAUAAAUUUUUUAAUUUUAUUAAAUUUCUUUUAGACUUGAUCGAUUGAUUGAAUCUCAUAAUACUAGGAUUUUGAAUUACAUAAAUUCUUGGAUUUAAAUCCCUUAAAUGUUGAACUGCAAUCAAUAUUUUAAAUUACAGUUUUUUAUUUAAGAUAUCAAAAAGAUGACAUGGAAAUAUAGUAAUACUAAAAUGCUGAGGUGUACAAAGUCAAAGGACUUUGAUAAAAAAAUAAAAAACAAUAAGAUUUCAAUCUAACAAUUGAAUUGACUAGGGAUCGGAACCAAAAUGACCCUAGAUUUUUAUUGAGUUUAAUCUUAAUAAAAAAAAGACUUCUUGUAUCACAAAAAAUACAAGAACCAUUAUUUGAAUGAAAUAAAAGCUAUGGGAUGGAGAUAUAAAUGGAUCCUUUAUUUCACAAUUGGAUUAUAUUUAUUUGAUACACUGUUGUCAAUAUGAAUGCUGAGAAAAGACUACAAAAGAAAAAAACAAUUUAUAAAUAUAACUAACAAUUCCAAUUUCAAUCAAUUAGACAAUUAGAAUUAUAAGAAGAAAAAAAAAAGAAAUUUCAGUUUUCAGUUUAAAAAAAAUGAAAAAAAAAUGGUUAUCAAAGCCGUCCAAAUAAUACAAGUUUGUUUCCACUCUUUGUUUAAGCAUAGAUGCCAAUUUUUGUUUAUCAUUUUUUUAACCUUUAUUUUUUGUUACAGUAGAAGCCCUGGAAGGAAAUCGAGCACUGGACUUACCAAACUCUUAACUUAUUUCUACACACCAAGAGCUUGAUUUCGGUUCUUAUUUAUACUAUUUAAGCUAUAAGCCGUGACAAGAAUUAGAGAACUAUCAUUUGUUGUGAGCUUCAAUUGGUUAGCACUUUGUAUGUUUUCAUUAGAAUAUAUAUUUCACUUAGACUUUCUUAUUAAAAAAGGGAUCAGCUGGUGACUUUACCACGACAAUCCAAUUUUAUGGGGGUCAUGAAUACUCACAAAGGCAUUUCAGCCUCCCCCUAUAUCUACCGUCGCGUGAUUCACCAUUGUCAGAAAUCGAACCCAAGACGUGUUGUAUAGAAUACGGGCCUAAAAUUCAUUUCUAACCACUGAGUCACCCCGCGUUUGAUUAUAUUUCACUUAGACUUAUCUUGCGGUAUAGCAUGUCAUCCCCGCCCAAGUUUUUCCCUUCGCGUUGACUUUGGGAUACCAAAACUUGCCAAACAAAGUAGAUUGAUUAGUAAGCGAAGCUAAUUAUUCGACUAAACAUUGUUUAGAAUUUUAAUUAAAAGAACCAAUAUGAAUCUGUUUUUUUUUUUUUUGACAAACUAUAACGUUAAGGAGUUAAAUUGUUAGUUGUUAAGAGUACGGGGAUAGGUGAGGAUCGAACCUCCACCAUAGUGCAUAGACAUUAUUGGUUCUACAACUGCUGUAAAUCACAUAAAACAAAACGUAAUACUUUGAGGAUGGAAGACACUUCGUGGAUAGCGGGCAAUCAACACUAUCAGUUGCUAUCCAAAACUUGGAAUUAUGUUUAUUGUCCGAAGGAUUUUUCUUCCAUUAAAUUGCUAAGGAAGAUGAGGAUGGGUAGAGUGUCUAAAUGUCAAGGUUGAUAAGAACGUGUAUGGUGUUCAGCUUGCGAUUGAGAUUUGUUGAGUGGCACAACAAACCACAUAAAAUUUUCUAAAUGAUAAGCUUGAGUAUAAUUUUUUACCACGUAUUUAUCUUUAAAAUCAUUAUAAUUAGAUUUUCUCUUAAUUAAUAUAGACCGUUAGAUUCAUCUAAUGACCCAAGUUUUUUUCCUCUUUUCUUUCUACUCUUUUUUUCUUCUCUGAUUUUCCAUUCACCGUGUAGCAGUCGUUCUUCCCCAACUAAGUUUCUUAUUUUUCUUCACAAAAAAAUUGUAGAAAAUAUUAAGAAAAGAAAAGUCAUCAAUAUCAGACUCGACCAGGUAAUCGUUCCAACCUUCCCAGCAACUCUCAGUCUUAACAAGGCACCAAAUUUUCUCCGCCACCUAACUCGUCAUUCAUUUAUGGGUGUUUCAAGCUUGGUGAAAAUUGAUAGAGUUCCAUGUGUGUACACGGAUGUGAACAUAUUGGCCACUCUCUAAUGUGUUGGUUUAUCACAAAGAACCCAGAUACAAAAUUUUAAAAAGCAAACAAUUACAACUUCUCAAAUAUUAUCUAACAAACUUUCAAUGAAAUGUUGCUCAUAAUUGAAAAAAGGUUGACGAAGGACGGAGUUGGAGUUAUUUUAGAUGGGGAAGAGUUAAAAGAAGGAAGCACCAUUUAAUUAAUAAAAGCGAUUGGAGAAAUAGUAAUUCAAUGGUGGGCGUUUUUAAGGUGUGGACCUUGUAUCACACCCCGAUUCCAACAUACAUUGAGGAUCAACACGUGACAUGGGGACAUAGGGGACAUAAAUCUUAUGUAAGAUACAAAAUGAAAUACUAUAAAUAAUAUCCCAAAAUGAAUAUGAUAGUGGGUUCACCCCUAUAAAAUAUAUACGAGUUUGUACAUUCACAAAAAAAAAAAAAAAAAAAAAAAAAAAACACAUACACACACACAAAACUCUCGCUAGGCCAAGACUUGCCCAUGGUGCUCAAAGGAAAGUCCCAAAAGAAAGAGUACAAUGAAGGAUAAAGGGGUAACCUAAACACUCCAAGUCUCUGAUCUCUGCACUGCUACCCUCACCGGCUCCUCGUAAUCUACUCAGACCUAUCACAUGUACAAACAGUGCCUACAUUGUGGGAAUGGUGCAUCGGGCAAACAAAAACCCGGAUAAGCUGCAAAACUCGUGUGAGUGACAAUAAUGCAACAUAUGUGAUAAUCAAGAAAAACAUACCAUCGAUCGCAGUUUAUAAACCUCAAAUAUAACUUCAUACUUAUGAAAUCAUAAUCAAGUCACUGAAAACUUCGAAUGAGUCACCCAGACAUCCAACGACUUUUUAAAAUCAAAUCUCAGAGAUUCCAAAACUAUCAUUCACAAAUACACUAAAAACUAGGGCUAGAGUGACACAGUUCGGCCAAAGACUACAUAAGUAACCAAACAAGAAGUGGCCCCCCAUAGCGGAUUAACCAAGCAGAGCCACUCCUGAAAAAGUAACCAAGUAGGUAGUGACCCCCAUCACGGAUUAACCAAGCAAAGUCACUCCUACGAAACUGUUAGGUAGUGAUCACCCAUCGCGGAUUAACCAAGCAUGAUCACCCCUAAGUACGUAUGGCCAUACCUAAGAAAUAAGGAUCGCCCACCGCAGAUUAACCAAGCACGAUCCAAAAAUAUUAUGGGUCCCCUAUCACGGAUUAACCAAGCAUGACCAUCCAUGUACCACUACUACAUGGUGUAAAUUCGGUGUCACCUAACCUCGUGACACUAGGGUAACGGUCCUUUACUAGCCCUCACGUUUUUCAAACAUUUCAAAUAUAUAAUUUAAAACACAAUUCAUAAACAUUUCGAAUAAGGAAGUCACAUAGUGUUUAAUAAUGUAGGUCAAUGGAAAACUUUAAAAACAAUUAUUUAGCAUAAAACAUAUUUUAGAAAUCCAUGUUGUAUCCACAAAGUAUACUAGCAUGGGAGAUUUUCAGGGUAAUAACUCUAUCAUAUAUAUUAAAGUCACUCACCUGGAGUCCACACUAACGCACCCUAACACGAAUAUCAAGACGUCACGUACUAUCAUCUGUAACAUCCCACAUCAACCAACGGAGAGAGGGUGAUGUGCCUUAUAUGUACAUGCCCACCUCCAUAGCAUGAGACCUUUUGGGAGCUCACUGGCUUCAUAUUCCAUCGGAACUCCAAAGUUAAGCGAGUUUGGGCGAGAGUAGUCCCAGGAAGAGUGACCCACUGGAAAGUUCUCGUGUGAGUUCCUAGAAACAAAAUCGUGAAGGCGUGGCCGGGGGGGGGGGUUAAAGCGGACAAUAUUGUGCUACGACGAAAUUGAGACUGAGAUGUGACAGAAUGGUAUCAAAGCCACUCUGCCGUGUGGUGCGAGUGUGCCGACGAGGAUGUCGGGCCCCUAAGGGGGGUGGAUUGUAACAUCCCACAUCGACCAACGGAGAGGAGGUGAUGUGCCUUAUAUGUACAUGCCCACCUCCAUUUAGCACGAGGUCUUUUGGGAGCUCACUGGCUUCGGAUUCCAUAAGAACUCCGAAGUUAAGCGAGUUCGAGCGAGAGCAUUCCCAGGAUGAGUAACCUACUGGGAAGUUCUCGUGUGAGUUCCCAGAAACAAAAUUGUGAGGGCGUGGCCAAGGCCCAAAGCGGACAAUAUCGUGCUAUGGCGGAGCCGAGAUUGGGAUGUAACAUCGUCACCUAAGACAAAGUACAAGUCCACAUUUAAAGUUCUUCGUGUAUUCACAUAAUAAAAAAUUUCCAUAUGCCCCCUACAACUAAUGAAGAGAAAUCGAGACACGUUGACAAAAAGUCAACUGUUGAUCAACGGUAGGGUCCAUAACCCUACGUAACUCGAUCUGCAAGAUCCAGCCACUGUAUUUGUGAUUCAUAAGUUCCUAAGGUCCUUAAAUCUUACGUACAAUAACAUACUAAACUUUGGUGACGAUCUAAUUGUCGAAUCAUCAUUUGCUAUAAUGUUCAAAUGACGCAAAUUCAUCAAUCAGAUGUUAAAUAUGGAAUCGGUCAUCGAAUUUAGCUUAGGAAGGUCAAGUGGUGUCUCGAGCCACGUGCUGCCGUGCGCAGCAGCUGGCAACCCAAAUUCGUCGGAAAAAUCACCUAAUUCCAAAAUGAAUGUCGUUAGACGUGGAGUAAAUUGUAUACCUGUGAAGAAGCCCAAUUUGGUCGGGAAGUGGCCUGAAAUCACUUUAGACCGUCGGAAACCCUAAAAUAGGUGAAUCUCGAUUCGUCAUCUCCGGUAUUCCACCGUCCUCAAACUUGUUUAGGGUUUGCUCCUGGUCUCAAAAGAAUGCUAAUGAUGGUGGUGAUUGAAGGAGAAUGUUUCAGAAAUAAUGAAUCGUCGACGAGGGUUUCACGAAACCGACAUGGGUGUUCCUUGUGGAACUAAGACCAAAUCUCAACGGUUUUGGCUAGAAAUGGAUGCUGGGAUGUCGUGGUGAGGUUUGGUAGUGAUGGGAGGUCGAAGAAAGCCAAAAAAAUCGACGAAAAAACAGUCGUCGGAGUCGCAGGAAACGGGUUAGAAAAACGAGUCGCCAGGUCUGAAACGGGUCGAAGGCUUUUGGGACAGCUACUUACUCUCUCUUCUUUGAUUAGUCACUCCACUCACUCUCUCAUUUGAUUAGUCCAGCCUUCCCACAUGGUGGGAGUUCCCUCAUAUAGUAACCCAAAAUUUACUAUUUAAAUCUGGUAUCGAACGUUCGUAACUUUUUCGUUAUAGUUUCGAUUCGCAAACAGCUUUCGCCUACGCGCUCGUAUGAUCGAAUUAUACUCGAAAACAUUAAUUGUGACCUCGAAAAGGUCUACGAGUUUUAAAAGAUUAAUUACAAAAAUUCACACCUUGUAACUAUACGAUCCAAAUUCUAAAAUUAACGGAAUUAAAAUAAACUAAAAAUAAUGUAAACACGAAAUACAGACUUUAAUAAUGAAAUACGUAAUUAAUAGUAGUAUUCCGGGAACGGGAUUUCACACCUUGCGUCCGGACCUUGAGUGCGGAUCAGAAUCCAAAGGUCGUGAUCUGACAAGCUCAUGCAUAGAACGGAGUCGUUGUGACCCAAUGCAAUUCAAAACUUUUAUGUUUUUUAUUUGCUGGGUACGUUUUUGUAGGAGGAAAAGGGGAAGUCGAGGGAUUCUUUGCGCAUUAAAGAGGGAAAGAGAGAAAGGGGGAGCUAAGAGGUUCUUCGCGCGUUAAAUUUUUGCUUCUAAUUUUGCAACCUAGAAAUAAAGUAUUUUCUUUAUGGUUUAUGGUUCAAGAAUAUAAUGGAUGCAACCUAAAAAUGUUUCUUUUUUUAUUUUUUACUUUUUUUCUUCUUAUGUUGGCUUUUGGUUUAUUUUUAUAACGCACUAUAUAUUAACUAAAUUUAUAAACAUUUUGUAUCUUUGUUGCAGUCAAAUUAAUCAUAUGGGUCGGCAUGACUAAGUUCGACUGAGACAUACAGAUGUUUUGCAAUCUUAAGUCUAACCUGACACACCUCGACCUCAAUAUCCAGUGAACACCAAAAUUAAGGUGUGCUGGCCAUCAUCCGGAUGGGUGACGAAACCAUAAUAUGCAUGAAAACAUAACUAAAUUAUCAACCAAUAAAAUCUAUUGAAAAAUUUGGCAGAACAUCCCUUAAAAUAGGGAUAUGCCCAAAUUAAAAACACUUGCACAUGAUCACAAUUAUUCAAACACAUCCCGAAGGGCCACACUUAAUGGGACUUCGACCAUCUAUUACAUGCAUGAGAAUAUGUUCAGAGAAUAAUUACCCAAAUACGUCUUAUUAAAAUAUUGAGUAAAUACCAUACAAGAUAGAAUACGUCAGAGCUGUUGCAAAAUACCUCAACGUCGGAUGUAAUCACUGAUAGAAUUACUGAAUCAUGUAUAAAUGGAAAGCUGAUAAAUACAUGUAAUUUGAGUGGAUACUUACCAACAGCAUGGAUACAAUAUCAUCCACCAGUCGUAACUAGUGAAAACUGGAUAAUAUAAUCAUGUCAUUGCCGAGUAAUCUCAAGGCAAUGACAAGAUGAGAAUGUAACUGAGUAAUCAUAUCAUUACUAAAUAAUUUCAAAGCAAUGACAAGCUGAGAGUAUAACCGUAUAAUCAUGUCAUUACCGCGUAAUCUCAAAAUAAUGACAAGCUGAGAGUAUAACUGUAGUACCUCUUAUUAGUGCAAUGCAUGAUAUGAAUUCCAUCUCACAUAUAUAUGCAAGCCAUAAUCAAACCAAUAAACAUCCAACAAAAGCCACAAUCCUUUUAACAUUCGACCACAAGAUCAAUUUUCAUAUUUCCCAAACCUAGGUUCCGAAGCAUUGUUUCGAAUUAUUAAUACAAGAAACCACCACCACCUCAAUCAAUUCCUAUUCAUAAGUGUAAGCAAUUACUAAAUGCAUCACUUUCGACUCUAGUCUUAAUUAGAUUACUUGGGAUACUCAUUCACACCAUCAGAUCCACGUACAAUUUUGAUAAACUUUAAAUAGCAUGGUUAAAAUAAAUGAAACAUUUGAAUGAAACACUUUUAGAAAAUAAGUGAAGAUGUUGUUUACAAAUAUAGAUGCAUCUGUAUAUAAAAGCUUUGGCGGUUGAUUCGUAUACUUCCAGAGAUAUAAGCAAGUUCAUUGGAAUAUGCAUACAUGGUUAAUGUAUUACGGUAUAAUUAAUAAGAAAACAAUUGCAUCCCCUUCAGAUUAUAUAUAUAUAUAUAUAGACACACACACAUACACAUACAUACACACAGGCCCUUUAUGCAAAGGAAUUUCCAUUUUUUUUCAAAAAAUGGGGAUUAGUUGUGGGGCCCACGCUGCAUUGAACUUUAACGAUCCGAACAAUCUAUUUUGUAAGUCUCGAUUCAUAGAUCAUCCUUGCAAAAAUUCAAUUCAAUCCGAACCCUUUUGCCUAUUUAAUUAUCAAGAUAAAAUUUCAUUGUUUCUUAUAUAACAAAGUAUUCGUUAAUUUCUUUGAACUCAAUUAGAUAUCUUAAACAUUUCCGAUUUGGCUAAUAUUUUGCAAAGAUGAUCUAUGUGGUGCAACUUGAAAAAUAGACGAUUUCGAUUGUUAAAGUUCGAUGUGGUGUGAACCCUACAAUUAAUCUUCAUUUUUAUAAAAGAAUGGGAACCCCUCCCCUUAAAGGUUUCCUAUGUAUAUAUUUGUUCUUCAGACAUAUGCAAAAGGUAAUGUAAAACCAAUGAGAACUUAAAUAGAUAUUCCAUACAUAGGACAAUUCCAUAUAUGCUUUUUCAACAUUUAUAUCGAAAAGCCAAAUUGUUUUGAGGAAAUUAAUUGUAGUAAUGGUCCCUUAACUUUUAUCUUAUUGGAGCAAUGGUCUCUCAACUAAAAAUUCAUGACCAUUGGUUCCUUAACUCCACAAAACGUGUAGUUAUGGUCAUUUUCAUUAACUCCGUCAGAACUUUUGUUAAAACAAGUAAUGUUAGAAGAAUCAUUGCUACAAUCAGGUUAAAGUUGGGGACCAUUGCUCUAAUUGAAUUAAAGUUGAGGGAUCAUUACUCCAAAUUGCUUAAAGUUCAAGGACCAUUUCUACAAUUUUCUCAUCUAGUUUCCCAUAUUUACCCCAUGAUUCAGCUUCACAUGCAUUGCACAUGACUCAUUUUGACAAAAGUUUUAACGAAAUUGACGAAAAUGACCAUAAAUGCACGUUUUGAAGAGUAAGAGACCAAUGGUCGCAGAUUUUAGUUGAGGGAUCAUUGCUCCAAUUUGGUUAAAGUUGAGGGACCAUUGCUACAAUUUGCUCAAAUGUUUCGUAUGCGAAAAUAGGCAUUUGUAAAGUUUGGCUUGUUCAUGGCAUUAUUACUUUAGUCUAAAGUAAGGCUGGAAAUGGCACUGUAGAAAUGAAUAGUGUUCCAAUCCGAAUUUCAGUUUAAUUACAACAAUGCCAUUGCUCUUUGUGUUGCCUUUAGGUGAGCAACCCAACUUCCAGCCAGGCCCAAAUGUAUUGGUUUUAGCUGAGAAGCCCGACCUUUGGUCAGGCCCAAAACUUUAAAUUACAGUUUUGCCCAUACAAAAUAACAAUUUGAUUGUAUCGGGAAGGACAAUUUUGUCCUUUUAGUUUUGGGCGAGAUAGGGGGUAACCGGGUAGAUUUCAUUUGCUGUCGUUGAAUGAAGGUUUCGGGGAUGAAGGUUGUGUGUGUGUGUGAGGGAGAUGACGAUGGAAGGAGAGCGAAGGGGAGGGGAAGGGUUCUCGGCACUGUUGCUGCAUGUGGAUUUCACAAGUGGGUGAAUGGGUAUGGUUAGAGAAUACCAUAUAGGUUGUCGGGAUUUCAGGAAACGGGGUAGGGGUCAUGAAUGAACCCUGCUGAGAGUGGGUGCCGGAUCUUGCGCUGCAUGCCUCAAAUCAAAGAUAAGUUCAUUUUUUUAUUGUAUUCUUUAAUGGUAGCUUAGCUUUUGGAAUUGUUUAGUAUGUUAGGUCCAGUUUUGGGGGAUUUAUCUUUUAGAGAGAGAGAUGGACAGGGAGAUAAAGAUAGACAGAGAGAGAGAGAGGAGGAGGAGGCGGAGGAAGUAUGGCUGUGUGCUAUUUUUGGUGUUAAUUAAUGGGUUGGUGCGCAGGGUGAGUGACAGAGUGACAGAGUGACGGAGGGAUGUGUGGGAGGGUAUGGGUUUUUAGUUCUUUCUUUUGAUUCAAUAGGUUAUACACUGUUUGAAAAACCUUUUUUUUAUUUUUUUGUUCUCGUUUGCUUUGUUAAAACCAUCAUUUGAAUUUUUGGGUUUCACUGUGCUCAUUUCUCUGUUUCUUCAUAAUUUGUUGGUGUUUGCUUCUCAUCCCUCUGUUGGUAGAUCUUUUUCUCAUUUCUUGGUUCCUUAUGUAUUCUUUGGUACAAAUCUGUUUACUUUUUGGUUGUGUGAUAAUCUUAGCAGGUGAACUAUAUGAACGUUUUUUUGAAACGAGCACAGUGAAGCAAGCGUAGAUUGGGAGGCAACCCAAUAUUUCUAUUCAUUGCCUUUUUCUGUCAUUUUCAAUUUUCUUGCAUGCUAAACUGAAUUAUUUCUUUUCUUUGUAUUUGGGUUAUGUCCACCCUUGGAGUUGAUUGCGGAAUUAUAGUUUGGGGGUCAUCAUUUGAUUUCACUGCAAAUUGGGGAAGUUUUUAGUCCAAAUGCCGGAUCACUUCAAGUAUCACCUUCCAUUCGAAGUUCACUUCCAUGCCAUGGAACCUAUGGGAGUGUGACUGGAGGCAUCGUCCGGCUGCAAGACGUUAAAGAAAGCGCUUCUUGGGAGGCAACCCAAGCUUUCUAUCUUUCAUCUUUAUUUUGAAUAAUUUUAAAUGUUCUUGUUCUGUUUUUCUCUUAUUUUCUGGUUUUUGUAUUUAAGUCCUACUUUUGUUCCUUUAUGCAGGUAAUGAUUUUGCAAUCUCUACCACAACUUCUUGCAAGGUAGUUUUACAUUCAUAAAAACGAAAGGAACAUUAAGCAUAUAAAUACAAGAGGGAGCCUUCACAAAGGCUGCUUAGGAGAAGUUUCAGCAGUCGGCGGAGUCCCAGAAGGAGGAGGCAUCAGAGGUUGAUCAUUUGGAGCUUCAUUACGUGGUACAACCCCAGAAGACGAAGGCAAAUGCAAAUAAGGAAGAUCUAUGAAUCGCUUCACAAUCGAAAAGGAACAUAUGGUAGAAAAAUUCAAAGAUGAGCAUACAAACAAGAAGGAGUCUUCAUUGGUCAGGAGGUGUCGCAGCAGUCGAAGGAACAUCAGAAAGACGAAGUGUCAGAGCUUGAUUGUCCGGAGCACUUGGUGAAGCACCAGAUGAUGAAGGCAGAAGUUGCCUCAGGAGUAAAGCCAUAAACCUUUGAUGAUCACUCCGAGCCCGAACUUCAGCCUCUUGCAGCUGGUCCAACUUCCUCUUUAUGCUUGUUGAGUAGUUAGUUGCGAGCAUGUGCAACUCUUUAUCUUCAUGCCUCAGCGCUCUGACCUCUUGCCAAAGGCUAGCCACUUCAGCCAUCAACGACUCCACUUGACGAGUUCGAGCAAGAAGGCGUUGGCCCAUGUUUGAUACUGAGCCUGCACUUUGGACGCUGAAAGCCAAAGAAUCCUGAACAGCCUGCUCGUCAGACCGCUUAGAUAGCAUCCUACUGUCUCUUGGAGUAUGAAGAUUUCUAGCAACCACUGCAGCUGUUGCAUCAUUUCUCAUCACAGUGUCCCCAACUGUAAGAGGACCGUUGGAGGAUAUGAAAGAUGGCUGCCAAAUGUUACCUGGAGACGAGAGGUCAAUAUCUUCUUCGAUAUUCAGGUCAAAACGACGGUCGGAUGGGCUAGACAUUUUCAUAGGUGUUAAAGAAAGAAGAGGUCAGACAAGUCAAGAUAGUAGAAAUGCAAGAAGGGAGUAUUCACAGGCAGAAAUUCAUGUGUGCUUUGAACAUCCUGCGAACCUCUAUAAAAAAUAGCACACAAUGAGAUUUCAGGGAUCGAAUAGGCGAGUUCAGAGAUCGAUGAAGCGCCUGCUUUCUCCAAAGCUAGGCCUACUCAGGAAUCACAGGCUGAUCUCAGGUAGUGAAGACGCGCCUGUCUCUCUCAGCCCCGUCAGCACUUGUCACAUGCAGAGAAAACUUUGAGGAAAUCACGGGCAGUUUGUCGAAGCGCCGAUUCCAACCAUCUGUCUUUCUCAGCCUCGUCAGCUUUGAGGAAAUCACGGGCAGUUUGUCGAAGCGCCGAGUCCAACCGCCUGUCUCUCUCAGCCUCGUCGGCACUCGCUUUCUCAAAAGCUGGGCUUGAAAUCACAGGCCAAUCUUCAGUUUCUAAAUUUGUUCGCACUUGUCACAUGCAACCUCUGCACUCAACGAAGCUCAGAACUCGAAGCGCCAAUUCCGGAUAUUAAAGAAGCCUUUGCUUUAUCAGACGUGUCAGCAUCUGUCAAUUGCACAUCUGCGUUGCGUAAAUCACGCGCAAUCUGUCGAAGAUUUCUGGAGAAACGGAAUGCACGUGAAGUUUACUGUUAAAUUACCCCAGGCUUGCUGACACGAGUACUAGAACAAUGCCUUCCCAGCCAUUAAGAAAAAUUCUACAAAUGUUAAAGGCAACCUCACUCAACUUUCAGCCUCACUCAACCUUUCUUCCUCUCUGAGAAUGUAUUCCCGAAGAAGCCUCCCGAGUCACUCUGUGUUUCUCAUCCCUUGGGAUACCCCUGCAAACAACCCACCCAGAGCAAAAGUAUUUCAUAUCAUAACGGUUGAGAGCAAGAGUAUCUCAUAUCAUGCUUUCUCCCUGUCCUUUGUCUCGCCAGCACUUGGUAUCAAUCUUCCGAGCGGGGACCGACUGCCUGGAACCCAUUCCUGAUUGCUUACCUAACCUUGCUCUCGAGUACUCAUCCUUCUUAUGUUUCCUCUUCGUCUACCACAUAGGGGAAGUGAUAAUGAUACCUCGAAGCAUGUGGAUACAACGUGCUGAUUCAUCCUCAACUAAGGACAAGGGAGAAAGCAAGCAAGAUGUGGGCACUUGGAAAGAUUGAACAAAGAAACAGACUAACACCUCUACCUCGUGCCUGCCUACCGAGCAGAAGAAACAAGCAGAGAAGAAUGCAGACUGCACAAUCAAACAACCCAGGAACUCUGAUAUUCCUCGCUCAGGAUUCCAAACCAGUUUGAGAUUCGCCUACACAAAUUGGUGUGUUCUUUCCUUUUCUUUAUGUGUCUUUAUUUCAUUUUAUAUUUCUUUCCUUCCAUUUUCAUGUCUUAUUGUUCAAAAAUUCCUUUCAUUAUCAUUGGGGACAAUGCUAUAAUUAAGUUUGGGGGUAUUUGGAAAUAUAUUUCGUUAGUUUAUUUCUCUAUUAAAAAAAAAAAAAAAUUUUGCAUUUUUAUUGUUGUUUGUAGCUACUUCUCAAUUCAAUGAUGAGAUUUGAUUUUAAUUUCCUUCUUACUUUCAAGAAAGUCUAAGUUCUUUUCGUUGUCUUUGUGUUAACUGUGAUUUCCAGAAAUCAACUUGAAAAAAGAAAUGUGCCUAGUCUUGUCAAUGUGAAACUUGAGCAUGAUUUAGCGUUUCAUAUGUGAAUCAUGUGAGAUUAUGUAAACCUUGUGAGUUUUUUAGCCUAUACAUGAUUGAACCAUUAUGCAUCAAUCUCAUUCCUUCUUGUGCGUAUGAUCUCACUGUACAUGUAUCUCUAGAACUUGCUUUAUACUACUCGAUUCAUUAAUCAAUUCAUGUAAUAACUUGGAAGUGAUAUAGGCCAUCUUUGGAUCGUUUGAGCCUUUCAUGCCUACCUUAUAUGCUAUGUUUAUCCUUAGUAGCCCUUUGAGCCUUUAACUAAGCCAUUUCUUUGUUAACCACAUCUCUUUACCUUGCUCCAAUAUUGGAGUUGAGCCCAUACACAAAAAUCGAUUCCUUAUUGUUUUGAGAAAGUAUUACAUGGGUUGUGCUUUUGGGGGUUUCAUUUAUAUAGAAAGAUGGAUGGAGUAUGUGUAUACAAUGAAAUGUGAAUUUGAUGGGUGAUGUAGAUUUUGAAAAUUAUUUCAAAAGAAAAAAAAAACGAAAAAAAACGAAAAAAAUGAAAAUUGGAGAGUGUUGAUUUGUUGAAAAUGUGUCGGUAGAGUAUAAAUUUCCUUUUAAAGUUAAAUUUGGGGAGUAACAGGUGCUCGAGGUUUUAUUAUUUUGCUUUCAAUUUGAGGUGGUGUGAUAUUGAGGUGUUGGAAAACUACCAAAGUGUACUUUCUCAAAAUUUUUGAUUUCCAUAUCCUUUCUUUCAUUAGCCUAUCACCUUUAGCCCCAUUACAACCGUAAUAAAGUCCUAUUGAUCCAAGGUAUUACUUAAAUAUUGAUAAGCGAGUUAGGUGGACAAGCAAGCACAUGGCGGCAUGUACAAUGAGAUUACUUGAGUGAAACACAUUAACAAAAAAUUAUGAGUGAAUGAGCGUAUGUCUUGUGAGAAACUCACAUGUUUGCAUAUGAUGAUUUAAAGGAGCUUGGAAUUGCAUUGACAUAGCUAGCUCACACAUGGCAUUUCAACGUUUUGUUUGAAGGAAAUUUGGUUAACUAUUGGAUGAUGUUUUGAGCUCUUGCUUACUUCUUGGCAGUGUAUCUCAUGACUAGCACUUAUCUCUGAAAUCGAAAUUGAGAAGUUGGCUACUAAGUUGUUGAAUCUAGUCUUAGUUGAGUGGUUUUGUUUUGCUAGAGGACUAGCAAAAAUGUAAGUUUGGGGGUAUUUGAUCACUCAUAUAUUUCAUGCAUUUAUACCAUCCAUUUCUAAAGUCUUUGUGAUGUUUUUGUGUUAAAGUUGUGGCAUUUUACCUUACCUUGUGUUAAUGUACAGUUAAUUUUAUUUUAGGAUCAAUUUCAAAGAAAAUGGGCUGAAAAGAAAAUAAAAGAAAAGAAAUAAAUGGGACGGAAAGGAAGACACUGACAGAAUAAAAGAAUGAAGAAAGAGGUAGAACGGCAGAUAGAGAAGUGGGAAGAAAGUGGAGUGCGCAUGGGAUGGAAGUGGAACAAAAAGCAGGAGAGGGAGUGAGGAGUGCGGGAUAAAAGCAAAGAAAAAUAGAAGAAUAAGAAAGAAGUGGGAGGACACGGACUGAGUGGAAGAAUUAAAGAGAGAAGCAGGGUGCAGGCACGGACAGAAAGGAGAACUGAAGAAUAAAAGAGAAGACAGAGAAGCAGAAAAAAGAAGAGAAACUGACGUGAAAGCCAGUGCGCAGAGGGCGCAGAGAGAUAGGAGAGAUUGUGCGGGAGCAGAAGCACAGAAGCAGAGGGAACAAAAUCACAGACUGACAGCAGACGCAAGAGGCACGGCAGAGAGCAAAGCUUCACUCUAUUUUUCUUGGUUUUAUCUUCUCAAACCCAUGUUUUACUUUUGGUUUAAUUUGUGAAUUAUGUGUAACUAAAUUUUAAGUAGUUAGGGGCUGUUUUGAAGCCCCGAAUAUGAUUGUAAGUUUGUUGUGAUAUUUUGUUUGAAUGACUUUUAUGAAAGGAUGAAAAUUGUUUCACUACUUAUGUGAUUGAUAAAUUCUUUAUGUGUUUCUAUGGAUGCAUACAUAGUGAGCAUAUCUAGGAUUUUAAUGCUAUGAAUAUAUGUUUACCUGCCCUUGUUGAAUGAGGACCUACAUAUGUUCUAGAGUAGCACUUGUUAAUUGUGGUUAACAUGUGAACCGAUUUCUAGGAUAAGUAAGACAAUGCCAGUACUUAUCAUGCCUUGUGAUGACUCAAACUCUUUUCGUUCUUAAUGAUUUCUACUUGUUAAAUCUAUGAACACGACAUUCUAGAUUACAUGCUAGGGACUACGUUAAGUUGAAAACGCUAUUCUCUUAACAUACUACGUAAGAAAAAGUAAUAGGUUGUGUUCUAACAUUGAGCCAACUUGAGCAUCUUCAUCCGGAAAUAAAAGGAAUUUGAAUGAAACAUAACAUGUUUGCAUGAUUAUUUGGUGGUGGAUAGCAUUUCCCCUAAUUCGUUUUCUUAACUUGUGAAUUAAAAUCUAUUGGUAUUAUUUAAAACUGGUUGAGGUCCUGUUUUGUCCGAUUUAAUUUAAAUAGCUAAUCAACUUCAAAAAUCCCAAACAUUUGUGUGAGCAUAGCUUGGUGUGUCUAGUUUAUGUGUAUAAAAUUUCGUUGCAUUUGGAUAAGUGUAAGUUAGUCUAAUAAUUAUUGUUCGGUGGCUGGUCAGUGGAGACAACCAUCCUGUUUUUGUGACAUUUUAAGUGUUUGGAUAAAACAAUUUUCUGCGGAAAAGACCCUUAUUUUCAUAUGCUACAAUCGACAAAAUUUUAGUGUUAAUAAGGAAAAUCAAUAGGAUUAUUGUGGGCUACUUUGUGGUGCGUUAUAAUUACUACCAUGCUGUCAGUGGGUGUUAAUAUCAGGUACCCAUGUUCAGUUUUUCGUUUUGAUUUGAAGGAAUUUCUUGCGGAGAGGAGCAAGGGUUUCUUGGUGAGUUCUUCGGGUUGUGCAUAUGGGUAAUUUUCUUUUCGGUUUAACCCUCUGCUUCUGCUGCUCUCUCUCUUUCUCUCAUCCCUGCCUGCUCCUCUCCAAUUGUUUGCUGUUCUUAAAUAUUGUGUUCAUUGCCUGAUACAAGGGGCUGCAGCAAUCUGUUUUAUCCUACACGGGACAACGAGGCAAUGGCGUGACAACAGGUGAGCUUGGAUAUCCAAAGAAAAAGAACAGUUGGUUCAUCUGCUGGAGUCUGAGCUUAGAGAAGUGGAGGAAAAUUGCAGGUGUGCGAGAAAUUUUAUUUUGCUGAUAGGACUCCUUAUUUACUGAUGCAUUUUGAAAUAAUUGAAAAGUUGGAUUUGAGUUAACAGCUAUAAAAAUGUAGACAUGAUUGCUGAGAUUAUGCUAUGAAAGUGGAAUAAAAAAAUGGUAGUUUAUAAUAUUGCGUACCAAUUGUUUUCUCUCUUUUUUACCAAAUGAUAAGGGUGGUGGCUCAGGCCGCCCCCCUAAGCGUCCCCACUCUUCGACAAGUUGAAAUCGUGGUGAUAGUUUAUGGGCUGUGGUCUUGGGAUUCUGCAAAUAGAAUGAAAAACAGACACUUAACUAUCUUGUUAUUAAGCAUUUCUGCAUCAUUCAGUUGCUCUUGAUUUUCGUCUUUUAAGCGAUCUUAUUUCUGCGAUCUGACUUGAGGAGGGUUUUUAGACCUAUGGUUGUGGGUGUUUUCUCUGACCCCAUUAUCCGAGAUUUGUAGACUUGCGAUCGGCGGUCAAACAUUUUGUGAUUCUUGUUUUCUCUGCCUUUCGGUCGUUAAGCGCCGGCAGUCUUUAGAUCUUUGGCAAAUCAAUUUAAUACAACCGAGGUAUGUUUUAUAACUGCUGUCUUUCAAUUUUUGUUCUGUAUUUUUGUUAAUUUGGAUGAAGCUCUAAUAAUUUUGUUUUGGAUCAGUUGUGGUCCUCUGUUAGGAUUUUCCUGGCUAAGAGGGUAUUUGCGUUUUUGUUGCUUGGUUGGUCGAUCACAGAUUUACGAACAGCUGUGGUGGUCCUGUUAUUUUUUGGUAUGUUUUUUCUCCUUUUUGGUUUUUUUCCCGGUUUGAGCACCCAUUCUUGAAGAAUUAAAAUGUGUUUUAUAGUUUUUUCAGGAGAGAUUAGAAAAGUGAUUUCAAUUUGGGAAAAUUUAAUGUUGGUUAAAAUUUGUUUAUAAUUUUUGGGAAGGAAUGAGAGGACCCAUUGAAGUAUGUGUUGUGAUUAUUUUUUAUUCAUAUUUUUAACAAAUUGGGCAUGAAUUGGUAGGUUAACUGUGUGUGUUUAUUAUUUGAAUCGGCCAUGUUUGUCUUUCUAUGGUUCUAAAAAAUUUGUAAAGGCUGUUAACUUGGAAGAAAAUGGGAUCGAGGGUGAGGGGAAAACGGCAGAGAAAGCAUGGAAGAGAGAUUUGGGAUUAGGGGUAGGAAAACAGAUGAAAAGAAUAUGAUAGAGGAAUGGGUUCAGUUCAUUUUCACUAUUUUUUUUUAACUGAUUUGGAUUUUGUUUGGGUUUAACUCCGCCUAUGUCUUACAUGGCCGGUCCCAAGCCCGGAUAAAGGAGGAGGGGGAGGGCGUCAGGUAGUCGACAGCCGGCACUCCAUGAUCAUGUCGAAUCCUUAUGAAAAUGAAUCCAGAACAAAAUCGCGCUAAAGCUAGGACGUCACCCGUAAGUGGCGCGCUGUAUGGCCCGAGCACAGUGAUAAGUGAGCAAGGGUCGCUGUAUCUCCAUCGGCACCCGGAUGCAGUGUUAAAUGAGCAAGGGGGCCAUAGAAACUUCUUUUCGAACGACUCCACUCAAAGUUGUUUGAGAGCAUAUGCUCCUAUCAACUUUACCCGGGACACACAAAAGAAGUACUUUGAUCCUAUUAGACGGGGGAGGGUGAAGAAGCUAGGACAGAAGGGUAGAGUUCAAGAGAGCAAAAUGCGUUUAGGAACGUGGAAUAUAGGAACCUUAACGGGAAAAUCUAUGGAAGUAGUGGAAGUUAUGGUGAGGAGAAGGAUAAAUAUUAUGUGCCUACAAGAAACUAAGUGGGUUGGUAGUAAGGCAAAGGAUCUAGAAAACUCAGGGUUUAAACUUUGGUAUUCGGGCACAAAUAGAACGAGAAACGGUGUUGGCAUCAUCGUGGACAAGACCUUGGUACAAGAUGUUGUAGAUGUCAAGAGGGUAGGAGAUAGAAUCAUGGCAAUCAAGAUUGUAAUAGGACAAGAACUUAUCAAUGUGAUUAGUGCGUACGCACCUCAAGUAGGGUUGGAUACGAGUUCGAAGGAGAAAUUUUGGGAAGAUCUUGGAGACUUGGUGCAAGGAAUUGCUCAGACGGAGAAGUUAUUUAUAGGAGGAGAUUUAAAUGGACACGUGGGCAGGGAGACAGGCAACUAUGGAGGUUUUCAUGGUGGCCAUGGUUUUGGGGAGAGAAACGAGGAUGGGGAAGCUAUCUUGGAUUUUGCAAUGGCAUAUGAUCUCUUCUUAGCCAACACCUUCUUUAAGAAGAGAGAAGAACAUGUGAUCACCUACAAGAGUGGGUCGUCAAAAACACAAAUAGAUUUUCUUCUAAUGAGGAAAGGGGAUCGUAUAACUUGUAAGGAUUGCAAAGUUAUACCAGGAGAGAGCGUGGCUAAUCAACAUCGCUUGUUGGUGAUGGAUGUACAUAUCAAAAGAGUAAGACAAAAGAACAAGACUUGGAAGUGCCCAAGGACUAGAUGGUGGAAUCUAAAAGAAGAAAAACAAGCCAUUUUCAAAGAGAAGGUAAUCACCCAAUGUGUGUGGGAUAGAGAGGGGGAAGCUAGCCAAAUGUGGGAUUCCAUGGCUAGUUGUAUCCGAAAAGUAGCAAAAGAGGUAUUAGGAGAGUCCAAGGGCUUUGCCCCACACCAAAAGGAAUCUUGGUGGUGGAAUGAGGAGGUACAAACAAAGGUGAAGGCUAAGAAGGAAUGUUGUAAAGCCUUAUACAAGGAGAGGACCGAUGAAAAUGGUGAAAGGUAUAGAAAAGCGAAGCAAGAGGCGAAGAAAGCUGUCAGAGAAGCUAAGUUAGCGGCUUACGACGAUAUGUAUAAACGACUAGAUACCAAAGAAGGAGAGUUGGAUAUCUAUAAACUAUCUAGAGCAAGGGAAAAGAAGACAAGGGACCUAAACCAAGUGAGGUGCAUCAAGGAUGAGGAUGGAAAGGUUCUUGCUACAGAGAACGCGGUUAAAGACAGAUGGAGAGGUUAUUUUCAUAAUCUUUUCAAUGAAGGACAUGAAAUGAGUGCUUCUUUAGGGGAGUUGAGUAACUCAGAAGAGUGUAGAAACUACUCUUUUUAUCGUCGAAUCCGGAAGGAAGAAGUGGUUGUAGCUUUGAAGAAGAUGAAGCAUAAAAAAAGCAAUAGGCCCAGACGAUAUACCAAUCGAAGUGUGGAAACUUUUGGGAGAGACAGGUAUAACAUGGCUCACUGACCUUUUCAAUAGGAUUUUGAAAACGAAGAAGAUGCCAAAUGAGUGGCGAACGAGCACUUUGGUGCCUAUCUACAAGAAUAAGGGCGACGUACAAAAUUGCAUGAACUAUAGGGGUAUUAAGCUAAUGAGUCAUACAAUGAAGCUCUGGGAGAGAGUCAUUGAGCAUAGAUGAGGCAAGAGACACGGGUUUCGGACAACCAAUUCGGGUUCAUGCCAGGGCGCUCAACCAUGGAGGCAAUCUAUCUCUUACGAAGAUUGAUGGAAAGAUAUAGAGAUGGGAAAAAGGAUUUACACAUGGUCUUUAUAGAUUUGGAAAAAGCGUAUGAUAGGGUCCCAAGAGACAUUCUUUGGAGGAUUUUAGAGAAGAAAGGAGUACGAGUAGCAUAUAUCCAAGCUAUAAAGGAUAUGUAUGAAGGAGCAAAGACUGCCGUAAGAACUCAUGAAGGACAAACCGAAAGCUUUCCCAUAACUGUAGGAUUACAUCAAGGCUCAUCCUUAAGUCCUUACCUUUUUGCGUUGGUAAUGGAUGAGUUAACAGGACAUAUUCAAGAUGAUAUUCCUUGGUGUAUGCUUUUCGCAGACGAUAUAGUGUUGAUAGAUGAAACUCAGGAAGGGGUAAAUGCAAAGCUUAACCUUUGGAGAGAAGUGUUGGAAUCUAAAGGUCUUCGCCUAAGCCGAUCAAAGACAGAAUAUAUGGAGUGCAAGUUCAGUGCAAAUGGAGGCCAAAACGAGUUAGGGGUGAGGAUCGGAGAUCAAGAAAUACCAAAGAGCGACCGUUUUCGUUACCUAGGAUCUAUCUUGCAAAAGAACGGAGAAUUAGAUGGAGAUCUCAACCAUAGAAUACAAGCUGGAUGGAUGAAGUGGAAGAGUGCAUCCGGCGUGUUGUGUGACCGCCGUAUGCCACUGAAGCUCAAGGGAAAAUUUUAUAGGACGGCAAUAAGGCCGGCGAUGCUGUAUGGCACAGAAUGUUGGGCGGUGAAACAUCAACACGUACACAAAAUGGGUGUAGCGGAGAUGAGGAUGCUUCGUUGGAUGUGUGGGCACACGAGAAAGGAUAAGAUUAGGAAUGAGGAUAUCCGGGGUAAAGUAGGAGUAGCCGAAAUUGAAGGAAAGAUGAGAGAAAAUCGGUUACGGUGGUUUGGACAUGUGCAAAGAAGGCCUACUGACGCUCCGAUUAGAAGAUGCGACUAUGGGACAGAGGUUCAGGGCCGAAGGGGUAGAGGAAGACCUAGGAAAACUUUGGAAAGAGACUCUAAGAAAAGACUUAGAGUACUUGGAUCUAACGAAGGACAUGACACAGGAUCGAGCACAAUGGCGUUCUAAGAUUCAUAUAGCCGAUCCCACUCAGUGACUUGGAUUUUCCAAGUCUCCAACCGAGAAGUUUUCCUCACUCGGAAAAUUAAGGGAACACUACCCCAACCUACAUGCUCCACUCAGAAAGCUUCAACAUACAAGCUUCAACAAAAGAAAAUUCAAAGAACUUAGCGAAGAAGGCUUUGGUGUAUUUAACACAAUACGUUGAAAUGAAGGAAAGCUUAUUUAUUGAUAUCCCCGAUAAGCUACAAAUAUGUACAUAUACAUGAGUCAAAAUAAACACACAAGAGGGAGCCUUCACAAAGGUUGCUUAGGAGAAGUCUCAGCAGUCGGUAGAGCCCCAGAAAGAGAAGGCACCGGAGGGGGAUCAUUUGGAGCCUCAGUACUGGACAGAACCCUAGAAGGAGGAGGCAUCAGAGGUUGAUCAUUUGGAGCUUCAUUACGCGGUACAGCCCCAGAAGACGAAGGCAAUAAAUGCCUUUGGAACAAACCCACAAAUCUCUGAUGAUCAAGUAAAACCUGACCAUCAGUUUCCUUCAUCUGGUCAAGCUUCCUCUUCAUGUUUGUAGCAUAGUCAUGUGCGAGCCGGUGCAACUGUUUAUUCUCAUGCUUGAGCCCUCUAAUCUCCUGUUUGAGACUCAUCACUUCAGCCGCCAAUGAUUCAACUUGGCGGGUUCGAGCAAAUAGGCGUUGGGCCAUAUUAGACACAGAACCUGCACACUGAACACUGAGAGCCAGCGAAUCCUUAACAGCUAACUCAUCAGACCGUUUGGAAAGUAGUCUGUUAUCUUUGGGAGUGAGAAGGUUCCUGGCCACCACCGCAGCGGUCAUAUCAUUCUUCAUCACGGAAUCCCCAACGGUAAGAGGACCAGUAGGGGAGACGAAGGAUGGGCGCCAUAUGUUGUCUGGAGAAGGCGGGGCUGCCUCUUCAACAAGGUUCAAGUCAAAACGACGGUCGGAGGGGCCAGACAUUUUCAAAUGUGUUGAAGAGAGAAGAGGUCGGACAAAUCAAGAUCUUAGAAGUGCAAGAAUGAAGCUUCUACUGGUGGAGAUUCAAGUGUGCUUUGGAACUUAAUGCCAGCCCCUAUAAAAAUCUGCACUCGACGGAGCUUCAGAAAUCGAAGAGGCGCCUGCUCAGAAAUCGAAGAGGCGUUUGCUUUCUCAAAAGCUGGGCUGCUUAGAGAUCACGAGGGUUGAUCUCAGAAAUCGAAGAGGCGUUUGCUUUCUCAAAAGUUGGGCUGCUCAAAGACCUCGAAGGCUGAUCUCAGAAAUCGAAGAGGCGCUCGCUUUCUCAAAAGCUGGGCUCCCUAGAGACCACGAGGGCCGAUCUCAGAAAUCGAAGAGGCACCUACUUUUCCAGCCUUGUCAGCACCUGUCACACGCGCACACUCAGCUUUGCGGAAAUUAUGGGCAUUCUGUCGAAGACUUCUGGGGAAGUAGAAAAAACACAUGAAUCUUACUGUUCAAUCACCCACUUCCCACACGCAACAAUAGCUCAUGGGUACCACAGAUAACUUUGCCAAAGUUCUCUGCCAAAGUUGAGCACGUGAAGCUUGCAGCUCCCACUACAUCGCUCUGACCAAGAAGGGUAAAAGAAUAGCAAAGAAACACAGCACUAACAAAGUUUAGACCCAUAAAUUUUGAAGGUCUAGCUACCAUAUUAUUACCACACACAGGGUAAAGGAACAGUACCACUGCUGGAUAAUUGGAAAGUCCCUGUUUGUCAACCUCUGUGCUUCGUGGCAAGGUAGACUAGCAAACAUGCCCAACCUUUACUCACAUUCGAGAAAACACUCCCAAUAAGAUUGCUUGCUCCAAAAUCGAAGAGGCACCGUCCUCCGAAUCUCGAGAGCCAGACUCCCAACAUGACUACUUUCUUAAAAAUCGAAGAGAGGGUAAAGGAACAGUACCAUUGCUGGAUAAUUGGAAAGUCCCUGUGUGUCAACCUCUGUGCUUCGUGGCAAGGUAGACUAGCAAACAUGCCCAACCUUUACUCACAUUCGAGAAAACACUCCCAACAAGAUUGCUUGCUCCAAAAUCGAAGAGGCACCGCCCUCCGAAUCUCGAGAGCCAGACUCCAAACAUGAUUACUUUCUCAAAAAAUCGAAGAGACACUGCUCCCCGAAUCUUCGAGAGCCAGACCCCCAGCAUGAUUGCUUUCUCAAAAAUCGAUGAGGCAUCGUUCUCCGAAUCAAUCGAAGAGGCGCUCGCUUUCUCAAAAGCUGGGCUGCUCAGAGACCACGAGGGCCGAUCUCAGAAAUCGAAGAGGCACCUACUUUUCUAGCCUUGUCAGCACCUGUCACACGCACACUCAGCUUUGCAGAAAUUAUGGGCAUUCUGUCGAAGACUUCUGGUGAAGUAGAAAGCACAUGAAUCUUACUGUUCAAUCACCCACUUCCCACACGCAACAAUAGCUCAUGGGUACCACAGAUAACUUUGCCAAAGUUCUCUGCCAAAGUUGAGCACGUGAAGCUUGCAGCUCCCACUACAUCGCUCUGACCAAGAAGGGUAAAAGAAUAGCAAAGAAACAGCACUAACAAAGUUUAGACACAUAAAUUUUGAAGGUCUAGCUACCAUAUUAUUACCCACAAGGGUAAAGGAACAGUACCACUGCUGGAUAAUUGGAAAGUCCCUGUGUGUCAACCUCUGUGCUUCGUGGCAAGGUAGACUAGCAAACAUGCCCAACCUUUACUCACAUUCGAGAAAACACUCCCAACAAGAUUGCUUGCUCCAAAAUCGAAGAGGCACCGUCCUCCGAAUCUCGAGAGCCAGACUCCCAACAUGACUACUUUCUCAAAAUCGAAGAGAGGGUAAAGGAACAGUACCAUUGCUGGAUAAUUGGAAAGUCCCUGUGUGUCAACCUCUUUGCUUCGUGGCAAGGUAGACUAGCAAACAUGCCCAACCUUUACUCACAUUCGAGACAACAGUCCCAACAAGAUUGCUUGCUCCAAAAUCGAAGAGGCACCGCCCUCCGAAUCUCGAGAGCCAGACUCCCAACAUGAUUACUUUCUCAAAAAUCGAAGAGACACUGCUCUCCGAAUCUCGAGAGCCAGACCCCCAGCAUGAUUGCUUUCUCAAAAAUCGAAGUGGCAUCGUUAUCCGAAUCUCGAGAGCCAGACUCCCAACAUGAUUACUUUCUCAAAAAUCGAAGAGACACUGCUCUCCGAAUCUCGAAAGCCAGACCCCCAGCAUGAUUGCUUUCUCAAAAAUCGAAGAGGCAUCGUUCUCCGAAUCUCGAGAGCCAGAUACCACAUACCACUUUUUCAAAGUGCUCUGACAGAGUUAAAACAUGUGAAACUGGCAGCUCCCACUACCGUGCUAUGACCAAGCAGGGUAAAGGAAUAACAUUACUACUUGUUAGGGAGACUCCUAUAUAUGUUGACCUCCAUCCCCAACAGACAGGCAGACCUGCAAAAAUGCUCAACCCUUCAUCAUAUCUGAGAGGGCACUCCCAACGAAGCCUUUCGAAAUAUUCAGCUUUCUUUCCCCCCGAUAAUACCUCUGCAAACAAGCUAUACUAGAGCAAGAAUAUCUCAUAUCAUCAGGGUUAAAAGCAAGAGUAUCCCAUAUCAUGCUUUUUCCCUGUCUUUUCCUUUGGCCUUGUUUUUACCUGCAAGACAAGGAGAAAGAGAGCAAUCAGUCAGCACUUGGAAUCAAGCUUCCAGCUAGGAACUGACUGCCUGGAACCCCUUACCUGAUUACUUACCUGGCAUUGCUCUCGAGUACUCAUCUUCAACAUCUUAUGUUUCCAGGGAAGAUUCCGCAUCUGCUUGAGGAACAGAUAGGGCAAGUGCGAAAGAUACAAGGAAGCAUGUGGAGACAAGCGUAACAGCACACGUGCCGAUACAUCCAUUACUCUGUCAAAAGCAAAAGUAUCCCAUAUCAGCAGGGUGGAAAGUACUCUAGAUUUGAUGGACUUGUUUUGACCCUCAAAUUCUUCAGUCGACCUUAUACUCUGGAGGAAACCAGAAAACCCUCCAGCUCAGUUCAAGAAUAAGCCUGUGGAAAGUUACUUCUUCAAAAGCAAAAGUAUCUCAUAUCAUCUCUUCUCAUUUUUCUUCUCUUUAUCCUUCAUGCUGCUGCAAGAUGGGGAGAAGGUGAACAAUCAGUCGGAGCUCUGAUUGCUUACCUUGUCUGUCACCUCUUUCAGCAGACCCCUAGCUCGGCGACUUGGGGGACUCCUACUACAUGGUUUGUAUCGCGCUUGACCAAGCCUGAAACUACAAGUAAGCUUCAAGUGAAAUUGAUACAUUACCUUGUGCAUCUCCACCAGUUAAAGAUACCACCCCUGGAUGGAGGAAGAGUACUUCCAGAAAAGAUGCCACAUCUACCUAUGAGACAGAUAAGGCAAGUCAAGACGACACCACACUCCGAUACUUAGAAGUUUCGUGAUUACGAGAUCAUUCUCCCACAAUAUUUCCUAAUGUCAUUUGUACUAAAUCAUUCACUUGUACUCACUAAAGGAGAGCUUGAACCUAUGUACUUGUGUAAACCCUUCACAAUUAAUGAGAACUCUUCUAUUCCGUGGACGUAGCCAAUCUGGGUGAACCACGUACAUCUUGUGUUUGCUUUCCUAUCUCUAUCCAUUUAUAUACCUAUCCACACUAAUGACCGGAGCAAUCUAGCGAAGAUCACAAAAAGCGACCGUUUUCGCUACCUAGGAUCUUAUCUUGCAAGAGAACGGAGAAUUAGAUGGAGAUCUCAACCAUAGAAUACGAGCUGGAUGGAUGAAGUGUAAGAAUGCAUCCGGCGUGUUGUGUGACUGUCGUAGGCCACUAAAGCUCAAGGGAAAAUUUUAUAGGACGGCAAUAAGGCCAACGAUGUUGUAUGGCAUAGAAUGUUAGGCGGUGAAGCAUCAACACGUACACAAAAUGGGUGUAGCGGAGAUGAGGAUGCUUCGUGGGAUGUGUGGGCACACGAGAAAGGAUAAGAUUGGGAAUGAGGAUAUCCGAGGUAAAGUAGGAGUAGCCGAAAUUGUAGGAAAGAUGAGAGAAAAUCGGCUCCGGUGAUUUGGACAUGUGCAAAGAAGGCCGAAUGACACUCCGAUGUGACUACGGGACAGAGGUUCAGGGCCGAAGGGGUAGAGGAAGAUCUAGGAAAACUUUGGAAGAGACUCUAAGAAAAGACUUAGAGUACUUGGAUCUAACGGAGGACAUGAUACAAAACCGAGCGCAAUGGCGUUCUAGGAUUCAUAUAGCCGACCCCACUUAGUGGGAAAAGGCUUUGUUGUUCUGUUGUUGUUGUUGGAUUUUGUUUGGGUUUGAGGCCAUCAUUGGCGUUAAGACGUUUAUUAUCAGAUCGUGUGUUUUUUGCUAACUUUUAUUGGUAAUUUUAAUGUUGUUCUUAUGAUUUUGUGUGGUAGGGUUUCUGAUUUUUAUCGUUAUUCAUUUGGUUUUUUGUGUGUGUUGGUUUGUUUAUUUUGCAGGUUGUGUUUGUGCUGGGACAACAUUUUCCACCUUCUGUUUGCACUGGGAUGAUUGCGUUUUAAAACUGUUGGGGUGAGAUUUACAUAUGGAAUCAUUCCAUUUUUUUUCUUCCAAAUAUGUGCAUUUAGUUCUCUUUUAUUUUAAAUUUUAAAAAUUAAAUCGUUAUUUGAGUAAAAUGUUUUAUCAGUUUAUGUUAUGUGUUGUGACCAGGAAUUCUGUUGGAUUUGCGAAUUUUGGUUUGAUGAGAGAAAUGAGGAGUUUUUUUUGUUUGAAUUUUUUAUUGGACCGAUUUUCAAUUGGAUUGCAUUCUGCCUUUUUGCACCAUUCGUAUGCAAGCAAUUCAUUGUUUUAAAUACAAUUUGAAGAGAGCUGGGUUGCGGGUUGGAUAUAAAAUGUUAAGGUGAGAUAAAAUCGAGAUACCAAGGGUGGAAGAAUGAUUCAGAAUUGGGGGAGGAAAACAGAGGGAAGAUAGAAGAGUAUAAGAGAAGGAUAGGGUUGACCUCAUUUAGAGUUUUUAUUUACUUAUUUUUUUUUAUAAAUUGAUUCAGGACUUGCAUAUCAUUUCUAAAUUUCUAACAUUUUUGUUUAAUUUGACUCCAGUUGAUGGAAAACAGAGCUCUUACUCCUAUCAAUCAGUUGGUCCCGUACAUAAAUGCAGAAAAAUCAAGGUUCGAGUUUGCAGAGUAUGCAGACCAAGGUUUCCCGAAACUACUGGUGCAUAUUCAGGCUUGCAUUGUAUAUUACUUACCUAUUAAAAAUUUGUUUGGAAUUUGCUUUUCCCACAGAGGAGAAGAGCUGACAGUUACGCUGUGGGCAGAUGUUGCUCGAAGUAUUGCUUCUUUAUCCAUUGAAUCAUUGUCUCUGCCGAUCAUUGUGGUUUUCACAAGUUUAAAGGUCAAGCUGUACCUAGGUAUUUGACUUAGUUAAAAACUAAUCUAUUUACUAUUAAUUUUUCUAUUAUAUUCAAACGUUAUUUAAUAUAUACUCUACUAAUAUUUUCUUAACAUGUCACACAAACAUAUUCACUUCUUUUGAUCAAUUUUUUACAGCGUUUCAUAUAAAAGCUAACAUUUAGUUGAAAUUGAUUAGCAACUCUUUUCUUGCAUGUAUACAUACGAAUUAAACAAUAGUAUUAAACUAUUUGUUAUCAUUCUCAGUUUUUGUUUUAGAAUUAGAUUAAUAUAUUUAACCUGUUUUAGAAUUAGAAUUAUUUGGUAUCACUCUCAGUAUUUGUUUUAGAAUUAGAAUUAGAUUAAUAUACUGAGAUUAUUUAGACAAAUCUAGCAUUUUCUCAAAAUAUUUGACUUUUAAACUUAGAUUAAUAUAUUUAGCAGUUUUUUAACAUGCAAUUUUUCAUUAAUUUUUCAACACACAGACAAGAUAGUCUUGAACACCAUUGGUUCAUCACUUUUCUUCAUUGAUCUAGAUAUUCUGGAAGUAAAUUCAUACAAAUCAGUGUAAGUGUGUUUACUUUGUUUAAAAAAAUAUUAUAUGCUCUCACAAUAAAAGAAGGGCUAUUCUCACAAAAUUUAUGAACUAAUGUUCUGUUUUAACCUCUACAGCUUUUCCAAAUGCACAGAACCUCUAAAAAUACUGCCACCUUUUACAAAACAGGCCCGUGAAGCUCAAAUCUUGCAGACAGCGAAGGUCACAAUUGCAGACGCUGAAAUUUUCAUGCCAAAAUAUGAUGUGGAGGAUGAGAAAUUGUUUGCUGUUGUUCUCUUUUCAGUUUUGCAGGCGAUGAUCUUUUACCAAAUGUCGAGGAGCUUCCAUGGGACAUGCUCUAUGCUCUCGCUUCCCAGUUGCCUCUGUUGGGGUUGGAAAAGCUACAGAUCACAAUGUAAGUCAAAAACAGUAAAGUUCCCAAGAUGUUCUGUGCUGGAGCAGAUUUAAAGGUACGAAUUUUUAAUUUUUUUGUGAAGUCGAUGUUUUGUUUUAAAAGGAGUUAUAAUGGAUUGAUUGGACAAGUACAGAGUGUUUGUUUGUUUGGUUGAAUGUAAAAAGGAAUUGGAAGAAUGAUGAAAGUACUUGCAUUUGGUUGUAGUUGGUCAGGCACUGAAGGACCGGUCAAUACGAAGUGCAUCUGUGGGACAAUAGUUGAAAGAAGGCCAGAGCAGGAAGAGAAGGCAAGGUUUGUGAAGAAAAACAGUAAAAGGUCGUACCCAGUGCACAAGGCUCCCGCUUUACGCAAGGUCUGGGAGAGGUGAAUGUCGGCUAGCCUUACCCCCAUUCUGCUUUUGUUUAAUUAGAAGAAAUGUGCAUUUUUUUUUCCCAGUCAAAUUCUGCUUUUGUUCUGACUAUUUUCCUUACUGUAUGCUGAUUUUAUUAUUUAAUUUUUGGUUUUUCCUUGAUUGGCUUGGGAAUUACAAUCAAAUGAUGAAUCUUCAGUUUACUUGGGUAAGCAUUUUUUAACAUAUAAUUUAGCUGACCAUUUUAACUGUCAGACCAUGUUGUUUUUGGUUAUCUAAUCAUUCCAAGAUGGCAAGUUAGGAUUGGAAGGGUUGCUAGAAAUAAGGAUUAUAUCUUGGGACAUUCGGUGAGUGAUUUUUCAAACUUUCAGUUUUACAAGACAAAAUAUCUAUUUUUGUGUGUAUUCUUCAAGCAUGUUAUCAUUAUUUAGGUUGUAGGAAAAAAAGAGAGUGACUUGAGGUGUUUUUAGAUAUUUUUGUGUGUAUUCUUCACAAUGUAUUAAAAGCGCGAGGCGUGGGCGAGGCGUCCGAGGGAUAGCCCACGCCUCACGCCUUACGGGACCUAAAUUUUUUAAUAUAUACACUGAGCGUACACAUAUAUUAUAUUAAAAAAAAUUAUUAAUCAAUAAUCACCCUGAGCACACAUAUAUAUUAUAAAUACAUAUAUACACAUAUAUAUACAUAUAUAUACAUAUAUUAUGUUAUAUAUAUAUAUAUAAAAUAGAGGAUGAAAAGCACAAUGAGCACACAUAUAACAAUGCAUGCAGACAGCACACAAUAUAGUGCAAGGAAUAGGUAUGAGGUAGUUAAAACCCUACCCAAAAUCUGGGUUUGGGAGUAAAAAUAAAAAAAAAAAAAAAAAUUGCAUGAGGCGCGCCUAGACGGCUCCGACAACGCCUUCCGGCGCCUUCCGCCCACUCCCUCAAAACAAAGGCGGCAACCCUCAAGUCCAGCCUCACAGGGUGCCUAGGCGCACCCUGAGGUGAGCCUUUUAAAACAUUGAUUCUUCAAGCAUGCUAUCAUAAUAUUUGUAACUAUAAAAAAUAAUAUACUAUUAUACCUCUGUUUCUCUUUUCUUUGUUUUCAUGAGAAAUUAAUUGCCAUUGGCAGCACUAUAGAAAGCCAUCUUUCUCCAUUAUUCUCCGCUUCAUGCAUAAUUACAUAAUUCUACUAUCACAGUUGUCAGUCCUGAACAAUAAUGCAAGUCUAGUGGCAAAAACCACCUCAAUGAACAACUCACACACACACACAGACACUGAUCAUACAUCUCUAACUCUCUUUUUCAAAUAACACACUCUGAUCCAAAACAGGGUAAAUAAAAUGCACAUCCUUAUACAUUUCUAACUUUGUUUUUCGAAAUCCAAAAUAGGGUAUUCUAACUCUCUUUUUCAUUCAUUUCUUACAAACCAAUCAUACAUUUAAAAUAGGCUUUGAAUAAAAAUAGGGUAUAUAAUUAUAUACCUCAAAAUGCCUAGGAACCAACUUCCCCCUCCAACGAUUCAAAUUCUUGAAAUUGCCAACACAGUAAAUCCAUUAGUACUAUAUAAAUGAAAACACAAUUGAAACCCAUCAAACAAAACAAUCCCACAAUUUAAAUGAUUCAAUCCUACUACAAUUGAAAUUCACAGAAAGAAUGAAAAACCAGAACAAAACUGCAGCACCUAAAAAGUUGUCAUACAAAAAAAAACAUGGAAUGUAAAAAUAUGUUAAGAAAUCUAGUUCGUUAAUUUCCAGCUGCUAAGUGGCAUUAUGUAACUUUAGUAGUAUAACUAAUUAACUACUUAUCUGGUGGGUUGCACUUUUAUCCAAUUGGUAAGGAAAGGAAAAUAAAAAUCAACCCCUUGGUCUUAGUUGUGGCUGCAAAGUGCAGGCCACCACCAAGUCUCAGUGUUUGUGUUUUAGCAAAACACUUAAAUAAAUUAAAUUCUGAAACGUAAAUUAUAUUCCUAUAACUUUAAGAUGCACAUAUAGUAUUGUUGAAGUCGAACUGAAAGCACUGACAAUUCCAAGCAACAAAGCAGCAAUUAUUAAGAGCCAAAACUCAUUCCUAGUCUCCUCAUCCUGGUACUCAACUCCGUAAUCUUCUGUCAGCAUCAUUGACUGAAAUUAGGAGAGAAAAAGAAAAGGAAUUUCAGAAAUUGUCUAUGAAGCAAAGGAUACUGCAGUUACUUCAAGACAUGUAAAUUGCAUAUGUAUAAAGUAAUUUUCUACAUAAAGUAAUGAGGCAUAACUUUCUCUCUCCUCUUCAAACCCUAAACAGAGCAAAGCAAACUUUACAGAGAUUAGAAUGAGAACUGGAACUAAUCGAACAAUGACUGAAAAGUAACAUACUUGAGGAGUGAAUGAUUUAGUGUUUCCAUCAUCGGAAGCCGGAGUAAGUCGCUAAGAGAGGUCGCAAACAGCCCAAAGGGACAAACCCAGAUCCCCGGCCCCGAUCCAUACCCUUCCCCCUCAAAUCCCGACGGCCCCCAUACUUUUCUCUGACUGUACCCCCUCUCCCACUCAUGAAAUCGAGGAUCUGUCGCAAUGGUACUGAGAUCCCCACUCCUCCCUCUCCCUUUCUCUCUGUCGCUCUGUCUCCCUCUCCCUCUGUCUGUCUAUCUUUAUCCCAGAGCGGCAUGGCCUCCCAUCCCUGAAACCCUCACCGAAAGUUGGCAAUUUUGUAAAUAACUUGAAAUCCACCAACAGCAGGGGUAGAGAAUUGAAACAAACAUUUAGGCUCGUUCGAUAACCAUUUAGGCCAAAACUGAGCACACCUAAACCAUUCCUACUCGUGCCAAAUGUUAGUGGGGAAGCAAGAUGAUGACUUUAUUAUUCAAAACCAAAAGAAAAAAAGAGAGAAAACAAAAUAACAAAUGUAAUGGUUGUAGUGUAAAAGCUGAGAACGUAAAUAAACAUGCAGGGAAAAAAAUUGAAGAUACAAAGUAGCUGCAUCAUGAACACUUACUCCAAUUAGACGCAAAAAGUGAUGGUGAUGAGAAGAGAGAGAAAAUGCAGUCGUUUUGAUUUUUCUGGCUUUUAAAGGGAGCAGCUUUCUUCGACCACCAAAAAAAGGAAGCUGCUUUUCGUGUGGUUGUGAUUUCCUGAGUGUAUGUGAGCGGGUCUAUGGCACUUGCACUGUUUGUGUCGGUUACGGUAACCGGGCGAGCUGGACACGGCAGCGUGGGACUGAAUUCGGAGAGGUGAGAAAAAUUAAAAACACAAAAAGAAGGUGUUCAUUUUGUCACAUUUUUAUUACGAAAAAUUCAAUAAAGUACAUUCAUUAGUAUGGUAACUUAACUAUUUAAUUCCAUCUCAUUAAACUAAAAAAAACAAUUACAAAAAAAUAAGGAAAACCUUGUCCAGAGAGACCUGAGAGAAAGUGACGACUUCUCCUCUCAUUCAACUCCAUACUUGAUCUCUAAAGUCCAUUUGGCAUGUAAUUGAUGUUCACUUUCAAAUUUAGUGGUAGCAAUUAGCAAAGCUAAUGAAAGAAUCAAAUAAAAUGAAAGAAAAAGCAUCAUGAAAUAAAUCAAGAUGAAGAAUGAAAUUUUGGCAACUCGCCAUUCUCUUCUUUUAUAUAAAAGAUACAUCCUAUUUGUAGUGAAAACAGAUCCCGACAAACCCAGUUAUCCUCAAGAAGUAUUUUGUAUGACUUUAAAAACAUAAUCCGUGAAAUUAUCUCUUGGCUGAGAACAACAACAAAUCUUCAUGCAUAGCUUGUAGAGAAAGACAUCAGGCAUACAAAAGAACACGCAAGCAUAAAAUAAACGAAGCAGGGAAAACCAAAAAUACAAUUGAAUACGCUGUCAAAAGAACAUGAAUAAAUGAAAAUACCAAACAAAGCAGUGAUGAGAAACCAAAGUACCCAUUUCAUAAUCUAAUUGCUUUUUAGUUUGCUUGCCAUUUUUAGUUCUUCAAUUUAGAGAGACACCAUAAUUCAGCACAUGAAUAAAGUGAAAACGUAAAAGAUAUGUGGGAUAGGCUGACAGCCAUCCCUGAGUAAUGCAUUCACUUCUGAACCCCAAACACACUGAAACAAAAAUUCACACACAUGAACUACAGCUCCGCUUUGUAACAAGAAUUAAAAGCAUCUCAAAACAAAAUGGCAAACUAUAAGAGCAUUGUAAAAGUAAAAUUGCAAGAAAUCUAAUACUUGGAGGGCAAGUACUCAUCAGACGAAAAUGAAAGAUUGAACUACCUCGCGUGGAACUGUGCCUUGGUUUUUUCCCAUGCUUACAGGAAGCUUUGCACUGAGCUCUUAUAGUCCAAAUUUUCUCUGAAGGAAAAAAACACAAUUUUGAAAUAAGAUUUUCGUAUUAUACCUUAAAGAGAAGAAUUAGACAACAAAAUAGAGAACAAUGAGUACUAUUCAUCAUAUAUUGUUAGAGUAUGUGGCCCUCUGGUCCAAUGGUCCCGCAGCCAUAUUUCCUUUAUAACUCUUUCUUUUAAUCUAAAAAACAUCUUGAAUCUCAAAUUAGUAUGAAUACGGAUUCAUACUUUAUAACUAAAGAUCUUACUGCUCUUGAUAAGAUGAACAAUACGCCAUUUCUCGCAUGCAUUGCAUUACAAUCACAAUGCAACAUCUCAUUAGAAAUCCCCACACAAAUUUUUUUUAUUGCUACUUUGAUUUUAGUUUAUAUUUUUUCUGAAGCAUGAGGGAGCUAAUUUUUUUUUUUAAAUUUUUUAUUCCAAUAAUGUUAUAGGGAGGGUUGCAAGGAUAUUAUCAAUUGUAUUUGAUUGGUGGAACUUCUACAUCUAUAUUUUAGGUUUUCAAUUUUAGCACUGGGAGAGUCAUUCAUAAAAUGUUUGACAGUGAGAUUACCUCCAUGGACUAUGCUCACAAUGGACAGCUCAUUUUCCGCGGUGAUGGGACAAUAUAUUUCAGUCAUUCGCCAUUCAAUCAAUUCAAACUGAGGAACAUGCAACAUCAAGAAGAGGAUCUACCAUGUCAGGAUCACUAUCGUCCAAUUAAUACAAAAAAAUCUAGAUAAAAACGAUCAAUUUACAUAAAAGCCCUUCAUUUUCUCAGCAACCAAGCAAAAGAAAAUACCUAUCCGUUAAACACUCGAUUUGGGAGUAAAUGUUGCUGAAACUGGACUUCAAUCCCCUCAACCGCAACAACCGAAUCGAGGUGUGCAAGUCAUUGAAAAACUCACCCAAGAUUUCAAAAUCUGCAUAGAGAAAUAAAUAAGCACAUAAAUUAGCCCAACCCAUAAAUCAAAGAAAUCAAAAUCCACCCAGAAUCAAAGAAAUCAAAAUCCAUCCAGAACCAAAGAAAUCAAAAUCACACACAGAUAUGCAAGACAACGCAAAUUUGAAGCCUUACUUUUCGGGUAGCUUGGCGGCUGACAUGAGUCUUCUUCAGAGUUUCAUCCAUCCAUGGAUCCAUUUGGUCCGCCCGUCGCUUCUGGGUCGUACAAUCUUAAAAUCUGCAAAAUGAAUUUAAAGAAUCAAUUUUUACGAUUGAAAAGCCAAAAGUGCUACAAACUCCAAAUUGCUGAGAACCAAAGUGGAGUAACAGUUACAGGUCACGAGAUGAGAUGAGGACAUUGUCGGAUUUCAGGGCGAACCUGACUCUGGAAAUUGCAUCUCGGAUCGGGCUUUCGAACUUCAAAGGAGCUCCGCUCAUUGUGGUCCUUGCAGACCGAACUGGCCUAACAAUCAGCGAGAGAAAGGAGACGGCGGCAAGAUGAGGGAUACAAUGGAUGCGAGAUCGUCUGUAUCGUUCUCGCGGGGGGUUUGCAAGACGGACGAGGAAAGUAGGGUUUGAUGAGGCAUUGUCUUCGCGCGGGGUAUGUGUCCUUCCCAUUCCAUGAUUAUCAACACGUGUGCAUCAACAGAAGCGGCAGAGAGAGGCAUUAUUGUAAAUAAAGUGAAAUCGAAGGGCAAUGGCCCUUUUUUUUUUAAGGUAAUGGCAUGGCCAUAAAUAGAAUGAAAUCCAGAUCAAAACACUGUCAUUUGUACAGUACAAUUUCUCCAUCUUCUUUAGACUAAAGUAAUGUAUAUGUUAUACGCACCAACACAAGUCCUUCUUAGAUAAAUCCAAGCCAAACAAUUACAGACGAUAGUUAUUCACAAAAUCACUUUAAAGUAAGAAUUUAAUUAAUAAUACAUUACUGCACUUUCUUAACAAUUUGACUAUCACCUAGCUGACAAUGAACAUGUUAGCUAUGCGUUAGAACAUAUUGGGUUCAAUCCAUUGUCUUGAAUAUUACCCCCAGUCACAGCCGUCUCUUGGGGGCAUACAGAAGGCCUGAGAGGCAUUUGCAGACAUUCAACAUCUCCUCCAAGCAUUUCGACAACUUUGGACAUCGAAGGGCGAUCACUUGGUUUCAUUUGAAUACACCACAAGGCGGUUAUAACCACCUUUCUUAUCACUUUCUUUUCCUUCUCUGUAACAUUGUCUAUUUCCAAGUCAUUUCCCACAAAAUACUGAUCGUAUACCUACAGCGGGAAGUAGAUUUGGCUUGGAUGCUCUACCGUUGCAUUCAAAUUCUUCCUUAUGCUUGCCAUUUCCAUCAACAACAUUCCAAAACUAUAGACAUCGGCCUUGUAUGAGACACCUCCAAUAUUUUUGUAGAACAACUCAGGAGCAAUAUAUCUCAUUGUACCCCGUGCUGUCGUCAAAGAGACAAUGCUAUUAUCUACUGGAUACAAUUUUGCAAGCCCAAAGUCAGAAACCUUUGCUUUAAAGUUCUCAUCAAGAGGGAUGUUAUGAGGCUUGAUGUCAAAAUGUAGAAUUUUCAUUUUACAACCUUGAUCUAGAUAUUCGAUCCCAUGACUCCAAGAGAAAUCUUGUACAUAGUCUUGAUAGUUAAGGGAAGACUUCCUUCUUUGGAAUAAAUGUAUUUAUCAAAAGAGCCAUUAGGCAUAAAGUCAUAUAUUAGAGCGCGCUUUGAUCCCUCGACACAAUCACAAUCACAAUCACAAUCACAAUCACAAUCACAUUCCAACAUGGAAUCCUCAGACGACAUGCCUACUGCAGAACAAGUUUCAUCCUUACUUAACUUCUAUUUAGUCCACUUCCUGUUUAGAUUGUAAUCCUAGUUCUGCGUGUGUUUGUAUAGUACUCCUAUAAAUAUCAAUGAAAACCGCUCACUCUAAUUAGGAGUUGAGAUUCUGCAAAUCAUAUUUACUAUCUUUCAUGGUAUCACGAGCCAAGGUCUAACGACAACGGUUCCUGUUAUAAUUUUUUUCUCUUUUGUAGAUCCUAAACUAUGGCAUCUUCUUCCUCCUCCGAUGCUCCCUCCGUCACAAAUUUUCUUACGAUCAAGCUCGACCUCAACAACUACCCUCUCUGGCGUGCUCAAUUUCUUCCCUUGCUGCGCAGCCGCAACUUACUCUCUUAUGUUACUGGCGAAACUCAAUGCCCAUCUGCCUUUGUUCUUGAUGACAAUGGUAAAUUCACAGACAAAGUCAAUCCAUUAUAUAAUGAAUGGAUCCAGACUGACUAGAUGAUCCUAUCUUGGAUUACGAGUUCUCUUACUCCCAAGGUUCUUGCUACGAUCGUCAACAAAAUUGAUUCGACCUCUGCUUGGUUGUCAAACCCGAAUUAAUCUGAUUAUGGGGGUUUUAUUUUAUAUCAAUAUAUUGCAGCAGAAGUCGCACUUUGAAGAGUUCAUGCUGCACAGAAAGAUUCUUAAAUGCUACCUGUUGAGUCUAUCAUUGCUCCAUUGGAGACAGAGCUGAAGCUUGCUGCAGGAGUUAUACAUUUGUUAUGCAAUAUGACCCCUUUAAUUUUAUUUUAAAACUGAUACAAAAAUUUAUGUAGUAUUUUUGUAUCAGUUUUGAGUGUCUAUUUUGGCUUCCAUAUUUCGUCUGUACAUGUGAGAGGUAUAGCGUUCAAUAUGUAUUUGGUUUCUAUAUUGUUAAUGGAUCUUUUUUUUUUUAAGAUAACCAAGUUGCAGGAUGACAGCAGAACACUUGAUCUGUAGGUAAACCUUCAAUUUCCAUAUGAAGUUUGCAUGUUCGUUGUUUCUGGAAUUUGAGUUUUUAUUAUUUCUCAAUUCUAUCACAUAGAUUACGAUUUCACAUAUGGGAUUAUUAAUGGCAAUUAGAUGAUGGAAGAAUUGGGAUUGGAAGAAGAUAUUGAGUUGUUUAUUUAUGGGGAUUAGAAAAUUUUUAUCAUAAGUGUGGAUGCAAAUUUCUUCCUCCUUGAUCUUGGACAAAAUUGCACCUACAAAACAAUUAACACCUUAGGUCAAGGCCAAGAGCCUCACGCGCUCACGAUGAAGGGGGGGGCUUUGGUCGAAGAACCUCCGAUGCCAAAGUUAGAAUUUAGAGAGAAAAAGUGUUUGAGAAUUCUAGAGAAUUUUAGCAAGAGUUGCAACUAGGUUUUGGUGAGAAAUGUGGGGCUUUCUAUAGAGGAGUGGCCGGCCUCUUAGGGUGAGAAAGGACCGGUCACAUAGCCUAGUUUGUGGGUUUUGUUCAUGAUUUAAGAUGAUUUUGGGAGUUAUGUGAUUAAUUGACUAAUUAAUUAGGAAAACUAAUAAAAAGGGCUUGAAAACUUUGAGUUUUAAUGAUAAGGACAAAAUAAAGGGUAAAGUGAAUAGUACCAGGAUUGACUUUUUAGUGUAAAAAUGUGGUUUUUCGUUAAAAUGAACAGUACCGGGUGCUUUUCGUUAAAGUUCCCUAAUUAAUUUGGCGAAAUAAAAUUAUUACCAAAUGAAUUAGCUAAUUAAUGGGAUGAAAUGGGCAAAUAUCAAGAGAUAAACAAAACAUGACCAAUUCCUUUUCUAACAAUAGGUGGCCGGCCCUUCACUUGUUUUUGGGGUUGCAUGGAUGUUUUAAUUGACAAUUAAGGAAUUGAUUAGGCAAUUAAUCCCUUAAUUAGUCAAUUAUUAUGAUUUUAAAGGAAGAUUUUAGGAAAUAUGAAAGGAAUAUAUUAUUUAGCUAAUUGAUUAGCUAAAUGGAAUAAAUUAGGUUUUGGGAAUUACCUUAAAUGAGGAUGGAUGAGAUAAUUUGGAAUUGGUUACCUUUUUGGAGCAUUUUUGACUUGGUUAAGGAUGAUUGCCCGCUACUUGCGCAUAGGAAUCCCGUUAUACCUCAAGGGUAUUUUUGUCAUCUUUUACCCAAAAAACCACGUGUCACCUUGUGAUUAUUUUUGGCUCCACAAUACGAGUGAUAUUUAUUUUUGUGUGGAUUGUUAAUAUAUAAAACUAUAAGCUUUUGAGAUUGGGAGACAAAACCCACAAAUUCAAUUCAGACAAAAUAAAUAAAAAAUUUAACUGACUUAAAGAUCAAACUCCAAAAGGGUAUUAAAAACAAGGCUUAUUUGAUCCAUUGAGUGUGAAAGUUUUGAGCUUUGAAGAAGCAGAGGAGGAGAGUUGUUAACCAAGCUGCAUUAUCUAUGUAUUAGGAUGUUGAGGGUAGGCAGGAAAAAUACUUUUUGACGCCAAAUCCAGAGGAGCAUAACGACAGGCCUGCAUUUUUGCAGCAAGGACCAAAACAAGUAUAAGUGAAGGCUUGACUGUUUGGGUAUUAAUCCUAAACCUAAUUAUUCUUAUUUAGGUUUAGGAUAAAUGAUUGAGUGUGUCUCGAUGAUUGUAUUACUAUGUUUGAUGAAUGAUUUGAGGAGUUGGAAAUGGUUUAUUGCUUAUGUUUUUCUUAGGUGUGUACUUUGGUUAUUUCCGAGCUUUUCACGACUUUUGAUACCUAAUAAAGAAUAUGGAAACCCCAACUUCAAUUUUAUGAAUUGAUUUUGGUGCCUAAAAUGAAAUCUAGCAUAGUGAAAUCUUGCAUAAUGAAAUUAUGACAAAUUUCCCUUCAUCUUUAUAUUUUCAUUUAAUUCAAUUGGUAUGCAAUUUAGGGUUAUUCAAUUCAUGAGUGAUCAAAUUAUGUUUUUAAUUCCUUCUUUUGAUUUACAGUUCAACAUUGUCGUACAAAAUGAAAAAGGCGCCAGUAACAGAGUUAUGGAUUUGGAUGCCUUUAGUGGAAUAAAACUGAAUUUUUUAACUUUGUAUAGUUGUAAACAUAAAAUACUCCAUGAGGUAGACUCAUAGCUUUUGAAAACAAUCCUUGAGGAUGGCAUAACAACAUCUCCAACUUUUGUCAUGUAAUGUAUGAAUGUAAAUAGCACUUCGUAAACAUAUGGAUGUAAUAUAUGUAUAUAAACACUCUUUAGCAUGUAUAUUUUUCAAAACUUUCUACAUCUUCAACAAUGUUUCAAUGAUUUCUUGAUGUAAACAAUGAUAAUUUGAAGAACCAUUUAAAGUAUUUUGGUAAUCAUCAUACUUAAGCUUAAAUGUGAUAUAUCCGUUUAUUAUUUUUUAUACAGUGAUAAUACUCAAGUAUAAUUUACAUCAUAUAUCUUUUGAAGUACAUGAAACUAUGAAGAAAAAACCCUAAUUAAUCUGAUUAUGGGGGUUUUGUUUUAUAUCAAAAUAUUGCAGCAGAAGUCACACUUUGAAGAGUUCACGCUGCAUAGAAAGACGAUGAAAUGCUAUCUGUUGAGUCCAUCAUUGAUCCAUUGGAGACAGAGCUGAAGCUUGAUGCAGGUGGUAUACUUUUGUUAUGCAAUAUGAUCCCUUUAAUUUUAUUUUAAGACAUAUAGGGUUGAAAAAAAUUUAUGUAGUAUUUUUGUAUCAGUUUUGAGUGUCUAUUUUGGCUUCCAUAUUUGGUCUAUACAUGUGAGGUAUAGAGUGUUCAAUAUGAAUUUGGUUUCUAUAUUGUAAAUGGAUCUAUUUUUUUUUUAGGUAACCAAGUUGCAGGAUGAAAACCGAACACUUGAUCUGCAGGUAAACCUUCAAUUUCCAUAUGAAGUUUGCAUUUUCGUUGUUUCUGGAAUUUGAGUUUUUGCAGGAUGAAAACAGAACACUUGAUUGGUUAUUUCCGAGCUUUUCAUGACUUUCGAUACCCAAUAGAGAAUAUGGAAACCCCAACUUUAAUUUUAUGAAUUGGUUUUGGUGCCUAAAAUGAAAUCUAGCACAGUGAAAUCUUGCAUAAUGAAAUUAUGACAAAGUUCCCUUCAUCUUUAAAUUUUCAUUUAGUUCAAUUCGUAUGCAGUUUAGGGUUAUUCAAUUCAUGAGUGAUCAAAUUAGGUUUUUAAUUCCUUCUUUUGAUUUUCAGUUCAGCAUUGUCGUAUUUUGGAUGCCUUUAGUGGAAUAAAACUGAAUUUUUUUAACUUUGUAUAGUUGUAAACAUAAAAUACUCCAUGAGAUAGACUCAUAGCUUUUGAAAACAAUCUUUGAGGAUGGCAUAACAACAUCUCCAACUUUUGUCAUGUAAUGUAUGAAUGUAAAUAACACUUUGUAAACAUAUGGAUGUAAUAUAUGUAUAUAAACACCACUCUUUAGCAUAUAUAUUUUUCAAAACUUUCUACAUCUUCAACAAUGUUUCAAACCCCGCAGCAACGGGCGGGUACACUUGCUAGUAUACAUCUAAAAUUAUAAGACUAAAUCCUUUAGUUCUUGGAUUCAUCUAAGAACUACUUAUUCAAGCAGAUGCUAUGCUUGCACUACUAGAAUUUAUGGCUUGCCCUGUCAACUAUUGCGCGACAGAAGAUUUCGUCGGUUUCACCUUUUUUAACCGACAAAAUAUAAGUUUAGUAAGGCAAAAUCAGUCAACAAACUUGGUUUACUGAAUAGAUUUACAGGAUGUUUAGAGUUCGUAGGUUAAGACAUCAGUCGUUGGGCAAACAUUUGGAGCGAAGAUGUGAGUGUUUUAACUGACGAAUAAGCUGGUCGUCAUGUAGAUCUUCUUUCCCGACUGACGGUUCAACGGGUAGCUCUUUGGAUAACAAAUCAUCUUCAAGGGGAACAGGUUGCCCCUCAGAUGAAUGGUUAGAGGCAAUUGUGAGACUAUAAUUUUCUAGGGCCGGAAAAUCUGUAACCAUCCACCAAAUACCCCUUCUUCCCUUUCUAUUUCUCUCUCAGUAAUUUCCCCUGACCUAAUCACACAAUCCAACCAACUCUUUUUAAGCCUCCCUCAUUGAUUCCAUGGAUUUCAUGGACUUAUCCCACCCUCUCUCCUUCCCUCUAUAUAUAGCAAGUCCCCUUGCCUCAGUGUCCCUGGCAACAGAAUUUAUGGUGUGUCUUCGUUCUUUCAAUUAUUUGAAAGCUUUCCUGCCCUGCAGUCUUGUACAAAGGCGUAUGGUGUUUCAUCAGUUCCAUUUGGUGGUUGGGUGGGAAAUGAAAUUAAAACAUUGAUUUCAAAUGGUCUAAACCAAAUUGAAUCAAAUGUGAAGCAAAGGGCAAAAGGUGUAGAUUGAAGAACAAUGGCACCAAGAGCGAAAUUGAACUUGUUGACAGGAGGAAACCAAGUAACGAUAACGCGUCUAAAUCUUAUUUCGAAUCCAUUCAGCUUAUGAUGUUUUUAAUGAUGAUGAUCUGUAUACUUUGCUACAUGCUGUGAUUUUUUCGCUUUCAUGUAAUUAACGGCUUAUAUUUAUGGUAAAGAUAUUGAUUAAUUUUGAGAAAUGACAGUCUAAUUUUUGCAACUGUCUUUUGCAGGCAAAACAAAGACGUUUGCAAGGGUGAGUUUUGUAGGACCGGUGUUUAGCUUUGUUUCAUGUCCAAAGGACACUUGAGAAUAAAUGUUUACUCAUGGAUAAUAUCUAUCUAUUUGCAUGAGCAACCCUGGGUUCAUUUGUUCUGUUACUGCUGGUCAUUGCGGCAUAUCACGCCUACAGCACUGACAAAGUAAAAAGAAAAUCGAAUGAAAUUUGGUAAGAUUUUAGCGGACUACAAAGAUCUUAAGCCAAUCAUAUAUUCCCAUGCAGAUAUUAAGAGGUUUACAAAUCAAUUCAAGUACAAGUUGGGCCAAGGAGCAUACAUAACUGUUUUUAAAGGAAAGCUUUUUUCUGAAUGCUUUGUUGCCAUGAAAGUACUUAACAUUUCCAAGGGUGACGGGGAAGAGCUUGUAAAUGAAGUGGGGAACAAUGGGCCAUAUUCACCAUGUCAAUGUGGUUCACUUGGUUGGUUUUUGUGCUGAUGGAUUUAGAUGAGCUCUGGUUUAUGAGUUCUUUCCCUUUGGUUCACUUCAGGAUUAUAUGUCAUCAGUAGAUAGAUUUCUUUCCUUGGUUGGCAUAAGUUGCAAGAUAUUGCUAUCAACAUAGCCAAAGGAACCAGGGAUGUGAUCUACAAAUCCUCCAUUUCGAUAUCAAACCCCAUAAUGCUUUGCUCGACCAAAAAAUCACGCCAAAAAUCUCUGAUUUUGGUCUGGCCAAGUUAUGUUCCAAGGAUCAAUCAGUGUGACUAAAGCAAGGGGGACCAUGUGACUAAAGCACCUGAAGUGUUUUCCAGGAAUUUCGGAAAUGUGUCUUACAAGGUAGAUGUCUUGAAUGUUGCUGCUUGAAAUGGUAGGAGAAAAGAAGAAUAUUGGUUCAACCAGAGGACACGACAAAUGAAAUCUACUAUCCAAAAUGGAUUUAUAAUCUUCUAGAGGAAGGAAUGACCAACAGAUCCAUAUUGAGGAAGAAUGUUAUGGUAAGAUUCCAAAGCAACUUGCAAGUUUAGGGCUCUGGUGCAGCCAGUGGCACUUGGUGGAUCGGCGGUCCAUGAAAACGGUGGUUCGGAUGUUAGGAGGAUGAGAAAACUUGAUGAUGCAAGCAACCCUAAAAGCCUCAUACAAUUAAAAGUAAUUGCUGAAUUAGAGUAACAUAUGUAUAUGUAUACGCACCAACACAAGUCGUUCUUAGAUGAAUCCAAGCCAAACAAUUACAAACAACAGUUAUUCACUAAAUCACUUUAAGGCAAGAAUUUAAUUAAUAAUACAUUACUGCACUUUCUUAACCAUUUGACUAUCACCUAGCUGACAAUGAACACGUUAGCUCCGCGUUAGAACAUCUUGGGUUCACUUCAUUGUCUUGAAUAUCACCCACUGUCACAGGCGUCUCUAGGGGGCAUAGAGAAGGCCUGAGAGGCAUUUGCAGACAUUCAACAUCUCCUCCAAGCAUUUUGACAACUUUGGACAUCGAAGGGCGAUCACUUGGUUUCAUUUGAAUACACCACAAGGCGGUUAUAACCAUCUUUCUUAUUACUUUCUUUUCCUCCUCUGUAACAUUGUCCAUUUCCAAGUCAUUUCCCACAAUAUACUGAUCGUAUACCCAUAUUGGGAAGUAGAUUUGGCUUGAAUGCUCUACCGUUGGAUUCAAAUUCUUCCUUCUGCUUGCCAUCUCCAUCAACAACAUUCCAAAACUAUAGACAUCUGACUUGUAUGAGACACCUCCAAUAUUUUUGUAGAACAACUCAGGAGCAAUGUAUCCCAGUGUACCCCGUGCUGCCGUCAAAGAGACAAUGCUAUUAUCUACAGGAUACAAUUUUGCAAGCCCAAAGUCAGAAACCUUUGCUUUAAAGUUCUCAUCAAGAAGGAUGUUAUGAGGCUUGAUGUCGAAAUGUAGAAUUUGCAUUUCGCAACCUUGGUGUAGAUAUUCGAUCCCUUGAGCCACUCCAAGAGAAAUCUCGUACAUGUUCUUGAUAGUUAAGGGAACACUUCCUUCUUUGGAAUAAAUGUAUUUAUCAAGAGAACCAUUAGGCAUGAAGUCAUAUACUAGAGCUCGUUUUGAUCCCUCAACACAGUAUCCAACAAGUUGCACCACAUUGGCAUGGUGAAUCCUUCCGAUUGUAGCUAUUUCGCUAAUGAAAUCUUGGCCAUCAGCUUUGGGCUUGCCCAAAACUUUAACUGCUACAAAUCGACCACUGCGUAGCUUUCCCUUAAAUACAGAGCCAAAGCCACCUUCGCCCAACUUGUCCUUAAACGUGCGAGUCAUUUUCUUGACGUCCGAGUAAGAGUACCUUAUAGGCAUGAAGUUGUUAUUGCAUUGCAGAAAAUCUUCUAUUGUGUUAUACAUUGAUAAAUGUCUUCUGCGCCAUGUGUAGAUUAGAAAUGCAGUCACAACUGGAACUCCAAAAACAAAUCUGGCUAGGAAAAAUAACCCUGCAUGCAUGGACAUUAAUAUGUUAGAUCCACUGCGUACUACUUUUUCUUCCCUUUCUUUCCAAAUUACUUUGUCUUUGAUGUAAUUAAAGAGAGAGAAUGAGAAAUCUACAUAUGUUGAUAAUACAAUCUCAUCUUAGUCCUUACCGAUGCAUAUGAGUAUAAACCAUCCACGUACUGCAACAAAAUCAAUCGACUAUGAGUUUGAAAAGUGCAUAAAGUGAAAAAUAAAUAAUAAAUAAAAUCAAAGGGUGCCUUUAUUGACACCCAAAUUUUAGUUAGUUUUACUCAACUAAAAAAUUUUUGUCAUCAAACUUUUUAAUUUGCCGUUGAAAUUGAGUUCACCCAACCCACAAAGCAGCAACUACCACUCACCAAAAAAACCAACAACACACACCCACCACUCACCAAUAGAAAGAGAAUGAACACACAGACCCACAAAGAGCUGGCAUCGACGCUGUCGAUGAGGGAGGGACCAGAGGAUGGUGUAGUUUUGUCUAGCGCGCGGUAGUGGUUUUGUCUGUUCAUUUUCUCUUUCUUUUGGUAGGUGGAGGCUGGUGUGGAUUUGGGCGAACUUAAAAAUGAGGGGAAACUAUGAAGUUUGACAAAAUGUUUUAGUUAGGGGAACUUAACUAAAAUUUGGGUGCCGAUAAAGAUACCCAAUAUCAAAAAUACUUGAGCGUAUAGACUAAUUAAAUGAAGUUGAUCAAGUUUGUCUCGAUCGAAAACUUGUAAAUAAAACAAAAAGAGGACCCCUUACCGAUUUGUUGCCAUAUAUAUUGAAAGAAACCUACAAAAACAAAGAAAGAACAAGACUACAUGCAUUAGCAUAACAAGAGUGAGGUGUAUAAGCCGUUAGAAAAUAAAUUUAAAAUUCUAGUGCUGUCAAUACAUUGAUAAUAUAUAUAUAUAUAUAUAUAUAUAUGUAUUAUUUUUUCUGAAAAUUUAACUUUUUCCCUCCAAACUCAUUUUUCUAGUCUCUAGCCCAUCAUAUAAUAUUUAUCCGAAUAAAACCAAAUGAUUAGGAUCCAACUAAGAAACUUACCAAAUUAAGUUUGUGUGUCCAUUUUUAUAUUUUUUGGAUCCCUAAUAUACCCCAUCUAAGUCAGUAUGGAAAGUUCUUGUAAUUUUGCUUUAAGUGAUCACGUGCAUUGAAUUUGGCAAUGUCUUGUAGCCAUGAAAUAUGGUUGUAGAUGGAGGAAUUAAUUUGGAAUUUUUUUUAAUUUCAACAACAAAUUUAGUGUUAUUUUCAACAAUAUCUAUUGUUUAAUUUUAUGAAAAUAAUUUACCUAAUAUGAAAAUUAAUUUUAUGAAAACAAUAUCUAUUGUUUUAUUUUAUACCUACAGGAUAAUUACAUGAAAAUAGUUUACCUACUAUGAAAAUUAAUUUUUUGAAAGCAAUAUCUAUUGUUUAAUUUUAUGAAGAUAAUUUACCUACUAUAAUUACAUGAAAAUAGUUUACCUACUAUGAAAAUUAAUUUUUUGAAAGCAAUAUCUAUUGUUUAAUUUUAUGAAGAUAAUUUACCUACUAUAAUUACAUGAAAAAAUUUACCUACUAUGAAAAUUAAUUUUUUGAAAACAAUAUUAUUGUUUAAUUUUAUGAAAAUAAUUUACCUACUGUAUAAUUACAUAAAAAUUAAUGUGCCUACUUUUUAAAUUUGUAACAAAAUUAAUUUACCUACUUUUUAUGGUAUUAGUAUACAUAAAUGUAGAAUAUAUGUCCGUAUAUAUUUGAUCUAAUUAGGUUUUGGAUUGGAGGAGUUGACACAAAAUUAUAAAUAUGUUAAACAAAUUUAUCAAUUCUAAAGUUGGAGGGGAAUUGGUCUGUACAUUGCUACAGUAAACAAAUGCUACUCAAUUUCACGUUAUUUACAACAAAGCUAUCAGAUUUGGGUUGGGUUGGAGGGUAAUUUGUUAAAAGUUAGGAGGGUAAUUUGUUAAAAGUUAGGAGGGUAAUUUUGUGCAUAGGGUUUAGGUGCCCUCCUAUACAUGACCCUUGAUUUUACUUUAUUUACACCACUGCCAUCAUAUAUGUGGCUGAAUUGGGGGGGGUAUUAUUAAAAGUUAAGAGGGUAGUUUUGUUCAAGGAAGAAAAUAUCGGUAAUAUCGGAAAUAUCGGUAGUCCGAAAACACGGAAAUAUCGAUGGAAAUAUCGGGAUAAUAUCGAUAUCGAUAAAAAUUACAUGGAAACCACGGAAAUUGUAAGAAAAACUUGGAAAUUUUUAUUGAAAUUUUGCAGGAUGUUUAUUUAGUCAAUUAUCUAUUAGUUUAUCACAAAAAAUUGGAAGGAAAUGCAUUGCAUGAUGGAUUUAACUUAUUUAAGUUGAUUAUAUAGCGAGCUGACAAACAUUGUGAGUGUAGAAAAUAUGUAGUAAUUAAUGAAAGAAGUUUAAACUUUAUAUAUAAUGACUUAGUACAAUAUUUUACACUUUAUACAUUGCAUGGUAAGAUACAUGAGUUACACAAACAACGGGAAAUUAAUGAGAAAACCCUUCCCAAAACGUCAGCACCCGCUUUUUUAAAUAACUUAUAUAAUGAACCUGUCUGGAUCACUUGUUCUAAUAUAUAAACACAAAACAAUACUAUUUGUAUCACAUUUUCUGACAAUCUCAUUGACCGCUUUUAAUUAAUAAAUUGGUCUCAAGUCUAGUUUCCUAAGAAUUUGUUUGUUUGGGCUCAUCUUUGUUGUAAUAACUUAAUUGGGCUUAGAGUUUUAUUGGGUUUACCUAGCCCGUGCGAGCUCAUCUUUGUAUUUAUUUGACGGAUACCCCGAUUUGUUAUGGCAAAAGCAACCACGCAGUCGACGCCCGAAAACCCUUCCCUCUCUCAUUUGGUCUUCGUCUGUUUUCCCGCAUCAUCCAACAGGUGGACUCGGCGCUUCUCUCUCUCUCCCCCCUCUUCGCCCUCUCCACCAAACCCUAACCCCCCAAAUUCCAACCUUCCACCAUUCAAUCCAACCAAAAUCCCCCCAAUCGGACCCCUACCCGACCCAGUUCAUCUCCGAUUGCCUCCAAUUCCACUCCGCCCCGACCCAUUUCUUCAAAAUUCCAAUUCCACUCCGCCCCGACCCAGUUCCUUCAAUUUCUCAGGUAGGUAAGCUUCGGGUUUUUCUUUUUAUAUUCUAGAUCGAAGCGUAGAUGUGAAAUUGAAGUUAUAUGUCGUGUUUUUGCAAGGUUUUUGGGAUGAAAUCGACUCGGGAAUAAGUACACCCAUCUCCGGCGAGGCUAGGGGGUAGUUUUACAGUCGACCGGAGCUGUAGAAGCUCCAGCGUUCGUCUCCGACGUGCACAGUUCCGAAAUUUCGCGAUAAUAUCGAUAAUAUCGCGAUAUUAUCGAUAUUAUCGCGAUAUUAUAACGAAAACACCUUGGAUACCAUUUAAAAUAUCGGUUCGGGAAAAAACCGAUAAUAUCGGCGAUAUAUCGCCGAUAUUAUCGAUAUUUUCUUCUAUGGUUUUGUUCAAGGGGUGGGGGCGACAUUCGCAGACAGGGCGAUUGGAGCCAUGCCCAUGCCCAUUGCACAGAGAGAAAGGGAGUGAUGGGGGAAAUUACAGACAGAAAGGGAAGGGAUGGGAGGAUUUGAUGGAUGGUCACAGAGAAAGAUUCGGUGAGGGAUGUGAGGGGAGAUUACAGAGAGAUAAAUUAAAGGGGGAUCGGGGGAUUUGAGGGAUGGUCAGAGAGAGAAAUAGUGACGAAGGGAGGGAUGGGGGGGCUAAUUUUCGGUUCCUCCUUCAGAUUUGUUCCGUAAAACUUGUUGGGUACAAUUCAAUUUCCUCCCCCUUUCCCCUGAACGAAAAAUUCGAAACCUACAAUUCAAUUUCCUCCCUUCUUGGCUUUCCGCUUUACUCAUCUCCCGGUGGUUCUUUCUCUCCAUACGAUUCGAUUUCGGUGAGUUCUUCGUUGCCCUCAUGAUUUCCCAGUUUGAUUUUUUGAGCGUCCUUAGUCGUCGUUUUUAUCUGGGUUUAUUGCAUGGUUGCUUUUAGUUUAUGGAUUUUUAUUUUUUCCGCGGUUUGAUGAAUCGUGGUUAAUAAUUUCACACCAUGGGAUUUUUGCACUUCUGAUGGAAUUGAGCGCAGGGAUUCGGGGUGGGGUUUUACUGAUAGUUUGUCUUCAUUCAAAUGAAUGGUUAAAAUUUCUGAAGUGAGUGUGCAGGUGGGCCCGUUCACUAACUAAGCUUUCAAGGGAACCCAUCAACGGUUUGCUUGCUGGGGAACUCGGAGACUACUAUGAUUUAGUUAUCAUUUAUUUUUUUACUUAAUUUUAUCCAUAUAUAAUAUGUGGGUAAAUUUACACUAAACAAUUGUGAUAAGCCAAUAUGCCAAACGACUUUGAAAGCAUUGAUUUUGUGUAUAGUUUGCAUUUUUGCAUUGUGAAUGUUGAAUUUUGUGUUUAAUUUGGAUUUUUGUGUUUGAAUUUGUAGCAUGAUCUUCCGCUGCAGCAUCCAAAUUUUGUAUUUGUAAAUUGUCAAAGAAAAACGAACAACAACAACAACAACAACAAAGCCUUUUCCCACUAAAUGGGGUCGGCUAUAUGAAUCCUAGAACGCCAUUGCGCUCGGUUUUGUGUCAUGUCCUCCGUUAGAUCCAAGUACUCAAGUCUUUUCUUAGGGUCUCUUCCAAAGUUUUCCUAGGUCUUCCUCUACCCCUUCGGCCCUGAACCUCUGUCCCGUAGUCACAUUUUCGAACUGGAGCGUCAGUAGGCCUUCUUUGCACAUGUCCAAACCACCGGAAUCGAUUUUCUCUCAUAUUUCCUUCAAUUUUGGCUACUCCUACUUUACCUCGGAUAUCCUCAUUCCUAAUCUUAUCCUUUAUCGUGUGCCCAUACAUCCCACGAAGCAUCCUCAUCUCCGUUACACCCAUUUUGUGUACAUGUUGAUGCUUCACCACCCAACAUUUUGUGCCAUACAACAUUGCUGGCCUUAUUGCCGUCCUAUAAUAUUUUCCCUUGAGCUUCAGUGGCCUACGACGGUCACACAACACCCCGGAUGCACCCUUACACUUCAUCCAUCCAGCUUGUAUUCUAUGGUUGAGAUCUCCAUCUAAUUUUCCGUUCUCUUGCACGAUAGAUCCUAGGUAGCGAAAACGGUCACUUUUUGUGAUCUUCGCUAGAUUGCUCCGGUCAUUAGUGUGGAUAAGUAUAUAAAUGGAUAGAAUUAGGAAAGCAAACACAAGAUGUACGUGGUUCACCCAGAUUGGCUACGUCCACGGAAUAGAGGAGUUCUCAUUAAUUAUGAAGGGUUUACACAAGUACAUAGGUUCAAGCUCUCCUUUAGUGAGUACAAGUGAAUGAUUUAGUACAAAUGACAUUAGGAAAUAUUGUGGGAGAAUGAUCUCGUAACCACGAAACUUCUAAGUACCGGAGUGUGGUAUCGUUUUGACUUGCCUUAUCUGUCUCAUAGGUAGAUGUGGCAUCUUCUCUGGAAGUACUCUUCCUCCAUCCAGGGGUGGUAUCUGUAACUGGUGGAGAUGCACAAGGUAAUGUAUCAAUUUCACUUGAAGCUUACUUGUAGUUUCAGGCUUGGUCAAGCGCGAUACAAACCAUGUAGUAGAAGUCCCCCAAGUCGCCGGGCUAAGGGAUCUGCUGAAAGAGGUGACAGACAAGGUAAGCAAUCAGAGCUCCAGCUGAUUGUUCACAUUCUCCCUAUCUUGCAGGCAGCAUGAAGGAUAAAGAGAAGAAAAAUGAGAAGAGAUGAUAUGGGAUACUUUUGCUUUUAAAGAAGUAACUUUCCACAGGCUUAUUCUUGAACCGGGCUGUAGGGUUUUCUGGUUUCCUCUAGAGUAUAAGGCCGAUUGAAGAAUUUGAGGGUCAAAACAAGUCCAUCAAAUCUAGAGUACGUUCGACCCUGCUGAUAUGGGAUACUUUUGCUUUUGACAGAGUAGUGGAUGUAUCGGCACGUGUGCUGUUACGCUUGUCUCCACAUGCUUCCUUGUAUCCUUCUCACUUGCCCUAUCUGUUCCUCAGGCAAAUGCGGUAUCUUCCCUGGAAGCAUAAGAUGUUGAAGAUGAGUACUCCAGAGCAAUGACAGGUAAGUAAUCAGGUAAGGGGUUCCAGGCAGUCAGUUCCUGGCUCGAAGCUUGAUUCCAAGUGCUGACUGAUUGCUCUCGUUCUCCUUGUCUUGUAGGUAAGAACAAGGCCAAAGGAAAAGACAGGGAAAAAGCAUGAUAUGGGAUACUAUUGCUUUUAACCCUGAUGAUAUGAGAUAGUCUUGCUCUAGUAUAGCUUGUUUACAGAGGUAUUAUCGGGGGGAAAGAAAGCUGAAUAUUUCGAAAGGCUUCGUUGGGAGUGCCCUAUUAGAUAAGAGAAAGGGUUGAGUAUUUUUGCAGGUCUGCCUGUCCGUUAGGGAUGGAGGUCGACAUAUAUAGGAGUCUCCCUAACAUAAAGUAAUAAUGUUAUUCCUUUACCCUGCUUGGUCAUAACACGGUAGUGGGAGCUACCAGCCUCACAUGUUUUAACUCUGUCAGAGCACUUUGAAAAGGUGGUCUGUGGUAUCUGGAAAGAUGAUGUUGCGUGUGAAGAUUACAGACAAGCUUUAUCCAAGGAGAUCCAGCUCUUGAAGUUGGGAAAGUGGUGCCUCUUCGGUUUUCGAACAAGCAAUCCUGUCGGGGAUCUGGCUCUCGAGAUUCGGAGAACGAUGCCUCUUCAAUUUUUGAGAAAGCGAUCAUGCUGGGGGUCUGGCUCUCGAGAUUCGGAGAGCAGUGUCUCUUCGAUUUUUGAGAAAGUAAUCAUGUUGGGAGUCUGGCUCUCGAGAUUCGGAGGGCGGUGCCUCUUCGAUUUUGGAGCAAGCAAUCUUGUUAUGAGUGUUUUCUCGAAUGUGAGUAAAGGUUGGGCAUGUUUGCUAGUCUACCUUGCCACGAAGCACAGAGGUUGACACACAGGGACUUUCCAAUUAUCCAGCAGUGGUACUGUUCAUUUACCCUCUCUUCGAUUUUUGAGAAAGUAAUCAUGUUGGGAGUCUGGCUCUCGAGAUUCGGAGGGCGGUGCCUCUUCGAUUUUGGAGCAAGCAAUCUUGUUGGGAAUGUUUUCUCGAAUGUGAGUAAAGGUUGGGCAUGUUUGCUAGUCUACCUUGCCACGAAGCAUAAAGGUUGACACACAGGGACUUUCCAUUUAUCCAGCAGUGGUACUGUUCCUUUACCCUCUUUUCGAUUUUUGAGAAAGUAAUCAUGUUGGGAGUCUGGCUCUCGAGAUUCGGAGGGCGGUGCCUCUUCGAUUUUGGAGCAAGCAAUCCUGUUGGGAGUGUUUUCUUGAAUGUGAGUAAAGGUUGGCAUGUUUGCUAGUCUACCUUGCCACGAAGCACAGAGGUUGACACACCGGGACUUUCCAAUUAUCCAGCAGUGGUACUGUUCCUUUACCCUUGUGGGUAAUAAUAUGGUAGCUAGACCUUCAAAAUUUAUAUGUCUAAACUUUGUUAGUGUUGUUUCUUUGCAAUUCUUUUACCCUUCUUGGUCAGAGCGAUGUAGCGGGAGCUGCAAGCUUCACGUGUCUCAACUGUCAGAGAACUUUGGCAAAGUUAUCUGUGGUACCCAUGAGUUACUGUUGCGUAUGGGAAGUGGGUGAUUGAACAAUACGAUUCAUGUGCUUUCUACUUCGCCAGAAAUCUUCGACAGAAUGCCCAUAAUUUCCGCAAAGCUGAGUGUGCGUGUGACAGGUGCUGACAAGGCUGGAAAAGUAGGUGCCUCUUCGAUUUCUGAGAUCGGCCUUUGUGGUUUCUUAGCAGCCCAGCUUUUGAGAAAGCAAGCCUCUUCGAUUUCUGAUAUCGGCCUUCGUGGUCUUUGAGCAGCCCAGCUUUUGAGAAAGCAAACGCCUCUUCGAUUUCUGAGAUCGACCCUCGUGGUCUCUGAGCAGCCCAGCUUUUGAGAAAGUAAACGCCGCUUCGAUUUCUGAGCAGGCGCCUCUUCGAUUUCUGAAGCUUCGUCGAGUGCAGAUUUUUAUAGGGGCUGACAUUAAGUUCCAAAGCACACUUGAAUAUCCACCAGUAGAAGCUCCAUUCUUGUACUUCUAAGAUCUUGAUUUGUCCGACCUCUUCUCUCUUCAACACCUUUGAAAAUGUCUGGCCCCUCCGACCGUCGUUUUGACUUGAACCUUGUUGAAGAGGCAGCCCCGCCUUCUCCAGACAACAUAUGGCGCCCAUCAUUCGUCUCCCCUACUGGUCCUCUUACCGUUGGGGAUUCCGUGAUGAAGAAUGAUAUGACCGCUGCGGUAGUGGCCAGAAACCUUCUCACUCCCAAAGAUAACAGACUACUUUCCAAACGGUCUGAUGAGUUGGCUGUUAAGGAUUCUUUGGCUCUCAGUGUUCAGUGUGCAGGUUCUGUGUCUAAUAUGGCCCAACGCCUAUUUGCUCGAACCCGCCAAGUUGAAUCAUUGGCGGCUGAAGUGAUGAGUCUCAAACAGGAGAUUAGAGGGCUCAAGCAUGAGAAUAAACAGUUGCACCGGCUCGCACAUGACUAUGCUACAAACAUGAAGAGGAAGCUUGACCAGAUGAAGGAAUCUGAUGGUCAGGUUUUACUUGAUCAUCAGAGAUUUGUGGGUGGGUUUGUUCCAAAGGCAUUUAUUGCCUUCGUCUUCUGGGGCUGUACCGCGUAAUGAAGCUCCAAAUGAUCAACCUCUGAUGCCUCCUCCUUCUAGGGUUUUGUCCAGUACUGAGGCUCCGAAUGAUCCCCCUCUGGUGCCUUCUCUUUCUGGGGCUCUACCGACUACUGAGACUUCUCCUAAGCAACCUUUGUGAAGGCUCCCUCUUGUUUGUUUAUUUUGACUCAAGUAUAUGUACAUAUUUGUAACUUAUCGGGGAUAUCAAUAAAUAAGCUUUCCUUUAUUUCAACGUAUUGUGUUAAAUACACCAAAGCCUUCUUCGCUAAGUUCUUUGAAUUUUCUUUUGUUGAAGCUUGUAUGUUGAAGCUUUGUGAGUGAAGCAUGCAGGUUGAGGUAGUGUUCCCUUAAUUUCCCGAGUGAGGAAAACUUCUCGGUUGGAGACUUGGAAAAUCCAAGUCACUGAGUGGGAUCGGCUAUAUGAAUCUUAGAACGCCAUUGUGUUUUGUCCUGUGUCAUAUCCUCCGUUAGAUCCAAGUACUCUAAGUCUUUUCUUAGGGUAUCUUCCAAAGUUUUCCUAGGUCUUCCUCUACCCCUUCGGCCCUGAACCUCUGUCAUAUAGUCGCAUCUUCUAAUCGGAGCGUCAGUAGGCCUUCUUUGCACAUGUCCAAACCACCGUAACCGAUUUUCUCUCAUCUUUCCUUCAAUUUCGGCUACUCCUACUUUACACCGGAUAUCCUCAUUCCUAAUCUUAUCCUUUCUCGUGUGCCCACACAUCCAACGAAGCAUCCUUAUCUCCGCUACACCCAUUUUGUGUACGUGUUGAUGCUUCACCGCCCAACAUUCUGUGCCAUACAGCAUCGCCGGCCUUAUUGCCGUCCUAUAAAUUUUUCCCUUGAGCUUCAGUGGCAUACGGCGGUCACACAACACGCCGGAUGCACUCUUCCACUUCAUCCAUCCAGCUUGUAUUCUAUGGUUGAGAUCUCCAUCUAAUUCUCCGUUCUUUUGCAAGAUAGAUCCUAAGUAACGAAAACGGUCGCUCUUUGGUAUUUCUUGAUCUCCGAUCCUCACCCCUAACUCGUUUUGGCCUCCAUUUGCACUGAACUUGCACUCCAUAUAUUCUGUCUUUGAUCGGCUUAGGCGAAGACCUUUAGAUUCCAACACUUCUCUCCAAUGGUUAAGCUUUGCAUUUACCCCUUCCUGAGUUUCAUCUAUCAACACUAUAUCGUCUGCGAAAAGCAUACACCAAGGAAUAUCAUCUUGAAUAUGUCCUGUUAACUCAUCCAUUACCAACGUAAAAAGGUAAGGACUUAAGGAUGAGUCUUGAUGUAAUCCUACAGUUAUGGGAAAGCUUUCGGUUUGUCCUUCAUGAGUUCUUACGGCAGUAUUUGCUCCUUCAUACAUAUCCUGUAUAGCUUGGAUAUAUAUGCUACUCGUACUCCUUUCUCUCUCUAAAAUCCUCCAAAAGAUGUCUCUCUUGGGUCUCCCCCUAUCAUACGCUUUUUCCAAAUCUAUAAAGACCAUGUGUAAAUCUGUUUUCCCAUCUCUAUAUCUUUCCAUCAAUCUUCGUAAGAGAUAGAUUGCCUCCAUGGUUGAGCGCCCUGGCAUGAACCCGAAUUGGUUGUCCGAAACCCGUGUCUCUUGCCUCAAUCUAUGCUCAAUGACUCUCUCCCAAAGCUUCAUUGUAUGACUCAUUAGCUUAAUACCCCUAUAGUUCAUGCAAUUUUGUACAUCGCCCUUAUUCUUGUAGAUAGGCACCAAAGUGCUCAUUCGCCACUCAUUUGGCAUCUUCUUCAUUUUCAAAAUCCUAUUGAAAAGGUCAAUGAGCCAUGUUAUACCUGUCUCUCCCAAAACUUUCCACACUUCGAUUGGUAUAUCGUCUAGGCCUACUGUUUUUCUAUGCUUCAUCUUCUUCAAAGCUACAACCACUUCUUCCUUCCGGAUUCUACGAUAAAAAGAGUAGUUUCGACAUUCUUCUGAGUUACUCAACUCCCCUAAAGAAGCACUCAUUUCAUGUCCUUCAUUGAAAAGAUUAUGAAAAUAACCUUUCCAUCUGUCUUUAACCGCGUUCUCUGUAGCAAGAACAUUUCCAUCCUCAUCCUUGAUGCACCUCACUUGGUUUAGGUCCCUUGUCUUCUUUUCCCUUGCUCUAGCUAGUUUAUAGAUAUCCAACUCUCCUUCUUUGGUAUCUAGUCGCUUAUACAUAUCGUCAUAAGCCGCUAACUUAGCUUCUCUCACAGCUUUCUUCGCCUCUUGCUUCAUUUUUCUAUACCUUUCACCAUUUUCAUCGGUCUUAUCCUUGUAUAAGGCUUUACAACAUUCCUUCUUAGCCUUCACCUUUGUUUGUACCUCCUCAUUCCACCACCAAGAUUCCUUUUGGUGUGGGGCAAAGCCCUUGGACUCUCCUAAUACCUCUUUUGCUACUUUUCGGAUACAACUAGCCAUGGAAUCCCACAUUUGGUUAGCUUCCCCCUCUCUAUCCCACACACACUGGGUGAUUACUUUCUCUUUGAAAAUGGCUUGUUUUUCUUCUUUUAGAUUCCACCAUCUAGUCCUUGGGCACUUCCAAGUCUUGUUCUUUUUUCUCACUCUUUUAAUAUGUACAUCCAUCACCAACAAGCGAUGUUGAUUAGCCACUCUCUCUCCUGGUAUAACUUUGCAAUCCUUACAAGUUAUACGAUCCCCUUUCCUCAUUAGAAGAAAAUCUAUUUGUGUUUUUGACGACCCACUCUUGUAGGUGAUCACAUGUUCUUCUCCCUUCUUAAAGAAGGUGUUGGCUAAGAAGAGAUCAUAUGCCAUUGCAAAAUCCAAGAUAGCUUCCCCAUCCUCGUUUCUCUCCCCAAAACCAUGGCCACCAUGAAAACCUCCAUAGUUGCCUGUCUCCCUGCCCACGUGUCCAUUUAAAUCUCCUCCUAUAAAUAACUUCUCCGUCUGAGCAAUUCCUUGCACCAAGUCUCCAAGGUCUUCCCAAAAUUUCUCCUUCAAACUCGUAUCCAACCCUACUUGAGGUGCGUACGCACUAAUCACAUUGAUAAGUUCUUGUCCUAUUACAAUCUUGAUUGCCAUGAUUCUAUCUCCUACCCUCUUGACAUCUACAACAUCUUGUGUCAAGGUCUUGUCCACGAUGAUGCCAACACCGUUUCUCGUUCUAUUUGUGCCCGAAUACCAUAGUUUAAACCCUGAGUUUUCUAGAUCCUUUGCCUUACGUCCAACCCACUUAGUUUCUUGUAGGCACAUAAUAUUUAUCCUUCUCCUCACCAUAACUUCUACUACUUCCAUAGAUUUUCCCGUCAAGGUUCCUAUAUUCCACGUUCCUAAACGCAUUUUGCUCUCUUGAACUCUACCCUUCUGUCCUAGCUUCUUCACCCUUCCCCGUCUAAUAGGAUCAAAGUACUUCUUUUGUGUGUACCGUGUAAAGUUGAUAGGAGCAUAUGAGCCUAAACAACUUUGAGUGGAGUCGUUCGAAAAGAAGUUUCUAUAGCCCCCUUGCUCAUUUAACACUGCAUCCGGGUGCCGAUGGAGAUACAGCGACCCUUGCUCACUUAUCACUGUGCUCAGGCCACACAGCGCGCCACUUACGGGUGACGCCCUAGCUUUAGCGCGAUUUCGUUCUGGAUUCAUUUUCAUAAGGAUUCGACGUGAUCAUGGAGUGCCGGCUGUCGACUACCUGACGCCCUCCCCCUCAUCCUUUAUCCGGGCUUGGGACCGGCAAUGUAAGAUAAACUUACACGGCGGAGUUAAAGAAAAACGAAUGAGGAAAUUAUAGGAGAUUGUGUCGGCUUUGGCCAUGAAGGGUAUCAGCAGCUUUUUCCUCCCAUACAGGUGAUUAAUUGUUUUUCAGUCUGUGUUCAGUUUUAUUUAUUGGAUUUGGUUAGCAGCCAGUUUUAUGUAUUGGAUUUUUUAUUUGGAUUUAUAGCACUAAGGGUAUAGGUGAACGGUGAAGCGGUUUGUAUGGGCUCAUGUGUGUUUUAGAUAAUCUCAAGGACUAUGUAGAUACUAUGAUUUGGGGUUGCUUUUUUAAACCAUGAUAAAGCAUUCCAAGUAAUUUUAACAUAGAUAUCAUUUUUUAUGUAAGCAUGAGUAUAUGAAAUGUUAAGACGAUAAUAUAUCAUGUGAUUUAAAAUUCAAAGAGAGACAAUGAACCGUGUUUGAUAUUUUGUUUGUCUUGGUUCGUUUAAAUUUGGGCCUUUUUCAGUUGGAUUCAUGGGUUUUGUUUAAGAUAUCAUUUUUGGUUUAUGAAUGGUUUUAAACAUCCACAACAUCGCGCAGGCACACUUUCACUAGUAUUUUACUAAACUAGUGCACUUGAAUGUCCGUAGCUAAAUAUAUUAUAAUGAAUUAGUGGAACAUAAGAAAAUAUGGAAAAACGUAAGUGUACCAAAAAGUCCGUACCUAAACAUGGUAUACUAAAUUAGUGUAACAUUAUGUCUGUACCUAAAUAUAUUAUACUAAACUAGUAUACCGAAAUAUUCAUACCUAAACAUAUUAUAUUAAACUAGUGUACUGAGAUGUCUGUACCUAAAUACAUUGUAAUAAAUUAAUGGCACAUAAGAAAAUAUGCAAAACAUAGGUGUGCCGAAAAGCCUCUACCAAAAUAUUUUCUUAUAUAAGAUACUUACAAUAAAUUGGUGAUGCAAAAUGUCAACAAAUAAAAGCUAAUUCAUUUGAAUUCAAAUGAGUAUUAAAAUUUAAUUCAUAUCAGCAUAAAAUUAUAAAUAGGAAAAAAAAAUAAAGACAUUGAAUGCAUAUGCUGCCAUUAAAUAGAGUCUAGGAACUAAAAUAAAUUUUUAAUCUUGUGUGAGACAUUUUUCUAAAUUUUAUUUUAUUUAAGGAUUAAAAUCUAGUUUUCUAUUACUUAUAUUUCUGACUACAUAUGGUUAUUAGUUACUUUAGUCGAGAGUUGACGCACCUGGAAUGGUACGUGGAAAACAUGUUAGCACUUGAUUCCCAGUCAAAGCCACACACGAGAGCAUUGUGUAUGUCUUUAUAAGUAAUAAAAACUAAUAACCUGAAAUGCUCUCGUAUUUCUAAAGGCCCGACUCCAAGUUCAAAGCCAUACACGAGAGCAUUGUGUAUGUCUUUAUAAGAGACGUUGCUGUAGUCCUUGACGGAGUAGUCAAAGUGACCCAAAUUCAUCCAAGCCUUCCCCUCUGCACUGCAACCCUCAUCCAAAUCCCAUCCUAUCAUGGCCCCGACCUUGACGUAGCUAUACGUUUUUGGUUGGCUCGAAGAACUUGUAUUAUUCAAGCAUGGAGCAGUGUCCACGUACAGAGAAGAAUUCAACGGAUUCAAACAUUUCAAGUAAUAUAUAGAUGUUGAAUACAGUGAUGAAUAUCGUACGUAUGGAUGAGUAAUGAGCGGAAAAUUUCGAGGCCUGGAAGAGCAAUUGGUGUUCACAAGGCCAGGAUCUAGAAGUCGGAUUGUUGUGUCAGUGUAGUUGAUUGCCUGGACGUAGUAUUUUCCGGAAGGUAGGUAUAGUACUGUAAUGUUGCUCUCACAGGACAGGGUAUACCUUACGUCGCCACAAUAUUUUGGAUCAUGGUUCAGUCGAAAAGGAUAGCUUAUGUUGUGGAUAUGGCAGCAGGAUGAAGUACAGGACUUGGCACUAGUGUCGACCUUAGCGUUACAAGUUUCACUGCAGAAGCCAAGAAGAAGAAAGGCUAAACUUAAGGUGAAGGACCUGCUUCCACUAAUUUCCAUUGGGGAGAGAGAGAGAGAGAGAGAGAGAGAGAGAGGUGUACUAGUCCACACCAAGUAGUUAUAUAAUAUAGGAGGGGUCAAGCACCUUCCGUGAAAUUGCUGUUGAAAUAUCCUAGAGAAAAAUCGUCGUCAAUGGUGUCCUAGAGAAAAGUCGGGCGAUGGUGUUUGACAGUCAGUCAACGGCAAAGAUAUUUCUCUUUCAUUAAGGAAGGAUACUGCGUAAUUACUACGCAUAUAUCUCUGCUUAAUCACACAAAACAAAAAUUUCCAGCUAUAGUAUCAUUUGUGAUUCAUUUAUUAAUAAGAUAUUAUACAGGGAACUGUUAUUAGUACUCUAAAAAUCUCAUUCUACACAAGUUUAUUUUUCUUUUUAAUUAUAGAAAGUUUGGAGUGCAAAAUGAGAUUUUUGGAGUGCCAAUAACAAUUUCCUAUUAUAUAUAGCUCUACUUGGAAGGUGACUAUAUGUCUUCAUCGUGUUAAAUUGUAUAUGGCUCUUGAUGUCGGCUGAAUUGAAUCUAAAUGAAAACCAAGCUGUUGAUCUUACCAGCCCAUAUCACUUAUCUCUUGCUUAUUUAAAUUAUGUGAAGAUGCGUAUGUUGAUUGGUGAUUUUGUUGGAUUCACUCAGUUCAAAUAUAUGUUAUCUGAAUCGUUACAUUUGAGAAUGUGAUUAUGUUCCUACCACCAUUUUGCCUACUUUCUGUGGAAAUUAUUCAUGCCUAUUGUGAAUAAUACAUUCACCUCCUGCAGCGAAGCGCGAGCACAUUUUCUAAUUUAAGUUGAAUCGCAAUGGGUCAUCAAAAAUUACGAACUCGUCAUUUAUACAAGUCAAACAUGAGACCACCUACCUACUAGUUUAGUGGAAUACCACAAGUGACAUGUUGAUACCUUUAAAUCUCAUUUUCCAUAUAAUGGAUUGCAAAAUUAGGAUAUACCUAAACUAAUUUAGUCAGUGCCCGAACAAUUAAGCAGGGCUUUAUUCUUGCUUGAAUGUUUGUUAUAUGUUAAUAGUUUGACAAGGCAAUUAUAUUUCCGACUACAAAAGUUAUUAAUUUGGUCGAGAUUUGACGCACCUGAAAUGGUGUGAGGAAAACAUGUAGACACAUAAUCCGCAGUCCACUGUCCUGGGCAUCUAUCUUCAGGAGGUAUGAAUCCAAGCUCAAAGCCAUACACGAGAGCAUUGUGUAUGUCUUUAUAAGAGACGUUGCUGUAGCUGUAGCUAAAGCCAACGGAGUCGUAAAAGGAAUCCAAGGGCAUCCACUCUACACUGCAACCCUCAUCCAAAUCCCAUCCUAUCAUGGCCCCGACCUUGACGUAGCUAUACGUUUUUGGUUGGCUCGAAGAAGAACUUGUAUUAUUCAAGCAUGGAGCAGCAGUGUCCACGUACAGAGAAGAAUUCAAUGGAUUCAAACAUUUCAAGUAAUAUACAGAUGCAGAUCUUGGAUACCGUGAAUAUCGUACAUAUGGAUGAGUAAUGAGCGGAAAAUUUCGAGGCCUGGAAGAGCAAUUGGUGUUCACAAGGCCAGGAUCUAGAAGUCGGAUUGUUGUGUCAGUGUAGUUAAUUGCCUGAACGUAGUAUUUUCCGGAAGAAGGUAGGUCUAAUACUGUAAUGUUGCUCUCACAGGACAGUGUAUACAUUACAUUGCCGCAGUGCUUCGGAUCAUGGUUCAGUCGAAAAGGAUAGCUUAUGUUGUGGAUAUGGCCGCAGGAUGAAGUACAGGACUUGGCACUAGUGUCGACCUUAGCGUUACAAGUUUCACUGCAGAAGCCAAGAAGAAGAAAGGCUAAACUUAAGGUGAAGGACCUGCUUCCACUAAUUUCCAUUGCAGAGAGAGAGAGAGAGAGAGAGAGAGAGAGAGGUGUACUGGUACUCACCAAGUAGUUGUAUAAUAUAGGAGGGGUCAAGCACUUUCCGUGAAAUUGCAGUUGAAAUAUCCUAGAGAAAAAUCGUCGUCAAUGGUGUCCUAGAGAAAAGUCGGGCGAUGGUGUUUAACACAGUCAGUCAACGGCAAAGUUAUCUCUUUCAUUAAGGGAGGACACUGCGUAAUUACUACGCAUAUAUCUCUGCUUAAUCACACAAAACAAAAAUUUCCAUUUUUUCCCUAAAAAUUAAUUUUCUUUCACCUCCAACCCAUCAUGUAUAUUCUAUAAGAUAAGAAUAAUCCAUUGACUAGCUCCAAUUAAGCAAGUUUCAUAACUUGCUUGAUGACUCUGAUCAUGUGUAAUUUUGGGGAAUUGGAUGCUAUUUUAUCCCUACUUUGUUAGGCUUUUGUAAAUGGUUCUUUCACAUUUUUCAAAUGGUUUACAAUCUCUCUCAUUUUCUCUAUUUAUUUUUAAUCUUGUUUGUAUUUUCAAUCUUUCGUUCUUCCAAUUGCUGGAGCUCUACCAGAUUGGCUUUUCAUUGUUCUGAGUCUAUAUUAGACCCUUUUUCAGGUUUUGAUUUGUUAUGUCUCAUUUUUUUUAUUUACUCGGUUAAUUUGCUUCAAUUCUUUCAAUUCUUUCUUGUUAUUUUGAUGAUUUAUAUUAGUAUUAUAUAAAAUAGGAAGAACUUAUACAUUAAUCCGUUUAUCAAAUAUAUGAAAAAAUAAUUUACCCAACGAAUGUGUUAUGUCGUGUGUAAGAAUGUUUUUCCUUUUGUGUUUUAAUUCUGCACUUAUUUUUAUUUUUUCCACAUAAAUAUAACGAGCCUACAUUAUUUUUUCUAUGAAUUAUUUACCUACUUUAAUUAUUUUAUAUACCUACGUUAUUUAUUCUUGAAUCUUUUCACACAUGGCCAAACUUCUCUUGGAAGUUUAAUUAGAUGAAACAAUAUGAAUCUUGAACAAACCAAAGCAAAGCAAAACGUACUCAACACUUACAGGAAAUCAGUCCAAGAAUGAAAACUUUCUUAUCACUUUCUAUCCAAAAUUUUGGAAUUAUGUGUGUUGCAACGGUUGUCCGAAGGAUUAUUCUUCUUUUAUUAAAUUUCUAAGGAAAAUUAGCAUAUGGGGCGUAAAUGUUGAAUGGAUGAAUUUUCAUUGACUUGGAAAGGGAUUGUGACUUUAACACGCUAUUUUUCUUCAUCUUAUGCACUCAUGUUUAUCAAAAGACAAAUAAAUAUGACUUUACAUAAGGAGAGAGAAAGAGUAUUUUCCUUUGUAAAAAUCAACUAUUCAUUUUCGAAGUGGUAGUCAUUGACACGAUACUUGAUUAGAAGAAAAGUCAUAGUAAUUUGUUUUUAUGGGAACGAGAGUGCAAGUUCUUAAUUGGAAUAUGAGAUGAAGUUUCUACAUAACUAUCUGUGGCAAAGAAAGAAGUCUAAGUUUCUAAGUGGUAAGGGCUCCAAUUGAUGCGCGUUUGUUGAGAAAUGAAGAUGAAGAUGAAUAUUGAUAUUGAUGUGAGUUAGUGAACAAGUUGCUUCGAUCUCCUUUGGCCCUCUAAGAUGAUUAUUGAUUGGUGGACUAAGACGUACCAUACAAUUUUUUAUAACCAGCGAAGAUGAACAGUGUCGUGACAAAAUUUAUCCAAGUAGACCCAAGGGCAAGACUUAGGAACUUCAUAUACAGUGGGAUAAAAUGUUGGGCUAAUUUCCUAUUUUAUCUUAUAGUCAUUAAGUAAAAUGUAUUGCACAUUUCUGGAUGCAUACACAUUAAUGUACAUAAUAUUAGUUGAAUAUCAGAGUACGCAACUUUUACAAACAAAUUAACUGAAUAUAAAACGUUUAUAAAAUUUUAUUAAACGGAAUUGCCAAGAAGGCUACAUGAAUCCAAGAGACCACAUCUUGAUUGACUUGUUAUCUCUCAAUAACAAAGCUCUCUAUUUAUAAUAAACUAACCCUAGUCCCUAAUAAGCAAGGAAAUGAAAACCUAAUUUUAAUGGGCUAAGCCCAAAUCCAAACACUAAAUAAAUAACUAUUUUCCAACACCCCCGUCAAACUUGUGGCGGUACACGUCAUGAGUUUGCCAACAAGCAGAUGUGGAUGCAAGCUCCGUUAGGCGGACACGACAAGACAAGCUUCGUUAGGCGGACACGACAAGACAAGCUCUGUUAGGCAGACACGACAAGACAAGCUCUGUUAGGCGGACACGACAAGACAAGUCUCUAUCCCUCGCACAUCAAUCAAAAGACUCCUUUUUGGUGUGAAAACUGAAAACUUUUAUUCAUUUUAUUUCUUUCAUUUUUCUCAUCGGCUUCAUCUUCUUUCCUUUCCACUUCUUCUUUCUUUUUCUUUCCGUUUUCCUUCUGUACAUUCUCCCUUUUUUCUUGUUUCCUCUUCUUCUGUUUUGCGUUGUAAGUUCCUCUUCUUCGAUGGAUUUCAGAGAGAGGGAGUCACAACAGCUAAGAAGGUGGUGGUGCAUAGAGAGAGGGAGUCAAAGCGGUGGAAUUUCUUCUCAGGAAACCUCCACUCCGCCUACACCACCACCUAGACAGUCGCCUAGAUCGUCGCCUAGACCGCCCAAGCUGCCUAAGAGCGCCUAGGCGAGCGCCUAACAGCUCCAUGAUUUUUCUUAACGAUUCAGACCUAAUCGCAUCGGCACCACCACGCCCAGCUCCUAGGUUGCCGCUUAGGUCAUUUUUUAGAACACUGGUAAUACUCGUGUGGUGCAAUUCUAAUCUCUUAUAUAUAACUUUUUUGUGAUCCAUUUCUCCAUCACCAUGCCUAAAUCCCUUUAGAAUUUGCAAUUUCCUCACCCCAACAAACCCCAACAUUCUGUUGGAUAUGGUAAAAAAAAAAAACUCAGAAUUUCAUUUAAACUUGAAAAUUUAGGGAUGGGAAAGCAAUUUUCUCUUGUUUGGCAACUUGUAGCGAGAGAACAGGAAAAUUCCACAGGAAAAAAGUGGAAAUUGGGGAUGAAGAUUCUUGAGUUUAAUUUUGUCUAAAUAAGUGUAAUUUCACAAUUCCAACUACGACAAGAUUCACAAAUUCAUAUAUGGGGAAGUUUUGCGAGCACCAAACUUUACUAUUAGGGCACCAAAUUUCAUGAUAAAACCUGAUAAGGGUUUAGGGCUGCAUCGUUCACUCUGUUAAGUCUCCAAUCUUCGACGAGAUUUUUAGCUCGUGCAUCAUCUUCUCACUUUGUUGUAGGGUUACAUCUCUUCGUUCUUGAAUUAUUUUUAGCUUUUCGGGUAUACUUUUUCUGCUCAUUGUGAAUUUUGAAAUGGGGCAGGAAGAACAUACAAAAAAAAGAUAAGAGCUGGAGCCCAUCCCAGACAUAAUACGACAGUGUUGGAACCCCAGUGUUGUCCCACAUCGGCUAGAGGGCUCAAGUGAAAGUGCUUUAAAUAGAAAUACCCCUCUCUAACUAACAUCGAGGCCUUUUGUGAUAAAACCCCACACCUGAGGAUUGUGCAGGUGGUUAAGUGGGGACAGUAUCGAUGUUGUUGGAGUGGGCCCUCGGCCCGUCGACCUGAAAAUUUCCACAUGGUAUCAGAGCCAGGAGGCGGGCCCGUACUGCCACGUGAUUGGGUGGGUCCCCUUUGGCCCCGCGCGAUGUCCACGUAGGCCAAAGAUGCCACGUGUUUGGGUGGGUCCCCAAUGGCCCCGCAUGAUGGGUGAGUCCCCAAUGGCUCCACGUGGUUGUCGAUGUGGAUUUUCACGUGUGACCCAUAAAUGGGGUCUCACGUGCGGGGGAGUGUUGGAACCCCAGUGUUGUCCCACAUCGGCUAGAGGGCUCAAGUGAAAGUGCUUUAAAUAGAAAUACCCCUCUCUAACUAACAUCGAGGCCUUUUGUGAUAAAACCCCACACCUGAGGAUUGUGCAGGUGGUUAAGUGGGGACAGUAUCGAUGUUGUUGGAGUGGGCCCUCGGCCCGUCGACCUGAAAAUUUCCACAGACAGUUUUCCAUCCUUAAUCCGAUCAAUGCACUAAGACAAGUGGAGAGCAAAAGAGUUUCCAUGGGUUUAGUACCUAGUACCAAAAUAAGGUGGUACUUCGGCUAUUGCGAUGGGAAUCUUUAUGAACACUAAAUUUGGAAUGUAAUGUUUUUUCGAAUCAACACCAGGGGGCUUCGAGCUAUGUGUUCUGCCCUAUUAUUCAUUACUUCAAAGUUAACGUACUUUGGAAAGAUUGUUGGAUUAAAUCAUAUUCUAAAAUGUUAAAGCAAAGGAUGGAAUGUCCCAAGCACUUAGUCACUUGGGUAAGAGCUAUUUAGACACAGGCAUAAAUGAUCCAAAAGACCAUGCAUUCACAAGUAAAUUGCACCAAAAUAAGAUAUCCCCAAGUACCAUCACUAGGGAAAAGAUGUUGAAGUUAUGGAAAGGACAAGCCCUCAUCCUAGCAAACAACAAAUUAAUGCAAAACAUUGUCAACAACCCUAUUUGGCAACAACUUCCCUUUUGGAAGAAGUUGAAGGAUCUACGAAAAUACUGGCUGAUGGAUCACCAUUGGAAGUAGAUCCUCUUCUUCGGAUGCCUCAAAGUCAGAAAUUUUGCUCAGUAAGUCUUUAAGAGCAGCGAAAUCGGCAUCCCAUAUUUUUUUCAGAAUCUGGUAGGUGUCUCAACCUCCAAAAUGAUCUUACUGCGCGUAGCCAAAUAUAUACCCAAAGUUGUACCCCUCUGCAUAUUUUUCUUCGGACGCCUUCUUGUGAGAUGCACGCACGCCCAUUAUUUCUGACUCAUGCUCAUCCUUGAGUUGUUUAAGAUUUGCAAAGCGAACUUUGUCUUUCUAUUCGAUCUAACGGCGAAGUCUUUCCACCUCUAACGGCGAACAUUGUGAGAUGCACGCACGCCCAUUGUAAGCAUUCCGCUUCGAAGACAACGUUCGAUUGAUUAAGCUUCAAGACGCAACAAAGUUUGUUCCACCUCAACUUUGGCUUUGCAUUCUAGCUCCAACUUUUCCUGCAGUUCAGCAAGAGUUGCCUUGUAUUCAUUUGCUUUAAUAUAUUCAAGAGUGGCUUCAUUUAUGCAUUUCUUUACCUCUACAUUAUGGGCUACUCUCAUAAUUUGUUGCUCUACCUAUACCCUCUUGAGCUUCGCCAAUUGAGCUUGCACUUGUUGCUUGAGCUGUAUUUGGCCUCUGAUUCAUGCAAGGAAAACCGCUUAAGAUGACAAAUUCACUUCGCUUGGCCAAAAAGAGUCGCCUCUGUCCAGACAUGAGUCUGACCAAUGCAAGUAAAGGAAAGGAAAAACAAAAUUACCAAAGUUAUUUUGUAAGAAAAGAAUGAAGGAUUACCUCAUAUCGACUUUCGUGACAUCGCAUCAUGGCGUCUUCAAAGGACGUGCGAGCUUCCUAGUAGUCCGCAUGGGUAAUUGCAGCGCUAAGAAAAGCUCGGGUAAAAUUUAUGUUUCGAGUCUUAACGACAAGCAAGGGCAGCGCGCCCCCUUCAAUUCUGGUUAAAGUCGCCAGCAAGGGAAUGUUAGGUUCGAGAGGCACCUCGACAGGUUCAGGUAAACUCCUUGUCACUAGAGGAAUCAGAACUGGGAUAUAAAGGGGUUUAAGGACUCGAACAUCAUUCGGAAGUGGUGGCAAAGCUGUCUGCUAUUGCGCAGGUAGAGAUUCAAGCUUGGAUUCAUGUGGUUGUUGUUGCGUCAGUUCUUAAAAUGGAAGGAAAAGAGGUUGAGAUUCUCUUAUGAGAUGAUGCGGAGCAGGAGUAUCUGGAGUUGUAUUUAUCGAAACAACCAGACGUCUUUUUCUCCUCAUAGUGGAAUUUCUUCCUCCUCUUUGGGAUUCUUGGGUACCACCUCUAUUAUUGGUAGACUUAUUUGAAAAGGUGUAGCUAACGACGUUGAGGAAGUUUUACCAGACCGUUUUAGCUUUUUUUUGCUGGAGUGGGAUAAAUUUUGGGUUUGAGAUGAUGGACCCCCUAAUAAACCUAUUUCACUUUGAUCCAAUUAGGAUCCAGAAUGGGGAACUUAGAACAAUGAUUGAUGAUUGUAUUAUUCCCCCAAUCCAAAAAUCGAACUGAGGAAGUCAGCCAGUUCCAAUUACGGUGCUUAGUAAGGAUUUGCGUUGCCUGAGUGAUCAACUCUGGUCAACACGUGCCAAUAUUCUUCAGGUCAUUGUUCAGACAAAGGUUGCAAUAAGUGAUGUGAUAGCAGCAUAUUUAUGCGACUUAGUUAGCUUGUUUUUCUUGCAUUUAUGUUGUGAGUUCUUACUUAUUAUAGUGUUUUAAGCUAUUUUCGUGUGUUUGUAGGUCCAAUUGACAAAGUUGGCAAGAAAAUGCAAUUUGGAGCAUUUUGGAGCAGUUUUGGGCAUCAAAUGGAUAGCUUAUGAAUGGAGUAAGAUGGAUGGACGAAUUUGAAGUUCAAGAGGCUAGGAAUGUGUUGAAAAGAUGAAGAAAAUAAAUUCAAGAGAAAGAAGAUAAGGAAUUAGCUCAAAAGAAGGAACAUUAUCCAAAACCUUAUCCAACCUUAUCUUAUCCAAACAAACCUUAUCUUAUCUUAUCCUUGCCUAAUCUAGCUUUAUCCUAUCUUAUCUAAAUCAGUUUGUGCCUUAAAUCCAGCUGCAAGAGGACCUAAAUAUCUGAUUUCUAGAAGGCCUAUCAUUUCCUUACACUUAUGCCGCACCUUUAUCCUUCUAGAACCCCUAAAUUUGUGCCGCAUCUCAGCCCUAUAAAUAUACAUCUUUGAUGCACAAAUAAAUGACCCACGCACCCACAUAUAUUCAGAUACAAUUGAGAGAUUUCAGAGAAUUCAAAAGGUGUACCUGCGUGGAGGAAGGAGAAGGAGAAGCUUGUGUCGUGGCUUGCAAUCCAAGGGGGAGUUUGAAAUCUGCCAUUGGAGUUGCUAGGGCGUUCUUGGUUCUUUCUAUCCUUAGAUUUGUUUCAAUGUUGCUUUUAAUUUGGUUUUAUGUUUUCAAAGACAUGAGGAACUAAUCUCUUUUUAGUUGGAGGUGAAUUUGAAGCCAUGAUUAUAUGUUUUGAUAUGAAUUGAUUACAUCCAGUUAUUGUUUCUUGAGUCUUGAAUGUGAUUUGCUUAUCUGAGUUAUCAAAACUUGUUUAUGUAUGUUGAUUGAGGGUCGACACUUAAUUUGCAUGCAUGAAUUUGAUGCUAGAGUAUAAGGGAGUUUCACCUAAUCAUUAUGAACUUAUAUUCACAAGUAGUAAAGGUUGCUAGUCACAAUCGUGUUAAGUAAAUCCUUGGCAGGAGUAUCAUGCUUUUCAUAGUUACGAAUGCCUCGUCAAUGCUUAUGAUUUUCAAAGAACUUAAUGACCUUUGAUAUGUUUUCUAUCAUGCUUUUCAUAGUUAGGGAACUUGAGAAGGAUAAUUUGGUUGUGAUGUGUAUCCCGUCCAAUUCAAUGAAAUAAGGGAAAUCUGAUGGUUAAUUUGUGCUGUCACGGUUAACUUGGGGUGUUGUCAUUCAUGGUUUAAGGGAACAAUACUGGAAAUUGGUUUAUAUGCAUAUGUCAUGUGUGGAGAAAGAUCCUCUGGCUAAGUUUUCAUCAUUCAAAUCACCUAAUUUACUUUGUUUUGCAAUCUGUUUUGUUUAGUUAAUUUUCGUCCAAAUCAAUCCCCCUUCUAAUUAAGUGUCUUAGAUUAGUUAAAAAAGUGUUUCAAUCUGUCCAACUUAGUGUUUUAAGUCCCACUAGUGUUAAAUUCGUCCAAAUAGUUCUUAGAACCUGUUUUGAGUCUUUUUAACUUAGUUUUGCUGUUUUGAGUGUUUUAUGUCAAUUUUGAGUUUGUAGUGUUUAGUUGUGUGUUUUUUAGUCUAUUUGAGUGUUUCUAAGUCUAAUUUGGUAUUUCUGAGUCAUAUUUGUGUAGAUUAACAUCCCUAGUUAAUCCCCGGUUUAGAACGAUCCUUACUUACAUCUUUACUACAAUUAUCAUUCAUAGGGUUUAAUUUGUGUGUCAAGUUAAUUUUCACAUCAAAUUUGGCGCCGUUGCUGGGGAUUAGCAAACUUGCUAAUCUCUUUUGUUUGAGUAGUGUGUCUUUAUUGUUAUGGCAGAUGAGUCUACAAAAUUUGUGAAAACAUUAGAUAUAAAGAAAUGUGAGAAAUAAGAACCAAAUAACAGUGAAAUGAAUGAUAUAAGACUCAUCUGUCAGAACAACAAGGCAUUCGAUUUUCAAAAGUACACUCAACGAUCACUGGAGGAUGAUCUUAGAGUUGUAGUUGGAAUCAUCUUCCAGUGAUUUGAUAUAAAAACAGAUUUGAUGGGAUUUAGAAGCAAAUGUUGGGUUUGAAGAGAUUUAGGUAAUGGUUGGGGACGGGGAGUGAGUUGAUGGGAUUCAGUAGCAAAUGUUGGAUUGUAGAAUCUAAAAACAGAUUUGAGAGGCUAAAAUGUAAUUCGGAUAUUAGUACUACGGUCUAAUAACGUAUUUGUAAGUGAAAAAUUUUAGGUUUGUAUUUCAAGAAUAAGGAGUUCAUAACCAAUUUAUUCCAUAUAUCAUUGUGCAUAUAAAAUAAUGUAAUUCGAAAAUUAAUUUAGUGACGAUGCUACAAUUAAUUAUAUCAUCAAUUUUGGAAUCCCAUUCUUGGCUUAUGUCAAAAUCCAAACAAAUUUAAACCCUCAUUUUUUUCAGAUUUUGGAAAGAAUGGCAUCAUUGAAUUCAAUAUCGUGAUAUGGGAGACUGAGUAAGCUAAAUUUGGAGUAUUUUAAUGUCACAGUAUAAAUAUGGCACCAACAAUAGACGUAAGCCAAAGUCAUAGGUUUAAUGCAGACAAUAGUAAAUACUGAAUACUGAAUAUUGGAUACUGAAUGGAGGGCGGCUUUAACGCUUUCAGUGUACCAAAUUUUGAUACUAAUUGACUUGAUCUCUUCACAUGGUACAUAGGUAGUCUAGCUCGAAUGUUAUGCAGCCAUAAAAUUAAAUAAAUUAAUAUUGUAUCAUGUCCCGGAGUUCAGCACGUGACAUUAUUGUGAGGUCUAGGUACAGUCCUUAGAGUGAUAAAAACAAGGCUCCUCCAGGGAGGGCUAGUCGGAGGUGUGAAUGGACAUUUACUUCACACUCAUAGGAAAUCAGUCCAAGAAGUGGACAUGGAUGCUGGGUACUCAACACUCAUAGGAAAUCAGUCCAAGAACGAAAGCUUUCUUUUUAGUUGCUAUCCAAAAUUUUGGAAUUAUGUGUGUUGUCCAAAUGAUUAUUCUUCUUUUAUUAAAUUUCUCAGGAAAAUGAGCAUGAGGCGUAAAAGUUGAACGAAUGAAAUUUCAAUGAUCUGGAAAGGGAUUGUGAGUUUGCCACACCAUUUUUCUUUCUUUUAUGCCUUCAUGUUUAUUAGAAGAUAAAAAUAAAGAAGGAAAACUAAUGAAAAGUCCAAUUUUUUUUUAGUUUUAAUGAAAAAUGACAAAUAAAUGUGUAGUGAAUAGUACCAGAGAAAGGUAAAAAUGUGGCUUUUCGUUAGAAGUGAACAGUCCUGGGAGUGUUUCGUUAAAACUUCCAAAUAAAUAUGACUUUAUUUGGAGAAAAAAAAGUAUUUCCUUUGAAAAAAAAUCAACUAUUUAUUUAAGAGGAUGUGAAUGAUUGAUGGUGAAUACAAAGAACCACCUUAGAGGGAGACGAGACAUUUAUUAGAAGCCAAAAAAAAAGUUACAAUGAUUUAGUAAAAAAACAAGAAAACCUCAUUUUCUAAGUGGCAGUCAUUGACACGCUAUUUGACUAGAAGAAAAGUCAUAGUAUUGUAUUUACUUUCAAGCCUCUAGGGGGAACGAGAGUGCAAGUUUCCAAAUGGAAUAUGGGAUGAAAUUUCUACAUAACUCUAUCUGACAAAGAAAGAAGUCUAAGUUUCUAAGUGGUAGGGCUUCCAAUUGAUGUGAGUUUAUUGAGAAAUGAAGAUGAACAUGAAUAUUGAUAUUGAUGUGAGUUAGUGAACAAGUUGCUUCGAUCUCCUUUGGCCCUCUAAUAAGAUAAUACCGGAAAACAAGUUGUUACUAAUACAUGUAUCGGAUUGGUAGACUAAGACGUACGGUACAAUUUUUUAUAACUAGAGAAGAUGAACACUGUCACUGUCGUGACAAAAUUUAUCCAAAUAGAUCCAAAGACUUGGGAAGCUUCAUAUGCAGAUCUAAAGCUAAUUUCCUUUUUAAUCUUAUAGUCAUUACGUAAAAUGUAUAUGCAUAUUUCUAGAUGGAUACACACCAAUCUUGAAAUAGGGGAUGAAGAUUCCCGAUUUUAAUUUCGUCUAAAUAGGUGUAAUUUCACAAUUCCAACUAUAACGAGAAUCACAAAUUUAUAAGCGGAAAAAUCUUGCCAGCGUCAAACUUUCUUGAAUAAGGGUUUAGGGCGCCAAAUUUCAUGAUAAAACCUGAUAAGGGUCUAGGGCUGCAUCUUUCACUCGAUUAACUCUCCCAUCUUCGAAGGGAUUUUCGGCUCUUGCAUCAUCUCUUGCUUUUGUUCUAGGUCAACGCCUCUACUCUCUUCUUUCUUGAAUUAUAUUUUUAACUUUUCGGGUAUACUCUUUAUGCCAAUUGUGAAUUUUGCUAGUUAUUUUUAUUUUCUGAUAGUCAUAUGUUUGUGUGCUUUUUUUCUUCCGAUUGAAUUGUGUAUUGGUUGGAUCUGUUACACAAUUUUUUAGUUUUUUUAUGGAUUUUGAUGUUAGUUCCUUGUUAUAGAUAUUGUGUUUUUGAAGGUUUAACAAUAGGCAAGACUGAAUAUGAUGAUUUCGGUGUUAAUUACUUUCUCAUGGUACUAUACUAGAUUGUUCUCUCUUUGCAUUUACAUGUAACCAACUGUUCAUUGUAGAAAUGUAGUAUUUGGAAGACCUUUUUUUUUUUCUUUCUGAUUUAGUGUAUGUUUUUUGGACAAAAGAAACAUGUAGAAGAGAAAACAUGAUUGAUAACAUUGUGCAUCUUUUUUUUUUUUUUUUGACAGAAAGCGAUAGAGUGUUCCAUGGCCAAUUUGUUUUAUCUAGAGAUAGUUUGCACAAGAUGCAAACAUUUUGUAAACCCUAUACGGCUACCAUAAUAGACAACCACAAACAAGGGUCCCGAUAAAAUUGUCACAAAGACGACAAACGCGGCAAUCCUCACACUGGUACCUUGACAUAAAACCAUCGACAAUAAGACCAAAUAAAUCGCAUAAGAAAUACAAACAAAUCACCACAGUAACACAAAAUCUACUACCCUAACCUGCUCAAGGUCCUACAAACAAAAACUUAAACCUAAAGUCGAUGACAUGUCCACAUGCAUGUCCAAAGGGAAGAGACGUGGCAGGAGGCAUGGGUUGCACGACCAUGUGGGUGUGUCGGUGGCAAGGACAACAAAGGCUUGGGGCUUGGGUGGCAGAGGAGAUACCACGACACGCCAGAGCCACUGUCACAUUGUCAUCGCCGCCGCCACGAGCCCAUAGUAACCUGCAUAAAAUCGUUAGUGCUAAAAGCCGCCAAGGGUUUCCGCCGACUGGGAAAAAGAUAAGAUUUGUGAAGACGGAGGUCACAUGGAUGGCAUCAUAGCAAAAUUGAAAUCUUUUAAUCAUCCUCAGCAUUAUUCCGACAGCUAUCCACAAACUGAAGCAACGAAUUGGGCAAGUGUGCAACAAAUUUUCAAUGUGCGUCCAUUGUGAAUGAUUUACAAGGAGUGGGUUUAAUGACGUUUGUAGUUAAAGUGGGAUGCAACUUAGAGCACCAUCACUUGACUAUGUUCCUCUCAUUUUAUCUGUUCAUUUUUGCCUCAUUUGUUUUUUGGUUGCACCGCCUCAAAAACCUUGUGCGUCUACAUGUAUAUAGAACUUUUGGUUAAAACAGAGUCACAUAUCUUAUAACUAUUUAAAUUUUGUUGCAUAUCACAAUAUAUAUUUGUUCAUACAUUCAAACAUGUAUGGCAAAUACUGAGGAGGAACAUAGAAAAAAAAAUGAAAAUUAUUGUUAGUACAAUUGUAUAUGUUAUUGACAUGGUCAUGCAUUGGUAUAGUAAGAGUUUUCUCGUCGUAGAACUUUCAAAUGAUUGGAAUCAAGGAAGACAAUCUUUUCCCCAAUUAAUUAUUCUCGCCAUAUUUUUCCUUAGCGCCGUUAAGUUUCACUUAAAAAGCAAAAGAAGAAGGCUAAAAUUAAGGUGAAGAACCUGCCUCCACUAAUUUCCAUGAAGUUGCAGUAAGGACAUAAAUCACCUUCCGUGAAGUUUCAGUAAGGACUUCAAAUAUCCCAGAGAAAAGUCAGUCAAUGGUGUUUUGACAGAGUCAGUCAACGGCAAAAGACAGAAUUGUGUAUCAUAAUGCUCUCUCCCUCUCUCUCUCUCGUCAAUGGAUGACACCGUAUAAUUACUACGUAUAUAUCUCUGCUCAAUUACACAAAAGAAAAAUCCUUGCGCAUUAUUUUUGUUAUUAUUAGCUCAGAAAUGCAGAAAUUGAUCAUCUCUUACUUUUGCAUAUUGUUACUGGUUUUCUUCAAACUAGUUGGAGCAAGCCAUGCGUGCCUGGAAUCCAAGUGUGGCGAUGAUCAAGGCGCAGCUAUCCAUUUCCCAUUGCGCAUCAGCCGCAAACAUCAUUGUGGAAAUCCUGGGCUUGAAUGCAAUGUAAGAUAUGAGCAGCAAAUACUAGUAAAAUUAUUUGUCAAACACAUAGAUUACAAGAGUCAGGAAAUCCAAGUGUAUCCCCCAAGUAGCUGCCUGCUGCUAAAGUCUGUUGAAAUCCCAAACAUGCCACCCUCUCCCUUCAACGUGUCAGUCGAUGACAUGAGUAACUUGACCUUAUUCAGUUGUACUACUUCUGUUGCAAGCGAUCCAUAUCCGUAUCAAUUCCCCUGCCUCGGCGACCCUGGCCGCAUAAUUUAUGCCGUUGAUUCCAGUUCUACAUAUCUAUUGGAAGAUCUCUUCCAGAAAGUACAAUCUUGUUCAAAGAUGUAUGAUGUUUUAUCAGUUCCAUUCGGUUCUUGGGUAGGCGGUUAUAAUGUUCGUUUCAAAUGGUCUGAACCAAAUUGCACAGUAUGUGAAGCACAGGGAAAGAGGUGUAGGUGGAAGAACGAUGGCACAAAUAGUGAAAUUAAAUGUCUUGACUGGAAGAAACCAAGUAAGGAUAACAUAUAUAUUCAUUGCUAGUUUUAAACAUCUUUACAUUUACGUCUUAGUAAUUAUUAUUUAAAAUAUGUUGUCCAAUCCAUUUUUACUAGGAAUAUUACCUGACAGUCUCGUUUAAAUUUGCAAUGAUCUUCUACAGGCAACACAUGGAAAAAAGUGGUUACAGGUGGAAUCCUGGGUGCUUUGCUUCUUGUUCUACUGAUGAUUGCAGCAUAUCGGGUACAUAGCGCUGAUAGAAAGGAGAAAGAGAGUCGAUUAAGAAUUGAAAGAUUCUUGGAGGAUUACAAAGCACUCAAACCAACCAGGUAUUCGUACGCAGAUAUUAAGAGGAUUACAAAUCAAUUCAAGGACAAGUUGGGCGAAGGAGCCUAUGGAACUGUCUUCAAAGGAAUGCUCUCUUCCGAAUUCUUUAUUGCUGUCAAAGUCCUCAACAGUUCCAAGGGAGAUGGGGAAGAGUUCGUAAAUGAAGUGCGAACGAUGGGUCAUAUCCACCACGUCAACGUGGCUCGCUUGGUUGGAUUUUGUGCUGAUGGAUUUGCACGAGCUCUUGUUUACGAGUUCUUCCCCAAUGGUUCCCUGCAGGAUUUCAUUUCAUCUGCAGAUAGUAAGAAUUCAUUUCUUGGUUGGGAUAAGUUGCAAGAUAUUGCCCUAGGCAUAGCCAAAGGAAUUGAAUAUCUUCACCAGGGAUGCGAUCUACGAAUCCUGCAUUUCGACAUCAAACCCCAUAAUGUUUUGCUAGACCAAAACUUCACUCCAAAAAUUUCUGAUUUUGGUAUGGCCAAGUUAUGUUCCAAGGAUCAAAGCUUGGUGUCCAUGACUACAGCUAGGGGGACCAUGGGCUACAUUGCACCUGAAGUGUUUUCCAGGAAUUUCGGAAAUGUGUCUUACAAGGCAGAUGUCUAUAGCUUUGGAAUGCUGCUGCUUGAGAUGGUAGGAGGAAGGAAGAAUAUUGGUUCAAUCACGGAUAACACUACAAAUGAAAUUUACUAUCCACAGUGGAUUUAUAAUCUUCUAGAGGAAGGGGAUGACCUACAAAUCCACAUUGGGGAAGAAGGAGAUGGUAAAAUUCCAAAGAAACUUGCAAUUAUAGGGCUAUGGUGUAUCCAGUGGCACCCGUCGGAUCGUCCUUCCAUGAAAAUAGCGGUUCAGAUGUUAGAAGGAGGAGGAGAAAGCUUGAGUAUGCCGCCUAAUCCCUUUGUGCCUACUGGUCCUACAACUAGAAAUGCAAGACGCCUAGAGCUAGAAGCUAUUGCUGAAUUAGAGUAAAAUGUAUAUGCAGAUAUGUAGACGUAUAGAUAUAGUAAUAUUUACAUUGAAUAAGAGGCCGUUUGAUAACCAUUUCGUUUUCAGCUUUUAAUUUUUAUUUUGCACUUUUUUGAAAACUGAAAACUAAAAUCUUGUUUGGUAAAUACUUUUAGUUUAAGAAAAAAUGAAGACUGAGAACUAAAAAGUGAAAGCUCAAAGGAAGUAGAUUAAAAGUAGUUACCAAACAAACCGGAAUCUCAAUAAUAAAAAAUGAUUGAAUUGCACAACGCAAUCCAAACCAAUCAAAACAUUAAAAUAGCAAAAAAAAUUAAAAUUCUAGUUGAUUAGAUUAUGAACAUAGUAAAAAUGAACAGAUCCGAUGAAAAAACAAAAAAAAUUCUCAGAUAAAAAUAGGGAUAAAGUAAAAUAUUUAUAAAUAGCUCCUUGUCUCUUAUGUCAUCAAUUAUUUCUAUAGUAUAUACAAGUUUUUGGAAAAAUUAGGUUCCCAUCCCUUAUUUUCAUAUUACAUUGAUUGAAAUCUUAUUAUUUUUCUAUUUUAGAUCAAGGUCCCUUGACUUAUUCCAUGUCAUCAUUUUAGUAUUUAAAAUAUUACACGUCAUCAUAAACGAAAUCUCAUCCCCUUUCUGCAUUUAAGGCAAAAUAAACUAUAUGAGUAAGUUUAAAACAAGGAAAAUCCAUUUGAACUCCUCCAUUCUUCUUCUUCCCUUAUGCACAUCUGGAAUCUACAACACCCCAAACCCAAUUUUCUCCAUUUUUUCUCCAUUCCUGAAUUGAUCCAAUGCAUAUAUGUUGAAUAAACCUAUUGUGAUUAAAAUACAAAUUAGCAUCAAUGGUUUUAUCGGCUUGUGAGAUUUGUGUGGCAUAGGCAAGGCAAUGCAUGCAUCGCUUUCUCAAGGAAUCUGGUUGAUUCAAACAUGCAGAGACUGUAGAGUGAGCGGGCUAUGUAAAAACUGUACCAUUCUGAAGUCAUUUUCUUUUGUUCUUUAUAUUUUUUUUCUUUUUCUUUUAUUAUUAUAUAUUAGUCUUGAUUAUUCAAUGUCUGGUUGGCUACACUUAUGUCCAUGGGUACAUUUUUAAUCAACAUGGUUCGUUCUAAUAUAUCUAUUGCUAUAAUAUGUUUUGGUUGGUUCAAAUUUGUUUUACAUAAAUAUAUGGGUACAAAGUUUUUGGAGAAUAUUAUGUAAAAUGGUUUUUAAGGUUGCUGCAUUUUAUGUACCCACAUAUGCAUGUCUAUAAAUGACACACCCCGUCCCGAAGGAGGGCAUGCUGGCCGUCACGUGAGAGUGACGUAACCAUUUGCACAGUACGGAAGCUUUAAGAUACAAUUUAUAAGUUGAUACACCCGAAUGUGAGUCCUAAUUUUGUCCAAUCUGUCAGAACACCGUCAAAUUCCUCGUAGUCACCACACCUUUGUGAUUCCUGAACCUGGAGGGGCGCAAAACCAAAAUUGAGUGGGUCAGUAAAACAAUUCUUUUCCAAAUCCAAACAUUUCUCAAAACGUUGUAACCCCAAUCCGUAAAACUUGUAUAUUUUCCCAGAAAUGUAAAAUAUAAAUAUACAUAUAUAUUCUCAAUACUUCAAUUCAUUAACUCAACAUUUUUCAGUACAAUUAUGCCAUGCCAUGUCUAAUUCAACAGUUAAGUAUGGAUGCAUCAACAAUAAUCAUAUCAGGUGCAAGAAAGUAAUCAACCGGAGGCCCUCUAAUAGCCAUGUACGGUUGAACCUAGAGCUCAAAAUCUAUCACUCUCACUCUACCGGAGUCACCUCUGUGACCUGUCCGGCCUUCUGCACACAAGUUACGCUCUAGUGCUUUCUCAUCAAUCAUCUGUGCACAUAAUCUAAGGUCACCCACCAGUCGAAAUCUCACUAACACUCUUCGACUGGCCCGUCGCACCCACUCCGCGUGGACUGUGCGACCAGCAUCUACUUGGAUCCAAGGCGAGCGUGCGAUGCGGUGAAUACUAUAAGCACUAAACCAUGGUGCAGGAUUUGAGCUCAAUAUACAUCAACAUCAUCAUAAUAGUAAUUAAAUACUCACCUGAUACUCACCUGUGCGUCCGCCGCACCAAUUCAUAUAUAUGCAUCAUAUAUCAAUUCAUAUCAUUUCAUACAUGGCAAUUCAAUUCACGUUUUUCAUAUAGUUCUAUAUACUUUUCACAUAUUUCUAUUUAAAGCAUAAUUUCAUGCUUUUUCAAUUUCUGGGAAAACGGCAAGUAUAUAUAUAUACGGAAAACAAAACUGCCCACUCACCUGGAGUUCGCCCUACAACUCCCUAGCACAAUACGCCAAGGCGUCAUGACGAUCGGCGCCUAAAACAAUAAUCAAUUCCAACCUUAGAAUUCAUAUCGAUAGAAUAUAUAACUUAUAUAAAAUACGUCACUGCGUAGUUCGAUCCGGAAGAUCCACCACUCAGAUUUUAAAUCCAUAACUUCCAGAGGUCCACAAUAUAUCUCUAGGAUAACAUCCUAAAAUUUCAUUACCAUCCAACGGUCGGAUCUCCGUCAAUUUCCAAAACUAAGUGACGGUUAACAUUUUAUUUUAUGAACUUACAACUCCAAUUCCUGAAGAUCCGUAAAUCGGAUUCCCAAUCCGAAAGUUCCAAUAAUCCUCAAAUAUUACGUAUUACUACGUAUCAAAGUUUAGUGACGAUCUAACGGUCGGAUCGUCAAUUCACGUUUUCACCUAAAUGUGAAAACUAUAAAACGUUAUUCGAACAUCUAACCAACAAUCCUUAAUAACUUUCUCAUACGGUGCUCAAUUUGGGUAUAUGAAUAUACCACGGUGAUCUACUCGACGUCACGGACGUCGACAUAUUUUUAAAAUAAUUUUAUUUUAUUUUAUUUUUUUUACUGUAGCACCUUCUUCUUCCUUGGGUCGCCGGACUGGUUUUUCCAGCGGCCGUUUUCUGGGCAGUUUUUCAAAUUGCCAUAACUUUGUCAUUUCUCAACGAAAUCAAGUGAUUCAAAAACGAAAGUUGUAGCCCUUGAAGAGACAAAGAGAAUGGUACCUUACAAAACACCUAGUUCUCCGUGGUUUGGCCGGAAACUGCCUCGAAAGCCUCGGAGGUCGCCGGAAACUGGGUAUUUUUCAAAUGAGUAUAACUUCUUCAAUACUCAACGAAAUUGAGUGAAACAAAAAGGAAAGUUGUAGUAAUUGACGAGAUGAAGAGAUUGAUACCUACCUCGACUCCUAACUCGCCGGGGAUUCGCCGGAAAAAGCCUCGAAAGCUCCGGCCAAACUUUGAACUUGUCGAUCUCCGUGUUCUUACGUCCAAAAACUUCCAACGAAGCACUCCGAGCUUCCUUGGGACCUCACUAAGCUCACUAUGAGCUUGGAUUGUCCUAAAACAAAGUCAAUUCGAAAAUCAUGAACAGUGCACUUUCACGGGGAGUUUAGAAUCUAGGUUUUCCGAAGUAAAACUUACCUGAAAUUGGUGUCUACGUGAUCGUGGAGUCUCCAGGAGUUCGAUGGUGGUCUUAACUCCGUCGUUGGUGGAAGUUUAAGGUUGUUUUGCGGUUGGUUUGUUCGAACGGAGAAGAAGAGUGACAGAGAGAGAGAGAUUCGUGAGGGAGGAGAGAGAGAGACAGUAUGCAGAAAAUAGGGAGAGGAUUGAGGGGUGUGGGGAUCCCAUGUGGUCCUUUUCCAAUCCCCAACUCCAAACCACAAAAUUUUAACCUAAAAAUCUAAGUUCCAUCCUUAAUAAAUUCCAUUUUAUUUUCAAAACUUAGGAACCUAGAUAAUUAUCAACUUGAGCUUCACAUACUUAGUAUUUCUUAAGGGCAAUUUCGUCCAUUCACAGCCACGAAUGUAAUAUUUUUGGAACGGGCUGUGACAAUCUUCCCUCCUUAUAGAAUUUCGUCCCCGAAAUUCCAGCAACCAACUAAAUCAACCAUACUUCAACAAUAGCUUCGGGUAAAUCUCUCUCAUCCGAUUCUCUUUCUCCCACAUAAUUUUCUACUGAAUGAUUUCCUUCACAAAGCUUUUACCACUUACUCUGUCUUAAUUCUCAAGACUUUCUUUUUCCAAUCUAAAGUCGUCCUUGGUUCCUUAUCAAGUCGAAUCCAAUUUAAUUCUCAAUAGUUGCACCAGAAUCUCAUGUGACGAAUCUGCCACCUAGUGACAACGUAUCGAACCCAAAAUACAUUAAGUAUCUUAGCCAACUCUGAAGACAUCACCACAUGUAUGCAACUUUAUUGAUUCCUUUAGUGAUCAAAACGGACUGAUGUGUUCAAGACUUAUCUUGUCUUCCUUUCUGAAUCUUACUAUUUCUGUUCAUGGUGAAAUUUCCAAAAAUAUCAAACCAUUUACCUUACACACUCGAUUAGUGGCAUAUCCAUCUGUUAGUCUCUUUUGCCAUUCCUGGUUACUUCAGGUUAACUUAAUCACCUGAAUACUUUGAGGAGACUCAUCCAAAAUUUCGGGUCCACCAAAAUUCUUUUGUGAUCGAAUCUUUCUCUACCCAGAAGCAUUCCAUCCACAAUUCAGCAAAAAUCGACACACAUGACACGCUUCAUGGACAUUAUGGCGUUACUUUGAAAACUGGCGAAACCAACAUACUUAAGAAACUCAGCAGUCCCGUAACCCAAUUCUCUUUUCCAUAAAACAAAUAAGUACUGUUGCACUGUCUGGGAAAGGUUGUUACUCAACACUGGAGUAAAUAUACUAACUUGUUACGUUGCCCAACCAUCACUUCACAUUCAAUCGUAACCAUCUUGUAUACAAGGAAACUUGUACACAUAGUCCAAAGUAAUAUCUUUCCAUUUCUGUUUAGAAACAGAAAAUAGCUGUCUCAAUCCAAAGGUUUAUCUCUUUCCGCCUCAAUCUGCUGAUCAAAUAAACUGUCGAGUGGUAUGAUAAAUCUUAUUACUUUUGGAAUAUUGCAGAAGUUGAACAGUGAACUUUGUCCAAUAUUUGCUUGCUUCAAAUCCUCAGCAUUAGGCACAUACUUUUGGUUUUCUUGUAUCCACAUACCAUUUGAUUCACGAAUCAUGUAUUCAUUCUUUUUCCCUUCUUUCUCUACCUUGGUUAAUUCUUAAAUUUCCUCGUCAAACAUUUAAGUUUCGAGUACGACCUUACCAAACAGGCCUAACUUGAAAUUUAACAAGUAUAACUUCUUCUCGAUCUUUCAUUCUUAACUUUACUUUAGUUGGUUUCCAAUCCACAAGAAGAUAAUCAUGGCAAGCGUACCAGAUAUUAAUUAUUACUGCAGUCUUCUUAUCAAGUGCUUCAGUUACAACAAUUCACAAUCACCCUGAUCGUACAAUCAUAAUCACUAAGUAAUUCAAUCCACCUUUGUUGCCUCAUAUCACAAUCCUUCCAAGUAAACAAAUAUUGGAGACUCUUUUGAUUUGUAAAAUCUUGUAUUCUUAUCAACAUAUAAUGUCUCCAUAACUUCACAGCAAGGAUGAUAAUCGUGACUUCCAAAUCACCAGUAGGGUAAUUCAUCUUAUGAGGUUCCAUUUAUCGUGAAACGUAUGCAAUCACCCUAACAUUUGCAUCAACAUGCCUCCAAUACCAUUCAAGAAACAUCACUAAAAAUUUAUGAUUACCACUAUUCUCUGGGAAUACCAAAAUACGUGCAUGAGUGAGGAAAUACUUCAGUUGUUGAAUCCUUUGCUCACAAUUUCCUUCCCACUCAUACAUAACCUCUUUUCUCAACAGUCUCGUCAAUGACAAAGCAAUGACUAAAAACUCUUUCACAACCAUCCAAGAUAGUCUGGUAAGUUAAGAAUUUCCGAAUCUCAAUUAUGGCUUGUGGUUGUUCCAAUUUCUCAAUUCUGCUGCCUUUUAAGAAUUCAUUUGAAUACCUUAAGCAGAUAUAACCAAUCUCAUAAUGCCACUUGAUUCAUCCAACAUUCGCAUUUGCUAAACUUAGCAUACAACCAACGUUCUUUCAAUCUUUGCUUCAUCGACUUAAUACGUUUACAUGCUCUGCUCUGGCUCAGAAUGUACCAGAAUAUCGUCAAUGAAAAUGAUAUCAAUUAUCAAGGCAUUAUUGGAAUACUUCAUCCAUCAACUCAUAAAACCGCAUGAGUAUCCACAUAGCAUCACCAAACCUCAUAAGGACCAUAACAAGUCCAGAAAACCAUCUUAUGAUCAACGUCAUUCAUAAUCUUUAAUUGGUAAUAACCAGACUUCAAGUCAAUCUUUGAAAAUAUACAAGCACCUUUGAACUGAUCAAAUGAGCGUCAAUACACCACAAUGGAUAACGGUUCUCAUUCGUUACCCGACUCCAUUGUCUAUAAUCAAUGAACAGUCUCAAGAUCCAUUUUCUUCCUCACCAACAAACUGGGGCUCCUCAAAAGUGUUGUACUAGGUUGAAUAAAACUUUUAUCAACCAAUUCUUUCAACUAAAUUUCCAAUUCCCUUAACUCAUCAUGAACCAAUCUCCAAUAUAAAUUUAUACCUGGCAACAAAUCAAUAAUGAACCUCAUAUCUCUGCCUGAAGACAAUCCAGGUAUACUUUCAGGGGAGACAUCAAGAAAAGUCUAACCCUUUUGACAUUAUUCACACUACUCCAAACAACAUCAUUUAGCACCCCAUGAGCUAAGUAUUUUUAACAGCCUUUCGAAAACAAUCUCUUUGCUCUCACAGCAUUAAUAACGGCCUGACUCAAUCCACCUUGCAUACUUACAAAAGUAAUCUCUGGUCAUCCAGAUCGAUGGAAAGUACUGGUUUCCCGUAACAUUCCGUCUUGUCACAAUUAUAACCAACCGAUCUAAUGGAACAGAAUUAACUGAUACAAUAUAUAUUCUAUUAUUAUUAAGCAUUCUAAAUAAGUACAAUACUAACAUAAAAUAAUCUACCGGGUUGCUUGCUUAACGAAUCCACGAAUGAGUUAUUAAUAUUACGGUCUGCAGCCCGCAAUACUGAUAAAUCAUCGUUGUCUCGAUAAGUAGGCAACCACUCUCAAAGAUAUAACAUUACUAUUUUGUCACUCAAUGCAAAAUACAUACACUUGUCUCAACUACAUUUAUUUACUACUCUCUAGGUAAUAACAUACAUAAUAAGAAAUAUAUCAGUCGAAGUCAACUAGAAUGACCAAUACGGCUGAUUCAACUCUUAUCUCAAUAAUACGUCGGCCGGAUCCACUCCGCGUGGUCGGUACGGCCGAGCCUAUAACUCAUCCAACCUCUCUGUACUCACGGUCAAUCCGACCAAACUACUAAGUCCAUAACUCUGCUGAAUCGACACUAUGAUAUCAUGGAAAAUUAUUGAGUACAACUGAUUCUAGGGACGAUUCACAAUUCUGUGUCCCCUCUGUUCACAUAAACACAUUCAUUAAUUUCACACUUCCCAAAGUGUUAAUUUUGUACCUGCUGCACAAGGUACAUUUCCUUUACUCGAGACACCUUGUCUCAAAUAUCUGGGAUUACCAGUAUAUCCAUCACUUUUACUCUGACCAGCAACAUUAAAACCUCAGCUGGAAGAAUUAACUCUAGCUUCACUUCUUUCGAAGCUCUGAAUCUUUCUAUAUCUUUGAUAUGACGAAUCAUUAACUUUAUCGUCUUCUUUUAAUUCCCAUUCAUUUCUUAUUCUUCUUUAUUCUCGUUGCUCAUGUUCUCAGAGUCCUCAAGACUCAACAGCAUCUCGUAUAUUCCUGGUAAGAAGUACAAUGGAUAGUGGUCACCCAAAAUACCACUUCCCUUUUGCCACCCAGCUUAAAACAACAUAACACCUCCACCAAAUUAGCAGCAAUAUCCGAAUGGAAACGAGGCUAGUCUGAAAACUUUCUAUAAUAUUCAUUUAUCGUCAACUUCCUUGAUUCACAUUUGCAAAAUCUUGCUUACUACCAACGAUAAAUGCCGGAGGGAUAAACUUUUCCUUAAAUAAGUCCUUAAACAAUUUUAAAUCGGCUACUUCCUCUGAUGACAACAAUCAAUACUCCUGCUUCCAUCAGGAUACACGUUCAUAACUCAAACCAGGUAGUCGUCUCGACCCACCUGUCAGAAGGAAAUUUCCUUUGACUUGCAUAAUCUGAAACAUCUUUUCCAAUUGGUUAAUCCGUUACUUCGCUCCCUCAGGUUCAUCAUUCCAUAAGGUGAUUCAAAUUCGACUCAUAACCUGUCUUAAAAUGUCCCUUUUUAUAAUAGACUGAAUCACCAUAAUAAUAGUUUCCCCUAAACCGCUAUAUUAGGGAGACUAAAUUCCUCUAACUAAGUGGCUUGCUACGAGGCGGUGUAGUUCUGACAGAAUUCACUAGAACUUCUCAAAAUGUCCAAGAUUGCAACCAUGCUCUGAUACCAACUGACACACCCCGUCCCGAAGGAGGGCAUGCUGGCCGUCACGUGAGAGUGACGUAACCAUUUGCACAGUACGGAAGCUUUAAGAUACAAUUUAUAAGUUGAUACACCCGAAGGUGAGUCCUAAUUUUGUCCAAUCUGUCAGAACACCGUCAAAUUCCUCGUAGUCACCACACCUUUGUGAUUCCUGAACCUGGAGGGGCGCAAAACCAAAAUUGAGUGGGUCAGUAAAACAAUUCUUUUCCAAAUCCAAACAUUUCUCAAAACGUUGUAACAAUAAAAACCAGUCCGGCGACCCAAGGAAGAAGAAGGUGCUACAGUAAAAAAAAUAAAAUAAAAUAAAAUUAUUUUAAAAAUAUGUCGACGUCCGCGACGUCGAGUAGAUCACCGUGGUAUAUUCAUAUACCCAAAUUGAGCACCGUAUGAGAAAGUUAUUAAGGAUUGUUGGUUAGGUGUUCGAAUAACGUUUUAUAGUUUUCACAUUUAGGUGAAAAUGUGAAUUGACGAUCCGACCGUUAGAUCGUCACUAAACUUUGAUACGUAGUAAUACGUAAUAUUUGAGGAUUAUUGGAACUUUCGGAUUGGGAAUCCGAUUUACGGAUCUUCCGGAAUUGGAGUUGUAAGUCCAUAAAAUAAAAUGUUAACCGUCACUUAGUUUUGGAAAUUGACGGAGAUCCGACCGUUGGAUGGUAAUGAAAUUUUAGGAUGUUAUCCUAGAGAUAUAUUGUGGACCUCUGGAAGUUAUGGAUUUAAAAUCUGAGUGGUGGAUCUUCCGGAUCGAACUACGCAGUGACGUAUUUUAUAUAAGUUAUAUAUUUCUAUCGAUAUGAAUUCUAAGGUUGGAAUUGAUUAUUGUUUUAGGCGCCGAUCGUCAUGACGCCUUGGCGUAUUGUGCUAGGGAGUUGUAGGGCGAACUCCAGGUGAGUGGGCAGUUUUGUUUUCCGUAUAUAUAUAUACUUGCCGUUUUCCCAGAAAUUGAAAAAGCAUGAAAUUAUGCUUUAAAUAGAAAUAUAUGUGAAAAGUAUAUAGAACUAUAUGAAAAACGUGAAUUGAAUUGCCAUGUAUGAAAUGAUAUGAAUUGAUAUAUGAUGCAUAUAUAUGAAUUGGUGCGGCGGACGCACAGGUGAGUAUCAGGUGAGUAUUUAAUUACUAUUAUGAUGAUGUUGAUGUAUAUUGAGCUCAAAUCCUGCACCAUGGUUUAGUGCUUAUAGUAUUCACCGCAUCGCACGCUCGCCUUGGAUCCAAGUAGAUGCUGGUCGCACAGUCCACGCGGAGUGGGUGCGACGGGCCAGUCGAAGAGUGUUAGUGAGAUUUCGACUGGUGGGUGACCUUAGAUUAUGUGCACAGAUGAUUGAUGAGAAAGCACUAGAGCGUAACUUGUGUGCAGAAGGCCGGACAGGUCACAGAGGUGACUCCGGUACUAUUUUGACCAUUCUAUUUAACUUGUGUUUCAUUUAUUUUAACCAUUCUAUUUAAAGUUUAUCCCAAGUAAUCUAAUUAAGACUAGAGUCGAAAGUGAUGCAUUUAGUAAUUGCUUACACUUGUGAAUAUGAGUUGAUUGAGGUGGUGGUGGUUUCUUGUAUUAAUAAUUCUAUUUAAACUCAUACCCUCCCACACCAUCAGAUCCAAGUACUAUUUUGAUAAACUUUAAAUAGAAUGGUUAAAAUAAAUGAAACACUUUUAGAAAAUAAGUGAAGAUGUUGUUUACAAAUAUAGAUGCAUUUGUAUAUAAAAGCUUUGGCGGUUGAUCCGUAUACACUUCCAGAGAUAUAAGCAAGUUCAUUGGAUUAUACAUACAUAGUUAAUGUAUUACAGUAUAAUUAAUAAGAAAACAAUUGCAUCCCUUUCAGAUUAUAUAUAUAUAUAUAUAUAUAGACACACACACGCACACAUACAUACACACAGGCCCUUUAUGCAAAGGAAUUUUCAAUUUUUUUUUUAAAUGGGGAUUAGUUGUGGGGCCCACGCUGCAUUGAACUUUAACGAUCCGAACAGUCUAUUUUGUAAUUCUCGAUUCAUAGAUCAUCCUUGUAAAAAUUCAAUUCAAUCCGAACCUAUUUGCCUAUUUAAUUAUCAAGAUAAAAUUUUAUUGUUUCUUAUAUAACAAAGUAUUCGUUAAUUUCUUUGAACUCAAUUAGAUAUCUUAAACAUUUCCGAUUUGGUUAAUAUUGUGUAAGGAUGAUCUAUGUGGUGCAACUUGAAAAAUAGACGAUUACGAUCGUUAAAGUUCGAUGUGGUGAGAACCCUACAAUUAAUCUUCAUUUUUAUAAAAGAAUGGGAACCCCUUCCCUUAAAGGUUUCCUAUGUAUAUAUUUGUUCUCCAGACAUAUGCAAAAGGUAAUGUAAAACCAAUGAGAACUUAAAUAGAUAUUCCAUACAUAGGACAAUUCCAUAUAUGCUUUUUCAACAUUGAUAUCGAAAAGCCAAAUUGUUUUGAGGAAAUUAAUUGUAGCAAUGAUCCCUUAACUUUUAUCUUAUUGGAGCAAUGGUCUCUCAACUAAAAAUUCAUGACCAUUGGUUCCUUAACUCCACACAACGUGUAGUUAUGGUCAUUUUCAUUAACCCCGUCAGAACUUUUGUUAAAACAAGUAAUGUUAGAAGAAUCAUUGCUACAAUUAGGUUAAAGUUGGGGACCAUUGCUCUAAUUAAAUUAAAAUUGAGGGAUCAUUUCUCCAAAUUGCUUAAAGUUCAAUGACCAUUUCUACAAUUUUCUCAUCUAGUUUCCCAUAUUUACCCCAUGAUUCAGCUUCACAUGCAUUGCACAUGACUCAUUUUGACAAAAAUUUUAACGAAAUUGACGAAAAUGACCAUAAAUACACGUUUUGAAUAGUUAAGAGACCAAUGGUCGUGGAUUUUAGUUGAGGGAUCAUUGCUCCAAUUUGGUUAAAGUUGAGGGACCAUUGCUACUUUUUUCUCAAAUGUUUCGUAUGCGAAAAUAGGCAUUUGUAAAGUUUGGCUUGUUCAUGGCAUUAUUACUUUAGUCUAAAGUAAGGCUGGAAAUGGCACUGUAGAAAUGAAUAGUGUUCCAAUCUGAAUUUCAGUUUAAUUACAACAAUGCCAUUGCUCUUUGUGUUGCCUUUAGGUGAGCAGCCCAGCUUGCAGCCAGGCCCAAAUGUAUUGGUUUUAGCUGAGAAGCUCGGCCCUUGGUCAUGCCCAAAAUUUUAAAUUACAGUUUUGCCCAUACAAAAUAACAAUCCGAUUGUAUCGGGAAGGACAAUUUUGUCCUUUCAGUUUUGGGUGAGAUAGGGGGUAACAGGGUAAGUUUCAUUUGCUGUCGUUGAAUGAGGGUUUCGGGGAUGAGGGCUCUGUGUGUGUGUGGGUGAGAGAGAGAGAGAGAGAGAUGGCGAUGGAAGGAGAGUGAGGGGGAAGGGAAGGGUUCUCGGCACUAUUGUUGCAUGUGGAUUUCACAAGUGGGAGAGUGGGUAUGGUCAGAGAAGACCAUAUAGGUCGUUGGGAUUUCAGGGAAACGGGGUAGGGGUCAUGAAUGAACCCUGCUGAGAGUGGGUACCGGAUCUUGCGCUGCAUGCCUCAAAUCAAAGAUAAGUUCGUUUUUUUUAUUGUAUUUUUAUGGUAGCUUAGCUUUUGGAAUUGUUUAGUAUGUUAGGUCCGAUUUUGGGGGAUUUAUCUUUUUAGAGAGAGAGAUAGACAGGGAGAUAGAGAGAGAGGGAGAGGGAGAGAGAGAGAGAGAGAGAGGAGGAAGCAUGACUGUGUGCAAUUUUUGGUGUUAAUUAAUGGGUUGGUGCGCAGGGUGAGUGACAGAGUGACAGAGUGAAGGAGGGACGUGUGGGAGGGUAUGAGUUUUCAGUUCUUUCUUUUGAUUCAACAGGUUAUACACUGUUUGAAAAACUUUUUUUUUAUUAUUUUGUUCUCGUUUGCUUUGUUCAAACCAUCAUUUGAAUUUUUGGGUUUCACUGUGCUCAUUUCUCUGCUUCUUCAUAAUUUGCUGGUGUUUGCUUCUCAUCCCUCUGUUGGUAGAUCUUUUUCUCAUUUCUUGGUUCCUUAUGUAUUCUUUUGUACAAAUCUGUUUACUUUUUUGCUGUGUGAUAAUCUUAGCAGGUGAACUAUAUGAACGUUUUUUUUGAAACGAGUUAAGAAGAUCCAGCUGAAAAUAGCAUACAAGAUAGAGAACUGGUAUGCUGCUCGCCAGGGAAAGGCUGCUGGAGAGGCCGAGACAGAUGCCUCCUUCAGAAACCAGGUCAGUUUCCUGCUGCUCGGCGUCUUAAUGUAUCCAAAUUGUUUAUCUUUUGAUGAAAUUAGCUGGCUUUAUUUUCUAUUUUAUUUAUCUGCAUAUUAUUUUGGUUUGUUGAAAUUUUGACUAUAGUCAUUGUCACAUGGGCGCCCAGCCCAACCCAAAUUAGUUGAGGAUAUUUAAAUCUUCACCAUGGUAUUAUAGUACUCACUCACAGUUGUGAAUACUAAGGUGCAGGCAUGGCAUGAAGAAGUGGACCGUGCACGCCAAUGUCAGAGGGAUGCAGAGGGCAAGCUUUUUUCUUUGGAGGUAAGUAUCCUUUGUUUAUUGCCCAACAGUGUUGUUAUUAUCAAUUUGUAGCUUUGCGUUCUGAAUUUUUUGCUUUGUCAAACAACCUUCUUGAAAUGCUCGAUUUCAAGCCGAAGUCCAAAAAAUGAGAGUUGAGAUGGCUUCCAUGAAAAGGGAUGUAGAGCAUUACUCGCGCCAAGUGAAAUCUGCUUCCUCUCUUUUCGUAUAUCUUCAUAUGAAGAGUUUUACUAAGUUAUAUUGAGAACUAUGUUAUUUAUAGGUUAUAUUUUCCAUUUUGCAGGAACACAUGGAGCUAAGGAAGAGCUAUCGUGAACUCACUGAUCUACUGGUAAUGUCACUCAAACUGCUUUAUUUGUGCAUGCUGCUACUAUGCGCUUGAAUGCAUUUUAUUACUGGCGGGAUGCAAGAAAGCUAGAUAUAUGUGCUGGAUCGCUUGAUUAGUGUUAGGGUUUUAACAACUAAUUGUUAGCAGCUAGAAGCUCUGGUUAGAUGAAUGCUAAUUUGAUUUUCCUUACAGUACUUGAGUGCCAGUUUCAUAUUGUUUGUUCCCUGCUGGAUACCUGUUGUACAGUUUCAUUUCUGUUUCUUUAUAACUUUCUUGGCCCUGGGAUAUAUGCAUAUUGAGUACAAUGAAUAUCCAUUGUUCUCUAACUGUUGGGCUUUACUAUCUUUGUAGCAGCCUGCCUAACAUUUUUUAGGCUCUACACUCUACCAUCCAAUUUAUGAAAAAUUCAAAGAUUGAACGGUAUUGAUUGCAGAAAUGAAAAAAAUACUAUGAUAUUAGAAAGGUGAAUGUAAUUGUGUUAGAAGAAGCGUCUAGCAUGAUGGGUAAUAUUUUAAGUUUGUAUUUCUAAAAUUUUUUCGUUCUGGAGUAUGAUUUACCUCAAUUGUUUUGUACUUUAAUCUUUACUAAUUUUCAUUGUGGAGUAUGAUUUGCCUCAACUAACAACUUUUCAUUGUUUAACUUUUUCCUCCCUUAGAUAGUUGCAUAUGUUUGAUUUGUUAAUCUGCUUCUUACACAUGUUGUUUCCUAAUGGUGUAGGUGGGUUGCCGGAUGCAUGUGCAGAUUACUUGAAUAGACGAAGCUAAGAAUGACUUAGUAUUAAGUGAGAAAGAAGCUUGGGUCAGUUGGAUUUUGAUAUUUGAUUUAUUCAUGUUUUUUGUUGCUUGCAAUGUUCUCGCAUUGUUGUUCUGAGAUUCUGUGAUCUUAUUUUUCAUAGGAACUGACAUUGGUUUGCCAUAUAAUGUUUCAUGAACUAAUACAACAACUAAUCACCUUGCUUAGCUCUCAAGACACAUACUUAAUAGGUUAACAAACACUAACCUAUAAACUGAUCUGCUAAGCUGGACCAUUAACCUCUGUUUAUAUCCCUGCCACUCAUCUUUUGGCACUUAUCAAUAGCAAAAUUUAGAGUUACUGAAACCCCAAUUUUAAUGAAUAUUAUUUUUAGUUGAUAAUUAAAAUUAAUUGAUGAUUAAUCUAUUCCAUUGUGCAUUAUUUUAUCGCCAAAUACUUUGAAUAUUCAUUAGCAAAAGAUAUAGGGUUCACUAUUUAAUGAAUAGAAUUUUGAUGGUGGAUUGCAUUUCCUGAGUUAUAAAUGUGGUGAAUCCAUUAUUUACUAGCUGAAUAAUCAUAAUGUUUUGGCCACUUACCUUGAAUUUUGUUCAAAUUGAAGAAGUCACAUGUUUCUUUCUGUUGUUGAGGUAAUCUCUCUGUUGAAAGCUUCUAUUUCUUUUUUCUUUUUCUCUUUUUCAUUUGGGUAGAUUUUUUUUUUAUGGAUUUAUGUAUUUUUUUUCAGAGAAUUCGAAAUGAAAUAAGAAUAGCGGAUUGAGCAUAAACAAAUUGAUGAAAUUUUUAUUUGAGUGUUUGUGUUGGUCCUUUUUUGAUUUGUUGAGGUUUGGAAUUAUUUGAGUUUUUUUUGCUGUUAGUACUGUGAAGGAUGCUUGGCAAUCGCGAAAUGGGGGCUACCUCUUUGGAAAGAGAAGUCUCGCUAUCCAACCUCUCAUGAAUUACAAACAGGGUGCUUUCUUGCUGAAAAACCACUAAACCAGUAGAACUUUCCUCGGUUCUUCAAUUCGAUUCGAAUAAUUUUUUUACCCAGAAAGCCAGCGUUUCCUGGUGGGUUUUACAGCUUUCUCAAUGUUUUUGUGAUUUUGGAUUUGCAAAUUUGUUUUCUGUUCAAAUUUCCUUUUGUGAUUUUGGAGGUUUUGUUUAUCGAUUCUCUCACUCAUCUCUCAGCUCUCUCUCACUUUUGAGGUACAUGCCGUUGGAUUCCAUUUGCUGCUGCUGAUCUGCAGGUAAAGCUUCAAUUACCAUAUAAAGUUUACAUUUUUCAUGAUUUCUUGAAUUUGGGUUUUAAACAAAGGAAAUAUUGCUAGAUUCUUAUCUUAUGUGCAAAUUACUGGCUAUUUGGAUUGAUGCUUGAGAUUUAGAGAAUGCCUCGAAGCUUUAAUUUCUUUUUCCUUCAUUAUUACUGUUUUCAAAAUUUUUAUUGCUGGGUAUUGAUAAUUUGUAGUAUGUGAGGGCUUCAAUAUGUUGGAAUUUUGAAUGGUUAUUGCUUCAUCGGAAUUUGGGUGGUCCAAAUUUUGAAUUAGAAGAAACCCAUUUGAUUAAUAUUUUUGGUGGAUUGGUUCUCUGUGUUUUCCUUGCUAUUUCUCCCCCAGUUGGAAAUUGGAAGCCCCAACUUUGAGCUCAGAGCUUGAAUUUCUCAAUCGUUCGUUUCUCUGCACUCUCAUCAGUCACUCUUGAUCCUCUAUCUAAAGAACUGGGUAAUUUUCCAGCUCUAUCAAGUAAUACUCCAUUUAAUUGCUUAAUUGAGGUUUUUUGUUUCUCUUUUUCGCUCUUUCAUCAGUUCAUUGGCUUUGAUGUUGAGCUUAAGUAAAUGGGAGAUCAUUAAUUGGCAUUGUUCAAGAUAUAAUUCUGUGUUUUUGGAUUUGUGAAACGAUUUGCCUAAUGAUGAUAGUGGUUAAAAUAAAUUUUUCGUUAUGAAAGAGAACAUUGUUCUUCAUUUGCCUAUGGUUUUAAGUACAAAGUUAAACUACUAUGCUUUUGUUCAAUUGACUGCAACUCAUGCCGCAGUUUGCUUCACAAACCUCUACGGUUAGCUUCCAUAUAGUAUGUUGCAAGUUUGAGGAUAUCUUUACAUCUUAAUUUUUGCUCUCUCUGGUUGCUUCAAGUUUGUAAUUUUACGUGUUACAUUGCUACUUGAUUUGAUUAUAAAAAUGCAAAACAAAAUCCGUUUUGCUUUUAUUCAACUUAAAUGUAUCCUUUUGUUUGUUCAUAAUUGUGUUGAAUUUAUUCAACUUAAAUGUGUUUUAUUCAUCUGUUUACGCUUAAAACAACUGGUUUCCCUAGCAAUGCGCGGGCCUAAUUUCUAGUACAUAUACUAAAAGCCAGCAGAAAAUUACUGUUCAUCAUGGGAGAUAGAGCACUGUUCAUUAACCGUGAAAGGGCGAAAAUGCCCUCGGAUUCUUCUUUACUUCACGUACUGUUUACGAAUUGCUACAGUAUAAAGUCCGUUUUGUCCUUCCUGUCCACGCAUCUUUCAUCGUCCGUUUCUCUUGCUUCGACCACAUCUUUUUUGCUUUACCUUUCCUCUUCGUUUUUCGCAUUCGUUAGGCUACGAUUUUCGGAGGUGGAUUGUUUGCCCUCCCAUUUCCAUGGUCUCCCCAUGCCCUCCCAUUUCCAUGAUCUCCCCACGUCAAUAUUUUAUAAAAAUAAUAAAUAAAAGGUAAUAAGAAUAUAAAAUGUUGACGUGUCUUAACGUGACCACAUAGGCAUUGGGAGAGCAUGGAAAUGGGAGGGCACACAAUCCACCUCCGACUUUCUCCCUUUUCGCCAGCCCCUCUUUUGCUCUCAAAUCCUUGCUCUUUCUUUUGCAAAAUAGUCUCAGAAGAGAUCCUGGGUUUAUCGAAUCCUUUGUUGUUGGGCGUUUUGUUCUCAUCUUGCGAUCGUCGGGGCAGCAGCUUUAAGGUAAGUUUGUUUUUAAUGAUUUAUCCUCAUUUUACGAUGUCUGGGCUAACAAAUUUAAGAUCUUUAUUUUUCUUUUUGCUGCGGAUCUGCAGGUUUUGACAAGUUUUUUGUGAAAUUGGUGCUGUCAGUGGGUGUUAACAUCAGGUACCCAUGUUCAGUUUUUCGUUUUGAUUUGAAGGAAUUUCUUGCGCAGAAGAGCUAGGGUUUCUUGGUGAGUUCUUCGGGUUUUUCAUAUGGGUAAUUUUCUUUUCGGUUUAACCCUCUGCUUCUGCUGCUCUCUCUCUUUCUCUCAUCCCUGCCUGCUCCUCUCCAAUUGUUUGCUGUUCUUAAAUAUUGUGUUCAUUGCCUGAUACAACGAGGCAAUGGCGUGACAACAGGUGAGCUUGGAUAUCCAAAGAAAAAGAACAGUUGGUUCAUCUGCUGGAGUCUGAAGCUCAGAGAAGUGGAGGAAAAUUGCAGGUGUGCGAGAAAUUUUAUUUUGCUGAUAGGACUCCUUAUUUACGGAUGCAUUUUGAAAUAAUUGAAAAGUUGGAUUUGAGUUAACAGCUAUAAAAAUGUAGACAUGAUUGCUGAGAUUAUGCUAUGAAAGUGGAAUAAAAAAAUGGUAGUUUAUAAUAUUGCGUACCAAUUGUUUUCUCUCUUUUUUACCAAAUGAUAAGGGUGGUGGCUCAGGCCGCCCCCCUAAGCGUCCCCACUCUUCGACAAGUUGAAAUCGUGGUGAUAGUUUAUGGGCUGUGGUCUUGGGAUUCUGCAAAUAGAAUGAAAAACAGACACUUAACUAUCUUGUUAUUAAGCAUUUCUGCAUCAUUCAGUUGCUCUUGAUUUUCGUCUUUUAAGCGAUCUUAUUUCUGCGAUCUGACUUGAGGAGGGUUUUUAGACCUAUGGUUGUGGGUGUUUUCUCUGACCCCAUUAUCCGAGAUUUGUAGACUUGCGAUCGGCGGUCAAACAUUUUGUGAUUCUUGUUUUCUCUGCCUUUCGGUCGUUAAGCGCCGGCAGUCUUUAGAUCUUUGGCAAAUCAAUUUAAUACAACCGAGGUAUGUUUUAUAACUGCUGUCUUUCAAUUUUUGUUCUGUAUUUUUGUUAAUUUGGAUGAAGCUCUAAUAAUUUUGUUUUGGAUCAGUUGUGGUCCUCUGUUAGGAUUUUCCUGGCUAAGAGGGUAUUUGCGUUUUUGUUGCUUGGUUGGUCGAUCACAGAUUUACGAACAGCUGUGGUGGUCCUGUUAUUUUUUUGGUAUGUUUUUUCUCCUUUUUGGUUUUUUCCCGGUUUGAGCACCCAUUCAUGAAGAAUUAAAAUGUGUUUAUAGUUUUUCAGGAGAGAUUAGAAAAGUGAUUUCAAUUUGGGAAAAUUUAAUGUUGGUUAAAAUUUGUUUAUAAUUUUUGGGAAGGAAUGAGAGGACCCAUUGAAGUAUGUGUUGUGAUUAUUUUUUAUUCAUAUUUUUAACAAAUUGGGCAUGAAUUGGUAGGUUAACUGUGUGUGUUUAUUAUUUGAAUCGGCCAUGUUUGUCUUUCUAUGGUUCUAAAAAAUUUGUAAAGGCUGUUAACUUGGAAGAAAAUGGGAUCGAGGGUGAGGGGAAAACGGCAGAGAAAGCAUGGAAGAGAGAUUUGGGAUUAGGGGUAGGAAAACAGAUGAAAAGAAUAUGAUAGAGGAAUGGGUUCAGUUCAUUUUCACUAUUUUUUUUAACUGAUUUGGAUUUUGUUUGGGUUUGAGGCCAUCAUUGGCGUUAAGACGUUUAUUAUCAGAUCGUGUGUUUUUUGCUAACUUUUAUUGGUAAUUUUAAUGUUGUUCUUAUGAUUUUGUGUGGUAGGGUUUCUGAAUUUUAUCGUUAUUCAUUUGGUUUUGUGUGUGUGUUGGUUUGUUUAUUUUGCAGGUUGUGUUUGUGCUGGGACAACAUUUUCCACCUUCUGUUUGCACUGGGAUGAUUGCGUUUUAAAACUGUUGGGGUGAGAUUUACAUAUGGAAUCAUUCCAUUUUUUUUCUUCCAAAUAUGUGCAUUUAGUUCUCUUUUAUUUUAAAUUUUAAAAAUUAAAUCGUUAUUUGAGUAAAAUGUUUUAUCAGUUUAUGUUAUGUGUUGUGACCAGGAAUUCUGUUGGAUUUGCGAAUUUUGGUUUGAUGAGAGAAAUGAGGAGUUUUUUUUGUUUGAAUUUUUUAUUGGACCGAUUUUCAAUUGGAUUGCAUUCUGCCUUUUUGCACCAUUCUUAUGCAAGCAAUUCAUUGUUUUAAAUACAAUUUGAAGAGAGCUGGGUUGCGGGUUGGAUAUAAAAUGUUAAGGUGAGAUAAAAUCGAGAUACCAAGGGUGGAAGAAUGAUUCAGAAUUGGGGGAGGAAAACAGAGGGAAGAUAGAAGAAUAUAAGAGAAGGAUAGGGUUGACCUCAUUUAGAGUUUUUAUUUACUUAUUUUUUUUUAUAAAUUGAUUCAGGACUUGCAUAUCAUUUCUAAAUUUCUAACAUUUUUGUUUAAUUUGACUCCAGUUGAUGGAAAACAGAGCUCUUACUCCUAUCAAUCAGAUGGUCCCGUACAUAAAUGCAGAAAAAUCAAGGUUCGAGUUUGCAGAGUAUGCAGACCAAGGUUUCCCGAAACUACUGGUGCAUAUUCAGGCUUGCAUUGUAUAUUACUUACCUAUUAAAAAUUUGUUUGGAAUUUGCUUUUCCCACAGAGGAGAAGAGCUGACAGUUACGCUGUGGGCAGAUGUUGCUCGAAGUAUUGCUUCUUUAUCCAUUGAAUCAUUGUCUCUGCCGAUCAUUGUGGUUUUCACAAGUUUAAAGGUCAAGCUGUACCUAGGUAUUUGACUUAGUUAAAAACUAAUCUAUUUACUAUUAAUUUUUCUAUUAUAUUCAAACGUUAUUUAAUAUAUACUCUACUAAUAUUUUCUUAACAUGUCACACAAACAUAUUCACUUCUUUUGAUCAAUUUUUUUACAGCAUUUCAUAUAAAAGCUAACAUUUAGUUGAAAUUGAUUAGCAACUCUUUUCUUGCAUGUAUACAUACGAAUUAAACAAUAGUAUUAAACUAUUUGUUAUCAUUCUCAGUAUUUGUUUUAGAAUUAGAUUAAUAUAUUUAACCUGUUUUAGAAUUAGAAUUAUUUGGUAUCACUCUCAGUAUUUGUUUUAGAAUUAGAAUUAGAUUAAUAUACUGAGAUUAUUUAGACAAAUCUAGCAUUUUCUCAAAAUAUUUGACUUUUAAACUUAGAUUAAUAUAUUUAGCAGUUUUUUAACAUGCAAUUUUUCAUUAAUUUUUCAACACACAGACAAGAUAGUCUUGAACACCAUUGGUUCAUCACUUUUCUUCAUUGAUCUAGAUAUUCUGGAAGUAAAUUCAUACAAAUCAGUGUAAGUGUGUUUACUUUGUUUAAAAAAAUAUUAUAUGCUCUCACAAUAAAAGAAGGGCUAUUCUCACAAAAUUUAUGAACUAAUGUUCUGUUUUAACCUCUACAGCUUUUCCAAAUGCACAGAACCUCUAAAAAUACUGCCACCUUUUACAAAACAGGCCCGUGAAGCUCAAAUCUUGCAGACAGCGAAGGUCACAAUUGCAGACGCUGAAAUUUUCAUGCCAAAAUAUGAUGUGGAGGAUGAGAAAUUGUUUGCUGUUGUUCUCUUUUCAGUUUUGCAGGCGAUGAUCUUUUACCAAAUGUCGAGGAGCUUCCAUGGGACAUGCUCUAUGCUCUCGCUUCCCAGUUGCCUCUGUUGGGGUUGGAAAAGCUACAGAUCACAAUGUAAGUCAAAAACAGUAAAGUUCCCAAGAUGUUCUGUGCUGGAGCAGAUUUAAAGGUACGAAUUUUUAAUUUUUUUGUGAAGUCGAUGUUUUGUUUUAAAAGGAGUUUAUAAUGGAUUGAUUGGACAAGUACAGCGUGUUUUGCAGAUAAAGGGCCCUAGCCAAUUUUCUAUGACCUAUAAAGCAUUAACCAAAUUGGGUUUUGUUUGUUUGGUAACAGGGGUUGUUCAGGUUAGGUUGGAGAGGUUGGAGGUGAGAAAUGCAAUUGGGAAAGAUACGCUGAGAGUUUUACAGAACACCUUUGAAGCUGUCAGUGAGGAUUCUUCUGCUAAUGUUUUGUUGAUCAGCAGUAAAGUUCCCAAGAUGUACUGUGCUGUAGCAGAUUUAAAGGUAGGAAUUUUUAAUUUUUUCGUGAAAUCAAUGUUUUGUUUUAAAAGGAGUUUAUAAUGGAUUGCAUGGACAAGUACAGAGUGUUUGUUUGUUUGGUUGAAUGUAAAAAGGAAUUGGAAGAAUGAUGAAAGUACUUGCAUUUGGUUGUAGUUGGUCAGGCACUGAAGGACCGGUCAAUACGAAGUGCAUCUGUGGGACAAUAGUUGAAAGAAGGCCAGAGCAGGAAGAGAAGGCAAGGUUUGUGAAGAAAAACAGUGAUGUGUUUAAUUAGAAGAAAUGUGCAUUUUUUUUUCCCAGUCAAAUUCUGCUUUUGUUCUGACUAUUUUCCUUACUGUAUGCUGAUUUUAUUAUUUAAUUUUUGGUUUUUCCUUGAUUGGCUUGGGAAUUACAAUCAAAUGAUGAAUCUUCAGUUUACUUGGGUAAGCAUUUUUUAACAUAUAAUUUAGCUGACCAUUUUAACUGUCAGACCAUGUUGUUUUUGGUUAUCUAAUCAUUCCAAGAUGGCAAGUUAGGAUUGGAAGGGUUGCUAGAAAUAAGGAUUAUAUCUUGGGACAUUCGGUGAGUGAUUUUUCAAACUUUCAGUUUUACAAGACAAAAUAUCUAUUUUUGUGUGUAUUCUUCAAGCAUGUUAUCAUUAUUUAGGUUGUAGGAAAAAAAGAGAGUGACUUGAGGUGUUUUUAGAUAUUUUUGUGUGUAUUCUUCACAAUGUAUUAAAAGCGCGAGGCGUGGGCGAGGCGUCUGAGGGAUAGCCCACGCCUCACGCCUUACGGGACCUAAAUUUUUUAAUAUAUACACUGAGCGUACACAUAUAUUAUAUUAAAAAAAAAUUAUUAAUCAAUAAUUACCCUGAGCGCACAUAUAUAUUAUAAAUACAUAUAUACACAUAUAUAUACAUAUAUUAUGUUAUAUAUAUAUAAAAUAGAGGAUGAAAAGCACAAUGAGCACACAUAUAACAAUGCAUGCAGACGGCACACAAUAUAGUGCAAGGAAUAGGUAUGAGGUAGUUAAAACCCUACCCAAAAUCUGGGUUUGGGAGUAAAAAUAAAAAAUAAAAAAAAAAUUGCUUGAGGCGCGUCUAGGCGGCUCCGACAACGCCUUCCGGCGCCUUCCGCCCACUCCCUCAAAACAAAGGCGGCAACCCUCAAGUCCAGCCUCACAGGGUGCCUAGGCGCACCCUGAGGUGAGCCUUUUAAAACAUUGAUUCUUCAAGCAUGCUAUCAUAAUAUUUGUAACUAUAAAAAAUAAUAUACUAUUAUACCUCUGUUUCUCUUUUCUUUGUUUUCAUGAGAAAUUAAUUGCCAUUGGCAGCACUAUAGAAAGCCAUCUUUCUCCAUUAUUCUCCGCUUCAUGCAUAAUUACAUAAUUCUACUAUCACAGUUGUCAGUCCUGAACAAUCAUGCAAGUCUAGUGGCAAAAACCACCUCAAUGAACAACUCUCACACACACACAGACACUGAUCAUACAUCUCUAACUCUCUUUUUCAAAUAACACACACUCUGAUCCAAAACAGGGUAAAUAAAAUGCACAUCCUUAUACAUUUCUAACUUUGUUUUUCGAAAUCCAAAAUAGGGUAUUCUAACUCUCUUUUUCAUUCAUUUCUUACAAACCAAUCAUACAUUUAAAAUAGGCUUUGAAUAAAAAUAGGGUAUAUAAUUAUAUACCUCAAAAUGCCUAGGAACCAACUUCCCCCUCCAACGAUUCAAAUUCUUGAAAUUGCCAACACAGUAAAUCCAUUAGUACUAUAUAAAUGAAAACACAAUUGAAACCCAUCAAACAAAACAAUCCCACAAUUUAAAUGAUUCAAUCCUACUACAAUUGAAAUUCACAGAAAGAAUGAAAAACCAGAACAAAACUGCAGCACCUAAAAAGUUGUCAUACAAAAAAACAUGGAAUGUAAAAAUAUGUUAAGAAAUCUAGUUCGUUAAUUUCCAGCUGCUAAGUGGCAUUAUGUAACUUUAGUAGUAUACUAAUUAACUACUUAUCUGGUGGGUUGCACUUUUAUCCAAUUGGUAAGGAAAGGAAAAUAAAAAUCAACCCCUUGGUCUUAGUUGUGGCUGCAAAGUGCAGGCCACCACCAAGUCUCAGUGUUUGUGUUUUAGCAAAACACUUAAAUAAAUUAAAUUCUGAAAUGUAAAUUAUAUUCCUAUAACUUUAAGAUGCACAUAUAGUAUUGUUGAAGUCGAACUGAAAGCACUGACAAUUCCAAGCAACAGAGCAGCAAUUAUUAAGAGCCAAAACUCAUUCCUAGUCUCCUCAUCCUGGUACUCAACUCCGUAAUCUUUGGUCAGCAUCAUUGACUGAAAUUAGGAGAGAAAAAGAAAAGGAAUUUCAGAAAUUGUCUAUGAAGCAAAGGAUACUGCAGUUACUUCAAGACAUGUAAAUUGCAUAUGUAUAAAGUAAUUUUCUACAUAAAGUAAUGAGGCAUAACUUUCUCUCUCCUCUUCAAACCCUAAACAGAGCAAAGCAACAAACUUUACAGAGAUUAGAAUGAGAACUGGAACUAAUCGAACAAUGACUGAAAAGUAACAUACUUGAGGAGUGAAUGAUUUAGUGUUUCCAUCAUCGGAAGCCGGAGUAAGUCGCUAAGAGAGGUCGCAAACAGCCCAAAGGGACAAACCCAGAUCCCCGGCCCCGAUCCAUACCCUUCCCCCUCAAAUCCCGACGGCCCCCAUACUUUUCUCUGACUGUACCCCCUCUCCCACUCAUGAAAUCGAGGAUCUGUAGCAAUGGUACUGAGAUCCCCACUCCUCCCUCUCCCUUUCUCUCUGUCGCUCUGUCUCCCUCUCCCUCUGUCUGUCUAUCUUUAUCCCAGAGCGGCAUGGCCUCCCAUCCCUGAAACCCUCACCGAAAGGUGGCAAUUUUGUAAAUAACUUGAAAUCCACCAACAACAGGGGCAGAGAAUUGAAACAAACAUUUAGGCUCGUUCGAUAACCAUUUAGGCCAAAACUGAGCACACCUAAACCAUUCCUACCCGUGCCAAAUGUUAGUGGGGAAGCAAGAUGAAGACUUAUUUUUCAAAACCAAAAGAAAAAAAAAAGAGAAAACAAAAUAACAAAUCUAAUGGUUGUAGUGUAAAAGCUGAGAACGUAAAUAAGAGCAGUUCCAGCCUUGUAAAUAGGCCGGGGGACAGGGGAGAAGAAAAGGCCUGAGGGCCUGUCAAGUUGCUCCAGCUAUGAGGAGCCCGAGCUCGUGGAGAAGGCCCGAGCAGGGGGUCUGUCAAUUUGUGACAGCCUCGGAGCCCGAGCUCCAAGCCCAUUUUUUAUUUUUUUCUGUCAGGCGCGUGCACCCCACUCGCGCGUGGGGGCGCGUCGCCCGACAACUUUUCAGAAAAACAGACAACUUUUCAGCCUUUCACAGUUACCGUUGGGAAGCCACGUGGCUUCCCACGGUCUGUUCGAUCUCAACGGCUCCUUCAUUUGGACCGUUGGAUCUCAAUGGUAAAAAAAAUAAAAAAAAUCUGAUUUAAUAUCAACCGUUCGAUCCGAGAUCAACGGUCGAUAUUAAUAUGCUUUAUAAAUAAAGAAAAAAUAGUUUUAAAAUUAAGAAAAGUUACCGUUGUGACACGUGGCACAAUCUGGAGUGUUGGAAUUCAAAAUUUUUUAAAUCCAACGGCAGAAAUUAAUUAUUGGAAUUUUUUUUUAAAAAUGGAAAAAAUCCGAAAAAAUUGUAAAAAAUCUGAAAUUUUUUUUGUAAAAAUUUGUUUUUACUUUUCUAUAAAUACCACUUCUUCUCUAUCUACCUUACACCACAAUUUCAUAUUUUCUCAACUACUUUCAAUCAAAUUCCUAUCUUUCUCUUAAAGUUUCAAUCCAAUUUUUUUCCACAAAAUGGCUACUGAUGCAGGUUCGAAUUGGUCGCUUCUUGAAGAUGUUGCGUUGUGCACUAGCUGGGUUCAAGUUACUCAUAAUUCCGUUACGGGUAAUGAGAUGCAGUUGCGAGAAAUGUGGAGUUUAAUUCAUACCAAAUUUGUUGAGCAAAUGAGUGGGAAAAGAACCAAAGAAUCGAUAUCGAGUCGUUGGAAAAUACUUAGCCAUUCCUUUAGUACGUGGAGAGAUGCCUUGACACAAGCUAGUAAUAAUGUUCGAAGUGGGGCAAAUUAUGCGGAUGAGGUAAGAAUAUAUUAUAAUUAUUUGUUUGUAUUAUUAUUUUGUUACCUAAUUUGAUUAUAAUUAUUUGUUUGUUUCAUUUAUUUGUUACCUAAUUUCAUUAUUAUUAUUUGUUUGCAAUAUUUAUUUGUGACCUAAUUUCAUUAUUAUUAUUUGUUUGUAUUAUUUAUUUGUUACCCAAUAAUUUCAUUAUUAUUAUUUGUUUGUAUUAUUUAUUUGUUACCUAAUAAUUUCAUUAUUAUUAUUUGUUUGUAUUAUUUAUUUGUUACCCAAUAAUUUCAUAAUUAUUAUUUGUUUGUAUUAUUUAUUUGUUACCCAAUAAUUUCAUUAUUAUUAUUUGUUUGUAUUAUUUAUUUGGUACCUAAUAAUUUCAUUAUUAUUAUUUCUUUGUAUUAUUUAUUUGUUACCUAAUAAUUUCAUUAUUAUUCAUUUGUAGCAACUUCAAGCACAAGCAUGGUAUGCUGCCAAAAUCAAAUCAAGAAACAAAUCAUUCCACCGAUGGGAAUGUUGGAAUAUUGUUAAAGAUUGUCCUAAAUUCAAAGUUGUGCCUGUUGGUCCAGAAGUAUGCAUGAACAGCAUCCCUCUACACAGCACCUUUGUAUACAGCAACCCUCCACACUCUACACCUGAUGAUGGCACUCAGGUUGAUGAAGAAGAUGUAGAUUUAUUUAAUUUCGUAAUAUAUUUAUCCUAAUAAUAGAAUCUUUAUUCAUCAAAUUGUUCACGUAUAAUGAAAUAAUGAAACACACCAAAUAAAACUAAAAAACUCACCAAUUGGAAUUACAUAAACAUACCAAAUAAAAUUACACAAACAUACCAAAUAAUAAAAAACUCACUACAAAAAACACACCAAAUUAAAUUACAUAAACACACCAAAUACAAACAAAUAUAGUAAAUAAACUUAAGUAUCUUCAGCUUGUUUCAAUGCCCACUGGUGCUCUAUCAAGUCAAUUUGCCGAUCAUUGUGUAUAGAUGACCUUUGAAGUGCAGUAUAUUGUUGAAUAACCCUUUCAUUGUAACGUCCAUCCCUUUCUAAUGGCUCGUGUUGCACGGGUUCUUCGGUGGCAUCAUGCGCACAAUAUAUCCGUGUUCUUGAAUUGUUCAUCGUGUCUGGCUCUGGCUCAUAUUCAUCAACCGCAUCAUAAUCGAACUCAUCUUCCACAAUCAUGUUGUGAAGAAUGACGCACGUCAUCAUGAUGGAUCGAAGUGACUCUACAUCGAACAUUCUGGCAGCACCCCUGACAAUCGCCCAACGAGCUUGAAGGAUACCAAAACAACGCUCCACAUCCUUCCUGCAUCCCUCUUGACAGCUUGCAAAGUGUUUUUCCUUUGCACUUCUCGGACGUGGCACUGUUUUGACAAAUGUUUCCCACUGUGGGUAAAUGCCGUCAGCUAGGUAGUAUGCCCCGUCGUACCUACGUCCGUUGACGACAUACGUGACUUGUGAUGCCUUUCCUUGGAGGACGUCGUUGAACACUAGGGAUUGGGUAAGGACGUUGAGAUCAUUUUGAGCCCGGGAACCCCGAAAAAGGCGUGCCAUAUCCAUGUAUCAAAAGAUGCCACUGCCUCCAAAAUGAUAGAUUUUGCUCAUUUUCUGUCCCCAUAUGCGCCUUGCCAUGCACUUGGACAGUUUUUCCACGUCCAGUGCAUACAAUCGAUGCUUCCUAUCAUCCCAGGAAAACCUCGCAUCUCGCCCUUCUUCAGAAGCCUUUGCAAGUCCAUGUGAGUAGGUCUUCGGAGGUACUCUGCCGUGUACAAAGAUUCGACUGCUCCGCAAAACCUCAUCAGGGCCUCAAGAAUGGUUGAUUUCCCCAUCCUCGUUAUCUCAUCCACUUGGUCUGCAGAUGCUCCAUACGCAAGCAUCCGCAACGCAGCAGUGAUUUUUUGCUCUGGCAGAAGAUCCAUAACACCACAAGCAUCCUUCUUUUGCACGAAGUAAGAAUCAUGGUUGCAAACAUCAGUCAUGAUUCUGUUGAACAAAUGUCGUUCCAUUCUAAAACGGCGUCUGAAGUACGUAUCAGGAAAUGCACUGUUAUGGACGAAGUAAUCGUCCAACAGCUCUUCACCCCGUCGUUGCCUGCUUCUAUCAAGGUUUUUUGAACGGCUGGGCCUGCAUAUCUGAGCAACAGUCUGGAUGACUCGACGAGAAUGUGAGGCUCUGGCCAUUCUUGUUUCGUCAUCUCUCUUUCUACGCUCCUCAUCUUCUUCCAUCUCAUUUCUGCCUAUAUGAAGGUUGAACAUUCCUUCAGAUUGGUUAAACAAUUCUUUCUCUUGCUGAUUGAUUUCCCACAUCAUCCUUGAUGAAGAAGAAGACAUUGUAGGAUGGAUGGUGAAGAAGAAGCAAAAUCUAUGAAUAAUGAGAUUGAGAUGUUGAGAAAAUUGGUGUGAGAUUUGUGAGGAUGGAUGGUGGAUUAUAUGGACGAUUCAGAAAGGAUCGGAUUGUAGAUAAGGCCACGUGGCAUGCCGUCAUUCGUUAAAAAUCUGAUCGAAAUCUGUCCUGAAAGAUUCUGAAAAGAUAAUGACACGUGGCACGAUCGUAUUGGAUAAAAAUCUUAUCGAAAUCCAUCUCCAAUAAUUAUCAUUUUGGAUAAUGACACGUGGCGCAAUUUUGAACGAGUUAAAAUCUGAUUGAAAUCUGUCUUGAAAGAUUCUGAAAAGAUAAUGACACGUGGCACGAUCGUAUUGGAUAAAAAUCUUAUCAAAAUCCAUCUCCAAUAAUUAUCUUUUCGGAUAAUGACACGUGGCGCAAUUUUGAACGAGUUAAAAUCUGAUCAAAAUCUAUCGUCAAAGAUUCUCAAACGAUAACGACACGUGGCACGAUGACAUUUGAUAAAAAUCUUAUCGAAAUCCAUCGUUAAAUAAUUGUUUUUUUUUAUAAAAUGAUACGUGGCGCAACGAUAACGAUUUAAAAAAUCUUAUCCGAAAUUACAAAUAAUUUUAUUUUGUAUUAUUUAAACAAACAAAAAAAACUAAUAUUUUAUUGCCUAUUGCCAGGGGGAGGGCUCCAAGGGUGGAGAUGCAAAUGGCAAUUACUGUUCAUUAAUGUCAGUUACUAUUCAUUCAAGGCAGUUACUGUUCAAUAGGGUGGAUUCAAUAGUGGAUUGCCAGGGGGAAGGUCUUCAUGGGUGGAGUUGCUCUAAACAUGCAGGGAAAAAAAUGAAGAUACAAAGUAGCUGCAUCAUGAAACACAUACUCCAAUUAGACGCAAAAAGUGAUGGUGAUGAGAAGAGAGAAAAUGUUGUCGUUUUGAUUUUUCUGGCUUUUAAAGGGAGCAGCUUUCUUCGACCACCAAAAAAAGGAAGUUGCUUUUCGUGUGGUUGUGAUUUCCUGAGUGUAUGUGAGCGGGUCUAUGGCACUUGCACUGUUUGUGUCGGUUAUGGUAACCGGGCGAGCUGGACACAGUAGCGUGGGACUGAAUUCGGAGAGGUGAGAAAAAUUAAAAACACAAAAAGAAGGUGUUCAUUUUGUCACAUUUUUAUUACUAAAAAUUCAAUAAAGUACAUUCAUUAGUAUGGUAACUUAACUAUUUAAUUCCAUCUCAUUAAACUAAAAAAAACAAUUACAAAAAAAUAAGGAAAACCUUGUCCAGAGAGACCUGAGAGAAAGUGACGACUUCUCCUCUCAUUCCACUCCAUACUUGAUCUCUAAAGUCCAUUUGGCAUGUAAUUGAUGUUCAAUUUCAAAUAAAGUGGUGGCAAUUAGCAAAGCUAAUGAAAGAAUCAAAUAAAAUGAAAGAAAAAGCAUCAUGAAAUAAAUCAAGAUGAAGAAUGAAAUUUUGGCAACUCGCCAUUCUCUUCUUUUAUAUAAAAGAUACAUCCUAUUUGUAGUGAAAACAGGUCCCGACAAACCCAGUUAUCCUCAAGAAGUAUUUUGUAUGACUUUAAAAACAUAAUCCGUGAAAUUAUCUCUUGGCAGAGAACAACAACAAAUCUUCAUGCAUAGCUUGUAGAGAAAGACAUCAGGCAUACAAAAGAACAGGCAAGCAUAAAAUAAACGAUGCAUGGAAAACCAAAAAUACAAUUGAAUAUGCUGUCAAAAGAACAUGAAUAAAUGAAAAUUACAAAACAAAGAAGUGAUGGGAAACCAAAGUAUUCAUAAUCUAAUUGCUUUUUAGUUUGCUUGCCAUUUUUAGUUCUUCAAUUUAGAGAGAAACCAUAAUUCAGCACAUGAAUAAAGUGAAAACGUAAAAGAUACGUGGGAUAAGCUGACAGCCAUCCCUGAGUAAUGCAUUCACUUUUGAACCCCAAACACACCGAAACAAAAAUUCACACACAUGAACUACAGCUCCGCUAUGUAACAAGAAUUAAAAGCAUCUCAAAACAAAAUGGCAAACUAUAAGAGCAUUGUAAAAGUAAAAUUGCAUCUAAUACUUGGAGGGCAAGUACUAAUCAGACGAAAAUGAAAGAUUGAACUACCUCACGUGGAACUGUGCCUUGGUUUUUUCCCAUGCUUACAAGAAGCUUUGCACUGAGCUCUUAUAGCCCAAAUUUUCUCUGAAGGAAAAAAAACACAAUUUUGGAAUAAGAUUUUCAUAUUAUACCUUAAAGAGAAGAAUUAGACAACAAAAAAGAGAACAAUGAGUACUAUUCAUCAUAUAUUGUUAAGAGUAUGUGGUCUUCUAGUCCAAUGGUCCUGCAGUCAUAUUUACUUUAUAACUCUUUCUUUUAGUCUAAAAAAACAUCUUGGAUCUCAAAUUAUUAUGAAUACGGAUUCAUACUUUAUAACUAAAGAUCUUACUGCUCUUGAUAAGAUGAACAAUACGCCAUUUAUCGCAUGCAUUGCAUUACAAUCACAAUGCAACAUCUCAUUAGAAAUCCCCACACAAAGCAGCUCCACUCAUUGUGGUCCUUGCAAACCGAAUUGGCCCAACGAUCAGCGAGAGAAAGGAGACGGCGGCGAGAUGAGGGAUAUGAUGGAUGCGAGAUCGUCUGUAUCGUUAUCGCGGGGGGUCUGCAAGACGGACGAGGAAAGUAGGGUUUGAGAAGGCAUUGUCUUCUCGCGGGGUAUGUGUCCUUCCUAUUCCACGAUUAUCAACACGUGUGCAUCAGGAGGAGCGGCAGAGAGAGGCAUUGUUGUAAAUAAAGUGAAAUCGAAGGGUAAGGGCCCAUUCUUUAAGGUAAUGGCAUGGCCAUAAAUAGAAUGAAAUCCAGAUCAAAACACUGUCAUUUGUACAGUACAAUUUCUCCAUCUUCUUCAGACUAAAGUAAUGUAUAUGUUAUACGCACCAACACAAGUCCUUCUUAGAUAAAUCCAAGCCAAACAAUUACAAACGACAGUUAUUCACAAGAAAAUCACUUUAAAGCAAGAAUUUAAUUAAUAAUACAUUACUACACUUUCUUAACAAUUUGACGGUCACCUAGCUAACAAUGAACACGUUAGCUAUGCGUUAGAACAUAUUGGGUUCAAUCCAUAGUCUUGAAUAUCACCCCGAGUCACAACUGUCUCUUGGGGCAUACAGAAGGCCUGAGAGGCAUUUGCAGACAUUCAAUCUCUCCUCCAAGCAUUUCGACAACUUUGGAAAUCGAAAGGCGAUCACUUGGUUUCAUUUGAAUACACCACAAGGCGGUUAUAACCAUCUUUCUUAUCACUUUCUUUUCCUCCUCUGUAACAUUGUCUAUUUCCAAGUCAUUUCCCACAAUAUACUGAUCAUAUACCCACAUCGGGAAGUAGAUUUGGCUUGGAUGCUCUACCGUUGCAUUCAAAUUCUUCCUUCUGCUUGCCAUUUCCAUCAACAACAUUCCAAAACUAUAGACAUCGGCCUUGUAUGAGACACCUCCAAUAUUUUUGUAGAACAACUUAGGAGCAAUAUAUCCCAUUGUACCCGUGUUGCCGUCAAAGAGACAAUGAGAAAACUCUUGAGUUCUUCAGAAACCACGAGAAACUUAAAACUGAGAAAGCUUCGUGAUCUCCCUUCCAUCUCUGCUACGCAAUCUCUGCUUCCUCCGUGAUUUCUUCCUUCCUGAUCGACAUCUAUUCGAAUUGAAAACCUUCUGGAGCUCACUACCCCCUUUGUCAGCAGUAAUUAGGGGUGGGUUCAAAAAACCGAAAACCGAAAAAAAUCGACAACCGAACCGAACCGAGGCCGAAAAAAACCGAACCGAAAAAAAACCGAACCGAAACUGUCAAACCGAACCGAACCGAAUCUGACCGGUUCGGUUUCGGUUUUUGAGGUUCAAAAACUGAACCGAACCGAACCGAACCGAUAUAUAUAUAUUUAAUUUUUUUUUCAAUAUUAUAAAUAGUUUAGGCAUACAAUCAUAACAAAACAGAACUUGUUGCCAAGUUGGUUUAAGCGAAAUUUUUCACACUGGUGGCAAUGGGUUCGAACCCUCAUGCCUUUAGGAUUUAUGAGAUUGUUUUUUAAUUUUGUUGAGAAAUCAACAAAAUCCUUUAACCCUAACUUUUUUAUUUUUCAUUCCCCUCUUCUCUCUCUUGUUCCCUGCCUCCAGUCCAAACUCCCUCCAUGAACCCUAACCCAGUAACCCUCUCGCGCCGCCUGAGCUUCCUGUCUCUCUCGCUCGGUCUUCAAUCGCUCUGUCUCUCUCAAUCUCUCAGGCAACCCGCGACAGUGCGACCCUUCUCACUCUCAAUCUCUCACACCUCGCCCUCUCCAUCAGUCUCUCAUCUCGCCGUUUCGAGUCUCGAUAGCAAAAGGUUAGCCUCCUCUCUCUCUCUCUCGGUCUUCAACUUCAAUCACUCUCUGUCUCUCUCAAACUCUCUGUCUCUCUCGGUCUUGAAUCUCAGGCGACCCACGACGGGGCGACCCAUCUCACUCUCAAUCUCUCACACCUCGCCCUCGCCGUCAGUCCUUCAUCUCGCCGUGAGCUUCUUCUUGCCGUUUCGAGUCUCGACUGCAAAAGGUUAGUCUCGCCGUGAGCUUCUUCUUGUUCGUUCGCAGACGGAAGCUCUCUACUCCAAACUCUACGAAAAGUACACAAAAAUCAAGGUGUUCUGUGUUCUUUCCCACUUCUUUACAAUUUUUUUUGCUCAUUCAUUUUUUUUUGCUUAAUCAGUUAAUUGUAUGUUAAAUUUGCUCAGGGGAGAAAUUUGAGGUUAGGGAAAUAGAAAGUAAUUGUCUUUUUUUGUACUUUUGAAUUUUUUUUGCUCAUUCAUUUUUAAUUGCAUGCUAAAUUUGAGUUGGGAACUUUUGCUUACUUGUUACCCAGUUGGAUUUUUUUGAGCUACUUUUGCAGUUUCUUUCUUCGUCUUAAUUUGGGAACAAUUUGAUCAUGUUUGACUUAUCAUUUUGUUAUUGGAGGAAAUCAGCAGCUUUAUGGUUUGGCAAGGUGUAGUGACGAUAGAUAGCCUACUUUUAUGUAUAAUUUGAAAGAGGAUGGAGAUAAGUAUAUUUCUCUGGGAAUCAGAGCUUCCAUGAUAUGUGAUUACCUGUUAUCUUUGAAUUUCUCUUCCGACUCUUGUAUUUCCUUAAGUGAAACUAUGGCCCUGCAAAUUUGACAUGUUGUUGAAGGUUGUAAAUCAUAUGUUGUUCUUUUAGUGGUAAAAAUCUUGUUAAACAUGUAUUUUCAUUUAGGUUAUGGACUCUUGGACAUGCUAAGUCAUGAUGGAAAAGACCAAAGAUUCAUUGGUAACGUGUUCUGAAAAGUAGCAUAGGCAUUGCAAUUCUCUGAGUAGCGUUUUAUUAUGGAUAACGUUUUUGGUGCUGAAGGAAGAUUUCCAUCAAACCUAGCAUCAAUAGAGCAUAUUGUUUCUUGACUACAUUAUGUAUGAGUAUUAGAGUUUAAAUUGUAAACGGAUCUGGACAAUAUAUGAAGUUGGUAUUGAUUUCUCUCAGAGAACAAAUAGAAUUGAACAUCCAGGCUUGUUCUUGUUGACAUGAUUUAUAUAAGAUAUACUUAUAUCACUUUAGAGAAAACUGGUUAUAUGCAUCUGUAUUGUCUCAAAUUAAUUUUAGGCUUCCCUUCAAAGCGUUCUUUUUGUCCAUCCAUCUGGGUGGUGUUCAAUUUUAGAUUAUCCUUUGAAUACUAGACGUCCAGAUAAUGGCUUUGUGGUCCUUCAAAUAAAUUACUGAUAAUGUUCAUGCAGUUGAUGGUGAAACAGGUAUGGUAAUUAAACGACUUCAUGUUUAGGAAUGAUAGGCUUGUACUUUGUAUUUUAAAGAUGUGUGCAUUUUUCAUAUAAAUUUUGUUCAUUGUGUUAGAAUGCUUAUAUUAUAAUUGUGUUGGAGAUGUUAAAAUUUUAGAUUUCAAUUUUGUUUUCAUUUUUCCCAAAAAAAAAAAAAACCGAAAAAAACCGAAACCGAAAAAAACCGAAAAAAAAAAUGGACCGAACCGAACCGAACCGUUUUGAACCGAACCCAGCUCUAGCAGUAAUAAUUUGUUUUUGCAGCUUUAUGUGUCUCUGUCUCCAAAUAUGAUGAUCUCUUAAUUUGCUUCUAUAGCUUUUGUAAUAUGAUGAUCUCUUAAUUUGCUUUUGCAUAUCUUCUUUGCUUCUUCUGCUAGCUCUAUAUGAGAUUCCAUCUCCAAAUAAUUGUUCCCUAUUUCCUAUUUUUACAGGAAGCAAAUCAUUGAAUACACAUGGAAAAUUAAAAUGGUUUCAGUUUUUGGUUAGUUUAAAUUUUUUGUUGGUUAUUGCUUGUAUUGUGAAAUCUCGUUCCCGGAUUUCACUGUUAUAAUGUACGUGUUUGUAUUCUCGAGAAUUUAUAUUAAGUUAUUUGAAGUUAUACUUUAAUUAAACUAGUUACGAAGGUUAGAGUUUGGAAAUUAAUUAUUUAAAAUUCGUAAACCGUCCGAGGUCACAAUUUAUAUCUGUGGAUAGAGCUAGGGGUGGGCAAACGGGUCUAGGAACCGCGGGGCGGGUCGGGUCUAGCCGGUUCGGGGCGGGUACAAGUUUUGUAAACUCAAAACGGGGCGGGUCGAGGCGGGUCCAUGUAAUUGGCGGGGCGGGGCGGGUCUAAAUUUCUGAAAAACCGGGUACCCAGGCCCGGACCGUUUCCACCGUCCAUAUACGAAGAUUAAAUCUCUACCAUUCAUUACUACCACUCUUUCUCUUAGUCGCUGACUCUCGCCUCCUCUCUCGACUUUUCCAGGAUCCAUCCUCUCUCAAGAUGGACUCAGCGCCUACUCCACCGCUCACUCCUCCUCUCGUUGAAGCCACGGCGGUCUUCAUCGGUGCUACCCCUGCCCCAUAUUCUCUCAGAUCAGAGUCGUCACUCCCCUCUCCCACUCGAGUCGAGGCCUCUUGUGAACACCACCACCGCCGUCGAAACCUCCUCCAUGAAAGACACCUUCUCCAAAUAUUCUGAUUACCUCAACAAUCUCGUAAUCCCUAAUUUAAUCUUCACCAAUUUGCAGCUCUGUGAGCGACUCGAAGGUUUGUAGAAUGACAAGCGGGAAAGGGUUGUAAAAGCAAGUCGCGAUAUCACCAUUAAUAGCAAAAAGGUCAUCUUUAAGGUUCACAGGUAAGAAAGCUGCGACCUUUUGCUUCAAAUUUUGUUUCUGUUUUUUGGGUUUUUGAUUUUGGAUUUUGGUUUUUUUUUUUAUAAUAAUUUUAUUUAUAUCAUCAUUGAAAUGAUGUUGCUGUGGAAUUUGAACUUGAACAGAAUCAAUAAACACAACAAAGAGGAAGUUCUGCAGAAAGCUGAAAAGGAUUUAGUAGCUGUGAGUCUGCGACAGAUCAGUACAUUUCCCAGCUUGUUAGAGAGAUGCAGGCUAAGUUUUUUUCUUUUAUUACUGUUACUCUGGGAUUCUUUGAGAAAACUUGAAGCUUGAAUUGUUUUUGUUUUCUGGGUGAUUUGGAAAAUGGGCGAAAAAAAAAACAAGGACCCGUGUACCCGGCCCAAACCGGCCCGUUUGAAAAGGGUCGGGUUAGGUCCGGUUUCUAUUUUAAAAUUUGUUGCACCCGGCCCGCUCCGGCCCGUUUCUUUUACACCCGGGUCCGGUCCGGUCCCUUCAAAAUUGGGCCCGGCCCGGCCCGUGCCCAGCCCUAGAUAGAGCUCGAUCUCACGAACGCGUAGGCGCAAAUCGUUCAUGAAACAGAUCUAUAACGAAGAAGUUAUAGACGUUUUAGUUGUUGGAAAAUAAAUAAUUAAAUGUUUAGAAGCUGCCAAGUGGCAGCAAGGGAGAGGGGAGAAAGGAGAGAGUGCGGGAGAGAAAAGAGGGGGACACCCAAUAAGAAAGGAGAAAGGAGGGAAAUGAGAGAAAAGAAAAAAAAAAAGGGAAGAAAAGGGAGAAACGGGUUCGUACGACCCGUGGGUAUUGCCGGCCACCCAUCUCCAUUUGCCGACGAUUUUCCGACGAAUUUCUUCAAACAACCACUUGGAAACACUCCCUUGUCCUUCCCUCUACAUGUUUCACCCUAAAAAUAAAAGGUUUUGGACUUGAAUAGGGAGAAACCGCACUAAGGGUGUAGCGGGUGUGUGUGUCAAAUCUCCCAAAUCCAAAAUGUUUACACCCAACGACCACCAUCAAAAGACUUUCCUUAAGCCCCUGAACAAAGCCCAGGCAGUGGUGGAGACGUCGGAGCAAGUUUAGAGGUCGAAUUGGAGCACACCCAAUUCUAGGGUUCUUACGGGUUUUAGAGAAAUUGGAAUACUUCUUGAUCAAAUUAGCCUUGGUCACAGGUAUAAAGUUUACUCUACUCAUUGAGAUCUUUAUUUCUGUAAUUUUUGGUAAUUUUUAAAAAUAGUUGAAUUUUUCCGGCAAAUCGGGGCGGCCGACCGCCACCCGCUGCGGCGCGUGCGGCGGCGGCCUGGCCAGCGAGCCAACGAUGUCCUUUUAAGUUCAAUUAGAUGCCCUGAUUUCAUAACUGACAUCCUUAUGUUAUGGUUUGAUUGUUUAAACCUAAUUUCAUUACGAUAUGUGGGUAGGUCAAAAUGUGAUUCGACGAUCCGACCGUUGGAUCGUCACCAAACUUUAAUGCGUCAUAGAAUGUAAUAUUUGAGGAUGGUUGGAACUAACGGAUUGGGAAUCUGAUGUAUGGAACUUCCUGAUUUGGAUUUCUAAGUUUGUAAAUCAAACAUUGGUCACCACUUGAAAUUGUAAAAUCAAACAUUGCAUAUAAGCAUGCUAGAGCCUUUAAUUGUUAAUUACAUGUAUAUGUGUUGCUAAAAUGAACUUAGUUUAUCAAAUUUUUAUUUCAAUAUCAACUUCUAUGGCAUGCGUGGUGUCUCAUGUCAAUCACACAAAUGUUAUGUAAAAAGAAUAUACACGUUGUGUUGCAUGAUUGACAAUUAACGACACAUAGUGUUAUAACCGUGUCAAUGUUAUGAAGGUUUUUAUGCAAAGUCACUUGAUAUGCCGCAACAAUUAGUAAACAAUAUUAGAAAGACCUAGAGGAACCCACAAUUAAUUCCGAUUCAAUAAGUAGGUCAUGUGCAAGCAAGGCAUGGGCUUCCCAUGGGUAGGAGCUGGAAUUUACCCAUAUUUGGUAGUUAUGUACCAUAUGUUUACCCGCAUGACGCUGAGUGUAAUCCUUCUUAAGGUUCAACAAUAUUGUUUCUAUUAACAAAUAUAAAUAAAAAAUAAGCAAAAUACUAGAGAGAUUACACGUUUAUAUUACAUUGUUGUACCAUAUUGUGAUAUGGCUGUGUACAUACCAUGUCUUGUAAUGAGUUUAUCUCAUUAGAUGUUAGACUGUUAAUUAUAUGUAUCACUUGUCAUAUCAUACAAUACAUCAAUAUGAUAUAAAUAUGCCAUCUCUCAAACAUUACUCUUAUCAGAAACCCCAAAAAAUAGGAAAUGCUCUAUACUAAAGCGGAAUGAGAAAAACAUUGUUCAUAGGCAACAGUAUUUUUACUUUUUUGCCCUCAUUUUUAAUGUUUCUGUGUUCCUACUUUUAUGCCUCUAUACGGUGAAAUCGCCAAUUGACCUAUGGGCAUGGGUGUGUAUAAAAAUUGUUUUGCACACGUGGCGUGCUAGGGAGAUUUCUCUGCAGCACUGCUUCAUUAACUGUUUCAUUUCUCUGCACCGUUUCCUUCUAGCUCCACUCCGAAUUGAUACCGAAUACUGGUCAACCAAAUUUUCUCAUCAUUUCGUUCCGUCCUUCUCCACAUCUUCAUUCUUGCUCCACCAUGAAUCGAAACAAAAAAUUGCUCAUCCAAAUUGUUUGGUAUCAGCCGCUCCAAGGAGACAAAUUGCUGAGAAAAGUAAAGAAUUCAGAUAAAAAGUGAAAUUGUUCAUUCAUAACCUUUAGGGAAAUACAGAUGGGUUCUUUAUACCCCAUUUCAGCUACUACAGACAAAAGGUUAGGUAACCCCAAGUGCUGAGUCACCAUAUUCUAAUAUUCCAUUACAAUGCAAAGGAAAUAACUUAAGGGAAUGAGCUAAAGCAUAUCAAGGUCCUAACACAAGUCAAUUUCAGUUAACUCAAAUCCCUAAAACCCAAUUUUCUCCAGAUCGUUGGAUUUAGUUUGCUGUUGUUGUUGCUAAUCUACAGGUAAAGCUUAAAUUUACAUACAAUUUUUUAUUUUUCUUGAUUGGAAUUUGGAAAGAAUUAGUUGUUCUUGGAAAGAAUUACAGAAAAUUGGAAAAGGGAAAUGGGAAAGCGAGGAAAUGCAAGAAAAUGUGUUUGGAAAAUGGAAAAUGACUUUUCUUUGGCAUUCGCUUUGACUUUCAUCCUUUCUGCGUUUGCUUUUCCUCAUUUUUUUUCUCAAGAACCAAACAUAAAAUAAAUAAAUAAACCUAUAAAAAAAAGAAAAGGAAAAUCACAAGAUUAAGAACCUGGGAAUGCAACAAUCGAGCUUCUGUGCCGAAAUAUCAAUUGGGUCCCGUUGGAUCUUCGGUGCUUCUUCUGCAUUCAAAAAGUUGGGGUAUUUCUGCAUCAUUUUUGUGUGUAUUUUUAAAUUCCAGAAGAAAGUGGAUAGAGAGAGAGGAAUAUGCUUUGGGUCGAAAUGGGAACACAAUUCCAAAUUCGCCCUCAAUCCCAAAGUUCAGUAAUUUAUGCAAUUUUUGUCGAAAUUGAUAUUCUUUAUUGCUGAUAUUUGUUAAAAAAGAGGGGGAUAAGAGCAGUAAAAAGAAUCUACAGAAAAUAUUUGUUUUGGAAGAGUAUGUCUUGAUUGGAUAAAACUCGCACCAGAGGGCGAGCGCAUCUGCUAGUAUGCAUUUAAACUUAUAAGGCUAAAUCCUUUAGGGGCGUUUGUUUGCCCUCCUUAACUCUCAUUGGACUGGACUAGAUUAAGGGUUAGUCCAAUCCCGUGUUUGGUACCCGCUAAAACUAACUUUAAUGAGACUAAAGGGGAUUCGCUCCGACUAUCUCCCUCGCUAGGAGGUCUUAGCGAGAGCGCCCUGUGACUAUGGGACUGCUAAGCCCUUCGGCUGGUAUGUCCUCAUCUCCUCUCAUCCACUCUUCUUUCUCUGUUUUCUUGAGCACCGACAGCCACCAUCACACCACCACUCCCAACUUCAGCGAGAUACACUGCUAGCCCAACACCACUCUCUCGAGAUCCAAGGAAAGCAAGCAUCAUUUGGCAAUUUUUGGUAGAAUUGCAGGGGAAGAAGAAACGAAAUGAAAAGGCUUGAAUUUGUUACAGGCCAUUGAUGGACAAGAUUUUUUUUUUGGGAAAUCGAUGAUCAGGGAUUUUUUUUUGGAGAAAUCUGGAGAUCAUGCAGCUUAUGGAACUCUCUAGAUAGAUUAAAACUCACAUAACCAAUAUGGGCAAUAAUUCAUACCUGAGAUAGAGUUUGAGAGAGCUUAAGCUCUCUGCGUUAAUGGCAGAGCGCCCGAUGGUGCAUCGAUGAUACGUACAACGCCGUAGGUGGAUUCCCCAUGUCCCAAGGGUUCGAGGUUUAGAUUUUUUAGGGUUGAUUUGGUCAGCAUCAAGAGAAAUGGUGGGGGUUCCUUCUCGGAGAUUAGAGAGAGAAAGGUUGUAGAUUAUUGUUGAGGAGAGAGAGAGAGAGAGAGAGAGAGAAAAGUGCAGAGAAAGAAAGAGAGAAUGAAAGAGGGGUCACGGGGUGAGGGACCGUAAGAGCAAGUCCACCCAUGCCAAUCGGCCGGGGGACGGGCUACAGCAAAGGGCCCGAGGGCCAGUCAAUUCAUCUCCAGCCAUGGAGGGCCCGAGUGAGGGUGGGAGCCCGAGGGCCGGGGGGGUGGGUAAUUGACAGGCCUGUGGCCCGAGGCCCGUGACGUCAGGCCUGGGUCCAGGCUAUUUUUUUAUAUUUUUUUUGUGUCAGGCGCGUGCCCCUCACUCGCGAGUGGGGGCGCGUCGCCCGACAAGAAAUCAGACAAGUGGGGUUUUCGGCCAGUUACCGUUGGGAAGCCACGUGGCUUCCCACGGUCCGUUCGAUCCCAACGGCUCUUUAAUACGAGCCGUCCGAUUUGCAACGGUAAUAAAAAAAAAACUGAUUUUAUAUCAACCGUUCGAUCUAAGAUCAACGGUUGAUAUUAAUCUGCUUUAUAAAUUAAAAAAAAAUAGUUUUAAAAUUAAGAAAAGUUACCGUUGUGACACGUGGCACAAUCUGGAGUGUUGGAAUUCAAAUUUUUUUAAAUCCAACGGUAGAAAUUAAUUAUUGGAAAAAAAAAUUUAAAAAAAAUGGAAAAAAUCCAAAAAAAUUGUAAAAAAUCUGAAAAAAAAAAUUGUAAAAAAUUGUUUUUACUUUUCUAUAAAUACCACUUCUUCUCUAUCUAUCUUACACCACAAUUUCAUAUUUUCUCAACUACUUUCAAUCAAAUUCCUAUCUUUCUCUCAAAGUUUCAAUCCAAUUUUUUUCCACAAAAUGGCUACUGAUGCAGGUUCGAAUUGGUCGCUUCUUGAAGAUGUUGCGUUGUGCACUAGCUGGGUUGAAGUUACUCAUAAUUCCGUUACGGGUAAUGAGAUGCAGUUGCGAGAAAUGUGGAGUUUAAUUCAUACCAAAUUUGUUGAGCAAAUUGGUGGGAAAAGAACCAAAGAAUCGAUAUCGAGUCGUUGGAAAAUACUUAGCCAUUCCUUUAGUACGUGGAGAGAUGCCUUGACACAAGCUAGUAAUAAUGUUCGAAGUUGGGCAAAUUAUGCGGAUGAGGUAAGAAUAUAUUAUAAUUAUUUGUUUGUAUUAUUAUUUUGUUACCUAAUUUGAUUAUAAUUAUUUGUUUGUUUCAUUUAUUUGUUACCUAAUUUCAUUAUUAUUAUUUGUUUGCAAUAUUUAUUUGUGACCUAAUUUCAUUAUUAUUAUUUGUUUGUAUUAUUUAUUUGUUACCCAAUAAUUUCAUUAUUAUUAUUUGUUUGUAUUAUUUAUUUGUUACCUAAUAUAAUUUCAUUAUUAUUAUUAUUUGUUUGUAUUAUUUAUUGUUACCCCAAUAAUUUCAUUAUUAUUAUUUGUUUGUAUUAUUUAUUUGUUACCUAAUAAUUUCAUUAUUAUUAUUUGUGGUAGAUUAUUUGUUAUAUAAUAUUUAUUUGUUAUUAUAAUUUCAUUAUUAUUAUUUCUUUCUAUUAUUCAUUUAUUAUUAUUAAUUUUUAUUAUAUUUAUUUUUCCUUACAUAAUUUCUUAAUUUAUUAUUUUGUUAUUUCUUUAUUAUUGUUAUUCCAUAUUAUUUCAUAAUUAAUUUCAUUCAUAUUAUUUAUCUUCCUAGAUAAAUUCAAUAUUUGUCUUUUGUAUAAAUUUCAAAGAGAAUUAUGUUGCAUGAAGUAUGGCCAUGCAUGUUAGUGUCCCAAAAUUCAAGCAAUGGCAUGUUGGAAGUCAUGCCAUUGAAAGCCCGUUACACCCAGGUUGCAUUGAACAGCACCCUCCCAGCACAUUUUGUACACAGCAACCCUCUCCACACUCUACACCCUGAUGGACCUGAUGAAGAAGAUGUAAAGAAGUGCCUGAAACACCCAUUCCUGAACAAGCGUCAAGCGUCGGGGUCGACCGUUUCAUUAAUUAGGCUCAAGGUAAGAAGGCUUCAAAGAGGAAAGGGAGUGCUUCCAUGAAUUAUUUACAUGAAUUUUGAUCAUUGGCUAUUUGACGUUGAAUAAUGACGGCGGGAUUUAUAGAGAUUUGAGCAAAAGAAUUGAGGCAGAAGAAGGCAAGAAUUGCAAAUUUUGAGCAAACAGAACAGAACACAAGAUUGCUACUUAGAACAGGGAAAGGCAAGAGCUACUUAGAGAAGAAACCUUAGAAGAAGAAAAAGAUGAACAAGAGAUCGUCAAUUUGAACACGCGUUUAGGAAGGUGAAUUGACGUUGGCACGGGAUUUGGCGAAAUAUGAGGCUGAAAAGGCUAGAGAAGAGGCAAAAGCUGCAGCUACUGAACAAACAUUUCAAGUUGAACAGAGGGAAAGAGAGCUACUUAGGCAAGAAAGGGAGUUGCUUAGAGAAGAAAGAAAUGCACAACGAGAUCGUGACAUUAUGAACACGCGUUUAGAAGGGAUGUCUCCAAAUUCUAAAUAUUUUUGGAAGUCGGAGAAAGCGGAUGUGGUGCGAAGGAGGCGUGUAAGAGAAGCGAGAUCAAGACAAGAUGGUCCUAGCACAACAAGACAAGAUGAUCCUAGCACCACAAAUUGGUUAAGUGAUGAUGAAUAGGGUACUUUUUGUAAUCGGACCCCAUAGUUUUCCGAUCACUUUGGGUUGUAAUUUAUUAUUUAUGUUGUUUCCAAUUUAUUGAAGUUAGUACUUUAUUUAACGUGAGAGUACAUUUAUUUAAUUUCGUAAUAUAUUUAAAAUUAAACUACAGUCAAUGACGUGUCCAGAUGCGUGUCCAUAGGCAAGACACGAGUACAGACGUGGCAAGAGACGAGGGUUGUACAACCAUGAGCUUGUGUCCGUGGCAAGGACAACAAAGGCUUGGGGCUUAGGAUGGCAGAGGAAAUACCACGGCAAGCUAGAGCCACCGACACAUCGUCGUUGCCGCCAAACUUACGUAAAAUCGUUAGCACAAAAAGCCGCCAAGGGUUUCCGCUCACUGGGAAAAAGAUAAGAUUUGUGAACGCCAAGACCACAUGGGUCACAACAUAGCAAAAUUGAAAUCUUUGUCAUCCUCAGCAUUAUCCGACCGCUAUCCACAAAUUGAAGCAACGAAUUGGGCAAGUGUGCAACAAAUUUCCAAUGUGCUUCUAUUGUGAAUGAUUUACAGGGAUUGGGUUGAAUGAGGUUUGUAGUUAAAGUGGGAUGCAAUUUAGAACACCAACGUUUGAUUAUGUUUCUCUCAUUUUUUUCUGUUCACUUUUGCCUCAUUUGUUUUUUUUGUUGCAUCGUCUCAAAAACCUUGUGCGUCUACAUGUACAUGUAUAAGUAUAAAUUUUGGUUAAAACAAAAAGUCACAUAUUUCAUAAUUAACUAUUUAAAUUUGUUGCAAAUCACAGUAUAUCUUUGUUCAUACAUUCAAACAAGCAUGACAAAUACUGAGGAAGAAAAUGAAAAUUAUUGUCACUACAAUUGUAUAUAUUUUUUUCUUUUUGAACAAACGAUAUUAUCUACACUAAGGGGGUGAGGGAGUGGCCUAAGCCUAACAAUGAGCUAGCAAUAAUAUAGUUCAAUUUGCCUUUGAUGAGAAUCGAACAUAAGACAUUUCACUUACAAGUGAAGAGAAAUAUCCUAGACCCUAACUGGAUAUGUUAUUGUCAUGGUCAUGCAUUGGUAUAGUAACAAUAUGUUUGGAUAAGGACAAUAAACUUAUAAUUUUGCCAAAAGUCAGAAUUUUUAAAUUGACACAAUCAAUUCCUUUGUUUGGAUUCAUAAAUAUAGAAAUUUAGACUUUCCGCGUGAGAAAAAACUUGGAAUUUGGUACCUUCAAUUCUCAUGUUUAAAUUUCAUGUAAAUAUGUGUCAUUUAUAAAUUUCAGUAAGUGAGAGUUUAAAAAUAACAAACAUGUAUUCAAAUUUCAUUCAUCCUUUAGGUUAACCAAACAAGAAAAUUUAUAAAUUCUAGAAAAUAAAAUUUCGUUAUUUCAUUUCUGUUAUUUUAAAAUUUUUAGGGCAUGUUUGGUACUCUACUUGAAUCUAACUUUUUAAACUCAAAAACAAUUUUCAAGUUUUAGGCCUUAAAAACUUGUUUGGUAGAACUAUUUUAAAAAACUGAACUUAAAACUAACUAAAAAAUAUAAUCUAUUAUCUAAAAACACAAAAAAUGAGUUUUUAGAAUUUGUAAACUUAAACUCACUCCUUUCUUUUCUCUCCCUGCUCCCCUCUCACUCCAAAUCUCUCUCUCUCUUUUCUUCUUUCUCUCUCCCCCUUCUUUUUUUUUAACCUUUUUUUGUCUCUCAUCCAAUCCGCUCUCUUUAUUCUCUCGGUUCUUUCUCUCACUCCUCUUCCUCUCUAUCUCCUCCGAUUCUCUCUCUUCAUUCUUUUUCAACCAAUCAUUUCUUAUUUUCUUUCCUCCCCUCUCCUCUUUCUCCCUCGACCACCUCUUUUUGGAUCUCCUUGUUCAGUUUGAGCUAUAAGAUUUAAAAAUUUUAAAUCGCAUAUCAAACAAGUUUUUGAGUUUUAAAGAAAAUUGUUUUCAAGAAAUAUUUUGAGAAAUGAUAAAAAAUUUCAAAUAUGAUACCAAACAAGCCCUUAAUAAUCUUAAAUUUUCUCGUCCAAACAAAAAGUUUUCUUGUCAUAGAACUUUCAAUUGAAAUCAAGGAAGAUAAUCUUUUCACAACUAAUUAUUCUCACCAAAAGCAAUUUUUAUUUUAUAGCAGAUCAAUACCAAAUUGCAAAAGCAAAGUAGUAAGGCUAAAAUUCAGGUGAAGAACCUGCUUCCACUAAUUUCCUUAGGAGGGAGAGAGAGAGAGAGGGGAGAGAGAACCAAGCGACCGAGCAGAGAGAGAAAACACCAAGUAGUAUUCUAAUGUUGGUGGGGUUAAGUCACCUUCCGUGAAGUUGCAGUAAGGACUUCUAUCCCAAAGAAAAGUCAGUAAAUGAUGUUGACAUCCGUCAACGACAAGGACAGAAUUGUGUAACCAUAAUUCUCUCUCUAUCUCUUUUUUCAUUAACGGAGGACAGUGUAUAAUUACUACGUAUAUAUCUCUGCUCAAUUAUUGAAAAGAAAAAUCCAUGUGCAUUAUUUUUAUUAUUAUUAUCUCAGAAAUGCAGAAAUUGAUCAUCUCUUCCUUCUGCAUAUUGAUACUGGUUUUCUUCAAACUAGUUGAAGCAAGGCAAUAUGUGUGCGCGAAAUCCAACUGUAGCAAUGAUCAAGGCCCGGCUAUCUAUUUCCCAUUGAACACCAGGCACACACAUCAUUGUGGAAAUUCUGGGCUUGAAUGCAAUGGGAGAAAUGAGCAGCAAAUACUAAUAAAAUUAUUUGUCAAACACAUAGAUUACAAGCGUCAGGAAAUCCAAGUCUAUUCCCCAAGUAACUGCCUGCUGCUAAAGCCUGUUGAAAUCCCAAACAUGCCACCCUCUCCCUUCAUCGUGUCAGUCGGUUACCUGACGAACGUUACCUUAUUCAGUUGUCCUACUUCUGUUGCAAGUGAUCCAUAUUAUCCGUAUCAAGUCCCCUGCCUCGGCGACCGUGGCAAGAGAACUUAUGCCAUUGAUUCUGACUCUGGUUUUAGAACUCUUUUCCGGAAUCUACAAUCUUGUACAAAAAUGUAUGAUGUUUUAUCAGUUCCACUAACCUAUGAAGAUUAUGUACAUCGUUUCAAAUGGUCUAUACCAAAUUGCAGAAAAUGUGGAGAGGGAAAGAAGUGUGGAUGGCAGAACAAUGAAAUUAAAUGUAUUCAAUGGAGGAAACCAAGUAAGGAUAACAUAUGUAUUCAUUGCUAGUUUUAAACAUCUUUACAUUUAUGUCUCAGUAAUUAUUAUUUAAAACAUGUUGUCCAAUCCAUUUUUACUAUGAAUAUUAACUGACAGUCUCAUUUGAAUUUGCCUUUAUCUUUUACAGGCAACACAUGGAAAUUAGUGGUUACAGGUGGAAUCCUGGGUUCUUUGCUUCUUGUUCUACUGAUGAUUGCAGCAUAUCGGGUAUAUAGCGCUGAUAGAAAGGAAAAAGAGAGUCGAUUGCGAAUCGAAAGAUUCUUGGAGGAUUACAAAGCACUCAAACCAAGCAGGUAUUCGUACGCAGAUAUUAAGAGGAUUACAAAUCAAUUCAAGGACAAGUUGGGCGAAGGAGCCUAUGGAACUGUCUUUAAAGGAAUGCUCUCUUCUGAAUUCUUUAUUGCUGUCAAAGUCCUCAACAGUUCUAAGGGAGAUGGGGAAGAGUUCGUAAAUGAAGUGCGAACGAUGGGUCAUAUCCACCACGUCAACGUGGCUCGCUUGGUUGGAUUUUGUGCUGAUGGAUUUGUAAGAGCUCUUGUUUACGAGUUCUUCCCCAAUGGUUCCCUGCAGGAUUUCAUUUCAUCCGCAGAUAGUAAGAAUUCCUUUCUUGGUUGGGAUAAGCUGCAGGAUAUUGCCCUAGGCAUAGCCAAAGGAAUUGAAUAUCUUCACCAAGGAUGCGAUCUACGAAUCCUGCAUUUCGAUAUCAAACCCCAUAAUGUUUUGCUAGACCAAAACUUCACUCCAAAAAUUUCUGAUUUUGGUUUGGCCAAGUUAUGUUCCAAGGAUCAAAGCUUGGUGUCCAUGACUACAGCUAGGGGGACCAUGGGCUACAUUGCACCCGAAGUGUUCUCCAGGAAUUUUGGAAAUGUGUCUUACAAGGCAGAUGUCUAUAGCUUUGGAAUGCUGCUGCUUGAGAUGGUAGGAGGAAGGAAGAAUAUUGGUUCAAUCACGGAUAACACUACAAAUGAAAUUUACUAUCCACAGUGGAUUUAUAAUCUUCUAGAGGAAGGGGAUGACCUACGAAUCCAUAUUGGGGAAGAAGGAGAUGGUAAAAUUCCAAAGAAACUUGCAAUUAUAGGGCUAUGGUGUAUCCAGUGGCACCCGUCGGAUCGUCCUUCCAUGAAAAUAGCGGUUCAGAUGUUAGAAGGAGGAGGAGAAAGCUUGAGUAUGCCGCCUAAUCCCUUUGUGCCUACUGGUCCUACAACUAGAAAUGCAAGACGCCUAGAGCUAG